This 449864-nucleotide long non-coding RNA is filed under the name Coffea arabica (coffee). Lineage: Eukaryota; Viridiplantae; Streptophyta; Magnoliopsida; Gentianales; Rubiaceae. The record is from RNAcentral.
UUUUUUUUUUUUUUUUUUUUAAAAAUUUGGAUUCACUGGUAUUAGUACUAAUUGCUAGGACACAAAAUGCUAGGACACAGUGCCAUGCUAUUUAGAUGAACAAAUGACUUGUUUUCAUUUUGGCUUAUGGUUUUGGGCCUGGGGAAAUAUUUCAAACGUUAGUCUUGUGAAUUUACAACAAUUAUGUGUUGCAAUGUGCCUUUUUGGAUUAAAAAAAUAUUUCUUGAUGACAGAAUGUCUUCCAGAAUGUGUUAAAAUCUACAUGUUCACUUUAUCUUCAUCUUCCUUGAAUAGGAAAGAAAAAUAAAAAGAGGAAACAUAAUUUGUAAUGAGAACAAUGAAGUACACUGUUUGGAAUAGCUUUUACGAGUCAUUGCUGAAGCAAAUCGUGCUCACUUGGUUUUGAAGGGAAGCAAAGAUGUUGAUUAGUCCAGCUUUUGGUUCCUUAGGAUGGUGAUAACAUACAUCACUAGGAUGGGGGUAAUUAAGAUGACCGAUAUAUUUGUAUAUUGAUAUAUGCAUUAGUGGUAGGUAACACCAAUGUCGGCUGAAUGCAAGACCAUGGUUUAUCUUAUCAUACUUGGCACUUUGAAACUGAUGAAGAUCGUGCAAAUAUGCAUGUUGUUAAACUUAUUCCCUGUCUGAAUUUCCAGGAAUCUUUCUACUGCUGCCAUUAUGGAAAGGAUUCCAAGCAAGUGGCCGCGUCCUAUUUGGCAUUCCCCAUGGAAGAAUUACAGGGUAAGUUAGUUAUACUCUUCUGUUUGGUGCACUGUGUGGAUAGCUGUAUUGGUUUUGCUGUUGAUUCCUUUAUGGAAUAGCUAGUCUCUUUGACUCCAGCCACCAUCUGUUUUCCUUGUCCUGGUUAUCCUUGAAUGGGCAGUAUAAGUCUUGUUGACUGGCAUCUGUUUAGGUGUUGUUGAUAAUUAAUCAUGUUAUGAGCUUCACUUUUAAGUGGGAGAUCAACAUUCAAGCAUCAUGUCUCUCUAAGGGCCCUCUCUUGCCUUUUUCUGUCAUUUUGCCUGGUUUAUUUGUAUUUCAGUUGUGGAGAAAGAUUGUGCAUAGAGUAAUUUUGUUUAGUUUAUGGUAUGUAGCAUUUCAGUUACUGGUAUAUGGUGCCUUGUGGUACCAGUAAAGAUGGUUAUAGAAGAAUUUUGUUGUGACGUAAUGGAGAUUUGUCUACCCUUUGAGCCUUUUGUCUUUUAAUCUUUCACAGACGAAAAUCAACCUCGUGUUCCCAAUUUAAGUUUUAUUCUAUCAGUUGACUGAAGGCCAGAUUAGCAACAAUUUUUUAAAUGAAUGAGAUAUCAACCAAGUUUCAUUACCAGAGAAAACAGGAUCUGCAAUUUAGCUACCCAUGAUAUAUUCAUAUGACUUUGAACUUAGUUAUCUCCUUUAACAGAACAAAGACCAUUAGUGUACUUGUCUAGAUGAUUUGCUAAUUCUACUCUGGUGCGGGCAUAUGAUGUUUUUGUGUCUGGAGAAUAGGAAGCAAUCCAUUUACAAAAAUAAAGCAUGUGGAUACCUUCCCUUGCUUGGUCUGAUAGUAAAGAAAACAAGGAUACAUAUUGAGGUCUGGGGACUUGAUUUUUCAUUUUGUUUCUGAGAUAUGUCUUACAGCUUGAAUUAUUACUGAUGCUGCAGCAAAGUGAUUGUAUCAACUAUUGCUCUGACAUGCUGAGUUUGCAGGUCAUCAGUGGUCAUUUGGGAUGGGUACGAUCCAUUGCAGUUGAUCCAAGUAAUACUUGGUUUUGUACGGGAUCUGCAGAUCGGACAAUCAAGGUUAUGAAUUCAUCUUGAGAAGUUUGUCUUUUGAAGGAAAUUUGUUAGUCAGUGUAAGGAAGAGAGAUAAGAUUUCUAUAGCAAAAAUUCAAGGUUGUUAUCACAGGUCGCCGUUUAUUUAAAUAAUGUUUCACAGUUCCUGGGUAUCUGGGCUCUGGUAACUUAAACAACUGAUGUUUGUUUAACAUAUGUCUUUGAAGUUUGUAGCUUUUGUACCAAACAUUUCGCUGUUUCAAUUUCAAGAAUGUAUUGAACUGCUGAAUUCUUUGUGAUGAACUUAAUUUGUAAAAUUUCCAAGCCACUCUAAUUGAGGAAACAAAAGUUGUCUUAACUUUUGACAAUGUUGCUUCAAGAUGUUUAAUAUUUUAACAUAACACCAUUGUUCUUAAAGAAAAUAAUAGCAAUUGAAGAUAUCAACUUUUUCUUUGAUAUUAAAUAUGCUUGUGCAUCUAUUGCUGAGGCUUGCUUCCUUUUCUUUGUUAUUUUUAUUUUGUAAGAUAUGGGAUUUAGCGAGUGGAAGGCUGAAGCUCACACUAACAGGUCACAUUGAACAAAUAAGAGGUUUGUUUCUUAGCAGAUAUGUUGCUUUCUGGCAGUUACGUUCCUGCUGAAAAUUAUUGUUUACUAACUUGUAACAUACUGUACAAAGACAGGAAUUUUCGGACCACAAAAUUGGAAAUAAAGUUGAUGGUUAGUUGCAGAGUGCAGAAAUAUGAUAUUUAAUUUUUCCUUGCAGGCCUUGCUAUUAGUAACAGGCACACGUACAUGUUCUCUGCUGGGGAUGACAAACAAGUAAAAUGCUGGGACCUUGAACAAAACAAGGUUCGUAAGGGAGUAAAUAACACUAUGUAGCGUGGAGAACUUGUUAAGCAUGCUCUAAUAAUUCUUUUUGGGCUUUCCAGGUUAUUCGAUCUUAUCAUGGUCAUCUAAGUGGAGUUUAUUGCUUGGCUCUUCAUCCAACACUUGACAUCUUUAUGACAGGAGGUCGUGACUCUGUGUGUCGGGUAUGAAGUCCAUUUAGAGAUUCCUAGUUUAACAAGUUAUAUGCAGAUUGCUUAGCGGUCCUGAUAAUGACAUUGGUCAAUUAUUAAUCUGGAAAUUGUACUUUAUGGUAUAUUCUUUUAAAGUUUUUUUAAUCAUAUUCGUUUUUAGAUUGUCAAUGUGAAUGAAGCCCGCACCUGACUUAACCCCCCUAGGCCUCUAGACAUGACAUUUUAAAUUUUUUGCAGCUGUUAAGAGUUAAGACUGCUUCGUAAAAGUGCAUGUGGAUUUUCUUUUGGCUGGAUGUUAUGCAAAUUUAAUCAUUUUGUAUUGUUGAUUCAACAAUAUUUUCAGGUUUGGGAUGUUCGCACUAAGGCGCACAUUUAUGCACUUUCCGGACAUGAUAAUACUGUGUGCUCGGUUUUUACUCGAUCCACAGUAAGCAAUUCUAAUUUAUUCUGAAACUUAAUUCUGGAUGCAUGCUUUUCAGAAAAGAUCUUUUUAUGGUAUCUAAAUGGUUGGUUAAAGUGAUUGUGAUAUAUCUCCAAAAGAAAUUCUACAUAGGCACUUUUGAGGAUUUGGCUCUCUGCAAUAAGAACUAUGUUGAUAGACAUUAGUCAGGAGGUUGAGAAUGGAGAAUACAAAAUAUAUGGGAGAAUCUAAAAAUUUUGUUGGAAUCUUUAUGUUGACGAAAACCAGGACAUUUGAUAUCUUGCUAGGAUUUAUAUCUGUUAAUAUAUAUAUAUAUAUAUGUGGUAUAAGUAUUCUUUGUGGCACCUUUUUGUUAUUCUCAUACCAUAUCAGCAGUACGUGUUGGCUGCUCUAUUGAGCCAAGCCACAGAAUCAACAGCAUUGGUAGUGGUGGGUUUUCCUCCAGAUAACUUAUAACUUUCUUCGAGUAGAUUUUUAUUUGCCUGAGUGGCGCCUAGUCUGACUGUAAUCUUGUAGUAUGGGUACUUAUUAGUAAUCAAAAGGAAGUUUUUUGGUUCAGUUCAUAAGAUAUAUUGCUUAAUGCAUCCAUAGACCUCUGCAACUACAAUGGAUUCACAUGUGCAUAAUAAGAAUAACAUGCAUUUUGGUAUGUACUGAGAAUUUGAGAAGCAGUUGCAUUCUCUUGCUGGUUGAUGUGAAAGGAUGACACACUUCAUUGGUACAACAUUACAAACUUUCCUAGUUAAAGAAAUUAGAGGUGAAUGUAAGAGAUUGACAUGAAUGUUAGUUUUUGCUAGGAAAUGGAGGAAUUGAUGCCAUAUAGUUAAUAUGGGGUAACAACUUUGUUGCUUAAGAGAUUGGAAAAACUUAGAAUUGACAAAUUCACUCACAAAGAACUUGUAUUGUACAAUCCAAGUGAUCAACUGGACUCAAUACUGUGCCUUAUUGCCUAUUAAAAUUGUUAACUCCAACAUUUUUUUUUUGCUUAAACUUGAUGCAGAUUAUGUUGCUUUACCUUAACUGUGGUGAUAAUCUUAUGCUGUCUAAUCUCACCAUCAGACACCUAUUUUCAGGAUCCACAGGUUGUAACUGGUUCUCAUGACUCUACCAUAAAAUUUUGGGACCUUAGGAAUGGUAAUCUUUUUUGGAAUUAUAUGUUCCAUCAUUUUGUAAAUAUUCAGUACUUUCCUCCGGUUGCUAAUCACUCGUGUUUGGUAGGCAAGACAAUGGCAACUCUCACACACCAUAAGAAAUCUGUUCGUGCAAUGGCUCUUCAUCCAAAGGAGUAAGUAUCCAUUCCUUUUACCUGUACUGGGUAUGAUGGAAUGAUUGUCCGCAUUGCAUGUGCUUCAUUUCUUACAUAAAUUAAUCUUUCAUGUUACAGGGAAUCUUUUGCAUCUGCAUCUGCUGACAAUAUAAAGAAAUUCAACCUUCCUAGAGGAGAAUUUGUUCAUAAUAUGCUGUAAGUUUUGUUGGAAGCUAGUGUACCUUGCAUUUACUCUGUUCUUGUGAAUUUUUCCCUGCAGUAACAUUUAGGAGUAAUCACCUUGAUUUAAUAUGGUUUCUAUAGUGGUCCGUUACCCUUUUGAGCUAUAGCAAUAAAAUUCAAGUUGCUUUUGAGGUGUUUAUUUCCUUUACAUAGACUGCAAAUAUUCAUAAUAUUCAUAAUUACUCUAUCAGCAUCAGCUUGAAAAUAUUGUGGAUUCUUUCAAAAUAAAUAAAUAAAUAAAUAAAGUUCCUGAUGCAAAAUUAGACAUAAUGAAAGUGCAAAAAUGCCAUUCUGCUGUUUGAGUUGAUUGGACUGGAAAUGGAACCAGCAUACAGAUCUUAAUGAAAUUCAGAUUUAAUGAAGGUAGUUUUGCAGGUUUUGCCUAGUUGACUAAGCAUCAAAGGUUGGCCAGCAUUCCUACCUGUAUGAAGUGUUAGGACUCUAGUUGUUAUUUUAUGGACCAGCACAGAAGUUGUUGAUAACUCUUGCAUAGUUUAAUGCUUAAAAGAUUGAGAUAUUGGGUUCUUGUUGUGCAGCUCUCAGCAGAAAACCAUCAUCAAUGCUAUGGCAGUAAAUGAAGAGGGUAUAUUGGCUACAGCAGGUGAAGAUUAUCUGUAAUUAAACAAUUUUUCUAUCCAAUCCAUUCACCCAUGAUCAGAGUUUUUGAUGAUCUUACUAGUGAUUUUUCAAAUAUAUUUUUUGUAUAUUGGCUGCAGAAGUGGUAUAAUGUUGUUGGAAUAAAGCUAAUUUCAUGUGCACCACUUAUAAUUAACAAUUCCUUGUUGAGUUAGAGAAAGAAAAAAAACAAAGGAGGAAUAUGAUUUGAUGUUCUUCUGGAGUUGGAAAUAGAACAUGAAUCUGUGCUCAAGCUUCAUGUGCAAUCCCUUACAUAUUACGUGGAAUUAAAGAGCAAAUGAUAUUGUGGAAGUUUGUGGUUUCUUUCAUGGAAGGAUGUUCAUCAUGCUCAUGAUUUCUUUCAUUUACUACAGGUGAUAAUGGAAGUUUGUGGUUCUGGGACUGGAGAAGUGGUCACAAUUUCCAGCAAGCUCAAACUAUUGUUCAGCCUGGUACUUAUCUAGCAAAUUUUUGUUUGCUUACUGCUCUAUUUUGAUUUCUUGAGAAGAUGAAUGGUGAAGUUUUGGCAUCUAUUUGUCUCAGGAUCACUGGAGAGUGAGGCUGGCAUUUAUGCUCUGACCUAUGACAUGACUGGUUCGAGGCUUAUUACUUGCGAAGCAGAUAAGACCAUUAAGAUGUGGAAAGAGGAUGAAACUGCCACCCCUGAAACCUUUCCCCUUCAUUUCAAGCCACCUAAAGAUAUUCGCCGCUUUUAGUGGAACCUUGUAUCUUGUUUCAGUUGUAUAUGCCAUGAAAAUAUUUGGUAACAAAAUCGUCCCUUGUGCAUGCAGCUGUUGGUUGCCCUUUUAGUUAAAGAUGCUUUACAUUUGGACACGCAAUGGAGUGGCCAGAGAUGUAGCUUAGCAUGGGAAACAUCUGCCUUGAGGCGGCUAAAAAUGCCUCCCCGAGUUGGCUGCCGAAGCAUGUACCUAGAUUUUGAUAUCUAUGUGCUGUACAUUAUUUUAUUUUAUUUUGACGAGCAGAAUAGGUUAGUCCUUGGCUCAUUUGAAAGAUAAAGUUGGGUAGAUGGUGUAAAUCAACAAACAGAAUUUGCAAAUUUUAGCUAAACAGUUAUUGCAAAUUAUUAGAUUUCUCUACCUUUUUAGUUGCCCUAAUCUGGCCCCUAUUUGUGAUUGUAUCAUUUUUCAUUCUAACAUUUGAUACCUAGAAAUGCUCAACAGUUAUGGCGGGUGCUGUCAUUUGGAACCUGAGGUUUCCAUUGUUCGGGGAGGGAUGCCUAACCCUCUCGCCCGUGGGUCUUAUUGUUUUUUUUAUUUUUGGCCUGAUGGAGGAGUAUCCGGAUUAUUGGGUAAAUCGGGCCUGACUAAUCUCCCACUGGCUGGGGAGGAGAGGUCCCAUUCCUUCGAACACGAUAACCAUGAGACUCGAACCCUGAUGGGAUUGGACAACAGCUCCUAAGAAGGCGCGUUGUGACCAAUCGAGUUGUUCAUGAGGAGCGUCUAAGAAGGCGUGUUGUGACCAAUCGAGUUGUCCAUAAGGAGCGCCUGUGGGUCUUCUUGUAUAAGGAGGUGAAUUCUGUACUAAACUGUUCAACGCUACCUCUUACAAGUUGGGGAAUGCCCAUAAUAAACAUCUGCUGUCAUCCUUCCCUUCCCAAAUGCGACUGUAGACUUAAGUCCUUGAUUGGAUACGUUGCGAAAAUGGCAAGUGAAACCUGCAUGGGUAUCUUAGACGGAACCAACGUGGUACUUCCGCUUGAAGACUGGACUUCUAAGAUUAUAAUUGAACUUUGGAACCAACUUAGGAAUUUUGAUCAGGCAAAACCCCAAGAAAGUAAACUAUAAUCUGACGCUGCUUCACUGGAAUUGCGAGUCUAUGGCAUCUUCAUAUUACUUUAGAGAAGGUGUGAGAGAGAGAUAUGAGAAAUCUAUUUCCGUACUCAAAGAAACCAACCACUAUUCAGACAGGAGAGGAAAAUAUGUCGCAGAGGAAGGCUGCAAGGCAUAUCCGUAAAGGCGUGAACGAUCUCAGCACCUUGGACAUAAUAUCAGAAAAAAUUACCUUUACGACUAUAUCUUUUUUUUCGGAUAAUCCAGCUGAGGUCUGGGGAUCAAGUGAGGGGACAAGGAACUCAAGAGGGACAUCCCACUUUGGAAUUUAAACAAUUACCUAUAUGACUAUAUCUGUUUCUUGAUAGCCUGGCCGAGGUCUGGGCAUCAAGGAGCAAGGAGCUCAGGAGAGACAUCAUUCCACUUGCGACUACACUUUAGCAGAUCGAAAUGAUUCCUUGGUCCGGCCAUAAUAGACGGAUUUAGUUCCAGGAUAUGUAACAAAAUUCCAACCAAAUGCCGAACCUCCAACAAUAUACGUCCCUUCUGGUCGGCCAGCAGCUUCAGGUUGCUGCUUUUGGGAGGUGCCCCCAGAGGAAACAGUUUUAUUUUCAGCUUGCCUAGUAGAUGCCCUGUCACCAGGAGGCCUCUCUGGUAGUUUCACAUCACGCUGAUGGUCUUGUCCAUGUUGGACAUCAGCUGUUGGAGGCUGGCUCGCUGGAGGAUCUCUGAUCAUCUCUCUGUAAAGAUCUACCACAAUCUUCAUCUCUGUAAAUUAUUACACGUUACACAUCAGUCCAUUCAGGAAGCAUAUGUACCAGUACAAGGACGGACAACAGAGAUAUAAAAUUCUCUUUGCUAAGAUAGUAAAUAAUACAUGUCAAAACUUGGAUUCCUACUAGGCCAGAAGUUCCUUAAGUGUCACUAACUUUAAACCACGUUCAGAAUAAGUACCAUAUAGUUAACGAUACCAGAACAUUGCCUAUUCUCAUUUGCUCAAACUUCUUAUUUCUUAAAGCUGUAAAAGGUUUAUCAACGAAAAUGUUUAAAAUUGAAAGGUACUCAAGACCUAAACUAUUUGAUUAGCAACCAAAUGCUACCAUACAGAAGCAUCCCAGAUAAACUUCUUAAAACAGUUUUCCAGAGGAGAAACAAAAAACAAGUUUCAUCCUAAAUGAACAGACCAAACUGAAAAAAAUGACAAGUGCCCUAAAUAAAGAUAUUGGUUUUUAUCUUUUAAAGCUCAAGGUUAGGUUAAAUAUUACUCCUGCACAAUGAAUUUAGUUAAGGUAAUGAAAUCAUCGUCAGAUAGUCCAUGAACACAAUUGUAAGAAGAAAGAUAAGUGGAAACUUCAAACAACUGCAAUUUCAAGUGUUGCUCCUGCACAAGCAAGCAAGCAACAAAGUAGUCAUAAGUUUCACAAGGAGAUGGUCAAACCCACAUACAGAAGCAACCCAAAAGCCUGAGUUUUCAACAUUACAAAUGCCUAUAAAAUAAUUAAAAACUCUUGCAGUGAAUAUAAACAAAAUCGAGUCAGGACCUUAAAAAAAACAACAUUUGCAUGGUCAUAAUCAUUAUAGAACAGAAACUGGAGCAUAGGAACAAAAUUAUACCCAAUUUAGUCCAGAAAACACAUAGAUAAGCAACUAACUGUAUCCUCAACUACAAAAUAGACCAAACACUUUCCACAAAACUUACUUUCACGAAUUUCUUCAGCUGCCUUGCAGUUCUGGAAGUCAGGAGUUUUGAGAACCUUCAAGAGGUUAAAACAACCAUUCAGAAUAAAUUUAUUACCAUAUAUUCUUUUAUAUGAAUGUCCAAUGGAAAAAAUGUAAAUCCGAGUCCUUCAAAGGUUCGACGCAUUGACAUUCAAGUCCAAACAUGAUGCGUGAGUCCUCACGUAAUAGACGGGUUACUCAAAUUCAUGAAACCCCAGCUAUUUCUCUCCAAUAUCAUCACUUUAACAAACAUCAGAAGUAUUGAAUGACUAGAUGUCUAACCACAAGAAUAAGAAAAUAUUAGAUUAUGCAUGAAGGUAGAUGUUGUGCAUACUGUAUAAAAGCCAAGAAAUUUCCAUCUGUGUCUUUACUUAGACAACAGUUAUAAAAACAUAUCUAGCAAUCCAGGAGAAGAAAUGAUGCACCCUCGUCUUUUCCCAAGAUAAGGAGAAACUGGUCAAACUAGAAUAGGUCAUGGGCCAAUUCAAUCAUCUAAAUUAUUCACAAUAUACCAAGUUAGAAGACAUUUGUUUAUCUCGCCUCCUCAUGUCAUAUGCAAUUCCAAGGCUCAAAAAAUUACCGAGCAAGUGAAUUUUGAGAUGUUAUUAUUAUGGUCAAUGUCAAAGUAACAUGUGUGCCGGUCUAUUCUUGUCAUAACUCAUAACCAGUUUUGCCAAAAUUGUUCUACAAAAGAUUUGGUUCAAACCUAAAGAAAAUGACUUCUUACUCCCACAUCAGAUGUUAAAUUUUGGAGAACAGAUCAAGGGGAUAAGCAUCUGUAGUGAUUCAGAUUUUGUGUAAUCUCCAGUCAAAUUCUUCCUCAAUUGAAAUUGGAAGAAAAUGACAGCUUCAAGAUUGUUCAGACCUGACAUCGAAAUGAGCAACUUGCACUUCUCAACAAAAAGAAAAGAAGAAUUCCAUUGCCUGACAGAGUAGACUACCUAUGUCUUAACAUAGAUCGGUCAUACUUGUUGAAGUGAGUGUCACAUAUUGCCAGUUGAACGGGAAAUAAUGAGAAAAUACAAUUCUUAAUGUAUGGUGCUGUUGAAGUAUUUAGUUCAAAGGACUUCAUCACAAUUUAUGAAAGUGCACUAUGAUGUAUGACUCUCAGAUGCCACCCCUUCGCUCCCUUCCCUACCACCCACCCUACUCCCUGUACCCACAAAAAAAAAAUAAAAAUAAAUAUCAAGAACCAGAAAAGGAAAACCAAAAUAGCCCACCAUCAGUUCAAGAUUCCUCGGCCAUGCUGAACGAAAGUAAAGAUGAAAUUCAAUUUUACAUAUACACAUAGACAACCUCCUAGUCCAUAUGCCAACCAUUUCAAGCACGUGUUGAAAACUUAGGAGUGUUGACACAUUCAUAUCAUAACAAGUAGUAAAUGGUAUUGCGUCUAAAAGAAGACCCAACAAUAUUAAUAAAAAAAUUACUUAAAAUGCCAAGUUUACUAACACAAUUAGAUCCAAUAAUUGCAUAAGCUAUGCAUUCACUUAAUCAACUAAGUUGUGAUCAAUAAAAGAUCAACUGGAUGCAUAAUUACUUCACAAAAGAUACUGCAGUAAACGAAUAAACUUGCAUUUAUGCCAAUGUGAUAUAAUAAACUUUAAAGUAUGUAUACAAAAUUAACAUACUGAAAGCCAAACUAUCCAAUGCACCCUGUCAAGAACAUUGUCACAUCCUACUUUUCCUAAGCAUAAUAUCUUUGCAUCAUUGUCUUUGCCAUUUCUAUGUCCUCUGCCCAUUAAGAUUUUUGCAAACUAGUAUGCCCAAAAAAAGGGGGAAAAAUACAAAUUUCAGGACGAAAAGUAAUAAAUGGAGAGACAGAAAUAAACCCCCCAAACAGCAAGGCUUCCUAGGAAAUUCUCAUAAAGCUCAUUGAACAAUAACAUUCUCUACUUAAAACAAAAAGGCAUCGCUGUUAACAUCAUCAAGAACUACUCAUAUCAGAUUAGCUAAGCAAUCAAAGUAAACCAACCAUGAUGAAACAAAAAAAGAAACCCCAGACUCAGAGGUAUAACCAAAUUUAAAAGUAAAAAAUUGUGAAGGAUUAAUCAAGUCACGAGAAAAUAAAAUCUCCGUAAAGAGCAUAAAUCAAUCGAACCCAGAGAAACUUAUUACAAGAAAAGUUCAUAAUUGGAUUGAACUUUGCAUAAAGUACAAAUCUUUGUUGAAGAAAUUUGCUGGGUCAAGUUAGUACCUCAAUAAAAUGAGGACGAAGGUCUCUGACAAUGACCCGCAUUUUGUAGUAAGGGGAGUCCACCAAGCGGGCGAGAAUGUCGUCAUCAAGAGGCCUCUUUCUGGUACUAAUAUCUGAGGGAGGAGAAGCAGUUGGAGGAGCCACUGGUGGCUGCUGUGGAGGGAGGUUCUGAUGAUUUGGUGCAGUUUGGGCAGUUUCCAUGACUACUACUGUUGCCUCUUGAAGUUUUGCUGAUUUCUGAAUUUCACCGGUUAAAAUUGGUUCUUUUCUUCGCCGGCUAAUUUCUCCUUGUUUACUCCUGCUAGCUCUAUCAUGCAUAAGAGCCUCCGAUCUUAUCUUUGGCUCAUACUUCGUUUUUGCCCCUAAAUUUCUAGUUUCUUUUGUUACCGUCACUUCACAUUAAGUAGUCCCUCCAGCCCAUCUUAUAUGUCAUAACCAACUUUACACACAAUUUAUAAAAAUUGUAAAAUACAUGAAACACAUAUAGAAAACAUUGCCAUGAAGGGUUAAGAGAGAUUCUUCCUCCUUUGCUUAUAUAGGAUAUGCUUUGUACUAUUAGAUGUAACAUUUUAACACAAACUUUGUUAAUAUAUUAAUUAGUUUUGAAUUUUUAUAAUUCUCUUUCUAUUUUAUUGACUGUUUUCAUGAUUAAUCAUCACCCUUUUUUUUUUUUUUGUAUGUAAGCGCAGUUGUUAAAAACUAGAUAUAACAACCCAAAUGAGAUGAUCAUGCAUUAGUUUUCUAGUACCAAAAAGAAAAUAAAUGAUCUUUGCACAUCCAAAACCUUCAUUUCCAUUAGCUUUUGCUUAUAUAACUUAUGAUUGGUAAGUUUAAAAUGUAUUAUUAUUAUAUUCAAUUCAAAUCCAAAGAGUCUAAAUCCAGUUUUUAAAAAAAUAAUUAAUAAUAUUAAAACGAUCUAAGCUCUUAUAAACUUGCAUGUUUACAUCAACAAAUAGUUUUAAUAACUUAAUUUCAUCGAAACUUUUUUUUUGUUUAAUAAUAAGAAAAAAGCACAAAAAAGCAAAAAAAAAAAAAAAAGAAGUCAAUUGAAGUUUGCCUCAUAAAAAAAAAAGAAAUUUAUGUAGGUGAAAAAUAAUCCUUUUCAAGACUCUAGAUUUUGUGCAGGUACGAGAAUUCCUCUGUUGAUGUGAAAUGCUAACUGAGCAAUACUCCUGCUUUGAAAGUUCAGGUGGCAAAUUUGUAAACUACAAAACGAUUAAAGGAGUAGACUGCAAUUAAGUUUAAAGUAGAAGGUCCGGAUAAUUCCCCAUCAUUUCGUCGAAUGACUUCUUAGUACUAAUAUCACAGCAAAAGCAAGAAAAAUCCCAAGAAGAAACUCUUGUGUAGGAAUAGGAUUGCUUCCUACUAGAAGAUGAACCCGAACAGUGACAAGCUUGUCAGAAGGACAGCCAUGGUGGCCUCUGUAACUGCAUCUUAUUUCCUUCUCACUGCUGAUUAUGGCCCUGAACCUAAUGUUCUCGACCCAGUACGUCCUUUCCCAGAACUUAUUACUAUUAGGAUUCUUUAAAAAUUUUUCAUUUUGGCAUGCUAGAUGUCUUCUUUAUUUAUUUAUUUGUAAAGUUUUGGUCUUUUGGGUUUUGGGGUUUAUGCAUUAGGUUUUGCCUAGGUCUAUAUUACAUGAAUAGGCAUAUGAAAAUCUGAGUCAGUGUUAUUACCAUGUAAGUGGUGAUUGAGGGGCGUUAAUGGGCAUUCGUUUGUUUUUCAAUUAUACAGGAUUGUUGGACUAUGAGUUGAAGUUUUGAAUGGGGAUCAUGAAAAACUUGGAUUGAUGACUUUUUAACAAUUAGGACGAAUUUUCAGGGGAUUGGAUUGGAUUGCCUUUGAUUUUCAUGACUUAGUCGUGCUUAAUGCACGUGUUUUUGUUGCUAUAUAUGCUGGUUUUCUUAUUGCUUGAAGUUGGCUUUUAUUUUUAAUCUUUCGAAUCAAAAUAUAUUUCAUGCUAUCCCAUGCUCUGUUUGACAAAAAUUCUGUGGAUUGUGGUCUUGUGGCUUCUGCCAAUGUUAAUUAGGUGUAUGUAGCAGUUCCAAUGGAUUCAAGUGAGCUAGGAAGCAGUUCUUGCACAUUUUGAGCUGCCCAGAAUUUUUUUUUUUUUUUUUGGUGGGGGUGAAAUUCAGUACUUUGGCCAUUGUGAUAGCCCAUAAAUAGGUGGUUGGUAUUGCUUCCUGCCAAAGAUAUUGGAUGGGUGAACUGAUUAAUGUAUUUGCUCUUGACCAUUCUCAAUUUUUUCAUUGAAGUUAUGUGGAGUUCAUAAUGGUGAAAAUUUUUUUAUUUUUUGCCGUGAUCCAUACCUGUUGUUGCCAUAUGGUCAUCCAAUUUGUGUUUACAAGUGAUAAUAGUUAUCUCUACCCUGUGUCUCUGUGCGUGAUUGUCUGUGUCUUGGUCUUUGUGCAUGGAGCUUCUUGAAAUCACAAAUACGCUUCCAGUCUCCUACGGUAUUAUGAGUGCAUUAUGGAACUGUAGUUGCCGGAUAUUCACAAUUUGCAUAAGAUCUUGCUUUUCAAGAAUUUGCUAACAUACAUGAAAUCAUGCUUCCCUCUCCUUUUUGUGGUUGGAAUCUUCUCAUAUGCUGUGGAUUAUGUAAGCAGAUUCUUGGACUGCAUUUUUUUAAAAAAAUUAUUUUUGUUCAAAUAUGAGUUGUUAUUAUAUGAGAACCAUUUGAUUACUUAUGACGAAUUGAAUCUUUAUCACAAAAGUAAAAGGAAACUGGUAGAAAGUACGAAAGAAAUCUUGAUUUCGCAGUCGAUUGUACAUUGUUUACAUUAGUUAAAUCGUAUCAUUCCAAUACUAAUUCUGCCACUGGAUGACAGAUCAAGAAUGCAAUAUUGUCAGCAGAGCGUUCUGUGAAGGAGUUCAUCUUUGGACCAAGCAAGGGAAUUCAAGAAAAUGAAACCAAGAAAUUGGCCUCCAAUGCUGGAGAGAAACAUCCCUAGUUUGUUAUGUAUCAAAUCAAAAUCCAGCCUAUGUUUUUGAAGAUUUCUAUGGCAGAUAGCACUAAAAAAACAUGAAAGUUGAGCAGAGAUAAGCAAGCCUUCUUCACUUUGCUGGCUUAUCAAGCUGUAGACGUGACUAUUUUCAAUCAUGUACAUGUAGUAGAGAUAGUGUGUGUAGCAUAAGUGCUGAAACGCAAUUGGAAGCACAGAGACAUAAAAAGAGUAAAUGCGUUUGAGUUUGAAAUAUUUGCCAAUAUGAUCUCUCUUGCUGCAUAAAGCAUUGGAAAAUAAAGCUGUACGCCCCUUCUCAGAGCAGGAAUUAUCAGGCUGAACCAUUCUGAUUCCUUUGAUACUUUGAUGUAGAGAAUAGAGACGAAAAUUGCUGAAUUCCCAAUCAAACCUUUCUUUGUUCCCACCGGCGCAUUCUUUUAGCGACUUAGUUAUACAGUAGUUGUCGGAGGUUGGACUGAUACCUGACCUGAGCUUUUCACUUGGGCAAGUGAACUGAGAGAACCCUCCUGUUGCCUGUCAAUCUUCUUCUUGCUAAAGUGACCGAGUCAAUAUCUGAAUAUGCUGAAGUGUGCGGUGCUAUUUUGUUUCAACAACACUCUAAUCCAAAAAUGAUUUUAUUUAGUAUAAGAAGUUUGGAUGCGGAGCGAUGGAUGAUUAGACAUUGUUUGAAACUUUUGAGUUUUCUUAAAAUUAGUGUCUGCUUUAAUGUCAUUGUUAAAGCUAUUUAUAAGAAAGAAACUGCACUUUCUGCUGUGAUUUGUUUUUGUUGUUCUUUUUAAUAGCUUGAUGUUUUCUUGGGGUUUGGGUCACUGCUGGUUUUGAGGGCUGAUAUACAGAUACGAAAUGUGCGUAUUUGAGACUUCAGGGCGAAAUUCAUUUUCUGUAUGUCAUUGGUCCAGAAAUUUGGACCUUGGAGAAAAGGAUUUUCAUUUGUAUAUUUGUCAACAUGCUAUAGUUUGUAAUGCCAGUAAGUCAAAGAGUUACUUGAGAUAGGGAACAAGAUCUCAUAAGAUCUUGCAUGUUAAUGAAUGUCUAGGCUUGCGAAUUGUUUACACAAGCCACUAAUGUUUUUACAGUAUACCUUAGAAGAAAGAUCUGCUAAGUUGCCAGUUAUAGUAUAAGAUCUUGUCAUGAUAUAUAUAUAUUGGUGUAGAUAAGCUUUCAGCUUUCAGACAUCACUGCAACUGAUGUUAUGAAGUAUUUUUCAGUUGCAUAUUUUAAGCUUUAAGCUUUUGGACUUCUGUGCACCUGAUAUUACUAAUAAAGUCCUUUCCUGCUAUAGAUUGAUGGUUGUGUUGCACCAAGUACAACUUAUCAUUGAGUCGAGUAAAUCUGAUAAAAGGAAUCGUGGUUACAUGUUUACAUGCGCAAGAAUCUACUCAAUUCAAAGGAUCAAGAUAUAAUCAAAUGUUGAUACUCCAAAAUUUUGGUUUUUGGUUAUGUUUCACAUACCUUAGAGGCAAAUCACCAGAGAAAUUCACAAGUUCAUAUCAGUGCUUCUUGUAAGAAAUGGGGUCCAGAAGUGGACAUAUGAUGUUUGACAAUCUGAUAUAUUUGUGUAUUUCAUUCCAGAUGAAUUUCUGAUGUUAUAUUAUUUUUGCUGUUGUCAGGAGCAACAUUAUCUGUGAUAACAAACAUAUGCUUGUUGGACUUUCUGAUGGAUCAUUGUAUAAUAUAUCAUGGAAGGGAGAGGUAAUGUGAAUGUAGCAGUUCCUCCAAGUCUUUCAAAUGCACAUUGAAGAAGCAUCUUUGUAGCUUAGGUGCUGAAUUCAUUUUUUAGCACCAUUAUAAAAUGCUGUGUCUAUUCCCUUUCUACUUGCUUAACAUGAUUUUAAUGGAGAUUGGAAAGCAUCCAGAAACCCGCAUCUCCCUCUCAAAAAGGUUCAACCAGGUUAUCAUUUAACUUAUUCUGUGAUGCAGUUCUGUGGGGUUGUUGAUCUUGACAUUCCAUUCUCUGAUGGAAGUGGAGCUGAUAAAUUGUCUCAUUCUUUGGACAAUGGUCUUCCUUCUAAUGGAGCACGAGGUGUUUCUCUGCCCAUGAAUUAUAUGAGGAAGAAGUCUGCUAUUGUGCACAUGGAGUUUUCCUUCUCACUGAGGUUACUGUUUUUGCUCUUUUGUGAUGGACAACUUGUGUCAUGUUCUGUAAGUAAGAAAGGAUUAAAGCAAGCUGAUUUAAUUAAAGUCGAAAAGAAGCUGGCAUCUGGUGAUGCUGUAUGUGCCUCAGUUGCUUCAGAGCAACAAAUUCUUGCUGUGGGUACAAAAAGGGGAGUUGUUGAGUUGUAUGACCUCACAGAUUCUGCUUCCCUUAUUCGUGCUGUUUCUUUAUAUGACUGGGGGUAAGUGGCUUUACAUUUCCAUGGAUAUUUGGGCAUAUGACCUAGUUGUUUGAUGAUACUUCCUUGUUAUUAGGCCAGUGCUUCUUUACUAAAUGUCUCUGAAAGUGGCAUUAAUCUCUAGCCAGUCUGUACAGCUUCCUGCUUUAUUCAACUUUGUUUCUAUAAGCUAAGGAAAUUAUCACUUUUGACCCUUGUGUCAAAAAAUCAUUAGUAGCUUCUAGCCUGCUACUAUUUUACUGCAUUAUUUUUAUGGGUAACUUUGCUGCUCUUCACUUGCAAAUUGUUGGAUCUACAAAGUUUUCAUUAAGACAGUGGUACAAAUAGCUGACUGGAGAUUCAGAUAAUAUUAUUUCCAUAUUCCAAAGUGCAAUCUUUGAGAAGCAAAAUGAGAUAGACUGUUUUAAGUUUAUAUGAUCCGGUGAGAUAAAACUAGUUACUAUGAUUCUAAAGCUGCAGAUGUAUGUUAAGACUCAAAGUAGGCUCUCUGUGCUUUUGCAAUCUGUUUAUCAACCACUUGCAAGGAAAAAGAUAUUUCUACAGAUAACACAAGGUUUAACAACUGAAAUCUCACCAUGUUUUUUGAAACUCUGAAAAUAUUUGCCCAUAUAGUUGUUGAAUGAGAAAAGUUUGGGAGGUUCUUGUAUCGUUUCAAAUCUGAAUACAGAACUAUAGUUCUUAUAUUUUCUUAAACUGUGCUUGUCCCGCUGGUGUGGGAAUUAGGGAAAUUUACGCAUUAGUUCGUCAUUUGAAGUGCUCCAAUGAAUUAAAUUUUCCUGAUCGUGAAGCAUUAGGCACACUAGGUUCAUGUUUCCUUCUUUCUAUUUUUACCUUUUUUUUCCUUUGGGCAGAUAUUGCGCAGAUGAUACUGGACCUGUCAGCUGUAUUGCCUGGACUCCUGAUAAUUCUGGCUUUUGCAGUUGGGUGGAAAUUAAGAGGGCUUACAGUUUGGUCUGUUUCUGGAUGUCGGUUGAUGUCAACAAUUCGUCAAAUUGGUUUGAGCUCAGUGUCUUCUCCAGUUAUUAAGCCAAACCAGGAUUGUAAAUAUGAGCCUAUGAUUGGUGGCACCUCACAAAUGCACUGGGAUGAGUAUGGAUAUCGGCUUUAUGGCUAUUGAGGAAAGAUCUUCAGAAAGAAUUAUCGCAUUUCCUUUUGGCAAAUGUUGUCUGACAAACCUGUCCAAGUUAUUUAUGGGGAAGAUCGGCUGCUUAUUGUCCAGUCUGAAGAUACUGACGAACUUAAAAUCCUUCAUCUUAAACUUCCAGUUAUGUGCUAAAACUAGGUCAUGAAUAAGAAUUUAUUUUUAUGCUUAUUAAAGAAGGUUAUUACUGAUAUAUCUUUGUCCAUGUCAGGUUCUUAUAUGGCGCAAAAUUGGCCUCUUUUACAUGUGGCUGCUAGCAAGGAUGGGAUGUACUUAGCAGUUGCUGGACUUCAUGGGUUAAUUUUAUAUGACAUACAUAACGACUAAAGCGGUGGCGAGUGUUUGGAGAUAUUACUCAGGAACAGAAGAUCCAGUGCAGAGGCUUGUUAUGGCUAGGGAAAAUUGUUGUGGUCUGCAACUACACAGAUUCUCCAACACGUAAGUGAACAAUGCACAUAUUGCUGUGAUUUGAAACUAUGGGCAUGCUCAGAUAUUUUUGAAGAAGCAGUGUAUGAUAAUAGAAGUUGAUUGGAGUGGAGAGAAAAUAAGAUGUGCACAUGAUUUUUAUCAACUGGAUAAAGCAAAUGAAAGAGUUCUUUGGAACUUAAUUUUGUGGAUCUUAAAAUGGCUGAGCAAAGCCAAAAUGAUUACAAUAGGAACCAAUGAUAUUUGUCAUAUUGUAAAAGGUCUAACAAAACCCAGUUUUUUACAUUCAGGUUAUAGUAUUUCCAUAUUUUAUGGUCUCAUGUUGGGUAAAAAAAUCAUUGCUCGUAGAACCCCAACUUCAAAAUUUUUCUAUCUUCAAUGUUUUCUGGUUUCUUGCUUAUGCAUUUCUCACUGCUGAAUGGCAAGAUAUGAAUUGCUUUUCUACCCAAGAUAUCACCUUGAUCAAAGUUCGUUACUUUGUCGGAAGCCAUUGCUUGCAAAGCCAAUGGUCAUGGAUGUCUACCAAGAUUAUCUACUUGUUACCUAUCGCCCCUUUGAUGUCCAUAUAUACCAUGUUAACCUGUCUGGAGAGUUGACACCUUCUAGUACCCCAGAUUUACAGGUAAUACUUGUUUCAAGAUAAAUUCUGUAGAUAAUCUUGCUUCUAAGUUGAUAUGAAACAUUUAAAAUUUUAAUGCAUGUGAGUCAAUUACAAAUUGCUUGUUAAGUGAAGGUAUCACUGUAAACAAUUAUUCUUACUUGCGCGUUUUUAAGUGAUAAAAUGACAAACAGCUUUCUACAGUACGUGAACUCUCAAUUAUGACUGCAAAGAGGCCAUCCUGCUGGCAAUGCGUUUUUAUCCCAGAUCAACAUCCUAUAGAUUAUGUUUUGAGGAAGGAUUCCUCUUCAUCAGACCACUUGGCCAGAGAACCUGCUAGGUAUGUGCAUAGAUUUUGAAGUUACUUGCUGCAUUUGCAAGUUUUCAAGUGAUGGUGAUUUUAAUCUGUACGUUUAGAUGCUUGAUAUUGAGAACAAAUGGCGAGCUUUCCUUGCUCGAUUUGGAUGAAGGGCGGGAAAGAGAACUCACUGACUCUGUGGAGUUGUUUUGGGUUACCUGUGGUCAGUCAGAGGAGAAAACAAAUUUAAUUGAAGAAGUUUCAUGGUUAGAUUAUGGCCACCGUGGAAUGCAAGGUAAAAACUUUUUGUCGCACUUGAGUAUUUACUGUACUUGUGUUUUUUCAGUUUACAUGUCUCAUGGGUGCUAAAUGCUGCAGGUUUGGUAUCCUUCUCCUGGUGUGGACCCUUUUAAGCAGGAAGAUUUUUUGCAGGUAGUAUGACCCAUUUGAUUACUGUUGCCUAUGAGGCAUAUGUUUUUAUUCUGUCAUUUUUUUCCUGUGAAGGGCCUGUAUUUUGAUUGUCUAUAUAGUUGAAUAGCUUUUCAUUUGAUUUAAAGGCAACUGAUUGGGCUCCACGCCACAUAAGUCCAAAGAUUAGGUGUUCAACAAUAUAUGAUCUAGCAGUCUGUGAUGUAAAAUUCUCUAUAUUGAUAACUUGUAGAAACUUGUAACCAUGCAGCUAUUGAUGAUUUUAUCGUUUUUGGCUAAGGUGUCUAUCUUAAUAAUAUUGAGGUUGCUGGUUUAUAGAAGCUGGAGGCAGGCAAAGAAUGCUGGAACUUGGAUAUUUUCCUCAUAGAACUUAAGUGUUAAGAGAGGCGGUUUGGAAGGAGUCUUUGGCCAUAUCUUUUAAGAUUAAAGGCAGCAUAAUAUUGAGGAACGCCAAAGACUAUUGAACUUGUACAUUAUUGCACACCAAAACCUUGCAAUUGGCACUUUAAUUUUUUUUAUUAUGUAGGAAUUUUAAGAGACCACAUCGUUCAAGAGGUUCCAUCUAAAAAAGUUUUGAUCAAUCUGAACGAGAUCUGUAUAUCUUUAGUAUUUUCCAUCUACUAUCAUCUGGAACUUCCGCCUAAGUAUCUAAAAUUUCUUGGUCAAGUGUCAUAUAUACAGUAGUUUUCUAUUAGUUGACUUAUUUUAGCCUUAUGUUAUCCUCUGGCUCUGAUCUUUUUUCGUAUUAAGAUAAUGAUAUCCUAUGACUAUCCACAUGGCAUGGUUCUGGUUCAUGUGAAUCUUGUUUUACUGUUUCUUCAAUGAUAUUGGGAACUUUGGUUAUGGUCUAUUUGGUUUGCAGGUCAGCUAUUUUAAGUAUUCAAAACAUACUAGUAUUUGGGAACAUGAAUUGUUUCUAGACAUGUAGACCUACUACUAAAAGAUUUGUUUGUCAUGCCUCAGGGUUGUAGUGUCUUGUAUAUUUGCUCUUAUUGAUGUUAUUUAUCUGAAUAAUGUUUUGUGGAAUCCUCAGUUGGACCCAGAGUUGGAAUUUGACCGUGAGGUAUAUCCUCUUGGUCUACUUCCCAAUGCUGGAGUUGUAGUUGGUGUAUCCCAGAGAAUGUCUUUUUCAGCAUGCACGAGUUCCCAUGUUUUGAACCAUCUCCUCAAGCUCAAACCAUUUUGCAUUGCCUACUUCGGCAUCUUCUUCAGGUACAACUUGCAUUUUCUUACAUAUGACAUUCUGCAUUUCCACUGACAGCUGGUUCCAAUAUGGGAUAGAGAAAGAGGAUUGUGUGUUUGGUAGCUAGGAUGAUAAUCACAAAACUCUUGUUUAACACAAAUCUUUCUAGAGCAGGAUAUGUGAAGAGGAUUGGUGGAAUGUUAAAAUUGAAGUCAAUUUGCAGUAAUUAUGAAAUUGGUCUUGCAAUAAGUAUGUCACUCAUGAUUAUAUAGAAUAGAAAAAAAUAAAUAUCAUGUAUGGGUGACAAAUAACAGCUGGAGCUGGUUUAAAUUGCUACAGUCUUAGUCAGCAGAAUGUCUUUUGGAAUGCUGGCCAUUUUUGGAAUCUUAAACAAGGACAAAGAAACUCUAGAAUUUUAUCUUUGUCUACACAGAUUGCUGUACUUAUGAAUUGUUUUUUUGAAUUUAGUGAUCCAGACUGUAGCUGGAUGCAUAUAAUUGCAUUCCUUGAGGUUUUCGUGGUGUAUAUAUUUCUUUAUUGAGUUUUGCUUGUAAUUUGUUUGAUUUCUUCCUUUUCAUCAGAGGAACAAGAGUGAAGAAGCUUUACGUUUGGCGCAAUUGUCAGCAGAGAAGCCACAUUUUUCUCAUUGCCUUGAAUGGCUUCUUUUUACAGUAUUUGAUGCGGAAAUAUCCAGGUAAAUUGAGUAGAAACCUCAGUGGUUCAGUCUUUUUCAGUUCUCAAAAUUUUGACUGAGAAAAAUCUUGCCUUUUUGUUCCUUCUAUUCUGUGCCUAUCCCAAAAUGGUCUGUUUACCUUUUUGUUUAACUGGUCUUCUUUGGUAAGGCUACCUUAUGGUUAAUUAAAAAGUUUGAUGGUCUUCCUUUGGUAAGGCUAGCUGAUAGUUUUUUAACUUCGGUAUCUCAAUCUUAGAUAUAAUUCCAAUUGGUCAGACAGCUUCAUGAGAUUAAGUUAGGCAUCUUUUUUAAUGAGGAGCAAGUGAUAAAUUUGAUAUCGAGUCAAUAAUUUCACUUUUUGUAUUUUAAUCAGUUUGGAUUAUUCAGUCUAAAUGAGAAAGAUAAUAUUCUUCUCUAUGCCCUUGGAUGUCAUAUAUAUCUUGGUUGUAUUAUUUCUGGCUAGUCUCUGAAAACUUCUUGUUUUAAUGUUCUGUAGGCAAGCCAGCAAAAACCACACACCUGUUCCUAAUCAUGCUUCUACCUCCUCUCUUUUGGAGAAGACCUGCGAUCUCAUAAAGAACUUUCCAGAAUAUUUUGAUGUGGUUGUUAGUGUUGCUAGAAAAACUGAUGGCCGACAUUGGGCAGAUUUAUUCUCAGCUGCUGGGAGAUCACAGAGUAUGUAUCUGACUUUGUCUUUAUAACAUGCACUUUACAGCAAAGACUGCGUAAAAGGAUGGAGAAAAGAAUUUUUUUUUUUUCACUUUAAAUCAAAACUGGCCAAAUUACAAGGCUCCUGGUUAAUGACAAAGUGGCUUUUUAUCUGUUAGGUUAUUUGAGGAAUGCUUUCAGCGCAGAUGGUAUCGUACUGCAGCUUGCUAUAUUCUUGUGAGUGCCACUUGCAAUUACCCUGAAAAUUCCUGAGAUCCUCUCUGUAACAGUUUUCAGAUAUUAGCAAAUCCAAAGUUUCGGCUUCUGCUUCAUGUGUGCAAACAUUAUGCAAUGAAGAUUUUUUUUUUUUUUAAAUUUGGUGAACCCAACAUCAAAUAAUAUCGAUAGAUGUCUUGUCUAGUAAGUCAGCGACUAUCUAUGGUUGGUAAAAAGGUUCGUCUUCUGCUUGAAUAGGGCCAAUAAAUAGAUUUGACCUUCAUAGGUUUUAAAAAGACUUUCUUAUAUGGUGUUGACCGUGUGAUUGCUUGCACUUAUUCUGUAAAUCAACUAGACACACUGAGUUUUUCCUUAGGAGAUUAACUGUAUAUGCUGCAUGGAAAUGGUAACAAUGUCUAAUUUUAUUGCUGCCUAUUCUAUCAGGUUAUCGCUAAACUUGAAGGUCCUGCUGUCAGCCAGUACUGUGCGUUGCGUCUAUUGCAGGUUACCUUCUGAUGCUUUCAGUUUUGUUUCCCAUGAAGUAAAGGCUCACAUGGGCUAACUCUAUAUGUUCAUAUCUUGUCAAAUAUCAAAUGAAGAAAUUAUUCAAGAAACUACGAAACAUCUGCACUCAUUAGACUCUUCCCUGGUCAUCCAAAAGCAAAUGCGACUUAUACUUGUCAGAUAGAUUCUUUGUUGUGUCCUUCUAACCCAAAGGUUUCUUUGGUAUCUUGGUUAUGUUAGUUUUCUUUCAAGUUUUGUGAGUUUUAAUUACUAUAUAAAAUUCAUCUGAUUUUCUGCAGGCAACACUCGAUGAAUCUUUGUACGAACUUGCUGGGGAGCUGGUAAGAGUUUUAUCGAAUAGACAUCUCUUUGUAUGAACUUGAUGAAUCUUUUAUAUACAUUUUGCGACUAGCUUAACAGACAACUUGUUUUCUUAUCAGGUUAGGUUUCUCCUUAGAUCAGGGAGGGAAUAUGAACCUGCUAGCCGGGUACAGAGAAACUCUCGCCUAGAUUCUUGGGUUACUUCCUUUUCCCAUCUAGUCAACGGCGGCAGCAUUUGGAGUCAAAGAGGUAAAAGGCAGCCUUUAGUAUUUUGUUUAACAGCAAUUGUAUCUGUUUAUGUUUUCCCUGCAUUAACUAACUAUUCUAUUACUUCGUCCUCUCUAAACAUGAUGGAGCAGCUCAUUUAAAGAGCAGAGUGCUCAUGUUGCUUCUGUUAAGAACAUUUUAGAAAGCCAUGCUAGCUACCUAAUGUCUGGGAAAGAGCUUUCAAAGCUUGUUGCAUUCAUCAAAGGCACACAGUUUGACCUAGUGGUGAGAGGAUAUUAAUAUUUCAUUCACAAUGCAACAUGUGCCACUGUUGGUUGUAUUACAAUUCAUGUAACAAAAAAAUAUAUUUCAGGAAUUUCUUCAACGAGAAAGAUACGGGUGUGCUCGCUUAGAAAAUUUUGCUUCAGGGCUUGAAUUAAUUGGGCAGAAGGUACAAAUAGCCAUGGAUAUUCUUGUGCUUUAUUUAAUUAAUUUUUUUUUGUUUGUAUUUUGACUCUUUGUGGCGUAUUUGGUGGUCUAUUCAUCUUUUCUUCAUUACAUAAUUAAGAUAAUCAUAUAGCUCAUUGCCUUGUUCUACUUAAAUCCUCCAAUUUCGUUUGCACACACUUCCAGCUCUCAUAGUGAAAAACCUCCAGCUGGAAAAAAGUUUCUUAUUUUAUUGGUGUGGUCUUCUUCUGUUUGUGUAAGUUUCAUACUAAUUGCUGCUUCACUUUAGUGGCAUUUCAGUAGUGCCCUUUUUUCUGGUGUUCUUUCCCCUGAAAGUGUCGUGCUUAUGUUGCAAAAUUUUAUAUGCCUUGCUGUCUUAAGUAGUGCAUUGAAAGAAAAAGAUUAAAAUUUGGCAAUAUUUUGUUCCUUUCGUAAGAACAUAUUGGCAUCCGUUUUUCUGCUUUUGCUUGAACCAUAUUACUGCUCAGCAUAUUGCACUUUGACAUCUAUUUGCAAGUUUUGUCAAUUAGUCCUAAUUGAAUGCCUCAUUUGAAGUCUUGUUACACAUCAAUAAUAUUUAAGAAUUCUUUGAAGCAAAGAGCAAUAGUUCCUUUCCCGCUGCCCUGGGAAGAAAAGUUCGUUUUUUAUUUGCUUCAGGUUCAUUUUUUCUUUUUCCUUUUUGCUUCUUCUGAUUCAGUCGUCAUUUUUGCCAGCUUCAAAUGGGAACAUUACAGAGCCGGUUGGAUGCAGAAUUCCUUUUGGCACAUAUGUGCUCCGUAAAGUUCAAAGAGUGGAUUGUAGUCUUGGCUACACUUUUGAGGCGAUCCGAGGUUUACUAAACAUAAUCAAUGCAUGUGUUUGAGAAUUUAUCCUGUUCUGCAUGUCUGCUAAUGUGACAAUUAAUUGGUUGCUUUAGUCAGUGCAUUUUCAGUUAACAAGUACGAGACAGUUCAAGAUGUUAAUUUUCUUUAGAUUUAAUUUUCCUUAUUAAAUUUCACAAAGAUUGUAUCAUGCAGUACAUUUCUAACCGUUAUUUUCUGUAAUUUCUCUCUAAUUCAAACAAAACAAUCACUUUAGAGUGAAUAAUUGUUUAUAGAUACUCCAGUGCAAUAGUUGGGUAAAUUGUUACUGUUUUUUUUUUUUUUGGUGAUUCACGUUUGGCACUUAGAAGAUCACUUCAAGUUCUCUUAAAUAGGGAUAAUCUAGUGAUUUUAAUCACUUGAGGAAGAUAAGAAAAGAAAUUAUCUAGUUAGUAUCAAAGGCUGCAGCAGCCAGAUUGUUAAUUGUUUUGAAUUAAUUACCUUUGACAUUUACUCAGGUUCUCUUUGAUUUGUUCCGCCAUGAUCUGCGGUUGUGGAAAGCUUAUAGCAUAACCCUACAGGUAUCUGAGUCAUUCCUUUACAGAUGUAAACGUUUGUUACACUCUUAGUUUCUUUUGGCUAUAUCUCACGUGCCUCAGCAUCGGUUUUUCAUUUUCAUUUCAGUCGCAUCCUGUAUUUUCUGAAUACCAUGAUUUGGUUGAAGCCUUGGAAGAAAGGCUUUCAUCUGGUUCAUAUUCUUCUAGUACAACUUCAGAUGAGAAAUGAGCUCUUUGGAUGCUUCGAAACCUUUUGCAACUGGUCAACCAUGUUGCUUCAAAUGAUGCAAGUGCAUGUGGCACUGCCUUCGAGUAAAACCUUGUUGGCCAGAAAGUGACUGCCACCACCUACAAAUGAAAUGCCUUGUAUCGUGCUAUUGAGCUGUGUAAUGAGCAUCGUCAUGGUGAUGGAAUGAGACUGCGUCUCUCGAAAGUCAUUGUAAGUUUUACUUGUAAAUAAGCGAUACCAGGGUAGUAAAUUAGCUCUUAGCAUUUUCCUUUCUUCAGAGCUUGUAUCAUUCUUCCCUGUGCUGGCUUUUGUGGCUUUCUAUUUUUUGAGGUUUUGAAGGGGGGUGGAAGGGGGGGGGCGGUGCGGGGGUUCUGCGGCAACCAUUUUGGGUAAAGAGAGACAGAGAGUGGUUGUUUUGUAGGGGGAAACUGAUUGCUGAAUAAUUAUGAUAUGAUGAUUUUUCAAUACAUUUUGAUUUCGUGCCAUACCACGCUUUAUGAACUUGUUUAUCACAUGAAAGAAGUUCAUGACUUUCUUUCCGGCAGCCUAUGUUACCCAACCUAAAUGAAUUCUAUGUAUCAAUCUGGAAGUCAAAGAGUACCAAGUAGUAUCAGGAGUUUCUGGUAGUUAAACGAUUGUCCCUGAAUCCUAACCCAAUCUUAUGGUUCUGUGGCACAUUUUUUGUUGAUUUCUGAGCCUAUGUUAACGAGUGAACUAUCUACUCAAAAACUGUGGUACUCGCACAAAUUACGUAGUAUUGAUGCUUUGUCGUGUACUGUCGCGCUUAUCAUUUGGUCUUCGCAAUUUUUGUUUCCCUUUCGAAAGACACAAGGCUUUUUGCAUAAUUUCCUUCUCUUUUGUAGGAAGAAUGUAUAACCUUUUAAUUCAUACGGUUCUGGGUUUUAUCUAUAAAUUUUACUUAGCCAGCUUCUGAAGACGAACUUUGAAUGCCAGUCAUGAAUUCUCCAUUAGAUAUUGUGCUUGACGGUGGAAGAAUUAAACCUGGAGUAAAAUAUUUGAUCUUUUUAUAAGAUGAUAAACAAGGAGACUGCAUCUCUGAAAUCCAGGCCGCUCUGAGUCGGCGGGCAUCCAUACUUCUUCAACAUCGAACUUAGUAACGUCUAUAUGGUACUUAGCUUUCGACCAGAAAAUUGGGGUUGGGGGAAUACAACGAUCAACACUAAUAACGAUGACAUAGAAUUACUAGCUAUACACCCAAACACGUAUUUGAUAGGUCCUGGCUCAUCUUAGAUUACUAUUCAGCUUUUACAUACAUGCAUCUGGUACCAAUCCGAGGAUCAGGUAAUCACCAACUGAAGCUGAUUGAUUCAAAGUGAAGGUUUUCUGCUAAACCGGAUGAGCAAAUGGCGGCUACAUCAUGCCUCAUCUGCUUAGGGCCGCACACGAGAGCUCCAACGCUUGAUCCCUUACUCUGCAGCAAAAUUCCUGCAAGAACGCUUCCGUCAUACAAUGAUAAAUCAAACCCAAAACGAGUGUUCGCCAAUCAUGGGAGUUAAAAGAUUUGCUUACGCUUGAGGUCGGGUCUUGCUCCAUAGUGCACCUUCAUAGAUUUGACGAGAGAUUGAUGGGGAAGACUCUCUAAUUCUCUAUCAGCAGCAUCAUGCAUGGAGCCGGAUGAUCCUCCUGUUGUUGAAUCUUCCAAAUCCUGGAUCUGUUUGGUUUCCUUGACAUUUUGGUUCUUGUUCCACAGAAAAGCAGCAGUGGCCGUGAUCGCGAUUGAGAAGCAUAUGAUGAGUGUAGUUAGCACGGUCCUUCGAGUCAUCAGGUUGACCUUGUUAGUGUUGUGAUCGAUGGGGUAAAUGUAGUAGCGAGUAAUGAUACCCAAAAUGAGAAGGAAAAUGACGAAAAGGAUGAGAUGAUUGCGGCGAGCCAAAGCCAACUAUUUUUGCCCAAGUUGGGAGAUAUGGGAGAAUCUGAUGGCAGUGGCCUGAAGCGAAUGAUCCGGGAAGGUUCCGCUUUCUCCAGCGGUUGCACCUUUUCUCUGGUUACAUAAGCCUCUAUUUGUAGGUCCAAAUUGCAGGAUCCUGCGGAAGCACCAGAAACUGGAAGGAGAAGGUCCAGCAUGGAGAGAUGCGAGGAGUUCCUGAAUGUGCUGAUCAGCAGUAGCUUGGGAGUCUUGCAUUUUCGUGCUGAGCUCAUAAACAUCAAAUCUCUGAUGAUAGAGAUGAAAGGUGUGAUUCCACUUCCUCCGCUGGCCAUCACAAGCAUGUCAUGCCUGCAUUAAAAGGGUUUUACCAGUUCACAAAAACGCUCGCGGUGCAACUCUAUAGUUAUUCUGAUUACUACUAAAACACCGAUUGGACUGGACAGAAAAACCUGAGAAAGUGAGUUGUUGGAGGUCCAUAGGGUCCUUCAAUAGAAGCUUGAAGACGAUCAACAGAAGAGGGCGAUGAAAUCAGGUCGUAAAGCUUCUUAGUCCAACUCCCUUCACAUUUAAUCACCACACUGAGCGUGUCUGGUUCCAAAUGACUGUUGGAAGUAACGGUGAACGGAUGCCACUGCAGCUUAGAAAUGAUGGGGAUAUUCACGAACAUAGUGCUUGUUGGAGUGUAGUUCAAAGCUGUAUCGACAAUUUGAUGAUAGUAUCGGGAGUACACAUUUAAUCAGAGUAUUUGACAAACAUAUAAUGGUAAGAGAAAUGGUGAAAAACUUUAUUUACCUCGGCUUUUGGAGAAGUUGAGCUCGACAGUUUCACAGGGUAGAACACGAGCAGAAACCAGACGGACCUUUUGUCUUGAUUGUAAGAACCUCAGGAAUCGAUCGAUCACGAAGAGGUACAUCCCAGGAAGCAUAAUGCAGAUGAAAAAAAGGCCCUUGUGAAGAAUGUAGAAAAUGAUGAAGAGGAUGUAGAGGUUGUGAGUGUAGUAGAAGACUUCAAACAUGCGUCGUCUGAUGCUUGGGAAAGUUGUGCUCCACAUCACUAAUCCAGACAGCAGGCAUAGCUCUCCUGCUAUGUUGUUUACAUAGGUUUGAUCCCACAUCUCAUCCCAUUUCAGCGCCUGCAAAUUAAGAACAACAAUGUUGCAAAAUUUAUGAAUACCUUGUCAAAACAAAUGGUAAUGUAAUCACCUAUCUGCUUCUUCUUCUUCUUCUUCUUUUUUCCUCAAAAAAUUUUUUGACAAUAUCAUUGGCUUCCUUCAUUGGCCAUUGGAAUUCGACAAAUGAUCUUGAAUUUAACUUUAACCAUGCAACUGGGAAGGGAUGACGGUGGCAUGACAUGUUUCUCACGUAAAAAAAAAAAUGACGUUCAAUUUGUCUUUGUUUUCAAUAUAAGGAUAUUGCUGGAUGCUGCCUGUCGCUGUCCAUGGAGCAAUUGUCGAUGACGGCAGGAAUUUCUGUCUCUAAUAAUAAAAUGUCUCUAAUAUUAAAUUUGAUUUGAUUCAGGCAUAAGUAGCUAGAUUGAUUGACUUAUGAUCACCACUUCAGCAUUAAAAAUGGUCCCGGGUUCCAGAAGCCAAUGAUCGAUCAACAAGAAUAUGACCUCGCACUUCUUCAAAGCACCUCUGUCCUUUUGUGAUGGUGCCAACCACCAGAAAGUGGAAAAAGCCUCUUCCUUUUUUAUUUUUUCUGUUUUUCUUGAGGCCAAUGUGCACCCUUUUCUUCUAUUGCACAAUAGCCACUCAGCGGACUAAGCAAGAUUAUGAUCCUGCAGGUGGGCUCAAUUACGAGUAGAAAUUUUGCAUGCACUGCAGGUGGGUAGCCAUGAAAAACCAUAGAUACUGCUCUCUGAAUGUUGUUGGAAAUCGAAAGAGAAUGACAACUAAAACACUGUUUCAUUUCUUUCCUUCACAAAUUAAUUGACACUCCGUGGGCAGCGUACUACAUGUAAGAGUACUCUUGUAAUUAGAGGUUUCCAUAGAAAUCAAUCUUAAUCGUAACGUGUUUGGAUUGCUAUUUUUAGGAGUUUUUGUAGAAAAAUAAUAUAUUAUAGGAAUUUAAUGUAUGUAAAAUAAAAAAAAUGAUUAGAGCAUACGUUAGAAAAAAAUAACGUAAAAAAUUUUUCUACGAGAAAUCAAUCACAAUCCUACGUAUCAGUUUUGAGGGUUAAUGAAACUUCACAUAAUGGUCUCAACCCAAAGUUAGUUUUAGUAAAGAUAUAGCCAACACGACACGUCUUACUCCAAUUUCGUAUUUUCAUUGCAAAUCCAAAAGAGCAUCAUGAUGUACUGCUUCCCAACAGGAAUCGCAUUCUUGAUCUUGACACAAAGUGUAAAAAUCACCUAACCUUUGCUUUGAUUCACAUUUGUGCUAACAUAUUUCUUAAUCUUUUCAAUUAAGUGACGUUAGGUGCCACCAAAAGUUGAAUAUGAGGUCCAAGGAACAAUGAUCACUAGGGUCUGCACUCACUAUUGAUCCCAAUAAUUGCUGACAAAGUUUAAGGUCUUAAGGGUAGGUAGUAGCUAGGAGUCUUCUGGUCACCUUAUUUUGAUUUAGUCCAUGCUGAGUUUCCACCUUCCGAAUAUUGAGAUCAUACAUUUCAAUGUCAUUUCUUUUGCAUUUAUUUCCACCAAACGUUGCCCUAUGGGUUUUUUUUUCAAUCCCAACUAAGAGCAAUCAAUUAUCAUAUGCUUAUUUGUGAAGUGAAAACCAAUUUUAUCAACCUAACAUGCCAUAAUAAGUGGUCCAAAACGUAAUGUUUAUUCUUCACGACCAAAAUUCAUCAUCUGCAAUGUUAUUAUUCAGCCCUAUGCUGACUGACUACAAGGAAUUACCUUCUUCUUGAAGUUGAUCUGAAUCAAAUCUUCAAUCUCUAUCGCUUUUUUGCCAUAGGGAAAAACAAAUUUAGAAACCAAUGCCAUGAGGGAAACGAACAACAGUUAGGAUCUCAGUUAUGCUUAUUUCCCUUUUGUGUUUACAUGGAAAUUCGACGAUCUCUUUUGAGUACGAUUCAAUAAACUCUUACCAUAUUAUUCGAUAAUUUAAUUUUUAAAAUCAUAUAGGGUUGACAUCCGUUUUUACACAUCUAAUGAUGAAUUAAUUCUUAUCGGUAUAAUAUUCAAAAGGUACCAUAGAACUCCCAUAUUUUCGUUUCUUUCUAUACGUAAACCUAGAACUUUGCCCAUAUAUUGAUUUCAUUCUUCACGUUAAAACAAUUUUCUAAAAUAAGUAAGUUAAAAGAACGGGUGGGGCAAUUACGUUGGGAAGACAAAUUAUUUUCUUAUUUAGCAAAGUAGUCAUCAAGAAGAUUUGACUCUGAACACCCCCCCCCCCUCCCCCAACACAAAAAAAAAAAAAGGAACAAAGAAGUUUCAUUUCCCUUUCGCGAUGCAAGGAAAUGGAUAUUUUAUGCAUUAGAGUCGCAUAUUCUCCGGUUAAAAUAUCUCAUUUAUUCUUUGUCAUAUAAAUCUUUAGUCAAUGGACUAGACUUUAAAAAUAUAUAUAUUUCAAUUCUUCUAAAUUUAGAAAAAAAAAAAAUGAUGUAAAGAAGGGAAAAUAUUACCUCUGAUAACCGAUGAGUGAGAGCCCAAUAAAUGAGAUAAGAAAAGCCAUGAGCGGUAAACAUGGUCAUGGAAAGGUGUCCAAGCCAAAUGUGGUAUUUGAUGCUGGCCUCUGAAGUUAAACCCAAGAAAGCCAAUAUUGAUGAUCCUCUUGUCACCGGAAAGAAGAGAAAUGUCAAGCAUACAUUCCCCGCCAGACCAAUCACCAAAGCAAAUCUUUCCAACUUCGCUUGCCACCUGAAAAUUUUAAUUUAGAGGCCACCAAUCACAUCACUCUAUAAUUAUAUUCUAGCGACGCGGAUCAUUAAAUACAGUAGAUUUUUCUUACAGCUUAUCUCCUCGAGACAUGGCUUCCAUGUUGAUCUUCUCGUACCAGAAAUGCAUGAAAGAAGAGAAGUACCACAGGCAGAGGAGGAUGAACAUGGCAAAAAAGAAAAGCUCUAUCCAGCUAACAAUUCCGAGGCCUUUGAUGAUCAUGGGCCGCCUCAACUUCUUGAAGGGAUCCUUUUUCUUGUCACUGCUCUCCAUUCCCUUUCCCAAAUGAGUAUAUAUGCAUCCCAUAACAGCAAUGAACAAGAUAGGAAAUGUAAAAUCCAGCAGUAUUGGACCUGCAGCAGAAACAAAAAAAAAAUCUUUAAUUUUUGAAUAUAUAUAUAAUAUAUAUGUAUGUAUGAACAAUGAUGAAUCUGCAUUUAACCUUGUAAUCCGAAGUAAGUUGAAUUGGUGCUGGCCAUGAUGUGAGGAACCCAUUUGUUGUAAUACGUAUCAGUUGGCAUGAUGCACCACAUCAUGAUAUAACCAAGAAAUACAAUUAUACAUAGUCCCACUAUUGCUCCGCGGAUGAUGUUGGUUGCUUUCGCUCCUCCUCCAUGAGAAGCUGAUAACAUCUUAUCCUCUUCCAUCGCUUCCCUCAGGGAGUGUGUGAAAUCUGGGGUUUUUGGUGGAAUGUGUGUGUGUGUGUGUGAAUAUCUGCUCUAUAGGAGAAGUUCUUGUGGUGUGGGUUCGCGUCACAAUGAUAUGUAUAUAUAUAUAUGCUGAAUUGUAGUAUGUGUAUAUGUGACCUGCUUAAAUCAGAAGUAGUGUGUGAGUGUGAGUGUGUGUGUGGGGUUGGUGGGGUUCCGGGGUAAUUGGUGAAUGGUGACUUGAUGAUAUGGUCAUAACAACGGUCACCAAUAGACAUACAACCAGAUUUGUUUUACCACAUUUCAGAGGUAAAAGUAAGGAAGUAAGUAACAUAAAACUUUUGUUGUUUCUAGACUACUACUUGAAAGAGAUAUUUUACUGUACCUAGAUUUCAUAGCACGUAAUCGAUUUUUUUUUUUUUUUGUUUUUCCAAAACAAUGUGUAUUAGAGGAAAUAUAUACUUACAUGGUUAAUUUCUUUAAAAAAAAAAAAAAAAAAGAAGAGGAAGAAGAAGAAGAAUUUGUUAACAUGGUAUGGUAAGAAGUUUGAUGAGGGAAAAUGUCAUUGAUUCCAUUCAAUGUAAUGAAAUACUUAUAGUGUGUUUGGAUUGCAUUUUUCAUGAAAAAAUUACUGUAGGCGAUUUGAUGUAUGUGAGGGAAAAAGGUAAUAGGGAAAUGUGAUUACGGAAAACGAUGUAAUUUUCAACGGAAAACAGCAAUCCAAACAAAUCGAGAAGUGGCUGCAUCGUUAAUUAGUUUUGACGCUUGGUGUAACAUUGUGCUUUUCAGAGUUUAGUACAAUUGGAUUAAAGCUCAAGCCAUUUUAGUUGAAUCGAGCUGCGUUUAGCAUUGGAUAAUUCUGUGUUUUUUACUGUAGAUUGAGACCAAUUUCUUGACCAUUUAAUUGACAAGCUGUUUGCAGUUCAAUGAAAUGAAAACUAGAAAUCAACUGUAGCUAUCAAACUAGUUCAAACUCUAGAAAAUUUUGCUUCGAUUAAGGAUAAAUUACAAGUGAAGCUUUAUUUAUUAUGAUCUGCAGAAUAUGCAAUUAGGUGAUGACAUUGACGACUCUGUCUCUCUUUCCAUUUUGCAGCCAUCAGCCAAUGCCAUGUAUGAAGUUGCUGCCAUUUCCCGUUUUGUUGCUUGAAUUUUUCUUAUUCAAAUCAGUCAAAUAUAACGAUUUCCUACUUAAAUCUUGAUUACGACUAAUCUGAACAACAAUUCUCCAGUAAUAAUCAUUACCUAUUACAGCAUGCGUUUGUCCGAAAAAAAGAAACAGAAAAACUUUUGUUAAGAUGGUUUUUUGCCUACCAACCUGGUAGCGUCUUAAUUUUUUUUUUUUUUUAUUUAAUGAAAGCCCUGGUCCUUAUAAGGAGAAUAAGCAAAAAAAGAAAAAUUUGAGAAUCAAAGAAUAGAAUUAGGGAUGUAAAUUAAUCAAGUUAUUUGCCUUGAGCUCGCAAGUAAUUCGAUCAAGGUCCAAUCGAGUUCGAGCUACUUAAUAACAUAAUUGAGUCGAGUUCGAAUAGCAAAAAUCAAAACUCGAAUACUCGUAGGGUUUUAUCGAAUAAUGGAGGUCCCGUUUGGAAAGUGAAUUUGUUCUGUAUUUAUCUAUAACUUAUUGUAGAAGUUGUAGAAAAAAUUUUUGAAGUGUAUAGUUUUAAAAUUUUGAGAAGUUUGUUGAUAUUACUGUAGCUAAACCUAUUAAAAAACUUGCAGCAAAUAAACUUGGUCAAAAACUUGUUUGACAAACAAGGCAAGGCCAUAAUUUUUAAUUAUUUAUUAUAAAAUCAUUAAAUUUACUAUAAAAAAAAAUCAAGUUUGACAAUUUAAGGCUCAAUUAUAGAACUCAACAACGUCAUCAACAACAAAGGGAGAUAAAUGUUGCUAUCAACUGAACUAGGGUUCUCCAAACAAUUUCUCACAAUAUUCAUGAUUGACCCUCGCAUCUUUUCGUUCAAGAUUUCCCACCCCACAUUUUCGUUCUGAAGGCCUCAGGGAAAGCCAGGAAGAAUGAAAAUAAGCCCAUUGUUACCAAAUCCAGAAGGCAAAAGGCCCAAAAAGGUUUUUAAACUAAGCAACCAUUUUACGAACGGGUCCAACUAGCAACCCAACCCAUCUUGAUCAACGCUAUUUUGUUUUCUUUUAACUGUGGAAACACAACCGUAAUAUGAAGGAAAAAACAAGAAAAAACAGUGAUCCACUCAUCUUCUUGGGUGGUUUAUCUAAUUGUCCUUUCUAUCAUUUAUUCUUUUACUCAUUGGUGGUUGCCUAUCCUCUCCAUUGUAUCUAUUUACUUUUACUGAUUAAUUUUACAUUUUAAAAAAUACGAUUCCUAAAAUAUAUCUUAUAUCUUAACAAGUGGCACCCGUUAAACAAACACUCGUUAAAAUUAUAAAUCUCGAAAAUGAUAUUUAGAUAAAGAUAUUUUACAAAUAGAGCAAUUGCCAUAUCCAUUAGAGGGGCCCUUUGGGAGCAAUGCUGAUUUCUUUUUUCCUUGAUUAUUGCCAUCAUGUUACAUGAGGAGGAAUUCUAUUUAUUUUUCAAACAAGCAAGCAAUUUUUUCACAUUCAACAUUCGCAUUUACAUUUUGAAGCACUCAACUCUGCCCAAGUGCUAACAAAAGGAAGCAAGAAAAAAUGGCAGCACAAUAUUUUACAUCGAAAUAAACCGUCACUUUAGCUCCCAAAGUAGCAGAAGAUUGUCAUAUGAUCGAUCACCAGCUGAAACUGAUGGACUCGAAAUGCAAAUUAGCUCCCAAACCAGAAGAGCAUAUGUUUGCAGCCUCAUGUCUCAUCUUCUUCGGUCCACAAACUAGAACUCCAACGCUGGAUUCUUUGCGCUCAAAAAGAAUUUCUGCGUCAGAACCAACCUUAAUAUAUCAAAACAUGCACGUAGAUUAUGUUGAACAAAAUCAAUGGGAACCUACAGUAAGUUUUGCUGAACGAUAAAUGGGCAGAAUAAUUAUUAACCUGCACUCGUCUAAUCACAUUUAUACUUGUAAAAAAAAAAUACAUGUAACACAAGAGUUGUGAGAUUUAAAAGCGAAAAAAGAGGAAAGGAGCGAUUUGAAUUUACGGCCUCUAAUUCCUACGGUUUCAGGCAUGCGAUUUUUGUUCGCCAUAUAUAAGCUGUUAAUCAAACCCGUGUGUCAUGCUUUAGGAAUUUACCUGCACUAGUGUAAUAUAGUCAGUCAUAUUGCAAUUAGCUGACUUACUCUUUAGGUCUGGCCUUUCACCAUAGUGCAGAUUGGUAGAGAGGACCAGUGACUGCUGGGUAAGCUUUCUAAUUCUCUGUCUGCAUUAUAGAACCAUGAGUUGGGUGACGCUACGGGAGUUGCCCCUUCCAGGUUCUGAAUCUGUUUGUUCUCCAUGGCAUUUUGUUUCUUGUUCACACAGAAAAGCCGCGGUAGCUGCGAUGAUUAUAGAAAUGCACAUGAAAAGGAUAUUCAGCACAGCUCUAGAAGACCAAGAAUAGACACCGUUGGUAUUGUGAUCAAUGGGAUAAAUGUAGUAUCUCGUAAGAAUCCCUAUGAAGAUAAGAUAGAUGAUAAAAGAUGCUGAUAUUAUUGCACCAAGCCAGAGCAGCUGUUUUUGCCCAAGAUUGGAGCAACUGGUGAAUCUGAUGGCUUUGGUUUGAACCAGACGGUCCUGAGACUCUUCUUGCCUUCUGGUGCAGGUUGUUUUUCUCUCGUUACGUAAGCCUCAAUUUGUAAAGCGAAGUUGGAAAAUUCUGCCGGGGAACCAACAAUUAGGGAGGAGCAGAUCUAGCAUGGUCAAGUCUGAAGAAUUCUUGAAUGAGGGGAUGAGGAGAAUUGAAGGAGUCUUGCAUUUCAGAAUCUCACUUGCGUACAUAAGCUUCACGAAUGAUGGAGAUGAAAGGAGUGAUCCCGCUGCCUCACUCACUCACCAUCACCAGCAAUUCAUGCUGCAACAACAGAAUAAGAAAUUAUAGGUAAAAAAUCAAGUAGCGACAAGUGUCUUCAUUGGUCCGGAUGCACUUACAUUUUUCUUGGACAUGGAACAGGAGUAAAGGACGCUGUUUGUACCUUAGGAAAUCAGUUGAAGUUGGUCCAUAAGGUCCUUCAAUGGACACAUCAAGAUGAUCCACAGAAGAAGGGAAGAAAGCAUCUCAUGGAGCUUCUUUGUCCAACUCCCGUCACCUUUAAUGAUGACACUCAGCUUUUCAGGCUCCAAAUUACUGCUUGAAGUAAUUGUAAAAGGGUGCCACUGUAACUUCGAGAUGCUCGGUACAUUCAAGAACAAUAUGCUUGUUGGAGUAUAGCUAAGACCUGAUAAUAAGGGGGAAAAAAGUUAAAAAUCAUACUAAUUUCGCUUUCAUCAAUUUUGGAGAAUGCAAAGAAUCAAAAGAAAAAGAAAGAGCGCGUAAUUACGAAUGGUUGCGGAUAAUGUCACGGCACCAAUUUUAGUUCCAUAACAUAUUUUCUAUGAAUGAACAAAUUCCUCUUAAAAAUAAACACAUCAUUUGGAUAGUGAAGGCCAUCGUUGUCAUUCAGAAGAAACCUGAUGUAGAGCUGAAGUUCGUGAUCAUUUGCUAUCACCUAUUAUUUGUUUUUUUCCUUUUUUUGUGAUUAAAAGUUAAACAGAUUCAAUUCUAUUCACCAUCAUGGAUCAGGACAUACCUUUAAAAUCAUACGUCGCUUAGAACGAUUCUUAUAGAUAGUCCAUUAACAUAGUUCUCGCAUUCAACAGCAAAAUUCAAAUAUACAACCGUGAGGAGGUUAUCCGCGCUUGUCAAUUAAGCCAACCUGUGUUGGCAUAUUAUUUGGUAGAUUAAUUUUAUUUUUCUUUUCCCCCUGUACAAUUGGAACAUGCACUUAUGUACCUUUGGUCUUGGAGAAGCUGAGCUCCACGGUUUCACAGGGCAGAAUUCGAGCGGAGACUGAACGAACGUUUUGGCGAGAUUGCAAGAACCUCAGGUAACGAUCAAUCAUGAAGAGAUAGAAGCCAGGAAGCAUGAGGCAGGCAAAAGCGAUGCCAACAUGGAGGACGAAGAAGAGCACGAAGAUGAUGUACAAGUGAUGAGUACAGAAGAAGAGCUCAAACAUCUUUCUCUUAUGCGGGAAAUGUCGUUGCCCACAUGGCUAGUCCGCUACCAAAGCUAUUUCUCCGGCCACAUUGGAAAUGUCUGCUUUAGCCAUUUUGUCAUCUGAAAUUAUUUGAGCAAAAAUAACAAAACAAAGAAGGAAGAAAAAUAAGAUAUUAGUUAUACUAAUUAUAAGCAAAAGAAAAGCAUACGUGAAGAAGGUAACUCUUGACAUAUCUCACACACGAAUACAAAAAUUGGCAAUUUUAACUUUUUGAUCUCAUAAGAUUGACGAACCCCACGAUAACACCCUAUAAGCAGCCCACCACCCUUGAAUAUGAUGCAUCAAAGUCGAUUUGUCAAGCAACUCCCAGAUGGACGCUUACUUAUCUUUUUGCUUUUUCCAGCAAACAACAAUAUAUGCCAUGACGUAAUGCGAAAACUGCGAUUUUGCAUGGAAAACGCACCAAGCCUAAAAUGUAAAGAAAAAAGCAACCAAGAGCACAAACAAGAAAACAAGAACUAAAUGAACAAAUUUAGAGCACAGACCAGUUUCUUCUGGUUUGGUCACUGGGGGGAUGCAUGCUAGCUAUUAGUCUCCCCAGGUCCAGGGCAACCAGAAAAGGGGCAAGCAAACGGUUGCAGAUGCAAUCGUUUCUGCCGGUUAUGUGCAUUUUUUACUGUGCGUAACUUUGAUUGCACAUGUAAUUUUCUUUGCACACGACGUAAUUUUAGAACAAAUUUUUGUGGAUCCCACACACAGCGUGAAAAUCGAGUUACGAGAUAUGAUCUGAACCGCACAAAAUUUUUUAGCCAAAUCAUGACCGUCAACUGCGAGCAGAGACAACCGUUCCUGCCCCAUUUCCAGGGGCGACCCAUCCCUGCAACUUGUUUCUUGUGGGCACAAUCACCCAAGUUGCUCCUUCACUCAUAGUGUCAGUGCUCAGUACAUCGACUGUUGCACUAUUUCGUUUAGUUAUUGAUUUAAACAAUUGGAAACUUCUAUUCUAUUCAAUUAUAUAUAUAGUUGUUCAAUCGCCUGUGUUUCCGGAAAAGAUAUAUAAGAGUAAUCAUUUAUUUUACUCAUUGAAUUAGAUAGAGUAACCGUUCAAUUAACCAAAAAAAAAUCACAAAUAAAAAGAGGACUAUAUGUAUAUCUGCAUAUCAAUUCUUACGAAAGAAACUAAAUUGGACGAGAUAGUCAAACAAUUUUUUCGAAUAUAAACCAUUGCAUCACCUGUUUAAGGCUGUCACCUCAAAUUGUUGGCACUGGCAGUGAAGCGAGUUUGUUAAGGGUGUUUUACGGUUGGAUGCAAAGGGCACUUUGAACAGGACUAGUAGAAUGCUUCAGUCAUUACAUAUGACUUUGUUCAUUAAUUCAGUUGUCUUAAUUGUAUUUAACGUAUGUAUCAAGUGCAAAUAGCUGGUGGAGUACUACUGCUUAAUAAUUACCUCGGAUAUUUGAUGUGUGGCAGCCCAGAAGAUGAUGUAGCAAACGCCAUGAGCGGUGAAAAGGGUCAUUACAGUGUGGCCAAGCCAUAUAUGAUACUUGAUGCUUGCUUCGGAUGUCAGGCCAAAAGUUGCAGCACCGAUGAGCCGCGGGUCACCGGAAAGAAGAGCAAUGUUAGACAUAGAUUCCCUAGCAGGCCUAGCCUUAGAGAUGCACUGCCCAGCUUAGCUUGCCACCUGCCACACAUAUCAAAUAUGAUGAAUAUGAUUAGUGUAUGGAUUUAUAUGAUCCGCCACCUUUGUCCGAACAAUCUCAGCUUUUAUUUCUGCAACUAAUUUAUGCUUUUUGGAAAGAAUAAUAAUAAUAAUAAGAAACUGAGAUGGAUGGAUUUCUUAAUUUCUAAUUAAGUUAAAGGCAUCUUACACUUUCAUCCCACUCUUUGCAGCUGACUUCGGAGUGAUGCUAUCGAAGCCAUUGCGCACGUAAACUGUGUAGAACCAAACGAGAAGGGCAAUGAACAUCACAAGAAAAGCCAACUCAAUUCGAGAAACAAUUCCUAGUCCUUUGAUGAUAACUGGCCUCUUCCAUGCCACUGUACGAUUUUUACCAUCACGUCUGUCGAUCAGAAAACACGAAGAAGAGUUGCAAGUCAAGCUUCUUCUUCUUCUUUUGUUUUUUUUCCCCCACGAAGCCAAAAAAAAAAAAAAGAAAAAAAUCUGCUGCAAAAAUUACUUAAAUCCUUCUUGAUGUAUCUAGAGUUACCUCUUUGAAUCAUGUUCAUUGCUUCGUUUCUUUCCUAAAUGGAGAAAGACACAGCCCAAGGCAGCAACGAAAAGAACAGGAAAUGUGAAGACCAAGAAAUUUGCACCUGUAAAGGCGGUUAUGAAGAAGAUGAAACUGCUUAUAUAUAAUUGAGAAAGAACAUCGAGGUACUAUCGAGGAGUAGAGAGGAUCGGAGAUCAAUAAAUCAGCAAUAAAUAGACCUUGUGAUCCAAAGUAAGUUGUAUUAGACUCAGCUCGAAUCUUUAGAAGCCAGUGCUGUUUGAAAGUAUUGGUUGGCACCAUGAUCCAGAUGAAAAUAUAUCCAGCCGAGACCACAACAAGUAGUGCCAUUAUCAUUCCUUGGACGACACUGUUUCCUCCAGCCUGAGGAGAUCUUGUUGCCACCCUUGUGUCCAUGGCUUCGUUGAUGACUAUCACUACAGGCCAAUAUUCGUAGCAGGGAAUAUCUAUGGAAUUACAAAUCGAUAGAAAUAGCCUUGUACAAUGGAUACAAGAAGUUAAUGGCCUUAUAUAAUGGAUAGACGUCGUGUAGAAUAUUAUUUCCUAGUGUGUGAACCUACAAGAGAAACAGUAGCAUACCACUAAUAUUCCUAAACCAUGAAAAGCAUGAUUCACGUCCCUGCAAGGGUGAUGGAAUGUAUACACGUAAUCUUCAUUCUUCCCCUAAAAACAAGACCUGCGAGAGACAGAGAGUGUGUAAAAUAAUUAAUUAAUUUUGGACACAAAUUUUUUUUGGCAAUAGUUGUGUAUAAGCAUGGCAAACAAGCAAGCAUAGGCUUUUACCAUAUGCUAAGUAGAUACCAAAGAAAAUCAUUCAACUGUAGUAAAAAUUUGACAAUAUAUAUUGUAACAUCAAGGUUAGGCAUUUAACUAUAAUACUAUACAAGCCCGUUUGGAUUGCAUUUUUCAUGAUUUUUCAUGAAAAAAUUACUGUAACGAUUUGAUGUAUGUGAAGAAAAAAGAUUAUAAGGAAAUAUAAUCACGAAAAAAGACACAAUUUUUCGCUAAAAAAUGAUAAUCCAAUCAGGCCUAAUUUCACUUAUACGUUUAUUUUUCAACUGAUUACAUGACAUUAUUCGGGGUCAACGAAAGGGCAAAGAAAGGCACGUGGUUUGCUUUACUACGCUUCAUUGCAUGCUUCAUGCAUUAUUUUCGCGUCAGCGUAGCAGCACACUUGUAUCUAAAUCAAACAGUUUAAAAAAUGGAUACGUACGUGUGCACCUAAUGCAAAAGAGAAUAACUUGAUUGUGUGUGGUUGACGCCAUAAUUAGACUAGUAUGGUACUUGUAUAAUUGGCAUAUACAUAGAGGUAGAGGUCUGAAAAUGCCAAUGCCAAUCUAUAUAUAUAUAUAUAUAUUUUUUUUUCAUAAAACCUAUUAUAUGAGAAUCGACUCUAAGGAGUGGUUCAAUUGAGAGGGGAAUCUGACGGAGAUUGAACUAUCAUCAGAUUAAACGGAUGCACAAUUCACUCGUAUGAAUUUAGAACAAUACUCAUAUAGAGGCACAUUAAUAAGAUGCAAGAUUUGAACUCUUGACCUUCCACUCCACUAUUAAUGUGGUUGCCAUCUCUAUAUUCACUGAACAAGAUCUUUACUACCAUUGAAAUGCAUCAAAAUAUAUAUGUAUAUAUAUAAAUAUAUAUAUAUAUACUCAAAUCAAAUACGUCACGUGUUUGCACUUGAAAAGAGGAAGAUAAGGUGCGAAGUCCUGUCCGUCAAAACUUACCAAAAAAUCAAGAAAAGCUAAUGUGUAACGAUCCAGUCAAUCAAUUAGAACCAUUAAUUCAAUACUGCUUUUCUUCCAAGUUUCACAGAUGAAGGGCAUUCAUCCAGCUUUUCUUCUGACAAAAAGACCAUAGAUUUCUGACAUUGUUUAACAGGCAUAUAUGUAAUGCUGACGCAAAAAAGAAACAAACCACUAAAUGGAAGCUAGUGAUCGUUAGGCAAUGAAAGAUCUAAUCUUGGUGAAAUAAAAUUAGGACCAUCAAAGUGGAGGCACCGCCCCAAACCUCAAUUUCACGGCCUAUGGCUAGCUACAUUCAUCUCUGUUUCCACAGAUUGGGCGGAAGGAUAAAGAUUUGGCUCUUUUAGGGGAAACAACACUUUAAAAAAUUGCCACUGAGCAAAUUGGAGGGCAAUUGCCUAUUUGACCAAUAUAGUGCGAUGGCUAAUCUGGGAUGUGCGUGUUGCAUUGUGUUCGUCCAGGAGUAAAUACGGCCGUCCUCGUGUUGGAUGUGUGCCUGCGCGUGCCCAAAAGCUGAUGUGUGGAGCAGACGUUGGGUUGACACAAUUAGACAUGCAAUUUUUCUGUAGCUCAAUCUUUUUAUCUCUUAAUUGUUUGCCCAAUCCUCUUUUACUCAAAUCCUACAGUUUUCUUGAUGAUUAAUUAAAUGCCCUGAAAUAAUUGCUACAUCUGCCUAUGCCAGCAUUGCAUAAGGACACUGUGAUGAUUGUAUGUUGUCAGUCGUCACUUUGAAAGUGGAAGUGAUGCCUCAGGAUUUCCACAGCAAAAAGGCAUCUACGCUCCAUCCUCCGGGAAUUCAGUGACGUUUCUAAUCAUAGUUGCUAAAUCUUGGGAACCUAGCCAGGUUUCGUGCGGAAAUCAACGGACCCUCGUGGCAGCAGCAGCCGCCAACGAUCAACAUGGUCGCACUAGGACUAGGAUUGCAAACUGAGUUUGGCCUCCUCGCGAUUCGACUGGAUCGAAACUAGAUGCUGGUUCAUCCAAUAGAAAAAAUGAUCAAUUUAGUUUUUAUACUAUUUUUUACUGUUAAUUUAGUCCUUAUAUAAUUUUUUGACCAAUUUAAACCUUAUACUUAUUUAUCGGUUUCAAUUGAGGAGCUCCGCGCGGCACCACUUUGUAAUUGCGAUUCAACGUCUAAUUGAGCACUUAUGCGGAGCAUUUCAGGUACUUCACUGUUGGGGCUGCUUUUCAGAAGUAAAAAUCAAAACCAAAAAGUUGCCGGUGCAAUUUCCCCUCCUCCACUCCCCCUCCACCCAUUGGACUCCGAAGACAGGAAGAUGUCCGGCAUAUUCCGGUACAAAACCAAGCUCCGUUCCCUCGCCCCAAAGAUUACCACACUCUCCCUUUCAUCCUCCAAAUCCCUUUCAGUUGGAAAUUCUGAUGGAACUGAUAUGCCGAGUUAAAUUGCUAGACUUGGAGGUCUAAAUUGUUUGUGGGUUUUCAAGAAGUUUGGUAGAUCUGUUCUGCGGGUGUGGGGAAGUUACUGUGGAUAUGCAUUUGAAGAAUUUGUUUACUAGAUAUCAAGAACAAUUUGGGUGUGGCCCAGGACUUGGUCUUGGAUCAGGAGCAUGUUUGUUGAAGGUGGAUGGCAUUACUCCACCUUUUAUUAAGUCUCUGUACAGAACUGCCGCCGCUUUGUACAGGACUGAUCCAUGGAAGUGGUUGCGCCCAGAGCAUUUGUUUGGUAUAAAGGUGGGGAAGGAUUCAAACUGGUCUAGCAGAAAACAGCCAUUUCCUUGUGUUCAGUUUAUUGGUGGGAAUGGUGGGGAUAUAGGGAUUUACAUGUUCAGGGCUCAUGAUGAUGCAAAAAAAUGACUGCUUGUAGGGAGACUAUUCGAGUUCCAAACACUGAGCUUUUGAGGGUGACUUAUGAGCUGGAGUCAAUCAUGUUCCCUUUAAAUAAGAGAAUGAUAAAGUCAUUAGCUUUGGAGGUCUCGGGUACUGAUCGAUUUCCGGUUAUUGAUGUUGUUCGCUGCACGUCAUCUGUUGAACUUCAGUUCAGAAAUCCUACUCUUGAAGAGCUUAAGUUUGCAUAUGCUGUUUUAAGAGCCAUUCCUUUAGUGCAUCCUCUCCUUAGGCAAGAUUAUGAUGCAGGACCAAAGUGGUCUCGAAUGAUGUACUUUGAACAUUUAUUGAAACAGUUGAUGUCCAUUGGCCCUGGAAAUGGCAAGAGCGAAUGAUCUUGUUGCGGUUACGGUUUCACACCCUCCUAGCCACAGGUUUUGUACCGGAAUAUGCCGGACAUCUUCCCGUCUUCGGAGUCCAAUGGGUGGAGGUGGGAGUGGAGGAGGGGAAAUUGCACCGGUAACUUUUUGGUUUUGAUUUUUACUUCUGAAAAGGAGUCCCAAUAGUGAAGUACCAGAAAUGCCCCCGCAUAAGUGCUCAAUUAGACGUUGAAUCACAAUUAUAAGGUGGCGCCGCCGCGGAGCUCCUCAAUUGGAACCGAUAAAUAAGUAUAGAGUUUAAAUUGGCCAAAAAAAUUAUAUAAGGACUAAAUUGACAGUAAAAAAAGUAUAGGGACUAAAUUGGCCAUUUUCCCUCGUCCAAUAUUAUUGAGUUCUAAUCGAAUUCGAGCUAGUUUGACAAGUUAGUCGAAUCAAAUCAAAUACAUUAGUACUCGGUUCAUCAGCUUGUCAAGUCAAUUCGAAUAUAUACGUUUUUAAUGGUAAAAUUAUAUAUAUGUCUUCUGUAUUUUUGUUAUUUAUUAGGGUGAAAUGUCAAUUUAUCUAUUUGCUUUUCUAAUUAGAAAAAGUAAAGAAUGAUAUUGGUGGUUUUUGAAUGUUUAGUAGGCUAUUGAAUGGUAUAGGCUUAGACUUGGGAAGAAUAUAGUGGUACAAUUAUAGGAAGAGUAUAGUGGCAGCGGUGAAUUAGCAGUGUGAAAUUUGACAGAUGAGGUAUGGAUGUAUCAUGCUAAAUCUUGGAAUGGUACAUUUGGAAAUUGGAAUAACAAAUAAUGACACUCUAUUUUUUAACAUUGACUCUUGCAUUAUAUUUAGAGAGAUAUGUAUUCACUUUUUUUAGAGGUGGCAAUUGGGUCGGAAGUGGAUUGACGGAUCGGAUUGAGACUUGAAUAUAAUAGAUAACUUGCUGGCCCGAAUACAACUUGCCAAUUCAAAAUGGGUCAAGAUACCUGAUCCGAACCCGAAAUUUUGGAUUAACAGGUCAACCCGAAUGAUCUAAAAUAUAAUUUUAAUUUACUAAUUUACCAGUGUAAUUUGUAACAUAAACCAAUUUCUCACAAGACUAAUUACAUUAUCAAAUAAUAAAAAUCUCGAUAAAACAAUGUCCUAACCAGAUCUGAAAUAAAUUAAAACACUGUAAAGUAUUUUAAUCCCAAACCAGAUCUAAAAUAAAUUAAGAUACUAUAAAAAUAGAAAAUAAUGUUAUAUAUCAUUUAUCCAAAUAUAAUAAUUUCAACUUCACACAAGUUAAACAAUUCAUUUAGAAUUAAGUGUUAAUGUCUUUGGAAAAAAAAAAGAAUAACUUAGUUUAGUUAGAUAAUAUAUUUUUAUAUUUAUUAAAUUAUUUUUAAUUCAUAAAUGGAUUAUCAGGUCAACGCCGUGAAUGACCGGAAUUCAACCUUUUUCGGAUUCAUCGAGUUCGACUCAAUUCUGACCCAAACCAUGAAUCUCAACCCAAACGCCAUUAAUUUCGUAUUAGUAGUUUUGAAAUAAGCGUAUCUUGCAAGCACGAUCGAAGGAGAAAGAAAUCAAUAGCUCAUGAUCAAUGGUUUGGCAUCGCGCUCACCUAAUAUCCCUAGUUAAGAAGUCAACAAAUUAAGUACUAGAAUUUUAAGUUCAUUUCAUUGAAAAUAGACUGAUCACUCUUUGAUUAUUUCUUUAUUGCUAAAAUUAUCCCUAAAAUCAUAGUCCAAAUAUGAUGAUCUAAUAUUCUAAUGUGUUCCCGCAUCUAAAAGGCGCGAGCCCAAUAAUUGUUCGGCCAGCGUUCCAAUAGCCAGGUGAGUACAUAUCAUUUUCCCCACAGUUCCGCUUUUUGAGUCCCCAUCCGCAUUUAAGUUUGCAGGCUGGGCCUGGGUCUAACCAUAGAGGCAAACAAGAAGGAAAAUGAAGGACCCACUCAGGGGCCUCCAGGAAAGUUUCAAUUUUGCCAGCCACAUUCUACAAGAUUGUCGAUUCACCCACUGAAACUGAUGGACUCGAAAAUGCAGACCGGCUCUUAAACCUGAAACAACAUCUGUUUACAACCUCAUAUCUGAUUCUUUGUGCUGAAAAUGAGCUUCUGAAUCAGCAUCAACGUUGUUAGGAGUUGGGGAAAUUAGGACAAUCUAUUCAAUUAUCCUCGAAGUAAGAUGAAGACUAAAAUGAAUGAAAAAGAGUUCAACAAAGAUUUUUUUGAAAAAGAUAUCCAAACUAACACAAGAAGGAAAGAAAAUUUGUGGCAGACUACCCUGUCGCGUGGAUCUUGAAACACGGGAGAAAAUUGAAAACGACGAAACAUGUGCUAGUUUAGCAUAUCAGAUGGCAAAUUGGCGCAAUCCCACCAUGCAAGCUGAAUAUUUUUACAUGGCAAGCAAGAAUAACUAGAACCAUGUGUCGAGGGAUUGAUUACAUGCAAAGUAGUCCAUAACUAGAAGCAAAUGACUAGAGCAGAGCUACAUAAAGAUGAAAAAGAACCUCCUGCCAUCUGUCACUCACUAAACAAACAAAAACACUGAGGAGAUCUUGCAGUUCCAAUUCCAGAACAGGAUAUCUGUGAUGUAGGUAUAACUUGCAAGCAUGGCUCUGUCUCUAGUCUUUAGUUACUUCAAAGUAUAUCUAGCAUUGAACUAGUCUGUAGCAAGUCCACAGCAGCAGCCCUUCUUCUUCCAGAACCACAACAUAUGACGCAAAUAAUGCAUGCUACCAAUGUUUAUCUUUUGGUCUAAAAUGUUCCAUUAUGCUAAGGUGUGAUCCUCUUUCAUAAAUCAUGAUGACAUAGAUCUAAAAACUUUUGCAACUACUACUGGUGAUGCUGACGUAAAGACGGAGAAGGAGAUCUACUGUAGUCUAUAUACCAUGCCAAAUCUCGACCAUAUUCGAAGCAAUUGAACCAUAAAGAUUGUCAAACCAUCAGCAGAGAACAAAGCCAAAAGCCUAUCGGACCAAGAUCAAUAAGGAACCAUAAUUCACAUCACACUUCAUUAAGGUUCUACACAGCAAUUAGUGCAAACUGAUUUCCGCUAGAAAACCAAACAUAAAGAAAACACAGCAACCACUCCAAAAGAAGAGGCAUCAAAAAAUGCAUCAUCGAUUGCACCACACUAGAAAAAAAAUAUACUGAUUCACAGGAUUAAUAAAAGCAAUGAAGUUUCCUUUUCCAAAACUGCUUGAACACUCAUAGGUAAAGGUAAUUUCCAACAAAUAAGCUAUUGAGUACAAAGCAUAGACAUCAUUCCCGGAAAGUAUACAAAUAUGUUAAAUAUCUCAACACUGAGUGGAGUACAGUUUGAAUUUUAGACAAAUCUACAGCUCCUCUGUAUAAAUAAAAGUUCUCACAAGAACAAGAGAAACAAAAAGCCAUGAAGACGUUUCAUAUACCAGUCCUUAAGAUCUUCAGGGUUAUAUAAGGUACUUGAUUUAGGACUCACUAGGCCCACAAGGGCAUCAGAGUUUACCAGAUGACUGUUGGCUGCCAUACUUCAGAUUAAUUUCAGAGACAUCCCACAGGUAACCUUAAGCCAUCCCACUGUGUCCCUGCCUCCAGACCUCCUCCUUUGCACUACCACGGAUGCAGUUAGCAACAAAAACACUGCCGCUAGUAAAGGCACUAUGACAACGGCAUUUCCUCUUCUCCAGCUCUUCAUAACUGACUCAACACAGAGCUCGCCAUCAAAACUACCCAGUGAAUUGCUUAUCUUGAAGACCUCAACCCCAUUGAGGAUAGCAUCAACAGCAUUGGUCAAGCUCAUAUUGGACGGGCCAACACUAACGUUCAAUGAUUCGGAAUUCAACCCUUCCACUACAAAAUCAGCAUAGAAAGGCGAAGCAAGCAACAUGUUUGUCAUUGCUGAUAAAUCCAAGUCCUCAUAUGCCAAAUUCCCAUUUACAUAAACAUUAAAGUAAAGCAUAUAAGGCCCAAUGCUUGCUAUAUCGCAGAAAUGCAUCCGAACCAAGUACUUGUAACCCUCAAUCCCUGGAAACACCCAGGCUAUGUUCGACUUGGGAAUGACAUUAUUCGAGCUCUUAAUCACCCGGGCUGAGUUAUAAACAUUGUCCGGCCCAACUUCACGCGUUGCCCCGCCAUCUGAUACUGAAUCCGGCCACUGAAGUGGAUUUCCAAGGAGCCCUCAUGACCGGAUUUUUCCAAAAAUUCACCAUCAGGGACCCAAGUCCUCCACAGAGAAUCGUUGAAAGGUGUCACCUUUGGACCUCCUACAUUCACUCUAUAAACAGUUUCGAACCCUUUGUUCAACAAUCCAUUAAUCCUCUCAUUUUUCUCAGAAUUUACAAACUGGGCUACGUCAGCGACCAAGUCAUGGGGUGCAGAAAUCACUUCAAUUGCGUUGACAAAGGCAAAAUUCGAUCUUUUCUUUGGCACAAACGUAAUAUCAAGCUUAUCGGAAUCAACCCUUAUGAUAUACUCCUUGAUUACUAUACCGUCUUUCGGGGAAUUCUGGAUGCUAAAAUCGCGUAACAACAAGAACCCAUUUGCCAAAACGUGGAAUUGAACAGCGGAGAAGUCGAAAGAAGUGGAAUUAAAGAAAGGAGAGAAAUGAAGGCGUACCAAGUGGUGGGUCCCCCCGCGGUGGUCCUGAAUUGGGAAGCUGUACUUGCAGGGACUGCUGAAGGCUCUGGCAGUGCGGUAGAGAGGAGAAGAAUUGGAAGAAGCGGGUCGGAGUUGGUGAGUGGAAUAGUCCGGUUGAAGGGGUGGUAAAGAAUCGGGAGGCUGAGGUGGAGGAGUCGCCCGUGAAGCGGCGGUGGUCGAGGUCGAUGAUGGAGGGCUCGUGGGAGCCGCAGCUGAUGAGGUAAUGAUCGAUUGGGUGGAAGGAGGAGGAGGAGGAGGAGGAGACGAGGGUGGUGAAGAAUAAUAAGAAGAAGGCGGAGCUAAGAGCUAUGGCGGAGCAGUGAAACUCUUCAUAGUUCAGGUCAAUUUGAUGAUGGAAUUGGAAACUGGGAAAGUGGAAAAGAAAGGCGUCUGGAUCAUUCAACUCUCACGAAGAAAGAUGAAAAUACAAAUUAGAAGGCAAAAGCGUGUUUUGGCAUGUUAACAACAUCUGAUUUCUGAGCUGGAGGCGUUGCAGUGAAGAAUGUGGACCACACGCGCUUGAAGCAUUCGGUCAUCUUACAAGAUGAAAUCUUUCAUCUGAUUUUUUUUUUUUUUUUUAAAACUCGGUUCGAAUUAGCUAUUUUUAUAUUUUAAAAUUUUUGAAUUUUUGAAGCAUUUUUAAAAAGUUUACAUCACUCACAAUCGCUACCACCGUCUCCACCUCCCCCUUCCUCCUCUCUUCUCCCCUCUUCCCCUGCCGUCACCAUCACGUGCUUGAAGCAUUCAAUCAUUUCACUAGAUGAAUCCUUCGUCUAAUCCUUCCAAAAAAAAUUCAUUCAUCUAAGGUACUAUCUGUAAAAAUAAACAAAUAAAAUGUAAUGUAUAAAAACAAUUCUAAAUUUAAAUUUAAUAUAUAUGUUAUGCAUCCAAUGAUUAUAAAAUAUACAUCGUCAUUAUGUACAAGAUUAACUAAAAAAAUAAGAGAGAAGAAAUUGUGUAUGUUUGCGUGUGAUAGUGGCAAUAGAAGGCAACGGAAAUUUCUUCGAUUACUCAUGAGUAGAGGUGGCAAAUCAACUCACUUAACUAAAUUUACUCACACCUGUCCAUAAAUAGAUGGGUAUGAAUAUCUUAAAUUUUUGUAUAUGGGUUACCCAAUAAUACCCAUUUCACCCAUUUAUUGGGUAACCCAUCAAAUUCAAUUAACCCAUUUAGAAUUCUCUUCCCCCCAAUUCUCUUCUUUUCCCCCACCUUUUUUUUUUCAAAAUUUUCAUUUUGUCAUAAUGUUAAUUACUUUUGUUUUAUUAUUAUUAUUAUUAUUUGUUGGUUUUAUCUUAUUAUUUUAUUUUCUCUUAGUUUGUUAACUUGUUCAUUUUUUAGCAUUACCAAUUUAUGAUAAAUUUUAGCCUAUUUUCUUAUCUUUAUAAAAUGAAAUUUUAAAUUUAUAUAUGAAAAAAAUGUUAGGGUUCAAAAUUUUUGGAUUAAGUUUUUAUAUUAAUUUUUAUAGUACUUAGUUCAAAUUUUUAUAUUAUUAUUAUUCAAUUAUUAAAUAAUAGGUAAUUUUGUGACAUAGAGUAUAAAUGAAAAAAAAUUGGUAAUUAAGUUUAUUGAACAUUAUAAGUAAAUAUUUAAAACUAAUGAUGGGUACAAAGAGUGGUAUAAAUUGAUAACUUAGUUUGUAAAAAUGAAUUUAAAUGUGUUUGUAAAAAGUUAAAAUAAAUAGGUUAUAAAUGGGUAAUUGGGUUACCAAUUCAUUUUUUGACUUACCUAUUUAUACCCGUCUAAUUAAAUGGAUAUAAAUGAGUUGAUUCACUUAUACUCAUUACUCAUUUUACCCAACCCAAACCCACUCAAACUACCUAUUUUGACCCCUCUACUCAUGAUUCAUGACAAGGCUUCGAGGUCAAUACAUAACAAACGAGCAGAGCGGCUACUAAUUCUUAAGCCUUACGCGGCUCCACUGUACAUUCCACAAUCCAGACGGACGGACUUUAGUACUAGGGAUAAUUUCAGAAACCUCCCUAAGGUUUCUAAUAAUUUCACUGAAUUCCUCUAAAGUUUAAAAAAUUAUACUUACUUUCCUUAAUUUGAUAAUUUUAGUAAUAAAAUCUUAAAAUAGUAUUUGAUUUGGUCAGCUUUUUAAAUGAAUACCCAAAAAUACUCUUGUAUAAUGAGUUUUAAUUUAUUUUCCUGUAUAAUUAUAUGAUUUUUAGUAUAAUUAUAAGGCAAAGUUGCUAAGUUUUUUAUGUCAAUUUCUACUAUUUGAUAAACAACUAUAAUAAUAAUUUUAUUAUUAUGGUAUGAUACUUUUUAUGAUAUUUUAUUAUCGAUUUAGAUUUAUAAAAUAGAAAAGGAAAAUGCUGAAAUAAUUCAUUUAGAUUUUAUAAAAUUUUCGAAUUGUUGGAUUAUCAUAAUUUAAUAGUGGUUUUGGGACAUUUUUUUUAUUGUUAAUUUUAAUACCCAAAAAUAGAAAACAAAGAUUAGCAAAAACAUUGGAUUACAUAUAAAAUUAAUUGGUCAAAAAAAUCACUAGUUCGACAUUUUGUUAUAAUAAAAAUUAAAGGUAAUAGUUGUAGUUCUAUAGUUUUAUUGCCUAAAAACUAAAAAAAAAAAAGAAUGAGAAGGAAAAAGAAUGGAAAAAUAAUUUUAAAACUUAUUUUAAGUAUAAGCAUGCCAAAUAAGGGAAUUUCAUUAAAAUAUUUAAGGGUAAAAUUGUAGUUUUAAAUGAUGAGAGAUGUAUGUAUAAUUUUUCAAACCUCAGGAGAGCUCAGUGAAAUUGUCAGAAACCUCAGGGGAGAUUUUUAAAAUUAUCCCUUAAUAUUAAUACCCUGUGGACUUCACUAGUAUUAGAAUUAGCAUAGGAUUUUUUUUGGAAUUUUUUAAAUAUUUUUAAAAAGUUUACACCAGUCAUCACCACCUCCUCCCUCAUUUUUCUCCCUCUCUCUUUUCUCCUCCUUCUCCACUGUCACCAUGACGCGCUUGAAGCAUUCAAUCAUUUUCACCGGAUGAAAUAUUUCAUCUAAUCCUUCAAAAAAAACUUUCAUCUAAGGUAUUGUUUGUGAAAAUAAAUAAAUAAAAUAUUAAUGUAUAAAAAUUAAUUUAAAUUUGACAUAUAUAUCAUGCAUUCAAUGAUGAUAAUGUAUACACCAUCACAAUAUACAAAAUUAACUAAAAAAUAAAAGGGAAGAAAUUGUGUAUGUUUUAUGUGUGUUAGUGGUAACAGGAGGCAAAGGAAAUUUCUUCUAUUACUUGACUCUGUUUGGAUUAGAUGUUUUUUGGUGUGUUUUUUAAAAAAUUUACUGUAACUGUGUAUAUAAAAAAAUUUUACUGUUGAUAUUUUUUAGAUUGUUUUUAGAGGUAUUUUUAAAAUAUAUUUUAGGGCAUCUUUAUAAUUUAUAACUUUUUUGGGAUUUUUUUUAAUUUACACCGCCCCCUCCCUCUUUCCUCUCCUUUCUUUCUUCUCCCUUCUUUCUUCUCCCCUCCUUUACCCCAACCCCAAAACCCUCUCCCACUCGCGAGUGGUGGUUGCGAUUCUAACCACCACUCUAGUCGCGACCUUCUUGGUCGCUACCGGAAAGAUAGCGACCAAAAGCCAUGAGUCGCGGCUUUUGACCGUGACCUUCUAGUCACGACUAGAUAGGUUGCAAUCAAUAGAGGGAAGAGGGAAUUAGGGCGAGGAAAAAGAAGAGAGAAAGGAGAAAGACAAAAAGGAGGAGAAAGAAAGGAGGAUGAGAGAAAAACAAAAUAUGGGAGGAAGGGAGGAGGGAGAGAGAAAGAGAGAGAUAAGCAAGAGAAGGGAGGGUCAUACGUGUGGGGGGUGGUGGUGAGGAAUGAUGGGGUGGUAGUGGUGGUGGUGGUGUUCUUUUUUUGUGUAUAUUUAAAGUUAUUUUUUAUAUAUUAGAUGGAUAUGAUGUUUUUUGAAUUGUUAAUAUGAUGUUUUUGGAAUAAUUUUUAUUUGUAUAUAUAUUAUAUAUGAAAAUUUUAUUUUUCAAAAAUUGAGAUAUCUAAACAGAGGCAAGGCUUUGGGGUCAACAGACUCAACACACAAGAAACAAACAAAGAGGCCGACUCCACUGUACAUUCCACAAUCCAACGGACAAAAAGCUUUCUACUAAUACCCUGUUGACUUGACUUUUUUUUUUUUUUUUUUUCAAGACAGAGGUGUUAUCCGGGUCAUCGGGUAGAUCGGGCCCGACUAAUCUCCCCGACCCGAAAGAAGAUGCCCAUCCCCUUGGCACGUUAAUCUUGGGACUCGAUCCCUGAUGGAAAAAAUGGACAACGGUCACUGAAGAACUUUCGUGACCAAAUGAGAUGUCCAGGUGGGGCACCCUGCUAACUUGACUAGUAGUACAAUUAGCAUGGGAAAUAAUCCCUAUACUUCACUCCCCGAAACAUAAUAAUGACUAAACGGACAAAAAAUUCUAAUGGCCAUUAAACUAUUAUCUCAUCGAACAAUUUUUUGUCAUAAAUUAAUCACUAAACUAAUUAAUAAACACAUUCGUGACCAUUGAGUCGAUUAUUGUUCUUAAUCUACAAAAUAAUGAAAAUCAUAUUUUGACAAAAAAUACUCAUGGUAGACAUAUAUAUCCUGGCAUAUUGACACAUGUUCUAAUUAUUUUGUAGAUUAAAAGCAAUAAUCAACAAAAUGGCCACAUGUGUGCUGAUUAGUUAAUUUAAUGGCUAAUUUGUGACAAAAAAAAUUGUUUGAUGAUUAAAAGUCGAUGUGAACAAUAGUGUAACGGGGGUUGAGUUUUUUUAAACCUAACUAAACAAACCAACCAAAUAACAACAAAUCGCAUCAACUAACUAUAUGAAAUGAAUAAAACACUCAAGCUUGGUUUUGCUUUCCUACACAAAUCAUCUCUCAAAUAAUUUUGGACUGCAAAACCAUGGGGUUUGUUUCUUAUCAUUCAAGAUAUCAGGCUACCUUUUUGCUGAAUUAGCAACAAAUGAUGGGAACAAAUUAAUAACGUAUCCCUCAGCAACCUGUAGAAACACACACACACACUCUACCUAAGGAGAACCCACGACCUAACCCAAAAGGCAUGCUGAUUUUCAGGCUACAUCGAAGACCUUAAGUAGAACACACGCACACCACUAAGAAUCGAUGUGGGAUUGAAACUAGGGGAGGGAAAUACCAAGACUCUUGCCAAAGGCUCACCAACGGCUUUUACCACUCCGCAAUUGUUUUUCCCUCGGCAAUCUGCAGAAACACACACACACAUUCUCUACCUAAGAAAAUUUUGCAACGUAUCACUAUUGACAAUUUUGCAUCAGUGCUCAUAAGAGAAGGACAUCGUUGCAUAAAUCUAAGAUCAAAAUGACGUGAAGGAAAAAUUCGCUAUUUACCCGGGACAAUUCCAGAAAUAGUUUUUUUUUUUUGUUUUAAAAAAAGAAGAAGCUCGUAAAGUGAAUAGGUGUACAAACAACACAUAGACCUUAGGGUGUCAUUAAUAUUUUAUGAACUUCGACAGUAGAAUUUAAUUGUAAUUAUGCUAGCAUUUGAUCUUGAUGUCUCCAAGCGGAGGAAGAUUUGGAAAUUGAUCGAGAUAAUUACUCCCAUCAAAAGUGAGAAUCUUUUGUUUUGUUACUAUUGGUUUAAAGGGCACUAGAAUUAGAGAAAGGACAAACUAAAAAUUAGAUUUCGUUGUUUGACAAUUAAAAUCUUGAUAUUUACUUUGUAAAAUGUAAACUAAUUUUUUUUUAUGUAUACAACAAAUUUUUUUUAUGGUAGCUGCUCAUAUGCAACUGCAUAACUCAUAAUCACCUGAUAAAAUGACAAAAGUAUUUUAACCAUGCCUUUGAAAGUAAUUUCCAAAUUAUAAAAUUUACAUAUACAUAUUAACUCCUCUAAAGCUCUUUUCAAAACUCAAUUGCUUAUUUGCAUUCGUUAUAUGAAAAAAUGUAUGGGAACGUUAAAUUGAAUGGUAAGAUAAAAGAGAUUGUAAAUAGAGAGUAUACUGAUUUUUUUUUUUUUUAAAAAAACCCUUUUUCCUUAUUAUUUUCUCCUCCUUUUUUUUUUUUUCCGUUGAGGAUUUAUACAUUCUCAUGGGUGUCUAAUAGUUAGUUUGGAAGGAUGGAAAUGAAAAGAAAAGAAAGGUUUUGAAGGGAUAUCCAUUGUUUGGGAGUUAAAAUGAGAAGGAAAAGAAAAGAAUAAGAAAGAUCCCACCGCCCUUCAUCUUUUGGAAAACUUUCCGCCCAAUGUUGGGCGGAAAGGGAAGGAACGGAUAGAAGUUUAAGUAAAUUUUUCAAUAUGACCAAAUUACCCUUAGAAUCCUGAUACAAAACAUUUUAAUACCUGAUGAAUCCCUCUCACAUUUGUUUAUAAAAAGGGCAUAUUUGUAAAAUAAUUUGUUUAAGUAUCUUUUUCUUUCCUUUGCAUUCAACUCCCAAACAAAAGAAAACUACUCACUUUCUUUUCUCCUUUAAAACUCCCAAACAACUUAGAUAGAAACUUUGAUCCUUUCUUUUCUUUUCUAACUUAUCAUUUCUCUUCUUUUCUUUUCAUUUCCAUCCUCCCAAACUAGCUAUAAAAGAUAUUUUAUUUGGACAGAUAGAAACCGAAGAGAGAGAGGGGCCUCAUCAACAAAGAAUACACUUUUGCAACAAUUACACGACUGUUGUUUCAUACACGUUAUAAACUCCUCUUCAACGAAAUCCAGGCCCAACAAAAACCUCUCGUCCUCCUCCUCUUUCUUCUUCACCCCUAAAGCCUAAAAAACAGGGAAGCUUCAAUCCCUUGCUACGUUCCAGACAAGACUGCCCAGAGCCACUGAGCCAUGGCGUUCCCUUUUAUGGAAGCUGUCGUUUGUACGUUUUCUCUUUCCAUAUGUCUUAUCGACUUUCUCCUCUUCCCUAGCCUGUAUUUUAGCACAUUUUGUUUGUAUUGCUUCCGAAAAUUAGAACAAGAAAUUGAUGGUCGAUGUUUAUUUUGUCAAGAAAUCGCUUUAUUCAUCUCAUGCCCUUUAUAGAGUUAAUAAGUUGACGUUUGCUUUGAAGUUUGGAUUUUAUCUCUGGGUUUCCGCGGUUGUGGGAUUUCUUGAAUCUUUACUGUAGUUGUUGCGUUUCUGCGGGUUGGAAGAUAGGUUUAGGGUUUCACUUUAAUGUCUUUUUCCCCCCCCAUAUUUCCUUUCCUUCAAUAUUUUCUCUUUUAUGUGAUAUAGUAGCCCUAUUUAAUUGCUGUCUUGGAGUGAACUUUAUGGUAUUGUCUUCGGGUCGAUUGAAAGGAACACCUAUAUAUGCAUGUGUGAGAACACGCUUAGAUCACUUGUACAAAGAGAGAAAGAAUCUUGCACAUAACUUUACAAAAGUGGUAGUGCAAACAGUAGAAGUGGCUGAAGACUUCCGCUUUCCGUGGAGUUCUUUAGUAGAAUGCGUUGACUUUAUGGUUUGAUUACUUAGGACUGUUGGCUUUGUUGUUUCAUUGUGCAAUAGUUCAUUAUCCUUUACCUUGUUCAUCUUCUUGUAGAAUGAGUUCCGUAAUCUAUGUCUUUGUCUUUAUGAAGUUCUGCCUGUUUGUGCCAUCACAUGGUGACUGACUGAUUGGACGGUCUUGUUUCACAAAUUUAAUUCCAAUCUUGGAUCUAUGUUUCAAACAAAAAAUGUCUUCUGUGUACUAGUUCGUUUAAAUUGCAUUUUUAUCCCUUCUAAAUAGGUGUGAAAGAAUAGUUCGUCUAAAUUGCAUUUUUAUCCCUUCUCAGUUCUCAUUAUGUCCCUUUCACCCCUAAUUUUGUUUCAAAAUAUUCAGGUUUUAUGAUAUUGAUGUACUUAUUCGAGAGUUAUCUUGAUUUGCGGCAACAUGCUGCCCUUAAGUUGCCUACGCUACCAAAAACUCUGGAGGGUGUAAUCAGCCAAGAAAAAUUUGAGAAGUCUCGAGCAUAUAGCCUUGACAAAAGGUAUCAAUUACUUCCUUUCAUUUCUAAAAUGCUUCUGUCUCAAAUUUUAUAGAGAUUAUACUUGCUUCAAACAGUGUUUUUGUUAUUGAUUUUGUUUACCUUUCUUGCAGCAACUUCCACUUUGUUCACGAGUUUUUUACCAUUCUGAUGGACUCUGCAAUUCUGUUCUUUGGUAUUUUGCCUUGGUUUUGGAAGGUGAGUAGACUUGUAUUCUUUGGAGAUCUUCUUUGCAGCUGAAAUAUUUCUGUUGACAUUACUAUGACUGGCUGCAGAAAUCAGGAGAAUUUUUGGUUCUUGCUGGGCUUGAUGCGGAGAAUGAAAUUUUUCACAACGCUUGCAUUUUUAGCUGGUGUUACGUUUUGGUCACAGGUAAAUGUGAAAUUUUUAUUUCAGUCGCAGUUUUCUUGAACUAGUACUGCUUAAUGUAAGAUUGAAUGUAGAUUAGCCUUUCUACCUGCCAACUAAUUACUAACAAGUCCAACAUAAAUAUUUUUGGGCCUUAUCUUUUUGGGAACUUGACUUUUGGAAAAUUAAAUACUGGUGAAAUCCUGUAUCAAAGAAAGCUGUGCAGACUUGCUCUUGAAAUGUUGAUUCAAAUAGAAUAUUUGAUUAAGCUGCUCAAAUUGGCUCAAUAAUUAUGAACAUUUAUCUACCUUAUUUUUUUUUAAUGUCAAGAAACGUUAAUAUUUGGGGAGAAAAGAUUAAUUAUGACGACUAGAAAUCUAGUGUGAUAGAAAUUCUUUUUCACCCCUCUGCACAUUUAUUAGCUAGAUAUCUGAAAAGGACCAACUUUGGAAGCCCAAAUCUGAGAAACUCAAAGGAAGUUAUAUGGUGGAAAAGAAACUUUAUUUCCUAUCAAUUAGGAAGACUAGAAAGCCUCAAUACGGAUAAGACAGAAACUUCUUUCCUAUCCCUCUGCACAUUUAUCAGCUAGAUGUCUGAAAAGGGCCAAUUUUGGAUGCCCAAAGCAGAAAAACUUAGUACUACAAUUAUCAUGAAGAGUACCUGGCCCUUGUGGAUUAUUUAUGGAAGUUAUUUUUAAUUAUUGUUAGCUUUUUGAUCGUUUUGAAUUCCUAUGCGAACUGCUAAAAUUGUUGUAUAAUGCAGAUUACAGAUUUGCCAUUUUCGUUGUACUCCACAUUUGUCAUUGAGGCAAGCCAUGGUUUUAACAAAGUAUGUACUCAGACCUGUCAUCUUUUAUGAGUUAUUAUAUUUGUGUCUGUCACUUGCAAGUUCUUUAUAGUUUCCUGGGUUCAUUCUUUGAUGGCUGUUGAAUCUCUUUUUUUAAUGUGCCUGGUGUAGCAAACAAUUUUUAGAGACAUGAUAAAAGGAAUUGCUCUAGCUGUGGUGAUUGGUCCACCUAUUGUUGCUGCCAUCAUUGUAAUAGUACAGGUACAAUGGUCCUAGGGUUUACAUUAUUUGGUUGUUGCACUAUAUAAUGCAUGGCUCUCUUUCUAGUGCCUUAAAUAAAUCUCUAAUGAUACUAACUUUUUGUCGCAGAAAGGAGGUCCUUACCUGGCAAUAUACUUGUGGGGAUUCAUGUUUGUUCUUUCCCUCGUGAUGAUGACGCUGUAUCCCAUCUUAAUAGCCCCACUGUUUAACAAAUUUACACCAGUAAGUGAUGCAAUGGAUUGUACCUAAUAUAGAGUUGUAAUGGUGCUGUUAAAAAAAGAAGAAUGGGAACAUUUUUCAUGAGACCUUUAUUUUGCAAAGUCUUAUGAAUUUGGUUGUGUAUUUCUUUGAACAAGCAGCUUCCGGAUGGAGAGCUUAGAGCAAAAAUUGAGAGUCUUGCUUCCCUUAAGUUUCCUUUGAAGAAACUGUUUGUUGUUGAUGGAUCUACAAGGUCAAGCCACAGCAAUGUAAGCAUUUUACUUGUUGAUGCAUAGUUUCUUACAUUUUGCCUAAGUUAUAUCAUUUUGGAGGUUCUGCAGUAUAAAAAACUAUGGAGUUUGAGAUAGUCCUCUAUUGUGCUUAGCUUUUAUUUGUAUUUUCUGUUAAAAUUAUCUUGUCCUCCUUUGAAUUUUGUACGUGUGUGCAUUUUUGUAGGCAUACAUGUAUGGGUUUUUCAACAACAAACGCAUUGUUCUUUACGACACACUGCUUCAACAGGUGCGGAGGUUACGUUUUUGGAACUUGUAGUUAAUGACCUUAUUUACAUCUACUACUUAGCAUUUUUUGUUUAGUUUGGUGACAGUUUGUAUAACAAAAUCUCUGGAUAUUUAAAUUGUUUCAAUGUGCAAAUGCAACCUACUUUUUGCGUCUCGACAAGGACUUACUAAUUUGAGGAAUAAUAACUAAUAAAGUUGUUAUACUGGUUUAACCUGAACUUUGAAAAGCAAGAUUUUCUAAUUUUUCUUUAUUGAGUGAGUGGGUAUGCAAUAAUAGGGUUUGGAGGUAAAUUUUUGUCUAAAAUAUUCAAUCAGAACAAAAGUGAGAUUGAAUCUGUAUCCCCCCCCCGUUUCUUGGAACCUGAUUCUUGUUUCCAUAAUCCUUUUGAUUACAUUUACUUACUGGACUGUGUGAUUUAGUGCAAGAAAGACGAGGAAGUAGUUGCGGUUAUUGCACAUGAACUGGGGCAUUGGAAGCUAAACCAUACAAUGUACUCUUUCAUUGCUGUUCAGGUAUGGGAUACACUGUCAAGCUAACAAUCUUGUUUGUCAUCUGGGUUCAUUGUUUUCUCCUUUGUUACUUGGGCAGUUACAAUUUUUUGAGUGAUUUGCCAUUCUAUGGAAUGCAUGAAGAGAAUUGGAUGUUUGCAUAUCUCUUUGGUUCCUGAAUGUAAUUAGAGCCAAAAUUCCUGAAGUUGCUUGAAUUUUUUUAUCUUUUUCUGUUUUUUAAUGCUGGAAAUUGUUUACUAGAGGCUGCUAUGUAAUUCUUGUAAUAGGUCUAUGCACUGCCUAAUACUAUAUGCUGUUUGGGUAGUGGGAUGAUGAGUAAGAGAUAAAGGUACUCUUUAGCUGAUUUUGCUCAUGGGCAAAGUAGUUGCCUGCAUCUAUUGGUUUUUUAUCUGAUGUUAUCUUUACUUAUAUUAUUUUUCUUGAGGUAAUAGCUAAGGCAUUACUCGUCUGUUUUACAUGUCUGUGUCAUGAGAGGCCAAUUUUUUAACCUUUAGUUGCAAUGUCUCGUCUCUGUUGUAUAUUUGUUACUGUUUGGUUCACAAAGUUUCUUAUAUGUGUCCUAAAUGUUUGAAAAACUGAUGAUAUAGAUUCUGCAUACUGUCUUUCUAUGUAUUGCAGAUCUUAACGUUCUUGCAAUUCGGAGGGUACAUCCUUGUGAGGAACUCCAAGGAUUUGUUUCAAAGUUUUGGGUUUGACACACAACCAGUUCUAAUAGGGCUCAUCAUAUUUCAGGUAAUAAAAUGCCUUGCAAUGGUUUCUUGAUAGGUGAUUUAUGCUCAAGCUGAUUUCUUGGUUAACCAUUUGCAAAAGCUACCUUGAUGGUAGUCUUAAUCUGAAAUGUGUUGAAGGUCAAAAGUCCCAUCUGCUUAGGCAAUGCGAUGAAACGAUAAUAAACAUUCCUAGUCAGUGCAGAUCCAUUAAGGUUAAAAUAGUGACUGAGAACUUCUAGAACAGAAAAACGGUGUCUUAAAAAUUGUUACCCAAACGAAUUCUUCUUUUUUUUUUUAAUGCGUGGAUGAAGAGUACAAGUCUUGGAUUAUCAUAGACCAUCGAUAUGUACACACAUAUGCAGCUUGACUUAUCUUAGUGUUAGAUAAAUACAAUAGCUUUCUAAUAAAUUGUUUCUUCGAACAAGAAAACUGAUAGUUGUUUACUUGAUCUUUUGGUCGUAGCACACUGUGAUACCUCUGCAGCACCUUGUUAGCUUUGGUCUUAAUCUUGUUAGCCGAUCCUUUGAGUUCCAGGUAACUUUCAAUCUGCAAAUUGAAUUUUGGGUCAUUGCUGUAUGACGGCUCUUUGCUGUACUUUCUUUUGAGCAUUGGGAUCAUAUCUUACUCACUUUUUGCUGUGAUUCCAAAGGCUGACGCUUUUGCUAAGAAGCUUGGUUAUUCAUUAGCCCUUCGAGCUGGUCUUGUUAAAUUGCAGGUAACUGCCCUUCAAAUUCUCUUUAAUUACCUUUUCCUUGCAAAACGAUGAUGAGGGGGGUUUUUUUUUUGCAUGUCAUGUGCUGAAGUGCAUUGGUACAAAUAAGUGUGAUAUGAUUAUCACAUGGCAUGACUUUUUAUGUUUUCAUUCAUGCAAAUGUCUAAUGUCUGGUGAGGAUUGGUUUCGUGAAUUCCUGACUUGGUAUGAUGGCUUUGUAGGAGGAGAACUUGUCUGCUAUGAAUACGGAUCCUUGGUACUCGGCUUAUCACUACUCAUCCUCCCCUUGUUGAAAGACUGGCUGCCCUUGACGAGCCAGAUAAGAAGGCAGACUGAAGAAAUAAACAUUUGUAACUUUUUGAGUGUAGAGCUUAUGUUUACUUAGUGCCAAACUGUAGUCAAUCACGGGAAUCUUAUUCUGUAGUUUUGCUUUUUCCUGGUAACAUCUGUUGUUGACAUCUACUUUUGGUUUCAAAAAGUGCCCCAGUGGUCAAGAUGGUGGCUGAGUUUGGGAGGAAUAGCAACAUGAUAUGGAAAUACUAGCAUAGCAGCAGUAGGACGAAAUGACUCUUACAAAUGUCUCUGCUAUCAAAAGAAAAACAACUUUCGAGUCCUCAGCUGGUACAAAAUCACGAGUCGUCACUCCUACCCAUGAAGUUUCUAGGUAUUCAUGAAAGGGGUUUUUUUUGCCAAAUGGUAACAUUGAAAAAGGAAAGCGGAUCAACUAUGAAUGCUUUAAAGUUAUCACUCAGUCCUUAGGUUGCAGUAAUAUCUUUGCACAAGAAAUUUAUCAUUUAGCCAAAAACAUACAUUGCUUUCAGUUCUUAUUUGGUGCCCUAAGGUCACCAAAUACACAAACCCUUCACGAAGAGGAGGGAGAUGAACAAUAUGGCAGCCACAUUUGGAGGGUCCAGUAGGUAGAAGCAGAGAUUAUCCGGCCUAGAAAUCUGACCAAUGAUUUAACAGUUGCUGUAAAAAUGUUCGUCAUGCUUCUUGCUGGAAGAAUAGCGGCGGAUGGACUAGUGUUAUCCUUGUGCUAAAUACUGGGAUUUCUACUUUCCAGGUUCGGCAAUUUGGUAAUCUUAGCAAAUCGAUUGGAUUAACCUAAAAUCCUUCCCCUCCUCAGCUUCCAACUUGAUGCGUCCAUUGUUUACUCUUUUUCAACUUUUUCUCCAUGGAUUAGCAUACUCUGCUCUACCAUCCCAUUUCCCAUUACCCUCUUGGAAAGUUGUGUUUUUUCGUAAGUGGAGUCUUCUUUUUUGCAUGCCUUGGAUUGUGUACUUCUUAAUAUGCGUGUUACCGCCCUGUAAUUGGAAUCAUAAUUCUACACAAGCUUCUCCUCACAGUUGAAAUUUGCACGGGAUGGCCUUUUCUAACAAGAAAUUCAAGGAAUCACAGAAAAAUCGCUCUCAGUUCAAGGGGAGGAAAAAAAACAAGAAAAAGGUUGGUUGAAGAAAAUGAAAGCCAGAGCCAGCAAAUGCCAAUGGAUGAAUGCUUCCUUCCCAGAGAAAGAAACGACCCGUUGCAAAUGACAGCCAACAAACUACUGGUAUUAUUAUUAUCAGCUAAAGAUAAGCAAUACUACUGGUAUUUAAUAAAUUCCAAGCAAUUAUUAUUGUCUCAUUAGUGAACCUUUAAGUAAGCAACGUAUAUAAAGUGACAGCUAACUUACUUACCCUAAAAUAAUAAUAAAAAAUUAAAAGGGUGACAGCUAACUUAGUACAGGGUUACUUAUUUAAUUCCAUUCAAUAGUCAAAGAGCAUUUUAUCUUGAGCAAACUUAAAACAAAUAUUAUGCGACCUACCUAUUAUGAUGGCCCAAGUACGUAUAAUGAUUAGGGAUAGUAUUCGUACUAGUACUAAACUACUAAUCCAUCAUUAGAUGGAGGUGAAACCCUUUAAACAAAUUUUAGAAUGUGUAUCUGCUACUAAAUCAUGAGCCAUGACCAACUGAUACAAGAAUUACGAGGGUACUGUACUUGUCACUUAGUUCGUAUGUAUUGCAGCCCUCAUCAUUAUUAACUUCUAUCUUGUCCUUUAUUUUAUUAACCUAAGAACUACAAAGGAAAAAAAAAAUUCCUUUAGUGGCCCAUCUCUCUUAGCUAUCAAAAUGAAUGCUGAUCUAUUUGGCUUCCAAAAGAAAAAAAAAUGCAGAUCGACUCCCAUUGAGUGAUUUGAGUGAUGGGGAUUACACUAUUCCUCCUAUUUAAUAAACUAUUAACACGAGUAAUUCUUCUUGUUAUUCACGAAGCCCAUUAAUCAAACCUGCACUAGCCUAGUGUAGUCUCGCUUCAUAUCAUCUAUUCGGGAUUUUGUUUCUGUCCCGUCUUUAUUUAACUGUCACAUGUAUUAUGCUGCUGGACUUAUUUUCUAAUAAAAUUCUAAAAGUUAUUGAUCGUUGGAUUUAUCCGUAAUAAAUUCCUAAGAGUUAUUAAUUGAUACACAUGAUAAUUAAACUCGGACGUAUUUUGGGACAAACGGUUUCAAGCAAUGUAGUCUUGUCUAAAUGCCGUAGUGUAGGACGUGCAGGGGAGUAGCAUUAGGGCAUGGAUCUUAUUUAAAGUGACUCCAUUACUAAUUCUUGGGUUAUUAUCACUUUACCCUUUAAAUCAUAUCACUACUAUCCGUGUAUCCUGUAAUAUUAUCUUUUAGUUACUUUACCCCCAUAAGUAAUUUAACUCAACAUGUUAAGAAAUUUUAGACAAAUAUACCCUUUUAUUUUAUAGCAUUACUACAAUUGUUAUUAUCACUUUAUUUGUUUACAUUAUAGUGAUAUAGUCACUUUAGUUCCUAACAUUAUUUUUUAGACAUUUUACCUCAUCGUUAAUUUAACUAGUAUGGUCAAAAAAUUUGAAAUAUAUUUACCCUUUUUUAUAUGUAAUUAAAAAUAAAAAAGUUGGAAUGAUUAUUCUUCCUUUUUUGACUUUAAAAGAUCGAAAAAAUAAAAAUAAAAGAGUUUUCUCAAUUUUCUUUCUUUCACAUUUAUUAAUAGUAGGAGAAGAAAAAGAGAUAAGAAAGAAGAAGACAAAAAAUUAGAUUUUGCAAAAAAAAGAAAAUAAAGAAAAGUCUAACAUUAUCGUAUUAGUUUAAGGUUGUCGAGACUAGGAUUGGAAUUUGGUGGUAAACACAAAAGUGAAAUAAUUUUAAUAUAAUAAAAGUAUUAAUUCUUUUUUAUUUGUAAUUUUUAAAAAAGAAUUGAGCUCUCUCUCUCCCUCUCCCCCUUCCCUUCCCCCCUCUCCAUCUUUCUUUUUUUUUUCAAUAUUAAUAAGAUUGUCAAGAAGAAAGAAAUUAAUACGUUGACUUUUUUUCUUACUACUAAAAAGGAGAAGAGCCACUUUAAAUUUUUUUUAUUAUAAUUAUAUAAAGAGGAGGGUAUUUUCUUCUAAAAUUUUUUAACUUGCUAAGUUGGUUUAAUAGUAGGAUAAAUUGCCUAAAAAAUAACUAUAGGAGGUAAAUUGAUAAUAGGACUAUAUUUUAUGGAGUAAAGUGAUAAAGUGAUAAUAAUUUUAAGGGUUAAGCAUGUCUUUUCAUUUUAAUUAACAAACUCCAUUAAGUUUGACUGUUAGUCUUGGGAGUAAAGUGACUAAAAGAUAAUGUCAAGGGAGAAAUUGAUAGUAGCACCAAAUGUUAAGGGGUAAAGUGAUAAUAACCCUUAAUUCUUACUAUUAAAAGGCUUUUUUUUUUUUUUUUUGGAGAAGCAUACUAUUGAAAUUUGAAGGGCUUGAUUAGUGGAUUACCUGCAUCUACGGCAGUUAAUGCUAUUUAAUUAAUUCAUUCAGUCAUCCAUUCAUUUAAGUGAUACUAAUUACUAAACCAAUACACACUGCUAUUAGUUAAUGCUACUAGUCGUUGAUUGCGACACUAAUUUGGGGGUUUCCACGAACCAGGUGUUAAAUUUUUGAAAAAAUAAAGUUAAUUAAGAACAACAUAUAAAUACAAGAAAAGGUACUAGUUAGUAUUAAUGUGUUUAUUCAAAUAGUAGUAAAUUAGGCGUAAUUUAAGUGUGUUAACAAAAGUUUACUAGGGAAUCGUUAGAAAAAUCUUAUUACUUAACGUGAGUUUUUUUUCUUCUAGUAUCAAAUUUGGAAGAACAUACAUAGGUUAUUCAAAUAAGUCAUGUCGCAAAGAAAUAGCUAAGACAACUUACAACUCCUCUUAUUUUACUUUUUAUCCAUUCUCUUGAAAAAGUCUUUUGGUAUUUUAUUAAGAGUAAAUGUUAUAUACAUUGAUAGUGUAUAUACUAUCAUGAUUGGAUAGACGACGUAUAUAUAAAAUUUGGUUUUCAAGUUCGAAUUCAGAUUAUAUGUCAUGUAUUUAAUAGUAAAAGUGUAUGAACUGUCAAUGUAUAGAAAAUUAAUUCUUUUACUAAAAUGAGUGAGUGAAAAAAAAAAAGUCUAUUCUUGUCAUCAUUAACUAAUCAAUGCAACAAUCUAGAUCUCAUCAUUGAGGAAAAAGAGAAAGAAAUCGUUCUUUAUAUGUGUUCUGAUAAUUCGAUACUAACUACUGCACAGCUUACUUUCAUUGGGAAUCUUAAAAAACAAAAAAAGUUCCAAGACUUCUCCUAGAUUAUUUUCCUAAACAAAGUAAGUUCCUAUACUUAAAUUAGCCAAUCACAAGGUAUCUCCUACUGAAUAAAGGUGCAAGUACUCAUAAUCAGGAUUAGGUUCCAACAGCAACCACUUAAAGAUUCUAAUGUGUAUUCUGAUCAAUGGCCUGUGACAUCUCAUCCCCGUGAUUCCUCCAUUUCGACCAACGAAUUUUCUGUCCCACUUCUUGACAUUCUCUGUUCUAUUUUUUAUUAUAUUAUUAUUUUUUUCAUAAACAUCAUAUUUCAAUUUUUUUUGUUUCCUUAAAAUCUAAUAAUUGUUAACUGAGUAAAAAUAAAUACAAAAGUCUCAAAAAUAUAUAUAUAAUAAAAAAUUUAAAAAUACAACAAAAACUUCAUAAAAAAUCUCUUUUUUUUAUGCAUUUUGAUUUUUGGCAUAAUAGAAGAUUCAUUGCAACUCCUGGAUCUCAUCUAACAGUAACACUUGCUUUCCUUUCUUCUUCUUUUUUUUUUUUUGGGAAAAGAUUGCCUUAUUUUAUUUUUUUCCAUAGACAGAAGAAAAUACACACACACAGUUAGAUUAGAAACACUCGGGAGUCAUCGCCAAGAAGGACCCGAAAGUCAAUGUAAGGGGGACCCACAAACCAAAUAUUGCCUUACUUUAGCCUCAUUGUUUGUUUCUAAAUUCUAAUCCCUACCGUUAAAGUGGGCCGUGAAUCACCCAACUCCAACGGACCUCGUGAUUAAGAGCUUCCUAGCACAAUUAUGCCGUUCUCCACUCCCAAAAGCCCUCAAAAUAGCUCCCGAAGAAACGCAUCCUGGAGUGCCAACAUUUUAUCUUUAUUUUUAUCAUUUUUUAGAUUUAUUGUAAUUAAUGAUUUCAAAUAUAUAUAUAUAUGUAUAUAUUAUAUUUGAUGUAUGUUCUACCAAUAAUACAGAUUUAUAGAAUAAAAAUUAUCUUUUUUAAAUAAAAAAUCCUCAAAAUAGCUCCUCAGUUCUCAGUAUUCUUCUCAUACAUCUUUUUUUUUUUUUAAGCCGAUUUGAAAACUCCAUAAUCAAAGAAUUGUGAUGUCUUUUCUACCCUAAAAAAGUUUUGUUUUGCCAAAAGGUUAAAAUUAAAAAGUUUAUGCGUUUGGCAGAAAGUAAGAAACUUGACAAGUAAACAUGGACACGGCUUUGGUACAGGAGACACUCCCCCCCGACUCCCAUUUUACAAAAGUUCCUCCGGCCCCAUCCCACUAUUAUUAUUAUUUUUAUUUUAUUUAACUUUUUCUAUUUAUAUAUAUCUAAUACAAAUAGUUUUUUUUAUUAAUCAUUAUUUUGAAAUUUCAGCAAAAUAUUACAUCAUUUUAUUAUAACAACGUAACAUGGUACUUCUCUUUAAUGCGUUGCUUAAUUCAUACAAAUAUAUUUAUGUAAUAACAAUAACAUAGCAUUAAUUUCAUAUUAUACAUAUAAAAUCAUACAUAGAUGUUAUAUUAUAUUAAAAUUUAGGCGAGGGGAAGGAUGGGGGUAUGUUCCUCUGUCCUCCAUCCUAUUUGGGGGGGGAAGGGCGGAAAUCCCUUUGCCCCGCCCCAUUCUUCCGCUCAAGGAUUGGAAUUCAUUCCGUUAUCAUUCCUAAAUAUGUUUUAUAUAGCAUUUUAGAGUAGUUAUAAUAUGAUUCGGGGUUUGGAAAACCUACAAUCCUUUGGUUGAAAUUUAUCUUUGGAAAAUCUUCAUUCUUUUGACAACUUAAAUGGAAAUGAACCUCUGAAAAUUUAAUGUCUACAUCCCAUUUGAUAGCCAAUUACUAGCAUUUCAACUUUCUGCUAAACACUUUCAUUUCAUUGUAGGGUAUGGUAGAGUGUAAAUCUUUUUGAACAUUGAAAUGGUAAAGUUUGGUACUUUUUUUUUAAAAAAAAAAAAUGUAUUCCAACAACGGAGAUUUGGGAUUUAAGUUUCAGAAGGGAAAGGAGAAUUUGGACUUAGAUUCUACAAGUCUUGGUAAAAUUUAGAACCUAUGCUUUUUUUUUGUAUACCCAAACCGUAAAGGAUUUUAAAUAUACUUUCCUAUAACUUUGAUAUUUUCUGCUGCAAUAAAUUUUUUUUAUAAAGAGUUUUGGGUGUAUUUUACGUGUAGUGUUUUACGGGAUUCUCAUUUGAUCCAUUGAUUUUUUUUUUUUUUUGCUUGGAGAAAUUUUUUAAUACCUGGCAUGAUUUUCUUCAGCGAAUAUAAAGUUCUAUAGGAAUUUAUGUAGUGUUAAAAGUUGCCUUAAUUUUUUUUUUUUAAAACAAGUGUAAUAUACGAUGGACCGAUUUCAAGGUAUCUUUUAUAAUUUCAAGCAAAAAAAAAAUUUUUUUUCAAAAAGGAAAAGUCGAGCUUGGGCAGUUUGUUGCACUAGUAGCUUAUUAUAUUUUUUAAAAAAAAUAGCUUAUUAUAAUUCAAAGUGGAUUUGGGCAUCAAAUUGAGUUUAAAUUAAUUGGUCUAUCAAUUGAUUUAAGGUUAAUUGUUCAAUCAACAUAGUGCAAAACCCUACUAAGUAGACUACUUAACCAUCAUAUUAUUACCACAAUAAUUAGGCAAAGCCACCUCCUAACGCCAAAUACAGAGAGAGUAGUGUCUCUGUGAAUUACUACAAAACACAGCAAAUCUUUAUUAAGACCAGACAGUGAGAAGCGAGAACACACACACACACACUCUCUCUCUCUCUCUCUCUCUCACACAGACAGUGAGAGAAAGAAAGAAAAGAUUCUCUCCCACACACAACUCUCUUUCCCAUUUCAUCUUCUCCAAGAUUUCUCAUUGUUCAGUGCAAAGCUCGCCUCUUUAAUUUGCCUGACCUCGCCGGAAAACAAGACCCCCCCUGCAUUUUCGGGCAAACAACAUCCACGUUUACUUCAGCAUCCGGGCAGGCAAUAUAUAUCCCAUUGAUUCGAUGACACCUCAUAGCUUCCUUUGAUUAUUUCAAGCUUGAUAAUCCCAUUGUUUCUCCUAGUAUUCGGCCGGAUCCCGCUCCCAAGUUUACAUGCAUAAUUACAUAAUUCAGAUGAAUAUUGAUAGCUUAUCAGUACAAUAAGAGACGACAGUGACAGCUGCAGCGGCUAGUAUAUAGUGAAGAGAUGUCGGUGUACGAUGCGGCGUUUGUGAACAGCGAGCUAUCUAAGCCAACCUCCAUAUUCGGCCUGCGGUUAUGGGUGGUAAUUGGGAUUUUUGUGGAGCCGUGAUUGUCUAAUCCUUUUCUUGUUGUCUCUUUGCAUCACCGCCUAUCGCCGCCGCGCCAGCAGCACCGCUAAACUUCACCAUCCCGGAAAGUUUUCUGGUGCAGCCGAGCUGACCCCAGUUGUUUCCAAGGAAAUCCAAGAGAUCGUUCAUGAUUCCCACCCCGCACCGCCCCAUUGUCCCUCAGGCAUGUCUUCUUUUAUGUCUACUUCUUGCUGUCGUGAUACUAAUAUAUGCUAAUUUACUGCUAUUAGUUCUUAAUUUUGAAGUAUGAAGAAAAAAGAGUACAUUUUUAAUGACAAAAUGUUGACCAAAUUGAGUUGGGAUUGUGGAGUUUCUUUUCGAUCUUUACUUCAUCUACAAAUUUGUUUAAUUUGUUUUGGCAUAAGGAUAUGCAUUAUCGCUGAGAUUUGUUUUAUUUUGUUUUUCUUUAUGAUGAUGUAUAGGCGUUGCCUGAGAUUCAGAUAGACAUGGGGAAGGUUGAGCACAGGGUGGUAUUUUCGGACAGGGGGGCAUCGAGUGGGGAGAGUAAGGCAACAAGUGGGGCGGAGACAGGGUCGUUCGGUGGUGGUGGGGCAUUGCCAGAGGUGUCCCAUUUGGGGUGGGGAAGGUGGUACACUUUGAGAGAGCUCGAGGCAGCUACCGAUAGGUUGUCUGAUGCGAAUGUGAUUGGAGAAGGUGGAUACGGGAUUGUGUAUCAAGGUAUUCUGGCUGAUAAUACCAGAGUUGCCGUGAAGAAUCUGUUGAAUAACAGGUAUGGGAACUUACAACUAAAUUAGCUUUAAUGAACUGUUGGUUUGACUUUGGCAAGAGUAUGAUAGAUAAUCAGAUGGUAUCAUAAUGGUAUUCCAGGCAUUGCAUACAGUGUAUUGUCACUAUAACUGCAUGUCUUCAAUAAUAGCAAUGAAUACGUGUUGCUAUUUAGGAAUUUUUUUACUCCGGAGGAACCGUUUGUUUUUUCUUUUGUCCUUGUUACACCAUUUGGCAAGUUAAAUUUAGUAUUUGUAAUUGUCAGUUUUCGCUUUCUUAUGCUUGUCUUGAACAAGUUUGAUUUGGACUUUAAAGCAAUCUGCUUUCAGGUGAAUAUGCUUCAAUCUCUAUAUACCGUGAAAAGUGCCAAUUUUACAACACCAAGAUGUAGUAUGCUAUUGUAUUUAGGACAUAAGAUCUAAGUACUGUUUGGAAUGGUUCUAUUGUCGUGGGGUGCAUGAAAAUGAUAGCUUUGGCGGUUUCAUGUACUGGAUGUUGGCUUUUGGAACCUUCAUCCUCACUUCAAACAGUAAAAAGAAUGUCCUUUUUUUCUUUUGCUCAAAAUAAGGGAAUUAUAGUUUUGUGUUGUAGUAGCAGUGCAUUAUUCUCCCUUCCUCUCAUGCUUAAACUCAUUGGAGUAAUGACUAUCAGGGGGCAAGCAGAGAGGGAGUUUAAGGUUGAGGUGGAAGCUAUUGGGCGAGUGAGGCACAAGAAUCUUGUCAGGCUGCUGGGAUACUGUGUCGAAGGAGCUUAUCGGUAAUGAUAUGCAUCUCAGUUGAAGAAUGCACUUCGAGUUAUUAUUAUCCCAAAAGAAGCUGAUUGACAUGUUGUGCUUGUUCUUUUUGUGCAGAAUGCUUGUAUAUGAGUACGUGGACAAUGGGAAUUUGGAGCAGUGGCUCCAUGGAGAAGUAGGGGAAGUCAGUCCUUUGACUUGGGAUAUACGGAUGAAUAUAAUAUUGGGAACUGCAAAAGGGUAUAGACUUUAGAUUUGUACUUCAUCAAAUGUCCAUUGUUUUAUUUGAGUGAGUUUCUUGCGUGAAUGUUGUCUGCUUGUUUAAAACUUUAUUUCCUGAUCCUUGCAGUCUGGCAUAUUUGCAUGAUGGUCUUGAGCCAAAGGUUGUUCAUCGUGACAUUAAAUCAAGUAAUAUACUACUUGAUCGUCAGUGGAAUGCCAAGGUGUCAGAUUUUGGACUUGCAAAGCUGUUAAAUUCUGAAAGGACUUAUGUGACAACUCGUGUCAUGGGCACAUUUGGGUUCGUUAAUUUCGUUUCUGAAGUAGUUUACUUGUUUUGUCAUAUGAAGUAGAAGUUUUGCUAAAUAUCAUUGUUUUCUAGUUAUGUGGCACCAGAAUAUGCGUGCACUGGCAUGUUAAAUGAGAAAAGUGACGUUUAUAGCUUUGGAAUACUUAUCAUGGAGAUAAUUACUGGUAGAUCUCCAGUUGAUUAUAGCAGGCCACAGGGACAGGUUAGUACUCAAAUUUAUGCAUAUCUCAUAGAUUCCCUUGUUUUUUUUUUUUUUUUUGCAUUGAACUUCUCAAUCACCUCUAAAAUGGACAAUGGUAAACUACUGACAGGUUAAUUUGGUGGACUGGUUGAAGUCCAUGGUUGGAAAUCGAAAAUCUGAGGAAGUGGUGGAUCCAAAGUUGCCAGAAAUGCCUAGUUCAAAAGCACUUAAACGUGCUCUUCUGGUUGCCCUGAAAUGUGUUGAUCCUGAUGCCCAUAAGAGACCAAAAAUGGUGCACGUAAUCCACAUGCUGGAGGCAGAUGACCUGCUGUUUCGUGAUGUAUGCAUCUUAUUCUCUCUUUUUCUUCAUCCAAGAACCACUACAUCUGAAUACAAGAAUACACUUCUAGUAAUGUUUAGAAGUAGGGGGUCCUCCUUAUUCACUCUCUAGAUUUCUCACUACUUGCAUACUUACCUCCCUCUUUUUGUUCUCCCUUGAUCUUCAGGAACGACGAAUUGGCAGAGAAUCUGCUGCUGUUCAAAUCGUGAGUACAAAGAAAAUAAUCUUGCUGGUUCCAAUCGUGAGUACAAAGAAAAUAAUCUUGCUGGAGCAAAAUUAGUCAACCAACCAUACGGCAACGGUGCAUCUAAUAAUAGUGAAGGUGACAAUGGUACGAGCCAUGACUUGCCAUCUAGGUGGAGAUAAUAUUAUGGAUGGCAGAUGUCAGUAAUAAUGUAGGUUUAUGCAAAUUUUGUUGCUUGCUAAUAAGCUUAUUACUCUCAUUCCAUUAGUUUUGUAGGAUUUGUACUAGCUUUUUUUUUUUGUGAUAUAAAAAUAUGAAAUCACCAUUGGAUUAUGCCUCAUAAGUUAUUGAAUCAGGUUUUAUUGUAUACUAGAUUGGUUGACUGUUUUGUACUACUUAGAAACUAUAAGUCGCAUUGUAUGUUUCCAUGCUUGGACAGAGUAUACCACAAGAAGGCAUACUUGUAACCUUCUCAUUUUUCCACUGCAAGUUCAGUUGUGUACUUGUCUCUGUUUCUCCGUUAUGUUAGCUAGGUUGUCUCAAUCUGUAUGCCGUACUUUAUUCUUUUUUCGCCGCAAUCCAUGUCGAUCUCAUGACAGGUUAAUUAGUAUGAAUUUAAGUGCAAAAGUAUCCAUCAAACAUGAUCAGAGCAAGCGCCGUGAUCAUAGGUAUGCAUCAGUGCCCCACUGAGACAGAGCAACUAUAUGGGAGGGUACGAAAUGUGCAGAAAUAAGACUCCCAAACUCCAAAUAUCGGAUUAUUAUGGGGUGGUGGAGCCUUUGGCCAGCGAAUUUGGUUCAAGCCAAUUCACUGCAACUCCCCCGUGUCUUUCUCAAUUUAUGGAUUGUAUGCCCUGGUUGGUGUAGGAUGAGUCAGGCAAGCAAAGCAUAUUCCAGAGUGGAAAUGGGGUCAUGGGAUUUUUCUUUCUUUUUCUUCUUUCAAUCUCACUUUCAAUGUUUUGGCUGGACAAUUGGACAAUAUGCACUGCCUUUGGAGCAUGACAAGGACACCUACAGUUUAGAUGGUGUACAAGUGAGCUGUCUGUGGCUGUAUGGGGCUACUUUCUUUCCUUCAAUUGGUCCACAUUCUUUACCGGUAACUGAUUCUUUUUUCUUUCUUCAGAACAGUAAGGUAUUAGUCAUUUCGUACCAGGAUGAGGAAAUAAGACACCACCUAAUUAGUGGGCUGUAGUCGGUUCAAUUGGAUGCUGCUACUAUGGUGGCAUUUCUUUUUUGGUUCAAGGGCCAAUUGCAAACCUUACGAGGAGAAACAGGUAAAGGAGAUGAGAUUGAGAGUCGAACCAAAUCUCAAGGUCAUCCUUUUUCUUCUGUUUUUUUGUGUGGUUGCAUUUCAUCUCUCUGUCACGGUUCUGUUACUUGAAACAAUAGGCAGCUCUCUACAUUGAGCAGGGUGAGAAAUUUCCUAAUCCUUUCUCAUGCCGUUCUUAAUUGGUCUAUGGAUAAACAGCACAUUUACCUGCUAAGAAAAUGGAUGAUCUUUUGGGAUUUGAUGGCUUGCGCUUCUAUUUGUUAAUGGAUUUGAACAGCACAAAGUUUCUGCAGUGAAGCUUGUACAUUCAGCAGCAGAUAGAUGUAUUAUAUGUACAGGUGAUUAUUUAAAACCUGCAACCAGUAAAGAGGAGAAAAGUCAAGUGUAUCAUCCAAUAAUUAGAGAAGUGUAGGGUGUGUUUGGAUCCCUUGUUUUUGGGACUAUUUUUGAAAAAUUGUUUUUCACAUUCCAAAUGCUACAGUAAAUGUGUAUUUCUAAAACAACUCCAAAAACACCAUAUCCAAACAUUAUAUCAAAAACAACUACAUAUGUAUAUUUCAAUUUGUAUAUUUCAAUUAUGUAUAUUAUAUAUAUAUUAUAUUAUAUUAAUAUAAAUUGAAAUAUACAAAUUGAAAAUUAUAUAUAUAUAUAUUAUAUAUUAUAUAAAUUAAUAUUAUACAUAAUAUAAUAUAAUAUACAUAAUAUGUAAUAUUGUAUACAUAAAUGUGUAAAUAUUUAUACAUAAUAUAUUAUGUACAUUAUAUUAUAAUAUAUACAUUAUUAAUGUAUAAUAUUAUUCUGUACAUUAUUGUGUAUAAUAAUGUUAUGUAUGUAUAUAUAUAUACAUAAUAUGUAAUAAUGUAAAAUGUAUAUUAUGUAAUAUAUAUAUUAUAUUAUGUAUAUAUAUUAUAUAUAUACAAUAUUAUGUAUAUUAUACAAAUUGAAAAUUAUAUAUUAUAUAUUUAUAUUAUAUAUAUAUAUGAAUAUUUAUAUAAUGAAAUAUACAAUAAAUAUUACAAAUUGAAAUAUUAUAUACACACCAUAUUUAUAAUAUUAUAAUAUUUAUAAUUAAUAUUAAUGUAUAUUAUUUAUAUUAACUAUUUAUAUAUUUAUUUAUACAUAUUAUAAAUAUUUUUAUAUAUUUAUAUGAAUAUUAUAUAUUAUAUAAAUUAUAUAUAAUAUAACAUAUAUAUUAUAUAUUAUAUAUAUUAUACAUUUAUAUAAAUGUACAUUUAUACAUAAUAUAUAUAUUAAUGUAUAUUUAUAAUAUACAUUUAUAUUAUGUAUUAUAUAUAAUAUAAUACAUUUAUAAUAUAUUUAUACAUUUAUAUUAAUAUACAUAAUAUUAAUUUUAUAUUUAUACAUAAUAUUAAUACAUUUGUACAUUUAUAUUAAUUAUAUUAAUACAUUUAUACUUAAUAUUAAUAUAUAUUAAUAAAAUUAUAAUUUAUACAUUCAUAUAAUAUUCAUUUGUAAUUUAUACAUUUAUAAUAAUAUAGACUUAUACGUUUAUAAAUAUAUUUAUAUUAUGUAUUAUAUAUAAUAUAAUGCAUUUAUAAUACAUUUAUAUAUUUUUAUAUAAAUACAAAAAUAUAUUUAUUUAUAAAUAUUUAUAAAUGUAUAUUUAUAUAAAAAUUAUAAAUUAUAAAUUGUAAUUUAUACAUUUAUAUAAUAUUCAUUUAUAAUUUAUACAUUUAUAAUAAUAUACACUUAUAUAUUUAUAAAUAUAUUUAUAUUAUGUAUUAUAUAUAAUAUAAUACAUUUAUAAUACAUUUAUAUAUUUUUUAGCGAAUAUAUAAAUAUAUUUAUUUAUAAACUUUUAUAAAUGUAUUAUAAAUGCAUAAAUGUAUAUAAAAAUAAAAAUUAUAAAUUAUAAAAAUACCCAAAAAUAUGUUUUAAAAAUACCUCUAAAAAUAAUCCAAAAAAAUCUCCAGUAAAAGUUUUUCAUAUAGUUUUGAAAAACAACUCCAAAAACAAACUAAUCCAAACAGACUUGUAUUUCAAAAACAAAAUGCUACAGUGCUGUUUUUGAAAAACAACCCCAAAAACAGCUAAUCCAAACGGAGCCGUAGGUUUUAACAGCGGGAGCAAAAGUAUUAAAUAGCUCUGGGAAUGCAAGUACAAUAAUUGAGCUGCUUGCGCGGAAGUGGGACAAGUUGCGGAUUCACGUGAUGCCUUAAUUGAAAGAAGUAUUUUACAUGGAAUCCAGCAAGAAACAACUCCAACUCAGCCUAAAAGGCAACUGAUAUUGACAUUAGAAUUCUCAAAAUACUACUACCAAAUUUGCUCCUCAAACAAUAGAUUAGAGUAUAAGUAAGGGUAGUGUAAAUGUUGUCAAUUAACUAUGUGAGAAACAAAUGCUUACACAUUCAGAUGCUUGAAAGAAUGGAAAUCAGAUCAAACAGACCAAUAAAGCGUUUACAUCAGGACAUCGCUAUGACACUCUUCUAAGAUCCAGUGACCAAAAUUUGUGGAUAAUCUUGGUUAAUUCUAGAUUACGCCUUUAGUUGCUGUCCCUUCUUCAGACAAACUAUUUCACUAGGCGCGGAUGCUGAAUUUAGAAGAAGCUAUAUAUUAAGUGGCAAGUGGUAGAAGGUAAGGUUCGAACGCUUGAUUUUUCACCCCUACAAGGGCACUUAAGGAUUUUAUAGCAACCAAACGUCUAAUAAACUGUUAUUUUCCGCUUCUUCCUUUCUCCUCGUCCCUUUUGUAGGAACAGGAAAAAAGGAUAGUUUUUUUUCCCCAAGCCCAUUAAUUCAGGGGGCAAAGGUCCAAUAUGUAUGUAGGCCCAAAUGUAGAUGCAGACCCACAUGUACAUAGGCCACAAAGGUGAAACUACAAUUCGACCUCUCUCAAGAGUCGAGUCCAUAAAGAGUAUAGAGAUAUUUCUAGAAUUUUCUUCACCAUUGGAUGGGAAUCUGGAAAUACCAGAUUCCCUUGACCAUGAUGAAAGAAGUGGAAGGCCUAGAUGGACGGUUCCACACUUUCCAUGGUUGGACAGAGUCGAGCACAAUUGUACCAUGAAGCCCCGAUUUUAUGCGAAGACUAGGGGGAAGUGCCCGCGCAUCGCGCGGGUAUUUAGUGCCUGUGAUUAAAGAGAAUUUUUUAGUGGUUGAAGUGAAUAUUAUUUUCAUAUUAAUCAAGAAGUUAUUUUUGAUCAAGAACUUAUCGGUACAUAUCAUCCAUAUUGUUGCAAGGUGAGCAAGUGAAUAAAGAUAAGAGUAGGAUAACAACGCAUAUUAAGUAAUAUUAAUUAAAUUAUUGUAGAUAAUAAUGCAUAUUAACCGAAUUCUUACUUAAUAUGAGCAGAAGGAAAUGCAUGGAUAAUGGAGUAGUUUAGAGGGCACUAAACCUAAUCCUGGAAGUCGAAAAGGGAACAAACGGAAGAAUGUGAAAGAGGAGACAUCGGAACAACCAUAAUCGAUACUUAGACGUUAAAUCAUCAACAUACCUAUGUUUUUGGUUGUUUAAUUGAGAUGUAAAUAGUGGUAUAUUGCUGAUGUGGAAGCUGUUUCAAAGACAGGGGUUUCAGACAUGGGAACUCAUGCAUUGGUAUUAUUAUGAGUUGCUUCACAUAAUUGAAUGAAUAGCUGCAAGUCUCUUUAUUUUAAUUGCACUAUGACACCAUUUCAGUAAAUUACACCAAUACAUAUGCUUAUAUAAGUUGUAUCCAAUGCAUUAACGAUUGCAAAAUAAUCCCUCAGUCCAAAAAUAUCCAGAUGUUCUUAUGCUAUAUAAGAAUGAGUUUUGGUCAAAUUUGUCAAAUGCUACUGUAUGAUAACAUCUAACAAUCAUUUCAUUUGGUGCAAUAUCUAAUAAAUUAAGUAGGUAGAGAUUUUACAAAUUAUUAGAAAUUGAAGUUAUUAACUUGUAUAAAUUAAGAUCCAUUUUUAACUACUUUGGGAGCUUUGUUUUUGUUAAAAUUGUAAUAAAGUAUUUACAAAGAUCCACAAAAGAUAAGAAUAUGUUAGUCCGUAUAAUUUUUCGGCAGUACUCAAUUUGCUAUAGUUUCAGUCAAUUAGUGAUAAAACAACUCCAACUUCAAUUGAAUUUUGGAACUAUUUAUCUGGCAUAAUUUGUGGUGUAAUACUAAUAAAGUAUGUAUCUAAAUUUAGGUUGAAUUCUAAUGCUUUGUGAAGGAAGUCAGGAAUGGAAGUUUUAAUGAAUUCUAUUCAACCAUUAUGGACUAUUCAAUUACCAUAAGUUUAGCAAAAUAUAAGAGAAAAUAAACAUAUUAUCAAACAUAAGUUUAAGACAAGUCAUAGGUUUCAUAGCAGAAGAUCAAACUACCAAAAUCAAUUAUCAUAUGAUCACAUAGAUGAAUCAACUUUAUCACCAUAGCAAAUCAACGGUACAAAGGUCAAACUACCACCAAAUGAAUCAAGUAUUCCCAGAAAUCAAACAAUCAUAUAUAUAACCAAAUACAUAAAUGAACGAGCUCUGUCACUAAACUAAAUCAGUAUCACUAAGUACACUCUAACACCAAAAUCAAUUCCAGAACUAACUACAUGUAUAUUAAAAGAAUUUAAAAGAUUCAGCGGAAAGGAUAAAAUUUUGGUUACCUUAUUUCAAAUAUUCCCUACAAAAAUUUUUGUCACACACAUGAGGCUGACAUUGUUAAUGCAUUAGUAUGACCUAAUUAAAUAUAUUAACAUGUGCAUAGAAAGCAGUUAUACAUAUAUCACAAGUUAUUUGCAAAUUAUGACAAAUUUCAAUGUAAAAAAAAUACAGCUUCAACAUACCUUGGCUUGGAGAUUCUGAUUAGGAGAUGUAAGUAUGUAACACUCUUCACAUGAAUCCUGUUCCUACCACAAAUACAAGCAACGCAAAAAAAUACAAUUCAAAAAACUAAAAGUCAAUUGAUUGUUAUGAUUUGUCUUCAAAUGGAUGAAAGAUGGUUCCAAACAACAAUACCUUUGUUGAGCAAACCCAAAAACUAAGAAAAGGAGAUGAACAGAUGUCCAACACUUGAUACUUUAAAUUUUCCAAUAAUUAGCAUUAAUUUUGUCUUAACCAUCUUGGUCCUAGAAUGGUUGGAAACGGUAAAGACCGUAAGCCAAAAUACAUGAAGUUGAAGCAGAAGAAUUUGAAUAGUAACACCUAUCUAGCCAACUUCUGCCAAUUACCCCUAAUGAUUGUGUCUAAUAAAUCAUUUGCAAUAAAGCUAUGCAAUGAAUGGAAUUUAGCCAGCCGAGAAGUCUAAUCAGUUACAUCAAACCAUGUUCUCCAACUUUUAAUUUGCAACUCACCACCUUUAUGUAAUUACACCAAGAUAAAAGUUAUUAUGAGUUAUACCAACUGUUAAAAAGAGCAGUACAACAAACUCGCAUUCCUAAAAUACCCUUCACUCAUUAAUUCCUUUCACUAAUUACCUACUAAACCACAUUCUCCCCAAUUUAAUUAAAGACUAAGGACGUUUAACUAAUUACAGCCACGCAAAGGCUAUAAUCACUUGUACUCACAGAUAAAAGAUAACCAAAAUAAUCAUACAUUUCCAAAAUAUCCAUAAAAAGACACAACCCCAUUUUUGGAAAUAUAUGACAAAAGAAUUCACCAUAAAUUGUACUCUAGCUACAAUACAAACUUUAAAUGUACAACAUGAGGGCAUCUCUGUAAACAUACCCAAACACAUGCUGCCAUGAGUUGUGCAAAAACUUUAAAAAAAUAACAUAUUAUUUCACAUUUCCAAAAUACUCCUAUCCAUGCGGUUGAAAUUCAAAACCCCCUUUGACCAAAACUCAUUUUUAUAUAGUAUAAGGAAACGUGGACGAAAAAUAUUGGAGAAAUAAAUUCAAACAAAAAGGUGUAAAAUGCAGUUAUGAUACUUAAACUUUUUAAUCCUUCGACUACUCUAAUACUUAAACUUUGAGUGAAUAUAAAUUUAGUACUUAAUGUUAUAAUAUUUAAAUACAUUUGGUAUUUUUGACAGAAAAAAACCAUUUGCUGUCAUGUCCACAGCAACGAAAUUGUAAAAAGGAUCCUUCAAUUAGGUAUUAAUGUGAAAUCUUUUUUGACACUUUCAUUGUCAAGCAUGUGACAACAUAUCAAUUUUUUAGUAGGAAUUAGAAAAUAUAUAUAUAUAUAUAUAUAUAUGUUUAGGGUACCAAUUUUGCUUAAAUAUUGUAAUAUUGGAUAUCAAUUUUAUUUUCAUCUGUUCAAGGGUCAAAAUUUGGAUACCAAAGUUGCAUUUUACUCCAUGAAUUUUGUUUUUUUUCAUUUUUCUAAUAAAAUCUCUCCUAUUUUUUUUUUAGUGAGAGUUUUUUGUUUCUUCAAAACCUUUUUUGCUAGAAUAUUCUAUUCUUUUAGGUAUUCUUAUGGAGAUUUUUUAUUAUUUUAUUAUUAGAUCUAAAUUUAUCUCAUAUUUGUUUGUCAGAUCUUUAAUUUUUUUUGGAUUUUUGAUCUAUUUCGACAUAUUUCAUCAUUGUUAUUGGAAUUUAAAACUGUUGAUUAGAAGAUGUGACAAUUGCAACAUGCAUAGAAGGAAACCAUGGCGAUUUAUCUAUUGGAAGAUGAUUUUGAAAUUUCUUAUGUAUUUCAAAUUUGUUCAUAAUUUUUCAUAUCUAUUGUAUGUGUUAAAUUGUAGAUUUAUGAUUUCUAAUGCAUGUUUAACUUAUCAUUAGGACAGAAAAGUAAAUCAAAUUAUCAAAUUGUACUUGAUGAUUUUCAGCAAUCUAUUAGUACAAUUUACUUUUUAUAAAAAGUAGGAUUUGUACACAAUGUCCAUCAAAUACCAUGCUAAACAAAAUGAGGAAAUUGUUAGUGCAAUUAAACCAAAUUGAUCCUUGAAUGGAUUUUUGUUUAAGCCAUUUCAUGAUAAAUAUUUCAGUGUACGUUUCCACUUGCACAUGUAAGCAUCUUGCCCAUCUGGUCAACCACUAAGUAAUGUUGUUAAAUUCGGACCAGAUAGCGAUUCGACUAAACUAUUAGAUCAUGGGCCAACUGGUCGGAACAGUCAAAUCGUUCUCAAAAAUCCGUUGACGUUAGUAUGAUGUCAUAAUUAUUUUAUAUUUUUAUAAGUUUUUAAAAUAUUAACAUUAAGUUCUUGGUUAUAUUCUACCAAUCAUAUAAAAUGUUCCAAAAAUAUUAAACUUACAAUCAAAUAUAUACCUAAUAAUUAUAUAUAAAAUUGUAAAUUCAUGGAUAAAAUAUGUCCGUUCUCCAAAACUAAAUUAAAAUAAAUUAAUGCAAGUUGAAAUUACUUAUGCUAAAUUAAUAAGAUCAUAAGGAUAAAAACAUAUUGAUUUAGAGAUUAUUCAGAAAAGCGAAUGGCUUUGAUAGUUAUACUAAAUAAGUGGCAUUUUCUUAUUCCUAUUAAUAAAUGAAACUGUUGCAAUAAAAAAAAAUAAGAGAAAAGUUUGAAAAUUGGUUUAACUAGUCGUACCAGUUUACUAGUUUAGCCGGUUUCGACUAACUUUUUUUUAUCAAAACGAUUUUGUGCUACAAACUAAUUCGGAAAGAAGGUUGAUUCACGAUUGAACCGGUCAAAUCGAUCGGUCCAGAUCAGGUCCAACAGCACUACCGCUAAACAAGAGUUGUUUACUAUUUCCAAAAGAACACAAUCAAUUUUCGGAUUUUUGUAAAUCAUAAAUCAAACAUUUUUUUGGUUUAAUCACUUAGCAAUAUCAAAAUUAAGUACAGUGUUAUUCUCGACAUGCACAUUUAAACUAGUUUAAGGGUCUAUUUGAUAACAUAACAAAGUGUUGAAAUUGAACUUUUUUAUACAUUCAGAUGUUUUUUGUGUUUGAUAAAUAAAUAUUGAUCUAUUGAACUUGUGUAUAUUUUUUUUUAGCACAAGAAUCGUAACUGAAUACUUAAUUCUGAUAAAAAUCAACAAAUUUACUUCAACUACUUUAUAUUUUCUACCAAAUCUACCCUUAUUUGUUAAUUACGUUCAAAAUUAUUAUCUAAUUAAAAAUCUAAUUUUUUUUUUCAAAAUCCUUAUCUAAUUCUGUAUCGAGGGAGAGGAAAAGGUAAGUGUAUGCAAAAAUUAACUUACUAUUUGUGAUUUCAACAUAAUUUCCAUAUUCAUUUUUUGUGUUGAGAAGGCGUAGCACAUGACUUUAGAGUUUUGUCAGGAGACCCAACAUGCAACUUUCCUAUUCCUCCAAUAAGUUAAAUUUUUUUACAAAUAGUGUUUUUUUUUGGCAAUAGUUUUCAUCCGCAAACAUUUAUACUUUGAUAUAUAUAUAUAUAUAUAUAUACACACACAUUGUGCAGAUGGAUAUUAUUUAUGUGAUGCAGCUUAUCCAUACACACGACUUUAUGGCACCAUAUCAAAAUAUUAGAUAGUGAUUGUCUAAUUUUCAAAAUGCUUCUCGUCCAAGAUCAAGAGAAGAAUGUUUUAAUCAAGUACAUGCAAAAUUGAGAAAUGCAAUUGAACGUUUUGGAGCAUUAGAAGCUCGUUUUCUCAUUUCAAAAUGAUAAAACCAUACCAUUUUCCAAUGCAAAGAAACAUUGUGAUUGUAUGCAUUGCUCUUCACAAUUACUUGAGAAGAAUUUCUACAAGUGAUUAUUUGUUUCAACAAUAUAAUGAUAAUGAUGCUAUAAUACAAAAUGAUGAGACAAGUGAAGAAGUAGGAGAAAAAUCCAUACAAGCCGAUUAAUUAGUCAUGCCUAGCAUACAUGAAGAAAUUACAAACAAUUAUUUCUAAUUUUUUUAGGUCGAAAUUAGAUGUUAUAUGAAUUAUUGGAUUGUAAUAUUUCUUUUAAUGUUUUCUAUGAUAUAUUUCAUUUUUUUAUAUUAAUUUGAUUUAAAAAUAAAUAUUGUCAUUUUCAUACCUUACAAUUUUAAGCUAAUUAAAUCAUAGGUUCAAUUUUUUUUUGGAUGAAAAGAUAGAAGAGCAAAAUUGUACAAUUUAGCUUAUUAAGCAUUUAGUUAUAAAUGUUUAGCAAACAAUAUAAAUAGGUUUAGCAUUAAAAUUUAGCCUUUAUAUAUUUCUUUUCAGUGCUUAAAAUUCAGCAAAUUAAUUGGCUCCGUGUUCAGAUUUCAAAAUUCAAAUUCAGUUUUAUCAAACGAAACCUAAGACACAUUCAAAGUUUAAAACUCAAACUGAUUCAUGUCAAUUAGAGGUUAAAUUACAGUCUUGAAAAAAGAUUGACGUCAAAUUGAAAUUUAUUAUACAAAAUUAAGGACUAAUUCAAUAGUUGCUUUAGAAUUUUCUAGUAAAAGGUCCGUACAGAAAGAGGCGUAUAAAACGUGUAUUACCAAGAUUUCAGCAAACACGCCACAGCCCAUAACAUGUGAGCUCGGCCCAACGAAUUCAACGGUCCGAUUCUGCCGACAGCAAUCUUGUAAUUUAAAAUUGAUACACCACUCAUACAUCAGCACGUAUGCAUUCCACGCAAAUAUCACAAACCCCGUGGUUUAGACCCCACCAAGUCCUCAUCUACUACCUCAACCCUAAAAAUUGCGAAGACUCUUUGGACAAAUUCUCAUCUGUUACGCGUCCCCUUCUCUACCACUUUCCUCGACGCUUCCGCUCUCUCUAUAUCUCUCGUAUCAUAUCCGGUACGGCCGCCUUUCAUUGUAUCUACAUAUAUAUGUUGUGUGAGAAUUUCAUAUAGGGCUGCUGACUUUAGAUGUGUGUACAGUGAGGGUUUCAUUUGAAAUUUUCGUAUUAGAGAUAAUUUAAGAGCGUUGACUGAUUGAAUCGGUCGUUUAAGUCGCAGAUCUACAUAAUCGGUGGGUAUUUUUCUUGUUUAUCGCUGAAAUUUGGUUAAUUUUGAUUAAGAAAUGGUGAAUAUUGUUGUAUGAAUGAUUUUCUCGUGGAUCAGGGUUAGAUCUGUUUGAUUUGUGUUUAUACUCAGCUUCAUGGCAUGGAUCUUAGCUGAUUUUAGUAGAUACUAAUAUGAAGAGUUGAGUUAUUCUAUUUUAGAUGGUGGUGGUGGUGGUUUUUUUUUUUUGAAAAUUUAAUGCUUUGUUGUUUGGUUGUGCCUUUUUGGUUGAGAAAUGAAAUCCUGGUUAGAUCUAGUCUAGGGUAUGUUAUUAUAUUCUAUCGCCUUUUCGGUUCUUUUGAAUAUAUCUAAUUUAUUGGUUUUUUUUUAAAUCUAUAUUUUCUUAGCCAUUUUCUUACAAGAAUAAAGAUGGCUUUUGCAAGUCUUUUGGAUUUUUUCAAUCUUAUUUCCAUAAGAUUGUUUAUAACUGUUUGGCUCGAAGGAUGAUCUUAAUUUAAUGGCAAGGUGCUCGUUUUAUUUGGUUCUAGAUUUUAUUUUGUUCCUUGGUGUUUGUUGUCUUGAUGUCGUGUGUCUCGUUGAAGUGUGCUUGUUAAAUAAUCUAGGUAUUGCUGGAAAUAGAUCGAGGGAGUUAAAGAUUUUCCAAAUACUCAUUUUGUUCUUUUUAAAUUUCUGUCCGUCAUAAAGAGGUGUAUUUUCAAAAUUUUGUCUCUAAAUUGUUUUUGCAUAAUCAAGGAUAUCUGAGUUUUAUACAUAUUUCAACUGUUUUAAACUUAGGUAAUUUCCCUGUUCGAUUAUGUUCUGAUUUUUUUGGGGGAUAACUAUUGUGCUUUCGUUGAUGUGUUGGCUUGUUAUUGGUUCUUUGGUGGUAAUUUGUACUGAAAUGGGCCUGUUUUGUCCGUGUAACAUGCAUCUUACUUGUCUUAAUGCUUGUGCAGUUAAUAGUCCGUUGAAAUGAGCCGCCCACAGGAUCCACACAGGCCUUCUUUUCCAUUUGGAAAUCCUUUUCGGAUGAUAAUGCCCAAGGGCUCGUAUCUUUCUCCAAAGCUUACUGAACUGUUGAACUCUUUCGAGGAGUCACUAGCUCAGCGGCUUAGAAUGCUUAUGCCUGCAGACAGGGAAGAAAUAUUAAGCCUAUUGUGGAUGAAACGUGCUGUGGAGUCUCUUUCUGCUAUUCAUACAGACAUAAAGACCCUUAUCACUGGACUUGAACUCCCUGUCAGCGAUUGGGAUGAGAAAUGGAUUGAUGUAUAUUUGGAUAAUAGCGUGAAGUUGCUGGAUAUCUGCAUCGCUUUCAGCUCUGAACUUUCAAGGCUCAGCCAAGGCCACCUAUUUCUGCAAUGUGCCUUGCACAACUUGGAUUGUGCUUCCUCAAAGCAAUUUGUGCGUGCUUGUUCAUCGCUGGAUGGUUGGAGGCAGCACAUUGGUUCAAAGAACCCCAGGAUGGAGAACUGUUUUUCCAUUUUGGACAAUCUUAUCAAGACACUUAACCUUCCUAAGAUUAAGAAUUCUUCCAAAGGGAAGGUACUGAUGCGAGCUAUGUAUGGAGUAAAGGUUGUCACUGUCUUUGUUUGCAAUGUGUUUGCUGCUGCCUUCUCGGGUUCUGCAGAGAAGUUGUUAGAUUUACAGGUUGAGGAGAUUCGUUUGUGGGCAGAAGCUUUUGCAGGCCUGCAGGGCUUUGUCAACGGGGAGAUAAGAAGUAUAUACUCCAGUGGGAAGGCCACAGUUUUGAAAGAACUUGAAGCAGUCGAUGCAAAUGUGAAGAAGUUAUACCCCAUUGUACAGGAGGGGGUGGGUGAAGAGGCCGAAGCAUACAAGAAUUCAGUCUCUGAUCUAGGGAAAAGGGCUGAAAAACUUUCACAAGGACUAGAUCUACUUGCAAAGGAAGUGGAUGGUUUUUUCCAAAUUGUUCUUAGCGGGCGUGACGCUUUGCUUUGUAACCUUAGAGUUGGUACUAACGUUACUGACCAAUUACAAGAGAAAAAAAAUGUAGAGGUGAGGUGAACCUGAUGAUGGUCACUUCUCUUGUGUAAGCACCGUUGUAGUGAUGGGGUUGGCUGAAGAUGUUUGCAGUAUUAUUACGUUAUACAAGUGCGUAUAUAAUGUUGAAAGGUGUGCGUUGUGUGCUACUGUGGUUAUGCGUGAAGCAUGUUUGAACUUCUGUGUAAUAGCAGCACUGUAUGUUUGCACAUACGUGUUUUCAGAGCUCGCUCCUCCUGCUGUUUCUACGUCUUUUUUUUUUAUUCCCCAUUUUAUCUUUACUGUUUUUUUUUUUUAAGAGGAAUAGUCUCAAGUUCAAUGGGAAGCACAUUUUCCAUUCAUUAGCUAAGCUUUACUCUUUCGUCUCCUGAUCGCCUGGUCAAGCACAAUUUAUGAAUUCGAUUAAGGAUAAUAUCUUGUACAAUUGGAGAUGUCACGUAACAAUUUGUCAUCAUGUUUUCAAUAGGUGAAGACGCUCUCCUGGGUAAACUCUUCUGGUAGCAAGCAUCUCUUCAUGUCACCGAAUACUCUCUCUGUUUGAAAAAAAAAAAAAAAAAAGGCGAAGACAUUAAGUGUGGUGUUCUAUGUUUAUCCAAACAGGGCGAAAGUCACAAUGCAAAUUGUAAUAUUCAUACAUGUAUGCGCAUGCGUGUAAAUUGUACUGAUAAAUCCAAAAAAUUGAUAAAAUUAUAAAAAUUGUUGAACAAGCAAAAUAUUAACAUAAUUUUAAUUCAUACAGUAGCUGUCUAGAAUCAUGUUAGCAGAAAAUAAUUAUAUUUUGGGAUUAAAGAAAAGAUAAAAAAUGUAUAAAAUAAAGGAAUGGAUAUUUUCUUUUUAUAUAUAUAUAUAUAUAUUUCAAACUAUUUCCAAAGAGAAAAUAAAUGAUAAACAAUAAUAAAGAUAGGAAACAAAAAUAAAGAAAAUAAAAUAGUAAAUUUAAAAUAAAAAAGGAGGAAAAAAAAAAAGAAAAAAGCUCCGUAACAUGAUGCCAACGCCCGUGUCCCAUUCAAACGCAUCAAGGCGUUGAAACACCUUUUAAAACAAAGAUGUCACGAGAAACUGUCCUCAACAAAACAAUCGACAUCAACGGUUGGGUAGGGGUCAUCUUCCUCUUGCUCCCGUCUCUAACUGUGCCUCCCCGGCCCCUAAUUCAGCUGACCUGAUAUCUUUCCAUUGACCACUGUACAGCAUACUCGGAUAUUUGCUUUAGGCAGUUCAUCCAUGUUUGAUGGUUAGACCUCCAAUAAACAAAUUUAUCAAUACUUCACCGUAAAUAUGUGUUGCAGCUACAAAAUAGUUCUUGAAUUUGCAAACAAGGAGUAUGACAAUUUAGAUGGCCCAAGGGACAAUAAAUAUUUGGAUAGAGUAUAUGAAAAAUUAUUUGAAAUAAUUAUUGUAAUAUUUUUUAUAAUACGAUAAAUGUGAGACAAAAAGAUAUUAGUUAGAAAUAUAAAAAAGUAGUUAUAAAAGCGUCUUUAUAAUAUAUUAACUCAAUUAUCUUUCACUAGUAAAUUGGACCAAUAUACCAUGUAGAGGUGUUCAUACACUAAGUAAUCAGUCGAAAUUUAUAAUUUGCCAAUCCUAAUCGCAUGUAUAUUCCAUACCUUAACUCUGUCCAAUUACUAAAAUUUGGUGUUUAUCAUUAUGGAUUAAAUCGCAUAUAGCAUUAAAAAAUGGUAUGUCAUUUUAUAUUUUUCAUUUAAUACAAGAUCCAAAUUACUCUUUUCAGUUACGUAUUCUUUAUCAAACAUGAUCAACAAUAAAUAACAAAAAAAAUUUGCAACGAAACAUUACAAAAGCAAACUAUAACAUCAUAAAUACCUUGUCAAUAUAUUAGGUUAGUUGCUAAGAUUUUAUGGUAUUAAAAUUAGUUCUUUGAAUGUUUUGGUUGCAGACUUUUUUGAUUAUUUGUCGUUGAUUAUUUUGACAUUGAGUUUGUAACUGAAAAGGGUAAUUUAAAUCUUACAUAAAAUGAAAUAUAUAAAAUAAUAUACUUUUUUUAAAUGCUACAUAUGAUUUGUAACUGGAGUGGUAUUAGAUUAUGUUGCCUAGAACCACCAUUAUAAUAUUCCCAUGUGUUUAGAAGUAUUAACAUUUUAGAAACACAGAAUAAAUUCUACUUCAUAGCAAAAUCAUAACUAACAGUUGCUAAUCCAAUGAAAGAAAUCCUUAUACCGCUAUUUGACAUUUUACACAAGUUUUUCUUGAUAACAUACAAAAUGCACAAAUUUCACACUUUUGAUUCCUUUUUCUAUUUCAAUAAUCAAUUUCAUUAUUUAUUUCUCUAUCACCAUGACCUCUUCAUUUCCUUCUAGUUUGACACAAACCUACUUACUCUAUUGAUUUUGCAAUUUAAAUUUGCUAAUAUUCGUAAGAUUGGAGAUACAAAGAAAAGGCAUAGCAAUACAAUAGCUAGGAAAGAGAGGGGAGCGGAAAUAGACAGGAAAUAGAGAAAUAUGAUUUUUUUCUUUGGAUUUUGUAAAUCUAUUGCUUAUACCGUGAAUUGUCUAUCAAGUAGAAGGCAUUAUAGGUACUUUAUUAUGUCAAGGGAGAUAAACGUAAUUAUGUAAACUUGACGAGAGCCGGGUGAAAUUAUCCCUUUGCAAUAAGACUACUUAACAUGAUAUAGACCAUAGAGAAAAUAAUGCAAAAUAUAGAGAAAAAAAUAAUUUUGAUAAAAAAAAAAGUAUUUAAUCACGUGUGAAACUGUCCUACGGCUGUCUUGUGGCGAGAAUCGACCCACGAUCUCGCAGUAUUUCGCGAUCACGGCCAUGUUUAAUUUUCUUUCUUCUUGUGCUUCCUAUUCUAUUCUUGCUGGAGACCGAAGCUGGAAUUCAAAUCAGAGCUCCCCACUCCUCUUGGAAUCGUGCAAAAGUAGAGAGGAGAGAGAUAGACAUCCAAUUCCAAUCCAACAGAAGUAAAAGGAAAAAAAAAAAUACAAAAGAGACGAGGAAAGGAAAAGGGGAUCAAUGGGAAAGGGAAGCUUCCGUUGAAGUCUUAUUAGUCUUUCAUGAUGGCGGGCAGCUUUGACCACAUGUUUUCUUGGUCAGACUGUAAAUCCUUUCCUCCUAGUCUGUGGGUCGGAUUAUCAAAAUACUCACAAACUUGUCAACGAAGUGAUGAAAUUCAACAAUCAGAUAAAACCAAAUACAACGAGAGGAUAUUGAUCAUUAUUUUGACAAUAAGGUACCUAGUACUUAUUUUCUUUGGCGGUAUGGCACUUAAAUUUGAAGUCAACUUUCUUGCAUGGAUAAGUAGUUUAUAAACAUGAUGAGGAUAGUAAUUGUAUUAUGUAGCACUAUAAACAAGGCAAACUAAAAAUCAUUUAGGAAGGAUUAAAGGAUCACUCAGGCAGAGCCAAAGAGGAUUUCUCAUUUCUCGUCUACAGAAAACACAAAAGCUGUUGUUGGAUUGAAAUUAGCAGAAAACAAAAUCGCAGGUCCUUCUGUUCUGGGGAAUAGUAGGGCCAGGUGUGUGGUGGAAUAUCCAUGUCUACAUUUAUGAAGGUUACAACGGCCAAAUCAUCAUAUCGAUGUCAUCACUCUCACAGAAAUUGUAAAGCUGAUAGGCCAUAUGACUACUCCUACUAGUAAAAGAAAAGAAAAAGCAAACCCACAAUUAAAAAGUCCAAUUUACUUCACGGGUUACCACCAGCCAUUCCAGUUCAAAAGUUCACACUUCCCAUUAGUAAUUACUUAACCCACCCCCGCCCGCCCCUUUUCUCUUUCUAGAAAAUACUACGUAGUAGAAAAGAGAAAAGAAAAACAGUAAAAAGAAAUGUCAAAAAGGUUUCUCCUUCUUCCACGGCUACCGACAAGUCUUUCAAGAACUCCAAAACCUGAGCAAAGACUCGACUUUUGAGUUGGGUUUUUGCUGUUUUGAGUUGGGUUUUGUUUUUUUUGUUUUUUCCAUUCUUUAGUUUGAUUUUAUAUAAGCGAAAAGAAAGAAAAACAGAAGGUAGAGGAGAAUUUGAUUGAUUAUGUCUGUAGAGUCGAGCUCAGGUUCAGGAGAUCACCACCAUGGUCAUAAUAUAAGAGGAGUGCCAACUCAUGGUGGGCGUUAUGUGCAGUACAAUAUCUAUGGUAAUCUGUUCGAAGUGUCAAGAAAGUACGUUCCUCCUAUUAGGCCUGUGGGUCGAGGGCUUAUGGCAUCGUUUGGUAAGCGUAAAGCAGCUUUCUUUACGUGUGGGUUUUACCUAUUUGCUUAUGCUUUCGUGAUUGAAUCUGUUGACGCGUGGUGUAAGUGCUGAUUUUGGUAAUUACAUCAUAAGGAUCUCAAAUUGAUCUUCUUUCCACAGAAAAUUCUAAAAUUAACUUUUGUUAGAUUUUGGUAGUUCACAUAUUAAAAUUCAUUUUUGGGAAUUCAAUAGAGGUGUGAUACCUGCUGAUAAAUCAUUCAGAGAUGUGGUUUUAGUAGGAAAAGGAAUUUACAGUAUUUGGGUGAUCAUUUAGAGUUGGGAGCUAGAAUACAUAAUGCAUAUGGCUGAGAUCAUACUUGUUGAUGCCAAAAAGGUGGGAGGGGUAAAUAGGUGAUGUAGAUCUACUUGAAGUCUUGAAAAUCUUCCACCUAAAUUGCAAAAGAAAAUGCAAAAUGCUAAUCAGUCGGAAUUGGGGGCAAAACCAUCUGAUCAUUAAGUUCAUGAUUUAGAAAUCUGGAGAUUAUAUCUUGUGUGCAAGUCUGUAGCCUCAAUAGUUAAACCUGUUAAUCAUAUCUGCUAGUGCAGUAUUCAUGGAUGAAAUCAGCGAGACUGGUAGGGUGCACUAUUAUGGUUGUGUAGUCGAUUAAUGUGUGAAAUGGCAAAAUGCCCUCAUUACCAUGCUAGACUUGCUAUUGUAAAUGAUUUUAACUUAAAUUCAACUAUUACGACAAAUAUUAUCAACUUUUUUGAUGUUGGUGAUUUAGCAAAUCAUGUCAAUGCAAUCUCUAAAGUUGCUCGGCUACCAGGCUUAAGUUCUACCUUUUACUGCUGCUGCAAAAUACUCUCAGGGUCUUUUCUUGAAUGCCUUCCCCAUUUCUAUUCCACAUUUUAUGGGACUUCCAAAUUUCUGAUGUGCAGAACUCUAUGCUGCAUUUGCAUGGAUAGGAAUAUAGUUUACCAUUUCUUUUGUCCUGUUAAUUGUAGAAAAUUUCACCUUAAUUAUGUCCCUGAAUUUGUUUGUAGUUUCCUUUGGUUCUUGUCAUUUACUUCCUCCGGAAACCUUUUUGACAUUCACUAUUUUGGUGAUUAUCUUUCCCUACUUAUUGGAGAUGAUAUGACCACAAUACAAUAGGUAUUCAGAGUAAGAACACAUUUUUUUUUGUUUCGUCGUGAACCCUUGCAUGUAGGUAUUUAACUCAAUAUUGAGCAUUGCUGAUGCGAUGCAACCAAUUGGAUUGUUAUUUGAUUUCCUUUAUAAAUUCUUAAGGGAUUUGGAACUUCAACAGGUUUUCUUGCACCUUUUGAGUUUGAGUCGGAUUUUAGUUGGAGACUGCCAAUUUCAUUUAGAUGUGCUAUUCUAAGGUUGCAUGUAUUUAUAUACAAAAAAUUUUGUUUGAUUUAUGUCAUUGUAAAAAAAUUUGUGAUUAUUUUUUCGUAUUUGAUUUAGUGCCGCUAUGAACUCAGAGACACGGGAGGAAGUAGCAAUUAAAAAGAUUGGCAAUGCUUUUGACAACAGAAUUGAUGCCAAGAGGACACUGCGGGAAAUAAAGCUUCUUCGUCACAUGGAUCACGAUAAUGUAAGUAUCAUUACUGUAUCAGUUCUCUGAAAGAUUGAAGAUUUGAUUCAGAUGCAUGUUGUGCUAAUUGGUUUACUACCUUUGUGUUAGCUGCUGCUAUAGUACUUCAAUUGUUUUAUUGUUAUAGAAAGUUUGUUUAGCUGUUGUACUAGCUGGGUAAACAUGUUGCUACUUGGUCUUCAUAAGCUUUGCAUUUUCUUUUCUCAUUGCUUCUGUUGUUUACAUAUAUUUUUUUUCCAAGUCUACAUGCUAGAAAUAAAGUCUUCAUUAGUUAUAUUUUAUCCAAAUCAAGAGUGCCACAGGACAACUAUGUGAUUGACUUGGGAUGAGAUGGAAUAGGCAAUCUUUAGGCCUGGCUCCUUUAUUUAAGUUUGUUUACUUGGGGGAGGGAGUUAAGUGUGAAGUGUCGGGUUCAAGCCUUCCCACUUACGCUAAAAAAAAAGUUUAUUUAUGGAAAAAUGUGGAUAUGCUUGUUUUAUCAACUAGCGAGUCCAUGAAGAAUUAAGAUUGAGCUCAAGGUGACUGUUGACUACCUUUGUAGGUCCUCACAAGAAAUUUCUCCUGACAAAGUUACAUCAGUAAAGAUAGCUUUUUUCCUGAACUCAAGUGCACAUAGCAAGUAGAGUCCUGGAUUGCUCAACAGUAGUAUAGAAACCCACUAUCAUUUAUGAUUAUAUAUAGUUACCGAAUAGCCUUAAAUUGCACUGAUUUCAAGACAUCCUGCAUCUCUCCUUCAACUUUUAUGAUCUUCCUUUCGCCUUCAACUGGUAUGUUCUUCCCUACCUUCCGUUUCUAGUCUAAGAAGGCAACCAACAUGACACCCACCACCAGCUAAUGAAAAGUAAAUGUAGAUGAAAGGUAAGAUGCCCACAGCUAUUCCUGUAUAAAAUGUCAAUCCCUUUAUAAGCAUUUAGCAUUGUCUAGAUACAUAGCAAAAGGAAGCAUAUAAAGAGCAUUUAAAAACAGGUGCUUAAAUCUCUCGCAGCCCCUUCACCAUUAAAACACACAUGUAGUGUGAAGUUGGCAUGUUUUCCAUGCCUAUGAUUAUUCUGUUGCUGGCUUUGACAGGAAAUUACAUUACAAAAGGGGGCGUGAGUGUCUUUUCUUCAAACGUAUCGGGUUAUAACAUAUAAUUGUGAAUCUCCAUCCUCUAGGGGACCUCUACAACUUUCCCAAGUAAUUUCAGAGUAUUGAGUGUCACUAUGAUAGUGCCAUUUGAUUUGGAAAUUUUGUCAAAGCCUUCAUCGAAAACUAUGUACCAUUCACUCUGUUGGCCACAGAUUCCAUUUGUUGUGUUCUUCCCUUGGUAGAACUACAUAUUUUAUAGAUAUUUGAAGGAAAAUGAUUUCUGAUUAAGCUUUUUGAUCUGUUUAUGGGUUGUCUCUUCUUACAGGGAAAGGAAACUUACACGUGAGCAGCAGUAGCGCUCUCUGUAGGCUAAUAUAACACAAAAGUUUUUUUUUUCUCCCCCUAAAAUCAAGGGCUAAAAUUAACAAAGCCUUGUGUAAAAUACUAGAGGAUCUCUUGAUUGUUUGCAUUUUAUGUCUCUCUUCUUUUGAAUUGUGUUCAAACCAUUGUGUCUUCUUUUGGGUCUAAAGUUCUUAAAUUUGGUUCGGUAAUUGUAGCUUACUGGGAUGCUUCAUUUUUAGAUAUAUUCUCACUUCGUGCUGUUUCUGUUGGCACAGAUAAUUGCACUGAAAGACAUUAUACGGCCUCCGCAAAAGGAAAACUUCAAUGAUGUCUACAUUGUCUAUGAACUAAUGGACACUGAUCUUCACCAGAUUAUUCGGUCCAACCAACACUUGACUGAUGAUCAUUGUCGGGUUUGGAUCCAUUCUCUAGCCGCACAUACAAGAAUUGCUUACUAUAUAUAGCUAGCACCAAAGAAUUUCAAAUGCUCAUAGCUUAUCAAAAUAAUAUUUUUAUUUUACUUUUACGAAGAAAAAGAGGUCCUUUUUUUCCCCUGAAACUGCAAAGGGCACCAGUAUUUAUUUUUAAUCAAUAAACUGUUUAUUUGUGGGACUCCAUUGAUUAAAAAAAAGGUUAAGAAAACUGUUUAAAAAAUAAAAUAGAAGAAAUAUACUCCUUGAAUCCUUAAUGGAUGUUAUUUUUUCCAUCUUUGAGAUAUCACGCAGCAACAGCAGGCUAGCUAAAGUUCAAUUAUUUUUCCCUUUUAGUUGUAUUUACUUCCUUCCUUCAAGUUAAAGGUGGCUAUGCCUUUAGAUGUAGCACAGGAGAUUCAUGUGGUGGAAUGUUGGUAUUCUUGAAAUGGUCCAACACAAGUUAUUUCAGUGGAGUUUUUUUAUGUAUAGGUGUAAUUUCAUAAAGUGAUGAUGAUAGUCAUGGGUCUGAUAGUUUGCAUUUGCAAUUUACUCUGUUGUUUUUGAGUUUGACCUUCUGGAAUGAGCUUUUCUUUUGUCUAUGUUCACGUGCUUGGGUCUGUGUGAGUAAGAGGGGAAGGGGAUGGGGUGUCCAAUGUACAGGACUGUUACAUUUUUUUUUUAAUCUUCUUCAAUGUUGAUUUAAAAUUGCAGUACAUGACUUUUUGACUGUUAGCCUUGAACUUCCAUUCAUGGCAGUAUCCAAGAAUUUCAUGAUGAAGUUUUGGCCUUGCAUGGAGAACUGUUGGUGUCUAUGUUGGGCAUUCAACAUUAAUUUUCAUCUAUUAAACAUAACAGUCCAAUUGGAUAUUUGUUCUCUGUUCCUAUUUGUGUUCUAUUGUAGUGAUUGUGGUGUUUAUGAUUUAAGGAUCUUUGAAACUUACAAACAAAAUAAACAGGAAAGAGAAUUUUUUUUUUUUUGGGGAAAUGAAAGUGGAGAGGUGUCAAAGUUAUUCAUUAUGUUUCAGUUUUUCUUUUUAAUAUUAACCUAACACUUGUGAUAGACUAAUGUGUUUAUGAACCUAUGCACUAGUACAUGGUCUUAUCACCACUCCUUGGACAUGAUAUUUCUGUUACAUGCUUUGUGCAGUUUUUGAACAUUCUCCAGGCUCUGUUGUUUUGAUCUCUAUGUAUUGGAUAAGUCUAAUGAUUUGCAUUACUAUUUAUGCAGUACUUUCUUUACCAAAUUCUACGAGGACUUAAAUAUGUUCACUCUGCUAAUGUGUUACACCGUGAUUUAAAACCUAGCAAUUUGCUUCUCAAUGAAAUUGUGAUCUUAAAAUUGGAGAUUUUGGGCUUGCAAGGACAACAUCUGAGACAGACUUCAUGACUGAAUACGUUGUCACUCGCUGGUACCGUGCACCAGAAUUGCUACUAAAUUGCUCAGAAUACACUGCAGCAAUUGAUAUUUGGUCUGUAGGGUGCAUACUUGGUGAAAUUAUGACAAGCAAUCCCUCUUUCCUGGCAAAGAUUAUGUUCAUCAAUUGAGACUUAUAACAGAGGUAUGUUCGUUAUAUCAUUAAGAUGAUUUGUGUGACAAGUUCUGUUGCAAGUUUGCAGGAUAUCAUUUGUUUUUUUGUGAAAAAAGGAUGAGGAACAUCUUCUUUUGUGGUUAAGAUUGAAUUUCUGCUUUCUUUUCAUGUAUAUUGCGCUCUUAGCCUUCUAGUCCAGACUUUUUGUGCUUUUAACAGUAUGAGUAGUAUAGAUACCAUAAUUCCUUUGUGUAAUCAAUUUCUGCUUAAACAUUUAUUCUUUAGCUACUACAUGAGUAAGUUCUCUUGUUACAGAUUGACUGGUUUGCAAAAAUCCAAUUUUGAGUUUUGCAGAAUAAACAUCAGAAAUGGAGAAAUUUUUACAGUGGGAGUAGCACAUUAUACUGAAAUGUAUGCGUUUUCUAUGGGGGAAAUACCAUCUUGUGUAGAAAAUGUAAUUGUUUAAUUAAAAAAAAACAAGAGAAUCAUCAUAGCUUAAUAGCAUUUUGAAAAAAUAGAUGAUUGAAAAUAAGAGGUAUGCUUGAUAGAAUUAGAAAUGAUUGGAUUGGAAGUAAGAGGUAAUACUUGAUAGAAUUAGAAAUGAGUGGAUUGGUACCUUCAUGAAAACCAUACUGGUGAAAUCCUUCUACUUAUUUAAUGUCUUCAAAAUUUCUGCCUGCUCUUGUUCAAUGGUUGUCCAAUAGUUUGGAUUUGAUUACUUCUGAUUCUGAAUUAUACUUGUUUUUCACUUUGCAAAGCUCAUCGGUUCACCAGAUGAUGCCAGUUUAGGGUUUCUUCGGAGUGACAAUGCCCGAAGGUAUGUUAGGCAGCUUCCCCAAUACCCAAGACAACAGUUCUCAGCUAGAUUUCCUAAUACAUCUGCUGGAGCUCUGGAUUUGCUCGAAAAAAUGCUUGUCUUUGAUCCAAGCAAACGGAUUACAGGUAAGUAUGAUUAAACUAUUUCCGGAGCUCUCUUUGUCCAUUUAUUCUAAAUCAAACUUUUGAGUUGAAGUUGAACGGUAAUAUUAUGCGACUUCUUGUCUUGUUGUCAUGCUUCAAAACAUAAGUUGGGAAAUUAGUGCCAAAAAUUAAGAUUUCUCUGGAAGCCAAGUUUUUUGCCAAGUUUGUUGCUACAAGUUUUUUAAAAACUUUAGCUACAGUAACCUCAAAAAAUUUUUCAAAGUUUUUAAACUAUACACUUCAAAAUAGUAAAAAAAAAACACACUUCAAAAUUUUUUUAAAAAAUUUCUACAAUAAGCUACAGUAAAGUUUUAGACAAACACCAAAAAAACUCACCUUCCAAAUGGAGCCAGUGUUUGGCAAGGUUGUCUACAUAGUUUUAAGUAUUUCAGUUUUGGUUUGGGUAAAAAAUCACUUUUUUUUUAAUGCUUUUGGGAGCACUGACACUUAACAUUGGGCAAAGGAAAAAGGCAACAAGCAGCAUUUUGGUCAUCAAGAAAAUAGAUGAAUUUAGCUUUCUGAGCACGACAUUUUAAUUCAAGCAGUGUAUGGUGAUUUAGUUGUAAGUUGAAUGUCUGGACAACUUGAAGGUGGUCAUCAUUUUUUUGAUGAACAGCCUAAAUAUUUUGUCAAUCAUGCGGUUUUCCCUGGUGGCCCUGAUGAAUGGCUCUUUUUGUUGUUUCUUGACAGUGGACGAGGCACUUUGCCACCCGUAUUUGGGACCUCUUCAUGAUAUCAAUGAGGAGCCUGUUUGUCCUAGGCUUUUGUUUUCGAUUUUGAGCAGCCAUCCUUCACUGAAGAGAACAUCAAGGAGCUCAUUUGGCGGGAAUCCGUAAAAUUUAAUCCGGAUCCUACUCAUUGAGAAUGGAACUAAUGAUGUAUAAACAAGUUCUUUGACCGGACUUCCACUGAAUACUUUGUGUUGUAUCCAGAGUGAACCCCUGAUUAGGAUCAUGAAAUAAAACAAUGGAAAUGUUGAGGUUGACAAAAUUUCUACAUGGUAGAUCUCAUUAGAUUUUUCUUCUGUCAUCUUCUUUGUAUUUUAAAUGUUCUAAUAUUGUACAAAGAAAUUGAAGCAGCGUUCACAUAGGCUCAAGCAUUCACUUAUCACUUAUUUUUUGGAAUAAGUUUUGCCUACGCAAUUCAGACGUGUUUAAUCAAUGUACAUAAUUAAUUAAGAUGUUCUAUUUUUUAUUAUUAUCAGAUACGUUCGAACAUGUUAAGAUCUGAAUUUCAUUAAGUGUUAAAUUGGGUUGGUUAUCAACCAGUAUCUAACAAAUGUGAUGAACAAUUUAUAAAGGUCUAACAAAUUCGACGAAUAAAUGAUUAGUAAAAGUUAGAAGUCUUGACGUGAAAAAAAAAAAGGUUAGAAGUCUUGUUGGUUUAGUUACUGCUCUGCACUUCGAUGUAGCACAAAUGUGAAAGUAUAGUUGGCUUUUGUAUACAUUAAUCUACAAUAAGUUUGCAGAUUAGUCCAAGUAUUUUGAUGUUUCUCGAGUACAUGAUAACAGCAGAAUAUGUGGUUUCCACUUAUAUAUAACACAGUUCAGUGAGAAUAGUUACAUUUUAAACAUUCUCUUGAAAUGUUUAACAGUAGAAGCACAAGGCAUAGGAGUCUAGCCAGUGGGCCUAAUCACGGUCGAUAAAAACUUUAAAAGAUGCACAGUACUGCUCCACAACUCCUUGUUGAUUGUUCCUUAAUCAUUACCUAAUUAUGGGCGGCCAACCGCAAAGGAUCCCUGACAGGCCGCCUUUAUGUAUUAUGCCCGUCAAAAUUUGGAUUAUCAUAAUCCACAUUCUUCUAUCUAAGGUGAUAAAAUAAUGUGAUAUUCUCUAUUUUAAGUCUAUUUCAAUCUACCAUAUAACUAUAUCCCAACAUCCCUUGAUUAGUGAUGUAGUCCUGAGCUCUUGGUUCAGGUCCUAAUCCUGAUGAGUACUACAUUUUUAAACUCCGGAUGAGUCCUUAUCGAGUCAUCUAUGUUAUAACUAGAGGUAACUCUAUAGAAACAGCAAUCUUCUGGGCUGUUUGAGACAGCUUUGAUUUAUUCCUCAACUUCACAUAUCUUCAUCAAUGACCCAGAUAUAUGUAUAUAUAUCUGGUUUUUCUCAUGAAUGAAGUUGAUGAAAUUGGCCUUUUUGCUUGAGGUAAAUGAGAUGUUUCUUUUCUUUUUCUUUUUUUGUUUGUGGGGUGGGGGGGAAGAAAUAAAGGUUGGGACUUUGGACUUGGGAGGGAACUGUUUCAAAACGGCAUUCACUCAGCAAAGCCAACAGCUAUAGCCAUCGUUUUCAAAGCAGCAUCAAUUCUUCAAAUUCAAAUCAUCAGCCAAACCAUUAAAGGUAGCAUAAAAGAAUGGUUUUACCGUUGCUUUUUUCUCUUCCAGCCGUUAUCUUCAAAAUUUUUAAACCACCAGUAUGUUGGCUUCUGUUUCUCCCAAGUCAUGCUUGGUCUCCUUGGAUGACUUGCUACUUUGUCAAGAAAGUUGCUGCAUGUUCAGUGUGAUCAGUGAAUAAUUUCAAAGUUAAGCUAAGAAAAAGACACAGCAGAUUCUUUUUUUUUUUCCUUUUUCUUUUUCUGGAAAGCAAUAAAUGAAAUGCUUUUGUCUUGGAACUCAAGAAUUCUAACAUUUUGAAGUCAGUUCCCGGUAGAUUUAGUUUCAUAAAAAAUGCAUCCUCUCUUCAAGUACUUUUGCCUGAAAUUGAGUUUACAACCUUGACAUCUGCAGCAGCAGUCUAGAUAAAGGGGGAAGACAAGGGAUCAAAUGGAUAGCGCGGGUAAUUCGGAUGAAACUUGUGAUCUGGGAUAUCAACCUUCACAAUCUUCUUUAGAUCAGAAUGAUCAAUCAUCGUCAACCGAAGCCACCAGCUUUUCGUUGCAGAGUGGCUAUUCUUUCUGCAGAACUAACUCAGACGUCUCAGCCUUCUCUGAACCUACAGAUGACAACAGCAGCACCUUUUCGGAGACCCCCUCUCCCUUAUGUUGGCCAGGAAUGAAAUCUCCCAAAACUCCUGUGCUUUCAAAACUAGUAAUGCAGCAACAAAACCCUGCUGCAGAUGAUGAGACAGAGACUGAAGAUUUAGGUGGGUUCUGCAAGAUUGAUUCUUUUCCGUCCCUUUUCUUUUUGGUUUCCCUAGUUUCCUAACGGUGUUCGAAAUACUUGUAGAGCUUGACAUGAUGAAGGAAAGAUUUUCGAAGCUGCUAUUAGGCCAAGACAUGUCCGGAAGUGGGAAAGGUGUCAGCACUGCUGUGGCAGUAUCAAAUUCCAUAACAAAUCUUUAUGGUACUGCUAUGUUAAACGCUCCUGUAGUUGGGCCAGAUUGUACUUCUAUUACUUCAAUUCUGAUGCAUGUUUUAUUUUUCUGAUUUAGUAUCUCAAUUUUGUUUACACCGUGCAGCUUCUAUAUUUGGUCACCAUCUACGAUUAGAACCAUUACAUCCUGAUAAGAAAUUGAUGUGGAAGAGAGAAAUGAAUUGCUUUUUAUCCAUCUGUGACCACAUAGUAGAAUUUGUUCCAGCAUUACAUGAUUUACAAGAUGGGACUGCUGUUGAGGUGACGUCUCUGUUCUUUUAGUUUUUAUUUUUUGUUUCAUUUAUUUAUUUAUUUAUUUUUGGUAUUGGUUACUGGGCAAAGGUUAGGCAGAACAGGGGCUGAUGAUCUUUGUUCCUCCAGGCUAGUAUAGGCAUUGAAGGUUGGCACUACCAUUACCAUUAGGCCAAGACCUUUGGCCUCAAUAAUGUCAUCUAUGGAUUCCCCUCUUUUACGCUAACCAAUCUGGUUCUUUGCAUGUUUAAUUAAUUAACAUGAUGGGUAUAUGAUCAACUUUCAGGUGAUGACUAGUAGACCGAGGUCAGACAUCAGCGUCAACCUUCCUGCACUGAGAAAACUUGAUGCAUUGCUCCUGGUAAAGACUGCUACUGUCUGUCUGCUGUUAUAAUCAACAUUGAUCUUUGAAAAAUGACCCAAAUUUUCUGUUUUGUGUCAAAUCUGAUAGCUGAAUUGAUGUUGCGUGACAGGAAGUAUUGGACAGCUUUGAGGAAACUGAAUUUUGGUAUGCUGAACAGGGAAGCAUGUCAGGAAAGUCGCGGUCUGGGUCAUUUAGGAGGAUUCCUGCUCCUCAGCGCAAAGAAGAAAAAUGGUGGCUACCAGUCCCAUGUGUUCCUUCUGGAGGCCUCUCUGAGAAGUCAAGGAAGCACCUGCGCCACAAGCGUGAUUGUGCCAACCAAAUACACAAAGCUGCCAAGGCUCUUAAUAAUAGCAUUCUUGCUGAAAUGGAGAUCCCUGAUUCCUACAUGGCAUCACUUCCUAAGGUAGUCAUAUUAUAAAUCAGAUGAAGCUACUGCAAUUCUUUAACGGUAAUAUGACAAUAAUAGUCAGCUGUCUAACUGUAUUUUCUGUGUAUCAAUGCUCUACUCAGAGUGGAAAAGCAAUUGUUGGAGAUGCAGUUUACCGCUAUAUGUGCAAUGGGGAGAAAUUUACACCUGACUUGCUUCUGAACUGCCUUAAUCUGGGCUCUGAACAUGAAGCACUCGAGUUCGCAGAUAAGAUUGAAGCUUCAAUGUACACAUGGAGGCGUAAAGCAUGCAGCAUGACACACUCGAAAUCAUCAUGGGACCUGGUUAAAGACUUCAUGUCUGAUAUCGAUCGGACGGACAAGAAUCAUAUCCUAGCAGAACGAGCUGAGAGUCUGUUGUUCUGCUUAAAGCAAAGAUAUCCUGAGCUUUCCCAAACAUCAUUGGACGCAAGCAAGAUUCAGCACAACAGAGUAUGUAUCUCCAAAAUCCACAUUUGUCCUUCCCAAAACAUUAUACCAGUUUCUUGUUUUUUAUAAUGAUCUUGUUUACAUUCAGGAUGUAGGGAAAGCUAUCCUGGAGAGUUACUCUAGAGUAUUGGAAGGUUUGGCCUUCAACGUUGUUGCUUGGAUUGAGGAUGUCCUAUUUGUGGACAAAACCACACGAAACCAAGAUCAGUAGGAUCAUAUUGACGGGGUGUUAUCAAAAGCCGAACUCAGUUUCUGUCAAGCUGCACAUUUGCGAACAGCAAGAAAGGAUCUUUUUGACUGACAGCUACAAUAGGAGAAAAUCAGUUCAUUAUAUCAAUAACUAGCUAGUAAUGCUAAGAUGUCAAUCACUCUUAAAUGCAGUCUCGAUUCUGAUUUAUGACCCAAGAUUUAUUACCAAUCCCAGCAGUCUAUGAUUUGUGCUCUUCAGAAUUUACUUUCAUUUUGUGAUUAUACUGCUACGACUUUAGGGAAUGGAACUCGCUAGCUAAUUAGAUAUCCUCUAAAAUGAGGAUGGCAGAAAGAAGCAAAAUCCAUUUGGUUAAGACCAUGAAAAUGUUCAUUGCCAUUUUUUAGAUACUUGGACCAAUUGGAACAAUGCUUAUUUCUGUAGAGGCCAUAAGGCAGUUCCUCUCUUUGAUUCGACAUUCGAGGAGAAAAAUUUACAGCAAAAGCAUUCAAGUUGCUCUUACGUAUCACCCUCCAACCCAGCAGAUUGAGCAGUUGAGCUGCUUCUUCCCUUGUCCUCUUUACCCAGAAGAAAAAAUGAUUUUGUUCCAUAAUCCACAGUAAAACGGUGGAUCAACUAUGUUACUGACACCAAUCUACAGCCCUCACAACUGGCCCUAUAAGAAAAAUAAAGAAUGGAGAGUAUUUGCCUCUCAAUUAAGUAUCAUUUGAAGUCCUGUCUUAGCCUAAACCUGUAUUACCAGACCAAAAACAUACCUCAAGUCUCCUGAGUACAGUGCUGGACUGCCGGGAGGACGAAACAAUUCUCUAUUAAUUUCCUUAAGUGAAAAUCAGUACAUACUAAAGGUCAACGGCAAUGUCUAUGCAUAUCACCAAAUCCAGCACAAACUGACCAGUCCUAGACAAAAGAUAAUGAGACAUUUCUCCUCUGGUACAUGCAUCAGACAAUUAGGCACUUUAGAAAAUAAUAACUGGCCAACAAGGCACAGGACAAGCGUGUGUAAGAAAUACAUGAUGCGUUCAUUUGAGGUGCCCAAAAGGGGCUUUGGAUGGUAGCAAAGGAUGGAUAUUUGCUCUUGGUGGUGACAGCCCGUCACUGCAUUUUGCUCCACUGCUGCAUACAUUAUUUUUGCAGGCAUUGUUCACAUAGAAGCUUCUACUAAGAUUAGAUUAUAAGCAUCUUGACAGACUUUUGUGUCUUUCUUUGGAAUUCGAACAAAACAAGUAGUCACACUCUUCAUAAAUAUAAUGACCAAGACCAUACACAUCUUUGCAUUUCAUUAAAAAUAUGAAAGUCUCUGGUGUUAUUUUUGAAGAAUUUUAUGCCUUUUUGUGCUUGGUGAAGUAUGGACAAGCCAUGACAAGCACAAUAGCGGAAGUCUGGCAGAGUUGAAAGUACCACAGUUUAUACUAUAGGCCACUGCUGUACAAGUCCGAUAAUGCUCUAGGCAGUUAAUUGGAAGUUAUUAAUGACAAAUGUGGACAAAUAAUAACUGAGUAUCAUCUCAGAUAUGAAAGCUUCAAGCACGAGAGUAAGAUACCAGUAAAGUUCUUAAUAUAAAUUGAAGAUCUCAAACUCAAGACCUAUUACCUAAUAUUCUCUCUUCCGUACCACCUAACCCAUCCCUUUCCCCAUUGAGCUUUUCAGUUGUUAUACUUCCUCUUUAACUCAAAUCAGAUGCAUUUGCUUUUGUCCCUUUGGGGUCAUCAAAAAAAUUGGAAUGAUAUUAGAGAAGAUUAGCGUGGCCCCUGCACAAGGAUGACUCGCACAGAAGCAUUCGUUUGCUCUAAUAUUAAGUUUUUCGACAGCUGGGGGGUGUUGCCACGCCUGAGGGAAUACAUAAGCCCUUUUAUAAUCUGUACGUUGUUGCAUGGAUUUCUCAAAUCUUAGGCUUAUCUAUGUAACUAAUUACAUUGUAAGAGCUGAGACAACUUCACAACUGAAACGUGAAAUUGCCAAAUUAUAGCAAAUCCAUGCUACUUAAGGGUACAUAUCCGCAUACAGCAGAUCUUGCAACAAGACAGAGUAGCACAACCAUAUGCAUAAAGAGAAGACCAAAACUAAAGCAGCCAUAAUGUUGAGGCCUGUUUAAGGGUAUCUAAGAAUCAAAGGAGCAAAGACAAAAGGAAAGAAAACAAGAGAUCCCAAAACAACUAGGUUUUGAUUCACCAUGUACGAAUGAAAAUUUUCAAAAAUAUGUUUGUAUUAGCCUGUUUGGACAGAAGAACAUACUGAAAAUUUCAAAUCCCCCCUUUUCUCCUCCUUGUAAGAUCAGUCUCUCUUGAACCACAAAAAAAUUAUAAUCCAAGAGAAAAAGUUAGAGCUGGAGAGCUGGUCAAAGAUGUACCGUUCAUUUAGGAUGGAGAAGCCUAAAACCACAACUUAAAAAGUAAUACAGAUGAUGGCGAAUAAAGUCGUUCCACCAAUCAGAGUCCCUUCUGCUCCAAAGUAAACAGGACAUAAACGCAAGUAAACAGCAAUAGAGAGGAACCAGCACAUUUGACCUGGCUUGAGCAGCCAGUCGGAGAAUAGACCUUAAGAAAAACUAGCCAAAAUUGUUAAGACAAUUGUAUCAAUACGUCUAGUUUGUGAUGCCAGGCUGUUACAAAUCCUAAACUAAAGAAGUCUUUGUUACAAAUAUGCGCUAAUACUGUUCGCACGUAAAAACUAGGAAAUCGGAAAGUAAACCCGAAACUUUUGUUACUUGGCCAGGCUUCAUGCAAAAUCUGCAAAAUCAGAAACAAGUAACAUUUUUACCAAAAAUGACAGGCAAAGCAUGAGAGAGAGAGAGAGAAAAUAGAAAAGCUACAACAUUCUUAAGAUACUUUACUCAAUUUGCAAGAUGUAACAACAAGCGCUGAGCAUGAAAGAGCAGAAAAUCAUUUCUGAGACAUUCUACUCAUCCCAAAAGGGGGAAGUAGUUAUCCCUAUAUGUACAACAAGUUCUGAACUGCGCCAAGAAUUGUGCUGUCCAGAAGGGAGUGAUCAAAGGGUUAGUUGUCAAUCAGGGCUGCGAGGUAAAAUGAACAGGCCGCCAAAGAAUGUCGUCCAUGACUCCACGUGACCCAGUCAGAACCCCGUGCACCCAAAAAGAAUGUGCCUUUAAGCAGAUGCCUUUGCUGCCAAAGGCAAUUAGAGCAACCCCGAUGGCCACUUUCCCGUCACGGAUGAGCGAGGACGCUUUCCUGCUGGGUGCUCCCUUUGUAUAUAAAUUCAAAAUUGAAGUACUACUCAUAUCAGCUGUCCUCGUCUAUUGCACCAAUGUAGGUGAGGUCAGUCCUCCUCACCCUAAUGGCCCCCUUGAGCCAGUUUGAUGCUCUCAAAUUAGCAUGGUCACUACCACCAAUAGCAGCAGAGUUACUCGAAGAUUGCACACCCGUUCCAUCCUCCAAUAGGGUCCAAGGGUCAAUUUCCAAGUCCAGAUCUUGCAGUGGCAGUUGCUUAGCCUUCCCUGCCAUAUUAGCGACAGUUCGAACCAAAGAAACUGGAUUUCUCUGGGAUAGGAUUGAAUUGUGAGGCUGUAAAACUGAUAUCUGAUUGCUGGACUGGAGAGCAGCAAUCGAAGCCGGUGAUAUAGAUGGAGGUUGACAAGAGAUUGAGCACCGAACAGAUGGAAGAAGAAUUGGCAUUGCAGUUUGAAUGCGCCACCGGAUAUGGUCCGGCAUAUGCAUGCGGUUCAGAUCAUUCUGCAUUGAUUAAAAUUGUCAGAAAGAAAAAAUAUAAGUAUCCUUGAUAAUUCUCCACUUACUAUCACAUUUUUCGAAGUCCAUACCCUAGAGUCAAUUUAGCCUUCAAAAAUAAAAGAAAUUGACGUGUCAACCAUGGAGCAGAAGUCCACGAGAAUAUGAUGUUCAAACCAAAAAAUUUGAAACUUCAACACAUUAAUCGCAAGGACUUUUAUUCUUUAUAUGAAGGAGAACUUUCCAUUUUUUGGAAGAAAAGCAUAAGCAUUCGUGGUGUAAAUGUAGUCCUCAUAAACUGCGUGCAUCGAUGAUGCAGCUUAUAAAAAUGGAAUAGUACUGAAUGAACUAAAGAACUCCUCAAUAAAAAGCUAAUCACAACUCAUAUAGCAUGCCAAAGCAAUUUGAAAAGGAGGUCCUUUGACAUGCAUUCCCUCAGGUCAUGUUAUAACAUUUUGAACAUGAAGCAAAACGCAAAUCUGAUAAUGGAUUGCUUAUCUUGUACAAGUACUCCAUCAGAUAAAUCUUCUGGUUUUCUGUGUUUAUCUAAUAUAUGUGUUUUUGGGACUAAUACUUUUGCAAUAAAAGGUAAAUACAAAAGAAAAUCAAAUAAUAAGCUGCGUCCAGUAAAUGAAUUUCAGAUUGUAUGCAGUCAACCAAACCUGCAGAUUCUCCGCCACCUCACGACCAAAAACACUAAAGUCCUUGCCGCACUCGGAGGCGGACUUGGAGUUAGAUUUCAACUUCAGCCAGCUAGGUCGAUAGCUGCUCAGCAGUCCAUGUAGCAGCAAUAACAAACAAUCGAAAAGACUUUCCCCAGAUAAAAGUACAGAUGUAGCAGAAGCCUCUGUAAGCGACUCGACAUCUCUCUUGGAUAAAUUCAAAGUUGAACUUGUGGUAUGGCCUGCAGCUUCAUGGACAACUCUACAUCCUAGAAGGCGUAAUAUAACAGCAGCAAGCAUCUGUCUCAUACUCUUUCCUGGCUCCCUGACAAGUCCAAAAUGAAGCUUAUAUUAACAAUAAGCAAUAUAGCUAGAGAUGAUUAGUUUCAUCACAGACAUGGAUGCAUUCAGCAUAACCAAGAUAUAUGGUAAAUCAACGCGCUCAACAUUAAAGAAUGGGGGACAUAGUACAUGCACAAGUUAUUGGCAGAAAAAAUCCUUCCUAGAGUUAGAAAACUUGCACAAUACCUUCUACCAUUGACCAGUAAUUGAAAUUUCCCUUCCGUAAACUGUCCUUUAUCCAUGUGACAUAUUAACUUCAUCAUCAAUCAAAACUAUUUUUAACCUUAAAGUUUCAAAUAAAUAACGCCCUGGCAUUUGCUUCAUAUUAGUAAAAUCUGGAUAGGAGAACAUGCAUGGAAAGAUUCCGUCUUAAACAAAAUUCAGCUGGAGCAUGCAAAAGCAAUUCAGGACUUUUAUAUUGAGAAUGGUCUCCAAGAAGGGGUAAUAUGCCCUCAUGAACAAAUUGUGUAAUCAGUUUACAGAAUUACCCAUCAGUGCACAUAGUAGGAAGUAGUCUUAGGAGAAACUGCAAGCGCAAUGACAUGGAAGCUCGCAACCCCGCAGGGGAAGAUGGUACUCCAUCAGCUGGUCCCGCAGGUCGUCUGGAAUUGGAUAAUCCAGGACUCCCACCUCUCAUACCUUUUCGGCUAUUGCCCUUGCUUGCUGGGCUUUCUGCUCCAGAUGCAACUGAUCCAACAGAUUUAGCUGCUCCAUGAGAAAGUACAUUUAUCUGCUGCUCAAUGUUAUUCAUCUGUUUGAUCAUGUCGUUUGCAAAGGUGUUUCUUGAGGCAUCAGAGCCUUGAUCCACACAAGGGAGAACUAAUUCAAUAAAUGCUCUCUCUGUCACAUGCUGCUGACUCACCAAGAAACCUUCAACAUCCACAACUUGAGUGGAUCCUCUUCCAGGAAAUCUCACAUCUGAACCUUCAUCAACCACCUCACCUUCUUCAAGAGAGGCGACUUCAAACUUCCUCUUGCUUCCCCUUGUUUUCCGCGAAUCAGAGUUUGAAUCACACCACCCCCAUGGCUUCCAGAACUGCAGUUUAGUUGAUAGAUGUUCUUUUUCAGCAUUAAUGAUAAGCCGUUGCCGAAUUGAUUUCCUUCCAUAAAGAACAUCAGUGCCCCCAAGAAGCCAUUUAGUUUGCAUUAGCAUUUGGUCCUCAAGUGACCUUCCAAAAAGGUGCACAACCUCAGAAAAGAGUGAAGCAGCAUCUGGUCUGGCAAGUAACCUCAUUACAACGAGUUCAACAAAGCUGCUCUCUUUCUCAGAAACUGCAACCUUGUCAGCAUUCGGUGAAACUGAUUUAAUAGCCUCGCCAAAGGGGCUUCAUUUUUCAGUUUAUCAAUGACUGUUUGUUCAUUCAAAAGAAGCCUAAGCUCAACCCACUGCCAGUGAAAUUUUGCAGGUUGUAAUGUAUCCAAAACAUGCACAAGCUUAUCUCUGAAAUUUGCAUCCUUCUCCUGAUAAUAGUUCUUUAGGCCACCUUGCCCUUGCAUCCUAUUAACGUCCUCUGGUUUAAGCAAUGACUGUGGCAUUCUACAGUCAAUAAGGGCAUUUAAGAAAAGCCGUGCCCUGAGAGGAACAAAGGCCAUGGAUUUGUAAAGAACGUCUGCACUAUGUGAUUCCAGUAAGGCUGCAAACUCAGAAUCAAUGGCAUCUGCAGCUAUGAGAUCAUAAAGGCCAUGAGUGUCUCGCAGACACACAUCACGGAACGGAAGGUGCUUUAAUGCAUCACCUAUCGCCAAUGCUAAGGACUGAUACAAUUGUUGGAGGUCAUCACGCAAGCCAACACCAGUAUUAAAAAUUAAUCCUUUCCAUAUGACAAAUGCAAAUAUAGAAUAGGCAGGCGGAAAGACCAAGUUCAGAGGAAGUGUUCUCUGCAUUCUAGAGAGACCUACAACUGACGCUUCACCCAAGAGCUCCACAAUAAAUCCAUCAGAAACAGUUCUGCAAUUACCUACAAGCACUCGAAACCAGUGGGUGGAAACUUCAACCAAAUUAUCCAGCUUCAGAGCCCCAAUGGAACGAGCACUCCCGUUUGAGUUGGAUUUCAAACUCCUGAAAAAGUGAAUUGGAUCAAGCCCUUCCCUUAAUCUGAAGAGAGUAACCAUUCUCUCAAGGCUAGUAACUCCCUGAAGAAGUGCCCCAACAAGAAGUGCAGAAAUUGCUCCAGCAAUUUUUGCCCCUCGUCCAAGUACACUUUUAACAGAACUAUUCAAGGCUUCAUAGGAGUUUGAACUAGAAUCAUGGGAUUCAGGAGAUGGAUGAAAUUGAGUGCGAGGAGCCUUUCCUGGCACAAACACUUGAGCAAGGGCAGUAGAAGCUUCAACUGCAAGAGCAACCUCAAAGACACGACUCUGACGCUCACCAAGUGCAUCCUUCAGCAGGCACAAGCAAGUUGUAUGGAUGCGUAAAAUGCGUCGAGCAAAAUGCAUUGAACUGGAUGUGGACUGGAAAUUUAGGUGAUUGCCAGCAGUUAAGUCAGGAAUUUUAGCAAUAACCAGUCCAACAUUACUGACAAUUGCAGAAAUAGCAGAGGAUACCAAAGUAGGAUCACCUUCCUGAGCAGCACCACCAGUUUGCCUCAUGCACUCCAUUAAUCCCAUUACUAUUUGUUGAGCUAUUUGAUAACCAUCAUCCAAGUUUUCCAAGACAGGGCUUUUUACUGUACCAGGCCCAAAAAGCUUUCUUUCUUUGCCACAAAAGUAUUGAAAAACUUCAACAACUUGCCUUUGUACUAUAUCUCUCAUUGUCAAAGCAACUCUGGACACCCGUACACCACUUAUCUUGUGACGGAAAAAAUCAUCAAGAUCUUCAACUCCUGCAGGAACUCCAAGUGGGAAGCCAAACUCCGCAUCAGGCAAUCUUCCAGAUUCAAGCUCAGAAAUGAGUCUUUUAUCAUAAGAUGAUUUAAGGUUUUUCUCCCAAUCAACAACACUAGCCACGUUUCCGUACUUCUUCACCAAAUUUCUUGCAUAAACCAAAGCUGAAGAACCUGAAACCCUUCCGGUAGAGGCCAUUGUGGCUGCAACUCGAUGCAUUGCAGCUUUCAAGGUUUCAGGAACAAGAUCUGCGGCUACGAUUAUAUUUUCAUACCUAAAACAGAACAGUAUAAAUAGUUCACUUCAUCACCCUCACGCAUUAUAUAUCUUCAUUGAAAGAUGUAUACCAACCAGAAACUCAAGUUUUAUCAUAGUUUUGAGAAAGGAUGGACUUUAUUAUCUAUAAAUCAGAACUAUGAAAUUUGGUAUUGGAAGCAGACAAUGCAACAGGGAGUACAAUGCUUGAGCUUAUAUUCAAUGGCUUCAAAUGUCAAAUGCUUCCACAAAAUAAAAAGAAUAAAAAUCACCAAAGUUUUAAGAAAAAAUACUACUACCCAGGUCUUAAGAAUUAUUUAUCACAUGAAGAUGUCCUGAUAUAUUUUAACACCAAAUGAAGCCACAGUUAAAACUUUUCGCAAGAGCAAACUUAGACAUCACAAUCUCCAACAACUUUCUCAUUCCCUAAAAUCAACUUCAAAGUUUUCAUAUGCUUUCUAAACCACUAAAUCCAAAAAUCAAGAUGAAAAUGGAAAAAUGUAGGGCCCAAUAACACAAACUGUCUCAGGGAAUCUAAUAUAUAUGUUCAAUAUGAAAACAAAAGUUUUUCAAAUUUUGUCACAAAUAGAGAGAUCCUGCCAAAACAUGAUUCAAAAGAGAGGCGUGUUGGAAAAUGCAUGGAUAGUUGUUUGUACAUAAGUAGAAGCUGCAGUAGUCCAGAAGGAGAAGCAGAAAAGCACAAAGCAUAGACAACAACUCGUCAAAGAAAUGCAAUUCAAAAUCAAUAUCAACUAACAAUCUACAGUAACAAAACCUUCAUAACCCAAAUUCUGUUUGAAAAUACUUGAAUGGCUAGUUUGAGAGUUUAUGAUAUAAAAAAGGAGUUUGGGGGGGACCUAAUGUAUCAGAGAAAAGAAAAGAAGAGAAGAGAUCAUAAUGUUGUUUGGGGAUUUAAGAAAGAAAUGGAAUGAUUUUGGAUACACAUGUCAUUAAAAUUUUGUUUAGUAGUCAUCCAAGGACAGAACUGAUCCUUUAAAAGAUUUACAAGGCUUUCCCCAACUUUCCAUCCAAAUCAGCCCAUAAAUGGGUGGAAAAAUUUUUAAACUGUACCAAAAAAAUUCAUCCGUCUCAAUCCAGCUAAAUCCGUUCUUUUCUGUCUUUGAAGAAACUGGCAAGUGAAUGAAAAGUUUCCAUUUCUCUCACUUUCUUUUCUUCUCUCAUCCAAUCCUACCUCACAAAACAAACUGUAAACGAGAGGCCCAUUUGGAUUGGGUGUUCUUUGGGGUGUUACUAUAAACCUUUACUGUUAAUAACGUUACUUAAAAACAUACUGGAAUAGGUGUUGUUAGGGAGUUUUUUAAGGUGUUUUAUGCACCGCCAGAUCCCAUCUCCACAACCCUGCCACCUCCCCCUUCUCCGCUUCCUCCUCCCUCCUCCCUACCUGCAAAACUCGUCCUCCCCCUGGCCCUCCCCUCCCCCUUCCCCCACCCCAACAAAACAAAAACUGCCUCCUGCCCCUCCCCGUUCUCACCUCCCCUCCCCAGCAACCACUACCAGACCAGAUCUGGUCAUUAAAGAAGCAGGCCUGAAGGAAGGGGAUACCCCCCCCCGGGGUGGGGUGGGGGUGGAAGAAAAAGGGGCAAGGGUAGCAGUGGGUGGCAGGGGUGUCUUUUGGGGGUAUUACUGUUGGUUCUUUUUUUUCUUUUAAUCUUGUUUGGGGGUAUUCUGAAAUAUGCUAAUGUAAAAGGUUAGUUAAUCACAUUAUCCAAAUCCCUUCAGAAAUGGUAACUCAUAAGUAGUUUAUCUAUCUAGGACCAGAAAGAAAAUUUUGUGAAAAAGUCAAAUUAUUAGAUGGUGCAAAGUGGUCAAUGUCACAACGUUGUCCAAGACCUUCACUACUAUAGGUCAAUAAAGAAGAAUCAAGCUAACAAUAAAGCCUACUAGGAAACAGCCCUAACAACUUGAGAGACCUUGAUAAAUUUUAAUAGAAACAAAGACCGAUGUCUAAUUUUAACUUUAUUUGGGAAAAUGAAAAGUUCAAGUGGUGCCUCUGUAGUUGGAUUUUCAACCUUUGAACCAUCCUUGAGUAAUAGAUUGAAGAUAAUUUUAUCAGAAGUGAGUAUACCCAAGGAUACUGGAUAGUUAAGAACCAGGGGCUUCACAAAUUAGGUAGGAACCUGUUAGGUUAUUUACACAAUCACAAAAACCACACAGGGUCACUUGACUAGUAUAAACACUGCAAACCAUUUUCUAGAAGGUAAGGAUAGGGAAAUCUAAUGAUAUUCAAACAUAAAACACUAAUGCAGGAGGCAAUAUAGCAAGCAAUGCACACAAAAAAUCACAACAGUCAGCAAAAUAAUUCAAAGCCAAGCUGACAAAAUGACUUGAGAAAACCAAGAGCACACCUCCUAAUAGAUGAUACAAGAAAUGCCUCCCCGACUUCACAAACAACAUUCUCCGUAUUUCUUGGAAGCAUUAAGAUGUUCCGACCAGCGUGGAUGGAAGCAGCAGGGCUGCUAAGAGCUUUUGGCAGCAACCAGAGAAGAAACCUGGCAGCAGAUACUAAUUCAUUAGAAACAUCCAUCAGAUACAAAAUCAUAGAUAAUUCAUCUUCACCAAGCUUCCAUCGCACAGAGUUUGCAUCAUCAACAGCAGAAUAUGGUCUGCCAUAUUGACCAACUUUUGCUGCAGUCUUUUCAGCUUCUUCAACAAGAUGCUUUACAACACUUAUCAACCAUAACAUCACAGUUCUCUUCUCCACAAGUCGCAUCUUUUUCAGAACUUUUCCAAUUGAAACAAUGUCACUACCAUAUGCCAUUCUGAUCCCAUCCCCAGAUUUUGGAGCAUCACCUUCAACACCAGUUCUAUGGUGUGGGCAGUUCACCCUAUUAUCACAAACAUGACUUGUGGAAGCCCCUUGGCUACCUUCAAUUCUAGCAGCUGCUAACUGUGCAAGGCUUUGUGUUUUACGAACACCCUUUUGCCUCCCCCUUCCAGAUUGCUUGGCUUGCUUAGGAGGUGGAUCCAUUUUGUCGAGAGACUUCGGGCCCCUCCUCAGCCACCAUAUAUCUUCAUCAUCCAAUGCAUUGGAUAAAAAUCCCUGUGGGUAUGAGCUCCUAUCUUCACUCAACUUUUGUCUCUUCACCCUUCUACACUCUUCACAUCCAGGUGUUCCUUCACCAAUAUCGAUCUUGGUAAUAGAAGAUCCCGUAGAUCUCUUAAAACCCCCAACAAAAUUUUCUAGUCCACUGUCACUUGACAGUGAUGAACUAGGAAGCUGCAGCAACAUUACUAUUGAAGCCUUUAGAUCUUCAAGCUCAACAACUUGAUCAACAUUUUUGGUAGUUAAACUGGAUAUCCCCUGAAGAGAUCUCCACUGAUCAACAGAAGAAGGAUCACUGCCACCUCCUGAGUUAUAAUAAUGCUUUUGUUUCUGCCAAGAGCUGCCAGAACUCUUAUGGCAAUCAAGCAGACCACGAAGUACCAAGCGACGCUCAUUUGCAUAUGUAUUAAUCACCUCCAAAAGCAUUGCUCCUUCAAGAACCUGUGCUUCUUCGAGAGCAUCAUGUACAUAGGAACUAGGAAGCUGCUUCAAAAUUCUAUGAUGUCUCUUCCGUCUCUCCAGGUCAACUGAAAUCCCAUUCCCAUCCAUGAUUCCACUAACAAUUAAUUGCCUCACAUAUGCCUGGGGAUAGAAGAUACCAGCCCUCACAAGUUCCAUUAUGAGUAGUUGAAGCCGCUUGACGCCUUCUCCACUGUGUACUUCAUGUUGAUCAAUCCAGCAGACAAUAAUGUCAUGUAAAGGGCUCGGGCUUUCAAAAAUAUUUGACAAAUUUCUAGUUUUCCCACUCUUUAAACUGUAUUUAUUUUGUUCACAAGCAUUGCCAACAGGAAACCUGCCUGGAUAAUUAUUCUGCAAAUCAGGAUCUUUGGCUAGAGUAUCAGGAGCAAGGCUACUCUCGUUCUUGCCCUGAGACAAGCUUUGCAUCUCUCUCCUCUUGAGCUGCAAAAUCCGUAUAGCAAUAUAUAUCUGAGAGAGGUCUUUUCUCCCACUGAACUUCUGGCCUGAUGGUGGGCCAGUGCGAAAAUCCCUAAAAUCACAAGUUGCCCACUCACAAAUGAAAAAGAUAGAGGAAAUAAAUGACAAGGUCACUACUCCAAUAUACUUGAGCGAUGACCGUAGACACAAACUCACUUCAGCAAUCCAACGUUCAUCAACAGCUCCAUCACAAAGAUUUUCAAAAAGAAGUUUAUAUGCCACUGACACAUCUCCGUGAAUAAGAGAUUUAUCUAAUGCCAGUAAAGCUUUAGCUACAUUUUGACUUGGAUGUCCCGGUCUGGCAGCCUUUGCAAGGUUUUCUGCACGUUUCUGAAUAGAUGAAACAAUACAGUUUAUGGUCAAAGAGUCAGGGUGAACCUCAACACCCUUGUCUCUCUGCAAGCAGGCUACUUCAAGGGGACCAGUUUUCAUGUUGCUUUCAUCUUCAGCUAUCUUCAACAAAAAACUCCCAUCAUUGACCACAUUAGUUACCAAACACAAUGGUAAGGGAAAGCAAUCCAAAGCAACAAAAGUAUCAGGAACAGCAAUUAUCAAAUAAUGAAGCAUCUCAACAAGAGCAGACAUGGUAUAAGCCCUUCGGGAAUUAUCUACAAGAUCAGACCCACCAGGAGAAGGUUCUUGAAUAAAACGCAUAGCUAUGCCAACCAGAGUUCGCACGUAGGUCUGACAUAAUACGACGGCUUCGAUUACACCAUAUAUUACAGGCAGUAACAACUGCAAAAUCCCAAGACGCUCUUUUUCCUGGGAAGGCAAAAAAAUGAAAUUACCAACAAAAGUAUUACCAGUUGAUGAAAUUUAAUCAAAGUACAAUAUAUUCAAAAUCAUAUGUAGAAUACCUGCAGUUGAUUAAAAACCCAAUCAAUAAUGAGAGAUGGAACAAUCAGUCCUUCUGCAUGGUGCCAUUGUAAGAGCCUAACCACAUACCACCACUUAAAAUGCAAAGAAGGCUCAUCAGCAUCAGUAGAAGUAGAAGCAGCAUCAUUUCGAUGUUGUAGGGUCCCAGGAUAAACCAUUUGUGGUGAUCGAUCCCUAAUAUGCAGAGUGGAAUGAAAAUUAUUUUUUGAAACAAACUCAUCCAAGAACGCCUGGAGGUAAUCUAUGAUAUCUUUUGUCCACUGCUCUGAUCGCGAAAACUGCGUUUUGUCAGGCACACCACCAGACAAAUUGGAAGAGCCAGGCCGUACCUGCAAGGUGAAACCAUAAUCUGCUAAGUUCAACAGUAUAUAAUAAAAAAAUAAUAAUUCCAUAACAAUAUUGCAUGGAGGGAUACUCAAUACCUGAUUAAGAUAAGUCACUUUCACAAACCAAGUAGCUCUGAGUAGUGGAACAUUAUUCCUAAUGAGAACUUCAAGAAGAGAUUUCCUCCGGUAACCAUGAGGAACAUGAUCAGCCAAAGAACACAAUCUUUUAUGCGGUUGAGAUAAUCCCUGGGAAAAUGUUCAAAUAAUGAGCUAGCAGACACUAGGGUUACAAAAGAAAAGAGCUUUAACACAAGAGACUCAUGCAUCUGCAUAGGAUAUACAGUUGCUCAAGUUAGAGUUUUAACCUCAAAAACAUGCCAAUGAAUAGCGUAUUUUGUUUACUAGUCAAGUAAAUCCCCUCCCCUGCUGUAUAACCCUACAGGUCACCCCAAAGCUUCAUUAUGCAUUUCAUCUUCUCCAUAGGGAAUGAAAUAUGGAGGAAGCAUUUAACAGUGGCAACAGAUGUAUCAAAGCAGGUCCCCAGGACCGUUCAAUUAUGGACCUAAGUACACUAGAAAGGCCCAAACAUGGCUUUUGGACACAAGACUCUACAUAUCCUUUACAGUCAGUUUCAAUGUUGCCCUUGCAAAUGCAUAUCCAAUUUUUCAAUGUAAAAAAUACUACAAUCAUAUAUUUUCCAAAUGUAUAUCAUAUUUUACUCAUGUAACACUACGUUUUCUUAGUGUGCAUCUGUGUGUUUUAUAGUUUAUAAACAACAUGUCCACCAUCUACUUUUACAACAGACACAGGAGGAUAAUUAAAGACAACAAUGGGAAUGAAUCUUUUGUCACUGUGGUAUCAUCCACACAAGGAACUAACAUUCAACCAAAAUGUUAGUAGCUAAGCUCUUUUCCAAAGUUUUAAAAUUGUCUGUGCCUCCUUCAGUCCUUGAUUGAUUUAUUAAGCUCAUUUUCAAUAAAUUCCCAGUGAUUCUGCUUAUAACAAUGGGAUAGCCAUCAUGAAUUAAAACUUUAAACUUGGAGGGUUUACACCCAAUAUUCUUUUCAUUCAAUAUACAAAAAUUCAGGUUAUUCAAUCCCCUAAAAUAGCAAGCCAAUGAGCAACACUGAUUUUGUGGUACGAGCAUAUACCCUAUAGGAUCUGAGUGACAGGCUUAAAUAGAAGAACUUCCAACAUGUUUCAGGUUUGCAUAGAAUAAAAACACAAGUGUCAGUCCUGUUUACAUCCAUAUAAACAUCUAACAUGCAUAGGUAAUGACUGACAGAAUAAAUUGUUAGAGUAUAAACAAUAUUAAUUCCAGCUAACUAGGACACUGCACAUCAAAUUUAAUUCCAGCUAACUAGCACACUGCACAUCAAAUUUAACAUGCAUAGGGCAUAAAUGUUUGUUCAUAAUCUAUGACAAUUCAGACUCAAAUGAUUGAAAUAUAUCAACAUCAACUAGAAUUACACUUUUAUUAGUUCUAUAGGAGCCAUAUGCACAAUAGUCAUCUUCAACAAUAUUUUCUGUUACUUAUUCUUAAGAAUAAACUCCUACUAACUGUCAUAAACCACAAUGUAAAACUACGAAUGUCUAGAACAUGAUAACACCAAUCCAACACCCAGCUCAUCCUGUAGACUUCAGUACUAAAAGGAAAUAAACACAUUCUCGCACUAGCAUAUGCAAGAAAGCCAUAUCCAUGAACACACAAACCCAGAUGCAGAAAAAUAUUUAGUGGAGACUAACCUCAAUCCAUUUCUUUCGAAACUCUUCACCACAUGGUUUUUGCUCAGGAAAGGCGCCAGGUUUACUUAAAAGUGAACCUGAAAGAGGCACACCAUAAACUUGGCCCGCCUGCAAAAAUAGGAGCAUUUAUCCAUUUUAUGCUUUCAAAAUACUUCAUUACAACAAUCACAACAAUUUCCAUAAUUGUCCAGAUAAGUAACAAGUAGACAGGCUAAACCACCAACAAGUAAACAUUAAUUCAAAAAAGAUAGAGAUGGACAAUUUUCCCACAUUUCAGGAGACAUGCAGGACAGGUUUUUAAUUUAGCCAAGAUCAAUAUAAUCAGCUCAUCCAUCAAAAAGUCGGGAGGAAAAACAGCAUCACCUUUCGUUUUUGUGCACGGGACUCGUUAAUAGCCCUGUGACAUUUUCUUAUUGACUGCAAAAGAGCACAGAAACAAAGAGAGACGGUAUCAGGCAAGCAUUACUUCCAAGUCUAAUGAAUACCAAGCCUACAAAUGUGUAGCUCGUUGAAAAUAAAAGGGGAGACCGGUGACACCAUUAAACACAGAACAAUUACCUCCUUGCACUUGAGGAUGACUGGCUUUGUAAAAGCCUGAAUUUGUGAUAAUGAAGUCUCUCUAUUUUCCUGGAAACAUUAGUGAAGACAUAUCCCUACUGAGGUACCAACUCCAAUAAAAGAAAAAAUAAAGAUUGCAAUAAUCAUAUCCAUACAACCAUAAAAUUCUAAAUAGAAGACACCCAAAAAGUUACCUCAAUCCCUUCAACCGUCUCCCUGUAACCAGACUGCACAUAGUCCCUGGUCAACGUCUCCUCAGGACAAGUAGGAGUCUGGAGGUGAAAGUCAGGCGGCCCAAGCCUGUCAAAUGGUACCCAAUUAAUAAAUUAACACUGGUUGUCAUUGAUGAUGAUGGUACAUAUAGAAACAAUCUCAGAUGAAAGGACAAAAGAUCUACAAUGGGCAAUCAUAAUUUCAACAGAAAUUACCUGGAAUUCAAUGGUUCUUUAUCACACCUCAGUUUAUAUGGAGUUAAAGGUAACGGUCGCCUGAAGGAGCAAUAUUAAAAUCACUAAGCAUGUCAGCGGUAUUUUAAUUGGAAAAACUAACCCAUUUAUCUCUUAGGAGCAAAAUAAAUAGGGGAAACUAAAAACCCUAAUUCAGUUACAGUAUAAUUGAAAUAGCAGAAUGAAGCUAAACAAUUAGAGAAUAAAAUAUAUUAUCUUGAAAUCUGUUUUAACAUUGAGAGAGAUGGGUUCUCUAGAUAUGUGCCAAAUGCAACCACUUGAAAAAAGUUAAUCAGACACAUUACCCCAAGUCAAUGACUACAGAAGAGUAAGUCAGCAAGACUAAUCUGGAAAUUAUACAGGAUUUUGCACACUAACAUCCAACUAAAGGCAUUUCCCAUACAAGAAAGCGAGCUGCUAACUUAUAUAGAAAAUUAUUAAUAUGCUAUGACUAUGAAGCCAAUUUCUGCAGAUAUGAAAGAACCAUAGGACAAGAUGCCUCGAGUUAAGAAGACAAAAGAGCAAGGGAGCAAGAUUUUUAAAGAAAUAGUCGUGGACCAAAAUAAUUCCAACUAGAGGCUACUUGCCAUACCCGCAACCAUCAUCAAAAUUUUAUACACUUCUUUUAAAGGAAUCAAAAAGAAAGAAAACAUCACCACGAUAACAGUAACAUGAUUAAGAUAUUUGAACAGCUCAAUCACAAGCAAUAAUGAGUUCCAAAGCACUACAAACUGAAACAUCUUAUCAUCACGUUACCAGCAGACAACAAUGUUGAUUCAUCAGGACUCCGAGAUAACAACGUUGAUUCAUCAGUUCUUUACAAAUCAUACUAGCAAUCUAUUCAAAUCGGUGCAAUUUUAAUUUUAAACCAAGCCUAAAAUUUUUUUAAUUACCCCAUUUAAAAAAAAAGGCUAAGUACAGUAAAUAUCCUUAAACCAGGUGUCUGUGAUAUAAUUAGUUUUCACUGAUGUGACUGCUUCUACCUCUCCUUUACUUAAAUCACCAUACAAUUAAAUAAAGAAAUUUCAAGCACCCUCACAAGAUACAUUUUUCUAAGCGAAACCCUUUCCUUUUGUUUCUCAUCCCUCUUGAAACAGAACACUAGACUUUCAUUUCCAUUCUAAGUCAAAACACAACGAGUGAGUAUUACAAUCUUCUCUUUUCCAUUGCUUUCUUUCCAGUAAGUGGAAUUUUGUCCUCUCCUUUCUUUUUUCUUAAACCUAGACAUACCCCAAAGGAAAUCCCAUAAAAUAUGACUACAUUAAAAUUCCAAUUACAGAUUUAACAUGAAUAACCACUGCAACAGCUGGAUACUCAUAAUCGUUUUCACUUUAAUUAAUCCUCCGAAAGUACAUUUUGAUCAGAUCUGAACUAGUGAAUUGAAUACCCAAAGUCAUGCCUCAAAUAGGAUAAAUUAUAGCAUUUCUUAACCAUCCAAGUUAACAUGAACUAUUGAUUCAGAAAUCUUUGGUCGUAAAUAUGUUUCCAGUUCCAGCUUCUCAUUGUUUCCAUCUAAAAAUCACUAAUGCUCAAAAUCAUCCUAACCAGAAGAUGAUAGGAAACCAUUAUUGAUCAAACAGCAACAAAUUCUUUACUGAGAAUGAAAUGAUAAACUGGAUAUCAGAACAUUUGGGCAUAGUAGCAUGCACUACUGCAUGUUGGACAUAACUACAUGAUAAUAUAAUAUGUAAUGAUCCCAAAAGUUUUAAAAGAAAAGAAAAAUUAUCAUUGGUUAAGCUUCUAUAUGCUUUGUGUGUAUCAAGCAUUUGCAAUGAAGCAAGUAUAAACAAGCAUGAAUUGCAUUUAACAUGCUUGAGCAAAAAAUUAAGAGCCCGUUUGGAUUGCUAUUUGUUGGAAUUUUUGUUAAAAAAAUACAUCGUACCUAUUUGAUGCAUGUGAGGUAAAAAGGUGAUUGAAAACUGUGUUCACAAAAAAUGUAAAAAUCUUUCAGGAAAAAAUGGCAAUCCAAACAAGACAUAAGAUUCUUGUACCUAGAAUUCAAAGAAAAGUUUGACGGAAUGGAAGAUGACUCAGCUCGGGAAACAUCCCUAGCAGAUCCUCCAAUGGCAGUGUUAUUGACUGCACUAGUGCAGCUGGCAGCAUGAUACCUUUGCAUGUCUCCCAGCUAUCAUCUGCAUGCUGCCUUCAGCAUUGAACCUCAGCAAGGUUUAUGCUGGUCAAACUGCAAUAAAGAGCAUGAAGGAUAAAAAAAAAUUAUAAACAAUCAUAAUUAUAUUAGCCAUAGAAUUUAGCAUUAAAGAGCAGUUAUAAAUGACACAAAAUGUAUUUUAGGGCACAGAAGUCAGAAGAACAGCCAGACCGAAAAGACGAUUCAACAGAAGUUCCAUCUCAACAAUUUAAACAACAUAGGGUCAAACUUGUCGGUUGUGAUAAGCAUUAGCACUUUAGACAUUAAAAAGUGCAAUACAGAAUUGAUUUUUCUAAGACUGAAGAAUUUGAUUUCCCAUGGUAAGAGGUCAUCAAAGAAAGGAAAAAAGGAAUUGCAAAUAACUGAUUAAGAGAAAAUUAGAGGCUAAGAAAUUGUCAUUAAUUGCUAAGACGGACAUGACAACAAUUUGUAACUACACGACAAUUUAAAAUUAAUGCAAAUUUCUCCAGAACCUUAAAGCCACUAUUCUUCGUUGCAAAAAGCAUGGUAAAGCUUGAACACAAUAUAGGAGGAUAAAUACAACAGUGUUCAAGAUUAAAAGCCGGAUUUGAAACCCUAGAGAACCUCGCACAAGUGACAGAAUAACUUUGGACACUGAGAAUGAUAGGUCAAUCACGCAAUGAAGCUACUCCAAUUAAUCUUUGGGCGUCAUUGACACAUGACACCCAAAGAAAUGUACGAAUUGAUUCUUUACCCACACUCAGAAGUUGAGCGCUUUAACAUUUAAUGACAUUACUACUAUUGUGUCUCAGAGUGAUUUAUUGAUCCUAGCAACUGAGCCACUAUAAAAUUGCAUUGUACCAUCACAAAACGUUCAAGUUUUAAUCACGUAAUGAAUCCAACAAGACCUUUGCAAGAAGUGAGCCCACAACAUUUCAUAACCAUCUAAAACAAAAAAGAACAGCCCCACCCUCGACCCCACCCACGAGGAAGUAGAAAAACUCACGAACCUGACCUUCCUUUAGCAUAAAAAUCAAGGCUUCCUUUCACUUUUAAAGAGAAGACCACAUGGAGUUCCAGCUAACUAGGGCAUACAAAAGUCCUCUACUUAAAAAUCACACAGAUUCAUCAGAUGAGUGAGUGCCAUAGUCCAGCUUUCCACCCUAUAAUAAACUCUUAAACGCACCCAAAACUAGUUAGAAAAACAAAUUCACCCUUCUUCACAGUCAACGUAUCGAAAACUCCAAUGCAGGUCCAAUCGCUUCCACUGGCAAAGCAAAACACACAUUUUUCUAUAAAGACUCUCCAUCUGUUUAGUUGGCACAAAGUUCCAAAACUAAAUCCCAUCUACGGCUAAACAGCUACACUACCACAUAUACUACUGAAAAGCAUUCUGAUCCAAGAAAAUUCAAGAAAAGAAAAAAGACCCAAAAAAAAGAAUUCCGGGCAACCACAGCUGAAAUGUGUAAGAACCAAUCUAAAAACCCCCCCGCCAUCAAAUCAACCACAUUCAAUCUUGCAAAUUUCCAAAUCCCACUGAAUCCAAUUAUACACAACUGCAUAAACUGAAAGGAACAGACGGAAGAGCAGAAAACGUAAGAACAACUUAACCUAAAUUUCUUAGAUUACCUUAGAAAGUACAUUAAGAAAAAAAUAGAAACUACCGAAUAUCUCAAGCGGAAUGGUUGUUUCGAUUGUAAAGUUGAAACGAGCUGAACAAAUUCCAAUCACUAGGGUUCAAGAGGAGGUUUUUCAAGAUUAGGGUUUUCACUAAUUGAAGAAAGAAAGAGAAAGAAACUGGUAGAAUGGGAGAGGAGAGAGAAAAUAAGUAGAAAUUCAAUGGAAAUCAGAAGGCGAUUGGGAGAUUUACUGAAUUAGGAUUGAAAUAUCGAGCGAUGGGCAUGUACAUACAAGUGCCUGUAUCUAUGUAUGAAAAUGUAUAUUUAGCCUAUUUUUUUGACUGUUUGUAUAGGUCGAUGUAUAGAUAGAGAGAGAGAGAGAGAGAGAGAAGGCUCUGGGGGCUGGGGAGUGGGGGUUGAUGGUUUGACUCUUCUUUCCUUGCUGCUUUUGCAGAUGAUGACGAUGAGCGCUAGGGGGAAAAAAAAUUAAAAUACGAAAACAUAAUAGAAAUGGAGAAAACUUCUUUUUCUUUUUGAAUAUAUAUAUAUACUCUUAAUAUUUCUUGAGUUUUUAGCGGGGAACAAGAAGUGGGAAAUUUUUAAUAUUUGGGAUUACCUCAAAAAUUUAAUUAUCUUUGCUAAAUUUGUUAUCAGAAAAAGGCAAAAUGAAGGCAAUAUGAAUACUCAAAAAAAUGAUAUGUAAAUCAAACAAACCAUUUGCUCCUGCUUUAUAUAUAUAUCUACUUUUUUCAAGAAUAAUUUUCCUCGAUUUUUUUUUUUGUUACUAUCUUACUACAACAUAAUUUAAUAAAUUAUUGAGGUAGGUAACUUUUUGAAGUAACUUAUCACUCAAAGGUAUGAAUCUAGAUGAGAAAUUUACCGUUGCAUAUGCAUGAUUUGUUCAGUAAAAUCUCAUUUACCAUUUAAUAGUACUGAGUGUGUUUGGACAGUCAAUUAUUUGGCCAAAUAUAUUUGCUGAUAUCACCAUUACAAUUUCCAAUACACCUUUUUAUCUUCCCAAUUACCUUUUUAUCUCACAUACAUCACAUCACAAAAAGUGCUACAGUAAAAAUAUUUCAAAUAACUUACAAUCCAAACACACAUAGUAUAUGUACGAAUGUAGUGGCGACUUAGUACUUACCAAUAUUGCUACAAAGAGGUUUUCCAUUUACUUACCAGGAAAAGGGAAAGAAACAAUUUUUGUAGUCUGUUGGAUAAGAAUACGUUACCACAAGAUUCACAGCCUGUGAGAGUUCUUUAAAUCCGUGAGAUUUUUCAGUAGUUAGCAUAUUUACACCAGUAAAUUAAAUGGAAAUAGCAUUAGGCAAUCGAAUGGUCAAAUUGGAGAGGUCAUCGUGCUGCCAUCAUUCAAAUUGUACACAGUCUAUUCUGAUUUGUCCUGUAAAUCAAUUUUGUAUUCUUCGACUUCAUGGAGUUAGAGGGCUAAUUUGAUUGUUUAUCGACUUAAUUCUAUAUUAAAUGUUGGAUUAUCUUUUCUAUACGCCUCUAUAAAUUUCAUUAACAUUGUGUUGCUGCAAUGGAUAAAAUGGUAAAAUGUAAAGUUUGUUGUGAAACUAAUAAAAUUAACCACGAUAAUAUCAAGUGAAAUAUUAGAGAUAUUAGAGAAAGAAGUAGAGAAAUAGAGAGUGAUUAUCUCAUUAUUCCAACUAAUACAAAAGUCCUCACAAAAGGUAUUAAUGUACCUCUAUGUAUAGGUACUACAACUAUAAGAUUAAAGGUACAUUAAUCCUAUUAAACACUCACUACUACACAAAGAAUAUGAAGAAACCUAUGAAGCGAUUUCUCCACUACAUGAAUAGAUUUAUGGAUUGUAACUUCUAUACAUAAUGUAGCCAUAAAUCAUGAAUUAAUCCUCUUGAUAAUACAAAGGGACACCCACACUUUAAAUUGUUUCAUAACAAAGUUUUUUUUUUUUUUUGGCAUAAAUUGCCAAUACUAACGCAUGCAGUCCAAGAUUAUUGUAAUUUACUAUAGUAAUUCUAGAAAAACUUUUGUGUAUUUGAGGAUUUGGAGAACAAAUUUGUUCUUUCCUUUUUACGUAAAUUGCCAAUACUAAUGCAUGCAGCCCAUGCUAAUAAAAUUUAUGUCGUCUCGUCUUCUAAUGCCCAAACCAAGCCAAGGCCCAUUUUGAAGUGUGUCUUUUGGGGAGUUUGUAUAAAAUUUUAUAAGAAAAUUAUUUGAAACAUUCGUCAUCAAAUGAAUUUUUUAAGUCCUUUUGCUUUUCAAAUAGUAAAUUUAUGUUCUUUACAAAAAUAAGCUGUUAAAAUUUGAUUCUAAUAUAAAUUUUUUACUACUUUUUUAUUUUGAAUUUAUCACAUGACUCAUACAUAAUCCAUUUUUUAAGGACAAAAAAAAUUGGAUCCCAUUUAUAAUUAAACAAAUUACAUGAUCCAUGUUCAUUUUAUUCCUCAAAAAAGUAGAAUUUGAACUGAAUCAUAUUUAUUUUUCUUCUAAAAAAGUAGGAUCUGAGCCAUUUUUGACACUUAAAAAGUGAGAUAUGACAUUUUUGUACAUAAAAAAUGAUUGAAUGUUGGUCACCUGAUAAAAUGAUUGAAUAGUUGUCACGUGAUAAAAAAUGAUUGAAUGUUGGGUAUAUAUAUGACUAUGAAAAAUGCAAAUGAAGUUUUAUUUGAAGAUUUUGAGAUACAGUAAAAAUCUAUAAACUAGUAUUUGAUAAAUUAAUAACUUCUAUCAAAUAAUAAAAUUUUUUGAUCCUGACUUGGGCUAACGAGCUAAAUUGAUAAUUUUGAUAAAAUAAUAAGAUAAUUUUUUUUAAAAACCUUACAUAACCAUUUAGUAUCAUUCAUAUCAUAAAUUAAUAAAAUUACAUAUCAUAUUUUCCUAAACUACGAGUUAAAAUAUGAGUCUAUUGUUGUUUUUUUCCCCUUAAAAUUCUAUUGUUGUUUUUUUUCCCUUAAAAUUUAAAUCUAAAUUUUUCUAAACUUGAGACCUUUGAACUUUAGCCUACUUUUAUUAAUAGAAUAAUUCAUAUUUUUAUAAAAAUAAAAUAAAAAUUUAGAUCAUAUUUUAGAUAGUGAUGGUUAAAUUUUAAUAUCUAAACAACAUUUUUUUCCCUUGACUUCCCGUCCCACUAUAUACAGUGGUGGCCAACUCCUCUAUCGGGGGUUGGUUAAUUAAUAUCUCUUUAAAUUAAUAAAAUUUGUAUCGUUCUAAAAUUAUUAACCUAUAGAGGUUUUAAAUUUGACUCUCCUUUGGAAUAUUAGUGCCUCAAUUUUAUUUUAUUUUCUAAAAUUUGGCCCAUAGUUAUUCCAAUCACAGUUGGGAAUUAAUAAUAAUGUUUGGUGUUCUCUGAGGGCAUUGCAUUUAUGAAUAUGUUAGCAAUGGCAGAUUGCGAUGGUAUAGAUUAGAGUUGUUCGUGAGCCGAGCUACUCGCGAGUAGCUCGGUCAACAACUCGACUCGAACUUGGGUUGAUCGAGUUCGAGUCGAGUUUCGAGUAACUCGACUCCAAAUCGAGUCGAGUAUCGAGUCGCAUAUUCCGAGCUCGUGGCUCGUCGAGUAGUUCGACGAGCCAGAGUUAAUUAAAUAAAAUAUUUAUAAUUUAAAUAAUAUAUAUUUAUUAUAAUUAUAAAAUGACCAUUAUGGAUAUAGGUUAUAUGAAAUUUACAAUAUUAACUUCUUUAUAAUAAAAUCCUAUAAUGGUAAAAAAGUAAUAACAUAAUUGUAAAAAACACUAAAAAGAAAAAAUGUCUAAAAAAAAAAGGAAGAAAAGACUUUCUUCCUUUUCUGUGCCGACUGUGCGACUUUCUUCUCUGUUCGAAGAAAGCCUAGCAAAAAAAUUCACUUUACCAGCCGGCAGCCGACUCUGACUGAUUUAGAUCUACACCCUCACUCCGUUCGUCGCCGACGCCGUUGCUCGCCGCAUCUGUGAGACUCCAUCGCCAUCGCCAUCGCCAUCGCCUUAACAAGUCCCAAGUCCCAAGUCCCAAAUCGAAGCUGCUCUCUGCCUCUCCGGCCUCCGCCAGUCCGCCGCGCUGUACGUCUCCUGUCGGCUGUGUCCUGCCGUGCUGGUUCAUCGCUGCCGAGUGUCGAAGACGAAGCACCAAGAUCUCACUAGUUCAUUGCUGGUUCAUCACUGCUCAUCUCUGGAGCACUUAGGUAAGUGCUCCUCUGUUUUUGGCUCUGUGUCUCUGGCAUUAAAAUGGGCCAAGAUCGACUAGGAAACUUGUUAUCCUGAAUUGAUAUGGGGACGAAAUCUGAGCUUCCAAUUGCAAACUCUAACUGUUGUAGUAGUUUAGAUUAGGUGUGAUAUAACAUAAGCUUUGUAUUUUAUACACAAGAAGCUCUCUCCAGUUGUGCAGCCUUUAAAAGUUAAGGCCUUGGGGUUGAGGCUAUGUAUAGACAUUUGUAAUCUUGUAGAAAGUGGGGUUGAGGCUAUGUGUUGGUGUUCCACUUCGGGUGUUUUGUUUACGGAGUCUUGAAGGUCUUAACUUGCUUGUUUGAUGCUAGAGUUUGCACCCUUGCUACUUCUGAAAGAUUUACAUUUUUGGGACCACACAUGUAUUAGCUUUAAGUACAAUGUGAUUUCUGUGCUAUUUAGUCAAUUUUUAUAAUUUCAUGGCUGAAAGGAAUACAUUUGCUUAUUUUAUGUGUUCCUGGGUAGUUAAAACCUUUAUUUGAAGUUUUUGUAGUAGAAGCUACAUUCCAUCAGAUAGUUGUUAGUGUUGUUUGAGGAUUUUGCUCUAGUAUCUGCUGCAUUUUCCUUUUUUGCCUGCCGUUUGUAUAAACUUAAUGACUAUUGUCUAGUUUUGUUGCAUUAGUUCGUGCCUGCAUUAAUUUUUUUGCUCAGAAAUAUUAAUUGUUAGAUCUGUGUCGUUUUCUUGUGAUUCUAGUUUGGAACUUGUUCUUUUCAUUUUCUUGUUAUUCAAGUUAUAUUCCAUCAGAGAGAGAGGUGUAGCUGUAUUUGAGCAUUCAUUUUUGCAUGUUGAAAAUAAGAUCUUGAGUGCUGUUGAUUGCUAUUUUUAAUUUUACUUUUAUUACAAAUGGAUUUAGAUCUGCUUUGUACGUAGAUGAUUAUACUUGUGUUUAUGCAUGUAGCUGUGCCAAAGUUUAUCGGUCUUCAUACAUGCCCUUAUGACCUCCUCAGUUGAGCACAUGCGCAUGCCUUUCUCUCUCUUUAGAUUCAACUCCUGGAUACUGAGUUGACUGGUUGCAUCUCUACACUAUUGCUGUCAUCUCCUAUUAUGAUUCUUUUAAGGAAAUAUGGUUUUACCGACAUUAAUCCCAGGGUUCCAUUGUUGGGCAGGACUUAACAACUUAUUAUGGUCCUAUGCUAUGAGGCAUUUGUCGUGGUAGAAGAGUUCCUUUUCUUCCCUUGUUUACCCGCGUAUAGAAGUAUAAAGCUGUUUACAGUCACCUUUGAUCUGGUUUUUUGGUCAAAUCGAGUCAAAAAGCUUGAUAAGACUCGACUUGAUAAGGCUCGAUUAAAGAUCGAGCCUUAUCGAGUCGAGUCUUGGGCCUAAGGAAAUUCUUCGAGUCGAUCUUCGAGUAUCGAUUUUCGGGCUCGAUCGAGCUCGAGUCUCGAGCCUCUGUGUGUAUGAGUCGAGUCGAGCUCGAGUAUAGCGAUACUCGAGCUCGACUCGACUCGAUUACAUCCCUAGUACAGAUUGGGGUGUGGUCUCAGUUAUUUAUCUAUAUUUUGUCGUUGAAUUUGUUAAUUUUCAAGGGUAAAAUAAAUAAAUAAAAAAAAGAAGAGUUGAAAAGUACAUUUUUUAGGAUUUUCAUGAAAAUUUCUACUGUUCAGUACUUAAUAGACAACACUGCCAAACUUAUUGUCAUAGAAUUGUUUGGCAAAACUCAGGGGAGGUAAAUACAAUUAAUCCAUAAAACACCCCGACCUCUGGCGCUUCCCAGCAAUCUGAAGUUGAGUAGAAGGGGCUUCCUUUCUUUCCCCAGAUUCGUCAUCUGAGCAACCUGCAGUUCAGCAGAACCCUGACCUCUGGUGUUCCGGUGCCCUUUUUGGAGGAGCACUGAGAACUAAGGUAAGAGUUUUAAUAGUAUUUUUUCUUGUACAUGCUGUUACGGACUAGUGAAUUCAAGAAACGAAAUAAAACCAUUUACCUUUUGAUUGUUUGAUUUUAUGUCUUUUUGGGUAGUUUGCAAAGGUUGCUAUUGAAUAUCAAAACCAUUGAAUAUGUUUUCCAGCCGUGCUCGUUUGCUUGUUAUGAUCAGCUUAUUUGUUUGCUUGUGAUUAUAGCUUAUUUGUAAACUAAAAGCUGUUUUGGGGUGUUGUAAUUUUGCUUUUGAUUUCUCCUUUUCGUUUAUUAAGUUGAAAACAUAAAAGCUUAAAUUUUUUUUUUUAAAUAGCUUGUCUUUUCGUGUAUUAGGCAUUUUAAUGGAUUAAGCAAACAAUAGCCUGCUCGGUGUUCUGAUAACUCCGUUUUGUUUUAUAAUCCUGUAAGCAGCAGAUACGUGCAUUGACAUCACGAGUUUCUCACCACAAAUAGACUUUUACGGUAAAAAUUUUCAAGAGAAUAUGUAUCUCUAAAGUUUCAGUACCGUUUAAUCUGCAAUCCGUUAUUUGAUAUCAUCGUUGUGAAGAAUGCACAAAUCACUGACUUAGAGCCUGUUCUUGAAAAAUUUUGAAAAGCUAAAACUAUUUACAUCAUCACCUUGGUGACUGGUUUCUGGAGUCAGCCUCAAGUACAGUAAAAGCAGAUAUUCUGUAGAGUGUGUAAUGUGCAUGUGGUGGUUGGAGUGCAAAAGUUGUGUUUGUUGUCCAAAAAUUUGGUAAAUACUGAUACUUUCUGUUUGGUGGUUAAUAGUGGUGACAAAUAUUUACAAGGUGGUGGCGUUGUAUAUUCUAUUUAGUGGUUAUUUUGUGUGGUAAAGCAUCCAGCUCCCGGUCUUGUGGAAGGUAGUGUCAUGCUCAAGUAUGUGGUGCUUUAUGGCAGAGCCUCCAAUUCUUCCUCAUAUUGUGUUGCUGUGAAGUUUGAACAUGGAAAUUCUGUAUUUAUUUGAUGGCUACUUAGGACCAUGUAUGGUCAUAAACCAGUUUUGUGGUUAGCUGCUAGCAUUGAACAUUGGAAUAUUUUAUGAGUUAGUAUUGUAUUUGAGAGUUUCUUUUGAAGUAUGAAAGUUGUAGCUUUCAAUAAUCCUUUAAGUAGCCUAUACAUUUCGUGUUUACUUAUUGAGAUAAUGUACUAAAUCACCAAAUUUGAUAGUUAAGUUGAUAGAAUGUUGUAGAUAGGUUUAAUGAAUAGAUGACUGCAUAGUCAAGGUGGUAUCCAUUAUAGUUAUGAGCUCCUUUAUUGAAUCCAUGAGUUUUUCCUGUCAUCGAAAUUUGUCCAUUAUUUUGAUCCAUUCCCAAACCAUUCAUAUUUUUGUAGCCUAUGCCUUUUUAAUCCUUUCUUCCUAUUGAGCUCUAGAAGUAAUAUUUUUAUGUUAGACAUGAAACAUAGCUGUUUGUAGUCAUAAACUCCCUUAUAUUUAAAGGUUUUAUACUCUUGAUGUGUUUGAUCACUUAUUUCCUUGUUAUUUUUAAUUAGAUUGGUGGAGAGGAUAGUAUGAAGUCAGAUGAAGCUUCAAAAAAAGCAUCACUCCCUCCGCUGGUGAAGUUUAAUAAGGCAUUCAAAUUGGUAACUUUUUCUCAAACUCUUUAACAUUGUUAUAUGUUAAUCGAAAUUCGUUGGCACAUGUCCUCCAUUUGUGACGAGACCUAAGGUAAGGCAAUAUGGUUGUUCUCACUCCAUUUUCAUGGGCAUUUGAAAUUUAUGUUGUUUAAUUAUGCAUCAAGGGAAAACAUUAAAAUGAUUGCAUCCUGAUAUUUCUAUUGAGCCAUGACAUUCACAAACGUAAUUUUACCAGUUCUGCUCCAAGUUCCUUGCUUGCACUAAAAAUCUGUAAUUUAUCGAUUUAACGGAGUUAGGUCGCUUAUUAGUUAUUAACUAUGUACAGGAAUUUUAAUACCAUGUAGUGAUUAAGCUAUUGCUUACAUGCAGGCUGAACAAUGGGUUAAUAGUAUGAGUAAAUUGGAGGAUGAAAAAUUUGCUAAAGUAGAGGUUCGGCCUUCCAGGUGAGUAUAUCAAACGCCACCAUUUCUAUAUCACUUGAUCUGAGAAUUUACCAUGUUAGGAUCCUGUAGGCUUGGGGUUGGUGCAGCAGUUGCCCGUGAAUCCAAAGUCAUUCAGUCAAAUGACCCGAUUGAAAGAAGAUUACGUGCUAAAUUGGAAUCUGAUAAGAAGAAAGUUGUCAAGAAUGCUGAGGAACCUGGAGGGCCUACACUGAAUGGAAGUUCUCAAGAAGAUAGUGACGACGAGGAACUAGGAAGCAGAACAAAAGCAUUUGUGAAAAAGAGGCCUGCUGAUUGGACUUUAUCUCUACAACAAGGAAAGAAAAAACUUAAGUAACUCUGUGGAUACAGUAGGACUGUCUGAAUCAGACCUUUAGUUUCCUCACACAUAUAUAGCUAAAAGGGGGUUCUAGGUUUAUUCCUGACUUUGGUUAUUUUAGUGCACAAGAUCCUUUUUCAUAGGUUGUGCAAAACUUCAAAUCAGUACGCCUGGGGAACUGCCUUUCAAGCCAGCUGCAAGCGAAGAAUGCGAGCUGGCUAUUGUAGCAGAGGAGGGAAGCUAUAAACUGGUCAUCUUUUUAAGUUGAUCCUAAUCAUACUAUGAACUUGAACCAGAACCUGAGGCAGCGUUUCUCCAAUUACUGCUCAGAGUUCUAUUCUAUUUACUGUAGGUCCUUUAAUGGCUAUUCUACUUGCCUUGUUAUGUUGCAGCUUCUCUUAAGGAGUCACUUUUGGUCCUGUUGUUAAAAUUAAGAGAGAAAUGUUGAUACUUUUUUCAAGGUUUGACCAUCUUUGUUAAUCUUCGAAAGAACUUAUUAAAGAUUUUAGUGUCAAAAAAUUUCAAGUGUGAUCAUGUGUUUGGGUGAUUUAGAGACGUUCAUCUCAGUUGUAAGGCAGGUGAUUAGAAUCUAGAAUACGUUUGGAAACCAUUGUCAGCAGGGUGAAACUUGUUUCCUGAAUCCUGUGUAAUGAGACAAAGGAAAAGGAAAAGUUGAAUGUAAUACAUCGGUUGAUUUAUUAUUUCACAAGAGAUUAUGAGCAUUGUUGUGCGUUCUUCAUUUAGUUGAGGAGACUCUCCUUUAUGGAAUCCUCAUUUGACCAUUAUGAUUUCAACUUUUGCUUCUGUUGGAGGGACAGAGUGCAGUAGGUGGUUGAUGCUCGAGGGAAACUGCUUCGGAGUCUUACAUGGUGUCUGAGCUGAAUACUUGCCUAGUGGCUAUGUAAUUGAGAAGGUUAAGUGGGGAAAUUAUUGGAACAACUUUCCCUACCUUCUCCUGUUUUGAUAAAUAGAAAUGCAUAGAUGCAUAAAUCAAAAGGAGUUAACACUUAACGAGUCAUCCUAGGAAAGAAACACCACCAUGAUCUCUGCUAAGAGGAGUAGGGGCAGAGCAUGAUGAAUAAAUAACAAAAGGUUCCAUUUCCACUGCACUCAGCAAACCGAAGAUCAAUUUCCAGCUGAGUAAAGUAAACUGCUUAGGUCCAUGAAGAGUUUGAAUUAAAUGGUGACUGAUGGAUUUCUGUGCAGUACUUCAUUCGCUAAAGCAAGCAAACAAACAUUAUUGUCAUAUACAUGUACACUCAGCUAAACCCUGUAUUUCCAACUUGCACUUGGAAGCGCAAUGGGUAGAGAAGUGUUCUCAUUAUCUUAUGCAAGCCGGUAACCUGAAAUGCAGCAUCAUGCAAGUAAAUCUAGACAUUUCUAGAUUGAAUUGGAAUCAAAGAGGCUUUCCAAAACUGGCAUGCAGCCAAUAAUAUGUUGAGAACAACGGUGCCAAGAAGUAAUAAUAGCAUCAAGUUGUACGAGUCCUCAAAGGAAGUUUGUCCAGAGCGCAAGGAUGUAUUCAGAAUCUGUCGUACUUUUUUUUUUUUUUUGUUUAAAUCAUUGUUUAUUUCUUAGUAUGAGUUAUUACAUCCUCAAGUCAAAAGUUUGUGACAGCAAGAAUGGCAAUUCAACAAGAGUAAGCUAUUUGCAGAGACAGAGAGAGUUAAAGACAGAAAUUUUCACACAGCUAGAUACAGCACGCCUAUCAAAAGCACACCAACCUCUACAACUCUACACUUUCUAGAGAAUGUCGUAUUAAUAAAGUCAGAUCCAAUGAUCACCAUAUCAAAUCACCAACCCAUUUCUGCCAUAAUCCACUAGCACUUUUGCCUUCUCAUGAGCUUGCAUCAAAAGAUGUUUCACAUAAGAGAUCCUCUAUUUCUGUACAUCUUCUGCCACAGAAGGCUUCCAUGCUAGUCUCUUAGCAGAAUAUAGGCUGAGCAUAGUCCUUUAGGCCUCACAAAUUUAGCAUGAGGUAAAAAGAUCACCAAAUGUGAACCUUCAUUAGACCACCAAUCAGAGCUAGAGGCAGCAUAACUGGAAAUGUGGGUUAACCAGAAAAAAAGGACCUUUUACUGCCUCAGCAGACUGAAGAUCAGCUUCUUUUGCAUUAGCUCAGUAAUAACGUCAAUUAUACUUUACAGGUCAACUUUACGAACUUCAAUCAAAUCAGCUGAAGAUGAUAGAGAACCAUUUUUCAAAUCAUCAUAGAUGAAGCUUGAAACCGUGUCCUCUACCAAUUUGUCAAGAAUGGCCUCUUCCAUUUCCGUACCAAUGUGUUGGAUAUCUAAUCGAACAUCUAUCCAUUUUCUGGACUUAGCCAUGUCCUUGUUGAGAAGCUGAUCCAAAGAUUGAGGUGACGGGUCUUGCUGGAGGUGCCACUCAACUCCUUCCCAUAUCUCCUGAAUAAGUGCCAUCCUAGUUGGGACAGGCCGAAUGCUCUGUUUAUUACUCGACAUCGACAGGAAACACCCAAAAUAGCGGUCGCAUACCUCCUCCAGUACUUCGUUAAUACAAUCAAAAAGUAGCUUUUGCUCAUGAUGAGACCGGCUGGAAAACAGCUCCACUUCAUCAUACAAUGUCGAAUCGAGAAUUGGAGAUGAAGAAAGCCACUUUAAUAGAUAUUCAUCCCAGAUCAAUCCUGAACCUAGUAACACUGCUUCUACAUAUUCAAAUGCAGAUUCUUCAUCAUUCAAAGAAGUCUGCAUACACAUCCCUUGGUCACUGGAAGACCUCCACUCCUCAAAAUGAAUUUGCCGUGGUUGAAUUUCUUGUUCAACUAAGAAAUCAAAACAUCCUUAUAUCAAAUAUGAUAUGGAAGUACAACUGACCAUAAAUCAAAUAAAUCUGUAGUUCAUAAAAUCUAAUUAAGUGACCUAACCUGGCCUACGUAUGGUCCUUGCUGGACUGAUAUCAUCUUCAAUAAACAGUGGUUCAAGAACAGAUACAGGACUGGGUCUGUCUGUUCUAUCAAUUGCACCAUCAAAAUCUUCAACUUUUAUAGUGACUGAAGAGUGUGAAGGUGAUGCUGAAGGAGAAGGCAACAUUUGACACUGCUCAAACGAUUCCUGCAAAACAAAACAAGAAUUUAGGCCUGUAUAACACGCACAGCAGGGACACUACAAGAGUAAUAAGAUAUUACUCCCAAUUGUCAUCAGAUGUAAAUUACGAUUCUCAUUUCAAGCAGACAUCAUCAAGAACCAGGAGAUUACCAUCUCCAUUGACUGUGUCAACCCUUCUUGAUGAUAUUGUGCAGCAAUAUCACAGUUUCGAUCAUCUUCUGUACUGUAAGAGCUACUUGAUUCAUGAGCAGCAUUUGAAUUCUCAUAGCAUUCAUGGUCGCCUUUAGUUGUUUCUUCAAAUCCUGUAGCUCCUGCAUAGGAUUUAUCUACCACAUGAUGAAAUGAAGACUAUGAAUUGCUCAUAUCCAAUCUCAGAAAAAAAAAUUAGAGGCAAAAUACCUUCAGCUACCAUUACAUCUCCACCUGAAGACAGCGCUUCGCCAUCCAAAUCAGUAUGAUGGUGCACACAAGACAAACUCCUACUUGCUUCUGGAGUUUCUACUUUCUCAUCAAGACUGGCAUUAGUGGUGCUAGGUUCAAUCUCUGAGCAGUACUUUAAUGAACUUGAGGGUUUCCUAAGAUUUUCUUCAUCAACCUGAUCUGUGGUCUCAUUAGCAAUCUCAAUACCACCAUGAGAAAACAGUGUGCUUUCAGUUGUUACAGAGCUGUCCUCAGUGCCCUUCCUAGGGCUGCUGUUGGCAGAAGAAUUGUAUUCUGAAAAAGAAAGAAUCCUACCCAAGGAUUUUGGUAGCUGCUGACUGAUUAGCUCUGUAUCAUUAUGCCCACUGCUAAGCAUCUCCAAGAGGUGCUUCUUGGCCUCGAGGUAGAUGUUAGCAACUCCCGACUUGGUAUGCACAGAGGUCUCUUUCACUGUAUAUGGGUCAGCGUCGUUUGGUUUGCCGAUUUCAUCAUCCCAAUUUAGAUUGAUGGAAGGUUUGGCAAACCUUUCAGUAUAGAAGUGGUUUCUGUUUGGAGACCGCCACCCUAAAUUUUCUCCUCCAAUUCCCUUCUCAAAAUCAUGUCUCUUUUGAUGCUCUGAUAGAGUUCUAUGAGUGAUUCCAUCAGGAGAGGUACCCUGCCUUUCUUUUCUGAUAGCAUGCUUUAGUUUCCGUUUGAUUUCAGUGAAAGAGAACUGGCUUCUUUCUCCCUGGAUCUUAACUCCCUCAGGAUUGUGAGAUUGCAUGGAAGUGCUAAUAUGUAUCUCUGUGUUUUGUUGUUGCAAGGUCGCUGGUCCAGGUUUUAAAAUAACAAUCUUACUAGAGGACUGACAUUUGUCACUUCCCAUUGAGGGGAAACUUUCCUGUGAUUUGCUCCUCCUCCGGAAAAAGUUUCUGUGUUGUUUGUGGUUGAUGAGGUCGUCUGUUUUUGAAUGACUUAGUUUGUCUUCUACGAAGCCAGAUCUUGGCAAUGAAUUGGAAUGCAGCAGGCCUUUCUCUAAAUGGGCGCUCUCCAAACCUUCAAUUUGCUUUACCAAAAGAGAGUUCGGGUCUUGUAGGAGCUUUAACAGCAAGUCCUUUUCUAAACUCAAUCUAUUCAAAGCAUCCAUGGAUUCUGUGGACUGCUGGACCUGCCCAUUAUCUCUAGAAUGCUUAAUAUUGGAUGAGUUCUGAUCAAUGAAGAUCUUAAUGGCUGCACUUAACUUUCCUUCAUCAACUGCACUUGCCUGAUCUGCUGGCACAUCGAAAUGAUCAUGCAACAAAUGCAUAAUAAUUUCAAAAUCAAUUUUAUCUGAAGUUUUUUGACUGUCAACCUGAUCACCAGACUUAUCAGUCCCUAAAUCUUUCAUGGCAUCCAAAUCACAAAUGUUGAUAUCACUAGACCCCUUGCUGGCUUUCUUUCUAUGUUGGCGGUCUUUUCUUGUAUGACAUCCAUGUUCUGGAUGGCCCAUCUCGGAAUCACUGCUCUGCUUGUUUGGAUCUUGCUCAUUGACCAUCUCUUCUUCCAUGAGUUUCUUCACACUUGUUUUAACAGUAUCAACGGAGGCUAUUCCACUCUCCCUGCCAUCCUUUUUUGACAUAAAACUGAAUUCAGUAUUUCAAUUUAUAUAUGCAAUUACACCAGUAAUUGAGCAUCACUUUGAUCAAUAUGGCAAAAGACUUCCAUUUUCACUCCACAUCCCACAAUAAAAUGACUUUUUGCAACUUUUGAUACCAGAUACUCUUCAAGAUUAGUAAAUGGCUGCAAUAACUUACCUCACUAUCCUGACAGUUUCCAUCGGAAUCAGGUGACAUUAGUCCAGUUUGCGAGGAUCCAGCACCUGUAGCAAAUUUAAAGUAGCUAUAGUCUGUAGAAAUAGUGCUACAUAGAAUUCAAGUAAUUGAAGCAAUACAAAUCAUGAAAAUAUGACAUGAACUGCAUUUAUAUUGCUUAUCAAAGAGGUUCCUUACCGUCAGCUUUCCUGCUCCCCUUUCUUCUAUCUGGAAGGAGCUUUUUAGUGGAACGGCCAUGGCGAAAAUCAAAGAUGCUGAUCAAUCCCGAUAUACAACCUGUUUGAUCCUUUUCAUACCGCAGACGCCGUCUUUGUGACCUCUUUGCCAUUAUCUCUGGCAACUCUCAGCUGUCAAGUUGUUGCUUUCAUGUAUAUUUUCUUGCAAACGGGAACGCAAAAAGCCUGAUUAAGAAGUGAAAAAAGAGUGAGAUGAGAAAACAGUAUAGGUACUUCAAUCCAAAAGAUGACAUUGAUGCAACAAAGUUUUCAGAUGAUGAAUGCACUGAGAAAAGGAGAGAAAUGUACAAUGACAGGAGAAGUAGAAUUAUUAAAACUCUGAACCGUCUUAUGUAAGCCUGGAAUUUCAGUCAAUUCAUCGCAUCAAUCAACAAAAGAAUACGAGGUUUGUCAUAUGCCAUGAUCGUAGUUCACUCUGCAUUGAUAUAAACGAACCUUUGAAAGAAAGUUUCGCAAUUUAUUUUUUUAAAUUUAGAAAAGAGAAAAGAUUCUAAACUUGCUCUCAAGCAAAAUCUAGAUUCUUUUCUUUCUGUAAUCUUUACAAUUUUGGCAGGGGGAAGCUUCUUUUAAGUAAUCUAGUGAGCAUGUGAUCAUGUAUUUUCUUGCAGAUCACUAUGAUCCCUCAUAUAAGCAUCAGAAACGUUGCAAAAGUCUUGUAUUGACAAAAGGGGGUGGGGAAUAGCAGUCCGAUCCUUCAUAAACCCACAAGUACGAGAUUGUUUUGCACCAAAAAAUAAAAAGGUACAAGUAACAUACAAAUACAAACGCAAGGCAGAUGAUUUACCUGCAAUUUCAGGCUCUCAGAAACACUAGGACUAACAAAAACAAGCAUGCAUCCAGAUAAAACUUUGCCGAGAUCCAAAACAGAGUAAUUUCAGCUGCUCAAGGAAAGUAGUGCUCUCUAGCAGGAAAGCAAGUCUUAACCUUCUUUGUCGGUGAUAAACCUACACAGUAUUUCCGAUGGUACCAGUAGAACCUUCCUUUCAAACCAGCUUUUUCAGACAAGGACAACUACUCCUAAACUUCGAAAUACAGGCAGAAGAUCCACUUACUGGAUUGUAGUCACAAUUUCCACUGGCAUUAAUCAAUCUCACACACUCUGAUGCAUUGUCACUUCUUAAUGAACUCCAAAAUUAAAACUUUCUGCUUCGUUUUUUGCUUUUGAUCAGGAAGAGAGGGAUCAAACUCCUCAGAAACCCAAAAUUCACACUAGUUCAAAUUCAACAGAAAUCUAUAUAAUACUUUCUCAAGAAAAAAAAAAAGAUUCCAAAUUUACACCUGUCCUGAUUGCUAUAUAUGCAAAAGGGCAUCCGAAAGUAAUAUAAAAUUUCAAUCUUGACAAAGCUGGCCGAAAGCAAUCCAAAGUAGUACAGAUAUGAAGGAAGCAAAAAAUCCAGAAAAAAAAAAAAAAGAGAACCCCCCACGAAAACCCAAAAAUUGGUCUUCUUUUCUUCUUCUAUCCGUGAUGAAGCGUUGCUUGAGGGAAUUUUCUAUGCACAGAGGACAAAAAGAGGGGGAGAAAAAACACCGCCCCACGUAAUAAAAUGGAGAAAAUGUGCGUGGGGUGCAGCCAUUAAAGACUAAGGAGGAAGAGGGAAAGUGGGAAAAGAUAGGAGAGAUGCAGAGAAGAAGGGGAGAAAAAAGGGGGAAAGGUUGGAAAGUAAAAGUAUGGGGAAACCUUUAAUAAUUAAAUUUCCCUUGGAGAUGCAAUUGAGGAAAAGGGAUUAAAUUGGAGAGAUUAAAUUGGAGAGGAAACUGAAGAAGGAGAAAUUGGAAUUGGGAAUGAAAAGGUGGGACCAAUAAACCAGAACGAGGAGACCAAAGUUGAUGGGGAGCUUUCCAGUGAAGAAAAGUGAUGGUAUGGUUGGUGUAUUUGAGUUGGGAAUGAUUUUGCCAUUUUCUCAUGCUCUUUUCCUCUCUUCUUCUUGCCCAAUUCCAUUUCUUCCACGUCCAGCUAUCAUCAUCAGUCUCACCACCCAAUUCCACACCUGUGUCUCUUUCUUUUAAGACUUUUAUCUGUCUCUCCUUUUUCUCUGUCUACUGCAUGUACAUUACUUCAUGUCCAUUUCAAUCUGUUUCGGUAGGCAUCGUUGGGAUAGUCAGACAAAAGUUCAUGGGAGCCUUGGCCGCAUACGCAUUGAAAGGGAGAGAGAGUUAACCAAAUUGAUCAUAUAUGCACGUUGGCGUUAUCUGUUACGACAGUGCUUCUACAACGCGUAUAUGUGUGUGUGGUUCGGACUUUCAAAACACAGCAAUUCAGUGGGUCGGUAAAUUACAUGUCACCACCCAUCUGUAGUUUUAUUAUAUAAUGUCACGUAAUUCUUCGAAAGUUUCAAAAUAGCCACGCAACUUUUUUAUAAUUUUAUAUAAAAUAAAAAAAUAAAUGAAAUGCAUAAUCGGUCGCAGUGAUUAAAUUACACGCAUUUUACAAGAACAUGUAAGAACACUACUGGUGUUUUAAGUAACAAUAAUAUUACAUAAGCUAUUUUUCAUUAAAUUUCUAGUUUACAUGAAACCAUAAAAGGGGUGAUUUCUAGUGGACAUUUUAAAACAUUUAAGAGGUUAUGUGGCAAUAAAUGAAACAAUAAGGGGAUGAUUAAUAAUUUACCCUAACUCGGUAAAAACUGAAUGAAUUUGGCUCGACAAAUUUCUUUAUAAUAAAAUCACAAUGAACCCAGGAUGGUAUGGAAAUAAUACGAAUAAUUUACGAUCCAAACUAACCCAUAAAUAGUGAAAAUCACAAUCCAAUGCCACACAAUUCACGUUCAAUGAGAGCUAAACCUAAAACCUCUAAAUCCCUAGACUUUUGAUUCAGCUCGAUAAUUGAUCGCAUUGAUUUGCUCUCCGAUCAAUUAAAUUUCUAGUCGAUAUAGAUUGAUUGAUACUUGAACAAAAUGGGAAUGACUUGAUUGGGUUUGUGUAGGGAUAAAAGGGUAUGAGUGGAUAAAUUUUAACUCUAAGUCUUUGUACUCGUUUCGAGCUUAUUGUUAUUUUCUUUAAGGCAAAAAACUUCAGCGAUCACUAAACUAUUGAGUGGGUUAAGUUUUGGUCAUUAAAUAAUUUUUUUGUUACAAGUUGACCACUAAACUAACCAAUCAGUACGCUCGUAACCAUUGCAUCGAUUAAUACUCUUAACCUAUGAAAUAAGCUGAGCACAUGACAUAGUUUUGUUCUUAAUCGAGUAAGUGGUGGACAAAAUUACCUCUGCACUUUUCCACGCAUUUUUAGACAAAAAAUAUGAAAUUAGUGGCAGCAAUUUGGAUAAUGAUACAAACAUCACAUUGUGCCAACAGUACGUGACCUAUGGCCAACAAGAAGAAACUUCCUUCUUAUACUUUAUUAUUCUUUAAUCAGCUCGAUAAAAGAUAGCAAUUUGUCAUGAUGCACGUCUCAUAAUUAACAAAUUGUUGGACAGUUGACAAAGAUUUAUGUUCCUAUAAUCCUAUUUCAGUUUUAUAAUCGCCCAUGCACAUCUCUUUCUAGAUUCACAAUCAAACAUAUUUCCACGCCAAAUUUACAAGCUAUAAUUUUGAGGGAGGAUCAAAAUUUUUCUCGUCCUUUUCUUUUUCUUUGUUGAUUUUUGUUAAGCUUAAUUGGAAAUUUACUUUACUUUUCUGAUUUAUCUUUAUUUUGUGCACUCUUAACUUGUCGAUGGCUUAGAUGCUAAUUGCUAAUAGCUUAAUGACAUAUGAUACUACACAAAAAGAGCAGAUAUACUUGUUGAUACGCAUCGUAAUGCAGAUAUCUCUUACGGAGGUUUUAAAUUAGUUUCAAACCCUUGCAUAAUUCUACCAAACUCCAAAUGCCCAUACAAGAGAAGGGGUGUGCCCAAAGAAUCUACAGUUUUAGUUUUGUUUUGUUUUGUUUUGUGAAGACAAUAAUCUGCCGCUUGUUGAACUCACGUUUACGUAGAGCAGAUUAAGUAUGGUUAUUACAACUUAAGACAUGAAAGAUUAAACAAAUGGAGAAGAGCACAAUUUUUACAAUUUUUUGUUUAGUUCGAUCUGGUUAAUAUAAUUCGUACAAAUUUUUGAGUGAAUCUGUGCAAUUUUUAUUACAAUUUACUUGUAUGAAUUGAUAAAUUCACACUUACAGUAAAACUAUAGUACUAAUUUAUAUCAAAUAUAUUAAUAUCAAAUGUUUUGAGAAAUUUUAUAAUUGGACCAAAUUGAAUAAAAACUCAACUGGAGAGGACCUGAUCCGAAUUUUUGAUGGAGUUGAGUGCUAAAACUAAAAGUCCCCCCAUUAAAAAGUCCAAGUAAGCAGUCGUGUCAUCUUUCAACAUCAAUGACACUGAUGCCUUGUUUCACUUGUGGACAAGUCUACCGCAAAGUUGUCCUCCGUAUAUACAUAUACAUACAUGCAUACAUACGUGGGAAUAUAUAUACAUUGAAAAAUACCGCAAAGUUGUCCUCUCUCAAAAAAAAAAAAAACAUAUAUAUAUUGAAAAAUACGAAAAAUAUUGUUAAUUAACAACAAUUUUAGGAAAUUUAUGACAUACAUUGAGUGUGUGUCUACGUGCGCGCGCGCACACAUAUAUAUAUUUUCUAUAAAAGAGCCAACUAAAGUAUUAAAUAAUUGAUCUCUUAAUACAAGAUUGAUUUCAACUCCUUUCCAAUCAUUCACCCCCUUCUAUUUCCAAAGCUAUCUAGUCUAGAUAACAUAACUAUUUGUGUCUAAUUUUCUACAGCCGGAAACAAAUUCCUGUCAUUAAAUAUGCAAAACGAUAAUGGAAUAUGCAAAUUGAAUUGCCGAUUCAAGUCAGCAUUGACAGCAAUAUCAUUUCAUAUUAUUAGAUAUGCAAUUUCUGUAGAAGCAUAUCUACAAUGAUGAUAUGUCUAUAACAAAAAUUUGCCUAAAAAGAUGCAUUGAUUUAAACGCAUACGUAGUACUAUUUCAAAUUGCCAUACUUCUGCUCAUAUUUCUCAAAUCUUGAUCCCAUCAUGCACACUGUUGAGUGCUUGUUCUCUUAAUUUCUUUCCCCUUCAAGUAACAAUAAUGACAACCAUGUAGUAAUUAACGGUAUCAAAAGAGUCUUUAAAAGCAAAGGUUGGUGAAGCAAGUUUACUCACGGUGAGGACCAUCUCUAAUAUUACCAUUUAAAUCCAGGACCAACUGACCUUUGCAUGCAACACAUGGUGGUGGACACAACUAUACUAAAGCAUGCAUUUUCAGCUUGUGAAGAACGCAAAACAUCAUUGAUGAAGAUGCAUGGAAUCCCCUGAGUUUUAACUACUUUGGCGAAUUAUCAUGCAGGUAUUGUUUGGUUAAACUUAAACACCUCCCCUGCUCUAGCUACCAAGUUUGUUGAGAGUAAUGAUUAGAUAAUACUUGCAUGUCAGUCUGAAACACAUUUGAUCAGUUUGAUACUGGACGGUUGGAUUCAAACUUUCACUCGUAAAUGAUCCUUAAUCGUUUAAAUUAUUUGAGAUUAUAUCAUGCGCAAUUCCACCUCAUCCAGUGCAUAUAUAUACAAUUGAUUGCCUUUGAUCCCUAACUUUAUUCUCGCUUUUGGUGAUGGAGGACAUGACCUAAUAAAUUGUCUUCGUGUUAGCUUGCUAUGAUUAGAUAAUCAGAUUAGGUUAAACUUAAUUAAGAAGCAUUUAUCUGACGAUGAUAAUUCAUUCUCAGUGGUGAGCAGUUGUUGGCUUCUGCCAUAAGAGAAUAACUUAAGGCACACAGCAAAGUAGAUAACACUAAAGAAACUCGUAAAGAGAAAAGUGCCAGUUUCAGAUCUCAUUAAGAGGUUUGAACUACUUAUAAUCCUGUUGCAAACUAAAUAUUCUAAUGACUCCUAAGACAGAGAAUAAGAAUACUUUUAUUUCCUUACUUAUUCAAACAAAAGAAUAAACAAAGAUAGAUGUUUACUCUUUACGAAGCCAUGUAAAUUAUAGCAGCAUUAUAUGCAUCAAUGGGCAGAUCAAAGAUCAAAGAACUCUGAGUGGAAGACGGACAAUGUGUACAUAAUCAGCAAGGCAUUCAUACCAUAAUACUAGAAAUGUGGGCUGUUAGUUCUAAUUCCUUUUCAGGGAAAAAGUUUAUCUGCAAGCAUCUGUGAAAGUUACGUCUGACAAAAUCAAGCCUAACAAGGAACGUAUAUUUUUAUACGUAGCUGAAAUUUUCUUGACUUUUGACAGUGGAUGUUAGUGGGCUAGUUUCUCAGCAGAAGUGUUUUGCAUAUGCUUUUCUAGGGCAUCGGAUGCUUCUGCUUUUGGACACAGUUUUGUCCUCGAAGUAUUCUUUUAAGGCAUCCCCAUUUUAAGAAAAGACAAUUUAGCUCUAUCAUCAUUUGCAUACUAAACUAAUGGGAGAUUUGUGAUGCAAUCUUCUUCACAAGAUCUGUGAAAUUUAGCACAAUGAGUUGGAAAUUAAGGUAGCAAUGGAAUGAUGGAUCAUACCAAAGUCGCGCUUGCUUGGGCGGGAAUAUGAUAGAUCAACCAUCAUUGCCCGACAACUGAAACCUCGCAAAGUUGUGCAUCCCUCCCUUGGUCCUAGUUGCAGUCACAAUCCUCAAUUGUCGGUACAAUCGCAUGAUGUCCUCAAUUUGGCUGAUAGGGGAAUAGAAAACAAUUUUUGAACUAAAACAUUUGGUCAUUGUAUGUUAGUCUAUUACGUACUGCAAACAAUUGGGCGACACCACAGAUUACACCGAUCGAGAUGUAUAAAGUUUUGAGGCCAGAAUGAUACUCUACUAAAUUAUGGGUUGGUUAAUCAUUGAACUUGGAGGCCUUAAUAGUCUUUUUCUUGCUAGAUAGGACAAGAUUGCAGUAUGAUUCUAGAGGAUUAUGCUAAACAAGCACUCUAUUUUUAUCAGAUUCAACGAAGGUGAUCAUUACUCAUCCAAAUCAUGAAGAAUAAUGAGUGCAUUAUCUUAGUGGACUCGGAAUGAUAAAGCCUUUAUCCAAGAAAUGGUUAGAUUAAUCCAGAAAAGAAAAAGGAAAGCAAGACGAAGGCUGUAAAAGUUUGUCGUAGAGAGGGCCCAAAGUCUUUUAAAUCAUAUUCUCUUGCGUACUUUCCAGCUAAAGAUCAAUGCGCAAAUUCGCUUUUUACUAACUCUUCACGUUCGUUGCAACAACUAAUUUACUCAUAAGUUGUUCUUUCCUUUUAACUAAGCAACAAAGCCAAAAUCAACGACCUGCUAAGAUGAUGAUGAUUUCUACAGCAAUUAAAAGGAGCAGCUCAGCCUUCUUUGGUACUUCAUCACAUACAAAAUCUAUCUCAACUUACCAGUUACGUCAACUAAAAGAUCAAGUAGGGAUGUUGAAUCAGUAGUUCACUAGGCAGGCUCAGAGCUAACUUUUGUUGGAUCACAUAGCUAUAGAUGAUCCUAUCUAAAUGCCACUGCAGCUAACUUUUGUUGUCUCGCGUUCUUCUUGUUCACACACAUGAAAAUUAAAUUGUUCAAUUCCGAAAAGUAGGUUAGACUUUGAAGUCUAAGUAUCACUUCUCGGGACUCUGCAAAUAAAUAUAGGAUGUACAAAUCAAUGUUUGCCUGGUUAUGAGAUAUUCGUCUACAAGUGUUUGACACAAGGAAUGGUGCUACUUAGUUCACUUAUGUGGUCAAUUACGUAAUUUUGAAGUCUGGACACUUCGCAAGAUUUUGCAUUCAGUCCACUGAUUCUUGAUCACUCAAAGGAGGACAAAGGAAAACUAUGAAUUUGAAGAAUUAGAGCUGCACGCUAUAAAAUGUCAAAAAGAUUGUUUUGUUAAUGUAUUGUCUUUGGUUGAUCAAUGUAAGGCAUGAUGUUUUACAGCUAAUUGAUCCCAAAAAGACUGGGUAUUGUAAAAUUAUCACUGUUCUCUUGAAAAGAGUUACCGAGUAAGAACUUAAAGCAGAAUCACACUUUGCAUGGUGGCAAGGGUUAAUAUCUAUAGUUUUAUGGUUAUCCAUAGGGUUUUAUAGCUUUGGUUGUGACUGUUAGUCUUCCGAGAUUCUCAACUUGAUACACCAACAAUAACGACUAACCAAACCGCACGGUUUAUCAUCUUAUGAUCUUAGUCCUGUCUGAUUAAAAAAUGCCGUACACGAAGUAAGGUUUCCUAUAUUAUGUUUUCUAACCAGUAAAUUUCUACGGGGACAGACAGUAUAUCUAGCAAAAGUAAAUAUCAAACAAAGCAAUUGUAGAAAAAUAACAUAUCUGAGUGAUGUGAAGCAGAUCUGAAUAUAUAUUACAUUUUUUUUUUUACCUCUUUUACGUGAUGUAACUGUGUACAAUGACAACAAAUUCUAAUUAAACAACUACUUUUCUUCGUUACAGGAAGAGGGUAUUGCAGAGAUUUAUUUGCAGCUCCAUGUGAAGAUUUUGGCACAAAGCUUGAAACAAGAAGGUUUUCAAGGGUCAUUUCACCUUUAGUCUAUAACAAUGGGGUUACAGCGUUUUCUCUUUUGCCUUCUCGCUUUUCUCAGUAUGCGUUCAGUCUCUUCAUUUGCUUCCUGAGUGGAGUUGUUCCCUACAUGUUCCCACAAAGAAGACAUCUUUACAGCAGCGAGGGUAAACAACUAAACAUUAUAAAUAUCUAUUGGCAAACUGCCGCAACAAGAAAAUUAUGAAGGUCCCAAAUAGUUGAAGUACACAAUCUGCCUUUUAGAGAGAAAUGGAUUGAGAAAAUAUUUUACGACACAUGUUAUUAAAUUUCCAUAAAUGAAGUCCUUUUCAAUAAUGGGAAAAUACGCACUUUAUGUUCAAGUAUCACUAUUGGGAUUGCACCGUAGUCAAAUUGCUCUCAGUUGCGGAAAUUUAAGAAGAAAAAGAGUUGCGAAACAUUUUGAUUUUUCAAAUCAUUUCUUUCUAAAAUGCAGAUUGUGUAUUUUCCCAAAAGAAUGUAUAAGAACGUGUAUCUGUUCACUCUCUGAAAAGUGAUUAAAAGUUUUAUGAAUUUUUUGCAAUAAAAAAAAAAACGCCACCUCCUCAGCUACAAGAAAAAAGGUAACUUUGGUCCUCUGUAAUAUGAAGAAAAAUCAACUGUAAGUCCAGCGUACUUAAUUGCAGAAGAAAAUCAUACAGAUACAAGAAGUACUUCAGAAGAUAAGCCUAGAAGUUCAUGCAGAUGAUGGACAAUGAUUUUGCACAUCUCAUUCAGGAAUUAGGAAAAAGUGAUUUGAGGCAAUCAUAUAAUGUGAAUAUUUAAUUAUCCUGCAAGACUGUUACCUGUUUGCAUUUCUUUGAACAAGCAGAAAAUUCCGCCAUCAGUAUCCUCAUCUGAUUCGACCACAACUUUGCACUUCCUUUCCUGCACCGGUAUCAAAAACUUAGUAUAAAAAGACACUUUUUAUGUUUUCGAUAUCUUAUUCUUCAGCUUCAAAAAAUAAAACAACACAAUACAUAAUGAUUUGCACCAUUUCCUGAAAUUGUGAGAACCAGUCCCAUUAUAUGACCCUGCACCAUUUACUAAUCAGAAUCUGUGCCCCCCAUCGACAUUCAUGGAGUGCACAAGAUUUAGACGUGCAGAGUGAGAGGAAGAGAACACUAACACGAAGAAGCAACAGAAACUACAAUUAACAGCUACCUGCUUGAUCGAGGGGAUUCCUCCCUGGUGGGAACUCUUAUUAGGAUUUCUGUCUUUAAAAGGAGCUUCUUGGUGCUUUACUGAUUUCCACCCUCCACAUUCAGUCUUUGGAACCAAAUUUUCUUGAGAAACCUUGGGAUGCAGUUGCGCACUUGAACGAAAAGAAAAAGAGAAUCUUACUGGGCUAGAGAAUACAAUGAUUAACACAUGUACCCAGAAACAGAAAUUUGUCCUCAUUCUAUGCAUAUAUAUGCGAGUAAUACCACUCCAUAUAGAGAUAAUGGAAUACUUAAGGCCUGAUUAUUUAAAGAAAAUACUCAUACAUACAAAGUUUGCCUAAGCAAACCUGAGUGCUACGAUAAUAAACAGAGAAGGAUCUAGAUUAGGCAAUAGAGGUCAUAGAUUCUAAUCAGUCACACUAGCUUAGAAAAAUCUUAGGCAUGUCCAGGAUUAUGUUCAAUGUUUUCCUUCUUGCGAGACUUUCUUUAUUACCCUCCCCACCCAGUAAACAGGAUGAUGUAGAGAUAUUCCUUCUUGAACUCAAUUCACUUCUAAGGAAAUGAAUUUGAUAUGUCCAUGAUUCAUCCUCCUAAAGUUCAAUUAUCAGAAAUAUCAAUUUUUACAAAAAAAGCCGAUUCAAUCAGAUGAUUGGCUCAUGCCAGUGGAGUCAGCAAGUGAGAAGAGAAAAGGAAGACUAGAAAAGAAGUACUAAAUUGAUACCUUUUACGAGACUGCAUUUCCUGUAAAGUAGCACGAUGAUUAACACCCUGCAGAUAAUGUAGAUACAUGAGGCUUCAGGAAACUAUCUACAAACACUUAGCAUCUAAAAAAUGAAACUGUCAGCUUUUUUGGGGAUAGAACAAGUACCUUUGGAGGAGGGAUGACAGGAGUUCCACAUUUUUGGUUAGCAACUGGUACUCUGCUUGCAAUUGUCUGUAAAUGUCAAACCAUGAAUUCGGAAAAAACCUUCCAGGCCACAUAUAGCAGUAUAAAAGAUAGAGCUGCGCACUUAUUGACUUCAUUAGUUGAACACAAAAUGUUUUCAUGCCUGUAUUUCUUUCGUGAAAGUCUUCAUGAGAUCUUUUUGAAAUUUCAGCAUAGAAGCCUGAAUCUUUUCUGGCAAAGCUGAAACUGUUGAAGAUAUUUCCCUUGAACUCUCUCGAAAAACGUUCUGUGAAAACUGCCCAGACAAAGCUUUGAAGCCCCCAUUCAAACUUGAUUUGAUAUCUUCCUGUCCCUUGUUCUGGUUGUCCAAUGGAUUAGAAGACGAAGUUCACCGACAUAUGAGACACACAUUUUAUUCAAAUAAAAAUGCUUGAAGAACUGGAUGUAUUAUCUGAUACCAUUAACUGAAGCAGAUCAUCAUGAACUACCAUCUUCUGCCGAAUGCUUUCCACUGCAAAAGAGAUCAGAGAAAAUAAUGACAAACUAGCUUUUGCACAAGUUUCAAUUUCUGAAUGCCUUUUCACUUCCCAAUACUUAGAAGUAUAUAUGCCCAAAUUGCUUAAUGUUCAUAAAAUACUGAAGCUUGAUUGUGCAGGUUGAUAACAUAUUUCUUGAAAUAUGUGCAAUAGAUAUUAGCAAGAAGCUGCCUGGUCUGGACCACAAGCAAAUUGCAAAAUACUUUUAAGUGAUUCGGUUCAUCAAAACUGCCGAAGCUGGCAGGUGUUGCAUGCAUGAGCCUUAGAAAUUUCACAAAUAUUUAUAUCAAAUGCAUAAUGUUUUAGCUAAAUUUUUACUGCUCUUUGUUCUAGUACUUUGUCAACAAAAAUUGAAUACGUACCCUCAAGCACUAAUUCUUUUGUUCCUUUGUUGACUUGCAUGAUGUCACUCUGAACAGAAUCCAAGAUCAUUCCAAACCUGCUUAACGAAGUUUCCAUCAUUCCUAUCCUAUGUUCAAGUUCUUCAUUGAUCUGGCCUGCUCAAGCAAGUAAACUACUGGAAACUUAGAAGAAAACCUUGUAUAUCCUAGAAAACAAGCUUGUUUAAACAACUUGCAAUACAAAGUUACAUUCUUGUAUCCAAUUGAAAGUCCAAGGGGGAAGUCAGAAUCUUCAAAACAAAGUUGUUCAUUCAAACUACAAAGUUGAUGACACUAUUUAGCUGAUAAUUGUAAACUUACACUUGUGUUCAGGAAGGGACCAUUUGCGCAUUUGAUUGGCAGAAGAUCUAGAAAUUUGCAUUUGACUCUCUUCCCUUGGGCAAUUGAUAGGAGCCAAGAAAGAAUUCCUCUUUGCAGAAGUCUCCCUUUCUUGUGAACUCAAUCUCUAAGGUAUUUUGGUAACAUGCAAAUGAAAAUUCUGGUUCAAUGUAAAGUGAUACUAACACCAAAUAGAUUAUUUAUAUGGCAAUUGCAGUUCCCUUUCUAUUACUUCCUUCUUUAUUUCCGCUUAUUUCAAAAUUUUUAACUAAUGAAAGUGGACAACAUUCAUUGAGUUCAAAAAGAGUAGCUGUAUCCAUGCAUGACAACAACAUCCAUAAAAGUUGCAUGCUUUUACAAGUAUACCAAACAAGAACUCUGAUGAUUGCAAUUCUUUUGACAACAAACUUUUCGCAUUAUCUUCUUCUGUAAGUCGUUAAAUGCACCAUACUUUUGCAAAGGAAAAAAAAAAUUAACGACACUUAAGGGCUACUUCGGCGUGCUUCUAAUAGUUUGCCUAUUCUAAAGCUACCACUGUCAUCCACUUGCGAUAUUAUACCUAGUUGAUUCAGACAAACACCUCAAGUUUCUACUUUCAUAUAGUUCAAAGGCAAUCCUUUCAAAAAUAGAAUUAAUACAGAAUUUAUUCCAGUUUAUCUUUUCCGAACCAGUUCCACUAUACUAAUAAUCCAAACUAGUAAAAUAAAUUAGAAUAUAGAAAUAAUUAUCAGUUACUUGCCACAGAAAGCAGCUGCAUUACUGAAAUCUACUACAUACUAGUUCAAACUCUGUUGAAAAUUAAUAAAAUAUUCUGAAUGAAAUAAAACAGGACUGUACUUGAUCUCCUACGCUUAUUUUGCCACUGCUUAAUCUUUACUUUCUUUUGAACAAACUUUUGAUUAUAUAUCUGCUGAGCUCCAUUUAUGUUUAGAGAGAGAGAGAGAGAGAGAUUUUACUUGCUCGUGAGUGAUGACGUCUUCGAGAGAGUUCUGAGAUAUCUGAGAGAAGAGGCCAUGCUGAGAUGAAACUCCUUGAGAAAAUGCCGACUGCUGGGAGAUCGGUGCUUGUGAUCGGAACUGCGACACCGUUGCCGACGCUUGGCUUUUUCCAAAAAUCGAAGUCUCUGCUCCAGUCGCAACCGCACUCGGUCUCCUUCUCACAUCAUCACAAAUAUAAAAAAAAAAAUCAAUAAGAAAAAACACACACACAGAGACAAUAAAUUAACUGAGCUAAAAAUUGAAAAACAAAAAUACAAGUGCGUAUGGAACAAAAUGAUGGUAGGAUUGAACCUGGAAUGAGGAGGAAGAACGGAGAUGGAGCUGAGAUCGGAGGCUUUGUUGAUUUUUAGCUUCAUUUGUCGGAAAAACCUUAAGGUUCAGACUUCAACUUCGAUAUUCUGCUAGAAAUUUUUCAACGAGUGAGUGAAACCCUAAGGAAUUAAAAAUGAAUCAAUCGAAGAAACAUGGAGGAAGUAGCAAGGUUUCAGACUGCGGAUGGAAAUCUGUGCUGAAGCAACGGCACUGACUACUUAUAUACUGGAACCUUGGGCGCGAUUCCGAAUCUGACGGCAGUUUGAACGAGAAAGCGUUGUGUGACUCCCACGUCUUCUUAAGCACUCUGGGCUUCAUCGCACGACUGUGGCUUUCUCUUCUAUUAGUAAUUUAAGCACGACUGGAGUCCUCUUGCCCUUCCCAACCCAUCCUUUCUUUCUUUUCUUUUUCCCCUUAAAAGUAUAUUAUUCCCGUGCAAAUUGCUCAUGCCUCGUGGGAUUGAAGUUGUACUUUCGAUCAAAGGAUAAAUUGGUUUCGACGGGGCUUUUCAUCUUUUUCUUUUUUGGGUCAAUUUUCAAUGGAUUAGAUGAGUCAGAGGUAAGUCUUCUGGGCUCUUUAAGAGUUGCCGGCUUUUGAAGACGUUCUUGGAGUUUAGGUUUGUUUGUCCGCAUUUAAAAGUCCUUGUGAUCGAAAAAAGAUGAGUCAAAGGUACAAACGAUUGUCAGGUCAAUCAUUUUUAUCGAUUUUGCAUAAUUUCACAAGAUAUACAUUCAUUCAUCAAGAUGUAACUCGCUUUGAAUACAAAAUAAACAUAAAUCAAAAUUUCAUAAGCCUUGUACACAAUAUUAAAAAUUAUGUAUACGAAGCGAUUUAAACCUUAUAAUUUUUUUUGACCAAUCAUGGCUAUGCCCCCAAGUUCUUGGAUUGGAAUGGAAGCAUUUAGGACGUCUGGACCUCUUUCUUCCAUGUCUACACAUUUUGGGCUCCAAAAUCUUUAUGUUGGGCUGCAGUCUACAGGGCAUUCGAACCUUGGGAAAAAGAUAAAUAGAAAGAAGUUGGGCGGUUGUUAACUGUCGGAGUUGAGGUCAAGGUACAGGCUAGGUUUUUUCUUUUUAAUUCAUGAGGAAUGUUCCGUUUUAUUAUUUGUAUCUGUCGUUUCACAGUUCUAUAAUUCACAGUUCUGGCAUUUUCUUCUAUCAGACAGGUAAAGUAUUUUUAUAAUGGGGAAGUGUUCAUAAAGUGGUACUUUUACACCAUGGAACUAGUUAAGUUGGUCACUAAAAAUAUUGAAAAUUCUGGGAAGCAUAAUUGAUUUGUUAAAGAGUAGCUUAAUGUGAGCUGAUGGUGUGGUUGGUGGUUCUGUAUGGUUUGUUCUGAUUGUCGUAUUUUUUAUAUUAUUUGAUGUAUAAUCACAUUAAUUUUUUAUAUUUAUAUGAAAAAAGUAGUGUACAUGUAUAAAAUAUUUUACAUAUAUUUAAUACAAUACUAUAAUAUGGUUAUACGUAAAAAAAAGUUUAAAAUGUAUAAUAACUAAACCAAAUCGCACGUGUGAGCUUGUUUGGAUAGAGUAUUAUUUGGAAUAAUUACUGUAGCACUUUUUAUGAUGUGAUGUAUGUGAAUUAAAAAUGUGGUUAAAAAUAUAAAAAUAUGAAUUGAGAAAUAUAUUUAUGAUGCAAGCAAAAUAUUGGGAGUGUCUGGAUACAAAACUUAUCCCAAAUAAUAUUUCGCUUGCAUCAUAAACACAUUUUCCAACCCACCUUUUUAUCUCACAUACAUCACAUCACAAAAAGUACUACAGUAAUUAUUCCAAAUAAUACCCUAUCCAAACAAACCCCCAGUUAUUUGGGAUAAUUUCACUAUUCAAACAAACCCAAUUGCCCAGUCCCACUCAAUGCAUGCGAGUAGAUCCAAUCCCCAGGAUGGCCACACGAGUCAAGUGAUAAAAUUAAAUAGAUGUGCGUGUAAAGCAGGAAGAAAGGUCACCUAGAAGGUCACAUGGACUGAUGGAACAGGAAACGGCAAUUGGCUUUUAGUACUACUUCCAGCAAUUUCAGUUGCUUUCUUUGCCAGCUCAAGGGACAAUCCCUUUCCAAGUUUGCUCAUCAUAUCGUGUCCCCUGUUCAAGCAUGAACCAAUUGAAAGAUCAUGCCCUUUUUCUUAUGUAACAAAUUAGAGGAAAAAAAAAGGCACACCAAAACAAAGAAUUUAACGUCAGUCAUAUGUAGCAAAUAGUCACGAUGGGAUACCUCUACAAGGAUUAAUAUUCUUGAUUGCUUCCUUACUGGGCUAAACGUUUCAAGCCAAGGGUGUUGCUUCCCUAUUGAUUGAAAGGAGGGGAUAAUAUUAGACAAUUGAUGAUUAUCUUUUAAACAACGUCUAAAUACCCCAAUUAAAUGUUUUAUCCAAGACCUUGGGCUCUAACUAAAAAGGUAGAUACUUGAGCUUGAGAAGCUAAUGACCCCAGUGAGUUGGUAAAACUCAGUAGGAUAGGCAGUAUUUUUGAACCAAAUAAAAUAACAAGCAAUGAAACCAGGGACGAAGACGAAUAAAGCCCCUAAAUUAUGAGGCUGCAUUUGAUAAACUUGAAGUUUGAAAAUUGGAAUUUGAAAUUCAAAGUUUGAAUAUGUUGAGCUACUAAAUUGCUAAGUACUAAUCUGAUACAUUUAAGUGUACCUUACAUUAAGUGAUAAGUACAUUACUUAUCGCUUAUUUUUUUGGAGUAAGUUUUGCUUAGAAAAUUUAGUGUCACUUAAUUAAUUCAGAUGUUCUAUAUUUGAUUAUCAAAUGCGUGUCUACACAUAUUAAAAUCAGAAUCAGUUAAAUUUAAAUGCUAAAUUGAAUUAUCAAACAGGGCUUGAAAUAAGGAAUCCUAUCUAGACCAUACAAGUAGAGCUGUUAAACUUCAUGAGUAGCUCGAAAGCUCGUUAGAGUUCGGCUUGAUAAGGUUCGAACUCGGCUCGUUAGUUGCGGUAAACGAGUCGAGCUCGAGCUAGAAAUGUGCUUGUUUAGUACUCGGCUCGUUUGAUAUCCGAGUAGUUCGUUAGAACUCGUUAAUAAAGGGCAUAUUUAUCAUUUUAGAAGUCAAAGUAUAAAAAUUGAAAAUUAUAGAUUUUUAUUGAGAUUAAUUUGCACAAACUCGAACUCGAGUUCGAGCCACAUGUACAUUUGAUCGAGUCGAGUUCGAACACAUUUUAAAACUCGUUUGUCUAACGAGCUCGAGUCAAAGCUCGACAGCCAAAUACUCGGCUCGAUUAACAGCUCUUUGAUACAAGUGCGUCCAUGCAAAGAGUUUGAUUAAGACAUAGCAAAUUCCAUCAAACACACAAAUCAAAGCAAACCAUCCAUGUCGGUGGAUUAUAUCUUCUAAAUCCCCACACCAACGAUCCAACCCUCCUCCUCGAAAAGGGGUUUUGGUAGACAGCUACGUUAAAUACCUCUUCAUGAGAAUAUAAGUUUGGGAUCUACACGCAUAUUCUUCUGGCCCGAUUUAUAUAAUAUAAAAGCAGUCUUCAAUUUAAUGAUGAAACUUUUUAAUUCUUACUUAUUGCCCGUUGCCGGAGUCCCAAGUAAAAACCUACCAGCGGCCAAGAACCUCAUGGUCAUGGUCGCCCAAGGGAUUAAAAGGUCUCUUUUCCGCAUGCAGACUUCUUGCAUAUAUGAAGAGAAGUCAUUGAUCCCAAAAAUUCUAACAAAACGUUGUACAGAAACGGGAAAUAUAUUGGAGAGGCACUUGUAAUUUAUCCUCUUCUUUCUUCGUAAAUACAAUACAUUAUUAUCUAAAUGACUACUGUUUAGGCCUACCAAAUUAGAAUUCAAUCCUGUAACUGUUUUGCGCUCAUAAUCUUCAUCUUAUUUUUGCUUUUUAACCACCUAACCCACCCUCACAAGUAAGAUUCGGAAGAAAGAUUUGGGUCAUUCUUUGAUCAAUAAUUCGCUUAUUGAUAAUCAGUUACCAAAGUUGACGCGAGGUGUUUGUUUGUACGGUUAAAAGGGGGAAAGAGGAAAGGAAUAAAGGCAGUCGAAUUAAAGUUUUAUGAGUUGAAUCUUGAAAACAAUUUUGUAUCUCUUUUCUCAUCAAUCCCAUCGAAUAAACAAUGAAAAUUUCUGGAUCAGAAUAAAUAGAAAAACAAGAAGAGUCAUAGAAUAUCAGGUAUUGCCCCACACGGUUUACAGUAGUCUUUUAAAAGGGAAAACUAAUUAACAAAGACUUUAGCAACCCCUCCACGACCAGAAAUCAACCUCACCGUUUUCAAAUAUGAGAGUCACAUUGAUUUGGACCCUAACUGGUCCAGAACAGUGUAUUGAAUUGGAAAUUCAGGGUGUGACUGGAUGGGAAAUUUAAAAUGGGUUGGCAGCAAGAGGCAAUGGCGACGUGGACAUAAGCCAAAGAAUUCGUGAUGGACGUAUAAUAUCGCGGUCAGUCUACUACUGAGCAUUAAAUACUGAGAGAGAAUUCAGAUUUUUAAAACAGGUAAGUUCGGAGUUCGACAGGACUCCAGAUCCUUAUGUGGACGAUUGAUUCAAGAAAGGAUCAACUUAGGAAUCUGGAUAUUCCCCCAUCUCCGAUUGAGCCCCCGGCUAAAUUAUCCGUACGUCUUGGCCGGCCUUAAUUCCCAAUAAUAAACUUGCACUAAUGUGACCUUUUUUUUAAUCCUUAAUGUGACAUUUAUUUUUGGCCUUGUCUUCUACUACCUUUCUUUUUCUCUUUUUUUUCCCUUUUUUUUUAAAAAAAAUUUGAUUGGCUUAGGACUGCUAUCGAAUCAAGUCGAGCUCGAUAAUGUACUACUUAAACUCUGCUUGAGCAAAAAUAUUCGAAUUCGAACUCGUUGAGUUCUUCAAAAUUAAACUCGAGUUUGAGCUCGAACUUUUUUUUUUUUUACUUGAACUCGAGUUCGAAUUUGAAUUUGACCAAAUCAAGUUCAAUUGAGUUUUCAAGCUUUUUUUUUUAGUAAAUUUCAUAAUUUUGUGAUAAAUAAUUAAAAAUUAUAUUAUAAAUACAUUGCUCGAUUAAUACUCAAGUUUUAAUUUUCUAUUCGAAAUCGACUCAAUUAACUUAUCAAGUAACUCAAACUUGAUUAACAUUGAAUUUAAGUCAAAUUUUUUACCGAGUUACUAACAAGUUCGAAGUUGAAUAGCUCAAUUAAUUACCAUUGGCUGAGAUAGUUCAAGACUUUUUUUUUUUUUUUUUAAAUAGGUACCAGUCAGCUCAAAACUCAAGCAGGUUCCCCCCUAUUAGCCUGCAUAAAUGAUUCCAACCAAAUGGUGAUAAUGUGGUUAGGCGUAGUUGCCGUAUUCAUGUCUUCUUGUCAGUAAUGUUUGAAUCCUAAUAUUUCGGAGUCUUAAAUUUUUUCAAUUGGUCAUGUCGCAACCUUGUCAUGAAAGCCUUUUGAGACAGGAAUGAGGGUUAGAUUGGAUGGUAAGACGGAGGAGAUUAUAAAUAUAAAGUAUUACUGGUUUUAAAACCUUUCACAUAUAAAAAAAAAAGUCUCUUGAAAUAAUUUAAUACAUCUUUUUUUUGAUAAACAUAUAAUUUCACUAAUAAAAUUAUACUAAAGGUAGUAAAUACAUCAUAGAUAUGUUGCAAAUACAGCAGAUAGAAAAAAAAUUUCUUUCAACAUAAAAAAUCAACAAAAGAUAAAACUUUUAACACCAAAUUUUAUAAAUGAUCGAGUAGCACUUCUAAGAAACUGGGUUUAUUUGGAUAGAGUAUUAUUUGAAAUAUUAUUUGGAAUAAUUACUGUAGUACUUUUUGUGAUGUGAUGUAUGUGAGAUAAAAAGGUGAUUGAGAAUAUAAAAAGGUGAGUUGGGAAACGUGUUUAUGAUGCAAGCGAAAUAAUAUUCCCUCCCUUUUUUUAUAACUGACGUUUAAGAAAUUUGCUCCAGUGUACUUUUAUCUGUCGUUUUAUAAUCCCCAUACAGUACUUUUAUCUCUCUUUUCCAAUACAGGGUUCUUAAUUACUACUCCUAGUAAUUAUUGCUUCUCUCUUUAUAACAAUCCUAGUAAUUAUCUGCCCCUCCGUAUUAUCUGCCCCUCAUUGGACAAUUAAUGAGGGUACAAAAGGAAAGUAGUGAACAGAUUUAAGCAAUGAAAAAUUUUUCUUAAUUGGUGUGCAAAAUUUUAAACGUCAGUUAUAAAAAAAAAAAAAAGGAGGGAGUAUUUGGGAUAUAAGCACUCCAUUCUCCAAAAUUGAUCUUGUGCACUCCAAUGAAAAAGUACUUGAGUGGAGUACAAUGGUAAACUACAAAAAUUGUACUCAUUGAAGACCAUGUUUUAUUUGUCAUUUAUAGAUUACUACUUCUCACAGACUUGGUAGAUCGAAUAUUUAGAGACUCCACUAAAAGCCCUUCAUGCCUCGAAAAUCAAAUGACAGAACAAAACCCUGAAAAUUAUGAAAUACAUAUGAGCAAACAUGAUCUAUUAAAUCAAACCAACACAAUUAUCUGAUCCUCUCAAAUUCAUCUUCACCAAUAGGAUUAUUACCAAUAUCAAACAAUUUGGUCUGAAUAUUUCAUAUGCCCCAUUAUGUGCUGUACUCAUUUUGUUAGUAUUAAAUUCUUGAAUUUUCUCUACUGGAUUGGACCAUGGUUACUCAGUUUAAGGAUGUGAAGCCAUAUUACCCCACAUAGAAUUCUAGAAAAGAACAUUAUCUUAUCUUCAUUUAAGUCUUUCUUUUUUUUUUUUUUUUGAAAAAAAAAAUGCUACCAGACAACAUUAGAAACGUGUAAAAAAUUUCCCUUCAAUUCAGAAAGGAUGGAAAUAUGGCCGAAACCAUGAAGGAAAAGCAAGCCAAACGCAAGACGUCUAACGUUUUCAGCCAUGCGAAAGCAACGGUUGAAAAUCCUAGCCAAGGGGCGUACUAGUCAAAUUUCAUUAUCGUCUUGUUCGCAAUUUGCCAGACAUGAAAAUGACGAAUUUUAAUGGUCCGUUGAUCCCUUUUGCAGCCCCUCUGCGUGUGCGUGUUUUUCGCUGUACGAUCUCUUAAAUGCCGACGAAAAUACAGAAGGAAGCCAGAGAAAGGAUGGGUUACUUCAGUACUAUUGUAACCUUGCCAGUCAAUUCUUUGAAAAAUGAUUGUUGGAACACGCUGAACUUUUUUGUUUUUGCUAAAAAAGAAAUCAUACGGCAAAUCUUAUAUAAAAUUUGAACUCUGUUUUCUUCUGGAUUGUUGCUUAUUAGUAUAUAAAUUACCCUAGAUUUGAUUAUUUUCAUAACUUCACUGUGAAAUGAGGAAAAGGAUGAGAAGAAACCGUUGUCCAUUUUGACAUAAUGAAGAGUCCUUUCAUGUUGAAAUUCCUGGCUCCUAAUUUGCUUAGCUUCUUGUGGUCGAGUCUUAGCUCUCUCUCUCUCUCUCUCUCUCUCUGCAGCCAGGUUCAGGGUUCGAAUCUUGGUCUAACAGUUGGAGGUUGGUCUCAUGAAAACGCGUUGGGGAGCAAUGGGAGAUAAAAAAAAAUGAGUUUAAAAAAUGUCUUACCUUUUUUUUUUGGGGGGGUAAAAAUCAUUAUUACCCAUACAAAUGUUCAAAGUUCAAACAAAGAGAAAUAUUGUUGACAGCAGCAAUUUUUUUCAGUGUCACAGCCCAUUUUGACAUAAAUUGGCGAAUGUACCCUCUGUACUCAAUUAGAAGAGCCAAAUGAGUGGUGGUAAAUUUGUCAUUUAAUUAGAAUGUGCUGUGGCAGUAACAUUUCCGCUGUGGCAAUAAUGUUACGCUGUAGGAAUUUAGCUUCACUGAUAUUGAUAUUAAAAUUCAAUUGCAUGGUACUACUUCUUAUAAGAAUUUCAGUUUUAUUAUAAGAAUUAUAGUUAUUCUAUCCAAAAAAGGAAAAAAAAAUUACAUGACUAAUAUUUGUUGCGGAUAUAGAGGAUAAAGGCACAGCAUAAUUUGUAAAAGCAAAAACUUUUUAUUCUUUUGAAAAGGGAAAAUGAUAGGUUGUAUUUUUUUUUUUCCACAAACGUUAACAGUUAUAUUUAUGAUAAUCACUUGAUAAUACAAGAUUUAAUUACCAAAAGGGUUACUACCCUCAUUUCCUUCCUCACUAAUUCCAUCAGCCAAACUGGGAAGUCUUGUUCCCAUUCAAUAUCAUGCACUAGCUUGACAGCAAAUUGAGUUAAAGCAUGGCUGAUUUCAUUUCCAGUUCUAGGUAUGAACACAACACAAACCUACAGCUUUCAAAAUGUGUUCUAAGAUCCUGCACAUCCUCCAAGAAUAGUUGCAAUUCUGACAUCAUAGUCAUUGCAGAAUGAUAGAUUGUAUUUGAAUUGAUAUUUUUCAGAGUUUCUAUAAAAAUAUAUACAAUAAUAAUUUAAUAUUUUUAAGGUAAAAUAGUGAUCGUAAAAUGCGAUCACAAGAAACGUAAAAUUUUUUUCUUCCAAAAACAUCAAUCCAAAAACUUUUUGAUUCAUUUCCUUUCUAAGAGAAGAGAACUACAAACCUUGGGUGCUUGCCGUACAUGCUACUGUACUGGCAGUGGUACUCGCAAGGUGAAACGGUGAUCCAGGACUCUCAAAGCUUUGCCAACAUACGCUUCAUUAUUUCUACAUCAAACUCUCCCGGUAAAGAAUCAGUUACCAUAUUAAUUGACUAUAAAAACAGGUUUUCGCCAAUCCGGCUUUGUACUUUCGCUUUAGGUGAUUGGCUAGCUACAUGCAACUUCCUGAAGUUCUGACUUUCAUAAAAUAUACUACCAAAGUACCUUGGCUUAACGACCAAUUUUAUUCAUUAAACCAUUUCUUUGUGGUUUACUUGUUCAACCUCAGCUCUGGUUUCGGUGGGCCUACUCCUGCAAUUCCUUGGAACCUUCGUACCUAAGUAAGACUGUGCAAGCAUACCCCAAUUGCCAAGUACGAGAAGUUACAAGAGUUAGUAGACCUAAGAAUGGUAGUAGAACACAGAUGCCGCCCUCCUCAAGAAAACACUCCUAAUUAAUGCAAUUUUCACACAAUUUCACUAUUACAUCGAAUCCAUUGACCAAGAAGUAACUUUAAUAAGUAUUAUACUAACAAUUGUAUCAAUAAAAAAGACCUGAUAAAUAGCUUCAGACAAGUAAACCCUUUUAGGAGCAUCAUUACGUUGUGCAAUCUUCCCAAACUUUCCUCAAUUUCAUCACCUCGAAAAAAUCCCAACUUUUCUGUCAAUUUUCAUACCCUUUUGUUCAAAAAAUCAAGGGCUUUUCUUCAUUUUUGUCAAGAAUACUGAAUGCUGGUAGUAAUAAUCCACAUGGGUUCAGAGUUGCGAUAAGGUUGCUUGCUUUGCUACAGUAAAGAAGGAACCUAGAAGACAAAGGACGGGGAAUAUAUUGUUCAUGUAAAUGGCUUUGCUGACUUCUGUAAGAGAAAUUCCACAAAGGACAGAGAGAAUAAGGUAUCCAGCGGUUGAUUUAAGAGCGCUGAGUAUGAGUUCAUCCAGCAGCGAGAUUGUUGAAGAGAGGAGCAGUUCAACUUCUUCUUCAACCACAAGCCCAAAUUUUGCUCCACCAUCUCGAGCUUUGACAGAUAGUGAUGAUGCAGUGUAUGUUGCUUUGGGGAAAGAAGUCAAAGAGGCAGAGUUGACAUUAUCGUGGGCAUUGCAUAAUUGUGGAGGGAGGAAAACUAUCAUUCUUCAUGUUCAUCAGCCUGCCCAGAAAAUUUCCAUGAGUAAUGAAUUAUGAUAUUAUUAUAUUCUUUGAAUUGAUUACAAAAAUUGCCUUUGCCGGUAUUUGUUUUUCUGGGAUUUGCUUGAUUAUGGUUUGAAUUUUGGUGGGGUUUUGAGUUAAGUUUUAUUUGGUCAAAUAUAAACUGGAAAUUAACAAGUUUUUUGGUUUGCUUGCUUAAUUGUAUUAGGAGGAACUUGAUCAUCAUUGGUUCAUGUUGUUUGUUUGUUUUCUGUUUGAAAACUUGACGAGAGAUUGUACUUUAGUCCUUUUUGGAUUAGGGAAUUGGGACAGCAGUGGAAAUCAAUUCCUUUUUUUUUUCUUGCUUAUGUAUGUGUGGAAGAUGUUCUGAAGCCAUUGAUCUUGCUUCCCCUGCUGCUGAUAAAGAACAGAAAUUAACUGAAUGUGGUCUAAACCUCUGAAUCCUCCUUAAAAAUGGGUUUCUAAUCCGCUUGACAUAAAAUUUCUGUGUUCUUCAUGAGGAACUGAAGACAUGUUUUAGCAGAUAGAAAUGUGCUUUAAUUUUUCUUUUGAUGUGUAUUCUUUAUGAUCAAAUGCAACUCAUUUUGGUAUUUCAUAUUUUGCCAGAGUUUACAGUACGUAAUGUUUUGGAAAAAAAAAAUAUAUUUACAGAGAGUCUUUGUAUUCCUAUUUUGUUAGCUGUUCUCUACAUUAAGCCUUGUCUGGUUGGCUGCCUUGUCUCUCAUCCUUCACCUGAUUUAUAAUGUAAUAAGGGAACUAUUCCAUAUCAAGAUGACAGUUAUUUAACACCCAGAGAGAGAGGGAGGGAGAGAGAGUAACUUGGAUAGCUUCUUGAUUAGCUUAUUAACUAACCAUUCCUAAUUCAAACUUGAAAGAAGAAUGUCUUUGCAGUAAGUGAUGGUUCAGAAAGAAUCGCCUAUGCAUUGCUCGCAUUGCUCAUGUGGUGCAUAAUUUAGCACAACUUGGUUAAAUGUGUCAGCUGUCAAUCGUGAAAUCAAGGUUCUUGUUGAGUGAUGAACGACAUUAUCAUGUGUCGGAUAUGUCAAUCUAAGUGUAUCUAAAAUGUCAUUCUUGGUUUGUAGUGGGUGCAAAUGUUCCCAUUAGUAGGCUGGAGGAAUAUCGAGUUAGAGCACAUCAUGAAGCCGAGAGGCAAGAUAUGCAAAAGCUCCUUGACAAGUACAUGUUGAUUUGCAAGAAAGCAGGGGUAUUGUCCUUCAUUCUCUUUCUGUAGGUUUUGUUCAUUGAACUCUUUUUGUUCUUUGACUGACUAUAUGUAAUUAUUAAAAACCUAAUUCUGUUUUUCCACUGAGUAGAUGGAAAACUAAAAUUGUUGUGUUACUAUAGCACCAACAGCCAAUUAGGACGCUCAGUACUCUGUUUUUUUUUUAUUUAUUUAUUAUUAUUAAAGGUGCAAGUGGAUAAACUAUACAUUGAGAAGGACUCCAUUGAAAAGGGCAUUGUAGAGCUAAUUUUACUGCAUUGUAUCAAGAAGCUUGUAAUGGGAGGUGCAGCUAAAGGACAUUAUUCAAGGUAAAAACCUUAUAUUUAUCUUAUAUUCUUUUGGUGACAUUUUAAACUCAUCUUAGCCACCGGGCCUCCACUUGUUCCUUAGAAGUUUUGUGAAACAGUAAAGUAAAUCCUAGUUGGCAUAGAAUUACCAAGAACACUUUUAGUCUCAGGAGAGUUGAAGAAGAAUACCCCUAUAAGCUCAGCUGGCUGGGACCUUAUUUGGGUACCAUAAGGCUUCUGGUUCGACCAUCAAGCCCCCCCCUUCCCCUUUCCUCUUGUAAGGAUAAGGUUUACAGUCUCUGUUGAACCAAAGGAAAAGAAGGGCAACUUGAACACUAGAAAAUUUAUUAAUGACAGGUUCACAGAAAAAUUCCUUUGCUUCCUGAAAGUCAAACCUCUUUGCCUUUUCCAUCAAUUAACUGAUCAGCUGCAGUCUUUUCACUUUUCUUUAUAUUUCUCCUCUUUUGGGGUGCUGGGUGGAAGGAAGCUGUUAGGAAAAUAAAUUAUGAAACAGAAAUGCUACAUAAAGAAAUUACAUGGUGUGCAAAGGAAUAUUUGUGAUGCCCUUGUGGAGCUUCUCCACCAUUUUGGAGCACCCAUUGCUUAUUCUCGACUGGGUGAGUUGACUCAAUUCUUUAGUGCGGUAUAUCUUUUUUAGUGUGCAUGUUGAAAAAUUCAACAAAUAUGCUUUCAAAUGAUUCAUUGGUGUGAUUACAAUCUCAUUUCUGCUUGCAGUUAUCAUAGAAAUAAAUGAAUACACUAGCUACAUCUUUUUUUGUUAACAAGAUUACAGUUGAUAUGUGCUAUCAUAUUAUAUAAGCAUUAUGUUACUUGUAAUGAUGAUGUGAAUACAUCUGUUUCUAAUGUUAAGCAAUUGAUUCAGGAAGAUGAUGGAGCCUAGGUCUAAGAAAGCCAUCUAUGUGCGGCAACAAGCACCUAGUUUCUGUCAAAUUCGGUUUAUAUGCAAAGGGCACCUGAUUCAUACAAGGUAUUUCUUCUGAUAGUCUUCCUCAUGUCUUCUAGUGAGCUUUCAUCCAGAGAAGUAAAUAAGGGUGUAUAACAUGACUAAUAGAUGGACCAUCUGCUUGUGAUCAUUUCCUAAAAAACAGAUAUAGCCUGGAAGUUUUGAGAAUUCUUAACUUACUUUGCUGAAAUUUUACCUGGCAGCAAGUUUUGGAAUAACUAUCUCUUUGGUUUUGCUUGAUGAUUAGUAGUUCAAGUUCUGAUCUAUGCAGGGAAGGUACACCAAGUGGGGUCAACAUGGAGGGUAUGUCUCCAUUACUUCAGCCUUGUCCAAGUGGAGACAACUUGGAGGUUAUGUCUCGAUCAUUUCAGGCUAGUCCGAGUGAUGAAACUGGACAAUCUCAUUCCUUAAGAUCCAGAUCUGUUCCCCAGGGGGAGAAUGGCCAAUUACUCUCAUCAUUGUCAGUUCCUGACCAUCGUAGGGUAGUGUCUGACAAUCAUGCCGUGAAAUUCACAGGAGUUUCUACCCGUGACGGCCUUGGAGGUGUAUCACCUCAUAGUAGGUCAAGUGUCCAACAGAGCUCUGAUGGUUGGGACAGGAGACCACAGAGAAGUCAUUCAAUGGCUUCACGUUUUUCUUCUUCUUCAUCAAGUGAAAUAAUUGAAGAUUUAGCCUCACUCUCCAUUCCUCGGAUGGUGGGGAGUGAGAUAAUUGAAGAUUUAGCCUCACUCUCCAGCUCUGUUCCCCUGGGGGAGAAUGGCCAAUUACUCUCAUCAUUGUCAGUUCCUGACCAUCGUAGGGUAGUGUCUGACAACCAUGCCCUGAAAUUCACAGGAGUUUCUCCCUGUGACGGCCUUGGAGGUGUAUCACCUCACAGUAGGUCAAGUGUCCAACAGAGCUCUGAUGGUUGGGAUGGGAGACCACAGAGAAGUCAUUCAAUGGCUUCACGUUUUUCUUCUUCUUCAUCAAGUGAAAUAAUUGAAGAUUUAGCCUCACUCUCCAUUCCUCGGAUGGUGGGGAGUGGAAAUGAGUUGGAUGCCCCACUUCAUUCUGAUGAGGAUUACUGCAGUUUGUCUCCUUCUCCCCUAGUCACAGUAAGUAAAAAUAAGAUCAUUCUGUCAUGGUCGUUGAUAACAUGUAUGGAGUUAUCACUAUCUAAUAUUUGCAUGUGAUGAGAAAGUGCUAAAAGUUAUACAAGUGUAUAUCUAAUUGUUGGGACAUCCAUAUUGUUUUAUUCCUUGUGACAUGAGUUUUUCUUUCUGAUAUUCGUGAACUUAAGUUAUCCAUUUGAGUCGUUCUGUCCUUUUCCAGGAAGGGAAUAUGCAUGAUGAACUCUACAACAGACUCCAACAAUCUGUGGAGGAUGCGGAAAUUUCUAGGCGAGAAGCAUAUGAAGAAUCAAUGAAGCAUAGGAAAGCUGUAAAAGAGGCUAUUGAGGCUGCCAGAUGGGUAAGCUUCUAUUUGCAAUCAUCUUUUGCAACGGUAACAGUUAAUUUUGUAUGUUGUCAUUCAAAUGACGUUAAGUCCUCUUACUUGGACACUUAUAAUUUUGGUGAACAAUGCUAGCUGGUGAAAUUGUUUCUCUCAUUCUAACCUGUAUGCAAAUUUUAUAAGGUAUCUCAUUGUUACUUGGACGGAUUUUAAUUCAGCAGAGAUUAGAUAAGUGAUUACAAACUGUUCCUUUUUUUUUUUUUCCUAUUUUGGGGGCAAAAUUUUGGUAUUUGAAUUUCUAUUUGAAGUAAAAAAAUAUAUUAAAGAGAACAUUAUACUCUGAGAAUCAGUUUUGUAUAGAGCUCAGAUUAAAAAAUUCUAUUAACAAUCAUGACUCCUAAAGUGAAGCAGUCUUCAAUUUUAAUUCUUUUAACAGGCUAGAGCAUCAGAAGCUAGGUACUCAGAGGAAUUCAGACUGAGAAAAGAAGUUGAGGAAGCGCUAGUAAAGCACAAGGAAGAAAUUGAAAACAUGCAAUAUCAACUAGAUGAAAUCAAGAAUAAGCUCCAAGUUGCUAUGGAACAGAAAUCCUCUCUGGAGUCCCAAAUUGCAACUUCUGAUAAGACAGUAGAGGAUUUGAAACAGAAAAUGUUCGCUGCCAUCGACCUAUUGCAAAAAUUCAAGAUUGAAAAAGAUAAUUUACAGGUUGAGCGUGACAACGCAGUCAGGGAAGCUGAGGAGCUGAAAAUAAAGCAAGCUGAGGAGGCCUCAAGCGCAUCCAUGUCUUGUUUCUUUUCUGAAUAUUCCAUCUGCGAAAUUAACGAAGCAACUCACAAUUUUGAUCAGGAAUUGAAGAUAGGUGAAGGGGGUUAUGGAAGUGUCUAUAAGGGUCAUCUUCAUCACACUCAAGUAGCUAUAAAAGUUCUGCACCAGCAUAGCUCACAGGGUCCCUUGGAGUUUCAACAGGAGGUUUGUAACUUAAACUCCAUUCUUUUUUGAAAUCAGAGAUAAAUCACAUUCUUUUCUGGUAAUGAAGAUUGGUUUUACUCUCGUAGGUAGAGUUGUAAGACAACCAUCUCUAGUUAUACUCGUAAUAUUUUAAAUUGAACUUCAUCCUUUGGUUUCUAUGAAAGGAUUGGCUUAGUCUUGAGAACAUUUAUUAGGACCGCGGAAACUGUCUGUCUUUCUUUGACUUUUAAAAGAGGAAGCAUGUUGCCUACUGGCCAGUAGUCCUAAACAUUUCUUAGUCUUGAUUGCCCUCAACCUGGGACUGUCUGGUUUUCUGAAAGAUUGAACAUUCAAUUGUAUUUUCUUUGUGCAAGUGGUGUUUUUAGGAAGCAGAGCAUUGAAACAGGCCUAGGCUAUAAAGGCUGUUUUUAUUAUCUAUACAACAAAUAAAGUGGGAGCCUUGGGUUCAGUGCAAACAAUUUUUUGUCACCUUUUUAACUUCAUUUUUACCCUCACAAAAACUAAUUGUUACCCUAACCACAACCAAUUUUCAUUCUAACUACCAAAGCACAUGUUCCCAUAUAACCACCCAUAAGCACUUUAUUAUGGCUAAUUAUUGUUGAAUUCCAGCCCUGCUUCUUUUCCUUUUCAUUGUUCUAUGUGAUACCAUUUUAUGUGGUUCCUUAACUUGAUUGGCAGCCCAGAAACAUCAUAAGCAACCCCAUUCCAUUAGCUUUGAUGUGUGCUGGAUCCAAUCAUAGUACUUUCUACUACAUGAACCCUUUGUUUAUGGUCUUGUAGAGGUGAAGUCUGUGCCGCUCAAGUAAGUGAGCUCUUUGUUUAUUUUCAUGUAAUGGCUAAAUGCAUUGUGUAGACACUUCUGUGAGUUGAUCUCAUUUUAGGCAAUCAAGUGCAUAGGGAGUCUACUGUAGUGUUAUUGCAGGGAUGAUGGUGAACCUUUAAUGCACAUAAACUGGAUGUUGUAUUGAACAUGGAGCUGCAGAUGAUCUUUAUACUCUUCUUUGUGUCAUCCUUCUUAAUCAAAUGUAUUGGACAACAUGAUUGGUUGAAGUAUUCUGUUCAGUGGAAUCUAGAAAGAGCUAAUUCCCCCUUUUUUUUUUUUCUCUAAAUCUUGUUAGGUAGGCAUUUUGAGUACAUUGAGGCAUCCGAACAUUGUCACGCUUAUAGGAGCUUGCCGGGAAACUUGUUCCCUCAUCUAUGAGUAUCUUCCCAAUGGAAGCCUUGAAGAUAGACUCAGCUGCAAGGAUAAUACACCCCCACUAUCAUGGCAAACUCGAAUUCGUAUUGCUUCAGAGCUCUGUUCUGCUCUCAUCUUCUUGCAUUCUUGUAGCCCUAGAGGCAUUAUCCAUGGUGAUCUAAAACCGGCAAAUAUUUUGCUUGACAACAAUUUUGUUAGCAAGCUCUGUGACUUUGGAAUGUGUCGUGUUCUUGGGGAAGAUAAAUUUUCAGACAACAACACUUCACUGUGCUGCAGAACGGACCACCCAAAAGGCACUCUUGCAUACAUAGACCCUGAAUAUCUUGCGACUGGAGAGCUAACUACAAAGUCAGAUGUCUAUUCAUUUGGAAUCAUUUUAUUGAGGCUGUUAACUGGGAAGCCUGCACUGGGGAUAUAUAAGGAAGUUGAGAAUGCGUUAAAUAAAGGAAACUUGAAAGAUAUCUUGGACUCAACUGCCGGUGACUGGCCAUUUGUGCAAGCGCAACAGUUGGUUCACUUAGCAAUGAGGAGUUGUGAGAUGAGUCGAAAGACUCGUCCUGAACUUGCUUCAGAGAUCUGGAGGGUGCUCGAACCAAUGAGAGCAUCUUGUGGGACAUGUUGUUCUAGGUUGAUAUUCGAGGAGGAGUCUCAGAUGCCAUCUUACUUCAUUUGUCCCAUCUUUCAGGUAUGUAUAGCUUGUUUUGAUCUUUGAAAUUCCCUAACCAUGCGCUCCAAUUUUGUCUUUUCCUUCUUGAUAUAACAACAGAAGAUUAUAGAACCCAUGUACUGCAUCUUCUUGUCUAGCCAUCACUAAUCUGUACAUGUCAGAUUGAGAGAGUUAGCUUGCUAAACUAUCCUAUUUUCUAUCCAUCUGUUUAUGGUUUCUAGGAACUUUUCAUUAGUAGUUGGUCGUUUUAAUGGGUGAGAUAUUAUUUUCUUGGCUCACACUUGUAGGAGGUUAUGCAAGAUCCUGUAGUUGCAGCUGAUGGGUAUACAUAUGAAGCAGAGGCUUUAAAAGGAUGGUUGGACAGCGAUCAUGACACUUCACCCAUGACAAACCUCAAACUGGCGCAUCGCAAUCUUGUGCAGAACCAUGCUCUUCGAUCUGCCAUUCAGGAGUGGUUACAGAAACGGUAAACCUUCGAAUGGUUCGUAAACAAAUUGUUCUUGCAUUUUGUCAUACUUCAUUUUUUCUAAAUUAUUAAUAUACGUUGCUUUUGAAUUUUCUGUAACCAUGUAUAGAGAAAUAUGUAGGCAGCAUAUGUACUAGCUAGCUAGUAGCUACAUUCUAAAAUAUUCGGCGGAAGCAGUGCCGAGGAGCUGGAGUUGUUUAUUUUGUGAAUAAAAAUCGUUGUAAUUGCAUCUUAAUUUCUCUUUUAGAAACUAAUUUUUUUUAUCUUAGUUUAGAUUAAAAUUUAUGCACCCCAAAAUUUUCAAACCUUUUCUUUUUGUCUCACAAUUAUCCUAUUUGAAGUAUGAAAAUUACAAGCGAUUAAAAACAUUCAGAAAUUAGUGAAUGAGUUUCAAAAAGUCUGUAUCUGAAGAUGACAGGGUUAAUCCAACAUUGUAGCACAAGUUUUCUUUUAUGUGCCAAUAAUUAGAACUUCCUGCAUUAUUGGCCCAAGCAAUUAUUGGUCUUGGCUUUGCCAAUGUACGUUAAGCAAAUACAGAUCACAACGCCAAGUUUUCCUUCUAUAACAUGGCAUGAAACAUCGAAUAACUCUUUUUUUUUUUUUAAUUAUUUUGUAACAAAUUCAGAUGAAUAUGGUAAGAGUGUGGUUCAUCCUAACAAUAAAUCUUAUAGGAACUCAACGAUAUGGAUUGUCCCUCUUCUACUCGAUACAGAUUCCGCCUUCUUGUCUUUCUAGAGGAAAAUGAGAGAAACGAAUGGGAUAAUACUCUGUAAUACUUGCCCGACAUCAUGGAUGUAAGGAUUAUAUUAAUGGGCGGCAGUAACAACUCCACUUAUUGAUGCGAUGACUGUAUUAAGCGACUUAUGAUCCCGAUAAUAAAAAGCGAUCUGUAGUAAGCGGCCUAUAUUAAUAUGAGGGCCGUGUUGGUGGGUUCUGUAAGCGACCUAUAGUCUCAAAAAAUAUGUUUUAAGUGGUGGUGAUUUGGAGUCGAACCUAUCCAAACUUUUAUUUACCAAAAAAAAAAAAAAACUCUAUGAUACUUCCCACCAGGAGUGGAGGACUAUUCUAUAUCCUUGCUCCUUGGAAUCUGGGGAAAGGUGAGUUCCUAUGGAAAAGGAACGUUCAUGAUCUAGGAAAAAAAAUGUUUUCAUGAUCUAGAAAUAAUUGUUGAGAUCAUUAAACACCGAGACCGAGGAAGGAUUUGAUUAUCGAACAUAGCAUUAGUCCUUUACGCACUUCCAAAAAUAGGGAUGUUACUAAUACGAUGUUUUGGGAUGUUUUAGGCCCACAAUCCCGUCUUUGACAGGGCUCAGUCUGCUCUUGAUAUCAAAUUCAUGACUCUUGAAGUUUACUUCCAUGGUUAAGCAUAAAGAUUAGUAGUGUAGUAUAUAUAGAUUACGUGCCAGCCUGAGACACGCUUGGCUCAAUAAUUUCCGCCCAUCAAACAUUUGUCUAUUGAAACUUCCCAUACUGUAAUUUGACUAGCAUGCAAUUUACGGUUCCUGUAAACGGAAUGUUGAAGUGGACCGUCGUCUCCGAUUUAGCUAGAACAGGCAUAUACGAGAAUCCAGCAGACAACAAAAAACGCGGGUUUGUUCCAGUCAUUUGUGGACGUUUUCUCUUUGUUUGGCUAACGCUGAGGAGGGUUUGUGCGUGGAAAAAUGGAGCUUUUGAUGAUCACUCAGUUCACCAGUCAAUUUCUUGAAACCUCAUUAUGCAUGACCAGUUUCAGUCUCCUUGAUCUCAAGAAUUUUGUGACGCGUAAAAUUUAAAAUGGGACUUUACGAGUUGAGUUCUGUCCAAUUUAUACAGGUUGACGUAAUUCUUAUACCUUUUGGUAUAAAUGCAUGCAAUUUGAGUGUAAACUUAAAUUUAAGUUUCCAUGAAACUGAGUUUGUACAAUACCAUCAAAUAUAUACUGGAUGGAAAAAAUGGCGAUCCAGAGCUGCCAGGUGGAAAUCUGAAAUCAUCAAAUACUGCUUAAAAGUUAGAGCUGUACACAGAACAAUGUUACUUUGACAGUUCUUCCAGAGAUGCAGUGCCAUCAGUUGAGGUGAGGCCUAAAUUCUGAUUACGUGAUAACACUAGUGCUUUUAAAUGUUUCAUCCUGCAAAAUGAUUCAAUAGAUAAAUCCAAUUUAGAUUUCUGGGCUUAGAACUGCAAUUUUUCAGUAACAUGAGUUAGCCCAAGUGGUUAAAUUAGAACAGUUAUUUUCGUUAUUUCGUAUUAUAUAUAAAAAAAUAUAAAAGGUGUUUUGACUUUUCUAAUAUGACAAUUAUUUUGGGAUAUUUCAAAAUGAAAAGUAUGACACUUUCAAUGGGACGGAGGGAAUAAUAAUUUACUGUUUUUCCAGAUUGAUGUAAGCUUUUUGGGAUGUGAUGGAAAUUAAAGAGAGUUUAAAGUCGUAUAAAAAGAUUUUCGCUCAUGAUGUGCUUGUUAAUCAUUCUUCAAUUAGAAAUGGUCAAAGCUGCUGGCGCUUAGCUAGUUAAGAUGAAACUUCACUUGUGGGGUUUAUGUUGUCAGAAAUUGACAUGAAGUUUUCCUUCCAUUAAGAUGUAUGGUUGAUGUAAAUGGUUGUUUUCACUCCCUAUACGAAGAAACUAUAGCUUAUGUAAUCCCAACUAGGAAGGUUUAUAACUCCUGGACUAGCUAGUUGGGAGCUAAGCAAGACAAAAAAUGAAUGUCGGUGACCAAGAAAAUGAGGAUGAUACACAACUUGUAACGGGAGAAAGUGCCAGGGAUGUAAUUAAGCCUAAUUCGCGAUUCGCGAUACUAGAGUUCGACUCGACAUGCAAGAAGGAUGCUCGAGCUCGAGUUUAAUGAUUGCUCAUAGAACUUGAGUUUGACUUGCAUUAGCUCGAGUCAAUGCAAGUCUUAUCGAUCUCGAAUUAUAAAAUUUUGUUUUCUUGGCAAUUUUUGAACGAAAAGUCAUUAUUGCCCUUUAAAAAGUUUAUACGAUUUGAAAUAUUUCGUAAAUUCAACCACUUUUUUAAGCAUAAGGGUAAUUUCACAAUAAUAAUAUAUUAAAGAAUUAAAAUUAAAAAGCUCGAUAAUGCUCGACAAACUUUCAAACAUUGCAUCUGGAUACUCGAACUCGACUUGCUCAAUUUAUCAAGCUAUUGGAACUCGGUCAAUCCGAGUCCGAGUCAAGUUUUUGAUUGAUCUGCUCACAAACAGGUCGGUUCGAUUACCGUCCUUGAAAAAACAAUCUCAGAAUUAUAUUACAAAUGCACAAGAGAAUGCUACUUCAAACCUAUAUAAAAAAAACUCGUCAUCCCAAUUUUUAUCUCUAAUUUUAUUAGCAAAACACUUAUAAUCUAGUAACAUAAUCAUUCACGACACGUUCACACUUAAUUACUUUCAAAGACCUGCAUUUUGAUCAAAUCAGAUCUUUAGAAUUUAAUAACCCAUGAAAAUUAAAAAAAAAAAACUAAUACGAGAUUUCUCUUUCAGCAUAAGUUAAAUACCCAGUCAACUUUCGUUUCAAGCUUGUUUUCACAACUUUACUCUUAAACAUCGUAAUAAACAUUUUAGAUAUCCUUAUUACCUGACCAUUUUAGAUACUCCUUUCUGAUCUCCUAUAAAUAGACCUCCAAGGUUGCUUUUCUUUCAUGCACAUCGACUUCUAACGUUAAUUGCUUCUCAAAUUCAUCACAAGCUAUGGCCUACCCAAGAUUUCCUUUAUUGCUUUCAUGCUUUCUACUAACAUUUAUUUCUUUCAUCUUACAAACUCAUUCCCAAAGUAACAGAAUGAACGCCAUAGAUUCUUGCUGGCGUUCAGACCCUAACUGGGACGCCAAUCGCCAGGCUCUAGCUGAUUGUGCAAGAGGCUUUGGCGCCGAUGCAACGGGUGGAAAAAAUGGUCGAGUUUAUACUGUUACCGACUCAUCCGACAACCCCUCCAAUCCCAAGCCAGGGACAUUACGCUAUGGUGCAAUCCAGAGGGAACAUCUUUGGAUUAUAUUCGCCGAGGACAUGAUAAUUUCUUUGAAAACAGUUCUAUCUGUGAGUAGUUACAAGACCAUAGAUGCAGGGACGGAGCCAGAAAUUUAUUUUUGGGGGGGCUGAAGUGUAUUAAAAAUUUUUUUUUGUGACGAAAUAAAUAUAUUUAAUAAGUAAAAUUUAGAAUCAAUAAUUAUAAAAAUAAUAAAAACAUAUAAUUAUACAUACCCAAAAAUUUGUUAUUGAUUAACACUUGAAGUAUUGGUAGUUGUUGCACUCGAAUAACGAAGAGGAGGCAAUUGCAUUCUGCGAGUCUUCAUCCGUUGAAAACGUUGCAAUAUUUGCUCAUUUUCAAUUGUUGCAAAAAUAUCCUUCUCGAUGUAUACAACCAGACAGUCAUUCAUCCACUCGUCUCCCAUUUUGUUGCGCAAAUCAGUCUUGACAAUAUUCAUUGCAGAAAAUACUCUUUCAACAGAAGCAGUCGCAACUGGUAGAACUAAUGCCAACUGGAUCAGACGAUAAACAAAUGAAAAAACUGUAUUUUUACCAGUUUUAACCAUUUGUUGAGUAAGACUUCCCAAAUCUCCAACUUCUGAAAAUUGAGGAUCGCGUUGCACAUUAUAAAUAUAAUUUCGAAGUUGAGACUCAAGAUAUAAAUAAUCGUUACUUGAGAAGUCUUCAGGAUAUAAAUCAGCAAGACGGAGUAGUUUCUGCACAUUGAAUUGAGAGAAAGAACUUUUUGGAUCAAGACAUGCUAUGCAACUAAGCAAUUCCGUGCUAACUUCCGAGAAACGAUUAUUCAUCUCUUGUAUAAUUAAAUCAACAACCUGACAUCACAACAAUAAUAAAAUUAAUAACUAAGAAAAUCUGCUAACAAGUAACAAAUGUAAUGAAAUAAUAAUUUCAAAAAUAAUACCUCACAAAAAAUUUCCACGCGAUAAUGAUGAAAAUUAGUGAUGGUUUGACCUCUGCGACUGCGCCUGGCAUUGCCACGGAUUGCUAUACUGUCUUCCAUAUCAAUCACGGGAAUCAUAUUCAACUCACAAAAAUUGUUGACUUCAUCUAAAAUUAUUUGCCAUCCCUCUUCCCUAAAGUCUUGCAAUUGAGAUUUCAUAGUAUCAAUCAAACUCAUGGCUUGGACAAUAUUUUGAUCCCUUUGUUGCAAAACAAGUGACAAGUCAUUUGUGAUUCCCAAUAAAUACUUCAUCAGGUGCAAUGCAAAAACAAACUCAUAAUCAUUCAUUCUAUCAAUCAAACCCCUGGCCAUACCUCUAUUGUCAGAAGUGGAGGCAUCAUCUUGUAUAUUUCCCAAUAUUCCAAUCACCGAAGCCCACAUAGAGGAUAGACGAAGUAAUGUUAGAUAGUGUGAUCCCCAACGAGUAUCCCCUGGUCUUGCUAAACUAGUUUCUUGAUUUUUGCCUUUUCCACUAAUAAUAUCUCCACUGUCUAAAAGUGUAACAAUCUUAUCAUGUUCUAUUUGUCUUAAUUGAUCUCUCCUUUUACAUGAUACUCCAGUUAAAUUGACAAUCAUAGAGACAUAGACAAAGAAUUCACUGACAAUGAUAUUUCCCUUAGCAACAGCAACAAUAACUAACUGGAGUUGGUGAGCAAAACAGUGAAUAUACAUCGCAUAGGGAUUUUCUUGUAAUAUAAGGGCCUUCAAACCAUUGAACUCACCUCGCAUAUUUGAAGCUCCAUCAUAUCCUUGACCUCUCAAUUUGGAUAAUGAUAAUCCGUGUUGCGCGAAUAAAGAAUCAAUUGCAUCUUUCAAACAAAGAGAUGUGGUGUCAGACACAUGUACAAUUGCAAGGAAACGUUCAAUCACACGCCCUUCUUUGUUCACAUAUCUCAAAACAACUCCCAUUUGCUCUUUCACUGAACUGUCUCGAGACUCAUCAACUAUUAGGGAAAAAUAAUUGUCUCCAAUAUCAUUGAUUAUAACACUUGUGAUCUCUGAGGCACAAGCAUGUGCCAGAUCUUUUUGAAUCAUUGGAGAAGUUAGUUGAUUAUUUACAGGAGCAUUUUGAUUUACAACCUCAAAAAUCUCAGUAUUUCGCUGGCUAUACCACUCAAACAAUUCAAGAAAAUUGCCUCUAUUUGAAGAACUAGUUGACUCAUCAUUUCCACGAAAAGCCAAUCCUUGCUUCAAAAGAAAGCGGGUCACAUCCAGAGCAGCAGUUAAACGGGUGCGAUAUGCAAUAUCUAUUUCGCGCCCACAAGAUCGUAGCACAUUUGACAUACUAUGCCUUUGAUCUUGAAAACUUUCAAACUGCAUUCUAGCAUCAUUAUGGCAACUAUUCACAGCUCCAAUAUGUUCAUUAAAUCUUUCCAUUGCCUUUUUCCAAUUAUUGAAUCCCGUUUUUGUAAAGGCAUCCUCUGCAUAUCGACCUCCCUUAUUUUGUGUUUUGAAAAGAAAGCACCAAAAGCAAAACGCCGCAUCUUUCGAUAUGCUAUACUCUAACCAUACAAACUUUUGAUACCAACUAUCUUGGAAACUUCUAUGUUGUUUACCAAAUGAUGUUUUUGGAUACAUAUGGCCAAUCGGUUGGCAAGGUCCCCUAGUCAAAUACUCUCUUCGGACAUGGUCUCGAAGAGAAAUAUCAAAUUUCUCAACUGAUUUUCGUAAUCCCGGAUCACUAACAAUAUCAUUUAAAUUCAAUUCCACACAAGAUUGAUUUUGAACUGGUUCACUAAUAUUAGGCUCAUUUGAAGAUUCACCACUACGGACUCGUUUAGGUUUAAAGAAUCUCUCCAUUUUCUGUCACAAUUAAAUAAUUGUGGUUAAAUUCAAUAAAAUUAUGCAAUUCAAUAAUCAAUUAAUUUAAAAUUCAUAUAAAUAAUUCUUUAAUUUAAUAAUAAAUUCAUAUUACUUAUAUUUCUCAAUUUAUAAAAUUCAUUAUAUAAAAUUAUCAAAAAGUUAAAAUAAGGUACAACUAAAUACCCAUAUAAUUUCUAAUUCAAUCUCAUAAAAUUUUGAAUUUAUAUUUACAUUCAAAAUUUCUAAUUCACAUAAUUAAUUCUUAAAAUUUCAAAUAUAAAACUAACAAAAUUUUAAAAACUAAAUACAACCUAAAAUCUAUACAAUUUCUAAACUAAUUUCUAAUUUAAAUUUAAUAUCAUUAAAUUUUUUAAUGUAAUCUUUCAAAUUCUUAAAUUACAUUAACAUAAACUAAAUAAAAAUUAAUCUUAAUCAAAUUAAUAUCAAGAUACUCAAAAUUCAAAAAUAAUUUAAACAUAUAAUUAACAAAAAUAUAAAGAUGAAUAUUGUAAUUUAAACCAAAAAACUAACCUAAAAGAUUUAUGUGAAUGGAAUGGUGGAGAGUUGGAGUCUUGGAGCCUUGAAUUGAAGGCUUGAAGCAGGAUGAUAGAAUCUCAACUGAAGCUUCUUGGAGUUCUUGGAGCCUGGCGUGAGUGGCGUAUUCUUCUUGGAGUUGGAGACUUGGAGUCUUGUUUCAGUUGUUUGCCCUUUGGCCUUUGGCAUUGGCGGCGUGUAUUUUUUUUUUCCCUCAUUAUACAAAACGACGUCGUUCCACUAAAAGUGAAACGACGUCGUUUUGUAUUUAGAGGGCAAAAAAAAAAUUCAACAUAAAUUGGGUCAUCUUCUUCCUCGGACCUCAGCAGUCAGCAGACUCAGCACGGCAGGCUGGCAGCGGCUUUCCAGGCCCAGCUCUUCUUCACUUCCUCUGCAGCAUUCAUGGAGGCAUCAGGCAUGGAGCCAUGGAGGAUGGUAGAUCUGGAUCACCGUGGGGGGACUGGGCUGGGCUGGGCUAGCCGCCGGAAUCCCCUAUAUAUAGGGGAUUUUCCGGCGGCUUGGGGGGGGCUUAAGCCCCCACCAGCCCCCCCUUAAAUCCGUGCCUGCAUAGAUGGGAGAGGAGUCAAGGUAGAAAUUGCCAAUGGACCAUGCAUGGAGGUCAGAAGUGCUAGCCAUGUUAUAACACAUGGAAUCAGCAUUCAUGAUUGUGAAGCCCAGAGGCCGGGCUUGGGUGAUGCCAUAACCAUAACUGGAUCUUCUGAUGUAUGGAUUGAUCAUUGCUUUUUCUCUAGCUGUGUAGAUGGCCUCGUAGACAUCAUUCGUGGUUCAACUGCAUGCGAUCACCAUCUCCAACAAUUUCUUCACGAAACAAGAUAAAGUAAGCAUGUACAAAGCCAUCAAUAAUCCAGUACUGGCUAAAAGUUACAUGCAUGUGUCUACAUAUAUAAUUUAGGAAUUUAUUUUAACUUAGUUCUAUCAUCCCUAGAAAUUAAUCAUAAAUUAAGCUCUUGCACCAUCAUUUUUAUUUUUUGGAUAUUAAUAUGAGUAAUAACUUUGUGCCCUCAUGCACUAGGUCAUGUUGCUUGGACACGAUGAUGAUCAUGACGAGGACAAGAGCAUGAGGAUUACUGUUGCAUUCAAUUACUUUGGCCCGGGUCUAGUCCAAAGGAUGCCAAGGUGAGAGUUAUUUUGUGGCAUUGUAUUGGUCAAUCAGUACACUUGAAAGGUUUUUGAAACUUUACUGAUACGAGCAAGAACUACAGAGUUAGGCACGGCUAUGCCCAUGUUGCAAACAACAGGUAUGAAAGAUGGACAAUUUAUGCCAUUGGUGGGAGUGCGAACCCCACCAUACUAAGUGAAGGCAACCAAUACACUGCUUCAGACAAUCCUCGAGCCAAGGAGGUAUAAUUUCUCAUCAAAAUUGUAUUGAAAUUGAUCUAGACUGUAAUUUUCAUAUAACCUACAUGCAAGCGAGAUAGACUUUCUAUAGUGACAGAGGGAAAAGUGGCUGCGAUUGUGGUCAGAUAUAACUGUUCCAAACGAUUUAUUGUCAUGAUUUAGCCAACAAUACAAUUUUUUUUUUUUUGAAAAUGUACGACUUAAAUCAUCACACUUAACUUUGACAUAACUGAUAUCUACGAUCUCAUAUAAAUAUAGAAGGGAUCAUUUCAAAUACCUCCCUCAAGGUUUCUAACAAUUAUACUUGAAUAGCCUCUAAAAUUAAAAUUACACUUACCUCCCCUCUAUGAUGGAUGUGACAACAUGUCUGCACCAAAACCUCCUAAUGACCAACUUGCCCUCAAAAUGUUGUGCCUAAUAUUAUUACAAAAAUGUGAGAAAAAAAUUGCCUACAACAAUAAUAUUUUUUUAUUUGCUCCUUGCCACGAUCAUCUACAAAAGAAAAAUUGAUUUUGUCAUUUCUCAACUGUUAUCUUCAAAAUUGAUUUUAUUAUUCCUCAAAUGCCAUAGAGAGGAAGAAUGCUAAGAGUUGAAAAUAGUAUUCAUCUCUUACAUUUUAUCCAACUUAUAUGCUGCCAAGAUAUAACUGUUAGAUAUAGCUGUUGCAACCUAUCCAACUCUUCUUGCUUCUAAUGAUCAAAAGUGCAAAAUUGUACAUGUACUUUGUGUUGUACUGGGAGGAUCUCUACUGCUUUCAUAUCUUUUUUCUCUUUUUAAUUAAUUUUUAUAAACAAAGUGGCAAAUGUUUCGUUCAGAAUAUAAAGAAGAUAAAGUUGGCAAAAAAUUGUGUGUAAGUACCUUUUCCCACUUUUUAACUUUCUUUUAGUGACAGCGGCUGCAAUAUUUAUUAAAUGUGUCCAUCAAAGGGAGGUGAGUGUACUUUUUAAUUUUAGAGGGUAUUUAAGUGCAAUUGUCAGAAACAUCGUGGGAGGUAUCUGAAAUUAUCCCAAUAUAGAAUAUAGAAGAAAAUAUAACAUGACUGUUGAAAAAAAUUUUAUAUGGUCUCGACAGUAAAAGGUAUAGAAUCCAAGUUUCACUUAUACCUUUUAACAGGUUACAAUGAGGAUUCAAGAUGAAGAUUGGAAGACCUGGACGCGGAAAUCUUCCCGGGAUGUAUUUAACAGUGGAGCUUUUUUCGUUCAGUCGGGAUCAGGAAGCUAUCUUCCUAAUUACUCACUAUCUCAAUCCUUCACCGUCGCACAUGGGGCUGCAGUUCUGACUUUAACCUCUGAUGCUGGUCCUCUGGAAUGUAACACAAACAAAACAUGUUAGAUUAUGUCGUUCUACAAACAGUAAUACGUUCAGGCACGGAUUUAAGGGAGCUGGAAAAUCCCCUAUAUAUAGGGGAUUCCGGCGGCCAGCCCAACCCAGCCCAGUCCCCCCACGGUGAUCCAGAUCUACCAUCCUCCAUGGCUCCAUGCCUGAUGCCUCCAUGAAUGCUGCAGAGGAAGUGAAGAAGAGCUGGGCCUGGAAAGCCGCUGCCAGCCUGCCGUGCUGAGUCUGCUGACUGCUGAGGUCCGAGGAAGAAGAUGACCCAAUUUAUGUUGAAUUUUUUUUUUGCCCUCUAAAUACAAAACGACGUCGUUUCACUUUUAGUGGAACGACGUCGUUUUGUAUAAUGAGGGAAAAAAAAAAUACAUCAGAUGAAGCCCUAAGGCUUCAUCUGAUGCAAAAGCACGCCGCCAAUGCCAAAGGCCAAAGGGCAAACAACUGAAACAAGACUCCAAGUCUCCAACUCCAAGAAGAAGACGCCACUCACGCCAGGCUCCAAGAACUCCAAGAAGCUUCAGUUGAGAUUCUAUCAUCCUGCUUCAAACCUUCAAUUCAAGGCUCCAAGACUCCAACUCUCCACCAUUCCAUUCACAUAAAUCUUUUAGGUUAGUUUUUUGGUUUAAAUUACAAUAUUCAUCUUUAUAUUUUUGUUAAUUAUAUGUUUAAAUUAUUUUUGAAUUUUGAGUAUCUUGAUAUUAAUUUGAUUAAGAUUAAUUUUAUUUAGUUUAUGUUAAUGUAAUUUAAGAAUUUGAAAGAUUACAUUAAAAAAUUUAAUGAUAUUAAAUUUAAAUUAGAAAUUAGUUUAGAAAUUGUAUAGAUUUUAGGUUGUAUUUAGUUUUUAAAAUUUUGUUAGUUUUAUAUUUGAAAUUUUAAGAAUUAAUUAUGUGAAUUAGAAAUUUUGAAUGUAAAUAUAAAUUCAAAAUUUUAUGAGAUUGAAUUAGAGAUUAUAUGGGUAUUUAGUUGUACCUUAUUUUAACUUUUUGAUAAUUUUAUAUAAUGAAUUUUAUAAAUUGAGAAAUAUAAGUAAUAUGAAUUUAUUAUUAAAUUAAAGAAUUAUUUAUAUGAAUUUUAAAUUAAUUGAUUAUUGAAUUGCAUAAUUUUAUUGAAUUUAACCACAAUUAUUUAAUUGUGACAGAAAAUGGAGAGAUUCUUUAAACCUAAACGAGUCCGUAGUGGUGAAUCUUCAAAUGAGCCUAAUAUUAGUGAACCAGUUCAAAAUCAAUCUUGUGUGGAAUUGAAUUUAAAUAAUAUUGUUAGUGAUCCGGGAUUACGAAAAUCAGUUGAGAAAUUUGAUAUUUCUCUUCGAGACCAUGUCCGAAGAGAGUAUUUGACUAGGGGACCUUACCAACCGAUUGGCCAUAUGUAUCCAAAAACAUCAUUUGGUAAACAACAUAGAAGUUUCCAAGAUAGUUGGUAUCAAAAGUUUGUAUGGUUAGAGUAUAGCAUAUCGAAAGAUGCGGCGUUUUGCUUUUGGUGCUUUCUUUUCAAAACACAAAAUAAGGGAGGUCGAUAUGCAGAGGAUGCCUUUACAAAAACAGGAUUCAAUAAUUGGAAAAAGGCAAUGGAAAGAUUUAAUGAACAUAUUGGAGCUGUGAAUAGUUGCCAUAAUGAUGCUAGAAUACAGUUUGAAAGUUUUCAAGAUCAAAGGCAUAGUGUGUCAAAUGUGCUACGAUCUUGUGGGCGCAAAAUAGAUAUUGCAUAUCGCACCCGUUUAACUGCUGCUCUGGAUGUGACCCGCUUUCUUUUGAAGCAAGGAUUGGCUUUUCGUGGAAAUGAUGAGUCAACUAGUUCUUCAAAUAGAGGCAAUUUUCUUGAAUUGUUUGAGUGGUAUAGCCAGCGAAAUACUGAGAUUUUUGAGGUUGUAAAUCAAAAUGCUCCUGCAAAUAAUCAACUAACUUCUCCAAUGAUUCAAAAAGAUCUGGCACAUGCUUGUGCCUCAGAGAUCACAAGUGUUAUAAUCAAUGAUAUUGGAGACAAUUAUUUUUCCCUAAUAGUUGAUGAGUCUCGAGACAGUUCAGUGAAAGAGCAAAUGGGAGUUGUUUUGAGAUAUGUGAACAAAUAAGGGCGUGUGAUUGAACGUUUCCUUGCAAUUGUACAUGUGUCUGACACCACAUCUCUUUGUUUGAAAGAUGCAAUUGAUUCUUUAUUCGCGCAACACGGAUUAUCAUUAUCCAAAUUGAGAGGUCAAGGAUAUGAUGGAGCUUCAAAUAUGCGAGGUGAGUUCAAUGGUUUGAAGGCCCUUAUAUUACAAGAAAAUCCCUAUGCGAUGUAUAUUCACUGUUUUGCUCACCAACUCCAGUUAGUUAUUGUUGCUGUUGCUAAGGGAAAUAUCAUUGUCAGUGAAUUCUUUGUCUAUGUCUCUAUGAUUGUCAAUUUAACUGGAGUAUCAUGUAAAAGGAGAGAUCAAUUAAGACAAAUAGAACAUGAUAAGAUUGUUACACUUUUAGACAGUGGAGAUAUUAUUAGUGGAAAAGGCAAAAAUCAAGAAACUAGUUUAGCAAGACCAGGGGAUACUCGUUGGGGAUCACACUAUCUAACAUUACUUCGUCUAUCCUCUAUGUGGGCUUCGGUGAUUGGAAUAUUGGGAAAUAUACAAGAUGAUGCCUCCACUUCUGACAAUAGAGGUAUGGCCAGGGGUUUGAUUGAUAGAAUGAAUGAUUAUGAGUUUGUUUUUGCAUUGCACCUGAUGAAGUAUUUAUUGGGAAUCACAAAUGACUUGUCACUUGUUUUGCAACAAAGGGAUCAAAAUAUUGUCCAAGCCAUGAGUUUGAUUGAUACUAUGAAAUCUCAAUUGCAAGACUUUAGGGAAGAGGGAUGACAAAUAAUUUUAGAUGAAGUCAACAAUUUUUGUGAGUUGAAUAUGAUUCCCGUGAUUGAUAUGGAAGACAGUAUAGCAAUCCGUGGCAAUGCCAGGCGCAGUCGCAGAGGUCAAACCAUCACUAAUUUUCAUCAUUAUCGCGUGGAAAUUUUUUGUGAGGUAUUAUUUUUGAAAUUAUUAUUUCAUUACAUUUGUUACUUGUUAGCAGAUUUUCUUAGUUAUUAAUUUUAUUAUUGUUGUGAUGUCAGGUUGUUGAUUUAAUUAUACAAGAGAUGAAUAAUCGUUUCUCGGAAGUUAGCACGGAAUUGCUUAGUUGCAUAGCAUGUCUUGAUCCAAAAAGUUCUUUCUCUCAAUUCAAUGUGCAGAAACUAUUCCGUCUUGCUGAUUUAUAUCCUGAAGACUUCUCAAGUAACGAUUAUUUAUAUCUUGAGUCUCAACUUCGAAAUUAUAUUUAUAAUGUGCAACGCGAUCCUCAAUUUUCAGAAGUUGGAGAUUUGGGAAGUCUUGCUCAACAAAUGGUUAAAACUGGUAAAAAUACAGUUUUUCCAUUUGUUUAUCGUCUGAUCCAGUUGGCAUUAGUUCUACCAGUUGCGACUGCUUCUGUUGAAAGAGUAUUUUCUGCAAUGAAUAUUGUCAAGACUGAUUUGCGCAACAAAAUGGGAGACGAGUGGAUGAAUGUCUGUCUGGUUGUAUACAUCGAGAAGGAUAUUUUUGCAACAAUUGAAAAUGAGCAAAUAUUACAACGUUUUCAACGGAUGAAGACUCGCAGAAUGCAAUUGCCUCCUCUUCGUUAUUCGAGUGCAACAACUACCAAUACUUCAAGUGUUAAUCAAUAACAAAUUUUUGGGUAUGUAUAAUUAUAUGUUUUUAUUAUUUUUAUAAUUAUUGAUUCUAAAUUUUACUUAUUAAAUAUAUUUAUUUCGUCACAAAAAAAAAUUUUUAAUACACUUCAGCCCCCCCAAAAAUAAAUUUCUGGCUCCGUCCCUGAAUACGUUUGGACAUGAUUAAGAAUUUUAGAUUGAUUAAAUAUGGGAUUAUGCAUGUGAUUAGUGCUGCAACCUAGCUGGUAACUAGCCAGCUAGCCCUUUAGAAACUACUAGAUUUUACGGUUUCUUUUUUUUUUUUUUUUGGUUUUUUUUUGUUUGCUGGUUGGUUUGGAACCACCUCAUUGUAAACCAUAUGUCUCUUGAGAAGUACUUUCAAUGCUAUAUGGCCAUUAGAGGUUUGAUGUUUUGUUUCUUUCUUCCCUUUUCUUUUUUUUUUUUAAAAAGUUUUUUGGAUACUUGUUCUGGUUUUAAAACUUCAAAUUCCUAAGUUUUGUGCACGCACCAUUGUUUGCUAGAAAGACGACCAACAAAGAGAGUUUAAGGCAAAAUGCCGGUUUUCAUCCCCAAACUUUGGGGUAAAGACACAUUUCAUCCCUCAACUUUUGGGCACGACACAUUUGAUGUCUGAAUUAAUAAUUUUUUACCAAUGUCAUCCUCAAACGGCAACUUAGUCAAUUUUUAAUGGAACUGGUCACGUGAAAAUCACAUGACCGUUAAGUGAACUUAAAUUACAUUUUUAACAAAACCUGUCAGUUUCCUGCAUGCAAUCAAUCAACUUUUGACAAUUUUGACUAAGCAUCCAUCAAUAAACACUUGCAUCCCGUACAUAAGGGGGGAAAAAAACUAAAAAUAAGGAUAAAAUGAAAAAUAGGCAAGAAAAGAAAUAAUCAGCAUGAAAAAUGAAAAGGGAUAAUUUCACAAACAUCCCUUGAGAUUUUUAAUAGUUACAAAAAGCUCCCCUCAAAAUUUAAAAAUUACAUAUACUUUGCAUACUUUUACUAUUUAUAUAAGAGCAAAUUAUUUGAGCAGCCAUUGAACUAUUUGAAUAGUAAAAAUUUGGCCCUUCAAUUAUUCAUAACAUAUUUUUACCCAUUGAACUAUUAAAAGUAUAAACUUUGAGUUAUUCAUAACACCCAUUGAACUAGUAUGUUUUGUAUUUAACAUAAAUUAAAUAUGUGGAAGUUAAAAAAAUAAUAAAUUGCCCAUAACAUACCAGUUAUUUAUGGGAAACUGGCAGGUUUUGUAGUAUAUUUUGUACCAACUCUUUAUGGGAAACAUACCAGCUCUUCAUAGGAAAAAUUGGUUAAAUAGCGCCCAAAGGAAAACUAGUAUGUUUUGUAUUUAACAUAAAUUAAAUAUGUGAAAGUUAAAAAAUAAUAAUAAAUUGCGCAUAACAUACCAGCUCUUUAUGAAAAAUUGGCAGGUUUUGUAGUAUGUUUUGUACCAACUCUUUAUGGGAAACAUACCAACUCUUUAUUGGAAAAAUUGGUUAAAUAGCGCUCAAAGGAAAACUAGUAUGUUUUGUAUUUAACAUAAAUUAAAUAUAUGAAAGUUAAAAAAAUAAUAAAUUGCCCAUAACAUACCAGUUCUUUAUGGGAAACUGGCAGACUUUGUUAAAAAUAUGAUUUAAGUAACGGUCAUGUGAUUUUCACGUGAUCAGUUCCGUUAAAAAUUGAGGAUGACAUUGGUAAAAAAUUAUUAAUUCAGACAUCAAAUGUGUUGUGCCCAAAAGUUGAGGGAUGAAAUGUGUCCUUACCCCAAAGUUUGGGGAUGAAAACCGGCAUUUUCCUAGAGUUUAAUCAUAACCAAAUUUAAUUCAUUUUCAAUGUGAUAGGCCAAAAGCAAAAUCCUCAAAAUUGUGAGGGUUUGUCUAUAAAUUUUGUCUUUUGAAAUUGCUUCUCUUUGUAUAAACAUAAUAGAGUUUCAAGUCAAUCCAGUUAACAUUCAUGACUUCAACUGACUCACCCAAAAAAAAAAAAUGAAUAAAUUAGUUAAAAAGGUAGAGAAUUAAGCUAUAGAAAAUACCAUGCCCACGUAAUAUGUACGAGAGUAAGAAGAAGCAAAGUUAAAGGGAAUUAAAACAGGGAAAGAUAAUAAAAACUAAAGAUGUUUUCCAAAAAACGAAGAAAGAGACAUGAUUCAAUCUAAUGGGGAUUCAAAAUAUAAAAUAGAUUAUGGGAUAAAAUAAAACUAAACCACCAAUACAAGGAGCUAGACGUAAUUUAGCCAACAUUUAUAAGUGGGCUUGUUAGGGAUUUAAAUCAGCUUCGAGUACAUAGUCAAUUGGUGAAAGUACAAAAAGGUGGCUAAUUACUCAGAUUAUGGUCGAGAAAAAAAAAAUUCGGACAUGUACCGCUCUGACAAGCUUGUGGUACAAAUCUAUGGGUACCGGGCCAUGUCAGCCCGGCACCCAAAGUCAGUCAAAUUUUUUUAUUUUAGGUGUGACACCGCUAACGGGCUGACACAGCCCGGUAGCGGGAAAUUUUUUUUUUUGUUAAAAAGCUGUCGGCUACCGGGACAAUGUCUGAAAAAUUUGAGAGAGCCAUUUGAAUAUGGCCAAAUAUUCCUUCCAGCACAAGAUUCUCCACGGCUUGACAGCGCUGCUGCCUUCUCAUAUUAUAGCUUGUGGUCUGUUUGUGCCAAAAUGAUUGUCGAAUUAUCUCUCAAUUAAUUUAAUUUGUUGAUUCUUUUUGGUUGUUUUGUUUCUAGUUUUUUUUUACCGCGUAAAUUCUUCGAACUUUAUGGGUACGUUUGUAUUCCUUGUUUUUUUCUUCUGUUUUUGAAAAACUGUUUUUCACAUUCCAAAUGUUACAGUAAAUAUAUAUUUCAAAAACAAUUCCAAAAACACCAUAUCCAAACAUUAUACCAAAAACAACUCCAAAUAUGCAUAUUUAAUAUGUAUAUUAUAUAUAUUAUAUUAAUAUAAAUUGAAAUAUACAAACUGAAAAUUAUAUAUUUAUACAUUAUAUUAUAUAAAUAUUUAUAUACAUUAAUAUUAUACAUAAUAUUGUAUAUUAUACAUAAUAUAAUAUAAUAUACAUGAUAUAAUAUACAUAAUAUGUAAUAUUGUAUACAUAAAUGUAUAAAUAUUUAUACAUACUAUAUUAUGUACAUUAUAUUAUAAUAUAUACAUUGUUAAUUUACUUUCACUAUUAUGUACAUUAUUGUGUAUAAUAAUGUAUAAUAAUGUUAUGUAUAAUAUAUAAUAUACAUAAUAUGUAAUAAUGUAUAAAUGUAUAUUAUAUUAUAUAUAUACAAUAUUAUGUAUAUUAUACAAAUUGUAAAUUUUAUGUUAUAUAUUUACAUAUUAUAUAUUAUAUAAAUAUUUAUAUAAUGAUAUAUACAAUAAAUAUUACAAAUUAAAAUAUUAUAUAAACACCAUAUUUAUAAUAUUAAUAAUUAACAUUAAUAUAUUAUAUAUUUAUUAAAUAUUUAUAUAUUAAAUAUUUAGCUAUUUAUUUAUUCAUAUUAUAAAUAUUUUAUUUUAUUUAAAAUAUAUUUUUAUAUAUUUAUAUAAAUAUUAUAUAUUAUAUAAAUUAUAUAUAUUAUAAUAUAUAUUAUAUAUUAUAUAUAUUAUACAUUUAUAUAAAUGUACAUUUAUACAUAAUAUAUAUAUUUAUGUAUAUUUAUAAUAUACAUUUAUAUUAUGUAUUAUAUAUAAUAUAAUACAUUUAUACAUUUAUAUUAAUAUACAUAAUAUUAAUUUUACAUUUAUACAUAAUAUUAAUACAUUUAUACAUUUAUAUUAAUUAUAUUAAUACAUUUAUACAUAACAUUAAUAUAUAUUUAUAAUAUAUUAAUUUAUACAUUUAUAUAAUAUUCAUUUAUAAUUUAUACAUUUAUAAUUAUAUACACUUAUACAUUUAUAAAUAUAUUUAUAUUAUCUAUUAUAUAUAAUAUAAUACAUUUAUAAUACAUUUAUAUAUUUUUAUAUAAAUAUAUAAAUAUAUGUAUUUAUAAAUAUUUAUAAAUGUAUUAUAAAUGCAUAAAUGUAUAUUUAUAUAAAAAUAUAUAAUUUAUAAUUUAUACAUUUAUAUAAUAUUCAUUUAUAAUUUAUACAUUUAUAAUAAUAUACAUUUGUACAUUUAUAAAUAUAUUUAUAUUAUGUAUUAUAAAAAUUUUUUCCCUCCUUGUUUUUCACCUUUUAAACGGAGCUGGACUUUAUGGACCCCAACUUUUAUUAGAAAAUUCACUUUUAAUAAGAAGUUGCAGUUGAUUUCAUUUUGUAAAAUAUUUUGCAAGAAUCUCAUUUAUUAUUUUUACUUAUAUUAUAUCACAAAAAUGUUACAGUAAAUAAUUUUUAAAAAUAAUAGUCAAUCCAGUUGGACUCAACAAACAUGUAUAAAAAUCGUCAAAAAAAACAAUUUCAGGGAAACAUGUAAGAAAGCUCCAUUUGACAAGAAACUCAACCGUGGAUAUUUCCGUCCAAUAGGGGUGGGUGAGUUGUUUUCUACCAGAAAAUAAAAAAUCUAUAUAUUCAUUUUUCGGUUUUUACAUGGAAUUUUUGUUUUUUCUGAUCAAUGCAAAGGAUACUCCAAUGGCUUAGUAGCAUGAACCUGAGUUGCCUAGAUUGACUAAGAAGUAUUCUCUCUUCGAGUCUCACAACAACCAGCCCUUCUUUUUGUUGGACAUUUACCUACUAGCCCGUUCAUCGACUAGACUACGUACACAACUGUGAGCUCAUCUCAUUAAGGAAAGGUAUAAAAAUUUAGACUGGCUGCCGGGCAGAGAGAGCCCGGCAGCCAGUUUUUUUUCAGACAUUGUCAGCUACCGAGCAUUGUCAGCUCGGUAGCCGACAGCUUUUUAAAAUAAAAAAAAAAAUUUCCCGCUGUCGGGCUGUGUGUCAGACCUUAAAAAAAAAAUUUGACUGACUUUGGGUGCCGGGCUGAUACGGCCCGGCAUCCAUAGAUUUGUACCACAAGCUUGUCAGAGCGAUACAUGUCCGAAUUUUUCUUUUUUCGACCAUAAUCUGAGUAAUUAGCCCAAAAAGGUGGGUCAUGUAGGCAAAGGGAGACCAUGGAGCUUAGUAGCUUGCUGCCGGUUAAUUUGCCCUGCAUUCUUAUUGACAUCAUUAUAUUGUUGCUUUCUUCUAAUUUCCUUCACGCGUAUUUUGGUAGAUGUAUUUGACUUUGUAUCUUCAAAUAGUGAUAUAAUUAGGGUUUGUUAAGCCCUUUCUCUUCUCCUUCCUUUCCUUUCUCUUAAAAGAGAAACGAUCGAUUAUUUUUCGAUGCUCAUCAUUUUUUUUUUCACUUUUCUUCUUAACAGUACAAUUUGUACUUGUGACCUUCUUAAUGGUGAAUUUUCUUUUACUUUCUUAAUAAUUCGAAAUCUGGACUUUUUCAGCGGUAAAUAAAACGGGUUAUCAAUUAAAAUAUAUUUUGUUAGUUUUGUACAUAUAAGCUACCUUGAUGAUCAAUAACAGUUAUGCUUACCAAAAAAGUUAGUCCAUCAAUUAAUGCAUCUUCCAAGGUGACAGCCCGUACUAUAAAUUGUAAACCUGAUCAUCCGCAUAUUAAUAUGGAAAGGACUCGGUCGAAUUGGCCAUGGUCAGUUCACAUGAAUUGUUCAGGGACUGUUGCCACGCGAAUAGUCAAGCGUUAAGCAGAAGUGAGACAAGUCAAUGCGUCGUACAAUUUCAUUGCGUAUAGCUUAGAAUAUGAUGUGAUGGACCCGGGGCAGGAACGGUUGAAGGUUAGAAUAUGCAACCGUUCCUGAAAGGUUAUGUGCAUCUACGCAGUCGUUUCUAAAGGCUGCGUGCAUCUUACACGACGUAAUUUUGUUUAUAUUUAAUAUAAUUUAAUUUUAAUAAUGUAUAAUUUUAAAAUAAAAUUUUAUAAGUUUCAUACAUAUUAUUAAAAAUAAAAUAUAAGAUAAAAUUUGAAUCUUAUAAUUUUUUUUAGUCAAAUUUUGACUGUAAAUUACUCAGGAACGAUCCGUCCGAUGAUGACCGUUCUUGCUCCAAAUCCACGAUGAGAUCAAGUCCAUAUCCAUUUUGCUCGUGACCAAUAAGACUGAAGGUGCAGAGAAAUUGAAUGACGUCGAGGGCAGAAGAUCACAACUGGGUUUCUGAAUCCGAUUACAAAAGCCAAGAUCAUUAGUAAUUUAUGGCGCCGUCUUAUCGGUACGGCCUAUACGGCCCCGUAAUAAAUCGCCUUGCUCCGACAGUCGACGGUACCACGACUUUUCUGUCACGCGCCAUUUCACUUUCUCUUUAUCAUCUCCAAUGUGGUGGCACCUUUUUAUUCCCUGAGUAUUCUUUUUUUCAUAUUAAUUUAUUUUCUGCUCUCUCUCUCGGCAAUAUUGAGCUUUUGAGUAUAGAAGUAUCCAACUUGAAGACAUAUUAUACAAAAUACUACUAUUUAUUUAAUCAAAACUUGGGUAAAAGAUUUAUUUAAUCAUCUGUACAUAUUAUGUGAAAAUAUAUGCAAAAUACUAUUUAUUCACUUUUUUUGCAUGUUAUUUUUUCAUCGUAUGGCCAACAUGUAUCUCAUAUAUCUACAUACAAGGCUUUAUUGUAUGUCCUAAAUGACAUGAUAGCAAUCCCAAUAUAAUAUACUCAUAUUAUCACGCACCCAUGAAUUAUAUAUAAUUUUAUGUUAAAAAAUUAAACUUUUGGAGAAGAUAAAACUAGGGAUGACCACCUUUGUACAUGCCCCUUAGUCACAGGAUAUGAAAACUUUUUAUAUCAUACUAGCAAAACCCAAAGAAAUCUUCCAUUUAAUCAUAAUUAAUUCCAUACAAUUUGGUUAACGAUGCUCAAUAAACACUCGUUAAGAGAAGUCUCAAGUAUUAGGCCUUGUUUGGAAAGGGAUUUUCUACCAAAAAAAUUUCUAUGUUUUCCGUGAAUACAUUUUUCAAUCACUUUUUUACCUCACAUAUAUCAAAUCGUUAUAAUACACUUUUUAUAAAAAAAAUUUUAGAAAAUUGCAAUUUAAACGCAACCUUAGUUUUUAAAAAAAACGACUAAUUUCAAAAUAUGCUUAAAUAUAAGGAGUGCGAUGAUUGUGAUUGCAUAUAUUCAUAUGAUAAGUUAAAUAUAAUUUAGGUGUGCUAAUGAGUGUCUAUUAAGACUCGUUAACAAAAUCGGAAAACUUUAUAGCGUAAAAUAUUAUCAUGUCUCAUUUAGCACAUUUCAAAGACGUCAUAGUGUACUUCAUUCUCAAAUAGGAUACAAGAUAAGUUGAGAUUUUGGGUAAUAUAUAAAUGAAAUAUUAGUUAGCAAACAAAUUGGUUUAACCCAAAUCAUCAAAAAAUCUAUCGAUGCAAACAUCAAAUCCAAAUUUAAGGAUAGUAUGUACUUUAUACACGUGUCAGAAAAAGCCAAAAACGAGUUUGCCAUUAAUCACUUUGGUAGAUUUAUUCAUUAAAUGAAGUAAAAAUUUUGCAACUAUUUAUACAUCAAACUUGAUUUGGAGUAGCUUUUGAAGUUCAAAUAUCUACUUGAAUCUGUUUGAUAAUUCAUAAAAAAAAAAAAAACAACUGUCGUACCUCCAAUGUAACGACAAAAGCUAUUUACGCUUAACUUUUAUUAGACACGAGUAUCACCAAGUUACAAAAUUUUCAUUUAACAAAUAAUGUAUCAAACUAAUAUUGGUUUACUUAUUAAAAUGUACUUGGAACAGUUCUAUAUUUGCUAGCGUAAAAAUGUGAUGAGAAUAAUAAGAAACUUGUGAGAAAGAAAGGGGAAUUUCACUAUAAUAUCUCAUUUAAUGAUCUUGGACAGGAACACCACUAAAUUAAACAGUGAAACAUGGAUAGUGUUCAUUGGUGUAACUAAUUAUCUUCUGAUUUUAGACUCUAGCACGUCAAAAAACAAAAAAGACUUUAGCACGUCACCACCAGGGUCGAGCGUGUGUUAUUCACGCUCCAUUCCAAGCGUCAUUCUGCGAACGUCCAGGAACUUUGAUCAACGGUUAUAGGAGGGCUUUCUUGACGUGACCAACGCUAAAUCAACAACUUAUCACUUGUCGUAAAGCGAAAUUAAAAUAAAACUAAAGCCAAACAGCCCCUUAACAGCCCCACUUCUUCUUUCAUCCAUACCAUUCUCCUCUGUUUUCCACUUUACCUCCUACAGUUCACAGUUCACAUAACCCCACAACAAUAAAAUCAGCAUUAGUUUUGAGCAAAACCCAAUUGAUCUUCCUCUGGAAAACUUUCUGGUCUUUUUUUUUUUUGAGCUGAUGAAGUUAAAGAUGAGAGCUUUGAGCUGUACUGUUAGUACAGUUGUUCUUGCAGUUGUGUUUUUGAGUAGUUCUUCAGUGUUUGCAGGCGAUAUAGUUCACCAAGAUGAUGAGGCACCUAGAAGACCUGGUUGUGACAAUAAUUUUGUUCUGGUAAUAACCCUUUCAGCUGUCCUUUUCUGGUUAAUUGGUAAAAAGAAAUCUGUUUUUCAUUGUUUUAUCUUAAUUAUCUAACUUUUAGUAUGCAUAUUUUGAGUCGUUUCUAAAGGUUUUGCAUUGUUUUUCUUAUAUCAAGUAUUAGUAUACUCUAAUAUACUAUUUACCGUGUUCUGAUUUCCGUGCGUUUGAAAGUAUAGCUUUUGUUUUUUUCUUGAAUAUUUCGGUGUAUCAAUUUGUUUUACCUUUUGUUCAUCAAUUAAUUUUUAGUUUAAAAUGACCAUCAGCAUAAUAGUCCUUGUCCAAAGUAUAAUUGCUGAAUCUUGAAGCUGUCCUUUUGUUGUUUUUGUAGUUAUUAGUUGCUGUUGUUGAUUCUCUUGCUACUCUGGCUAAGAUGUUUGUUUUUCCUUUUGUACUUCAUUGAAUUAUACGAGAUCUUUCACGAAGGGGAGUUGUAUAACGAAUGUUCACCUUUUGCAGUGUGCUUCACUCUAGGAAUUUAGUGAUUGAUUUCCAAAAUUCUUGUCGAGCAAACCGGAAAAGAUAGAUAGUUGGAAUUUUUGUUGAAAGUCGUGUAUCUAUAUUAAUCAAUCAGCAGUCAGGGUCCCCAAAUUUAAAUCUUAAGGUAUCCUUAAGGAGAACAAUUUCAAUUACUUGUUUAUAUACUUUAUCCGGACUUUCUUGGCUAACAACAAUUUGUGAUAGCUCUGACAUAUAGCUUUUAGCACAUGUUGUGUAAAUGUACAUAUCAAUGUAGUAAGAAGCAGUAUAGCUCUAAUAUUCUGUUGUUUUCUUGGUGACACCUAUUGGUGCCAAAAUUCCUACUAAGACAUUUGAAUGACCGCAAAUUUAUCAAGAAUGCACAAAGACAAAGGGCUCAAUGGUGAUUAUGCUAGAAAAAAGAAGAUAAUGUUACAACAAAAAGAACAUGAGAUAAUUUCAUCUAUGUCUUUUUUCUUUUCUUUUUUUUCCAGUGGAUAUCACUGGUAUGAUGUCUGCUAUGAAUUUAAGUUGCUGGUUGCAGUAUUAAUUGGGACUUUCUGUCAUUAAACAAAGCUGUCAUAAAACCCAACUAAUUUUCUUAGAGUGCUCUAGUUUUGGUUUUUUAUCCCCCUUUUUCACUGAGCAGAAUCCUUGUAUGUCUGGGUUGAUUCUGCAUUUUAUUCCAGAUUUUAGAUGGUAGGGUGCUUCAGAAGACUACCCCACUUAAUUCUCUUCAACUUCUGAUUGCAGUUUUUUGUCUGAUGCCUAAGUCACUUCUAUUUAAUAGGUGAAAGUUGCAACUUGGAUUGAUGGCAAUGAGGAAAUGGAAUUUGUUGGUGUUGGUGCUCGAUUUGGCCAAACCUUGGAAUCGAAAGAGAAGCGUGCCGACCAAACAAGACUUGCCCUUGCUGACCCCCCUGAUUGUUGUAGUAAACCAAAAAAUAAGGUAUGCUUUGCUUUUCCCCCAACUGGUGCUCGAUCUUUAAGAGUUCCUGUUCAUAUCACAAGCCCAACUCUAAGAGUACUUAAUGUUUGGUAGCUUACCGGUGAGGUCAUCUUGGUGUACCGAGGUAAUUGUAGUUUCACAACUAAAGCAAAUGUUGCAGAGGAUGCAGGUGCUUCUGCAGUCCUCAUCAUUAACAACCAGACAGGUUGGUGUUCUAAACAUCCCGUUUUUAAUGGUUUGAAUCACCCAUAUACAGUCCUUGAGGAUGUUGACAUAAUAUGCUUGUGCAUUUUUUGUGCAAUUCCCCGUCGUUUUAUAAGUGUAAGGAGAUGCUAGAUAGAGACACAUUCUGUACCUCUUCUUUUUACAAAAUCACGUGACAGUUGAAGAUUGUUUAUUUAUGUGUUGGCCUGGAAUGUAAAAUGCAGAAUAAGUAACUUGUAUCUUCCAUAUUAAUUAUGUGAAAGAUUGUCUAUGAAAUUGCUGUAGAUUGAUUGCGCUGAAUCCUUUUAUUCAAUUUUGUUCAACAUUAAGCAAUAUGAAUCUUCAUUCUUUCUCUAGAGUUUAUUUCAAGUUCGUCAGUGGAGUAUUUUUUUUUCUAAGCGUUUGCUUUCUGACAACUGUUUUAUUAUUUUGCUUUUGGGUGCCUUGCCUCCUCAGAACUCUUCAAGAUGGUUUGUGAACCCAACGAGACUGAUAUAGAUAUUCAGAUACCUGCUGUGAUGCUUCCUAUUGAUGCUGGUCAGCAGUUGGAGGCCGUUAUGAAAAACAAGUCUGCUGGUAAGUUUAUUCUGUGUGAUUAUCUUUCUCCCUCUGUGUUUUUCCAAAUAAUGUUGUGUUUGAAGAAGGGUAACAACAUGGAGUAGUUUUUACUCAGUUUCUGUCCAUAAAUUUUAAUUGCUGUAUAUGGUUCAGUCAUAUACAGUGCUUGGUGUUAUUUUCAGUGUGGUUAACAAAUUCACUUCCUGCCUCAGUUAUGGCGCAACUAUAUUCUCCGCACCGUCCACUUGUUGAUGUAGCUGAAGUGUUUUUAUGGCUUAUGGCUGUUGGCACAAUCUUAUGUGCAUCGUACUGGUCUGCAUGGACUGCUAGAGAAGCAGCAAUUGAGAUGGACAAGCUUUUAAAGGUAAUGCUAUACCUUUUAAUGUUGUCCACAAAUUAGCGAGGAACUUUGUUACUUAGAGACAGCUCUUCUCCUAUGGGCUUGAUGUGCUUUCUCACUCUUGCAGGAUGGCUCAGAUGACUAUCUUAAUUUGGAGAGUAGUAAUUUAAGAGGAGUGGUGGACAUCAACACAAGUUCUGCAGUUCUCUUUGUUGUAGUUGCUUCUGGUUUCUUGGUUAUGCUUUACAAAUUGAUGUCAUUCUGGUUCAUUGAGGUGCUGGUGGUUCUAUUUUGCAUUGGCGGCAUAGAGGUUAGUCACUUCUGGAUUACUUAAAUCUCAUAGCUGAAGAUUGGAGAUUUUGCACGGGAAUCAACUUAUGUUGUCCUUUGUGACUCCAUACCAGCUUACUGAAGGAUAUUUUAUGUUUAUGGAAAAGAAAUAAGAGAUUUUUUAUACCACUCUUAAUUGACCAUUUAUCCAUAUAGAGAAGUCAUGUAAUAACAAGUAAUCCUUGCCUAUGCCUGCUUGUAAAAAUUGUUCAUAAAAGAUAACUGUGGCAUGAUUUUUUUUUUGUCUUCCUUUUCGGAUUACAAGAUUGUAUCUGAUUCUCUGGACUGAGCCCGAUCUUCUUUGUGUAUUUGCUCAAAGCUACUGUUAACGUUUUAAUGAUUGUGUUAAUGUUGCAAACUUUGUUGGGUGUCGAAAUUAAGGUUCCCUUUUGAAUUGAAAUCUGAACCUUUUGUCUUUUCUUUCUAUAGGGACUGCAAACCUGUUUGGUGGCAUUGUUAUCAUGGUAUGUACUGCAUAUAUUUCUUUAAUGUUUAAUUGUAGUGCUAAUGUUAUCUAUGUUAUAUGCCAUCUUUGGAAAGCUGGAAAAAGGGUGAGUGAUGUGGAAACAUGGAUUUUUCUGAUUAGCUGAUGUAUGGAAAGUAGCUGUGGAGAAAUCAUUUUUUCUGAUUUAGUAGGCGGACAAGGAGGAGGAUUUUCCACAAAACUGAUGCCAAAGAAAGGAAGGAAUUUUUUGUAGCUUGAGUUUUGACUCCAUUGAAACAAAAUUUGUUUUGCCUCUCGCCUACUCAUAUACAUUCACCAAUUUAGGAAUACAGCUGGAGAGGAGGAAAUAUCUUUUCUAGUUAUCAAAAACUUUAAUUUUUUGAAGCUGUGGUAGUAAUUGUAGAGUAUGAUCUAAAUUUCUUUCUUCCUGUCCUUUACAUUUCACUGUGAACAAGGAAAAAUAUGUCUCUUCCAUACCUCCAUGCUACUUGAACAGAAAUUGCAAGUCUUUUUUCAUAAUGAUUGACUUUAUGACUGCUAUUGCUUUUCUGCUUCUCUUACCAGUAUGAGUUUAAGAAAUGCAUCUCCUCCGUAAAUGGAAAUUGUAGUGACCAGUUUACCUGUAAGCCAUUAAGGGAGCAUUUUUUCUAAGCAAGAAUGGAAAUGCUUAUGUAAUUUACCCAUACAAGUGAGAAUGUAACUAUAUCACUGUGUCAUUACCGCAAUAUUUCUAUAUUCUUAUGUACUAUUUAUGUUAAACAAUUAACAAUCAGGUUUGGCAUCACUGUGUUUGUUACUCCUAAUGGCCGGUUAAUUUUUUUCUUUUUUGAAUCUGAUACUUUUCUUUGCAAUUGAACAUUGACGUAACCUGCUCCAAAAUGUAAUUUGUUUGCAUGUCAUUAUUGCCGACUAAUUCUACAUCGUCCUGUUGGGUAUCAGCAUGUCCAUCUUAUGCAUGUUUUCUUCUUCUUGAAAACAACUAGCCUGUUUUACCAUUGCUGAUGGGGAGCAAACUAGGUCUGUCUCUUCUCUUUCACUUUUAUGCUGCUUGAAAAUUAGGAAGAUUAAAUGAAAUCCACCAUCCACAUAUCGUCUACUAAAUGUUUUCUCUUGAAUAAGGAUAACAAUAGAAAAUAAGAUCUUAGGCUAAGUGCUUAAGGGCCCAAUAGUGUCUAUCACAUCACCAAGCUAAAAAGCAUUCCUCUUUCUAGAGCUUUUGGGACCAAUAUAAAUAACUUCUUCUGUUUUCAAGAAAUCUUCCUUGUUUCCCCUUCUGAUUGAUUGGGCCAGAUUUCUGCUGACAUGAUUAUCAAGAUUACCUGGUUUCUUUUUGUGCUAUAUGAUUUUAUGUUAUUUUAAGUUUCAUUAGGGCAUCUUUAAGUCAAGAAAAUGGAAGUUUUGAAUCUUUAUGCUUUCUCUUCGCUGAUUCCUUGCAAGUACAAUCUAACAAUGUAGAAAUACAGUUUCAGAUGUUUUGAACAUGCUGGAGAGUCUUUCAUAAAGGUCCCCUUUAUUGGAGCUGUAUCAUACGUGACACUGGCUGUUUCUCCAUUCUGCAUAGCAUUUGCUGUUGUAUGGGCAGUUUACCGCCGUGUCUCAUUUGCUUGGAUCGGUCAAGAUAUCCUUGUAAGCAAACUUUAGCUAUUUUCAUUAGUAAGUUACUAUUUUCUUAGAUUAUCGUGUGGUUGUUCAAUUUUAGAUAAUUAAUUGCUUAUAAACAGUGGACCUUCUUGGCAGUCUAAAUAACUGCUCUCUGGAAUACCCAAGUGAGUAACUCUCUUUAUUUCUCUUCACAUUAGGUAUAAUAUGGGAGAUAUGAAGACAAACAAUUAAAGAUAUGUAUCUAGUUUGCGUUAUUCUAGUUCAUUGUGCCAUCAAUAACGCAUGUUUUAGAUCUUGGGAUUGUCAUGCUAGGCCUGUCACAGUUGCAGACAUUUUGAUUUCUAAUUACCUUUCUGAUUGUUUUCAUUGGAUAAAGUCAUGCCUGAUAAAGGCUUUGAUGCUUUGUUUAUUGUGGAAAUGCUGGACUGUUUUUAUUUGGUCCAGUAUGAAAUUUUUAUUUUUUGUGCUCCAUAAUUAAACUUCAAAUAAUAUAUGCCAGUAAACUAAGCUUGACCUCAGAGUCAUCUUCUGGCUCUAUUAAAAUGCUUGAGAUAUGACAACUGAGUUAGACGUUUUCAGGUUCCAUCUAAAGACAAAAUCCUUCUUGUGUACACUUCUCUUUUAAUUGGAAAUGGAAAUGCAAAUAGUACAGGCACCUUAAGUUAGCUGGCUUUUCGUUGAAUCUAUUGCAGCUUCAUGUUGCCAUGGUGUGUAUCUUACCAUUCUGUCAGAUUUAGCUCAGAAUUAGAAUUUUCCUCUUUCAGAAACCAAAUGUGUAUGAAAUUUGGUUGUUAAUUUAUAGUCUGCUUUUCUGAGGCAGGAUUUAUGUGGCAUGGUUGUGUCUGCUGAUCUUGUUAUACGCUAACAUUGUUUAUUUGCUUUACUUGACUUAUCUUUUUUGAGGACAGGCCUUCCGCAAAGAAUGGAUAAUAAUAUUAAUGUCGAAGAAAUUAAUGUUUUUUUUUCUUUACCUAGGGUAUUGCUUUGAUAGUCACAGUUCUCCAGAUCAUACGAGUUCCAAAUUUGAAGGUAUUUAAGUUUCUUCUUCUCCUAUCAAGAGUCAUGUUUUUCAUUACUUCAUGUAUUUGAACUCUAUAUUUGGUCCCUUUAUGCUCCAAGUAGUUCUAUUCAAACAGAGAAUGACAUCAUGAUGGUGUCACCCUACAAUAUUUCACAUUUUUCCUCUCUUUUUCCUUGAUAUGGUCAGGUUGGAACAGUUCUACUAAGUUGUGCAUUCCUAUAUGACAUUUUCUGGGUGUUUGUUUCAAAGUGGUGGUUUAAGGAGAGCGUGAUGAUAGUGGUACGCAUUCUUCUUGAUCUUCUUUCAGGCAUAUGAGUGUUGAUUCUUCAUGAAUACAUGCAAAAAGUUCUUUGGCUGAUGAAUGCCAAAAGUUGUUUCCUGACACAGGUUGCUCGUGGUGAUAGAAGUGGAGAAGAUGGUAUACCAAUGCUACUCAAGAUCCCUCGGAUGUUUGAUCCAUGGGGUGGCUACAGUAUAAUUGGAUUUGGCGACAUCAUCUUGCCUGGAUUGCUGGUGGCCUUUUCACUAAGGUAGUGGAGAUGAGCGCUCAAGGAUAUCAAGAAAUAUUGUCCUCUUUGAAUUGAAUUCUAGCUUUGCUAGAAUGUCUUAAUGUACUCAAUCUCUGGCAAUUCCCCUUGGAAGAGGGUGUAAACUAUGGGCCAUGUAGCAGCUAAGUUUGCUUAUCUCAAUUAGAUGCCCUUAGAGAGCCAUGUUUGGAAAUUUCAUAAUGUAGUAGUGCUGGAUAUAGCAUACUCUUUAUUCUGGUUGGCAAUUCAGUUUGAAAAUUUCACCAAUCUUUCAAUUGUCCUUGCAGGUAUGAUUGGCUGUCCAAGAAGAAUCUUCGAGAAGGAUACUUUCUGUGGGCAAUGAUUGCGUAUGGAUUAGGUAUAACCAAAACUGAUGUGGAAUUUCUUCCUUCUCAUGUUUUUUCAUGAUAUACAUGCAUCUAAAUGUAUGUGCAUGUGAUGUUUAUUUGUCCUUUUUAUCCUUCUGCCCUUUGUUUAAUUCGAAAGAAAAGUAGUUCAACAUAAAUUGGAAAUUCUUGCUUUUCCCUUUCUGUUGGGAUUUGGGAAUUCAUUAUGCGAGAUUCAAUUGGGUGACUGGAGAGGCACCACCAUAAUGCAAGUUGCUGUAUAGUGAUGAAGCAGGUUAUCAAAAGAGCGGCUUUGGAAAUGGAGAAAUUUAGGGAUGAUAUGCUCACCCACCAUUGAGCAGACUUAUUUGUCUCAUGUACAGCUGAAGACUUGUCUAGAAGCCUUAAUAAGAUUUUCUUGAAAUAAGGAUCAAUCUAUGAUCCUAUUGGUUUUGCUCAGAUGCUUGUACUCAUUUACCCGAUGGCAUACGUGCCACAAGGAGCCAGCUUUUGUGUAACAACACAUUUACUCCAUGCAGGUCUCCUCAUUACUUACGUGGCCCUGAACAUGAUGGAUGGACAUGGCCAACCAGCAUUACUUUAUAUUGUUCCUUUCACACUAGGUAAAGAACAAGUUUGUCUCCUUGCUGAUAAUUGGGGAUAGAAUUAACAUUUUGCAUUUCAAUUCUAAAGACAUAUAUGCAUGCUAUUAUCUGUGAUGUAAUUCAAUUGACUGAGAAUGAGCGAUCAACCCGCCCUUUAGUUCUAAAAUUAGAGCACAAUCUCACUUGGAUCUCUAUUUGGGAUAACUUUCUUGUUGCAAUUUACUUUGUACUGAGCUGGAAGGAGAAUAGGUUGUAAAGGCAUAACAAAGUGUGGGUAAUUGAAAUCCCAUAUAUGCAUGCUAUUAUCCCAUAUAUCCAUUUCAAUUCUAAAGACAUAUAUGCAUGCUAUUAUCCGUGACGUAAUUCAAUUGACUGAGAAUGAGCGGUCAAUCUGCCCUUUAGUUCUAAAAUUAGAGCACAAUCUCACUUGGAUCUCUAUUUGGGACAACCUUCUUGUUGCAAUUUACUUUGUACUGAGCUGGAAGGAGAAUUGGUUGUAAAGGCAUAACAAAGUGUGGGUAAUUGAAAUUCCACAGAGACACACAAAUUACCGUUUAAACCUCUACUACCUUUUGGUUUGAUAUGUUACUUUCUAAUGUUAUUAGUGAGUCCUUGAACUGCAUUGUUGAUGGACUAGGGUAAUUGAGACUUGACUUUUCAGAUCUGUAAACUGUGACUAAUUUGGCCUUUAAGAUCCUAGCAACCAUGGUUCUGGUAGCGUGUGGACUAAAUCAAUUAUUAAAUUCAUUCUCUGAAGUCAGGCAACAAACAACUUGCUGAGACAAUAGCCAGAUCAGUUGUAGUGGAAGUCAUUGGUAAAAAAGUUCCUCUUUCAAAUAUAUAUAGCAGGAUUAUCAAAUGCUUUCUUUGGGCUUAAAGUAAUCGUAGCAAGAAUAGAGGCUUUUAGCUUAAGACAUAGUGGACCCUAGGGGAGCAGGGCGGCUGCUAAGCCUAUUCUGAGUCAAAAUCAGUAUAAAGUUAUUUUGAUUGUAGUGUGUAAGCAAUUCGUUUGCUUGGUAAUGACCUUGCUGUUAGAACGAGCUAUUGCUUACAUCUUUGUUCCAUCGCAUCUGACAUGCAAUGGCUGAUGUUGGUUAUAUGUCGAUGACUUAGUUUUGACCAGUUCUAUUGACCGAAAGAUUAAGGUGUAGAGAAAUUCCAUUGCCUUCAGAUCCUCUCAGCACACAGAUCAUAGUUGCUGUAACUGUGCAACUUACAAUGCAAUGCAAAAAUUAAGAUAUUCAAGAAGUAAGGAAAAUUAAUUUUAAAAAAAAUAGCAUGUGUUAUGUUUGCGCUUGAUAUGGUGUUACUCGUGAUCAUGGAAUUUUGAUUCCCCGUGAUGGAUUCUGUAAUAUGCAUUUUGCAGUUGGGUUUUGCAAUUUAGAAGGGGUUUGUUAAACCAACCACAUAUCAACCUCUUUUAUAAUGCUUGAAGUGUAACAUUACAUUAGAAUUAGGUAAAAGCAUACUUGUGGAAAAAAUACCAAGUCAGUGAGAGGUGAGAGUUUCAUAAUUGAAUGAAGAUUAAGUAAAACUAAAAUAGAUUUUAAUGGGAAACAUGGAUGGGUACCUGUUGUUUCUACUCUCGUGCAUCUUUAACAGAUAAAUCUGUCUCCGACAUCUUUAAAAAGGAAAGCGUGCCUUCCAAUGCAUGUUCUUGAACAUAUGCUUUCAUAUCCUAGUUAGUCUGUUAACUUAUUAUCUUCCAGUGCAUGUAUUUUCCCAUGUCUGGGAAUUAUGGAACAAUUGAUACAUAAAGGUAAGGUCAUGGUGAUAGCCAUGCCUGGUCAUCACCAACUGGAAGUUUGAUUGAGGCCAGAGCUGUGUGUCUCCAUUUUUAUGGGAAUGACUGUCAUUGCAGGUACAUUCUUGACAUUAGGGAAGAAGAGAGGUGAUCUUAAGAAUCUAUGGACAAGAGGAGAGCCAGAGAGACCUUGCACCCAUGUCGAACUCCAACAGACUGAAUGAUUGGGAUCUCAUUGUUCAGGCCGGUUAACUGCAUAUAGGUAUUACACUGGAGAUGCCUAAUUGGAUAGCAAGCAGAGAGCUAGAAUGUGGGUAAUGUGGAAAAUUGCAGGUUAUGCUGUGCAUUGCGUUUGUUUCUGUUCCUGCUCGAGGACAGAUUCACAGUGGAUUAAUAACAAGCAGAGGGCAGUGACCAUACUAAUUGUGUGCUAGUAGUUUGCAGGACUAUGUUGUAUCAUAUUGGCAAGUAUUUGCAUAUAGAUACUAGGCUACAUGCACUCUAGCAGCUAACAACCUUGUUUGUACUUGAGGGAAAAGCUGUUGGCAAGGCGUUAUGCUUUUGCCAAAGGAUAAGUGAUAAAUCUCUGGAGGUAUUUUGAGUAAGAGAGUUCGUUUUUGUAGUUUUUGCUACUUUAAUGAAUCCACGCAUUUGUGUUGUUCCAUACGUGAAACUAUAUGGAUCUUGGAUCCCCCAAAAUAAGGUUGGGCAUUCCAAAUCUCGUUUGAUUGGAUGUUUAAAGCCAGGAAUCCGUCGCAGUAAGGGUAUGUUUGGUUUCCCAUGGAAUUGUGGUUUAGAAAUGGAAUUGGGGCCCCAAUUUCAUUUCUAUUGUUUGGAUUCUGUUUCACUCAAAGAAUUAGAAUUGAAUCUGAAUUCUACAGGUACAAUUCCAUAAAUUGAAUUCUUUACCGGAUCAAAAGAAUUCUAAUUCCAAUCUCACAACUAAAUCCUAAGAAAUGGGUCUGCACGCAGAUCUAAUAUGGGUGAAAAAUUAAAAUUGGUCAAGCAUAAAAAUAUGAAAUACAGCCAUCCUUUGCUCCUCCUCUACCAUCGUUUCCUCCUCCAACCCUAAUAUUUUACCUCUCUCACCACCGUCUCCCCUCCUGCCUUCCGUUUCUUUGACCACUCCCUUCAUCCUUUGUCACUUCAGUCAUUGUCGCACCUAUCACCUUGCCAAUUGCAAGAUCUAUUCCAUCCAAUUUUUGUCACUUCGUCUCCACACUUGUCUUUGCCGCUCCUCCAUUGCUGCUAUAAUCACCUUUAUUCCUCUUAUCAUUGCUUUUUGGACUCUUUUUCAGCUCUUCUGCUUUUCCAAAAUUUCAGGCACAUUUCAAAAAGAGCUAAAAUGAUGGUGGUUAGAGAGGUUUUUGAAAUUGGAAAUCUCUCUUUCAAUUCUCUCUCAAUUUGGGGGCUAAAAUGCAAAAUUUAAAAAAAAUUGAAGGCUGAUGUUCGGCGCUGGUCAUUGGACCGGACAUCACUAGAAGUUGGAAUUUGAAGAUUGCAAGGUAAUGAUCGGCGUUGGACGUCAGGCCGGUCAUGGCACCAAUCAUCAUCGAAUUGCUCGCACCUUUCUUCGGUUCUAAGAAACCUAUUCCAACUGAAAUUCAAUUGUAAUGUUUAGUAGCUAUAAAUAGAAGAUCUUUAGGACAAUUUUAGGAUUGGAAAACAUUAAUAUAACUUGGUUUAAACAUCAUUCUUAACUUUUCUUUAGAGAUCAAGAUCGAGCUUAUGCGAAUCAAGAAGCAUGCAAGGAGAAGAUUGGAAUGAGCAACUAAGAAGUUUCUCUCUUAUUCUUAUCUUUGUAUUCGCUCGUUGAAUUUGUGGUUUUAAAAUUUUCAUUAUGUUGAACUAAAUUGACUUCUAGAGUUAGGGCGUUUAUGAAGGAAUUUGAUUAGUUUUUCUAAUUUAAUUUCUUGCAUUUUAUUAUGAUUUAUUUAUCUUGAUUUUAAUUUUGUAUUUAUGCCUGAUUAACAUGAACAUGAUCUUUGGAUUGAAUUAAACUGAGAAGUGACAUGCAACUGUACACUAGAUAGAUGAACAUGCUUAGCCUAAUCAUGAAAGUAGGUUAGAGUUUGUAUGACACCAUUAGGUUAUCUAAGUUUUUAAAGGGUUUAAUUAAAUUCUUGUAAUCUCGAAAGAGAUGUGAGAUUUAAUUAAGCAUACUUUAGAUAUAUCGAGAGAUAAUUUAAAAUACUAAAAUAUGAGAUGUUCAUAGCCAAUCAAGAAAAUAGUUAAUAAAUUAAUUCAAAUUCUGGAUUAAAACCUAAGACCCUAGGUUCUCAUCUAUUAUUCUUUCAAUCACUAUUUUAUUUGAUUUAUUUCCUUGUUUUGCCACUUAUUCAAUAGUUUAAUCGUUCAAAUUCAAGUCUUAUUAUUUGUUAGAAUUUGUCAAAUAAUUAAAGUAAAGAGUUAAUUCGUGCCCGUGGAUUCGACCCCUGGAUGACUCCAAGUGACUUCUAUUACUACGAUCAAUUCUAUAUACUUGCAGGAAAUUGUCGAUCACCAAGUUAGAGUUGUUUCCAAGACUAAUUCAUUCUUUAUUCUCGGAUGGUAACAUCGAUGUUGAUAUAAUGAGUCUUACUCAUUUCUUGAUUUUUCCUGGGCACCUGUGUUUUGACUUGAUGGAGGAAUGGAUUAGAAAACAUCCAUUAGCAUCCAUUUGCACCAGUGAAGGAGUACAAAUGUUCAGGGACAUAGCCAUCUUCCAAGAUUAUCAUGGCUUGAUAGAAUUCAGAAAUGUAUGUCAUAUAUUCAAGGCCAUCUCCGAGCUAACUUGCUAUUGGUUCCCAAAUCCUCACAAGAGAGAGAAUAUGUGCUCUUUUCUUAGCAUGAUUUCCUUCAAUUACCAAUGCAGGCUGUAGCAAGGUUUAUGGGGAAAGUAAGAGGAGAUAGAAUCACCUUUGAGGCUAAUUCUUUAGUUUAUAGCUGAAAAAAAAAAGUCAGUGAACUGUUGCUCUGACAGAGUUGUGUUCCCAUACUAUACUUGCCAUACUGACGAAACACGGCAAGGAAACCAAAAUUUUUUUUUAAUGGCAAAGGCUGCCGUGCUGACUAAUAAUUAGUCACCAAGGGCUGCCAUGCUUUUUUUUUUUCUUCACCACCAUCUGAACUUUAUUUUCCCUCCUCCCCUCUUUCUCCUCUUCCUCCCACUUUUCGUUUUCUACCUCCCUCUCUACCACCUAUUCCCCCUAAUGGACCUAGCUUCGGUGGAAGAAACCAAGAUGAAAAACCCAUCAUCUCAAACCACUUCCUUAUAGGGCACUUGAACCUCUGUUCAAAUGCCCGAAAGUUGGCUGUGGGUUGAGGUUUAAAACCCCAAAACAGUUGAAAUUGCAUUAUCAAUCUGAACCAUGGUUCGAAGACUCGGCCGAGACCGAGACGACUCGUCUCCGUCUCGGCCUAGUCCGAGACGAGACCGUGACGAAACGAUAUCGAGAUACGUGACUCGCCGAGACGUCAUCGUGAAGGGUUGAAACGGUCGAGUCUUAUCGAAUCACUCCGAGUCAUCUCGAGUCAACUCGAAUUUUUAUUACUUUUACUAAUUUUUUAAUUAUUUUUGUUUAUCAUAUUUUUUAUAAUUUUUAGAAUAUUAAAUAUUUCAAAAUUUCGCAUCUCGUUAAGACCACGAUCGAUAUGCCGAAACCAAUGUGGAACGGUCCAGGCCUCGAUCGCAAUUGCGACCGCGACUUUGAACCAUGAUCUGAACACAAAACCAAAUUGAAUGACGCCAAGUGUAUAUAUGACACCUAUUCUUCUCCAACAAUCUAAUGUCGAAGCACAAGGAAAAGCAUUGUCCUCUAAAAGGAUUCCGGAGCUUAAGGGAAUAUAAAAAAAUUAAGAUGGAAACGAGGGAAACAGAUAAAUACGCUUAUUUAAAGAAGGAAAAAGAAGGAAUGGUAAUGAUAAUUUUGUUAAAUUUACAGAUGGUAGAGAUUUAUUCAUUCAAAGUGAGCUAUGAGCUCUAUUUUGCAGAUAAAUGUGCCGGUGCCGGCAGCAAUGCACAAGCAGAGUGAGUGUCCUUUAAAAAGAUUCCGCAGCUGUAACGAAUAUAUCGCAUUUUUGAAGGAAAACAAGGAUUAUGACAAAUACGCUUACCUUCAAAAGAGAGAAUAAGGAAUGGUAAUGGAUAAUUUUCUAGGUACAAAUUUAUCCAUCAAGUCAAAAAGUGACUUAUGCUUGAGCUUUGAUUCUAAGGGUAAUUUUAGAAAGGGAAAAAAGUCCCAAUGGCCCCCCAACUCUUUCCCAAGUAAAGUUUAGCCCUCCAAUAAUUAAUGGUAAAGUUUUGACCCUCGAUCUAAUAAAAUAGCAUAUUCAUGGCCCUUCUGUCAAACCCGUCAAUUAGCAUUAUCUUGUGAGACACAACGCCAAAUAUCAAGGGAAUUAUGGUCUCUAAAGGAGGGUUUACCGAGCAAAGAGAGAGUAAAAAGGUGGCUUCUUCCUCUCUACCGGUGUGCAGAUGUGACAAAGAGGACUAGAGUGAUUACUUCGGGACCUCAAAAAAUCCUGGGCAAAGAUUUGCUGUGUGCGUGGAAGUUUGCUGCGGAUAUUGGGCAUAGAUCGAUAAGGAGAUGUGCUAACGAUUGACGGAAAUUAUAUCUGGCCUUCUUCGAAAGAUUAAUGCAACUAAAAAGGAUAGAGAUGAAUAUGAAGAAAUAGCAAGAAGAAAUGAAAGAAAUGUAACAAAAUUGAAGGAAAAAGUUAAAGAAUUGGAGAAAGAAAUUCGCUGCAAGAAAUGGGUUAACAAGUUGUUGGUGAGAUUGCUUUUUUAACAUGGAUAUUGAUUUUUUAAAUUUUGAUGAGUUGAGGCCAAAAAAAUGGAAACCUUGUCACUUUUCUACCCUUAUAAAUUGAAAUGACUCAACUUUAUGCUCGAGCUCGACCUUAAAAUUAAGUAGAUUAAGAACCUUAAACCUGCAAAUCUAGAAAAGGAGAAUCUUCUAGCUUUUGGCUGGCCCGUCAAGAUCACAGACUUGAAUUAUAAAUUUGAGGCUUGAAGUAGCAGAAGGCAGAACGAGGUUAGAAACGUAAAACGCUUCCACUUCUGCAACAUCAAGAUACUUUGCCAUUUCCGCAAGUACUUUGUCAGUUAGCUUGCAAUCUGUCAGUUUUUGGACAUAAAUAUUAAACUUGUGGAAUGUAGAGGCUUUUCCAUCUUUCAAUUGCCAUAUUAGCUUGACACUAAGUUUCUUGGACCCUUCAGAACCUGAACUCCAUUUUAUGUAUUUACCUCCAACAAUCCAAGAUGCAGAUGGUGGGAAAUCUGAGUUCUGUGAAGGCGUAUAGACAUUUAGAUGCCCAGCACUGCAGAAUACUCGGAUUGACUAAGAGCAAGCGAUGAAUUGAGACCAUCUGGUUCUAGUUGAUGCACGGCAAUUAGCACUUUCGCUGCAGCAUUCGGAUCGAAUAGCCUGAUUUUUUCACACUAGGGUUUUGGGGCAAAAGGGGUGGAAAUUGUUGAAGGGAAAAUCAGUGGUGAAAGUGUUUUUACUCUUUCUUUACUUAGAGACUAUAAUGUCCUUGAUAUUUGGUUGUGCGUCUCACGAGAUGAUGCUUCCCGUCAAUUUUAACUGCUGAGUUUAACAGAAGGGCCACGAAUAUGCUAUUUAAUUAGAUUGAGGAUCAAAACUUUACCGUUAAUUAUUGCAAACUUUACUUGGAAAAGAGUUGGAGGGCCAUUGGAACUUUUUUCCCUUUUAGAAACCUCCGCUGAGGUUUCUAAUAAUUUUACUUAGUAUUUUUAAAGUUUUUAAAAAUAUCACUUGCCUCCAGUAUUUUCAAAUUUUUGUACCAUUUUUAACCCAAUUCAAAUUAUAUGAUUAAAAUACUCAUUUUAAGAAAGAACAAGAAUUUCUUUCCAACAAUGCCCUUUCAUUGUCUUAAUUUUUUAAUUGUAAGUAUAAUGUUCAUAUGUUAAAAAUAAGGACAAAAAGCAUAAAGAGGUUCUUUUUUUUUUUUUAAGGAACAACAUAUAAUAAUUGCAACCAUAAACAAUAUGUUUUUUUGAAAGUACAAACAAAUAAUAAAAUUUUAUUUAACAUGUUUUCAAAUUACAAAGUAAUUUUUUUCGUUCAAGGUUUGUCUAUUUAGUACUCUAAGGUCACAUAGUAAGGAAAUAAACCUGAUAUUAUUGUUAUUAUUAUUUUGACAAAAAUGUAGAUUUCUUCUACAAAAGUUUUGCAAUUUAGAAGGCUAGUUAUAAUUUAAAAACUUUAGUAUUUGUCCAACCUUUAUUUAUCCAUAUGUUUAUUACAUGCCCUUAGAUUAUUAAAUGAGAAAAAUCUUUCUUUUUAUGUAAAAUAGUUUGAUUGAAUUUAAUAAAUUUUAUGAACUAUUUAGAAUCUUUAAUUUUUAUUUAUUUGAAUCAAUGGCUUGAAAAUUUAGAAAAAGGAAAAAAAAUUAAAUUAUGUUUAGAAUUUAUUUGAGAUGUUUAGCAGAUGAAAAAAUUAUUUUCCAUACCUUUACAAUAUUUCAAAUAGUUUUUACAUACUUUGUUAACUAUUUAUGAUUUGUCAAUUUAAAAUUUUGUCUCCAAAUUAUAGAUAAGAUUUGUUCAAGCAUUUCUCAACUCUAAACUUAUAAUUUUUUUACUAAAAAAUACAUCCAUAAAUUUUUCAAAUAUGAAAAGAUUUUAAAUUGAUUUGUCAUUACAACUAAGAGAUCACAAUAAAAAGGCAACUUUGGAAUGAAAUAACUUUCUCUUUCCUAAACAUAGUAGUAAUAAUAAUAUAAUUUAAACUAUGCUGAGAAUGUUAUAAAAAUUUGAAAAUAAGGGGGUAAGUGAUAUUUUUAAAAUUAUAAGAGUGCUAAGUGAAAUUAUCAAAAACCUCAGGAAAGAUUUUUGAAAUUAUCCCUUAUUCUAUUUUAGAAAUGUAUCCUCCAGUGCCGCCUGAGGAUAAUUUGGAAUUGAAGGACAGAAAAUAGGGAAAAUGGCCAUCAUCGUCCCUAAACUUUUUUUUAGAGUCGAUUUAGUGCCUAACUUUUAUUUCUGGCCAAUUUAAUGCAUGAACUUAAUUUUCGGAUCCAAUUAAGGCCUUCUACGGCGGCGCCACCUAAAAGCAAUUUGACUUCUAAUUUAACAUUAAACAAGAGCAUUUUGGGAACUUUCAAUUAUCUCCUCUUCACUACCAACCUCCAUCACCAGCCACCCACCACCACCUCCUCCUAUCCUUCUCUUUCUAUCCACCUUUGAGUUUACAAAUUUUUUUUUAAAACAAGGCUAUAGCUUUUUUUUUUUGGAAUGGACUAACGGAUCGUGUCAAUUCCAAAAAAAAGUUGUCUCCUACCGUGCUUAGUUUGAGAAAAGAAUAGUGCCAGAUCAACAAUUGUUAGAUUUUUUUUUUAUCAAGUCUUUUUAAACUUAUUCAUGAUCCAAAUACUAUUUUUCUCUCUACCUGCGUUUUAAUAAUAUCCCAUAGAAUAUUCACCUUUUAAAUACUUGUAACCAAAUAUCUUUGGGAAAUUCGCUAUUUUUGUCCUUGAACCUUUUCACUAAAUCCAAUUUCGCCCUUUAAUAAUUUUUUUAACCAAUAUAAGUUUUAUUUGCCAUCCAAUCAUAUCCUUUUGCAGUGGCACCACCCAUUUCAAUUUUCAAACACAAAAAUGAGGGGCAAUAUAGGAACUACAAGUCAACUCUCCCGUAAACAAAAAAUAAAUAAAAAUGUUCAAUUAAGUUGGGGAGAAAAAACUAAAACUUCAUUAAAUUGGGGAGCAAAAUAGAAAUUAGCAAUUUUUCCCAAAAUCAGUUGUCGCUACAUCUCUGAUGUGUCUGACACGUGUGCUCUUUCUUCUUCCGACAAUGGACUGACCGGAAUUUCCCCACUCUCUCACAUCCAAGCUUGUUUUUGUGCGCUGAUGGAGCAUGCUUGACAAAGGAGGAGGGCUUGAUGUGCGGGAUUUGGGCAAAUUUUUAUUUUGUGCCACACUUUAAUGAAAAAUGGGUUUUUCUCCCCCGACUUUAUUAUUUGAACGUUUUUAUUUUUCUUUAUUUUUUAUAUAGAAUAUUUCGUAUUGCAACAUCUAACCUGUUCUUGGCCAAAAGAGAAAAUAUGGUGGCUCGCUCUGCCAUAAAAGUCCUACAUACAUUUUUGUAAUUCAAGGACUGUAUUGGCGCAAAAAAAUUAUUAUUAAGGAUGAAAUCGGUUCUAAGUAAAAAAGUUUAGGGAUCAAAUGGACGAAUUUUCCAAUAUCUUUUCCUCCAAUUUAAAGUUUGUCAGAAUUAUUAUCUACUUUGCAUAUGGAAAAUUCGGAUCACAAUUUCAUGUGAUGGAUGGCAUGGCAUGUAAGUGACAGAUUUAUUUCUGUAUGUAGUCGCGAUUAAUAAUUAAUUGAAAACUACAAGCAACAAAUCAUUGUCGAUAUAACUAAUAAUUAAAAACAAUGAGGGGCGUUUGAUAAAAUAGAGAUUUAAGUAUUAAAAUCUGAAUUUGUUGAUUUCAUUAAUCCCAAGCUUAAACUUUUAGUGAAGAGACUUGCAAUUAGCACAUCCAACUCUGCUGUCAUUCACAACAUACUUGGAGGGAAGCACAUAUCAAGAGAGACAUAAAGGGAAGGAAUAUGCCAGCAGAGUUUCAAAGAAGUGACACUCAAAUUGAAACAUCAACAACAAUUGAUAACACAAUGGAAUCACACAACAGCAGAAGUAAACGGCAAUGAAAGGUUACAUCAUCUAUUCUGUGAAAGCAACUAAAAAAAUAACAAAUGACAAGAAGCUUGUCCUGCCAGCAUCUUGCUCAAGUCAUGACUAACCUAACCUUUUCACAGGAACAAAUAUAAAAAUCCCAGAAACUGAAAAUUCAAAACCUACAAGAUAUUGUUAAUGGAAACUUUACAGCCCACAGUAUGUUUGCUAAACUAAGAUAAAGUAUCAAUAUGAUCUUUUUAAGAAAAAAAAAAAAAAGAGUAUAAAAAGAGAGAGUUGCCUAUCCUAUCUACAAAAAUUUAUGACUACCCGCAAACUUCUCGGGGAAUAUAAGAAGGGAAGGAAGAAAGAAAGAAAGAACGAAAAUCUUCUACAAAAUUGAUCAACAUUGGCAUAUAAAGAGACAUCUUUUCUUCAUAUUGUGCUCCUGUUGAGUACACUGAAGUCACAAAGAUCAAAAUUGAUUCAUAUGAGACUAUCAAAAAAUUGCUAAUCAGCUAGCUCACUUGUGAGUUCACGCUGAUGCAUGCUACCCACUUCUCGGUGACAUCACCAAUCCAGCUGCGCAAGCCAAUAAAUAAAAUUGUUACUGCUGGUCAAAUCUUAAAGAGCUACAUGGUUAUCCAUCACUUCUGCUGCUGGUCCAGUCCUAACAACAAAGAAAAAUGCACUAUCAACUUCUGAAGGACCCCAUUUUGGCAGCAAUAGUGCAAAUAUCUAGAUACUGCAGCAAUAUGCAUGGAAGUUCUCUUUUGCCAACUUUUUCAGGCGAUCCCAUGAAUUGUAUAUCAUAUCAACAAGAUAUUGGAACCACAUAACAGUACAAACAUCAAAAAUAAGAUCAGAUACAGCAGGAUGGUAAACACAGCAACAUUUGGGCCCGAGGUACUCCAAAUAAAGAUUAUCAAAAAGGUUGAAGAUGGGAUACAUGGGACUGAAAAUCUGUAACAUCUUGUCCAUCUCCUUGAUCUAUGGAGCCAGGCUUGCUGAACCUAAUACAGUAUGCAAAAUUUUUCAAAGCAUCAGAGGCUAAGGAGGCACCAAAAUUGAUCUCUCAUAUCAUCAUGCACACACAAAUUAUUUACUUGCUUUAGACUAGCCAAGAACAGAAUUAUACUCGUCCAAACUACUUAAUAGAGGGAAAAGAAACUGGGCCAAACUCAGUUCCACAAAAGAUAAGAAGCAAGCACUAGUCAACUCACAAACAGUCUAAAGAUAUACAUGCAAAAGACAAGAAGUGUGAUCUAAAAUCAAAUCAAGGCAAGACAAAGAAAAAGAAUGAAGAAGAUAAUAUACUUGCAUAUCUCUUCAAGGAACCAUUGCAGUUAAUGGCUGUUGGUAUCCUCCUCCUCUCUUGACCGAGAGAGAGUAUCUCUGGCCAGCCUGAAUUUAAUCUUCGAGCAAAAUCCGCAACUUCCCUGAUAAAGAAAGGAAAAUCUAUUGAACAUGUAUAUUUACAGGCAUGGAAGAUCUCUGUAUUGUGAAGUAGAAAGAGCAAAAGCUCAAAGCAUAUGGUCCACAAACCACACAAUAACAGAGUAAUUAACAGUUUGGGGGUGGCCAUAGGCAAAAGUAAAGAUUUAACUCUUCGUCACUUUUCAGAAAGAAAAGGAAACAUUUGAAAUGAGAUUGUGUAACAGAGAAGCAACAAAGUUUCUAAAGUAUACAUCACUAAUCUGAGCCAAUGUUUAAUUUCUGUGGUCCUUCAAAAUUUAACUGGAGAAAUCAACACAGUUUAACAGUGAAUCUACUCAUGGUGCACCUAGAUGUUGAAGCAUUGCGUAUGUCUGGGAAUCAAGAUUGUCAAAUUGACUUUGAAGUAAAAGUAGAAGCUUGUAGAGUUACAACUAACAAGUGAAAGCAAAUUUCUCAAACUCGAAAUAGGUCUUGAAUUUAACAUAGGCUCAAUGAGACUGCAAUACUCUGAGGAGAUAUUGCUACAAAAAGAAACCAGCUGCAGGGUCUGAGCACUGAGAACAGCGAAAGUUACAAGUCUAAAGAAAACACACAGAGCCAUUGAUCAGUUAAAAAGUUUCAAUCCUCAGACUGAUCAAGCCAUAACAUCAAAAGCAGUCUCACAUUUUCACGUCAUCCAAAAUUUUGAAAGAAUUGGUCCCAAGACUGCUUGAGCCCCAUGAAAAGGUAGACCCAUAAACAAACUAUGGAAAAUCCAACUACUUCCAGAGAGCCCACAUUAGAACUGCUGCAGCUAUAAUUAGAAAUAUCAGACUCCUACAGAAUCAUAAAAAUUAAGGAGAUCCACGUUUUAUCACAAAAUUAAAUAAAUUUUCUCAAAGGAAGAACUGUAUAGAAAAAGAUCUUUUGUUUUCUAGUUCUGCCUUAAGGAAAUUCAGAAAUGAUGUAAACUAAGCCAACCAACAUUGCCAAUCAGGAUCUUGCCACCCACCCCAAACAGCGGAAAAAAAGGAAAAAAAUGAAAAGGGGGAGAACCCCGAAGAAAAUAAAGCAGCAGCAUAAGAGAACGAAAGUUUGUCUGCAUAGGCAGUUCUUGUAUAUGUUAGACAACUGCAGAUGAAGACUACAACUUCCAAACAAAUUUGAGGAGAUUGCCAAUAAAGCAUAAUUAGAUACCUAAAGCAAUCACCCUUACUUAUCAAUCUUCUCUUUCAUAGCUGGGUCAAUAUCAUCAAACUCAUCAUCAGGUGAAAAGCCUUCUUCUAUAUACGGCAGCUUCGAUGGAUUACCAGGAUCGCUUAGAAGGUGAUCACAGGCUGCAGCAUCAUGACAUAUAAAGUCAAGCCCAUUCGAUUCCUGCUACAUGUCAAAGUGUCAGUUCUUUUCUCUCUCAUGUCUGCACAUGUAACCGUGGAAGGACCUACGUAUUCUCUCUUUUUGUAGGGAUCCCUUAAAUAGAUGUUGGAUUGGUACAACUACGACAAGCAAAUGGGAAAUAUAGGGAACAAUUAGGUAUUAUACCAACCUUAUCAAUGUGUACAGCAUUGCUGGAUAAAGAUGUGCUAUUUGAAGUACUAGCAUCGUUUCCUGGGGUGUUCUUCUGUGGUUCCUUCCUUCGUCGAUUCUUCUUUUUGGUCUUAGAAGUUUUGACCACUUUGGACUCUGUAAGCAAAAGAAGCAAUCCCAGUAUUCCAGAGAACAUUAAAAUAACUUGAAAGAUUACAGCAAGAGAACGAAUGGCGGGAUGUACAGAUGGCAUAUUAAAAGUAGCUGGUAAGACAACCUGAUAAUUCCGAAAGCAAAAGCAUCACAUGAAAACUAGUUGAAUACUCCUUGGGGAUCUUAUUACAUGACACAGUAUGAAAAAAUAGGAAAUCAUCUAAGUGCAAAAAAACACAUUCACUAAAGGAAUGUAUAACAUCACCAGCUGUACCUUGACCAUUAUCUUUCAAUACUUACAUUUGUUAAAAUUUUCUAGUAAUUUUGUAACCCCGCACAAACUGAUAUUUCAGACUUCUUAUCUGGCUUUCAAUUCAGGCAAUAAACUAACUAGACACUAACGUGACACUGGAAACCUACAGGAAGAAAGGAAGAAGCCAGUAGAAAUAGAAAUUACAAUCUCUCUUUCAUACUCUCAAAGAGGCACGCACACACUCUCAAACACGAAAACAUCCACAAAAUUGUGCCUCUCUUGUCAAAACGAGCACACAAAGCGACGAGAUUGUUUUCCCAAAGAUUGUUUUCUUUCUUAUUCAAGAAAUAAUACUUAAUCAAUGGCCCAGUUUCCCAAUUUGAUAGAUUCUGAAAACAGGAUUCAUGCCUGAAUUCUUCAUCUCAUGCCCCAGAUGAACAAUGCUCAGGCAACACAAGAAACUAAUCACUAUAAUAUGUGUGGUGAUGCUAUUUUCUAUCACAGGUUCAUCAAUUUUGUGGUUUCCAGGAUUUUAAAAUUGACUCUAGGGCCCUAAAACAUUACUAACAGGUUUAUCGGACAUGUCCUGAGAUAAACAUUCUGCAAAGUGUCCGUUGUCCGCAAGUUGGUAAUUGAGUUUCCAUUUAUUUUUUUAAAAAAAAGAAGUCUUUGAUCAGGAAAGUUAAAGGGGUUCCUUUCUACCCUUAGAUCAUCAAGGUCUUUCCCUUGUUAAACUAAUGGCAAGUCUAAGGCAAAGAUGAUUCCCUUUUGGGGGGCUCUAGCUUCGAAAACCUAAGACACAAACACGCUUUCCAAAGAAAGAAGAACAUGCACACAAAAGGGACUACAUGCCUCUACAUACUUAAAACAGAUUUCUGCUCCUAAAAAAGUAAUGGCUUCAUAAACUUUACCCAUGCCAAAGCCAACUAUGGAGCAAAUGAAAAUGACUGGGAACGUUGAUCAAUCAAGAGAUCAUGAAGAAUCAUUCCAAAGAAAAAUGUCAGAUAAUAUACCAGUAUCUUGUAAGCAAAGAGAACACAAUCACACAACUCUCAGAAUAAGAACACAAAUUACCUGCAUCUCCACCAUUAAUAAAAGAUAAGAGGUCCUCAACUGAUCGCUCAUCCACACGCUCUUCUUCAAUUUCAACAUUCUAGAGGAAACGGCAUUCAAAUUGACUCAGUUUCACACCAAACAAGUUAACUUACAUCAAUUGUGAUAAGUAUUAAAGCAAGGUAACCAGAGGGUUUGAACAGUGUACUGUUAGUGAUAAAAUUAAAAGCAAUAAUAACAACAGCAAGGCUAGCACAGAGUUCCGAUUUAGUAAGAGAAGUCACAAUCACCUUUAAUCUCUCCCUUUCCUUCAAUUCUUUCCUUUUUCUAGCAUAUAACCUAUUUAACAGCCGAAUUCGCGGGUCAUCAAUUGUAUUCUUUAUAGGUUCCAGCUUCUCUUCCUGGAUCAAUUAAAUAUAUCAAAAACAAAAAAAGGACUAACAUGGUAAAGCAGUUCAUCUCCAUGACAUAAAGAAAGGACAUCAAGCAUGUACACUGCUUGCAAGCAGAAGACACCUCAGUAAGGUCAUCAGGAAGAUGAAAGAUAUCACGUAUCUCUUCAGGAGUCUUCCCCUCAAUCAUUCGUGCAAGUGCACGACUAGUAAGAUCAACCAGAGGCUUCAGUUGCAAACUGUCAGCAGCAGAAGUCAACUCACAGAGCCUUUUUGUAUCCAUCCUAAUAAAUUUCUCAUCAAAAGACUUCCGCUCCUGCAUAAAUGAACAGCUAGAAAUUAACCUACUUUUCUUGUUUUCAUGCAUGCAACUCAAAAAUCACAUUAAGGUUUAAAAAUAAAUGUUUUUCUCAAUCAUUCAAAUAUGACAAAGUUCAGACUCUAUUUAGCAGAAGAACAAUGAAAGAAAUAUCUCCACCAAAAAAUGUUCGACAUGAAAAACUUAUCGUCACAAACAAUUCUCAGCAGCUGGGUAUGUAAGUUGCAGAAUAAACCUAGUCAGCGUAUAACAUGAGAUAAUAAUAAGGUAAUGGCCCAAUGACUUCAUGUGAGUAAGAUGGCUUGAUAGUGAUAUCAAGGUAUACUCAUAAAAAGUUGCCAAAUCUUACUCUAGCUGGGUUUUCGCUUAUAUAUCAUUCAUUCUAAAGAAAAUGCUAAAAUUCUUGGAAUAACUUUACACCACUCCAAAUUAAGUCUUGCUCAUAGUUUUCAACGGGCAAGAAAACCCAAAUGAUAUCAGGAUGAAUGGCAAUCAACACUCUGCGCACAUUACUUUUCUGCUCUUGUCCAUCAAAUUUACAAACCUUGUUACUGCGCCCUGGUACUUGAUGAAAUCGGCAGUAAUCAAGAAUCAGACUCAACAUGGCUGGACUGACCCGUGAAGGAAGAGAGAUGGGGUAAGUCUUUGAUGAUCCCAUGCCUGAAUGUAUCUCAUGACAUAUCCAAGGACAAAAAACAGCAACCUCUUGCUCAACUUGUUGCAAUGAACCGUCUGAGGUCUGAAGCCAUAUAUAUGACUUCAUCAUCUGACAAUACAGGCAGAAGUAUUAUAAUCCACAAUGUAGAUUGUCUAAAUGAAACAAAGGUAUAAAAUAAGGGUUAAUUUUUCUUGCACCAUGAGUGUCCUUUUUUUUCACACUAGCUAUUUGGUUACAUGACACAUAACCGCAUUCAGAAAACUUCAAAAUUUCUUUUUGCACCUAUGUCAUCCAUCCAAGCACAGUGCUAAAAAAAAACUAUUUACACUGACACUAUAAAAAAUUAAUCCACAUAAUAAAGAAAAUAAGCAAUUAAAGUUGAAGAAGCAACUGAACUAAUUCAAAUAGACAAAUGUGGUUGAGAUAAGAAUAAGCUUUAUUGAGCCAGACAUGAUGGUUUUAGGAAAAGCGGUGUCCGAUAAGGGAGGGGAAAAACAGGCACCAAUGACCGCAAAGCAUAUAAUAAGAUCAAUGACCACAGUUUUUUUUUUUUUUUUUUUGAGCAAGAUCAAUGACCAAAGUUGUCAUCUUAUAAUCUUACCUUUUCAUCUAUUACACUCUUGAUUUUGUGGAAAGAUAUUUAAAAAUCGGAUACAAAUUAUAUCACCAACUUCUUAUGAUAUCUCAAAAAAGAUACAAGAAGGAUAAUGGGAAGUCUUAGGGAUUACUUGCAAUAAAAAAAAACCCAGUAGUACAUCAACUACAAAGCCCUAUUGAAGCACCUAAAACAAUAAGUCAAACAACGUUGCCUAAGUCCAUGAUACUGAUUUCUUGCUCCUGCUAUCUGAUCGCCAAAUCCUUUUUUCCCAUUACCAGUCAUUGUUUUGUUUCCAUAGGAACAUUGCAAUCAACUUCUGAAGAAGAUGGCAGUGGACAUGACUGCUUUAAAAUUAGGGGUAAUUAAUAAGGUUCUUUAUACAAAGAAAAAAAGGAAACAAUUUACUAAAUUAAUAAGAAUGCAGAGGAAAAAAUCAUAGGAUAAAGAUGUAAUAAUGCUUAAAAUGCAAAGCAAAGCAAUUUGCCGAUGCAUAACAUACUCAUUACAUACCUCAGGUUUAAUAAUUUCCCUAUCAGCUUCUGCCAUUAUUAUCUUCUAAAGUUACAAAAGAGGGAUUUCAGUUGAACCACUAUCAAGUCAAUCCUGCCAGUAAAAGUUGAAGGGUGUUAAGGCAAUAUGGUAAGUUUUUUUGAACAUCAAAACCAAUGGUCCUCAAACAAGGUGAGGUCCAAAGGAGCAUGACAUAUGCACUUUGAAGUUCCCUUAACACAGACAAAGAGAUAUAUCUUCGAACUUGUUCUCCCAAUCCUUGUUCCAAUAAAUAAAAGCAUAAACGCCAAAAUUGCGAGCCAUCAAAAGAACAACAAUCAAAGAUGCACACAUCAUUAUGGAAUACAACAAGAUCAAGAACAAUGCCAAAAAGAGUAAAGCAAAAAUUUGACAAAUGAUUUAGAGAAACUGUAUACCAAAUAAACUCAAUGAGACAAGAGCCCUAUGGUAUCAACAGCUCUAUCUACAGAUGUAAACUCGUCAAACGCAGAUAACAAGAUUAUAUCUUGUGUAGUGCAAGUUUUUUUUGGGUACAUCACGGAGAAGGGCGACAUCCACAAUUUGGCAAAUUGGAUGCCUGCUGGUAAACGUUGAAAACCUAACAAGUAAAGUCGUUAUUACUUUAUGCACGAAUGGAUUAAAGAUUGUGCCCAGAAGAAUAGGGCCAGGUGCCAUUUUUCUUCUGAAGUUCAAGUUGGUCAAGUGAAGCUAAUGGAAAUUUGAAGACAUGAAUCAUGACUAAUUUGAAAAUUUUUCAAAAAAUAAACAUGUGCAUUAAAAAAAAAAAGAACAGAACAUCUACAAGCAUAAAAUUUGAAGCACGUCGAUAGCUUAAUCCAAAAUGACUGGCAAAACACAUGGACCCAUGCGUAUAAGUUCACCCUCAUGCCAUGUAACUAAGAUAAUUUUGAUUGUCUUAUUAAGUAAAGUGGCCCCAACUUGAAGUUCCCGAAUCAUCAAAGUGCCUACGUCAAGAGAAAUUAAUGAUAGAUACCAGGAUGUGAGCAAUGUCAUAUUAAUUAAACAUAUAAACUAAAGCAAUACUUCCAAACAAAACUCAAGGCUUCAAUGUGACUUGAAGUUUGAAAUGCAUGUCCGCUUGGUCUAGAAGGCACUACAUAGAUUUAGUGUAGUAUCCUAUGAAAAGGAGACAAAGCAAACCCUAAACAGAGAAAAGGCCAGAAAUGGAAUAUCCAUUUGGACAGUCAAGAAUCUUCCUAGCUUAGGGCCGUGGCAGCACUUAGGAGACAGUAACAACUAAGGUGAACUCUGAUUUUUGCCCACAAAGAAGUAAGAAGCUCAUGUGGCAAUGGAGGAUCCUUUCCAAAGGAUCUCUCUUGAUGGAGUAGUUCAGCACAUGCCCAAUUUAAAGGCUUGCAAUUUAGAAACCACCACACUCAAACAGUAAGCAUCAAAGCCCAAGUAUCCUAUGAAGGGGAGGGACUCCUUGAACCAGCUGCCCUGCAUGAACAUCAUGUCAACCAGUGAUGUUUCUAAGCCAGUGAACAUGAACAAAAACCAAUCUCAAUUUGGCAGGUUUUGGAGCCCUUCAGAGUGCCCUCGACUAGACUAGUCAAGCUGUUUCAACUCGAAUGCACAACUGUCAACUUUCCUUUGCAACUUGCCUCCAGUAGAAGAUAAAGUUAUAGAUCUUGAUCAGGUCAAAGCUUGCUUGAUCAGUGGUUUACUUAGUUUCCUCUUAUACACAUCCAUAAAUCCCAUUUCUUAAUCUUGAUCCAUAUCAUUUGAGUAGGAUAUGAGAAUCAUAUUUUUCUGUCCAAGCUUUUUUUGCAGUCUUCUUUUACACCUUUACAUUUUGUAUCUUCUCCAAUCCCCUUCUUCCAGUUAAUUUUGUUUUGCCAGUUUCUUUACCUUUUUCUUGAAUAGCUACCCUAACCUAAAACUUUAUUGCAUUUUUCUAGUUUUAUACUUGCAGAUGUCAGCCAUAACUAUCUAUUUUCACUUCAUCAAUAUGCCGCUUUGGAUACACCAGCUUUCCAAUAGAAGCCAAGGAAACUAAGGGUUGCCCAGAAUUUUCAAACAACUUUAGAAGAAGCAAAUAUUUAUUGAACUCUCACUGAUCCAAUCAACAAAAGAUUCUUCAGUCCUUUUGAAAAAAUAACAAUUGAAAAAAAAAAUUCCUUUGACAAGCAAACUAUUUUUUUUUUUUUGAAUAACAAACAGCCACGCAAUUAUCCCUUAGAAAGGGAUCUUUAGGCCCAAGGAAAACAGCAUCCUAAUGACUCUUUGGAUGUAUAAUCCAUUUCCAAAAAUUUUCACUUAUUCUCCAUUUUCCUAAAUGUAUUAAAACUUCAAACUUAUGUUUUUCUCUCCACAAAUCUGCAUCUAGGGUUUUGCAAACAUAAAACAAGUAUAUCUUUCCACAAAAUGCCCAUACAAAUUGUUCUUCUACUCAGAUCAACAAGUCUGACAAGAAAUAUUACAGCCAGUAAUACAGGUUAUUGAAUAAGAAAAUUGGAUGCGACUGCAGAAGUAUGAUCUUAAGCUACAAAAAAGAUCAACUUCAUCAAGGCCAAAAUGAUUGAAAACUAACUGAAACCUAUCCUAGAUAGCUAAGGGCUUAGUUAACAGCUAACGUGUCUAUACAAGGAAAACUAAAGCUUCAGAUUUGCUAUUCCCCUAAUUCCAGAUUAUUUCCCUUUCUCUUCAUUCAUGUCCCCAUGCAAUUAAAAGAAGAAUAAACAAGAAAGGAAAAUACAUACGCUGAUGAAAACAAAAACUACAAAUUACAAACUCCUUCCUCAAUUUAUAUCUGAGUCCCAAGAAAAACAUAUGGCCGCUUCACCAAAAAUGUAAAGUGCAUAAAUUUUACACUUCAUUCAAUCUUAUCUCCCUCAUUUCCAAGCUUAUUAUCCAAACCCCCAAACCGCGCCCCCCCCCCUUCCCAACGCAUCCAAAAUCAAAUCUACAUGGCACCAACAUCCCACAAGAGCACAAAUCAAAAUUCAAUCUUGAAUAGAUUCCAGACACGAAUGCUAAAACCCUAAUGAAAAACAGCCCAUAUAUCCCAAUAAACAAUCCAAGAGCAUCAAGCUGAAUGAAAAAAAAACAAGCAAAUGAGCAAACGAAACUCAACUAGAAAUCAUUAAACCAUCAUAACAUUUCCAGAACCAGAUUGAAACCACAAAAAUCAAAAACACACAAAAAAACAAGAAAGGAAAAACACGUACGCCACAAACACUUGAAUGCCCAUUGAAAGAAUGGUUUAAUACCUCUAAAAAAUUUAAUCAAAUAAAAUCAAAGACAAUGGGACUUUGAAUUAGUGAAUUGGUGGUAGUUGGGCGAAUUAGAAAAAUAGAUAAAAAUGAGGGGGGGAAAUUUGGUAAAAACUGGGGAAAUGGUGGUUUUGGUGGCGGUGGUGGUGGUGGUGGCGGUGAAGGAGGAGCCAAGGGGGAGGAAGAUUUAGCAUGUCAGGAAAAGCGUUACCAUCAGUGUAUACUUGGAAACAAGUAUGUCAUUUUCAGGGUGCGCCGCGUCAGCAUUUGGAACAUAAUCUUUAACCCAACCCGGGAACUUGGCUCAGUUUUUUUUUUUUUUUUUUUCCUGCUCGGGUUACAACUACUGCAAUUCUUCUUCUUAUUAUUUAUUUAUAUUUUUACGAGUGAUAGAUGAGAUUUAAGAAGCAGGAAUAAAAAGAAAAUUAAAACUCAUGACAGUUAAUUCAUGAGACUUCAACAAUCAAGACUUUCUUGAUUAUUAAUUACACAUAAUUUGAUAAGUCAUUGAUUUUUUUUCCAUAUUUUUAACGAACAUGUUAAUUAAUCAAUUCCUAUAAAUUAGAUCAGAUUUGGCAGUUUUUCUUAUGCAGCAACGCCCCGACAUGGCACAAGCGCGAAGGGGUUCAAGACUCAGUUUUCUUUUUAUGAGGGCUAAAAUUACUUAUUUUAGCUUGUUUAAAGUACUAAUACUAUAUUUUCCUACAUUUCCAUCCUAAAUUACUGCUUAAUCCGAGUAAUUAUUAUCAUUUUAAAUAGAAACUGAAUUCUAUCUUUUGCAAGUUAUUGUUACCUUUUUUGCCCAAGUUUUGAGUCGUGUAGUUUUUUAACUCUCAAUUGCAUUUAAUAGUAUCGACCAACUUCGGGCCAUGUCAGCUAUGCAAUUUAUUUUCUUUUCGUAUUUAGGCGAAUUAUAUAGAUUUCACUUCGCAAUUUUUUGUUAGCGAGCAUUGAAAGGCUAUGAAGUGCGUUUUCCAUUUGGAAACACUAAAGACUAGUGAUAGCAUGACAAUGAAAAGAAAAUUGGAAAAAAAAAAGAUUAAGAUAAGAAAAUCAGUGGCUCAAAUUGGGGCAUAUUAGUGUUGAAUUUCAGUUUGAAUCUUUUUAUUGUUGAUAGUAUUUUGAUGAGCAUUAAUUUUUUCUACCAGUGGAAAUGUGGGAUUUAAGAAGCGGAAAAAGGGUAAUUAUUAGGGAAUUAGAAUUUAAAAUCUAUAUGUUUUAAGGCAUCAGUUUUAACGAUUAAAUCAAAAUUUUUUUGAUAGUUAAAUGAAAGCUCUUAACUUUAUUUCAACCACCUUUUUUUUUAAUCUUUGACAUUUAGGAGAUGUAAAAUUCUAAGAAAAACAGGGAUAAGCUCAAGCAUUUAAAGAUACGAAGCGUUGAUCAUCAAGCAGACGAGCUUCAAUACCUUCAAAUUCAAUGUUUGUAGUAAAAGACAAUGAAAAUUCUUUUUUUUUUCUUUUCCACUUUUAAGGGGGAGGGGGGGGGGGGAAGUCAAUCGGUCAAUACUCCAUACAUAGUCGCUUCCAAUUCAUGAGACAAAAACCCAAUUGAAACCAUUUGGGCCUCCAAGACCUUGUAUGGACGAGCUCACAUCUUUGACCACCCCACCGAAUAACUUAAAUUAAAAAGAUCUUUGGCAGCCCAAUCAUGCAGGCAAUUUACCCCCAGAGUCCAGGAGGAGAAUGGCACCGGUUUGCCGGCCCUAAACCGUACUUAACUGAAAUAUAUAUAUAUAUAUUUGUUUUUGGAAACUAAUUUUAUUGUUAUUAUUUUUUAAAUAUUUGUUAAAAUGUUUUUCUAGCAAAGGCGGGAUAGGAUUUAAGAAAUGAAAAGAGGGGAAGAGGAAUCUAAAUCUAGGACCUCUCACUUCUCAAAAGAGUUUAGAUUAUGGUACUAUAACUUAUGGUGCCAGUGUUUUCAGAUAUGUAAAUAAAAGCAUGCGUAAUAUAGAAUUUAAAAUGGGUAAUUGCAUUGCCAAAAGUCGAAUGACAAUGGGAAUUUAAAAAAAAAAAAAAAAAGUCCUAUCACACAAGGAAAAAAGAAGGGGAAAAGAAAAACAAAAAGAAGAGCACCAAUGCUAUACUUAUAAGGUGACCAAACACCUACAAAGGCAACCCAAAGAACAGGAGUGAGUUGUCAGAAAUUGCUUUGCAUAUAUACGUGAUGAUGAAUGAAAUGAACUUCAAAAUAUAAGCAAGUCCCUUCUCGUGCAUCAGUAGUAGUUAGCUCUGAAUUUAGAUACACUGUUCAGUUGACUUGACACAAAUAUUGAGGGUGUUUGGAUAUCUAUUAUUUGGAGUAUUAUUUGAUAAAAUAUUAUAGAUAAUGAAAAAAUCUGUCAGAUAACAAAAAAAUAUUUGGACAACUUUGGUGGCAAUUCUUCACUUUCCACGUCCUCAUUGCCAGGUUGGACCACGUGGAUACAUUACUUUAGUCGAUAUGAGGAGGGAUAAAAAAAUUGGCCAGCUUUCUCAUGCAGACGUACUUUAGCUUCAUGCAGCUCAGUGACCCGUAAUUUGCCUUGACGAAUGCCAGGGUUCUAAACACUGGGGCAAAGCGGAACUCGUCCAAGUUUCAUGCAGCUGAGAAGUUAGCCACACAGAGCAACUACUUCCUAAAGGGCCAUCAGGCAACUAAGCCAUUCGUGUAAACCUCCAUUCCCUUUUCCUGCGGACCAGUUUGAUGACUCAGACAAUGCAUACAACUAGAAGAGCAUCAGGCAACUAGGAAGUAUCCAUUGACGGAUGUGAUGUUGGAGCUCUUGACAUCUAAGGUUUAUUAUAGAUUUGCCGCAGACCAUAAGAUGAUGUAAACCUGGGAAUAUAAGAGCAGAUGUUGCAAAAAUGCAUGCAGUCGUUAAAUUCUUGGAGCAGGAGGCAAGCAGUUUGAGAGAAAUGAAACAUUCAACACACAAUACAAACUUAUAAUUACAUUACACAAGCUGGAGCUGCCGUCUCUAUCUUUUACUAGCCACCAUUUCCACCUCGAAACUAAUACGGCAGCUUGAACUAAGUACAACAAAACAUACACCUAAAAAAAGGCGGAGGAAUAUAUGUAUCCUCUUCCACAUUGAACCUAUUAAGUUGCACAACUUCCCAUAGAUUCAGGGUGGUGUUUAUUAGUUGGCCAUUGCGAAGUUCCAAUGUCUACUACCUUCGCCUGCGUGAACCGGCAUGCAUUUGAUUAGCCAUUUCUUCUCUCAUUGCAUUCCAAGCUGCUAUCUCAUGUGGGGGCACAGCCAAUGGUUGUAUAUUCGGGUAUGGAUUACCACCAGCUUCGGCUUGUACUUGUAUGUCCUCUUGUUCAUAUUGCAUGAAGUGAUCAUCGGAGGGUUGAGUUUCCCUUAAGAAAUUGUGCAAUGCACAACAUGCAAUAACUACAUUGAUUUGUGUUUGCAUAUAGGAAUAUGGGACAGGUCCCUUCAAAUACGCAAAUUGUUGUUUCAAGACACCAAAAGAGCGCUCAACUACAUUGCGAAGUUGGGAGUAACGGGUAUUAAAUAGCUCCUUUGGUCCUUGGCCUCGACCACGUCCUUGCCCAACACGUGAAACACGUCCUCCUUUAAAUGGUGCUAAGAAUCCCGGCAUCAUCUUGUAUGCCGCAUCCACCAGGUAGUACUUGCCUAAACAUAAAAAAAUUGUGUGGCUAAGCUUCUGAGUUGGCAUAUUGAAAAUGGUGAAAACUUUAAGGGAGGCCUAAGAAAUUCUCAUAAUUGGGAUGUCCACAAUAAUUCCGACUAUUGAGGCUUAAGAAAGAAAUGGAAGUGGAAUACUUUGGAUAUCUAUUUUUGUGGCUGACAAGGAUAGGACACGGGUACGACUCUUUGAAAAAAAAUUACUAUGCUUCACAUAUUUGAGAAUCUGUUUCGCUUGGUAGCAACCCUGUGCAGAAACUCAAAGGUCAACUCUUUCUACAUUGUAAACUUUAAAAAACCUGCCACUAGCCAUACGAAAACUGAGACAUGUUAUUCCAUUUUAGUUUGAUAUGAGAACAGGCACUACGGUCUGCAGUCUAAAAAGGAAGAUGUACUACUACAAGAAGACGGGUUUGUAUUCCUUAGUCUAUUUGCCAUUCAUUUUUCCUUUCCACCUAUUACUGGAAGCACGUCUAAGAAUUUAUUGAAUGCACAAUAAAAAAUUUGGGAGCAGUUAAGGCCAGACCAAGGGAUGCCACUUAUAAGUACUCUAUGGACAGCAAACACACGUAGGUCCAUGUUUGUUCGGCCUAACCAGAAAUAAACACAAGCUGUCGAACCUGGGGGUGGAACUGGGAAGUCAGUGUGCAUUCGCAGUCACUUUCAAAGACCCGAGCAUCGUGUGUGCUUCCCUCCCAUCCGGCAUAGACAUACACAAAGCGCAUGUCAUGGUCACAUACAGCUAAAACGUUCUGAGAUUGGGUCCCAUGUCUAUUAGUGUAGGCCAUUUGCUCAUUUGUGGGCACCGAAGCAGGGAUAUGAGUGCCAUCCAUAGCGCCAAUAGCAUCCUACAUUUUGUUCGAGUAAAUCAACUGGCCAUUGACAUGUACUAUUUGCAAAUCGUGAAACCUUCAAUUAAAAAAUCAUACAGUGGCUAUUACGAACUUCUAAAGCAGCAGUUUGGCAAAUAUAAGCACCAUAAGCAAGACUUGGUUCCGUCUAUUAGUGUGAAAGCAAUAUAUGUAAAUAUUUGCAUUGAAAUAGCCAUCUUUUUCGAAACAAUAAAUGUUUGAGGAGGUAUCCCAACAUUAACCUUAAACCAAUGAUAAUACUUGGUACUAUAUCAUAUUCUUGGAUGCACGUCAUUUGUUUCUCUUGGUCGAAUAAUCCUUUGCACAAAUCUACACAGUCCCAACAACACUUCUGCUACAUUUCUGUGGAUAGUUUCAGUAGAGUGUUGAAAUCUCUCUGCCACUACGCAGGUACGCGUGCUAUGGCUCAGCAUGACUAGAGUCAUAGCCAGUGAUUCCUCAAUAGACACAUGCUUGUGCGGAUUUUGCGGGACGUAGUUAUUUUGAACCAGAAUGUCACAAAGUCUCAUGAAAUUGUCAACCGUUAUUCGACAAUUCUCCAAUAUGCGAAGCGGGUGACCAAGGAUUAGCUCUCGCACCCACUUCCAACCAGGCAUAUCUCCAGUUCGGCAGGGUACUUUGAUAAGAGGCCCAUCAUAUUGUUCGGCUUCAGGUGCAAAAAGCAAAAUUACUGCAACAUUGAGAAUUGCCUCAUCAUCAUUCUCAGAACUGGUGCCAUACGAAGUUGAGAAGUUUGGGAUGAAGUUUGCCAUGUAGGAACUGGACAAAUGUUGCUUACGGUUUCACGAAUGGAAAAGUAGGGAAAAAAUCAAGGACUUACUAGUGGAAGAAAGAUAUACCAAGUUUUGGAAAGCUGGUGAAAGAAAGAUGGUUGGUGGAUGUCUGUUGCAUGGUAGGACUGUAUUCUCACCUGAUUUUAAAGGGCGAGAAUGGACAUGAAUUUGAUAAAAAGCUGAUGUUCUCGAAACUAAUUGGGAUGCACAUGGGAUCAGAGUUGUCUGUACCCUCACUCGUCAAGUUAUUCUCUUACAAGUCCCCUUUUUUAAAGAUGUAUAAGGCCCCGUGAAUUAACAGUAGCUAUCUAAAAAAGCUCACCUUUUUAUAAGAGUAAACUUCAUAAAGACCUACAAGAAUGGAACUAUUCUUGACAGUGUGCACUUUAAACACUCUGAGAAUAUCUCGUCUGUCCAUGUCAAAAGAUCACACAUAUUGGGUAUGUUGGAGUUAUUCUCUUUAUAUGCACAAGAUUCGGGUUUCACACAUUAUUGUCCUUAGAAGUCCCGUUGCUGUAAUCAUCCAGAUAUAUGUUUAUCUCACAUAAAGGCAAUUUUUUCCAAUUCUUUUUUUUAUUGAACCAGAGAGUAUGCUACUCUCGAGUGCUUUGAAAAAUAUGCUAUCUAAUAAAACAAAAACAACACCUAAGCUUUUUCAUAAGGUGGGAAGUGAGCAUAUGCUUCAUCUGCUCAGAAACGUGGGGAGGCAAUAAAAUCAAUUUUUCAGGAUUUGUGUUGUUCUUUCCAUGCCUAUUGGUUUGACGUAUGCAAAUGUCUCAGUUCCAUAAUGGCUGCACCGAAUGUCACCUAUGAGUUAUGUCAACUUGGCAUUGAAGAGCUACUGUAGUACUUUAGUUAGGCUUAAAUAGCAAAGAGUUAGCAUGUAAUACUUGAGUUAGGCGCUACAUUGUAGUACUUUAGUCCCAAAAAAUUGAAUUGAAGCAUGUAAUAUGAAAAGCAGUCGACUUUUCUAUUAAGAAAAUGCAGCAAAUCCUUUAUAAAGAAAUUCCUAUUCAAGCUUAAAAUCCAGGUAAUACACAAAUCCGAAGAGGCCUACUCCUCACAUUUCAACUCCUCCUUCAAUAAUGCGUAAGGAGUCUCUUAAUGGCCUGAGCCUAGUACCUCACAAUUUUUGCAAGCAGAAUGGAUACAAGAAUAAACAAGAGGAAGCUUAGGCAAAAUGAAAUUAAAGAAUUCAGACGUAUACAUACUUAUGGUUCUAACCAUCUCACAAGAAGAAAAAACAGCAUGCAAUUAUUUACCAAAUAAGAAAUUUCUAUGCAACUACUUACCAGUGCUCUUCGAAAAGGAGUCUCCUAGCAACUGACAAAUUGAAUACUCAUACAAAACAGCAUACAAAGAUAGCCCUAAUCUCCGCCAAAUUAACAGCCCUUAAAUUCAUGAAAUUAGCACAUGCAAAUCAAUCCAGGUUCAACAACAUAUAUACCAAGUUUAUGCCACUUUCAAACCAACAUAUUUAACAAACUUGCACAGUUAAACAUUCCAAAGUUUACACCAAAUGACUGCCCGUGGGAGCAUAAACAGCACUUAUCAAAAUACUAAACCAAGCAUUUUGGGUCAUAGCAAACCCAAGCAAAAUCUGAUUUUUGACAACCAUGAAUGGCCACAACAUUAAAAAAGAACUUACUAGCCGAUAACGAAAAUUUAUAAAAGUCAUUCAACAAAUAGUAAACAAGAACUACGGGCAGCCAAUAAACACCGAAACUUCACUUCCCCUCCAUCUUCGGGAUGAUAAACAUCUCAAUUCAGGUUAACUGCUCAUCCCUAUUGAAGCUAAGAAACAGAGCUCUAAACUCUUCAUCCAGCAACUCCUUCAACAAGAACAUAUGCAGCCGCUUCUCCAAACCCAAGCUUUUGACAGGUUUUUUGGCAGCAGCUAUGGAAUAUUUCUCUCUGGACUCUUUUUCAUUUGCCGCAAUACAAGAGAAUCUGUUGAAAUUGCUAAGCGCUUCUUGGUAGUUUUCAGAGCCCGAUCGUCGAGACUUCGCACCUCUAGAUCGAUCAUUCUCAUAGCUAUAAGCACCACUAGAAAUUGGACGCUUGCCAGGAUUUCUUGGAACAGGGCUGUCUUCAUCGUCUGAUAAAAGGAAGUGAUGUGGAGGGUCAAUAACAGAGCUUGAAGCCACCCCUUUCCCCUUGAUGUCACUACUGUCCCCCCUACGUCUCCUUACUCAAGGAGGCACAUAUUGUGGCGAGAGCUGUGCCAAGGAUUGAGCUCGACUGCCAGUGGCGUGUUUGCCACCCAUAACCGCAUCCCAUUGCAUCACCAAAUUAGCAUUAUUUGGGUGUUGGAACUCCAAAUAGUGCUUGUUUAUCUAUUUGUAUGAAGAAGCUAAGUUAGAUGCACAUUCUAUGUACAGCGGGUAGUGCAAAAUGUAUAAGACAGAGUAUGAAUUGAAGUACAAGAAACAAAAAUAAUUCAGGUAUUUCCAAUUCUUCCAACUUUGAAUUCUGUACACAAAAUCAAUAUGAUUACAUUAGAGCAUUUUGUUUUAGUCUCGGACGAAACAAUUAGACAGUAAGCUGUUUCACCCUAGUAGAGACGCACUGUUCUGUAAUACUAUCAGAACUAGAGCAGCAGUAAAAUUCCAAUAGAUAGUAGCCUUUUUCCUACUAUGGCUUUCAAAAGCCUACUUUAAAAAGAGCUAAUGACAGAUAACAUGUGUUCUUCCAUUCUCACUUUUUCAUAAGGAAUUGGCAUAUACGUGACCAAGGUAAUUGAGAAAACUAAUUAUGUAAACGAAAGUCUAUAACUACUGCAGAAUUUCAUGGUUAAGGAAAUACAAUGGAACAUGCAUACAAUGGUCAGAAAUAACCUGGUACAAAUAAACCCACUGAUCAGCUCUAGCUUGGAAGUAUUUAUGCUCGGCAUCCUACCCUAUCCCAGUCUCAGGUUUGGCAGAAUCUCCCCGGAGAUGAGUGAACAACCUCCAUUUCUCCACCAUGCGAUAGUAUUUGGACUGGCAUUGGCUUCCAGUGCAAUCGAGCCCACACUCUUGGGUCAAGUAGUUGGCCAACGCAGUAAAGUUAGCCAACGUGCUACGAGUUGCCUCCCAUUUUCCAUUCUGCUGCCACUCCACGUAGGUGCGGACAUAAAGAUCCUCCUCUCAGGGCAGCCAAUAUUUUUUGUCAGACAUCUAUGGAAAAACCAAUAAACACAUCAGUCUUUUAUAAAUAUGUUGUAUGCACAAUAGCAGAUGAAAUAAAAUGGCAUAGAAAAUGAUAUCUUACGUCAAAGUAGUUUUGUAGGGCCUCGUGAAAGUCGUUAGAGGCACAAGAGGAAUGGGCUAUGACAGAAGAACUGGGGCUGCGAUGGGAUUCUGUAACACAAUCCAACAAUAAGUAAGAAAGGUUCUACAUAUAUUGGAUUAGACUAUUGGUGCCAAAUAUAGUGGUACGGCAAGGGGAAAGACUAACCGACGCUUGAACUCUGAAUAUAUGAGUUGCUCACAGGCAUAAAAACUUCCUGUAGAUCACACAUACAUCAGCACAUCGUGGGUGGUUAUAGGGAAAAAAUUGACACAAAGCAUGGGUAGCAGGAUGCCCAUAAGUUCAUCAUCAGACGAAAACGAAGUUUAGAAUGCUAUCCAAAUGCAAAUAUGUUAAGAAUGAGGGAGGCCCAUAAAUUACUCACACUGUUGAACCAAUUGACGAACGUCUUCACCAAGUUUUCUAUUUCUAACUGUAAAGCAUAUUUUGUAUUCUAUGCCUAAGUCUAAAAAAUGACUGUUGUAGGCAAAUUGUUUUGACAUCUCAGCGUAACUUUAAAUAGCAAUUCGGAUCAACUAGACCGACGACUUGAAAAAUUGAAGCAUCAGGGUAGAUAAGAAAGUAAUUCCCUUCAAAAAAUUACACAACCGUGAACAUCAAUUAAUGAUUCUUCAACUGUAAUUAAACGCAUAUUUGGGAAGAAUGCUAGUCACGGAACCCUAAUUUAACAUUCAUGCGAUUCAUCAAGUACGCAGCAACUUGACAGAAAUGGGAGAAAUUUUAACAAGGAACUAUCGAAAUCAAACAUGACAAAAUUGACCAACCAAUUAGACAAGUCUUAAAAAAGAAAUUGCCGACCACUGUAUGGCAGCUUAACGGCGUAUUGCAAGGGCAAGGAAAGCAGGGAAUAUAAGAGCACUUAACUCCUUCCUUUCUAAUGCGUUGAACUUGCAAUCGAUCGAUGAAAGGUGAGCCGAAUCACAUACUACCGCGCUCCAAUUGUAGAGGCGCUUCUGUAAUUGCAGAUCGAAACCUUUGCUUCACAGAUUUAUAGAACGACGCGCUAUUCCAACCUCGCACGCGAAGUGAAAUUUGCUAUCACUUCAUGGCAGAGGAAUCAAUUCCGCCGGCGCUUGGUAGCAGUAGACUCAGUUUUCCUGAUAGUUUCCAAAGGCCUUCAUGAUGUAGUCGUUGAAUAGGUUGGAUGAUGAAGUAAUUGCUCAGCGAAAGAGCUGCUCAGCCGAAUAAGUUCUCUGACGAAGGCUUUGAUGGAGCAGCUUUCCCUUUGCUUUACUCAGACGGAAGGUGCAACGGUACAAAAUAUGUAACUGUAAGCAAGUGAAACACAGUAGAAGUGGAGGGCCCCUGUCGGUCAAGACUUGUUAACUCCGAAUCGGUACGCCAAGUAUAUGUCCACGUGGGCCUACACUUCAAGCAUCAACUAGAUUUGGUUUUGACCAUAAUGUCCAUGCUGGAACAUACGAGAUGGAAUGUACAUGUAUAUUAUUCUGGUCUACUCUUUGUUAUCCAAACACCAAUUUGACAUAUUUUUUGGAAUAAGCCAAAAAAUGCCUAUCCAAACAUACUCAUUAUCGUUUGGAUAGGGUAUUAUUUGAAAUAUUAUUUGGAAUAAUUACUAUAGCACUUUUUGUGAUAUGAUGUAUGUGAGAUAAAAAAGUGAUUGAAAAUAUAAAAAGGUGGAUUGGAAAAUAUGUUUAUGAUGCAAGCGAAAUAUUAUUUGAGAUAUUGGAACUAUCCAAACAACUUAAACACUAAACCCGAAUGAGAAAACAUAGAAUAUAAAUGCCAAAUUCAGCUUCGACAUAAACAGAAAACAGAAAAGGAAGUGCCAACCAAACCAACUUCAACUACUCUCAAUUCUAGAAACUAUUUCCCCCAUCCCGAAACCCGUGAAGUUACGUUUGGACUAAGCCUCCAUUGCGGCUUUGGCAAUCUGAACAGCUAUGUAAUUAGGAAAAGUUGCAGGUUGAAGGAAGAUUAAAAUACAAUCGGAUUGCAAAAGUGUGAUAGACUGCGUUACAAUAGAUUCCUGCAACGACUGCAUGCAUCUAUGUUGUGAUAUUGGAGAAUAUACAAAAGUCGAGGGAGUUUUUUGACCAAUGCAAUUUCUCCUUUAUAUAUAGAGAAGAAAAUGAGUUGUGUCAUAGGUUAGCAAAAUUCACUUUAAAACGAUGUAUAUUGGGAAACAAAUUUCUUGGGUUGAAUAAAAGAUCUAGCACGAAAGGAUUGUGAUAAAGCAUGCUUGCAUUAUUAAGUUUAAAUCGAUAUAAAUAUUAUCGUUUUGACAAAAAAAAAAAAGUAAGACUAAGCCUCCGUUGCGUGUUUAAAGAAACAAAAAACACAUAUAAGUACUAAAAGUACAUCUAAAUUGUUUGAUAGCUAAUUUUCUAUAACUUAAAAGGAGUCUAAUUUUUUAUAACUAAAAAGUAUUUUUGUUAAAAGUAUUUAUGUCAGAAAUAUGAUUCUUUGUAAGCAAUCGCAAGUCGCAACUCGAGACCUCUUAGUAGCUUUUCGUCAAAGACAGCGAGAAAAUCUAGAAACUAAACGCUUUCACGAAAAGCCUGGGAAGCACUGAUGAGUCUGGUGAGCCUUGUUCCGUAACGCCUCUAUAUAUUUGAUUCUUUUCAGGGAAGCCGUCCUUCGCCACUUUUGUAACGGUCCAAAGAAACCCAUCCUUCUUGCUCGUGUCCCUUUUUUUUUUUUUGGGCCCCCAUAUUCCUGUGGUGUUUGCUUGUUCCGAGGAAUGAUGGAUGCUUUUGGAAGAGCCAAAGCCUAAAAGCCUGUCAACACUAUAAUUAAUUCCAAUUCACUUGAUAAUCCUAUCUUAAGUAUACUCAAUUAGGUGAAAUCUGCAUUUGUGGACAAAAAAGCAAUCAUUUGGUGAGUUUUUAAAUAUAUCCUCGGUUACUUGGUUCUGAAAUUUGUCAAGUCAUCAGGCAGAAAAGAGGAGUUGCUGAUGAUGAUGCAUGAUUAUUCCUGUUCUCAAAGUGGUGUAGGAAAGAAUGCGGAUCAAAUUAUGGAUGGAUUCAAAGCUUUUAAAAUAGGAGAAAAGAAAGCUGGAUAAAGUUGCUCGUCCUAAAAUAAUUGGUACCACUUCAAAAGAAAGAGGAUAAUGUAGCACAGCCUUCUAUGCCUUUCUCAUGAGACUGGCUGUUACCUAUCCUUUAGUUUUGCCUUUCCACGAAGGAACAUCACCUCCAAAUACACGGCCUCUUUCGAACAGUAGUUGUUAGUGUUGUUUUUUAGAUCCGGAUUGGACCAACUGUUCUGACUCAAAACCGUCAAAAAUCAACCAAGCCAGUCACCUAAUUCGAUUGCUUGAGUUGGUUUUCAAACUUUUCUUUCUUUUUUUUUUUUUCAAGCAUAAUUUGACUUACCUAAAUUAUAAAAUUUUUAUUUAUUAAUAGGAAUAGAAACGCCAUCAAUUAUUAUAAACACCAAAAUUACUCGUAUCCGUAAACGAUCUCUAAACCAAUAAGUUUUAUCCCUAUCAUCUCAUCGAUUUAUCAUCAGCGAUUGUGACUUGUAUUAGAAAGCCAUAUUCCCAACAAAAAGAUCUGAAAUUGGGUAUGGUUUGUUUCAAUUUAGUCUUGCAAGUAGUUUUAGAGAAUGUACAUAUUUUACUAAGUAUAUAUUUAAUUGCAAGCCUAAUAUUUUUGGAACAUUUUGUACUGUUUGCGGAAAUAUAACCAAGAACUUAAUUUCAAUAUUUCUAAAAAAUUAUUAAAAUAUAAAAUAAUUAUGACAUCAUACUGAUGUCAGCGAAUUUUUUAGAAUGUUUCAACCAAUCCGAUCAGUUAACUUCUGAUCCAAUAGUUUAGUUGAGUUGACAUCCGGUCCGAGUUUAACACCAUUGCUUUUAAAUCAGGCACCUUCUUCCCUUUGAUGAUUUUUUGACUAUUUAACUUAAAUAGUUUCCCUAGCAAGACUAGAUUUCACUUCAGCAUUGAUUAAAAGACAUAACAAAAAACUUCCCCAGGCGUAACCAAAAACUAAUUUCCAAUCCUAAAAUUCUUAAAAAAGAAGAAAAAAAAAAAGGGGGGCUCUAUCUACACCACUGGCUUUUAAAUGAAUCUACAGCCCAUGCUGUCAUCGAAAGGCUUUCAUGAAAUUUUAGCUUCAAGAAAAGGGUGCAAUAGAUAUUUCAACCACUCCGUCUAAUAGAAUUUGUAUUAUAUAUAAAACUCUUUCAAUCGUUAUUUUGUAUUGUUUAGAAUUUUUAAAAUUCGUGAAAGUAUCUACAAAUUAAAGGUGAAAAUUUACUAAUAAAGAAAUAAAAUGAUAAUAAACUCAAGAAAGGUAAGAGUAACAUGUAACUUUCAAAAUCAUAGUCACGUCGACGAAAUCCCUAUCUUCCACUAAUGACAAGUGGAAAGCUAGCUGGAGAAUGGAACAUCAUCACCAACCACAUUCUUCUAUAUAAAGUCACUCCUCCUUCUAUCGGACUCCUUCACCAACCAAACUCAUAGCAUUUGUAUAUAAAUCACAUUCCCCAUUAAUCGAAGGCUUAACCAGAGAGAGUAAUGGAGGGGAAAGAGGAGGAUGUAAGGCUGGGAGCCAACAAGUUCUCAGAGAGGCAGCCACUGGGGACCUCAGCACAGACCAAGGACUACAAGGAAGCACCACCUGCUCCCUUGUUUGAGCCUGGUGAGCUGCAGUCAUGGUCUUUCUGGAGAGCAGGCAUUGCAGAGUUCAUGGCGACUUUCCUAUUCCUUUACAUCACUAUCUUGACUGUAAUGGGGGUGGCAAGGUCUAAUAACAAAUGUGCUUCUGUUGGUCUCCAAGGCAUUGCUUGGUCCUUUGGUGGCAUGAUCUUUGCCCUUGUCUACUGCACUGCUGGUGUCUCAGGUACAUACGUAGUCCUAAUUUCAUUGCAUGGUCUUACCCUUCUGGAAGCAACAAUCUUACUAUACAUGGUACAAGCAGUUGAAAGUACAAUAGUUAUCCAGAUCAUAUGGUCAUCUGAACUUUCGCUUCAAACAUACACAAGAUGGCAUUUUUCAUCUGCUGUGCUGUCUUCUUAUAGGUUAAAAACUUGGGUAGAACUGUACGUAGUUUAUCUUGAUUUUUACUGCUUGUACCAUGUGAAUCAAUACCUGUACCCUGUAAAAGACGCAAGGAUUUAAAGCUUUGAUCAACUUGUAGUCUAGAUCUACUUGCGUGUUAUCCAUUUUGAGGUUUUCUUUCUUUGUGUCUUUCUUCAAUAAUUUCAGUUGCCUAGUUGCAGUAGAAAUCAGAAUGAUCUUCUAUACACUAUUGGUCCUGGACUUGGUCGUUUAUUGUUUCAAGAAUUGUUUUUAGGGAGAGCUAAAUUAAUUUGCAAGUUGUAGCACUAGUUUUGAAACUUGUACAAAAUAUGAAUUUAGGAUGAACGGAUGUGGAUUUCGCAUUUUCCUCGUUUCUUUUCAAACUUCUAAUAAAUUUUAGGGAGUAAUUCAAAAGAGAUUAGUAUGUUAACAUUCUUCUGUUUUUGCAAGAUCCAUGGGCUGGUCAUUAAAUUGGCUUUACAUACUUUGACUGCUUUAAGUUCUUCAAGCUUCACUGGACUUUUGCUUGCAAUGAUAUGUUUCUUUUGUUUGAUCACGAUCAGGUGGACACAUAAAUCCAGCAGUGACGUUUGGACUGUUCCUAGCCAGGAAAUUGUCCCUAACCAGGGCAAUUUUCUACAUUGUGAUGCAAUGCCUUGGCGCAAUCUGCGGUGCCGGUGUGGUUAAAGGGUUUCAGCCAUCGCUAUAUGAGAGUAAAAAUGGAGGUGCAAACUUUGUGAGCCAUGGUUACACCAAGGGCGAUGGGCUUGGUGCUGAAAUUGUUGGUACAUUUAUUCUCGUCUACACUGUCUUCUCCGCCACUGAUGCCAAAAGAAACGCAAGAGACUCCCAUGUUCCCGUAAGAGCUGUGCUGCUACUAUUGUAUCUACAUAAUCUGCACUGUGAUUCACAAUCAUGUGCGACGUGUAACUGUUAAAUCUGUUGCAUUUUUACAUCUAAGUUCUCAUGACUUCGUGCAGGAUCUAUCAUUGAAAUGAUGGACAAUUAUUUCUAGUCUUAUAGGAUAUUCUAAAUUUAAUUGCUCAUCAAUAUAUGCGGGCGAUUAGAGCAGAUAAAUGGACAGUAGUGCUAAAUCAAGUUGAAUUUUUAUACACUUUAAAAGCACAUCAUGUGAGUAGUAUGUAACUUUGCUAAUAUUAAUUUUCUUUUGUUCUUGUUUUGUUGGAAUACUGCAGAUUUUGGCUCCUCUCCCCAUUGGGUUCGCUGUGUUUUUAGUUCACUUGGCAACCAUCCCCAUAACAGGAACUGGCAUCAACCCUGCCAGGAGCCUUGGAGCUGCCAUAAUUUACAACAGAGACCAUGCAUGGGAUGGCCAUGUGAGUUUCCAUACAACAAAUUAAUACUGCUACUUAAUCAUCCUGGUUCUUCCAUAUAUACUGAAACAUUAUUGUCUUUGCAGUGGAUCUUCUGGGUAGGACCCUUUGUAGGGGCAGCACUUGCAGCACUCUAUCAUCAAGUUGUAAUCAGAGCCAUCCCUUUCAAGAGCGGAAACUGAAACAUGCAUGUCACCUUUGUUAUUGUAUUUAACAGUUUCUUGACCGUCUAAGUUUAUUUUUACUGUAAUCUAUGGAGGGUCUUUAUUACUUGUAUUGGUGUGAAUGAGGUUGGAUUGAGUAAUUAACAUUAAAUUAAAAAGAAAAGAGAAGAAAGGGCAAAAAAAAAAAAAAGGUUGUCGGAUUGUAUCAACUUCUUAUUUGUUUUUUUUUUUUUAAAGUUUGAUUCCCCUAGUAUUUUUACUUCGGUCAUUUCCUAUUUUUUGGCCUCUUCCUUUGAAGAAGAGAAAAAAAAAAAAAGAAAACCUUGAUUUUAUUUUACUGGAAUAUAUAUUUUCUUUGAGAGAUAUUUCUUCGAUUCUAAUUGAUUUGAUUUUAUUGGAAUAUAUUUUUUUCCCGAGAAAUCACUUGCAUUCUAAUUCUGUGAGAUUUCCUAUCGCCAUAGGCCCAUUAGUUAGCACAACAUGUGCUAGGAGCACGAGUGUGCAAAAUCGAAAAAUUUUGAAAUUCUUACCUAGUAGGCGAAAUCUAGUCGAAUUCGGUAAUGAGAUUUUUCAAAUCAAAAAUUUUGAUUUUGAAUUCACAAUUUGAAAUCGAAAUCGAAAAUCGGAAUUCCUAUUUCGAUUUUAAAUUCAUUUUUCAUAUAUAAUAUAAUAUUUAUUUAAUAAUAAUUUUUGUAUUUAUAAAUUCGGUGAAAUCGAAAUUUACCGAAUUCAAAUUUAGAGUUAGUGAAUUCGAAAUCGAAUUCAACCGAAAAUUUUGAUACCUAAAUUUUGAAAAAUUAUAGUUUUAAAGUUCUAAAUUACUGAUUUUGAUUCUGAUUCAGACUCCUAGCUAGGAGCAUAUGACAGCAGGACAAAUUUCUCGAUCCAAGUCCGAAAAGUUAAAAGGAGCACUAAUCGUAACACGUCCAAAACCACAACCAGAUGCUAGGGAAUAUCACGGCCCAACAAGGCCCAGCAUCUUGUGUGGAUGUGAAGGAGUCAAAACAAAUUUAAGAAGCAACUGUAGAUGUACAACUAUGGUCCUGUUUGGCACACUAAUUUUUUUUGCCAAGUUUGUGGCCUAUAAGUUUCUUAAUAAUUUUACCUAGGUGAGGCGGCGGCCUUGCAAUCUUUGUGAGGAGGCGAGUGCGGGGCGCUGUCCAUAAAUUCCAGCAAUGUGGAUGCAGCUGUGUUGGAGGCAGCUACACCUCUCAUUUAGUGAGUGCGACAUUAAAGGUUUAUGUGUUUUUUCUGCACGAAAUUUAUAGAUUUAGCAAACUCCUCUCACUUACAACCCCCACAAAAACACAAAAAAAAAAAAAAAAUCCCAAUAUUCUGCCAAAGCGAGGAGGUAUGUUUUGCAGUACGCGUUCACCCUCAAGCAUAUAAAUUGGAAAAUUUUAACAAAAUUUUUUUGUAUCCAGUUAUCCAUGCACUUAGCUGAUAAGUUUCUUCUUCUUCUUCUACUUCUUCUUCUUCUUCUUUUUUUUUUUUGGUUAAGGCGUGUAAUAAUAAAGUUUUGGAUGGAUCUAACUUUAAUUAUUAUUACAGUCAGACAUGUAUAAACAUAACAUGUUGUCAGCAGGGGUCGAUCUGAAGAUCUCGAAUAACUACUUGAAAGCGGUUAUCAUACAAGCUGCCUGUUGAGGACUUACUAAUUACUUAUUAAUACAGUCAUAAUACAUGUAACAGAGCUUGAAUAAAUCGUCCAUCAACACAAUCAAUUAUUAUAUAAGUAGUGAGACUCUUUAACAUAUCACCUUUGUUGAGCUGAGUGACCUGAACUUAUCAACUCAUCCAACAUGCUCUGGCAAUAAAUGGAUAAGUUAGGCAUAGCUGAAGAAUUGGCACUUACCAGUACUUAAAGAAACACCAAACUCAGAUGCUAAAUUGCUGACUCUCACGAGUACUGUCUACUGACAAAUGACCCCAUUUGAACUGCCGUAGCUAGCUAAUACUAAAUUCAGAGGUGAAAUGUGGUUGGUUUCCUUGAUGUCAAAUUAUGCUGUGCUAAAUUUGUCUUAGACAAGUUAAGAUGUAUUGCGACAUGUUGCCUCUUAUGGCGGUCCAACCUCCAAACUCGUUGGCUAAUAAUUAAUGUUCCCAAAGAUGGAGGCAAGAUGAUUUAAACUCGCCAGCAAUGCAUGGCGGUGGAAAUAGUGGUCAUGCAUCAAUUUCCUUUCACACUGAUAAUCAUUUCAGACACCUGUUCAAGAAAAUUAUAAAAUUAUCCCUAAAUGAUUUUAUGAGAAUCACAAAAUUGUACGUGUAAAUGUGCUUUAAUGUUUAUCCCAUCCACAAACUCUCGCUGGACCACUAUGGUUCGACCGAGCGGACAAUGUGAUCCAUAGAAUACCACAAAAAAUAAUUUAAAAAUACUUUCUCCUGCCUUAUAUUUAAGUGAUUAAUAUCCACUUGUAAAAUGAAGUUCUAGGCCAACGACAAAUAGGAAAAUCCUAUGUUAAGCAAUGCAUGACUGACCAACGUUGGGAGAGCUUCUCUGCAAGUAGGGCUGUCAACGGGUUGGGUCCGGGCCGGAAUUCAUUAUUUCGGACCAGGACCCGAAUUACUAUAUCGAAACCGGAUCCGACCCGUUUAUCCGACGGGUCUUUUAUUCUAUGUUCUGGAUCCGGAUCCGGCGGGUCCCGGAUCCGGGUCGGGCGUACUCGCAAAAAAAUUCGCAAAAUUUAUAAUUUCUAAUAAAAAUGAGAAAAAAAUAUAUUUGUAAACUAAUUUCUAACUAAUGCAAGGAAAAAAUCAAAUAAGAAAAGAAAUCAAAUUGACUUUACUCAAAUACAUCACCCUAAUCAAAUUAUAUUGAUAAAUAUAUAUUUUUUAAAUUAUUAAUUCAUUUAUAUCCGGAUCCAGGUCUAAUACGGGUCGGAAUACUAUAUUUCCGUAUCCGACCCGUUUUUUGUUUGACAAAACGGAUCCAGAUCAGGAUCCGGAAAACGGAAUUAAAUCCCUACCCAUACCCGCAAUAGUUUCACGAAUCUGGUCCGAAUCCGGGUCUAGACCCGACCCGUUGACAGGCCUACCUGCAAGGGACUCACGCCACUCGAAUAGAAUUAGUCGCAGACCGUAAAACGGAUGUGGAUACAUGUGAAAUAUAUAUAAAAAAAAAGAUAUAUGACUGACUUAAGUGAUAGAAAUAAAUUUAAAAAUGAUCAAUCUCCUUAAUUUUAGGGAUUUCCAUGCUUGAUAUUAGGUUGCUUAUUGUCGAGAAAUUUGAUUGAAUUAAGUGAUAGAAAUAAAUUUAAAAAAUGACCAACCUCCUUGAUUUUAGAGAUUUCCAUAUUUGAUAGUAGGCUGCUUUUGUCCAGGAAUCUUGUAAUUAGUCUAGACCCGUUGAAAUUUUUAUCUCUUGCACCAAAGUCCCAAGUCACCUGUUUCCAUGAACAAAAUUGCAACAAAGGAAGGAUUGCAGGGACUUAACCCAAUUCAAGCAUGCAAUAUACAUAUACAGUUGGAAAUUGACGAAUAUUUUAUCUGAUUCGAGAUCAGGUUCAAAUCCUAAAGAGGAAAGAAGGUAGUAGAAGCAGUGUAAUUCUCACCUAUUGCACCAACAUCCUCUUGGCGCAGAAGAACAAUUCAAAUGGAACAAGAGGAUUGCAUUUUUCAUGAGGAGUACAAUUUCCGACCAAACUAUUACCAUAAUUAACAGGUCAUGUUGAUAGACCUAAACAGACUGCAAAUUUGAUUAUUAAGACACUCAGUUAAGUUUGGUACGAAAACGGAACACUUUCAAACUUUCUUAACAUACUUUUAAGGGUGGUUUUUGUUUUUAAUAAUCUCUGGCCCGACUAAGAUUUCUUCUUCCAAUUGACAAUGAAUAAAAAACACACAUUUUGCAUAGCUAAUUGCAACUCCAAGUAUUCUUGAUCAAGCCUUCAACUACUCCAACUACAGACAGACACCAGAACCAAAUAACAACAAUGACCAGCAUUCCAUUCCAAUUCGAGAAAUAAUCGGCACCAAUUAUGUUGUCUCCCCUGAUGAAUUUUGACACCCUUGUCCCCACACACACACAUGCAUGUAUGUAUAUAUAUAUAUAUAUAUAUAUAUAUAUAUAUAUAUAUAAGUAAAUCUUAUAUACACUGUCACACACUGACUGACAGUGUAUACAGUAUCACAAUUGGAUGCAUGACAUAUAUACAAAAUUUGGAUUUCAAAUUCAAAUUCGAAUUAUGUGUCAUGCAUUCAAUGGUGACAAUGUAUACACUGUCAGUGUAUAGAAGAUUAAUCCUAUAUAUAUAUAUUCUCUAUCCUCUUUGUUUAUUUUUCCCGAAAAAAAAUAUUGCUAGCGUUUUUCUUGAUCGAAAUUGCCUUUUACUAAUUCCUCCAGUAUUAUUUCACCAUACUACGUCAUCUAAAGAAUUUCUAUAUGGUCAGGAAUUUAAUUCAUAGUAUAUGUUUUCUAAUGGCCUUUUUUUUUUUUUACACAAUAUUUUAUAAUGAUGUAAAACAUUCUGUCAUUUCCUUUUAUAUAAACUAUAAAGUAUCAUUAUUGGUUUCAGAACUUAUUUUGCAAUAACUAUUUCGAAUUUCAAAAAUAUUCUUGAACAACAUCAAAAAGUUUACCUAGAAAUGGUUUGGAAAAGUGAUAAACUGAUUAAUUAAAAACUGAAGCUCUAAAACUAGUCUGACCAAAAGUGACCGUCUCUAUGGGAUGAAGCCACUAAUAAACUCCUCCUCCAAUUAUGAGAGUUUAUUCAUUUAUUUCUAUAUAUGUAUGUGUACCUCUGUGUGUGUCUAUAUAUAUAUAUAUAUAUAUAUAUAUAUAUAUAUAUAUAUAUAUAUAUAUAUAUAUAUAUACGGUUUGAAAGAGGUUAAUGGCAUGAAUCUCACUGAAGUUGACUGAUUAUUCAGGGAAAUUAAUUGCAAGCAUAUACGUCCUGAAAGAGAAGUUGCCAUUCAAAUCCAUCUGAUUAAGAUCCGAGGAAGACAAUAAACCACAUGCUUUUUGUUUAAUUUCUUUUCUUCUCUGGACGAAUAGAAAAUUCUACAAUAUGCUCAAUUAACAUAAGUGUCGUGCUUUGUGAAAUGUGGAACAAGCCAAGCCCAGGCAAGUAAUGUCAAAACGUAAUUUCUAUUGUUUUGGAAAAAAAAAAAAAAAAAGUAAUGUCAAAACGUGACCCCUGCAGCACUUGAGAUUCUCGGUGACAUGUUUUGUAUGCCAACCCAAUGCCACUCAUAAUAUUGUGCCAAGUGUCCUGUUAUUAUUUACACUUUAAUUUUUUAAUAAUUCAACUUGGAACCAAGUUGAAUUAUUAAAAAAUUAAAGUGUAAAUAAUAACAGGAUACUUGGCGCAAUAUUAUAAGUGGCAUUGAAUUUGCAUAAAAAAACAUGUCACCGAAGAUUCCAAGUGCUCCUACAGUUACGAAGACUUAAGGGACCGGCAGAUAAACAGCUUCGUGUAUUCAUUACCAACAAUGAAGAAUACGGUCCACCAAACUUAUCAACGCCAUUAAUGAAUACCGACAUAAAAGUAGACAAGGAAGCAAAAGUAAAAAUAUACUGCGAUAAAAGAAGGGUUUCGCUGACGAGUGUCCAAUAGACGGUCAUUAAAGUGUUAUUAUAAUUAGUAAAAUUAUUAUUAAUUUGAAAAAAUGUCUACAUUCAAAAGAAUUAAAAAUGCGAGUGUGUGUAUUUAUAUAAUAAAUUCAGUAGUAUAAGCGAGCCCAUUUGAAUUGUUGUUUUUUUUUUUUUAUAAAAAAAUGUACUGUAACGAUUUGAUGUAUAUAAGAUAAAAAAGUGAUUGAAAAAUGAGUUUACGGAAAAUAUAAAACUUUUUGGGUGAAAAAUGGGAGUCCAAAAGUGAGUGUUCACCAUACAUUAAUGAGUUCCAUACGAUUCUGUCACAUUACUAAGAUUUUGUACUUGUCUUUUUUUUUUUUUCUUCUGACGGAGUGGGUGUUCGGAUCAAUUCUUACGGGGCCCGACUAAUCUCACUCCGGUCCGGGAAGAGAGGCCCCAUCCCCCGAACACGAUAAUCACAGGACUCGAACCUUGCGAGCACUGGAUAUCAGCUUCUAAAGAGGCUUGUUGAGACCAACCGAGUUGUCCAUAAGGGACAGACAAUUUGAUAGGAGGCAACCAGGAGAGGUGGUGGCCACUGAGCUUGGUUAAGAUUUUGUUCUUGUCAUGGUUGUAGAUUUGAUGCUAGCUUGUCUCCUUGUGUUUACUCACUGAGUACAGAAAAUGUGAACAAGGGCUUGAAACUAAUGAAGCAAGUCCUUUGUUUUCACGGAAAACGCCUAACUAGAACAGGAACUUGAUAUAUCGCUGCCGCUGUCAGCUAUUCAAAAUAAUUGUAUGUAAAACAAAAUCAAGUUAAUAAAGAAAGAGAUUCUUGAUUUUGUCUCUUAAACCUUUCUCAUUCUCCUUAAACGUUUUAGAGUUUUUUUUUUUUUUUUUGAGUCCCCCGCCGGGUGUGGGGGCAGGGGGGGCGGUGGUGGGGAAAUAUCAAUCAGAGUGAGUCUCAUGCAAUUUGACAUUGCUGUGUUUGGUUUCGGUGAAGAGCACAGAUAUGUCCACUUACGCAUGCAUUCAACCAUUAUCAAUUUUGAAUGGUUUUUUUUUUUUGCCCUUUUUCCUUUACGUUUUGUUCUUGUAAAAAAAUUUAGAUGACAUAGGCUGUCAAGUAUAUGCAGAAAGCUCAGAACCCAUAUCAGAAUAACAAUUGGUUUGAGACAAAUAAAACAGAAGAAGAAGAAGGAAUCAAAGAAGCCUCAAUUUCCUUGAGAAUUUACUAACCAUAAACUUGAUCUUACAUAUGGAAGUGAAAUGAACUCAACAAAAAUGAAUCGUUAGAUUCUAAAAAACCACCUCAGCCAUCCAAUCUAACAACUCAUAAACCACCCGCCAGAAUAGAAGCGAUGGAAGCCAGCGCACCACCGUCCAGCAGCACUUGCAGAGAACAUGAAACCGGCGGCCUCUUUUUCUUUUCUUGCAAAAAAGACAAUUAUCAAAAUAAAAUAACAGUCGCAAGUUCUCUGCAGCAGAAAAAACAAUCAAAUCCCCAACCAUCAAACUGAGAGCCAUCCAUCAAGAAAGGACGAAAAAGGAAUAUGUGACCAUCUUCGUCAGCUGAGAUCGAGCAAUGACAAGAGAAUAUGAAACUGGCAGCCUCUCUUCUUUUCUGCAUGUUUUGUACAGCCAAACCAGACAAUGAAACGCCCUGCUCCUGACUGCACAGAACAGAAGCGGCGGGAAAAAACUCAAAAACGCACACACUCCUAGUCUUCUUUUCUUGCAAGAAGAACAAGUAUGAAAACAAAAUAGCAGCAGCAGCAUCAUCUUUUGGAUAGCAGAAAAAGACAGUCAAGUCCCCAACCAAAAAGCUGAGAGCCAUCCAUCAAGAAAGGGCAAAAAAGGAACGGAGUAACAUUUGUAGAGGGACAGCUAACACCUGAUGGCGUUUGGAUAGAGUACUGGGUUUGUUUGGAUAGAGUAUUAUUUGAAAUAAUUACUGUAAUACUUUUUGUGAUGUGAUGUAUGUGAGAUAAAAAGUUGAUUGGGAAUAUAAAAAGAUGGGUUAGGAAAUGUGUUUAUGAUACAAGCUUUAUAUUAUUCGAAAUAAUAUGUGUAUCCAAACAAACCCAAUAUUAUUUGGAAUAUUAUUUAGAAUAAUUACUGAAAUAUUAAGAUAAAAGAUAAUUAGGAAUAUAAAAAGAUGGAUUGAAAAAUAUGUUUAUAACGUAAGUGAAAUAUUAUUUGGAAUAAUUUAGUAAUCCAAACACACCCACACAGUCCUACUAACACUACAACUGAACUCACAUCAGCAAACAAACCCCGAAUUGAAUCAUUAAAUUCCUUUUUGGAUUGUAAGUCGAGGUUCGAAUCCACUUACAAUUAAAAAAAUUUAAAGAAGGUGUCAAAACAUCCCUACUAACAAAGCAAGUCCUUUGCAUUCACCAAAUAAAACAGAAGAAGAAGAAGAAAGAAGCCAUAAUUUCCUUGAGAAUCUAAUCUUGUAUUUUUCUAACCAUAAACUUGAUCUUACAUAUGGAAUUAAGUGGAACAAAAGAGAUGAGAAUUCAUGACCUUUCGAGCAAUUUUAUUGGAAUAUUACAGAGAAUUUGUGUAAACUUUAGACUCAAAACCUAUGAAUAUAUAUUCCAAAAAAGAACGUACUUAACCGUUUUCUCUUUAUGCUAAGGAGUAAAUCGUGCUAAAACACAAUUAAUCUCAAUAAAGUCCAGAAAUUUACAGCAUUUUUUUUUUAUCAAUUACAUAUUAUAUGCAGAAAGAAGGUCAUUGUGAUCAAUGUUUUAGGUUUGAAAAUAAAGCGAGUAGGUGGUCAAAUUGUUCAAGUUUAACAAGUCAAUUCCCUCUCAAAAUGUCAUAAACCAUCAUCAUUGAUUCGUAAUUAUCUCCUCGAUGGUCAACAGUGAGCGAAGACAACCUGGUAUUGGUAAUCAACAACCAUAAACCUCCGCAAUAAUCAACAACCAUAAACCCCCACAAUAAAAACCAAUAAACCUGCCACAGCGCCUUUAAUGCAAAUUGCAAAGGCAACACUACUGCAUGUUAGGGCGAAAUCUCCCGCCCACAAUCAAUAUUUCUUUUUGACUCAUGAACAAUCAUCAAUAGCAUCAAUCUUUGUUACCAUUUAGAAAUUGAACCGUAAAAAUUACUAUUUUUAAUUUAGAGUUUUUGUAGAAAAAAAAAUGUACCGUGAUGAUGUGAUGUAUAUGAAGUAAAAAGGACACGGUGAUUGAAAAAUCUGUUUUUGAAGAAAAACAGCAAUCCAAGCAAGGCGAUUUUGAAAAUCCUUGAAAAUUUUGUGCAUGAUGGCCUCAACAACCACCAACAUUGGAUGCAAUUAUAUAUUUGUGGUUUGAAUCGGAAAGUAAAUUUUUCAAUUCUUUUGGAGCUAUCUGAAAUCUGAAGUGGCUCAUCAUACACAUCCUUUCUUUCAUAAGAUACAGAAACAUAUUACUAGUAUCUAUCGAGUGGUGUAUAUCAAAUCUAAAGUCCAUAAAGUUCUUUGAGGUAAGUAAUUAAUAAUGGUAGAAAAUGCUCUCAUUUUGUAGAAUUGAGACUAAUAACUGCUAACAUCCUGUCUGUCCUCCUAAACAUCCUUGCACUGCAAUAACGUCAAACCAUCAAAAUCGACAUCCCAAAGGGGGUUGCUUUCUGUCAAAUUGUCAUUUAACAACCUACCGCAAGAAAUGAAGAAACCACGUCCGUCAUUUCAUCACGCUCACCCGCAUUUAAAACUAGACCUUCCCUCUCCCCCAACCCACGUCACAAAGAAAGACUAACACCAGCACUACUACUUUCUGUACAAGCAAUUCCAUCUAUAUAUACGAGCAAACGAGGUGGCUACUUAGAGCCAUCAGAACUAAAUUCAUUGAUUCCCACAAAUUUCCCAUAUUCAUUGCCUCUAUAUAUAUAUUGUUACCGUAUAUAGUUGUUGUUUGCCUUAGUUGAUGAUCUAGCUUAGCCAUGUCUUCAAAGCCGGCAACCACCCUCUUCCCAUCCAUAGAAAAAUGUGACACCACCGUGGACCGCGAGUCCAUUGCGGCGGACCUCGACGGCACCCUUCUAAUCUCAAGUUCUUCCUUCCCUUAUUUCAUGCUUGUAGCCAUGGAGGCUGGCAGCCUCUUGCGCGGGCUGGUCCUCCUCCUGUCUUUCCCCCUCAUAGCCAUUGCUUACAUAUUUUUCUCCGAAGCCUUAGCUAUCGAAAUGCUCAUUUUCAUCUCCUUUGCCGGGGUUAAAGUUCGAGACAUCGAGCUCGUCUCCCGGGCGGUGCUGCCGAGAUUCUAUGCAAAUGCUGUGAGGAGAGAGAGUUUUGAGGUGUUUGAUAAGUGCAAGAGAAAAGUGGUGGUGACCGCGAAUCCAACAAUCAUGGUGGAUCCCUUCGUGAAGGACUUCUUGGGGGCCGACAAAGUUGUUGGAACUGAGAUUGAGGUGAAUCCUAAGACCAAAAGGGCGACAGGGUUUGUGAAGAAACCUGGGGUUUUGGUGGGGAAAUGGAAAAGGCUGGCCUUGUUGGAGGAGUUUGGAGAUGAAAAGCCUCAUGUUGGGAUUGGAGAUCGCGAAUCCGACCACGAUUUCAUGGCCAUUUGCAAGGUAGAUACAGUAAUCAGAUUCACUUUCUUUCCAUUUCCUUCGUCUUUAAUUUCUUCCUGAUCAUCAGCUUUCUUAUUCUUUUCACUUGUGCAUGCUGGCCUUUUUGUUUUUGAGUUUGAUUUCAUUCAUGUCCAUAAUUUUUUUGGCCUUUGAUUACUCGGCCUUUGAAAACGGAAUUUUUACCGGGAUCAAUGGUGAAUUAUCUUUAAUUUAAUUUCCUUAAUCAAGGCCGAGUUAUCUUUAAGUUAAUCGCAUAAUUCAAGAACAUGCACGCUAGUACGUAACCAUAUUAUUGAUUAUAAGUCAAACUUAAAAUUCUACUGUUCCUGUAAAAUAUUAUUGAAUGGUUAAGGACUUGAAUUUGUGGUGAAGGACAUCAUUAAUCUUCUUUUCGUGUAAAACUCUUCCUGUUCUUCUUCUAUUCUGUCGGUUGAAAUGUUGGGUAAUCUACUUCUAACGCAUUAUUAUGGUUCACCUCCCACCAAUCUGAUUGUAAGACAUAAUAAGAUUUGAUGUUGCGUGAAACUUUUAGUACUCGAAUCUCGUUCAAUAACUUGAGAGAUUGGACAAACCCAAACUUUCAAUCUUUUUUCAACUAAAAGCCAACCGUAACUUCAUUGAAAAUCUUUACCAAAUCGUUGUUUUGCAGUUUCUCUAAUUACCAUUAAGCACAUAAUCCGAUCCUACCUCUUCAGUCUUUUUUGUUUUCACCUCUUUAUUAGGCAUAUAAUGAAUGUAGUGGUUGAAAGGCCAGGUGUGGUGUUGCAUCGCCAUGAAACUAAAUGGCCCACACCAUUUACUGUCAUGCAAAUACUAGUAGUGGUUGUGGUUAUUGAAUUAAAUAGCAACAAAAGUGUUUGGCAUGUCUUAAAUAUAUAGGUUGGAGCGUCAUUCAAAAACUAAUUUUUUAAAUAUAAUAAAAAAUUUUAAAAAAAUACUCUACAAAAUAAUUUAAAAAAUAGUUUAAUUUUUUUAAAAUUUUUAAAAAAUAUCUCAAAAUAUAUUUUAGAAACUCUUCUACUCUUAAAUAUCUCAAAAUAUUUUUUGACAAUAUUCCAAAAUAUAAUAUAAAAAUUCUGUUACAGUAAAUUUUUUUAAAAACACUUUCAAAAAUAGCUAAUUUAAACGGAGCCAAUUAUUAAACCAUAAAUUUUUUUAAAGGCCCCGUGAGCGGUAAAGAGUAAAGACCAUCCCUUUUGAAUUGGGUCAACGAAGCCAUUAAUAUAUUAUUAGCUGUCCAACUGCGGGAGUUGAGGGUUGUGCAACAACCUCUCUGCUUUUCCACACUACUACUUCACUUGUCUAUACCUUCUUUUCUUUUCUUUUCUUUUUUUGGUUACUUUUAUUUAUUAUAUUUCUACUAAAUUUUGUUCCACACUGCAUCUUUUUCUUGACAAGCAAUAUUCGCAUUACGAAAGAAAUAAAGAAAAAAAAAACUUGUGUGGUACUAAAAUUUAGUACAACAAUAAUUUAGUGCUGCACUAAAUUUUAGUUGAUUGGAUGAUUGAAGUCGUCACAAGUACACUUGCGGAGUUUAGCACAUGGUAUAAUUAAAUGAGAUAUGGGGCUGCCAAGGAAAAAGUAGAAUUUUCUAAUUUCUAAUGAAUACUUUUUGGACACUCAUUUAAAUAUCUAAAUUCUAUCUAACAUAUUAUGUGUGUAUAUAUAUACUAUCAAUUAUUAUUUUAAUUAAUUUUAUAUUUUUUAAAUCUAAUGUACCUUUUUUUUUGGGGGGGGGGGUUUCUUUACGGGCUAUUGUAACCUACAUAAAACAGGAGGGCUAUAUGGUGUACCCCAGCAAAUCAUCACGUCCUCUGCCGUUGGAUAGAUUAAAAAGUCGACUGAUCUUUCACGAUGGACGGCUAGUGCAGUGUCCGACCCCACUCAACGCCUUGAUCACCUACAUCUGGCUGCCAUUCGGAUUCGUCCUCUCGAUCUUCCGGGUCUACUUCAAUCUUCCCCUCCCAGAACGCAUCGUACGCUACACUUACCCCAUGCUGGGGAUCAAACUCGUGAUCAAGGGGACCCCACCACCGGCUCCAUCCGACGGCUCUCCUGGCAACCUCUACGUCUGCAAUCACCGCACAGCCCUCGAUCCCAUCGUGAUCGCCAUCGCCCUCGGACGCAAGGUCUCGUGCGUCACCUACAGCGUAAGCAAGCUCUCCAGAUUCCUCUCGCCAAUCCCAGCCGUCGCUUUGACGCGUGAUCGUGAAGCUGAUGCCGCCCGCAUCAAAUCCCUGCUCCAGAAGGGGGACCUCGUGGUCUGCCCAGAAGGCACCACGUGUCGGGAGCCUUAUUUGCUGAGGUUUAGUGCCUUGUUUGCGGAACUGAGCGACAGGAUUGUGCCCGUCGCAGUCAACCAGAAGACCAACAUGUUCCAUGGCACGACCGUGAGAGGAGUCAAAUUCUGGGACCCUUACUUUUAUUUCAUGAAUCCAACGCCGACGUAUGAGGUUACAUUUCUGGAUAGGUUGCCGGAGGAGAUGACGUGUAAGGCCGGCGGGAAAUCGCCGAUUGAAGUGGCGAAUCAUGUGCAGAAGGUUUUGGCUGGGGUGUUGGGAUUUGAGCGCACUCAAUUGACCAGGAAGGAUAAGUAUCUGUUACUAGGUGGGAAUGACGGAAAGGUGGAGUCCAUGUAUGGUAAGAAGCCAAACGGCAGUACCUAGAAUUGCCGGUUGGUUCAAGGUUUCUGCUCUGGUAAUUAAUACUUAGCAUUUAAGGUGUGGUAGACCCAAAAAAAAAGCUGCUUCGUAUUGGUUGGUUAUGUCUAGUACUGAUUUAUAAAGAGCGCAUGCCGUCAGUUCUUGAAAAGUAUGAUUUGUGGACAUACAUGAAACAUUUCUCUACUUUUGUGUAAUGAAGAAGUUGAGUUCCAACUAUUUGAUAACUAAUAGUGUAUUUAUAAUAUAAUUUAUAAUUACUCAUUAUAAAGCUGUGGAAUUUACUAAAAAUCAAGUUUGAAAAUUUAAUUAAGGUCGAUUAAACUUAAUUCAACUUGAAUUGGUCGAGCUCGAGUUGACGAAGGUAAAAUAAAUUCAAUCCUGAGGUCGAUAAUUGUGAAAAACGAGUUCAAACUUGAGUUCGAACUUAAGUGUUUUUUACGCGAGUAGAGUUUGAAUGAUAUACUAUUCGAGUUCGAUUCGACGCGACGGCAGCAGAUCUGCUUCAAACUACACAAAUCGACUAAAAGUCUACUCUUUAUCUGGUACAACAAAUAAUGAAUUGCAUGUUAGUGAUCUCAAAUCCAAACUCAUCAACGCUAUAAUUUGUUCAUUUCAUGUUCCAAUGGAUUGCUCUUCUUGACAAAUUUCACCUCCAAGGGCAAGUGACAACUGACUAUACGACCUCUAAUAAGAUUGGAGAAUAAAGAGACAUACUCCAGCCCCAUGCUAAAAAGUUUUCUUAGAACCUCUCCUAUAAAAAUUCUGUAUUGAGAAAUGUUCGCGAAAUCUAUCAUUUACUUGUAUCUGUUUAAUACAUAUCUAGCUCAUUAUUUCAAGAUUUCUGUUUAAAUAUAUAUCUGUUUAAUUAUGUAUCUGUUUAAUCUAUCAUUUGAAGAUUUUGAUUCACAAUUCACUUUAGAUGACUUUGAAUUAAAUGAAGAUCUUAUUCCUAUAAACUUAUGUUGAGAAAGUUUUUCCAACAAUCUAAACAACUUAACACUUACAUGAUUACAUGUCAAAAAAAUCCAUUAUGUGUACUUGCACUUUGAGGGCGGCGGGUCGUAGGGGAUUAAUCGGGCCCGUAAGGAUUGAUCCAUACACCUGUGUUAAUAAAAAAAAAAAAAGUGUACUUGCACUUUGGAGCAUUGGCUGGGCUAGGAACAAGGGCUUAAUAUUAAAAAGAAAACAUCUAUGUUUGUUGUUAAUUCUUUUAUAGUCGAAUUAAUAACUGUUUUGGAAUCUAAAAUUGUAAAUAACGAACAAAAUUUAUGAACAAUUUUUAUAAGUGCUAUUAAAAAUAUUGUGUUCGGAUAUCUCAUCAUCUGAAGAAAUUAUUUGGCUUACAUUGUAAAAGGGUUUUCUAAUUAUAUUUUUUUGUCAAUUUCAUAAUCUUUUUAUUUUACAUACAUCACAAAGAAAUAUCAUCGUAUUUUAAUAAAAACUUUUUCAAAAUAACGAGGAAUCCAAAUGCCAACUUGGAGGAAAAAAUUUACGAAUUUUGGUGGCAAAUCGGAAUUAUCUAAAAAGUACUUGGAUGGCAUAUUAUCAAAUAAGACGUGUAUAAUUUAGGAUAUUCCACGUAUGAUCCGAAACAAAUGGCUGGAAAUUCGUUAGACCAAAAAGUGCAAAAUCCCAUUUAUCUUUCUUAUUCAUUUUCGUAUUGUCCUUUCAUCACAGACCUUUCAUGCAAAAGGGUGGCCCACGAUUCUAUUAUCCAUUCUCCCAAAUACCCCUCGCUGUGAUGCACAAUAAAUCAAUCAAAGUAAGGGUAUUUUAGUAAAUUCAGGAUGUAUCGGGAUGAAAAUUCGACGUGUCAAUUUCUCAGCCCUCUACACAUAUUAAUCCCAGCAAGUAAGAUUUUUUUCCCGCUUUUUAAAAACCAGAAAAAUUAAUAAAAGAAAAAGCAUCGACGGUGGGCUUAAUUUGUACGAGUACUACUUCUGCUGCUAAAACCCCAAGUGCUCUUGCUAUCCAUUUUGCUGUUGAGCUUUUCCAAGAGGGAGAAAGCUCAAAAAUCACAAAAAUAAUGAAAAUCCGACCGGUGUAAGUUCAAUUUGUUAGUUUUUGAAAUAGAGAUAUUGUUGUCUAAGCUCUCUGGAGUUAAACUCACCAUCGCCGGAGACAAUGGCAAUCGGUGCCGUCGUUUCCAGCCGGAAUUUCGGUUCCUUCAUUGGUUCAGGUGAUAGUUAUUUGUCUAGCCUUCCAAUGCAAUUCAAAUAGCUUUUGGUAUUGUGUUUCUUCGUUGAUGUUAAAUAACGCAAGUGGAAAUUUGGUUUUGAUGAUAGUUUUAAAGUGCAAUUCAAAUAGCUUUAGGUAUUGUGUUUCUUUUUCUGCCGGUGGAAAGUGGAGAGGAGAUGAAUUGGUUAGCUAGAUGGAGUUAAACGUGUGGCGUUUGUGAAACUGAGGGUUCGUUAUCUUAUUUAGUAGAAUAUUGAAUGAUAAUGGAAACGCAUGCACGCGAGUGUAGACACGCUCCAUUUUUUUUUUUUUUCCAAUUGUUAUGUAUAUCAUUAUGCAAAUUUAUAAUUUUGCUGAGAAUUUUGAGUGGAAAUUGAGCACUAAUUUCCGUUGUUCGAGAAAAGGUUCUUUUUUUUUUUGGUUUAAUUUCAUUUUUGAAGUAUGGAUAUUAAAGCAUCUCUCUUUGAGCUAUCGGGUAUAGUGGCUCAAGAAAUGAAACACGAAAUUAGGUGAAUGAAAUAAGAGAUUAAAGUCACGAGCACAAUUUGAGCUAUCGGGUGUAGUAUUUAAAAGAGUUUCCCUUUGAUUUAGCCUUGUAGAGUAUUUGAGGAACUUGUUAGCAGUUACGGCAUUCUAAAAAAAAAGCUUGGCACAACCUUGGAUAAACAGAUAUAUGUUCUUUAUAAUGUGGAACGUUGCCAAAAAGAAAAUAGCUUUAUCUUCUGGUUAUGUUGCUUUUUACUACUGCCCUUUUGUGUUCAUAAAUUUGCAUGCCAAAUGCUGAGACCAUGAAAACUGAAUAGCAAUUCUGGUUCUUCCUCUGAAAGUUACAACAUUUUAGUGAUUCAAGUAAGGCAGAAUAGUAGUGGCUAGUAACAGGAAAAUUUUGUGUCAAAAGCAUUUCACUUUCUUUAUCUCUCCUGGAAUGCUGGAAAUAAUUGUUUCAAUGGUUUAAGCAGACCACGUACAUGCUUGCGAUUUGUUGGACUCUAUAAUGGAUGAUAAAUGUAAUCCUCCUUAAUUCUCAUACCAGGCAAAGUAUAUCAAGCUGAACAAUCUGCUGCGCGUCAUCGAGGACAGUGCUUAGCAAUUGAUGCUUCACAGUUGGCGCCUAAAAAUGUGUUUUACAAUAAGCUAUAUAUGCAAAGGCUAAGGUGCUCGUUCUUUGGAUGCCUAUAUAGCUCACCUCUCCAUCCUUUUGGUUGUUUGGGUACUAGAAACCCAGGAUCAACAUUUUAUGUUGAAGCUGAUCAUCAUCUUUUAGUGUGUUGUCAAAUUGGUGACAAAUAUAACAUAAGAAGAACCAAAGGAAUCUGCCAAUGCUGGCUAUCUUCAACUUUUUCUCAGAGCAACUUGACUCAACCGAGGAAACGAGAUAAACUUGGUUUUUUUGAUAGGCAGUACCAACAGUCAAAGCAUGCAACUGCCACUAGCAUCCGAGCUGACUACAAAUCUGAAGACUAUGAAAUAACAGAAGCAAAAUUAGAGUCUCUUGUGUCAUCAGAAGGAGCUGGCGAAGCUGUUCUCAUGGAAGAAGUAGUGCAAACCAAUUCUUGGUGGGAACGAUUCCCAAAGCGUUGGGUGAUCGUGCUGCUUUGUUUUGCUUCAUUUUUGUUAUGCAACAUGGACCGUGUGAGUAUUUUCCUGUUUUCUUGUAUUCUUGCUGCUAGUUUUACUGCUGAACUUUCCCUAGUUUAGUGCACAUGGCUUCCCCAGCUGACUUCAAAGUUUUGUUGUGAGGUUUGGAACUGCUCCAUGAAGUAGGUGGUUGUUUGUGUUGCACUGAUGUAUUGAGUGAAAUGUAAAACAGCUAUCGCUUGUCUAAUACUUUGGUGUUUUAAUUCCAGGUGAACAUGAGCAUUGCAAUACUUCCAAUGUCAAAAGAAUUCAACUGGAACAGUGCUACAGUUGGUCUUAUCCAGUCUUCUUUCUUUUGGGGCUACUUGCUGACUCAGGUUUUACUCAAAUUCUGCCAAUUUCUUGCACUUUAGAUAAUGUCACACGGUCAAUGUCCAAAUAGGUGCUUGACUGGACCUCUUUUGUCUGUUUUGGCAAGAAGUUAAACUUAACAUGCCAAAGAAACAGUUUCCUUGCUAGUGGUAGUUUCCAGUCUUUGCCCGUCCAAAUCAUGGUUGGCAGCAGUCUAUCACUCAAUGUGAUUAAAUUCUUCUAUUUAACUGCUGCUAACCAAUGGUUUGCUUUGAAUCCUGGUUAAUCAAUUUUCUUUCUUUCUUUUUUUUUUUCUUUUGAGCAAACUUGCAUUCUCUUUGCCUCUAAUACAACUAAGUCUAAAGAAUUACUUUACCUAUGUGCAUUCCCAGUUUACUUUUUUAUUUCCAUAGAAAUUCAAUUGGGCUACUUCUCGGUCAUUUAUUAUUCUUUUCUCUAAGAUUUUUUCCUUCCAUGUAGAUUGUUGGAGGCAUAUGGGCAGAUAAAAUUGGUGGGAAACUUGUGUUGGGUUUUGGAGUUGUAUGGUGGUCAGUUGCAACAGUUUUGACUCCAAUUGCAGCCCGCAUUGGACUUCCCUUCUUGCUUGCAAUGCGUGCUUUUAUGGGAAUUGGCGAGGUUAGGCUCCUUUGCUGAAAUAUCACUUCACUGGAAUACCAGCUCAAGAUAACAUCUACAGACUUGUAUCAACUACCAUGGUUCCAUAUCUUCAGUUAAAAAAGUAUCCAAACUGUUAGGAGAAUAUUAGUAUUCUUAUAGAUAAUAAAUUAGUAAGGGUAUUCUUGUAAAUAGUCUGUUAGGUUUGUACUCCUAUAAAUACUAGUUGGUCACUCAUAAUAGUGUGACUAGAUGUUUUCCUCCCAAGAUACCUGUUGACAUGGUAUCAGAGCAAAAGUCCUAGGGUUAGGGUAAAACAUCUAGCAAAUCACUGUUCACGCCGCACUGUUCAUAGCGGCACUGUUCACGUAUACUGUUCACGGCACUGUUCACGCCGAUACUGUUCACGUAGUUACUGUUCAUGCCGUUACUGUUCACGCGUUUGUCUCAAGUUUUGACCCGUUCUUUCGUUUGACGUGCUAUUCGCUAUGGUUGAAAGGUUUGUUAAUACGGUUAUCACUGACCAAGUUGAAUCAAGUUCUUCAACACAUGGGUCCCAGAAAACUGUUACUAUAUCUGAGGAAGAUUAUGUUAAAUUCCUACAGUACCAAGCUACAAAUCACGCAUCUCUUCCCUCUGCUUCUUUAGCACAAAAAGGUAAUGACCCAUGGAUUAUUGAUUCCGGGGCUACUGAUCAUAUGUCAGGUACCUCUAAAAUUUUUUCUAAUUUUCAAGAGUCAACUCCCUUUCCUCAUGUUACUUUAGCUGAUGGAUCUACUACUAAAGUUAAAGGACUAGGCACUGUAGAAAUUAAUCCAUCACUUCCGCUAUCUUCUGUUCUUUACGUACCCAAUUUGCCAUUUAAUCUAAUGUCUGUUAGUAAGCUCACUAAAUUUCUACAGUGUACAGUUACUUUUUCUCCUGAUUCUGUUGUCAUUCAGGAUUUGAAGACAAAGAGGAUGAUUGGUGGAGGGCAUGAGCAUAAUGGUCUUUAUUUUCUCAACUUCAAUGGUCCGAUAGCAUGUCCUGCUACUGUUUCUCCUCUUGAAAUUCACUGUCGUUUAGGUCAUCCGUCUUUACAAAAUUUGAAAAAGUUGGUUCCUACUUUGAAUCAAUUAUCUUCGUUAGAAUGUGAGUCUUGUCAGUUAGGAAAGCAUCAUCGUGUUUCUUUUGCUCCUAGAGUCAAUAAACGGGUUUCUGAACCUUUUUUGUUAGUUCAUUCUGAUGUUUGGGGUCCUAGUCGAGUCACUUCAAAGUUAGGUUUUAAAUAUUUUGUAGUCUUUGUUGAUGAUUUUUCCAGAGUUACAUGGCUUUAUUUAAUGAAAGAUCGUUCAGAAUUAUAUUCCAUUUUUUGUGCAUUUGUUACAGAAAUAAAGAAUCAAUUUGGUGUGCCUGUACGUAUACUUCGCAGUGAUAAUGCGAAAGAAUAUUUUUCCACUCCUUUUAAUACCUUUAUGACUAAGUCUGGUAUUAUUCAUCAGUCCUCUUGUCCUCACACUCCACAACAGAAUGGAGUUGCUGAAAGAAAAAUUGGGCAUUUAAUCGAAAUUGCUCGAACACUAUUGUUGCACAUGAAUGUGCCCAAACAAUUUUGGAGUGAUGCAAUUCUAACUGCAUGUUAUUUAAUUAAUCGCAUGCCAUCUAAUAUUCUUGGAGGUCAAUUACCUCACUCCAUUCUUUUUCCUCAUGAAUCUGUGUUUAAAUUGCCUCCUCGUAUUUUUGGAUGUGUGUGCUUUGUUCAUCAGCUUGCUCCCGGGGUGGAUAAAUUAGAUUCUCGUGCUAUUAAGUGUAUUUUCUUAGGAUAUACACGAGCGCAAAAAGGGUAUAGAUGUUACAGUCCAGUUUUAAAUCGAUUUUUUACUUGUGCUGAUGUUACUUUCUUUGAAUCCACUCCGUAUUUUAUCAAGCAAAGUAUGUCUUGUGAAUUAGACCAGUGUCCCUCUUUUUCCUCUCCUGUUUUACCAGUCCCUUCCCCUUUAUUACCUGAGUUGUCUAGUCCACCAGAUUCCAUAGCUCGAUUAUCUCGUCCUCAUCUUCAAGUUUACUCUCGUCGUUCCAUGGUUGAGAAAGUUCCUGAUAUGCCACGCACUUCACCAAUUAACUCUCAAUCUUCAAAUCCAGGUAUGACGCCCUCCUCUGAGUUAGAUCUUCCUAUUGCUUUACGCAAAGGUAAGAGACAUUGUACUUCCCAUCCUAUUUCUAAUUUUGUUUCUUAUUCUCGUCUCUCUAUGUCAUAUUCUUCUUUUGUUGCUUCUCUUGAUUCUAUCUCUAUUCCUAAGUCUAUUACCUAUGCUCUUAAUCAUCAUGGUUGGAGAUUAGCUAUGCAAGAAGAGAUGUCUGCUUUGGAACAAAAUGGUACUUGGGAUCUUGUCCCUCGUCCUUCAGGUAAGCCUGUUGUUGGUUGUAAAUGGGUGUACACUAUAAAAGUGCAGCCUAAUGGUUCUAUUGAUAGAUUGAAGGCUCGGUUGGUAGCUAGAGGAUUUACUCAGGUGUAUGGAGUAGACUAUUUAGAAACAUUUUCUCCUGUUGCAAAGAUUACCUCUGUCCGUCUUCUUAUCUCUUUGGCAGCAACUUAUAAUUGGCCAUUGCAUCAGUUGGAUGUGAAAAAUGCAUUUCUGCAUGGAGAUUUGGAAGAAGAGGUAUAUAUGGAACAACCUCCUGGAUUUGUUGUUCAGGGGGAGAAUCCGCGGUUGGUUUGUCGUUUGAAAAAAUCCUUAUAUGGAUUGAAACAGUCCCCGAGGGCUUGGUUUGGCCGGUUUAGUAGUGUUGUCAUGGAGUUCGGUCUGACAAGAUGUGGAGUAGAUCACUCUGUAUUUUAUCGGCAUUCUAAUGCUGGUAAAAUUUUAUUAGUUGUUUAUGUGGAUGACAUUGUGAUUACAGGUGAUGAUGUUGUGGGGAUUCAGAAACUUAAAUCCAAUCUGCAGGCAAACUUUCAGACAAAGGAUUUAGGUCAUCUACAGUAUUUUCUGGGUAUUGAGGUAGCUCGGUCUAAAUAUGGGAUUUAUUUAUGUCAAAGAAAAUAUGUACUCGAUAUGUUGAGUGAAGUUGGGAUGUUAGGUUGCCGACCUGUGGAUACUCCUAUGGAUCCCAAUGUGAAAUUAGCAGGAGAUCAAGGUGCAUUACUUGAUGAUCCUAAGCAAUAUCGAAGACUUGUGGGUAAAUUAAAUUAUCUCACUGUAACGAGACCUGACAUUUCGUUUGCAGUGAGUGUUGUGAGUCAAUUUCUUGAUACCCCUCGUACUAGUCAUUGGGAUGCUGUUAUACGGAUUCUCAGGUAUCUUAAAAAUGCUCCUGGAAAAGGGUUGCUGUAUCAAAAUCAUGGACACAAUGAUAUUGAAGGAUAUAGUGAUGCAGAUUGGGCUGGUUCUGCCUCAGAUCGAAGAUCGACUACAGGAUAUUGUGUGUUUGUUGGUGGUAAUUUAGUGUCGUGGAAGAGUAAGAAGCAAACAGUUGUAUCCAGAUCAAGUGCAGAAUCUGAAUACCGCGCUAUGGCUCACACUGUGUGUGAGUUGGUUUGGGUGAAGAGCAUGUUACUGGAACUUGGGUUUGAACAUAAACAGCCUAUGAAUUUAGUGUGUGAUAAUCAGGCGGCUGUUCAUAUUGCGUCUAAUCCAGUGUUUCAUGAAAGGACAAAACAUAUUGAAGUUGAUUGUCAUUUCAUUCGAGAGAAAUUGCUUGACGGGGUCAUCAAGACAUCUCAUGUACCGUCUGUAGAUCAAUUGGCUGAUGUAUUUACUAAGAGUUUAGGGGGCUCUAGGGUGAAAUAUAUUUGUAACAAGUUGGGUGCUUAUGAUAUAUAUGCUCCAACUUGAGGGGGAGUGUUAGGAGAAUAUUAGUAUUCUUAUAGAUAAUAAAUUAGUAAGGGUAUUCUUGUAAAUAGUCUGUUAGGUUUGUACUCCUAUAAAUACUAGUUGGUCACUCAUAAUAGUGUGACUAGAUGUUUUCCUCCCAAGAUACCUGUUGACACAAACAUUCAACUAUCUUGUCACUUUGCCAUUUGUUGCAAGCGAAGCAUAAUUAAGUGAACCUUACUACUGGAACUAGCUUGGUUUUGUUCAUUUGCUUAAUUUCCACUAUUAGCAAUUAUUGUGACCUGUAAAUCCUUGUACUAAUUGUUUUAGCUAGUUGGACAUUGUAUCAUAGUUUUUGAGAUGAUAAGAGUGAAAUAAGGUUGACUUCCUUAAGGAUAGCUACUUAAAAGUUCUGGCACUUCAUAUCAGAUUAUGAUGUGAUGUAGAUUGCUAGAUACAUUCCUUCACUCUUCAUAUUCUGGCUUAUGCAUAUAGUAUGUCAGAAGGUCUUCCUAUUCGUCAAUUGUAUAGAAAACUUCCUGUUUUGCUCUAAAUUAAAAAAAAGAAAUCUUAACUUCCACAUGUAUUCAGCAUGCUUUCUGGAUUGCCUAAUUGAAUGGUGGUUUGUUAUCAGGGUGUUGCUAUGCCUGCCAUGAAUAAUUUGCUUUCUAAGUGGAUUCCUGUCUCUGAGAGAAGCAGAUCCUUGGCACUCGUAUACAGUGGCAUGUAUCUUGGCUCUGUCACUGGUUUGGCCCUUUCCCCUGUUUUAAUUCACAGUUUUGGGUGGCCAUCUGUUUUCUACUCCUUUGGUUCUCUUGGAAUCAUCUGGAUUGCACUGUGGCUGAGCAAAGUAAGUUUGCUGCUUUGUAUUACAUUUCUUGUUUCACUAACUUAGCUGUCCUUUUACAUUUUACUUUCAUUCUCGCAAUCCAGUAAAUUAAUUAAAUUGAAGUUUCUCAAUGAAAUUAACCUUUGAGCCUCAUGUUGUUAGUACAUUGUCUUGACAUAAUAAAAUCUCUCGUAAAUUACUCCUCCAAAUUCUCAGAGUAGUUGAUGGAGCUCACAGUUGUAUCUCCUGGGGACUGUGCAAUAUGGUUUUACUCGACAGUCAUUUCAUUAUUCUCUCAUAUGUUUCCAACUUUUAUUCUUCCAGGGACAUAGCUCCCCCAGUGAGGAUCCAGAUAUUAGUGCAGAAGAAAGGAAACUGAUUUUGGGAGGCAGUGCACUGAAGGAACCCGUGUCUGUGAUUCCAUGGAAAUUGAUAUUAUCAAAACCACCUGUUUGGGCUCUCAUAAUCUCCCAUUUUUGCCAUAACUGGGGAACAUUUAUUCUCUUGACAUGGAUGCCGACUUAUUAUAAUCAGGUAAAUGGAAUAAUGAACUGAGAUGUUUUAAUACAACGGUCGUCUGUUAUUUUAAAAAGGUCAAUAAGGAGGUGAGAAAUGGCUGCUAAAUUAUGAUGCUUCAUUCACUCCUUGUCCUUGGAAGCGUAUUGAAAUUAAACAAGCUGAAAUGUAAUCAUGCAAUGAAUGUUACAGCAAACCAUCUCGUAUUUCUUCUUUUGCAUUGCCCUUGAGUCUUUCUUCACGUUACUUGUUUACAGAUACACAAAUCCUGUAGAGACAUUUUGUAGGUUAUCAGCUUUUGCGAUGGAUAUUUAGUACUUAUUAUGCAUCAUUUAUCAUUUUUGUUCUGUGCAUGUUUAGUUAUGCUGAAACACAGGUAACUGAACACACAAGUGUGUAGUUUUGUUGUUUGUUUAUGUGCAUUUAAUUGCUAAUAUGCUUAAACUUUCUUCUUAACUUGUGAAUUAAGUUUAGCCUGCAAGUUGAACUUGAAUUCGUCAGAUAAUUAUAGACAGCAGAAACUGGCUUAGUGAAAUCAUCUGACAUUCUCUCACCUUCCCAUUCUUUUGUUCAGGUUCUGAAGUUCAACCUUACAGAGUCCGGACUUUUCUGUGUAUUACCAUGGCUGACCAUGGCUUUCUUUGCCAAUAUAGGAGGUUGGAUUGCAGAUACUCUAGUGAGCAAAGGACUUUCAAUAACUUCUGUUCGCAAGGUAAGGAUCUUAAAUUUGCUCUCUCUGUUACAUGUACUUCGAGAACACCGUACAAGGAUAAUGUGAGAGGGCUCUCAAUAAUAUGUUCUGAAGUUAAUUUCUGAUAUGAAAUGGUCAGACAAGCUUGCGAAAUUCAUCUACAACAUGUAUAUCUUUCUCUAUUGAUUUUCUGGACUAAUUCUGCAGAUCAUGCAGUCAAUUGGCUUUUUAGGGCCCGCUUUCUUCCUUACACAACUUAGCCAUGUCAAAACACCAGCCAUGGCAGUCUUGUGCAUGGCAUGCAGUCAGGUCUGAAUGAUUGAAGGAAUAGUUAAAUUAUUAUUACCUUUAACUUUUGUCACCAACUACUUUAGUGUAACCAUUUCAUAUUUGGACAGGGAUCGGAUGCAUUCUCACAGUCUGGACUAUACUCCAAUCAUCAAGACAUUGGGCCACGUUAUGCUGUGAGUUAAUUCUUACCUUUGAAAUACGGUUGUGAGGUGUCUAACCGGUACAUAAAGUAAUCAGUUCUCAGUUUUUUUUUCCCCAUUUAAAUCUUAAGCAAUAACAUGUGCCAGCCACUGGCAUGUGUUUGAAGUGACACUUGGCCGAAACAUUAUUCUGAACCAACUAUAAAGCCUAAUAACCUCAACACCACGAGAGACGAAUCCAAGUCUUGAAGAACGAGUAAAUCCAUAUUAUUAUUCAUGGGCAGGGAGCUCUUUUUUAAUUUUAAACCUAAUUUAUCUUCUUUUUUUUUUUUUGUAAUAAUAGGGUAUGCGAUCUCAAUUUUAGCCCGUGUACAUUGGUUCUUUCACUAUCUUUCUCAAUCAUCAUAUGUACUUUUAACCUAAUUUUGUAUAGCACAGGAUACAACUUAGUAGCAUUCAAAAUUUGGCGAUAUAUGAGAAUUUUCUGACAGAUCAUUUCUGCGCAGGGAGUACUGCUAGGACUGUCAAAUACAGCAGGAGUAUUGGCCGGUGUGUUUGGGACUGCUGCUACCGGAUACAUACUCCAACGAGGUAUAGUGGACCCCCAGACCAAUUAUUUUAGGAAGUUUUCCUCGUAGGCAGUGGUUAAGUUAAGAACACUCCUUUCCGUCAAGCAAAGUUGAUAGUAAUAUUUAUCGUACUUUCACAGGUUCUUGGGACAGUGUGUUUAAAGUGGCUGUCGCAUUGUACAUCUUAGGCACAUUAGUCUGGAACUUCUUUUCAACUGGAGAAAAGGUUCUUGAAUAGAUGAUCAAGAAAGGGGCAGAGAUGCUUUGACAUGACUAGGACGUCAAAUGAGGAAAGUGAUGCAGAGGAUAUAAUAUAGCCGGAAGAGUGAAAACCAGGAGGCUGAACUUGGUUUUUAAUGCGCCGAUUGUCCAUGAUGUGUUGUAGGCUACAAAAGACUGCUCCAGAUUAUCAUGGGCAUAUGCUGCUUCCAAAUUUCAUCCCAUCUUUUGAUGCGUUUGAUCUGAAAGACCUCAGGAUAUCAUUGACAUGUUUUUCAGCCAUAGCCGUUUAAAGUAAAUGAAUGUGACAGAUAGAAACAUCAUCCGUACCUCAUUGUUAUGCGCUCUAAUCAUUUAGUUAGUUUAGUACUAUAAAAUAGCCGUCUCUGAAGUCGAAAUGAGUGUUACCAGGUUCCAGCCCUUGCGGUAUUUGUAAACCUUCCCAAUCCAUAGAACUGUCCUGUGGCAAUAUUGCCUCGUCUAUAUUCUGUGUUACUGCUUUCACUUGACUCAUUUUGAGAUGACGCGUUGUCGAUUUGAUGAGCUCAGGAGGAAAGGUUAUCAGGAGGAAAUCACGCGCAACAACGAAUACACGAGUAUUUAGAAGUAAAAGAUUAAUUGAUCUAUAAAGAAUUAUUAUUCAUGAUGAAUUCAAACAAAAAUUAUCUAACAAAUACAAAGAAUUGUAGAAUCAUCAGCAAAGAACAACACCAAAAAGUGGGGAAAUUACAAGAGUCUCUGGCUCCUUGUUCCAUGAAAAGCAAAAAAAAACCUUUUUUUUACCACCAAAAAUUUCUCUCUUUCAAAUUGACCGUUCUUUUUCGCUUCUGCAAUCAAUGAAAUGUACCUUUGGCAAGAAAGCCAAACCCGUGAGAACCUUCAUGAACCAUUCCUAAACCUGAAAAAAGCAAGAGGAGGGCAUUCACGACUUGGCAACUUAAACCGUCCAAAUAUUUAAGCAUCCCCGUGAAGACUGAAGAGAGAGGCGGAGCGGAGGCCAACUUACCCCAACAAGCCGCAACCUCCACACUUCCCCUGUCCUCUCAUCUGGCCCGCCACCUCCCGUUCCAAACCAGUGGCGGCGGCGGCGGUCAACAACCUGCAAUCGCCUUGGUGCCCCGGUUGAGGCAGCAAGCAUCACAUUUUCCGUUACACUGGACACUCGAAGACCCCACCCCUGCAUCCUGAGACAACUGAUCACCGAUCCGCUUCUGUUUCUUGACACUUUCUACAAUUGCUGUCAGGUCCCGGGGAUGCAGAUUGACUUUAAGCCCAUACUUCAUGAACAGUGUCAACGACAUCUUUUGCUCCACCUUGUGGCCAGGAGCCAGGGUUAUCCUGUGCCUGAGCAACAAAGCUGCCGCCACCGACUUCAUUUGCAAAUAUGCCAAGUCCUUCCCCAGACAAAUUCUUGGACCAGCAUUGAAGGCAACAAAUCUGAAGGAAUCAUGCGUCACAAACUUUUUGCCAUCAGGGGACAGCCAUCUUUCCGGCUUGAACUCCAGGCAAUCCUCGCCCCACGUAGACUUCAUUCUCCCCGCCGAAUAAAUGGAAUAUGUUACGGAUGAUCCAGCUGGCACGAACGUGCCAUCUGGCAACACGUCAUCCGCCACGACGUGCUUUGAAUCCUCCGGCACGGACGGGUAUAACCGGAGAGUUUCAGACAGUGCAGCUUUCAUGUACACCAAUCGAUCAAGCUCCUCGACAGCCAAGGGUUCGUCGAUCCAGGUCGACACGUCAUCGCCACGCGUCUCGAUCAAAACACGGCAUAAUUCGCCUAGGAUUAUUUCCUCGAUUGUGGGAUUUUGGAUCAAUGACCAGAAGAACCAGCUCAUCGCUACCGAUGACGUGUCACGUCCAGCUAGGAUGAAGCUGAGUGCCACUUCUUGCAGGUACUUGUCCGAGUAGGAUUCUUUCUUCUUCAUGAACCUGGAUAACAGGUCAUCAUCGUGGUGGGACCCGUCCUUCGGCUGACUCAUCAGCUCGAGCUUCCGUGCAUUGAUGAUGCUGGACAGGUAUUCGUCCACGAGUACGAGGCUUCGGCUCAAGCUGACUUCCAUACCGAGCCGAAGCCAUUUCUUCAGUUUCCAUAUAACUUCGGGAAAGAUGAAGCGCUGCAAUGACGCCUCGGUGGCUCGGUCGAAAGCCGAUGCGAAGCUGUUGUCAGGAAGCCCCGGCGCCAACGUUUGUGGGUCCCUCCCGAAAGCCAAGCCACAGAUGUUGUCAAAAGUGAGCCGGAGCAAGAGGUCUUGCAAAUCAACCGGGCUGGCUUCGAGCUGGGCCGUUUCCAAGAUGGGGCAAAACCUGAGCUUAAUGGCUCGGUUCACCCAGCGAGCCAUGGCCUGGCGCAGGGUCCGGGUGGUGAAUUCCAGUGCGGCCGUCUUACGCUGGAAGAGCCACGUGUCACCAUCGGAGUUGAAGAUCCCCUGGCCAAGUAGAUCGUGAAAAACAGCUUGCCAAGUAGGACCUUUUGGGUAAUUGUCGAAGCGGGUCUUCAAAAUAUGCUCCAAAUUCUUGGGGUCGCAGGUGACCGUCACCAGGCCUUGCUUUCGAGCCAAGAAGGGAAUGGCGCAAAUGGAGGUCUGGUACGUGCCACCGCACGCGCUGAGGUUAUCGGCGAUCCACUCGUGCAUGCGGUCGGCAUUCUCGAUCAGGCCCGGAAGGCUGCCCAGCAAGAGCCACACUCGAGGACCCUUAAAUGGUCUAGAAAUGAAAGUAAACCAGAGCAGAUACGAAAUGAUGCCAGUAAAUAACAGCAGAGCUAUAGCAAAAUCCAUCCCUAAAUUUUUUGGGUUUUGUGAAAGAAAAAGGGAAAAAAAAGGGGGGGGGGAUGUUUGUUCACCUAACUGAAAGCUACCAAGCACAGGCAGCCCUGAAGAGGAGCUAUUUAGAAUGUAUGUUUUCCGCUUGCAUCAAGAAUGGUGGAGUAAGCUGACCUGAGGAAAGUUACAAUGUUUCAGCUGAAAAAGGCAUAAAGGAAUGGUUGAAGCUGCUGCAAGGACAGGUAAGGGGAUGGAGGGAAAGGGAGGGUGGUAAUUUUGGCUAGGGAGUGCUGUGUGAAGGCAAGUUAUGAUUGACAUGUAACAAAAGAGAGAAUGAGUGAGUGAUGGGUGGUACUAGAUGGGAGAAGCAAAUGCACAUGAAGAGGAAAUGGGUACUGCUGAGUUGGGUGGGUGGUGAUGACUGAUGAGAAGAAGCAACUGGAGCAAAACAAAAAGGGGCGAUUUAUAGUUGAGAAAAUUAGAAGGGAGAUUCAAAGGCAAUUACUAAGGCCAGUCUGUUUCUUGAAUUUCACCAUUUCUUUGUGUCUGUCCGACCCUCCCAUCUCUCACCAUCAGAUGCCUCUUCCAUUAAUGCAGCCGUUGAAGAGUUAAAAACCGCUACUGGUAAAAACUCACUAGAAAGAAAAUAAAGAGGGAAGCAACUAUUCCCUAAAUUUACCGGUACCAGCACUAGUACUAGAAACUAGAAACUAGAAAGAAAGAGAGAAAAUACAAAGCAGUAGUAGUACUAAGUACUAGUAAUUAUCAAGAAGACUUUACGGUGGGUGGCUCAGGCGAAACUGCCCAAGGAAAAACGCCAGGACGGACCGACCCUCCUUUUUCUCUCUCUUCAACUAAUUCUUGGCAGGGGGAAAGGAGCCGAGUCUUUAAGUUGCUGCAUUCAAUGAGGGGGAAUAAAUGAGAUUAGUUGAGAAGCCAUGAAAGGAAAUUCCAGGGGCAGAAAAUUCCAAACUUCCCAAUGGAUGGAGGUGAUCAGGAAAAGAGAAAUGAACAGAUCAGUUUUUUUUUUUUUUUGAGAAGAUGGAUUUGCCAGCAAAUUUCCUUUCCUUCAAGAACCAUAAAUGAAACAUGGGUCUGAUCGUGUGGCUGGUUAGAGUUCGGUGAGCGACCCACCAACAUAGCAAUUUAUUUAUACUAGCAGCAAGCAAGUAGCAAUUGUUCUCUCACGUAACAUGGCUGAAAAUUAAAAUCUCUUUCUUUUCCAUCUUUAUCUUUAUCCUCUUGCCCUGCUGCAGAAUACCAAAAUUACCCAGAAUAACAGCAACUCCUCUUAUCUUUGACUCUCUUGAAUGCACAUGGCAGAUGUUGUUGGGGGGAUUCAAAGGUCAACUACACUGUGUCACGGUUCUCCGUGCAACCAAAGUCAACCACUGUGUCAACGAUUUUUGGGCAGAGCAGCACCACCUUAGCCUGAUUGGGAAUUCAAGCAUUUUAUCAUGCCAGAGGGUCAUGCUCAUACGUGAGCAUGAUUCUCAACAAGAACUGAUAAAAACAAUUAAACAUUAAUUUGACCAGUUAAAUUUGCUAUUUAUGAGAACCAAAUAAUUGUACACCAAUCUGAUCAAUAUCAAUUAGUAAAAAAGUUUGACCAGCUUAAUUCGCUAUUUAUUGUGGUCUGUCUAACUACCCAAGACAAGAGGCCAAGACCCAAGUUCCUGGUCUCCUCAUAUUUCUCUUCCCCUGAGGAUAAAAUAAAGAAAUCGGACUCCAGGCAAUGGCCUUGGUGCAAAACUGCUAAGAAAUCGGCCUUGCUGCUGUCCCCGGGACAAACGAAAGUGUUCCCCUUGCUCAAGAGUAUUGCAACGUUUGUGAAGUUACUGGAAGCAAAACCAAGUCAGUCCCCAUGAAAAACAAGCGAUUCCGUGGUAGAAUCGUCAGAAAAGAAAGGAAAACCAAACCAAACCAAGAAAGUGAUGCAGCCUUGAGUGAGAUUUGGGCGGCCAAAAGAAAAACGACAUUGAAAACAUGUUAGUAUAUUAUGUAUGUGGGAUUUGGGCUUAAGUUCUCUUAGAUUUACUUAACAAAUUUCUGUAACAAAGUUUACACAAUUGCAUUAUCAAAAAAAGUUCACACAAUUGGAGAAGGGGCACUAUUUGAACUGAAGACUGAGUGUAGUGGGGCAAAUCUGCACGUGACACGUGUCAGCUCGGCAGGUUGCACGCGCUGGGUCGGCGGUGGAGACUUCACAACUCAUGGGUACCAGCUCGGCAUGCGGAUGCCAGCUCGGCCUCACCUGUUGCUCCCUAAGAUGGGCCUGUGGGCCGCCGCCUCCGAACUUGUAGGAGCUCCCGCACGAAACCCUAAGAAGACUCCGAACCCUACGGGGAUUCUGACUUCUACAAGGAAACUACAACCCACUCUGCCCUAUAUAAGCCAUGCCUAGAGACAAUACAAGGUACGCAAGCACAAGUAUUCUAGACUGUUGCUUCGUGUACAAGCUCACUGACUUGAUCGUCGGAGAUAUUCCGGGGACACCAGUCCCGCACUUGAUCUUUCUUUGUAGGUACGCUAGCUCGGCUUCCUCUCUCAGGUCGAUCGCGCCUGUUCAGCUCGGCUCGCUACAGCUCAGCUCGGACCUGGUUUUUGGCCGUCGCAUCAAUUGGCGCCGUCUGUGGGAAACACGUUUUUCUUCUCUUGCGAAUCAUGCCAAGAACUAGAUCUCAGAGGAAUGCCGAUGGUUCCAAGGGGAACGAGGGGAGCAGUCCCCAACACCCCUCGCCAGGAGAUGGAGGUGCGCACCCUCGCGGAUUCCGCCUGAGCAGUUGAUCCAGGCGGUAGCAGGGAACCUGCCCACCUUUGAGGCCAUUGUGAAUUACCUCAAGGGGCAAGCGGGAGGACAUAUGGGCCAGAGGCCCAAGAACUCGGAGGAGGGUCCAACCGAGUCUAGGACUGGGAGCCCUGAUCCCCAGCUCAAACGUGCGCGCCGGGAGCCCUCAAGUGAGCACAUUGACGUGGGGGAGCCCACUCACAAGCACUCCCGAACUGAGCACCCGGAGCCUGUCCGGAGGUAUUCUAGGGAUGAACCCUCACCUCGGAAAGAGCAGCUCCAGGUGCAGGACGAGCUGGACCUGCUCUUGGAUGCCGAGGCGGACAGGUACAUCGCAUCCCCUUUCGUGCCUGAUAUAGAGAACUACCCGUUGCCCGCGAAAUUCAAGAUACCUAGCAUGAAGCCUUACGACGCGACCACAGAUCCGGAGGAUCAUUUGUUUGCAUUCCUGACCCAAAUGCGUUUGCAGACUGCCGCAGAUGCGGUCAGGUGCAAGACUUUUUCCAUGUUUCUGGAGGGGAAGGCACGUCAGUGGUUCCAGGGGCUUCCCCCCAGGUCCAUUAAGUCCUUUGCUCAGCUUGCUCGGCUGUUUGCAGCCCAAUUUGUCUCCUCACGAGCCUUCUCCAAGAGCAUGGCGCACCUAAUGACCAUUCAGCAGAGGUCUGAGGAAUCCUUACGCGAGUACAUGGUGCGUUUCAAUAACGAGUCCCUUCAGGUCAGGGAUCGCGAUGACAAGGUGGUCAUGGCAGCCUUCAUCAACGGGCUGCGCAAACAGAAGCUCUACACCGAGCUGGUGGAGAGGCCACCCAAGUCGGUGCGGGAGAUGCUAGACCGCGCACACGAAAAGGCCAAUGCGGAGGAGGCCAACCGCUUGAAGAGUGCGCAGGAAAGACUGAGAGACGACAAGCGCAGGAGGGGCACUGACCAGGUGGAUGCGCGAUCUGGGUUGGGCAGGAAGAGUGCCUACGACCGUCCACCCAGGAACCGCUCCAUGGGGGGAGACAAACCCUGGACUACGCUCACUGCGCCCCGCGCUCGGGUCCUCGCGGUGAUGGAGCAGGAGGGGCUGUCCCGACCUCCUCGACCCCUGGGCGGGGACAAAAACAGACGGGACCAAGGGUUGUUCUGCGUCUAUCACCGAGAUGUGGGGCAUGACACGGAGGAUUGCCGUCAUCUCAAGAAGGACAUUGAGAAACUAAUCAAACGAGGUCACCUCGGGCAGUUCAUACGAGGGGACCGAGCUGACCAGCAACGAGGGAGGCCCAGGUCAGAACGACCAAGCUACCUCCGGGACCGACCUCAGGGGCCUCAGGGACGAGCUCCUGAACAGGAAACCCAGAAUCUGGCCGGGGUAAUUAAUACCAUUGCAGGAGGACCGGCUGGCGGGGAUAGUCAUACAGCUCGGCGGCACAAUCGACCUCCCCCCACGGGGGAGAGCUCGGCCAAGCGUCUGAAGAUGUAUGAAGAAAUUAUCUAUGGACCUGAGGACGCAGUCCCCUUGGCCUCCAACAAUCAUGAAGCUAUUGUGAUUGAGGUCAUCACCUGCAAUUACAAGGUGAAGAAAGUAUACAUAGACAACGGGAGUGCUAUAGACGUGCUGUACUACAAGACUUUUAAAGAACUGCAGCUGGAGGAUAGGCAGCUGGUCCCGGUUCGGACUCCAUUAAUCGGGUUUGCAGGUCCUCCCGUGAGGCCGGAAGGAAUGAUCACCCUCAUGGUUACGGUGGGAGCAUCCCCGAAGUGCCGAACUGUUCCGGUAAACUUCGCGGUGGUGAAGGAGCCGUCGUCGUACAAUAUGAUUUUGGGACGGCCCACACUGAAUGCCCUCCGAGCUGUUUGCUCUACGUUGCACCUCAGCAUGAAGUUCCCUACUCCCGAGGGGGUGGCUGAGGUGCUCGGGGAUCCGAAAGUAGGCAGGGCAUGUUACAUUGCUACCCUCAAGGGCAAAGAGAAGUUAGUAGCUCAAACAGUUUGCUUAGAGCCCUGGGAGCUCAUGGAGAAGGGAGAGAGAUUGGAAACGGACGAGGGGUUAACCGAGCUGCCAGUCCAGCCCGGCCGACCUGAGCGCACCGUGAAGGUCGGCAUGGGCCUAGCCGAGCUGGUCAGGAGUUCUUGGAAGUUCUCUUGGAGGAAUAUGCUGAGAUUUUCGCUUGGAGUGCUGACGACAUGCCUGGAAUCCCCACCGAGCUGGCGGUGCAUAGGCUACAGGUGGAUCCCGGCGUCCGACCUGUGAAACAGAAGAAAAGGAACCUUGCUCCUGAGCGAAAGGAGGUCGUCAGAAGCGAGGUGGGAAAGCUGCUGGAGGCCAAGAUCGUUAAGGAGGUCUACUACCCGACCUGGUUGGCCAAUCCGGUGCUGGUCAAAAAGGAGGAGAAAGCCUGGAGGAUGUGUGUAGAUUUCACGGAUUUGAAUAAGGCUUGCCCUAAAGAUUGUUACCCACUUCCCCGGAUUGACCAGCUCGUGGACUCGACAGCAGGUUAUGAGAUUUUCUGCUUCUUGGAUGCUUUUAAGGGGUACCAUCAGAUAGCCUUGGACGAGGAAGACCAGGAGAAGACCUCGUUUAUCACCGAGGAUGGCACAUAUUGUUACGUCACCAUGCCGUUUGGUUUAAAAAAUGCAGGCGCAACCUAUCAAAGGCUGGUAAACAAGUUGUUCCGAAAUCAGAUCGGCCGAAACCUGGAGGUUUAUGUGGACGAUAUGUUGGUGAAAAGUCGAACUCAGGAGCAGUUCAUCUCCGACCUGAGGGAGAUUUUCGAGAUCCUUCGACACUCACGAAUGCGGCUAAACCCAAAGAAGUGCACUUUCGGGGUCAUGUCGGGAAAAUUUCUGGGGUACAUGAUUUCCAAAGAGGGGGUGAGAGCUAACCCAGACAAAAUUAAGGCCAUCAUGGAUAUGGCUCCACCCCGGAAUAUUAAGGAGGUACAAUGCCUGACAGGAAGGAUGGCUGCCUUGAACAGGUUCUUGUCCAAAUCGGCAGUUCGGGGGGCGCCUUUCUUCAAGGUCCUGAAAGGAGGUCGGCAGUUCGAGUGGAACCCGGAGUGCCAGAAGGCGUUUGAUGAGCUCAAGGAACACCUCGUUCGAUUGCCAGCUCUGACUUCCCCCGAGGUGGGGGAGACCCUGUUCAUCUACUUAACUGCGGGAGAGGGGGCGGUAAGCGCAGUGCUGGUGCGAGAAGAGGACAAGUUACAGAAACCAGUGUAUUAUGUCAGUCGCGCCCUACAGGGGGCCGAAUCCAGGUACUCGGCGAUAGAGCGAUAUGUCUUGGCGCUAGUCCACGCAGCUCGGAAGCUGAGGACCUAUUUCCAAGCUCAUCCCGUGGUAGUCAUAACGGACCAGCCCCUGAGGCAGAUCCUGUCUAAACCCGAGUCCUCAGGUCGAAUGGUAAAAUGGGCGGUGGAAUUAUCAGAGUAUGACCUAGGAUAUCAGCCCAGAACGGCCGUCAAAGCUCAAGCACUAGCAGAUUUCAUAGCAGAGGGCGUUUCUUUCGGGUCGACUGGAGGAGAGGCGGACCAGGCCAGACCGGAUAGGGAAGUUGAGGAUGCGCGCGCCACCAGAGCCACACGAAUCCCGGAAACUACCAAGGCCGUGCAGAUCAGAGAGGCAGUCGAGGUCCCACGGACCAAAGACACUGCUGAGGUCGCCCAGGCCAGUCAGGUAGCGGAGGGCGGAUUGACCAGAGAAGCUGGGGAGACCGGAUCUGCCCCAGAGGCUGCCGAGGCCGAGCAGGCCAUAGACGCAGCGGAGGUCCAACAGGCCGGAGACGCAGCUGAGGUCGCAUAUCCCGAAGAGACUGCCAAGGCCGAGCUGGCCAGGACAGCUGCCCGAGACGGGAAGGAUAGGGAAACAGCGGAGCAAACAGAGCCCACGUGGACGCUGUAUGUGGACGGGGCGUCAAGUAAAGAAGGAUGCGGAGCAGGGCUUCUUCUAAUCAGCCCCACGGGAGAGGAGCUGCCUUACGCGUUAAGGUUUGAUUUCAGAGCCUCUAAUAAUGAAUCUGAGUACGAAACUCUAAUUGCAGGAAUGGAGAUGGCUCGGAAGUUAGGGGCCAGAUCGUUGAAAGUCUAUAGCGACUCGCAGCUGAUAGUCAACCAGGUAUAGGGAAGCUACGAGGUCAAAGAGGGGACGGUGAGAAAAUACGUGGCCAAGACACAUGAGCUGAAGGGCCUGUUCGAGCAGUUCAUGCUAGAGCAGAUCCCGCGAAGUCUGAACAAGAGAGCUGAUGCCCUGUCCAAACUGGCCUCCACCUCGGUUGGCACCCUAGGUCGGGAGAUAGUUGUGGAGGUUGUCAGGAGUCGUGCAUAUGACCAGGUCAGUGCGGCGGUCAUCCAGGUGGUGAGCUCCUGGAUGGACCCCAUUGUUCGAUAUUUGGCGCAGGGGGAACUCCCCCCGAGCAGGAUAGAGGCCCGCAAAAUCCUCCUUAAGUCGCAGAGGUACACGCUCGUGCAGGGAGUCUUGUAUAGGAAAUCCUACUUGCAGCCCUGGCUGAGGUGUAUAACACCUGAGGAAGGGAGCUAUGUCUUGCGCGAGUUGCAUGAGGGCAUCUGUGGCAAUCACGUUGGCUCCAGGGUAUUGGCCAAGAAGGGAAUGCUGGCCGGGUACUAUUGGCCCACCAUCUUCAGAGACUCGACCGAGCUGGUAGCUCGGUGUAAGUCUUGCCAGCUACACGUUCCAGUUCAUCACACUCCCACUCAGGAGAUUAUCCCUCUCAGUAGCCCAUGGCCAUUCUUUCAAUGGGGAAUUGACCUGUUAGGACCAUUUCCACGGGCUCCGGGGGACUACAAACACUUGGUGGUAGCCAUUGACUAUUUCACCAAAUGGGUGGAGGCCGAGCCACUUGGCACAAUCAGCAGUAGGUCAAUUCAGAAGUUCCUAUGGAAAGGCAUAGUCUGCCGAUUUGGCAUCCCUAGGGCUCUCGUCUCGGACAACGACCGACAGUUCGCGGAUCGCUCGCUACAAGAGUGGUGCACUGAGCUCGGCAUUCGGCAACACUUCACCUCAGUAAGGCACCCCCAGGCCAAUGGACAGGUCGAGAAUAUUAACAGAACCAUCCUGCACGGUCUGAAGACAAGGAUAGAAUCCGCUCGGACGGGUUGGUUGGACGAGCUGCCCACUAUAUUAUGGGCUUACCGGACUACUCCUCGAACAGCUACCCAGGAGACUCCCUUUGCUCUGGUAUAUGGGGUGGAGGCGGUGAUCCCUGCGAAAAUUGGGAUGCCAUCAGCCAGGGUGCAACACUUCGUGGCCCAGGGCAACAACGAGGAAAUGCGACUCGACCUAGAUCUGCUCGAGCAUAAAAGGGAAGAGGCGGCUAUAAGAAUGACUAAAUAUAAGAGCCAGGUCGCACGCUACUACAACGCCCGGGUGAGACAACUCUCCUUCAAGACGGGGGACCUGGUGCUACGCAAAAAUUCUGUGAGCCGAGCUGGGGGCACAGGCAAGUUAGAUCCGAAUUGGGAAGGCCCUUACGUCGUAAAAGAAGCUGAUCGAGCAGGGUAUUGUAAGCUAGCUCGUCUGGAUGGAGGCGAAGUCCCACGCACGUGGCACAACUCAAACUUAAGGCUUUUUCUUUAGUACCCUGACCGAGCUGCGAGUGGCCAGCUGGACAGGUCUGUCUUUAUUUUUGUUAUUUCGGUAUUUGGGAUUAUCCAUGUACUCAAAACUUUGAAAUAAAAAAGAAAUUCGUUACAAGUGUUGGUUAAGAGAAAAGGUCAUGCAUUUUAUUCCAAAAAGGCAUAUACAAGAGGGGGGCCAUACAAAAGCGAGCUGGCCAGCUCGGUCCCUAGUCUAGCUUAAAACCUACAGACCUAAACCGCUUAGCUCUCUCCCUGCUGUUCCUGCUCUGGUUCGGGAGAGAGGGCGGGAAGGUUGGGGUCGGCGAUCAAGGCAGCUAGGUCGCGCCCAUUGAGAUAGCCUGUGACAAGCCUGUCAAUUUGGUUGGUGGCUUGAGGGUUGUAAUCAAGCCAUUUGUCCAGGUCAAAGCCCGGCAAGUUCUGGGACUGCACGUCAAGUAAGGCUUUUGUGUAGCCGAGCUGCAGGACAGGACCAUUCAGGAGGGCCAAGUCGUUCAUGAAGCGUUCAGAUUUCUUGAACUCCUGGACGCCCUGCUGACGCCCCUCUUCUCUUGCCGCCUCCACUAGCUCGGCAGAUUUUUUCUGCUCUGCCUCCAGAGUCGCGGCCAGGUCGGCCGCUUUCUUCUUUUCCAAUUCGCAGGAGGAGUUGGCGUCUGCGAGCUGCUUCUUCAAGGCCUCCAGCUCGGUCUCUGCAGCCUCGAGGUGGCUCGACAACUUCUCCUUGGCAGCAUCAACCUGGGACAGGUUGACCCCCAUGUUUUGAUACCGCUGAGCCAGCUCGGCCCCCACAACAUUGAGCUGCAUGUCAAUCAUGAGAUAAGUAGGCAGCAAAACUCGGAAGGAGGCCAAAGGAAGUGCUAGUUAAGGAGCUACCUGGGUGGUGCUGAGGUAGAAGUGCUCUAGCAGCUCGGCAUUGGAGGCAAGUUGGAUGAAGUGGUGAUCGCGGGGGAGCACCGCGCCCCUGACGAGCUCCUUCGCUACUUCAGGGAACUGAGCUCGGUCGUUCACCGACAACCCCCACUUUGGGCACAAAUGGAGGGGGUGGGGGUGUGAGCCCAGUUCGGUAGAGGGCUUCAUGGGAAUCACAUUCCUCAUGCGCCACAUAGCGGGGGGAGAUUGUGACGAGGCCUGCUGCUCGGCGGAGCUCACCCCGUAAUGAGAGGUAACGGCAGUAGAGGGCUCCUCCUGGGAUUGGGGGGAAGCCGCCUCUGUCCUGGCCUUCUUGGCCGUGAAUUUCUUUCUUUUCUUCUUGGGUCCCUCCCCCAGUGAAGAAUGGGCGGCAGUCUGAGGAGUGGACACAGGUGGAGGUAGAGGAACCGUGCUGCUCGGCGCAGUGGAAGGCGCAGGAGUUGGCGUGCUCGCGCUACCAGCUCCGCCAAUGUUCAGCAGCUGGGAAAAUCUCUUCACUGCAGGACAAAAACACUCAGUCAGUUAGGGUGAUGAGGACUCAUGGAAGGGAGCAGGUCGAGAAAAUUACAAACUGUCAGCUCCUCGGGGGUGAUAGGUCGGAGAUCGGGGGCAGGGUCGUUCACCUCUGCUCGGAUUAGCCCCGCCGACCAGAGUUGGGCAUUGUUAAAUUCCUUCACCUUCAGUUGAGCUUCCGAGCUGACCAAGCGGUCAAGCUCGGCCUCGGGCAGAGGAGAAGGGAUGGGAUCGGUUACCUGGGUAUCCUCUCUCCAAGUUAGGGGAGGAAACCCAGUAUUCUUCAAAAAAAAGAAGUGGGCUUUCCAGCCCUUGAUGGAAGAAGGCAUAUGAGUGAACAGUUCGCGGGUGGGAAGUUCCCCUCCGCUCCUGCGAGCAAAGUAGAACCAACCGUGAACUGGGCCGCUUACCUUCAUCUGAAAGAAGGACCUAAAUAAAUUCAGGAAAUAAGGGAUUUCAAGAGCUCGGCACAAAAUAAAGAAGUCGAGGAUGGACCGAAUGGCGUUGGGAACGACCUGGGUGAUUCGAAUGCCCCAGAAGGUCAGGAUGUCAUAAAGGAAUUGGGGAAUAGGAAGGCGAAAACCAGCCACGAGCUGAUCCCUGUAAAUAGCUACAAACCCGGAGGGGGGUAGGCAAGCGUACUCCCCUGGCCGGGCUGCCCUAGCCUCGAGCUGGGGAGGGAUGUCAUACCUCCCCACUAGCUCAUCUACGUCCCCCUGGUCGAGAAGGGGGGGAAUAAUUUCGACUUCUCCAAAGUCGAUGUCUGGCCCCCUAGGGGGUCCUGCCCUAGAGCGAGCUGGGGCUACCUCCAGAGGAAUCCCUGGGACAGCAGUUCCAGCCCCGGGCUGAGCAGAUGGGCCAGGUUGGUCCAUGGCUAUAGCAAGAGGUGGGGCUGGGGGAGGAAGGUAUUCAGAAUCAGACGAGCUGGAAGAAGAGGGGCUGGAGGAAGGUAUUUCUAUGAAUGCAGGUCGGGUAAUCCUACGCCUAGGUGCUGAGCUGGUAAGGCCUGAGUAUGUGGAGGAAGACGACAUAAAAAGAAGAAGAGGACUUACUGGUGGAUAAAGGAGAAGAGCUGAGGUGUGCUUAGAAGGUAAUCCUACUCUCGGACGACCUCACGGAAUGCGGAGCGAGCUGAAGAGGACUGGAGGAGAAGAGAAAAUGAGAAGGAAGACUUGAAAGUGACGUUCGGUGGGGCCUAUUUAUAGGCUCCCCGGGCGGGAAGCCGAAAAGUCCCGAGGAAGAAGUUCGAAUUUAUGGCAAGGAGGCGGUUACCUUGGAAGACGCAUGAGCUGACAAACCGCCAUCAUGAAGGACGUGACCCUUGAAGUGACGGUUACUACGACGGACGUGGCAGUUCCUCGGAGGAGAUACGUGAUCAGAGGAUCGUGGGUCCCGCACGACUCCGACGUGACGCUUCGAAAUUUGAUCCAGACCCACGUGACUCAUCAGUGACUCUAGACUCAAGGGGGCUAGUGUAGUGGGGCAAAUCUGCACGUGACACGUGUCAGCUCGGCAGGUUGCACCCGCUGGGUCGGCGGUGGAGACUUCACAACUCAUGGGUACCAGCUCGGCAUGCGGAUGCCAGCUCGGCCUCACCUGUUGCUCCCUAAGAUGGGCCUGUGGGCCGCCGCCUCCGAACUUGUAGGAGCCCCCGCACGAAACCCUAAAAAGACUCCGAACCCUACGGGGAUUCUGACUUCUACAAGGAAACUACAACCCACUCUGCCCUAUAUAAGCCAUGCCUAGAGACAAUACAAGGUACGCAAGCACAAGUAUUCUAGACUGUUGCUCCGUGUACAAGCUCACUGACUUGAUCGUCGGAGAUAUUCCGGGGACACCAGUCCCGCACUUGAUCUUUCUUUGUAGGUACGCUAGCUCGGCUUCCUCUCUCAGGUCGAUCGCGCCUGUUCAGCUCGGCUCGCUACAGCUCAGCUCGGACCUGGUUUUUGGCCGUCGCAUCACUGAGCAAAGACUACGACAGACUAACAGAGUAGCUCAAAGGUAACGAAAGACGAAUAAACAAUGGACUAGAAGAAGAAAACCCAAAAACAAAGGAACGUAAAAAACUCAAGACUGACGGGUACAGUAUAUACUUUUGCCGCCGCCAUAUUCUCAACUGCAUGUAAGACGCUCAUAUUAGACCUCUCAUAUGCUGCCAAAUAACAUUCUGCGCACAAUCAAAAUAGCGGAAAUUGCUACCUUGCUUUUUAUAUAAUUAUACGUUUUUCUUCUAAAGGAUCUAGGAAGUUCUAAUAUAGUGUCCAAAAGUGGAAUUCCAUUUCUCAACAUAAGUAGAUAACGUGCCAACAACUUUGUCGUCCUCUCGCGUGCCCGGCAUGUGGGUUAAGAACUUUAUACUCUUCGCGCAUCGCGCGACAAGUUCUCAUCUUCUAUCUACUCUGUCAGUAUCCCAUGUGCCUUCUGCUGCGUCUUUUGCCACGUCGAUAUACUUGUUGCUCUAUCUAGCAGUUCUGAACCCACUGUAUUCUCUCUCUCCUUCCUUUUUUGGAUAAUGUUGCUCUCUUGCUUAUCUGGCUGUUCUGAACUCUGGUACAAGAGCCUCUCUUCUUACCACGCAGGGAGCCUCGAGCCUCGUUCUCUAGGUUGCGGUGGUCCAGGAGUUUGAUUCUCCUCCUCUUCCUCCGUUGUCCUCUGUCCCUCGCGUUCCAGAUCAGCUGCCAUCCGUUCAGAGCUCCUCCUUCUUCUCCUUUUCAGGUGAGGUGCGGUCUUCGCUGUGAGUUUCCUCUGUAAGCUUUAACCUGGAAACUGAUUUUUUUUCCUUUUGUUUCUUCCUUUGUUUUCCUUUUUGAGUGGCUCCUAUUUUGCUCUUGAGAGAGGUCCGCUCUUGCCAACCGUUUGGUUCGUCUCCUCCUCGUUCGUAGUAAGUCUUCACCUUCCUUUCCUCUGAGGAGAACCUCUUUCGUUUUGCCUUUUCUCUGUAUGUUUUAGCACAUAAUUGCUAUUUUCGUCCUUUGCUGCUUCCCUCCGUCUUUUUUCCCUCCCCUUCCGGAGACCUUCUGGUUUUCUCUAGGGAGAGGUACGACUGUGCUCUUACGGAGUUUUUUUUCCCCCUCCACAUUGCGCUUUGUCUGGUUUGGUUGUCCGGUGUUAGAUCUACAUGGGUUUGGUGUUGGUAUGCGUUCCUUAAAGCUCCAGCGGUUCUUCCUCGAAAGCUCGAAAGCAUGUAGUCCAUGCGUAGUUGUUCAUUUUGCCAUUUGGUCUUUUUGGUCUCUGGCUUGUUGCGUUUUUUUUCCCUCUUGUUCUUGGCCUUCGCCCUUUGAUAUUUGUUUUGCCCAAGGAAAUAAGCUCUGUUCUACUUCGUUCUUUGUCUCUGGGUUUGUUAUGUUGUUGUUUAUUCCAGUCAUUACAACUAGGGAUCUGCUUCUUCAAAGGAGUGUUGACUCAUGGAUUAUUAUCUUUUUCUUUUUGCUUCCUAUCCCUGAAUAUUAUGUUUUGAGUGUGUUUUUUUCCGUUGCUUCUGUUUUGAUUGUUCUAUGGCAUUUUCCUUUUCUUUUGGUCCUGUUACGCAUUCGGCCUCUAAAUAUCUUUAACAAACUUGUCAAAUUGCCUCCUCCCGCGGUUCUUAUCCUGGAUUCCUUUUUUUAUUUUUUUAGCUGGCCAUGGAUCCUCUGCGUGUGUCUGAGAUCCAUGGUUUCCUGCCUCAGUGGACCUCUGUGAUCUAGGUCAUAGAGGUAUCUCAUACUAAAACUACCCAUGCAAAUCGUGCAUCAAGAGUUUAUCGGCGCUUCGUCUUUUCUGAUUCGCAUGUACGCAUUGCCUUCUUGUUCUUACUCUUCAGCUAUUUGUUUCUUGUUUUUCCUCCUGUGAUUUUUUUUUACUCUCCUUAGGUGGUUGAUAGGGUGUAAAGGUUUCUGCUAUUACCUUUGAUGAUAAUGUUGCUCGUACUAAAGGUUUACUUGCUCCUUUCAAGAAGUACUGCAUUAGUGGCGCUUCUGUUGAGGAAAUUCCCAAACCUGCUCCCGUGAAUUUGUAUCGGUUCUUUUGGAUUAUAAAUAGGGAUACUUUGAUCAAAGAAGUCUUUGGGCCUGAAACGCCGACGUUUCCCCCUUAUUUUGAUCUUACCCCUUUCACCUCCUUCCAAUAUUUGGCUGACAGUCAAGUCUCUAUAAGUAAGCUUUUUUUUUUGUUCUUUUUUUUGUGCUAUCCUUUUUUUUCUCCUUUUGCUUGUUAGUUUCUGCACAUUACCUAUCGUUGGAUUACUUUCCACCAGACAUGAUAGGAAUUGUUUUGCAUGCUUUGCCGAUGAGGGAGUGAUGUUCCCUCUGUUAUUGCCAGAGACUACGUUGUUAUUGAUCAGAGGUUGUUCUCGCUACUACUUUUCCUGACUACUAUUUAUUUUUUCUCUGUAUUCAUUGGCUUUUUAUAUUUGUUUUCUCUAGUAAUAUGCCUAUUCUUUUGACGCUUACUGGUGAGCUUGAAUCUGAAAUCGGGAAUGCUAUAGCAGAUACAAUUGGCUCCAUUGAAUCGAAGCCGGUUAUUGUUGAUUUUAGAGUCAGGGUUAAGACUGACAAUUAUGCGUUCCAGCUCUCUUAUGUCCAAGCUUACGUUCAGUUCCUUUUUGUGCUUUUUCCUGCUUCCUUUGAUAUGUUCUAUUCUCUUUCGUCCAGAUUUAUCCCUUUGUACUAAGGCUACUUCGGUUGUUUCGAUUUCUCCGAGAAUUCAGGAAGCUGCACGCCUUGAACAAUGGUUGUCUAUUCCUUAUUUCUACAUUUCUGAAGGAGAAUUUUUUUUUCUUCCUUUAGCCCAUGGCAGCCUUGGCUUAUCGUUACUAUCUUCUGUCUAUCUUCAUGUAGGUACUGCAGCAAUCGUUCUGAGCCAAUGGCUUCUGUUUUGGAUAAGAGAUACUGCAAUCCCCUUUUGCCUCUUCCUCUUGUUAAUGACAACAUGCUGUCUACUAUUUCGGGUGUUGUUGCAGCAAAUCAGUUUGUUAGUUGUCUUAUCCGUUCUGUGUUUUUUUUUUUUUGCAAUUUUUUCCACCUUAGUUUCCUGAACUAACUUCUUUGCUGUUCUUAUGAAAAAACACUUGCUCUUUUCUCAAAGCCUAUAGGUGCUUCGUGGAUUAAAGGCCGAGUUGCUGUUGAUCGAUUGCAUAGGCUCUGGCAUUUGGCUUGCCCGUAUUGCUUUGCACCUAACAACUUUAUUGAGAUUCUAGGAAUUUCUUGUGUUGCCUGUCUUAAGGAUCUUUAUGUCUUUCCUAGGUGCGGUAGUGUUACUUGUUGGCUACGUUUUUUUAUUGCUGUUUGUUUUUACUUGCUGAAUAUAUCUCCGUCUAGUUGCUCCUUUAAUUCUAAUUGCCUUAUUUUCUGCUCUCAGAGCACGUGUUAAGUUGGCUGUUACUGAUGGUUCUACUUCCAUUGAUGUCGUUGCUUUGGGUUAUGAAGUUAAAAAACUGAUAGGCUUUACUGCAUACCAACUUAGCCAAGCUGAACAUAAGGUUUCCUUCAGUUUACUUGUUGUUAAUACUUGUUCCUUACACAUUCUUUGUGGUGCGUUAGUUUUGCUGACAUCUGUUGUUCUUUGUAGGGUGUUAACCUAAAUCUGCGUGUUGCUGAUGCUCUGAUGGAAGGGUCUUGUGCUGCUACGUUAGCCGUUCUCCUAAAUCCAUUCAAAUGACCGGAGUCAGUUUCACUAUUGUUACAUCUUACUUGAUUGGAGAAGCUAGACCUGUAAUUGAUUAGCAUGUACCUUUCCUGAUAAUAGUUUCACACUUUUAGGCUACUUUGUCCGGUUAUCAGUGGAUUAUGAUUUUGUGAUGUGAUGCUUUCUAUCUUUUGUAAGAAUCGAUUGUGUUGCAAUUUAUUAGAAAACUGAACAUAUGCUUUUGCAAACAGAAUGCGGCCAAUUGUUCUGUCUCUUUGGAACAAGUUUGUUGAGUCUGAAGGAAAUAUUCUUGUGCAGCUGCUAAAAAAGAGGUCAGUUCUUAUUUGCCGCAGUCUCAAAGUUGUCUCUUAUAAUGGUAUCGUUGCUUCAUUUGCUUGUCAAUUUGUACACUUGGUAGCAUAUUUCAUUGUUUUUUCCUAUUUUUUAUGUACUUUGCAUUCCUCUUUCUGUCAGGAAUUGCACUCUCCACUAGAAAUGAUUCGGUGCUUCUCAUUGAUCCACCUGUUGGAGAUGCAAGCCAGUUGAAAAAUUGGUUAGUUUGAAGUGUUUCUUUUCACCUUCUCCCUAUUUCAAACUUAUCAACUGUAUAUUGUGUUUGCUACUUAUGUACUUGCUAUUAUCUUCUAUCAAAUGGCGAUGAGGAAUGAGAGCCAGUUGCUACAUUGGUUCAAGAAAAAAUGUAUAACAUGCAUAGUCCCAAUAUGUUUCAUCAGUCAAAACACAAGCUUUCUACUUACAGGCUGUUCUAACAACCUAUAAGGCUAUUAUAUUAGAAUACAUGCAAUUUUUAAUGGAACCAGAAAAAAUGGUACACAUUUUAGUUUUUAUUUGGAUGUUCACAGCUCGCCUGGGUUAAGGCUCGUUUCUGUUUCCAAAACAUAUUCCAAAAAUAUUGGUAUAUGUCUUGUGCUAAGUGUCAUCGUCAGACAUCAGCCAAUUAUGAGUACACUUUUACCUGCAAUCACUGUAAUGAAAGACAAACUGCGACCCCGAGGUAAGCUGCAUAUUCCUGUUUACUAGACAUUAAUCUUUACUGUUGAAGCAUUUCCUAAAUUUUUUCAUGCUGUUUAUCCUUCGAACCAGGUGCCGCUUUGAUUUUGAUCUCACUAAUGAUACAGGCGUUAUGACAGCCUCCUUAUUUGGUGAAUUAGCUGAGCAAUUGCUUGGAACUUCUGCAGUUGCUGCAAUGAAUUUUUAUAACAAGGUUUAUAUUACACUGGAUGAACUAACGCUCUACUAUGUAAAACAGAAAGUCCAUAUUAUGAAACCCUUUGUUGCUGCUUCUUGCAUAGCUAUUUUGCUGAAUUGCUCCUUAGAAUGAAGAACUCCCACUCGAACUAAUUCAUGACACAUUGAAGUCCAAGACAUUCAUUGCUCAAGUUAAGCCUGGAACACCAAAGAUGAUAGGACUUAUCAGCGUUAUACAAUUGUUUAUUACUUUGAAGACAACAAGGACCAUAAGCUCUUUGAGGAACAACCCCUAAAUAGUUCUCAUGUGGCCAGUCAACUUUCUGUGGCUGCUACUCCAAGUUGUUGCUAGAUGCUUAGACAUAUACUUUUUUAAAUACUCCUUCACAGUUCUUUUUUAUGAUUCCUUCACGGUUCUUUUUUAUGAUUCCUUUUUGAUUGGUUUAUUACACAGAAAGACCAUAUACUUUUUCCAACAACCAACUCUGCUUUGAUAAAAAGCAAAAUGUUUCUGAAGCAGUAAGUCAGUCUUCUGCUAUUAACAUUUCAUGUGGCUCCUACCCUUUCCAUUGAUCCCUAAUUUUCAUCUUUGUUGAUUUUUUGUCUAAAGAUAAAUUUGCUUCAUGUGCAGAUAAGCCGUGUGGUUCUUCAAAGACACGCGUUUGCCUUGCAAAAAGAAUAGAGCUCAGUGAGGAAACUGAAUGUGCUAUAUCAGAAUCUUGUGAUAUCGCUAGCAGCAAAAAACCAAGGAAUGCUUGAUCUGCUCGUCAUUAUCAACAAGUUUUUUGUGGUUAUUCUUGCUGCUAUGUAGGCCUGUCUAGGCAUACGCACUUAUUAUACACCAUAUCAAAAUCUUGUGCCUUCGCAAGUUGCAAAAGAACAGGUAGUGCUUGGUCUAUUCCUGCUCUUGGCCAAUGGUCUUUUGUUGUUGUAUUGUCCGCUGUGUAAACAUGUCUCACUUGACUAUGUUGUCGAAUGAUCUGUCACUUGGAGCAUAUUGAAGACAUUUAAGCUGCUUUAUGUAUGGCCUGUUUCCAGCCUAUCUAUCUUUCCCUGUUGUGCUUAUAUUCUUUAUUUGAUCACCGAGCUAAAGGCACAACUUUCUGUGCAUCAAUUGCUUUGAAUUUCAUAUAUCUACGUCCAAAGAUGUAAUGUUUCUUCAGUUGCUCUCAGCAAUAAAUCCUCUUUAACCCAAUGCACACCUACGGUUUGCUAGCCAAUAAAAUUGCACCUUUUCCACCCUGAUGAUCAUUCACGUCUAUAAAGUGCCUAAUCCUGCUUCUUGACCGCAUUCCAUGUAGUUUUUCACAUUCCGGAUUUCCGAGCUUGCUCUUAACUCUUCUAUGCACAUUACUCUUUCCAUUCAUCCUUCCUAAUGGCCAAACCUAAAAACCCUUUUAGGAAGUGGAAAGCAAUACAUCUCAAAGACAAAAUUCUAUACUACCUUUGCACCUUCGACGGCUCUCAGGUUCAUGCCGCAACUGUUAUCCAAUCAUAUCAAGGAAAAGCAUUAUAUUUUCCCAAAAAAAAUUUCUUUAAAGCCUAUCCAAUGGUUUUAAAAUACAUGGGUAAACCGUCGCUGUACUCUCCUGCCUCGACUGAACAAUGGUUGCAAAAUAUCAUUGAUAUUGGUUCUGAGGCUUUUGCGAUAAACGGUGCGUUCCUUGCUUUCUUAUGCCAUACCAGCACUUCGCUACUUGUAACGAUAACAUAUAGUUCUUCUGCUCUUUAUAUUUUUUUAGAUUGCCAUGCACCUUUGAUGAAGGAGGUUUCAAAAGGAAAUCCAUGGUGUUAUAUUAUGAUGUGUUCAAAUCUACAGAAGCAGGUUUCGUAUAUUAUCUUGUAAAAAUACCAAGAGAAAAGAAUGCUAUAGCUUGUACACUUUCCGUAACGUCUACAUUUUCAUCCCCCCCAGAAAAUUUCCAGUUCUAUUUUUAGAUCAACUGCCUUCGAAAACGGCCAAGUAAUGAAGUUAUACCACGGAAUUGCUGUUUGGCAUGUAACAAUCACUAAUGGGUGCUUUGAACAAGGCUGGGAAUCCUAUUGCAAAGACAACCUGAUUCAUGAAUAUGACUUGCUUUUCUUGCGACGUAGAGGGGAUUUAACCUACGAUGGCCUGGCUUUUGGGACAACACAAAUCCUCACAUUGAUGCCAUGGACACUGCCUUUACCAAUGGUGCAAAAUUGUCAAAAAAAAAAACAAGGAAAUUAUUCUUUUCUGCAUUAUUUCUCCUUAUUUUGCUUUAUUCAUGUUCGCUAAAGCCAAUUGCUUUUCAUGCAAAUCUUACGAUUGACGAAAACUCGAACCGUAUUACAUCGUCCAUACAUCCAUUCUUCGGCCAUAAUUUCACGGCAUCUACUACUUUCUACCAAUUUUAUACUAGGUGCCAUAGAUACGCGUUGGUGAGCAUACACCUUUCUUUUUUUGUUUUUUUCCCCUGUUUGUCAUAUCUUAUACUUAGUUAUUAACAGACCCUUCCACAAUAUAUAACCCCGAGAUUACAUGAAACCAAGACUCCAACAAUCAAUCUCGCUAGUGGACACCAAACAUAUAUAGUCUUGGAAUGACCGCGGCCAAAUUUGAUUAAAACUGGAGCACAUUCAUUACAAACCAUGAACUUCGAAAUGGAAAAGUUCUUCUCUUCAUGUCCCAAUCCAAAUCCUGUUUUUCCAUCGUCAUCUUCGACCGGAAAGGGAAUGAAAGAAUGUAUCCAUGGCACUACAGUUUUACUAUUUAACCCCGUGUUCUUUCCAUUUUAAGUUCGUUUUGUUUAUUUCUCGGGCAUUGAAUGUCUAUACUUUAAUCAGCUUUGUACUAUUGUUUUACAGCUUUACUGCUAACUCCGUUUUCCUUAUUUUUCUAUUUAUACCGCCUUUCUUACACUAUACGUUCAAUCUGGUCAUACAUCAUUCCAACUCAUGAUACUGAGUUGGGCAUUCACAAUUUUAUUCCUACCGUGCAACGCGCGGUUCUUGCCUCCUAGUCUCUGUGAAAAGAUUGCAAUCGGCAAAUAUUCGGCCAUCAAUAAAUUAUUCAAUGUUCAUUCUCUCAUUUUAGACUUGAAAUUAUUAGUAAAAUCCUUAUACUGUAUAAGAAUGAGUUGUGAUUUUGAAUUUCAACCGUAUGAAUAGGGACAUUUUGAGAAUAUGGAAUAAUGUGUAAUUUUUUUAAAGUUUUUGGUACAACUAAUGGCAAUAUAUUUUUGGGUAUGUUUACGGAAAUGCCCUUAUGUUUGUACAUUUAAAACUUUUAUUUAUGUAGAUAUUUGGGUAUUUCUGGAAUAUGAAAUUAUUUUACAAUCUUUUGGUAUCGGGUACAACUUAUAUAAGUUUAUAUGUUUGUGUAAUUACUGAUAUGGUAUUAUAGACACAUUUAAUUGAAAUGUGAUUUUUAUUGUACAAUUAAUUCCUUAUAAUAUAACCCCCGCUGCCUCGAACCUAAUCAAUAAACUUCAACUAAUCAAAAUUCUUUUAUUCCCAGUUAUUUAUACCACUCUAUAAAACUUUUUUUUAUUCCUACCACUCUAUAAAACUAAGAUCAGUUUCCUUUAUUUCCAAUUUUGUUCUAAAGUCAUAUAUUUCUUUGUGUUUAAGGGUGAAAAAGCCAAUUGGGAAGAAAGAUGUCAAGGUAAAAUUAAUGCAAAUUAUUAUAAAACUUAUGUUGGAUGAUCAUUAUCACAAUCACGACUAACUUGUUCCAAUUCUUCUUCUUUAUUUCCUAUUUAAUUGUAUCAAAGUUGUGAAGCUUAUAAAUUAGAAUUUUACUGAUUUAACUACUCCCUUUAGUUUAGUAUAACCUUCCAAAGAGGUAUUUUCUGUUCCACCAAAUUUUUAUUUGCUUGCUUUCACAGAACUCUACGUAUGAUUGUUUUCCACCAGCUUAAUUUCAUCAUUCAUAUGGAAUUUUUGAAACAUAUAGUGCAUGUUUGAUCAUCAUUGCAGGGUUAAUAGUGAAAAUACCACAUCUACAAGCAAACAUUGGGAAAUAUCAUUAACCACUUUCUACUUAUGGCUUCCAACUCCAAUUCAUGUGUGCAAUUUCUUCUCAUUUUGGCUUCAUGAUGGGUUUGUUCUACCAAACAAGCUCUGUUCACAUGAGAGUGUUUUUCUAUUGUAUUUCACCAUUACAAUUGAGAUGUGCUAUCAAAGAAAAAACAAAUUUUUACAUUGUCCUAUAGUGUGGAUCUUUCAAGAGAGUGUGAAGUGCAUUCUCUGUAGGGUUAAAUUGUGACAACGGGUCACUUAUUCCUUUCAAGAAUGCUUUAUGAAAUAGACACAUUGAACUCCCAAAACUCAUCUUUGUUUGUCCAAUGCAACAAAUUUGGUGCCCACAUUACUGAUUGCUUCAGGAGAGGCAAAAGUGCAAAAAUUAUCUUCUAUAAGUUCGCCGAGCCACCUCUUAAGUUCAAUUUAUUAGUUCUCAAUGGAUUUCCAUCAAUAUGAACCUAUAAAUUCAUUUCCUUCUAAAAAUCCUGUUUUUGGAUCGUGUUAUGUUUUGUUUUCCUAUUGAUUAGAACAAUUAUAAAGUCUAUGCUCCAAUCCACAUUAUGCUUAACGGAUUGCUUGAUGAGACCAAAAAUAUAUUAGGCAUCAACUUACUUGGAUUUUGGAUGCACAAAAACUUAGGGACUUUCUCGAUCAUAAUUAAGAUGGAUUGUGCGAUACUUCCAAAUUAUUUGUGUGAUGCUUUUGAACUUUUCAUAAUAUAUUUACAAGGUUGACCCUUUCUUUUCAAGUGUCAGAUUUGUCAAAAUUGAUAUGGAUGAGAUAAAACUAGCUAAGAACAAAGUUAAGUGUAAAACUUUUUUAAUCUUGUAAUGAGCUGUAGUAUAAGGAUGGGAAUUAUCUAUUUGACAUUAAAAAAAAAAGUUUUUGCUCUCAUUUGUUAUGUUGAUGUUGAAUAAUAAAAAGUAAUAUAUUAUAACUUCAACUUUGGAUGUUUUCUUAUUAUGUUAUCCAGUUAGUCUUUUUUGACAUUUCCUUCUAUGUUCUUGAUUAACAUACGUAGAAGAAAUACUGUGUGCACUUGAAAAUUAACUUUAUUUUUGUGUAGGGUGUGAAAGGAUUUGUUUAUGAAUAAUUGUACUUCAACUAUAUGAUACUUAUUUUAUAUACAUUUUUUUAAUAACUUAUAUUUGCAAUACUUUUUGCUUUCUCAAUCUUAUUGUGUUUUCUUAAAAAUUAUGUAAAAAAAUUUUAAAUAAAGACACCCAAUCCCCUAGUGCUUAGUAGAAGACUUUAGACAUCCCGGAUAAAAGACUGCGAAAUUUUUGCUCUAUUUUACGAUUGAUCCUCCUCCAUUUGUUCCAUUUCAUGGUGCCAGACGUAUAAAUUAGUCAUGUCCCUUGCCAGUUGCAACCAUUCGGUUAAGAGCUCUGCGUUUCUAAAUAAAACAUUCAUAAAAAAUAAGAAUCAGAGUAUUAGCCAUCAUUGAACUUUAGUUCACUGCGCUUCAUCUCUUUGAGUUUCAGGAGGGAUCGUAUCAGAGCUGAGCUUGAUUUAAGGUUGUAGGAUGAGCGCCCACCAACUCUAAUGAAAUCUCUCCGUCAAAUAUGGGCUUGCAGGCAGGAUUGAAAUUUCAGCUACAUCUCCAGAUCAACAGGUACAUGUGCCAGGCUGCCAGCCCACAUCAUUAAUAGAUUUAAAUUCUAGAAAUUGAUUCAUUAUAGGUAGAGGCAAUAUCCAAGCCAAGUUCCAAGACAUUCCUGUUCAUCUAAAAGUACUUCAAGUAUGUGACCUCUGACGAAAGCAACACUGCAUUUUAUCAACUUAGCCAUUCUCGAAUCUUCAGAAAACAGCUAACAAUCACGAGAGUUUCAGAAUCUUAGCAGGCAUUAUAUACCAAAAUUUAAAAUAUACUAUUAAUUUUCCAAUGCAAAAUUAGAAAUCCCAUACCUCUGAAGUUAGAUUUGCACACUCAGGUCAGAUUUACUUAGCAAAUGCUAUAGAUCAAGAAACUCAGGAAAGGCAUCUGUCCGUAAAUGCAUGAUGAAGUAUCAAAUACACGGAAGAUGUAUUUUGCUAUUUAUCUGCAUACUACAUGAAAAAGGCUUUGACAAAUCAGCAAUCCUUCUCGUGUCAUUGUCUCUAAUUGGCACAACUUUUCCACAUCAUUCUUAUUCAAUCUAGCAAAAGCUCCCCAUAGUCCAUGAAGAAUUACACUCUUUACACUUUUUUGCAUAUUCAGCCAUCCUUUCAAGAGAGUUUCUCCCAACAAACCUUAAUUCCACUCACCAUGUUUCUGCCAUUACCACAUGAAUAAUUCUACUAAGAUUGCAUAUGAUGUUUUGUAGAAUAUCUAUACCAAACAGCUAUCAAAAGUCUGUGCCAGCCAACCAUUCAAGUUCAGCAUAUCUCAGACUUUGGCAAGCGAGAAACUGAAUAGCAGCUGGAAUUGAUACUGUAAUCUUAAAAAGCUCAAAUGGACUCCAUCAAAAUGUUUGUAUUCCAUCUCUUUUUAUUGAGAGAUCUUGGAAAUUAAAUAAAAUAGGACUGUGCAACCCCCCCCCCCCAAAAACAACCAGUGAAUAAAAAGAAUAGGAAAAAAGGACAAAGGAAAAAACUCUCAGAUCAAUCGAAUGAUGAGAUGCCUGAAAUAGCUAAGUCAGCAGCUUUCUCAGCUGCUUUUGAAUUUUGAAAAUCCAUUUGGUGCAGCUGAUUUUUUUUACUUUAUGUCUACCAAGGAUCAGAUGAUCAUGCUUGACAAGCAUGAAUAAACCUAAUUGAAACGUCAAAAAGAUUGCCAGCCGAUCACUCUUCUCUUGUUUUCCCCUUGGAGAACAAGCCUGAGUUAAUGAAAACAUUAAUGGAUAUUAUCUUCUGUACAAGUACUUCGAGAGAGGAAAUUUUACGCUCCUUGCAACCUGUUAGUGAUUUUCAGUAAUCAAAUCAGAAUAUCCCUGGAAUGGAAGGGGAAAGGUGGAAAGCAUAUAUUCCAAAAUCUAAUGCAAUUUAGAUUAGGGGCUCAUUUGCAGUUACCUUUAAAACCAUAUCUUCAGACACAUUAGAUCGGUAUCUUGUUGAACCUUCCAAUGGGCAACUCCCUCCUUUGGUGAUAAAAUUAGCAUUGCAAAGACUCGAAAGUUGCAAGAGUACGUGAGACCCAAUAUAGCCACUAUCACCCAUGGUCGCCCUAUUUCCUUGACCUUCCACAUCUGGAGAGUACUCUGCAACAGAUGUUAGACACUGAAAAAUGGCUAGCAGUCUUUCCAGUGGGAAAGUUCCGGGACCCUUCAUGAGUAAUUCCUGUUCAGCAGUUUCCUUCUGUUCCAAUGAUUUUGCAGAGCUCCUGAUAAGAUAACAAGGAAAAAGAAUCAGCAAAAAAAAGGCUUCCUAAGAUGACUCAUACAAUGCUGAGAAAAUGAUGCAACAAGAAGCAAGACUGCAGCCUUUGGGAACAUAUUCGUAAAGGUUUAGCAAGUUUGGACAAUUCAAGUUGCAUCUGACAGUCAUGAACCCUACAGAACAGCGAAAUAUCUUUCAAAGUUCUUUUUUUUUUCUGAAACUACAAAUGACUAUUGUUAGGCAGAGUUAAAAACCAGAAUGUAAAAAGACUCCACAUAACAAGGCAAAAAGAAAACAAAGUACUUCUAUUUUUUUUCCUACUAUGAAACCUAUGGGUCUUUAGUAAAUCAAUUAGACACAUCAAACAAAUGAUGAUUUCAAUGUUAUUUAUUAAAGCUGCAUUUAGAAACAAAUAAAAUGGAAGAAAAUCUAGAUUGCACCAUACUGCCUUCGAGCAAAUUAUGGUAACCAUGUCCAUUGCUGAAUUUGGGUGGCAAGAAAUGACACACAAAUUAAAAUCAUAUGCUUCUUCGGCCAUGGACAGCAUUCCUGAUAUUUAUUCCAGCCAACAUUUUUUAAAAUAAAUGCUCCUCUAGUUUGUUGAAAGAAUCACAAGCAAAAGGCCCAAUGGAAUUAGACGUGAAAUUUAGCUAUUUUCUUGGACAGAAGUCCUAUGACACCAUAAUGACAGCAGAACACAGCAAAAAAACCAUGAGAGAGUAAAAGUUAAGCCAUGGAGCACAAGCAUGUACCGAUUUGACAUGUAACUUACUUUCUCUUUCGCUUUCGGUUAUCAGAACCACCAGUGGAAUCAAAGAAUGAGGCAUCAAGUGUAGCUGGGUUUCUUGAAGCAAGAAAUGCAGAAAUAAGAAGAAACUUUGCAGAAGUAGACAUAUGGAAGUCUAACUCAUUGGAUGAUGUACAGGCUUCCAACUUCUUUACGAUGCCCUUCCGCUCGUUGUCUUUGCUCCUUGAGGCACCAGAAGUAAGUCCUGCUGAAACUCGAAAUGUCUCAUUCAGGGAGGGUGCAAUGUGCCUUUGUAAAUGCCCAUAUAAUUUUCUCUUCAUAUCUUCAUUAGGCACAGCUCCCAAGUCACCAAGAGGCUCACAGUAUUUCUUAAAUAAUGGCAACAAUGCUGUAGAUAAUUCAUUAACUCGUCUUGUAAUUCGGCAAAAUGGUCUCAGUACCACACUGUUUCCCAAGAAACACAAUAACAUUAUAUAUCUAUUAUGUUAAGUAGGAGUUUAAGUACAACAGGCCACAGUACAAGCAGAGGAGGGUGAAGCUACCAUACUUACUCAAGGAAUGAAGAGUAGAGAUUUUUGUUUACUUGAUGCUUCAAUAAUAUUUGACGAAGAUCAUCUUCUGAAUAAUCAGGAAAAUGAAAAGGAAAUGGCUCUACAAAACCUGUGUCUGCGUAAUACGUAUCUAAUGAAUUGUUACUGAUAAAUAUCAAGCCAACCUCCGGCAUCCUCAAGAUAUCAUACAGGUUGAACAAAAAAGGCAAUAUAGUAGAACUCUUCUCCCAUUCUUUAACAAGAUUUAAGCUGUCAAAUAUCAAGUAAACCAUCUUCCCGUUAGGCCAUCUAGCUGCCUUCUUUGAGCCUGCCUUCUCCGCAUUCCCUUGGAGCGUACCAAUAACACCACUCAAAGCUUCCCUCAGCAAAUUUACAAAAUCAGAGGGCUUGUCACAUCGCUUGAUACUUGAAUAGCCAUUGCUGUCACUCUUCCUAUGAAGCAUUAGCUGGUUCAAAAUAGAUUCAAACAGUAUCCUCGGACUAUAACACGUAAUACAACUCGCAUAAACAAAGGGGCGGCGAAGAUGCCUAAAUAUGUUCAGAACUAUACUCGUUUUCCCGGUCGAAGAACCUCCAUAUACAAAUGUGGGAAACAUGGGAGAAUUCACAGGACCAAGAAGGCUCAUCAGCUCAAUAAUUUGACCUCGCCUUCCGGGAAAGCUACUGAUCAACUCUUCCAAGCUUAUUGGUGAAUUACCGUACAAAAGGUCAUUAACUGAGAGAGGCUUCAAAGCACAACUCUUGGAGGAAUCGACUGCAUUUUCAGAAUUAGCGGCGGAUAAUCUUGUGGUUCUUCUUGUAAUUUGUGGACUUUCUUCGCUACUCAUUUCCUUACGAAUUGCACGAAUUCUGGAAUUUCUUUUUUAAUUUGAGAAACCCUAAAAUCACAAAAGUAAAAGGACAAAAAUGAAUGAAGCUGAAUAAAAACUUAAGCAUAAGAUAACGUUAUUAGAAUUGAAAUGGGAAAAAAGACUAAAUAAGAAUUACGAAGCAAUGAGAAAAACUUGACACAGUUAUAAAAUGUACUAGUUAAACGUUUUUCUUGAAAUUCCACUCAAUCCGUGGACAUGAAAUUUGUGUAUAAAUAUGCAAAUCUGUCUUGUUAGUUCAUAUCUGAGGUUACCUGAUCGGAGAAUUUGGCUGCGAAAGUUGCCGGAAAAUUAAAGGGCGCGAGGGGUCAUGUUGAACAGCUGGCAGAAUUUAAAAACCCUACCAAUUGGUGGAGAAGAAGACAUUCAGAAGGGUUUGAUGCUUUCCCGCCAAAUUCUUGUACGUCGAUCGAGUGUGGUCGGGUGUAGCAUAUUGUCCAACUCCUUCAGAUCUCUUUUUUUUUUGGGGGCUUCUUGGGCUAUUUGGGAGACUACCGGCCCAUUGCAAGGGAGUACUGGCUUCUUGAUUCGAAAAAUAAUUGACUAUCUUCUUUUUUUUUUUUCAAGUCAAGAUUUUAAAUUAGAAUUUCUUAUUUACCAUAUCAUUCUCCCUAAUCACCCAACCCAACCAUUCUUCAAAAUUAUUAACCGUCAUAAUACGAUUUAUAAAUACCAUACUCAUGAUUCUAAUCCACUUAUCAGAUAAUGAAUCCUAAUUUCUUGUUGGGUUUUAAAAAAUCUUUUUUUAUACCCCGCAAUUCUAAACUAAAAUCAUUGAAGUCAGGUGUAUGUUAGCACCGCAUUUAAGGUAUGAGUUAGACACAACAUUAUGUUUUUUGUACUUUCCUGCAUUUUUUUUUUUUUUUUUGGGUUCAAGGGAGCCUGCAGUCAAAAGGAAUUUACUCCAUAUUCAGAUCGAACUCGACUUAAUAAGACUUCAUUAGAAUUUGGUUGGCUAAUUAGUUAAACCAAACUUGAAUAGUGUUCUUUUCUGGUAAAGGUAGGUGAUCAGAAUGAGGUUGGUCCUAUCUUUAGCUGGUUCUUUUCUGGUAAUCCAUGGCUGGAGGGUUCAGUUGGAAAGUGCUUUACUCAAAUGAGGUUAAAUUCUACGCUUGCCUUGUUAUUAAGACUGACUUUCUUUCCAGGGAAUUUUCUCGUUGUUAAUGUUUGCACGCCCAUAAAAACGUCCACAUUCACAUGCUAGCGUAAAAUAAGUACUUUUCUUGGAAAAGACGGAACAUAUGAACAUCUCCUCAAUCAAAUCAGACGAUGAUAUUGAACAACUAAUUAAUGAUAAUGAAUUAAUAGAAAUUAAUAAAUUUGCAAAAAUAGAAGAAAUCUCCUCAGAUGAAAGGAGUUAACUGAGUCUCGAGUGAAGAUUGGCCGAGAUCUUGGGCUCAAUAGCCUCCUCAUUGAAAACAAGUCACAUACAUGCAUACACCCAUAAGUUGACGGGACACUACUUUGCAGAAAAACAAACAAGACAAGGAACUCGAGGUGUAAACGAGAUUAAACAAGCCGAACAUCUCAACAUUCAAACUUAUUUGAUUAUUUUAAUAAAUUUUGUUCAAGUAUGGCUUAUUUACUACUCAAGCAGAACUUGAACGAGUUUUUAUCGAAUCAAACUCAAAUAGUUUGUUCUUUUUACACAUAAAUUUCACUUUAUAUGCUAAUUGAGCAGAACUUGAAGGUUCAUCAAACACAAAUUACUAGUCAACUUUGGUUUGAUUAACUUGAUGAACCAUAUUCAAAUGAGUUCUUACUGAAUCGAACUCAAUUCGAGUAUUAAAUAGUUUGGCUCAUCUAGAACAGUCCCAAUUUCCAAAGCUUUGGAUAGAGUAUUAUUUGAAAUAAUUACUGUAACAUUUUUCAUGAUGUGAUGUAUGUGAGAUAAAAAAGUAGUUGGAAAUAUACAAAGGGGAAUUGAGAUAUGUGUUCAUAAUACAAGCGAAAUAUUAUUUGAGAUAAAUUUGUAAUCCAAACACACUCAUACGACGCUUCAAGUUUCAGAAAUGCACGGCGAGGAGGUGCAAUGCUGGAUCUCACCUAGAGUAAUAUGUAAAGUACGAAGCAAUGUCUUUUCACAGAGCUCGCUAUGCCAUAAUGCAGCAGGGAUGCGCAUAUUGUUUUACAUCUUACAUCUACAAAAGCAGACGAAGUAAAAGACUAUAUAAUUGGCUUGAUUUCAUCCCCAUUGAUUAAUUGAUAGGUGAUAAGCUAUAUAUGUACAGGAGCCAACAUCUGUCAAAGCCAGAAACAAGCAAGCUUCAUAGCAGCAAAUGCUAAUCAGAUCACACAGCCAGGAAUUCUCUUCGGUAAAAUGUCAAGCCACCAACUAUUCAUUCAAAGCUUAUAUUUUUUUUAAGAAAGUAAAAAAUAGAAACAUCCAUUCCAUAGCAGCAUCACAUUAAGUAAAUACUGACAAACUCUACAGUUUUCAAGGAAACAGGAUCAGUAACACUUGAAGCCAAAGAGCACCUUGCACGGGAGACUCCAACUUCUGUCUCUCUCUCUCUACCUCAUCUUCUCAUCAUCGUGAUCACCAACACUGCAUUUCAGCACUAUGCCAUCCCCAUCUUAAUGCUCCGUGGAGGUGCUGGCCCUAAUAAGAGAACCCCGUCUUUGACCACCCACAAUCACAUCUUUAAACCGAGCCAAGGACCCCAUCACCCUGCUCAUCCUCUGCCACAUGGAAAAUGGAAAAAAAGGGUAAAUUAUCAAAACUAUGCAAGAAAGCAAGUUAAGUGGAAGUACUUAAAAGGUUUUUUAUUUAAAAAAAAAAAAGAAUUUAUGCAUAUAUGAAAUGCACCAAUGAAUUUACGCAUAUAUGAAAUGUACCAAUGAAUUUACGCAUAUAUGAAACUAUGCAAGAAACACAAGAGAGACAUCUUAUGCACCAAUGAAAUGUACAGUUGCAGGAUAAGUGCAACAAUGCUAGAGUGAACAAAUCCAAAGCCAAUACCAUUCACAGCCAAUAUACAACUAAAUAAAAAAAGACGUUACCAUUGCCAGAUUUAAACACACCCGUUAUUUAGCUCUGUAUGGCGCUACAGACCUAUUCCUCCAAGUCUGCUUAGUCAGAGUGCAUUGCGUACUCUAUGUUUCUUAAUAACUACCACUAUAGAUCUUUACAAGCAAGUUUAUAACAUAACUGCAUACUCACACGACAGAAGUAGGGGGGAAAAGUACAUUCUCUAUCCAUAAAUUCCAAUAAUGAGAUGGUAAACUAGCACCAUACCUCAUUGCUGAUGCUGAAUUGCCACUUAAGUUGCAAAACUUGCCAUCGCUCUUGCUGCCACUGCUGACCCAGUAUUACAAGACCCAUAACAGCUGCAGCAAUGAAUACUGACCAAAAUGUGUUAGCCUCUUUAGCAUGGGCGUAAAAAGAAGCAGCCCGCCUCUUCCACCAAGCUCCACAAGGAAGGUCUGAUUCAUCAUAUUCUUCAUCAGUUGGUUUGGAUAAGUCUGAAUCUAAUCCAUGGUCAUAAGGUUCCUCUAUUUCAGUAAUUUCCGUGUCCUCGUCCACAUUAGCAGCUCUGCCUAUCAUCCUUUCACUAUGGAAGGAACUAAAUGUCUCACUAUUAUAAAGACUCUGCUCCUUGUCUACCAAAUUUAACCCUUGGAAUGCAGUACCUUCCUCAUAUUCUGUACCACCAACAGGAAGUAUGUUACCCUUUUCGUCAAAAAAUUGAAUUCCUGGAAAUUCAUCUGGCACGGUCAAUCCUUUGGUAUUCAUCAUUGCUUGUUCCUUUGUAUUGGACUGAAUCUCUUCAUCUCCAACUGAUUGAAACCCAGCAUCCUCAUUCCCCUGUACACUGCAGAUUUCAUUACGUUCAGUUUCCAAUGGCAGAUUCUCAUGCUGACUUGGCGGAAAGACAAAGUGACCAGACAUAAACAAUGCUCGAGAAGUUUCUGCAGCUUCAUCUUCUGCAGCAGGAUUACCAUUCUCAUCUUCAGUUACAUUGACUUGGUCCGAAUUAGGAGCAGCAGCAUACGUUGAUGCUGUAAGUGACACAACUUCCCACUCAUUUCCACGAGCAGCAGGUUCCUCCUUCUCCUCGUUAUCUGCCAUCUAAUUCAACUUUUGAGCUCCACAAACUGCAUUUUCACCCUUUAAAUGAGUAAAGACAUGAAAGAUAAAUCUGUGCCUGUGGAAUCUUAAAAGUAUUAGCCGUUCAAACCAUAAAUCCUUAACUCCAUAAUGCUGAAAUAAGAUGCAGUGAUUUGCACUCUUACACAUUAGUAUUAGUGUUAAAUACGAAGCCCAAAGAGAUAUGAAUUUCCAUGGUGAUUCAGUUAAAGAUCUUUACCAGGAAAAGCAGAAUCAGGCAUCUGAAGAUAUUGAUUCAAAAUCGUAAACUUUGCCCUGAUUCAGAAACCCAAAGUAACAAAUAUUUCCCCUCAAUUUGAUAUUACAAUUGUUUUACCGAACAUAACCCAAAAAGGUUAAAAAAACGAGUAUAGAUUCUAACUUAACCACCAGGUUUCACCCUUUUGAAACAACAAUUUAUCACAAAAUACACCCCCCCCCCCCCAACCCCCAAAUAUUCACUUCCACAACAUCAAGCAUACAUAUCGAACUUAUCACUCUGCACAUAGCACGCUAAAACUGUCAAAUAACACUAAUACAUCAAAGAUUCACUUCCCACAGAGUUAAAAUAAAUAGAGAAUUAGUAAAAAUUACUCCAACCAUACCUCAACAAAUCCUUUAACCCUAGGCCACACAUAUAAUUACGUACGAAACAAGUUUCACUAAAAAAAAAGUGAAAAAGAACGCAGAGAUCCAAAUCAUAAUCCGAAUCAACCAAAAAAAAUCGCCAAACUAAUAAGAGAAAAAAAGAGCAAAAAUUGGAAUAGUAGAGUGAAUAUUAUACAAUUACGCGACAAAUGAUAAUAAUAAUAAUUGGAAAAAAAACUUACAGGAGAAGUGAAGGGAAAAAAGGAUAGAUAACGACGAUCGGUGACGAUAACGGAGGAAGCGUUGUCCUGUGACAGAAUAAUUGAAAACUGCCUCGGUGAAUGAACUUUGGAGAAUGAGAGAACUGUUUUAUAUAGUGAUUGGUAGUGAGUGCGUGGGUCUUUUGGUGAAAAGAUGAACAACACCGGAGUAGCCGGUAAUGGCGUAGUAGUGACCAAAAACAGCGGUUUUUUUUUUUUUUUUUUGCCCUUUUCUACUCCUUAUAAGAUUUACAAUUCUUAUGGUUAUUUAAUAAGGAAUUACAAUUCUUAUGGUUAUUUAAUAAGCAAUUAAUUUCUUAUGAACUGAUAGAUGUAUAGAGGCAAAUCUACAUUGCUUUAGAAGUCCGCCUACAAUUUUUUGGCAAAAGGACUCAGUACGGGAAUUUCAUGCAAUUGAAUUCGAUUGUUAUACAUUUUAUAUUAUUUAUGUACAAUUAUAUUCGAUUUGUGUACCUUUUAUAUUACUUAAUGUACAAUUACAUUUAAGAAUAAAAAUGAUACAUAAGAAUAAAAUAUUUGAUAUAUAUUUAAUGUGAUAUUAUAAUAUAUUCGUACACAAAAAAUUUUAAACACAUACAAUAUAACCGGACAAUAUUACACAAAAUACAAUCGCACGAGUUUGUUUGGAUAGAGAGAAUUUGGAAAAAAAAAAUUUUUUGCCUCACAAAUCUCAAUCACCUUUUUAUCUCACACACAUCACAUCACAAAAAGUGCUACAGUAAAUAUCUCAAAUGAAUCAUUUAAAUAAACUCUUAUCCAAACAAACUUACUUGAUUCCUUAUCCAAUUUUUUGCAUGAUUUUAUUUAUUUUUUUUUUUUUGUGAGCUGACCUAUAGAAAAGUGAAUCUACAGACAAGACAUUAUACCCGAUAUUAUGUACAUAUAGCUUGAUUGAUGUUAGUGAAUCUUCUUCUUCUUGUUGUUCUUCUUCUUUUGUCCUUUUAUAUGAAAAUUUGAGAAAUUUAUCUCACAAUUUUCAUUCAAUGUUGCUAGUGCAAAUUUUCACGCCUCGUCAAAGUGCCGAAUAUGGGAGUUUCUUCAUGGAUGAGUGGGUGAACAUGAUGAUUUUCUUGAAGGCGUGCUAUGCUACUACGAAUCCGAAGCAAUGAUUAAGACUCGGUACAUUCAAACUUUCUGCCUCUCCACAGCAUUUAAAAUUAUCACGACUUGUACCAAGUCAUAGCUGCCUGAUUAUACAUCAUUAAAUACUCAAAAUAAGAGUAAGUACGACCUUUUUUCUUCUUUUAAUAUUUUAUUACAUUAUAUGAGCGGUUUUGAUUGUACUUUGCAAGUUAGUUUAAUUCACAAGAAUUGAUCACUUUUGUAGUAAAGAUCAUGUAUUUAAAUUUUGCUAUUAAUUUUUCACAAAAAUCCAUGUGUUUAAAUUCUGUUAUCAAUAUGAAAGCACUGCAUUGGCGAUUUCGUUAAAACUUGAUUGAAGAAAAACUCAAAAAACAAGGAGCAAUUUCCCGCGUUAGCCGGGAUCAUAUGUGCAAUGGGGAAUGGGAAGUAGGAAUAGGGGUGCUGUCGAGUCGAAUCGAGCUCCAGUAGUGCACUACUCGAGCUCGACUUGAGGCAAAAUAACUAAGCUCGAGCUCAAACUCGAGCUCGUCAAGCUUUUAAAAUUCGAGCUCGACAUCAAUUUAUGGAACUCGAGCUCGAGUUUAAUUAAAUGUAAUUAAUUUAAAUCAAGCUCAAUCGAGUUUAUUCGAGUUCAAUCAAGCCUAAUCAAGCUCAAGUAAUAAAAAUUAAUAUUUUAUAUAUAAUUUUAAAUAAAAGAUAUUAUUGACAUUUUACAAUAAUAAAAAUUAAAAUAUAUAUUAUAAAAAACUCGAUAGAGUUCGUCGAACUCUCGAGUAUUAUAUUUCUAAACUCGAGCUCGAGCUCGAACUUGAUCAACCGAGCUCGAGUUACUUGGUUCAGCUCCAACCCUAGUGGGAACAAGUAGUGCCCUGCUGUUACGGUUACUCGUUCAGGGAGAGAAGUAUCUCGUGUUACGCAAUUACCUAUUGUUAUUGUAAGCUUAACUAUUAAUUAAAGGGUGCAUAGUUGAGCAUCGGUGCUAUGCAGAUUUCGAAAUAGCAAUCCAAACACCUUUUUGCCAGCCAUAAGUUAUCCGAUCUCCCAUAUUAAAAAAAAUAUCAUCUCUUUACCUCCUCCCUCCCUCCUCCCCAGAGAUCAUCAUUGGGUCGAAUGCAAAUUAGUCCCACUAAAAGGUGGGGGAUGAAUUAUCAUGACAAUUGUUCAAUUUUGUGUUCGUUCGGUGAAUUUCAUCCAAGGCCACAACAAUUUGAUAUGAUAAUCAAAUUCUAAGGUGUUACGGAAUUUCACGGAUGUUGCUGGAAAAAAAAUUGCCACUCGGAGCCCAACCCUUUUGAUGCAACUUUUAUUUUUUUGCAUAAUAGCACAUCUAAGACUAAUCUAACCUACUCAUAUUUCUACUUUAGCCUACUAGGGGUUGGUCCAACUGAGAUAAGAGAUCUGACAGGAACUGAACCAUCAUCAAAUCUCAAACGGAUGUAUCACGCACCCAUUUAAAUUUUUAAAAAUCACAUAUACAGUAAUAUAUUAAUAAAAGAUAAGAUUCGAAUUGUUUACCUUCCAUCCACAAUUGACGUGGCAGCCAUCUCCUCAAGAGUACUUGGAACCACGCAAAAUGUUCACUCCAAGCCCAUACUUGGGGAUUGGGACACGGUACUCUGAAUUCGGGUGUUCCAAGCGAACGAUGUCGUUUGUUGUUGAGAAAAGGAGGCCGUUGCCACUUGGCCUGAGUCGUAUGGCGGGCAAUACAACAGGAGAGAAAUGCUCCAAUCAUUAUCCGUCUGAAGUCUAAGCAAAACAAGCUUGGAAGGAAGCAGAGAGAGAGAGAGAGACAGAGAUGGGGGAUUUGUAUGCUUUGGACUUUGAUGGCGUCCUCUGUGAUAGCUGUGGAGAGAGCUCUCUUUCUGCUGUUAAGGUUACCCAACCCUCUUACCUUUUUUUUUUUUCUUUCUUUUGAGAAAAAACAUCCUAUUUUAGAUUAGGACUUUUGAUUAUCUCCAUUUCAUCACUGGUUCUUCCAGGCUGCUAAGGUGAGAUGGCCUAGUCUCUUCAACGGCGUUGAUUCGUCAACUGAGGAGUGGAUUGUUGAUCAGAUGCAUAUAGUAAUUCUUUUUCUUUAACCCUUUCAAAUUAGCUUUCCAUUUCUGGUCGGUUGAUUUACCUUGACUAUUUUAAGGAGGACGAAAAUUCAAAAUUAGCUGGUGACAAACCAAUGUGAUACUUCCUUUUGGCUUAUUUGUAUGUACCUUAGUUCACUAACAAUUGCUUUUCAUUGUUUUUGUAUCUGCUGAAUGUUUAUAUUGCUCGGAUAAUAUGUGAAAGUCUAGAAUAUUUGUACUGCUAAUUAUAGCUUCAACUUCUGUCCGAUUGAAGGUUCUUGAUUAAACUAAGCAGUUUCAAGCACCAUCUAUCCUAUAAACGCUUUCUAUUGUAAAGGAUCCUGUGAUUCUGAAUGCAAAUUUACCAGUGGUUGAGGCUGUAUCCUAGCAAGUCCUGACGUUUGUUGGACUGAUUCGCGCGGAUGAAAAUUUUGUUGGGGUUGAAGAUUCUGGGUGUAGUAGAGUCAUAGAUUAAGUACCUGCCAUUGGACUUCAGCAGGUUAUCCAUAGUUCUGGGUAUCCUCAACAACAUAUAGUGUAGUGUUGGAUUUUUGACAUGCUGGUUUUUAGAGAGUUAUUCUCGCCACGUACCCUUUUCAACCCUAGUUUAGUUCUCUGACUUUUGUUCAACACCAGCAUUCAAUCUUAGUUUGCUAAUAACUUCUAAAACCUUUUUGGUUACUUGUGCUCUUAAACUUGAAUUUCUGCAAUGUGCCACUGCACUUUGAUAAACUGUUAUCCUGUGGCGCAACAGCAUGCAGAAAUCAGCACCCUGUUCCACCAAUGGCAAUUUAGCGCUGCUGAAAUGGUUGGACCAUUUUUUUUCUUUUUUGGGCUAUAAAUCUCUUACAACUCCAAGCCUUCUCUUUUUUCCUUGUUUGAAGUGUGAAAUUAUUGUAUCAACAGGAUCGCCAAAAGUCAGAUACACCACCAAUUAUGAUGACAAUUAUAAUUGAUUUGCAUCCUUUUUUAUAGUUGCUUCAUGAUUUUAUUUGCAUUGGAUGCUUGUGUAAGCAUAUGUUUAUCAACAGGAUCGCCAAAAGUCAGAUGCACCACCAAUUAUGAUGACAAUUGUUAUUGAUAUGCAUCCUUUUUUAUAGUUGCUUCAUGAUUUUAUUUGCAUUCGAUGCUUGUGUAAGCAUAUGUUUAUACGUUUCUUAAAGUUAUUUUCUUUGUUUUGUUGUACUUUGACCCAGCAGGAUAACAACUAGUUCAUAUGUCAAAGCUGCACAAAUAGAAGCUAUAUUUACUUCAAAGUUAUCUGAUAUUAAAGCAUAAACUAAUAGAUGAAAAAAAUAUUUGGUGAAAGUCUGAGACAUGUUUAGUGUGGGGCCAUCUGUAACAGUAUACCUGUGAAUGCAUUGCAGGUUAGACCAGUGGUAGAAACUGGAUAUGAGAAUGUUUUACUUGUGAGGCUGCUGUUGGAGAUGGCAAAUCCUUCCAUUCGCAAGUCAUCAGUGAGUGCUUAGAAUGAAAGCUUUCAUGGUAUUUUAAAAGGAGAAACUUUAGUUUGUCAAUUUCAUUAUUGCAUCUGUCUGGACCUAAUAUUUAUGGCUAACUGUACAAGGUUGCAGAGGGACUUACAGUAAAGGGAAUUCUGGAUAACUGGUCAAAGAUAAAGCCUAUUAUCAUGGAAGAAUGGGAUGAAAAGAGGGAUCCUCUGAUAGAUCUUUUUGGUAAAAUCAGGGAUGAAUGGAUGGACAAUGAUUUGGCCACUUGGAUUGGUGCUAAUAGGUAAAUUUGCAUUUCAUGUUUUAGGACAAAUCUUGACUGAUAUAUGCUCUUAUUAGCGCUUAGAAUUCCUAGGACUUGAUAGUGUAACUUUCCAUAUAUGGUGUGUUUGCAUACACCAGGGCAGCUAUCUACUCCCAUACAUUACAACAUGUGACUAAGAAAGAACAUAUAUGUGUGUGUGUUUGUAAUUGGUGAGCACAAGAGAAAUCUCUGCAACAAUGAACUUAUGUCCAACUUACCUCCUCCUUAAACAUAAUCGGGAGUCAAAAAAAAAAAGGAAAGUGAAAGAAAAGUUGCUCUCAUGUGUGUCUAAGCAAAGCUUAUUCUAUUGCUGAAUUCAUUUUUACUCCCAAAUUUCAGAAAACUUCAGUUUCACUUCAAGGAAAAAUUUAAAAUAAUAGGUACAGGACAUGUGUGAAACCUGUCUUAAGAACUACUGUUACUUGUCACUUGCCAAACAUUGAAAAAGAUCUAAUUCUUCAUAUUCACAAAAUUGUCAGGAUAGUGUUCACAUAAUACUGUUAGAGUUCUAAACCACCUUAACAAGCAAGUUCUUGAAGAAGAAGCAAACUGGCCUCAGCAUGUUCAUUUGUUAAACAACUGUGAGCUUAAGCUGUUACAUAAGUUCCAUGGUCAAUUUCCCUGUGAGUGAAUUUAAUCCCAAUCGCUUGAAACCAAUGCAUGACUGGCUAGAACUGUUUCCAACUACUAUCGUAUAUUUUUGUAAGAUGGUUUAUCAAUGGUAAAUGCUUCUGCUGCAGGUUUUAUCCUGGUGUUCCUGAUGCAUUAAAGUUUGCAAGCUCAACGGUCUACAUUGUCACCACAAAACAGGUUUCUUCCCUAACCCUGAAUUGGAAAUAACCACUACAAAGCUCAGAUGUGGGAAAUUCAAGAAGUUUAUUGCUGAUUUUGUUGUUUUACGAGUCUUUCUUAUUCUUACUUUCACUUCUACGAUUCUCUUCUCACCACUCUGUUUUCAGAGCCGUUUUGCAGAUGCAUUACUUCAAGGGCUUGCAGGGGUAACUAUUCCACAGGAAAGAAUCUAUGGUCUAGGGACUGGGUAAGCAUUCUACAAAACUAAUAAUAUUGGUGAAAGCAAUAUGCCAAUUCUCUUAAUCCAAGACAUGACUAGCAUAAAGUUGCCUUGAUAUAAAAUUUGCUGAGUUUUCUUUUGCCCUCAGGCCAAAAGUAGAAGUACUGAAGCAGCUUCAAAAGAUGCCAGAGCACCAGGGUCUGUCAUUGCAGUAAGAUAUUUAGCUGAUUGUAAAUGUUAUUAACAAUCUUUUUGAGCUGUACAACCCUUUUUUUGUUUGGUGACUCAUUGUUCUUAAAUUGAUCAGCUUUGUAGAAGACCGGCUAGCCACACUGAAGAAUGUCAUCAAAGAGCCAGAAUUGGACAACUGGAACCUGUAUCUAGGUGAAAAUCUUUGUCGGUUUUUUCUUCAUGUUCCUUGCGUUUACCUCUUCAUUGGCUGGUUAUGUUGGCCUGGUUGUGAAUCAAAUUUAUGUGAAGCAGGAGACUGGGGAUACAACACCCAAAAAGAAAGGGAAGAAGCUGCAAGCAUACCCAGAAUUCACAUACUUCAGCUCUCUGACUUCAGCAAGAAGUUAAAAUGAUUAUAUAUUCCUCCAUAAUGCAUUGGUUAUGGGGAGAGAGCACUUUUCAAAUUAUGGUGAUAGAUAGUAAUAAUUAAAUUUUUGAGAAGCAAUUUCCAUCACUACUUCUCUUGUGGUGGCUGAGUUAUAUCAAUUGUAACCAUUUUUUUAGAUUAUUAAUCGACUAGGCCAUCGGAGCCUUGAUAGAUACAGAAACUUCUUAAUCAAAUCAUCUCUGAUAUAUUUGUCCACACAAUAUAUGAUAUCUCUGUGUUCAUAUACUUGUUAGAAAGAGCUUCACGUACUUCAGUCAUGGUUGCUAUCCGAUUGAUGCAGAAGAUUAUGAAUUCAUGGACACAGGAUUACUUGUUUGUAGAGUAAACAAAGCUACCUCUGAGGUGAUUGAGAUGUUGUAAACUUCUGAAAUGAAGAAAUCAGGCAAGCAUAUGUAAUUGCUGUAAAACUAUCUUUUUGAAGGUAAUGGUAAGAAGUUUACAAACUACCAGUACAACCUCUCAGGCAGGAGAGUCAUAAGCUUGUCAUGAGGGCUUCCUGAAAGGCUAUAAUCAGCUGCUAAGAGUCAAAACAAAGUGCAUAGCAGAUCCCUUUGUGAUCAUAGCUCGCUGUGCUUGUCAUGGUCUUCACCACUUUUCUCGCUCUCGUGCUUGCUGAAAACCUCGUCGAAAGAAGGAUCACCAGGUCGCCGGAAAAACUGAUCUCCUAUCUUAACUUCAUAUGCGUCUGGUUGACUUAAUAUAAAUUCUUGCAACUGCAAUCAUAGACAAAACAAGAAAUCAAUUUCUUGAACCUGAUCUUCUACUUUCUAUGUAGACAAGAAUAAAAUGCAACCUUUUAACCAGACAGUACCAGUAAUAAUCACCAACCUUUUAACAGGUGAGGUAUUAUCAUAUUAGAAAAGGAGAGCGGCAAGAAACUAACCUCAAUGGCGUCUUGACCUUUUUCCAUUGUGAACAUAAUCGUACUGACAUCAACUCCCAUGAAAUUUGCCUCAAUUCCUCCGGUCCUUGCCACCUUACUCCAUUUCAUUGCAAUUUCAGAUACCAUAUCCUUCAAGAUUAAAAAAAAAAAUUAAAUGAGCAAAAUUAAUUAAACCCCCCAUGAAAACCUCAAUCAUGAAUGAUUCCAAAAAGAAUAAAAAAAGAUUUGGCACGAUGAUGAAAUUGUUCAAACAAGUUGCGUACAGGGGUCCGACGAGGGCCGAUUCGGAGCUUGGCGAAGCCGAAAACGGGUCCGACUUGGCGCUUCAGCAUUUCAGACUGCAUUUCCGCGACGUCCAUAUUGGAGAAAUCGUCAGGGGGCGGAUCGAAUUGGGGCCUUGUGGUGGAUUUCUUUUUGCCCCAUUCUUUCCAGGCCUCGUCCUCCUCGUCAUCAACGACGUCGUCGAGGUUGUCCGCGACGUGGAUUCUCCGCUUUGCUCCCUCGGCUAAUCGGUAAAAUCCCCCGGUUCCGGUGGCAAUCAGGAGGACGAAAAUGAGAGCUAAAGUGCCGCUGAAUCCAAUCUGCGCCAUGUGAAUAACAAUCACUUUGUUUGGAUUGCUAAAUCCGAUUGAGAAAUAUAUUCACAAAAAACUUAAACGAAAAAUCACAAUCCAAACAAUCUUGAUGCUUUUCCGCUAAAAAUGCAGGGUAGAUUAUUAGAGUAGAGGAAAAUUAGCUGAACUGCAUUUGGAUUCUAAAUAGUACUCCCAACUGUUAACUGAACUCCAAUUCUACCUUCCGAACUUUUACUACUGAUUCAUUCAGACGAAAAGCUGAAAUCCCUGGUUUAUGCUAAAAACAAUUAGGCCCAUGUAAGUAGUUUUUAGGAAUAUAUUACUAGAAAACAUCCAGACGACGUCGCCGGGAUUUGGGCCUACCUUGUCAAAAGAUUUCACCCGAUAACACGACCAUAACAAUUCAGCUUUUUUUUUUGGCUGCACAUAACAGUUUUUAAUCACCGUUGUUUAAUGUUGAAUUUUUUUUAAUAAUUAUUUGUAGUAUAGUAGGUACAUUUAAAAAAGAAAAAAGAAAUAGUACAACUUUUGGGUUUGGGAGACGUCAUAAAACUUUUUUUGCAUUUACUUGGCUGUGACCUUUUUUUUUUUUUUUUUGGGGGGGGACUAUGGAAGGCCAGAGCACCAUUAGCUCUUUUAGAGGGUGUAACAAAGCGAGGAAUCGACAUUAUGCAGACAUCCAGGCCCAAAAGCUCUUUUAGAGUGCGUGGCCAAGGGGACUCCUGGAAUUAUUUAAGAUGUGUUUGAUAAAAUUUAAGUCUAAAUAUUGAAUCUAAAAUUUGAAAUCUAUUAAAUUGUUAAAUACUAAAUGUAAUACAAGUGAGUAUAUAUCAUAUUAAGUGAUAAGUGAAUAGUUUUAUCACUUAUUUUUUAGGAGCAGAUUUUGGCUAAAAAAUUCAAUACCACUUAAUUAAUUUAGAUGUUCAAUUUUUUGUUAUGAAACGCGUCUAAACGUGUUAAGAUUUGAAUAUAUUAAAUUUAAGUGUUGAAUUGAAUUAUGAAGCAGAUCCUAAGUCUGGAUUUGAAUUGUCAUUUUACUCAAAAAAAUUUAAACGUGAAUGUAUACUUCAAUUAUCUUUUCACCUUACACGCAUUAAAUUAUCACAUGAUAUUUUUCUAUAAAAACUUUUAAAAAAAUUAGCAAUUCAAAGGGCUCUAAGCUUCUUCCUAAUUUUGCCCAAUGAUCAGCACAAACAUUUUCCUCACGACAGACAUGAGUUUUGUUUUGUGUGAUGUGAUAACGCUGGUCAGGUUCGAUGGAUUGCGCUGCCGUCUUUACCUGUUCUGCAAAUCCGUCCCCGCUCUCUCUCUCUGGCUCCAACAUACGUGAGAUGUAUGAGUACUAGGUCGACUAGUGUGAAUAUUCGUGCUAUGCACGGUGCUGAUAUUAUUGAAAAAAUAAAAAUAAAAAGAUGAAUUAAAAAAGGUUAAAAAAUUGUACCAACACAAUUAAAAAUUUACAAGAGUUGUUGAUAAUCGCACUCUUUGAAGAGUUUGUGGAAAAAAUUAAUAUAUCACAUUUUUUUUAUUUAAUGUACGUGAGAUAACUAGAUAAUUGAAAAAAUUAACAAAUACACGGAACUUUUUGUCUACACAACCCGGGUUGAAAAGCAAUAUAGCAAUACAACUGGUAAUUAAGAUUCAAUCUUUCAGACUCUACUUAUAUGGAAUUGGCCCCUUUACGAAUUCAUCUACUUGCAAUAUUUAUUCAAAGAAAGCAAAGCUCCAAAUUAAGGGAUGGGGACAGAGCAUAUUCUCGCCAGGAAAAAACAAGUGAAAAAGAUGCUUAAUAUUGUCAGUGGAGGACAUGCUGAUAUUAUACAAAUGACCGGGUUGCAUUUUCCAAAUUAGACGAAACAAAGAAUUACAUUUAUCAAGAACAACGGGGCGGUUUUGAAGUGAGGGAAGCCGCCUCCUCGUUCUACAAAAUUUCCCUCCUCUCCUGCCCCGCUCCUUAUCGCGAGGCUGGCACUCGCCUCCAUUAUCAUCCCUAAGUACAUCGACUUAUCAUAAAAUAAGUGGCCGCUCUUUCUUGCCUUAGCCAAAUGGCAUCAAUCAUCUCCCCCGUUUCACUUGGUACAGGAAAAGGCAGAAAAUUGAACUUCAGAAAUAAGAGGACAUAAUUUGCAGGUCGAGACCAUGGCAGCCCGCCUUCAAUUGGCUUACAAAAGGGACAGGCUGUCCACAUACUACAGGGACAGGUCGCUUGGGUACAAGCAACGGUAGCCUGACAUAUACGCAUACAGAGGUUCUAACUCUUUUUUUAAGUCCGCCGAAGGAAACUUAACAACUCGAAAAGGGCAAGUAAUUACUCUAGUUUCGCUAAAUGAAUUUUUCCGUACUUUCUUUUUAAAAUAGUAACAUUACGUCCCAAGUUGAUAAAAUUGAGUCACAAUUUAAUUUUUUGACUACUUUUUACCCCGAAUUCAUCAUGUAACUCAUAUAUGAUGAUUUUUUUAAGAGUAAAAAGAUUAGAUUCCAGUUGUAAUUAAAUGAAUGACAUAUUCCAUAUUUAUUUUUGCCUCUAAAACAAGUAAGAUUUGAUCCAAACAUAUUCAUUUAUCCUCUAUAAAUGCGGAAUCUGAUCCAAUUCAUAUUCAUCUUUUACCAUUACAAGGGUGAAAUUUAACAUUUUGUACUUAAAAAAUUACUGCAUAUGGAUCCACAUAAUGAUUUCCAUGCUAAAAAGUGAUUUGAAAUUUGGGUUAAAGCUAAACUCCAUUAACUUAAAUUUGUAAGGAGAGUAAAGUUAAAAUUUUAGAAGUAAAAAAUAAAAAAUUUAUUUAACAAAAUAGAGAGACGUUUCAAACGAUUUUCGCUUUGAAAAACGCUAACCGCCGCUCCACUAGAAUCCAUUAACCGGCUCUGGACCAGUACAAGUUUGCACUGCAAGGGGACCUGGAACCACACAACACUAGGUAACCAAACCUUGCACGAUAUGCUAUCACCUGAAAAAAUUAACCUUGCAACCAAAUUUAACCAAUCAAAUAGCUUGGUUUAAAAUUUUGCUAACAGAAUCUAAUCUGGAGCAGAUUUCCUGGCUUGUCCUGGUUGAAAUUUACAGCCAUGCGACUACAAAGACAGAUUCCAAUUGAACGUCUUUCCAGUGGAGCAGAGUUGCCUAUCCAUUCAAAACUGCUGAAGAAAGAAAACCCGGAAGUGUUGUUGAUUGAAAAUGUGAACAAUCAAUCUGUCUCUUCAAGGAAGAAAAAAAAAAAGAAGUUUAUCAAAUCUUGAAGAUAAAUACAUAAUAAAAUAAAUCCAAUCCUCUCAAAUAUCUUAGAUACACACCUUGAAUUUUGUGCUUUUAUCGUCGUAGUAAAAUGUACAUUAUAGGUAAGCAUGUCAAUGGGUAAGAUUUAAAUUAGGUCUUUUAAUCCAGAUCCAUACACAUUAAAUUUAGUUGAACCCAAAUCCAUAUUCAGACCUAUACCCUCGUGAGUCUGAAAAAAUAAGUCCAAAGCUACACACCCUCCUGGAUCUGGGUACCCAAUGGAUACUGUUGUAUUUUCCUAAAAAAAUAAAUUAAAAAAAUAUAUUUACAUGUAUGGAUUUAAAAAAAAUAUAAACAUCAUUCAAUUUUUAUUUUCAAAUGAUAAAUUAAUAUUUAAGAAAUUGAAUGCAAUAUUAGGAACUCAAUUAUUUAUCGACUGCUUUGAUUAAUUUUAAAACUUCAACUAUAUCGAUAUCAAAUCUUUCAUUUAUUUGCCUUUACUUAUUCUCCUUUUUCUAAAAAAAUUUGUACUAAUUAUAGUGACAACUAGGAAUAACUUGAAAAUAGAAAACAAUCAUAAAGUCUCACUGUAUUCGAUCUAAUGACCAUAGAAUAUUAGUAUAUUAUUAAAUAAAUGAAUAAAUAUAUAUAUAAUUUUAUUAUAUAUGUGGGUCUAUGUAGGGUCUAUAUGGGUUUGAAUUUGGAUAUGGAUCAUAAAAAAUCAAACCCUACUUAGACCCAUAACUCUUUUACAGAGUCUGGAUUUAGAUAGAGUCCAGACGUUUGAUAUUAAAUCUAAACCUUAUCCAAAUAUAUUGGGUCUAAAUUGAAUUUUGGAUAAAAUCCAAUCAAUUGACAUGUCUAAUUAUAGGUAGGACUUGAAACGAAACACAGAUUUCAAUCUAGCGAUGGCAUUUGAACCACGUUGCUGCUGCUACCCUUCAGUUAAAAGUUACAUCCUCAAAAUCCCAGUUUAAUUGGUAGAAAUAUUAGUCAGGUGAUAUUAGUGAGGAGAUAUUAGUCAGCUUUGUUAGCAGCGAUAUUAGUUAAUUGAUAAUAAAAUCUAAUUUUCAAACUUUCUCUUUUUUGCUCCCUCUUGUAAAAUUUUGAGUCUCCUUUAAACCAAAAAAUAAAUAACUAAAUAAAAUUUAUUAUAAUGCAAAAUAACACACUGUUCGGCAAUCGGGAUGAAAUAGGAUAUGCCUUUCUUUUCAACUGGGCAAAGAACAAAAAUUUAAAUUGGCCUUUGGCAUCUCCCUGCCGGCGAAGGUGCACGCAUUUCUUUUUAACCAAAGACGAAACGUCAAUCAGGCAUCUUGGACCAGCGCCUCCGCUUCACAUUCCCCGGCCAAAGUAGCCAAAAGAUGAAAACAGCAGGCAUCCUCAGGUUCAAUGAAAUUAGACAGGGGGGAGAACUGAGAACCACCCCACAUAUAAGUCCUGGCUAGUUAGCCUAACAUUCUCUCACCUUCAAAAUUUGACAUAAAAAACCAUCAAUGAUGAGAGCUUGAAGAGAUUAAAAGCGUGUUGAUAAAAUAACAUCAGCUGGAUGAUUUAGAAUUACCUUUGGUCAAGCAUAACUUUUCCUUCUUUUCUUUCCUCUUUCUUUUUUUUUUUUUUUUUAAAUAUACAGCAAGUCGCGUGAAUAAGAAGGUGGUUUUAAUCAUGGAAAAUUAUCCAAAUUUUUACAAAUGACUUUUCUCGAGCGUUCACACUUGCACGCACUCACGCGCACACAGAUAUAUCUAGUGUACUUGAAAUCGACUUUGAAGAAUUCAACAAGUUUGAACUUGAACUCAAAUAUUUUUAAUAUCCAAACACGACUCGACUCGACUCGAUAGCAGUACUAAUCACGACAUUUAUAGUUAUGUUGCGUCAAUCUAUCCGAACGAUUUGACCCAACCUAUCGGGCAGGACUGCCAUGUAAUAAAUCCAGGAGGACUCAUUUACAAUUACACGUUGCGUCCAUCUACUUGUGAAAGUACACUACUCAUCCGGCGGCUGGAGUGCCAUAUGUAGGCUCCAACGACGGUUCAUGGUACUUUUUUACCUUAUAUAAAACGGAGCCCAAAUCCUUCUUUACAUUCUCCACCGCUCGGACAAAAAGUUCAGAACUAGUACUACUUAGAUAAUAGUUAACAGUAGCCAACCUUCACUUCAACAAUGGCAGCUCUAAGCAGCCUCUUCAAGAGAAAAUCCUCAAUUCCCUUUAAUGGCCUUAUCAGAAGUAGCAGGCUGUUCUCCACUGAAACUUUACUUGAUAAUUGUCCAUCUUUCGCCCAGAGAUUGAGAGAUCUGCCCAAAGAUUUUCCAGGGACCAACAUCAGAAAAGAGGCUUCUCAGGUAAAAUUCCUUUCUCCUGCCAUAAGUUUCUUGGUUCUUUUCUUCUGUUAGCAUCCGUUUAACUUUCAUUCAGGGGCUUUGCUUCAGCUUUAGCUAGUUGAACAGUUUCAGAACUUUAUCUCUUUAUUCCAUUUCCGGGCAAUCAGUAGUGGUGAUUAACUUGAAUAGAUCACAAACUAAAAGCUCAAACAACUCAUCAUUUACCAUGUUCAAAUUUUUUUUUCCUUCUUUCUUUAAUUACAUCAUUUUUUCUAAUCAUUUACGUACAUGGUUUUCAUUGUGCUCUUGGCUUUUUGGAUAGCUAAGGUGGUAGUUUAGUUCACUACUUCCAAAUAGUACUUACACAGCAUCACGCAUAUUCGAGUUCAUGUUUCUUAAUUUUCAUGUGUGCACCUUGGAAAAAUGUUUCAAACCUAUUUUUGGGUGGCAGAUUGAUCGAUGUAUUAUAUGCCAUCCUCUAUUAAUUCAUUAAUUCCCUCAUUGUGGAAAGGAAAAUCACAGAUUUCUUUUAACCAUUAGUUUUAAAAAUUAUAUAGGUAUUUUAAUGCUUAUUUUUACACAUUUUUACGAAUCUUUAAAACCGUUUGGAUUGCAUUUUUCGUCAUCAUUUUUCAUGAAAAAAUUACUGUAGCGAUUUGAUGUAUGUGAGGGAAAAAAGUAAUAAGGAAAUGUGAUCACAUAAAUGACGCAAUUUUCUGAUAGAAAAUGGCAAUCCAAAUAGGCCUUAUAACCCGUAUCAAGUAAUGCUUGUGAAAGUUUUGUACGUGUCCAUAUAUGACUUUCAAAAUUAUGGUAGUACAUGCAACAUUAAUGGGAUCUUUAUGGAAAUUUUUUUUUUUUUUGGUUUAGUUAAUAAAAUAUAAAAGGUCUGUACUAGAUGCCAUGUCAUUAGUCAAUAUGGGACAUAGUAAUUAAAAUAGUCUUUUGGUUGUUGGGAUUAACAUAAUUAGCACAUGCCAACUCGUGCUAAUUUAAAGGUUGUGUUAGUGGAUUAUAUAUAUAUUUUUUUAAUAGCUUAGGGGGUCUUUAGUAGGUUUAGUUUCUUACAUAAGGAUGGAUUUCACAAUUAAAUUAAGUCCAUACUAUUAUCUGUUUAUACCAAUGACAAUCCACUACUAAAAAUGACAGAGACAUUUAUGGUUCAUGAAUCUCAUGAUUAAAUACAAACCAGUGGACAUCAAAAAAAUCUACAGACUAGUGGUGUUUCACUUUUUAUUGCAUGCUUCCACAAUUUAUAUUGGAAUUUGGAAGGAAGGAAGGAAGGAAGGAAGGAAGGGGGAAAAGCUAAAACAGAUAGAUUAUUUCAAUUGCGAUCGCUUUUUCUUCAAUUAAAUCAGAUACAAGCUUUAAUUUUCAAUUAUGCAUAUGUUUUGCGUUAUAUGACUUAAUAUGGCCUUUUUUUUUCAUUACCCCACAAAAAAAAAAAAAAAAAAAAACUUUACUACAAAGAGUUUGUUCUUUGAUUUUGACUUUGAGGGCAGUUCAUUCCUUUGCAAGUUCCAUACAAAAUUUUGGAAUGGAUCUAACUGUUGUGUGUCAAAUUCUGUCUGUCUCAGCUGAUUGGGAGAACACCAAUUGUUUAUCUGAAUAGAGUUACAGAAGGCUGUGGUGCUUACAUAGCGGCUAAGCAAGAAAUGUUUCAGCCAACUGCAAGCAUUAAAGACAGGCAACCAGCUAGUUUCUCAAUCUCCAGGUUUUCGCCUUUUAUGAGUUCACCUUAUCAACUGCUGAAAUCUACUUUGCGUUUGUUUUUUCCCCAGACCAGCAUUUGCUAUGAUCACCGAUGCAGAAAAGAAAGGAUUGAUCUCACCUGGAGAGGUUAGAUAAAGAAAACUUGUUUACAUAUUAUUUUGGUUGUAAUUGAUAAAUGUGUCUCUUUGUGUCGUUCUUUAUGGCUUGUCUAUUGAUCUUGACAUUCAGACAACACUGAUCGAGCCCACAUCCGGAAAUAUGGGGAUUAGUAUGGCAUUUAUGGCAGCCUUGAAAGGUUACAAGAUGGUUUUGACAAUGCCCUCUUAUACCAGCUUAGAGAGAAGAGUGACUAUGAGAACAUUUGGAGCUGAGUUAAUCCUCACGGACCCAACCAAAGGCAUGGGAGGAACAGUUAAGAAAGCUGACCAGCUGUUGGAGAAGACUCCCAAUGCUUUUAUGCUUCAACAAUUUUCUAAUCCUGCAAAUACCCAGGUUUAUUGCAUAUUCAUCGCGUACCCUUUUUUUUUUUUUGGUUCAUUUUUCCUGAAUUGCUUGUUUGUUGGUAGAGAAUGCUAUUUCAAUUGCCAUGCUUUACCCAUCUCUCGACUGAAACAGGUGCAUUUUGAGACAACUGGUCCUGAGAUAUGGGAGGACACGAACGGUAAAGUUGACAUAUUUGUCAUGGGAAUUGGAAGUGGAGGUACCGUCUCUGGUGUUGGCCAGUAUCUCAAGUCCAAAAAUCCUGAUGUUAAGGUAAAAACAUUAUAUAGACCUUUCUAAGGACCCUCGGGUUCAAAUAAAUCCUUAAUUCCCAACUAUCUGCUUUCGUAGAUAUACGGAGUCGAGCCUACCGAAAGCAAUGUCUUGAAUGGCGGCAAACCAGGUAAUGGUCCUGUGUAUAUACUUUUAAUCAAAUUUACCAUUUAUUUCUUCUGUUGCCUCAGUCAUCCCAGAUAAAGUAGUAUUAUUUUGUGUCCUCUUGAUUGGUUUGCAAUGAUGCCAGCUGUAAAAUUCUAAUGCAAUCUUCAUCUGGCAUCUUAGCAACUGAAUAUGAUAUCCAUACACAAUCCAAAACCAGCUUGUUUGAAACUUUGUAUGUAGGUCCUCAUCAUAUCACUGGUAAUGGGGUUGGAUUCAAACCUGAUAUCCUUGACAUGGAUGUAAUGGAACAAGUUCUCAUGGUGAGCACAGUGCCCUUAAUAAGUCGGUUCAUACUAUUUCAUCCUUCCCUCAUUCAGGAUGAGUCUCAAAAUUGCUGUUCUAUUGUUGCAGGUGUCCAGUGAAGAAGCCGUAAACAUGGCUAGAGAGUUGGCAUUGAAGGAAGGGCUUAUGGUAAUAUUUCAUCUAAACUAUUUCUUUUCACCGCGCGAAUCUUAGUUGCCAGGAACUUUCUGGUGGCGAUACGCAUACGUAAUCUCAUCUCACUUGCGAUAAACUUCUGGUUGAUGUAGGUUGGGAUAUCAUCAGGGGCGAACACCGUUGCAGCACUACAGCUUGCACAGAAACCAGAAAACAAAGGCAAACUCAUUGUGGUAUGAAGAAGAUCAUUAAACUCUGGUCCUAAUUUGUGGCCAUCAUUGUUCUCUCUUUUUUUGACUUAAACCCGAGUUUUUUUUCCCUUGUCCAUGAAUCGUUUGCUUUGGCUGAAUUUCAGACCGUACAUCCAAGUUUUGGAGAGCGUUACCUGUCAUCUGUCCUGUUUGAGGAGCUCAGGAAAGAGGCUGAAAAUAUGCAACCUGUUCCAGUUGAUUAAUGUUCAACGUUACAGUCUUUUGUAGCAGAUAUCCUGCAAAUAUAUAGGUUCCAUUUUAAUGCCGGAUGUAAACCCGUUCGUUGUUUGGGACACUUCAUCUUUUAUUUUACUUGAUCCCUACAGAUUCAAGGCAAUAUUCUUUAGGCGAUGCAAGUCUUGAGACACAGAUUGUUUGGAAUUAAAAGAGUCAAGUAUUUGGACCCAUGCUAUAAACGGGUUUACAUUUCAAAGCGUAACAAUAACAAAAAUUUAUUUUUAUACUAAAUUAAAAUCUAAAAAAUUUUUAAGAAGUAUUUUUUGUAUCCAAAUUUAUGAAAAUGAAUUAUAUUAAAAAAAAGUAUAAAAAAUGGUUCAGUAGAAUGUGUUAAUUAUUUCCAACACCGGGUUAACUUUUAACUAUAAGUUACAUGUUUCGAUCCCUCAAAAUAAAAAUUAAAAAAAAAGGUACUAUGGGAUCACAAGAAAAAUUUAUGUAGAUUUACCUUUAUGAAUAAUUUGACCAUUACUGCGUGAUUAAAAGCAGUGCAUACAGAAGAUACAAUUUAAUUAAGAACGGUUCAUCAAAUAGAACAAGUUCCGACCUUAGCUCAGUUGGCAGAGCGGAGGACUGUAGUUUGAUAGCUGUCAUCCUUAGGUCGCUGGUUCGAAUCCGGCAGGUCGGAUGCUUUUGCCAUUUUUGCUCUCCCAAUGUUGAAUGAUAGAAAGUUAAUCUAAUGGCUUAAUUUUGCUACUUUAGCAUUGCACGUAGAAAGUUUAUUAAUCCAAUGGCUUAAUUUUGCUUGUUUUUCUCUCUUCGCUAUCUUUUUCCUUUUUCCUUUUUCUCUCCCUAUCUUGAAUGAUAGUAAGUUAAUCCAAUCGCAUAAUUUUGAUACUUUAGCAUUGCUGGUAGAAAGUUAAUUAAUCCAAUGGCUUAAUUUUGCUACUUCAGCACUGCAUGUAGAAAGUUAAUACUAUGGCUUGAUUUUAGUACUUUGGCAUUGCAUGUAAAACUAUCAAAUCUUGUUUUACCUUAGUAGCUAUUUUUUUUUUCCUCCCUCCUUCAAAUAAUAGAAAGUUAAUCCUACCCUAUUUCAAAUAAUAGAAAGUUAAUCCUAUGGCUUAAUUUAAGUGCUUUAGCUUUGCAUGCAACCCCAUAAUCUGGUUUUACCUUAGUAGCAGUCCCCACGUUACAAGUAAUUUGUAUUUGAUCACGUUUCCAAUUUCAUUCUUGAUAGAAUUUGAUUGGUUACCACUUACUUUUUUGCAAAGUUUUUUCUUUUUUUGGAAACUAAAGUUGGCCAUUGCCAUCAUCAUGGUCUGCACCUCAACUCUUAGUUGCUUGAGGACCAAUGGCAUUGCUGCAAAGGAAGUUCCAGUUGCUCCCUGUUGAAAUAAUUGUCGUUUUGCAAACUUAGAAGAUAUGGCACACUUAAUUAUGUUAUCACGUUGACAAUGUGAUGAUUGGAAUAAAAUCCUUUGCCAACUUAUAGUACCAUAAAUGCACACUAAUCUUACUUCAUUAAGCAAGUUAGUAAAUAAUGCUCAUAUGGUUAUGGUCUUGAUAGUGAUAUGAACUUAUUCAACACAAAAAAGGUAUCUUCAAAUCAUUUUUUUUAUGUAAUUUAAUUUUAAUAGAAGAUAAGAUAAUUAGAAAAACAAAGUGCAAUUUUUCGUAGUUGAUGAAAAUUGAAAGACGUGUUUCAUCCGGAGUUGUUUCGAAAAAAGGGCAAAUUAUACAAGUGCCUCAUGAGCCAAUGAGAUAAUUUGAGUUUCUCUUUACUACAUUCCAAAAGUUUCCUUCAUCUUUCUAUGGACCAAUUUCAUAGUAGUUAGUUUAAUUUGCACAUUGGACAUGAAUUCUACUUUUGCCAAAUCUUUAAAACAUUUUUCUACCCCUUUUUCUUUUUUACUUCUUAACCUCCACUUCUUGUUAAAGCGAGGCAAAAAAGAGAGAUUGAACACUUGAAUUUUUAAGAUGAAGAGUUGUAAUGGAGUUAGGAUGGUAGUUGAGUAGAUGGGGGAAGGAUCAACUAUGAUGAAACUUCAUUCCAAGGCAAUUUAUAAACAUAAUUUACCAUUCGUAAGGGAAUCAGAGCACAAUACAAUUCAAUUGCUAUAGCAUCGGAAAAGAAAGAGAAGACAACUUUUUCUUAUUCAAAAUAUAGGUUAUUUUUUCAAAGUCCUUUAAGGAAACUAUAAUCGAAAGUAUACAACGAUCUAAAGGCUGCAAAACGAACUGAGCCGCUCUCGAGUCAAGCUACACCGAGUUAGCUCGAGUCGAAAUCGAACUUGAAUUCGAGCUCAAAAUAUUAAGAUCGUUAGCUUGCGAGUCGGCUCAUGAGCUCGAGUAUAUAUAUAUAUAUAUAUAUAUAUAUUUAUUUAUUUAUUUUUUGUAUAUAUAUUUUUAAUUUUUUUAAGUAUAUAUAUAUUUUUUAAUUUUUUUAUUUUAAUAGUAAAAUUACAUAUAUAUUCUUAAUAUUUUAUUAUUUAUGAAGAAAACAAUUUUAUUUUAUUUAUUUGUUUAAAAAUAAAAUAAUUAUUUUUUAUUUUUUUCUAGCUCGAGCUUUAAAUUGUCAGCUCGUCGAGCUCGAGUUCAAUAAAAUUAAGUAAAGGCUCGACUCGAUUAGGCCAAAACUCGAUUCGACUCGGUUCGUUUGCUGCCCUACAAGAAUCAUGUACUUGGAUUUCAUAAAUCAAUAGAACAAACAAUUGAAACUACCAAAGUGACGAUGUAAUUCCAAUUUAUUGAUUUAAAUCCAUAUUCAUUUUAUACAACAAAGAAGCACUUAACCAAAUCGAAACAAAAUGGCAAUACCUUUAAUCCUCCCUCUCAUAAAAACCAAUAUUGGUUUGCCUUAUGUUGCAUAUUUAUCAAAGCAAAUUACUCGGAUAGCUACUAAAAUUUUCGAAUAGUCGAGUUUGGUUACUUAAUAUUAAUGGUACGUUUUACCCCAUUGAUUUAGCAAGAGUGUACAUUUAGGGCUAUUUUGUCUUAUUUCACUAUUAACUCUACCGAAUCUAGUUAUUAAUAGUAUGUCUCUUGAAUCGUGUAGACCUUUAGGUUUAGUAAAGUUAACAGUGGAAUUAGAUGAAAUGACCUAAAAUUUGCACUUUUGAUAACUCAGUGGAGAAAAACAUAUUAUUAACAGUUGAGUGAUCAAAUCUUAACUAUUCAAGAAGUUUAGUAACUAUCCAGAAAAUUUGCUAUAUUUAUUACCAUACCAUGGCAUACGGUAUUUGUUGGUUAAAAAGGUAAUGAUGAGGUUUGCAAAUUAUGUGGGCAUUUCCGCAAAUAUUUACUAUCUAUUUAAGUAUUCUAACCACGAUUAAAACUAAAGCCCACCCCAAAUUCCCAAUUGCUACCCCAGCAAAAACUUGUUGAUGAAAAGGCAAAGAAAAAAAAUAAAAAAGAAAACCAAGUAAAGAAUUUACGGUGAGAAUCUCUGUUGCCCAUAUGUAAAGUAACUAGGAUUUGCAUGGGAGGGGGUUUGUUACCCAUAUGUAAAGUAACUAAGGUUUGCUUAAGAGGGUUUUUUUUUUUAUUUUUUAUUUUAACAGCUUUAUCUAUAGAAACCCUCUACAAAUAUUUCAAAAUUUUAAAAUACACACAUCAAAAAUAUCCCAAAACACAAAAUUUUUUUUUGCUUUUUUUCUUCCUCCUCUUUCCCAGCAUGUUUGCUAGCAUCUCUUCUAGUGCCACCCUCUCUCCUAACCUUUUUUCCUUCAUCUCCCAUUCCCCAGCACACCCUUCCCCUCUUUCUUUUUUCCCUUACCCUCGUGACCUCUAGUUGAAUGGAAGAGGAGAGGAGGAAAAGGGGAAAGAAGAAAAAGAAGAGGGAGUGAGAGAGAGAAGGAAAAAAAGAGGCAAUAGCAACUAGUAUGGUGGCAGCGAGGGAGAAGGGAGAGUAAAAACCAGGCAUGAGAGGAGGAAGAAGAGAGAGGAAAGAAAGAAAAAAAAAAGAAAGUUUUUUAAGUUUUUCAAACCCUAAAUACACAAAAAAAUUUUAAUAAUUUCUACAGUAAGUUACGAUAAAAUUUUAUACAAACAUCCAAAUAACAUACUUUCUAAAAAUUGACCCUAAAGGCCACAUUUUGCAUUUAGGGUUCACUCUCACAAGCAAUGUCAUGUGAAAAAUAUUUUAGAAAGAGAGAGGGAGAAACAACUAAAUAAAUAAGUGUGUUAAUGGUCAAAUCAACAGAAGCUAUAGAAGAUUGGAACAACAAAUGAGAAAUUUGUGAAGUUGAUAAAAAUUGACAAAUUAGACUUGUUUAGAAAAGGGUAAAUUGCUCAAAUACCUAAAGAGAAUUCAAGUUUUUAGAUGUUUCCUAAAACUCUUUACUACAUUUGCCUCAAAUACUGAUAAGAGAAUUCAAAAUUUUAAAAAUCUGCUUUCAAUUGUGAAGUCGGCAAAUUAGACUUGUUUAGAAAAGGGUGCCUCAAACACUUAUAAGAGAAUUCAAAAAAUUUUAAGAAUUUUCCUUUGAACUUUUUAGUAUAGGUUGGGAGCUUGGAAUGCAGAGUAGAGAUACAUAAGCUUGUAGGAGAGAGUUAGGCUCUAAGAAUUUAAGGAGAAAAUAAAAAGGAAAAAAACAAAUGAAAGCACAAAGAAAUACAUACGAACAACAAGGAAAAUAUGACAAACACCAAUAUGAUAUAUCGAGACGAGAUAAUCAUGCAUGUUAUACCAAUUCAUAAAUUGUCAAAAAAGAAGUAAUUACAAAAAAUAAUCCUAUCUGUAUAUGAUGAAGAGUUCAACAGAUCAAGUGAGACGAAUUUUCGUUAAAAGUGGUAAUCAAAUCAUAACUCACCAUUUGGUGGCUCUAGCACAAAUUACCUUUAGAGAGAGAAACAGAAACUGAAUUUUUUUUUUCAUGUUAGUGAAGUAUCAUUAAUCAAUGAAAGAAAUAAUUGAAAUUACCAAACUCACAGACACAGUCUAAUUUUAGUUUAUCCCCUUAUCAAUUUAGAUCCACAUAAUUAUUCUAUUUCCGGUAUAAAAUAUCACAAAUCGAAGACAUGCGUAAGAAAGAAAAAUAGUAAAUUGAUCAAAGUAAUCAUAUUACGUGGAAACAAACAAAUGGGUAUCAUUAUUCACUCUAUCCACUGUACUUUCUCGAAUUAUGAAAAUUUACCAAUUACAUUGAAAUUAUACAAAAGGGGAAAAUAUAAAUAAGAAAUCUCGAUCUCGAAUUUAAAUCACCAACACUUGAACCAAAAAAAAAAAAAAAAGAGUAAAAUUCAAUUUAACCAAUUACUCUGACCACGGUUAGAAUUGAAACCACCCAAUUUCCAAAGUUGUCUGGUCGAGGAAAAGACAAAAGACAGAAAAAAUAUUAAGAAAAGGAAAAAGAUUUACAGAGAGAGAGAGAGAGAGGAAAAAAUUAUUUAUUACCCCUCCCCGCGGCCCCAUAUAUAAAUAAUCAAUAUAUCAGCUUGGCUUUUUAUUCGGGGCUUUCUCUCUACUAGAAAAAACAAUUGCGUGUGUAAAAAUUUUUAGAGGAGAGAGAGAGAGAGAGAGAGAGAAGAAAAAGGGGGGAAAAAUAAAGGAAAAACAGCUGAGUGGAGUGUGUGUAGUGUGUGCGAGUCAAAUCAGUAGAUUCCGGCAACGUCGGGGGUGACUUUUCGCCGGCUACAGGAUCGAUCUGUAACUGGCCCCACAAUUCCCGCCUUGAACCAGCCCCACGCCAGACCCUACUCCCAGCUUCACAUCUAUCUUCUUCAUUUCUCUGCAAUAUUUUGGCUCUAUUAAAAUUGUAAUUUUUUUUUUUUUGGUUUUCAAAUCUAGAGAGAGAAAAAAUUUAAACAGCAAAAAAUGGGGGUGGCGGGUGCUUUAUUAUAGAUACAGGGCAUUUGUAUCUAUAUCCCUUGUGGGACAGAGGUACGUCAAUUUUUACGUUGAGAUCGGACUCGAGAAAAAAGGGAAGGCUGCGCUUAAACGACAUCGGAUUUUUUUUUCCCUUCUUUUCCUUUUUUAUAUUUUGUUUGAAAACCUGCGCGCCUGAAAUUUUGUUGGAGGGUUUUGGUUGGGCCUUUUGGUUUUCUUGGGCUGAAUGAGAAAUAUUUUUGGGGGGUUUUUAAUUUUUAACGGUUGUAUGUUAAUUUUUUUUGGGGGAAAAAGUUGAGAUUUCUGCAUGCAAUCUGGGGGUGGUGGGGCCCAGCAGGGCAGUGGGCAUGGGCGGAGUGCGGCGGCGUCGCCUGCUUCCUCCUCUUCUGGGGUGUCGACGUCUCAGCUGGGACUUGACCAGCAGCAGCAGCAGCAGCAGCAAAGACAGGUUAGGGUUUUACAUGCUUAAUACUGGAUUUUUUUAUUUUCACAUUUUUCUGUUAGUGAUUUUGGGUUUUUGGUUUCUGUAAUUAGCACUUUUCAGCUGGUUGGUUUUAGGUGUGAGUUGCAAAAUUUGUACUGAUGUUGUAAUCAAAUUUCAUAUUAGUCAUUGAUUGGCUUCAGGGAUUUGAUAGAAUAGUGUUGAUGUGUUUGACGAUAUGCUUUCCUCCCCCCUUCCCUAUGGUUCCUGUUACAAAUAUGGUGGAUUAGAAACAUUGGAUCUGAAUUCAAGGGGGAUAAGCUGUUAUAGUCCUCGUUUAGCUAGCUUGGAAGUUAUUGGUUGCUGGUAGUUGAGUUUGAUCGUUUUUGACUUGGAAGUUUCAGACGCAGUGUUGAUAACAGCAAUGACCAAGGGUAUAAAUGAGGCACCUACACUUUUUUGUGUGCAUAUGUGUUUGCUUAUGUUGAAUAAUGUACAAGUUUGCCUGGUUUCUUUUUUUUUGUUUAGAAGACUGAUUGUAAUUUUCAAGGGGGUCCCAAAGGUAUGCUUUUGCAGUAUUAGUUCUGUGUCAAAGGUAAGGUUUGCAUGAAUGUGGGUUUUACUGGGAUUUGUUUUGCCUAGCUAGGUAGUGGUGGAGCUUUUACCAUCAUUGAGUUCCAAACUCUUGGGAUUUGACGAGAGGCGCUCUGAUAUUGUUAACUAACAGUGUUUUUGUUCAAUUUAGUGUUGGGUUCUGAUGUGCAUGUGAUGAUGUAGCAUUUCGUCCAUUUGUGUCUUUCCAGGGUGCCUCCUUUAACAUCAAUGAUUGUCUUAUUUCAGUGCUCAGUUUGGAGGAUUUCCACAUUUGAUCAUGUUUAAUGUGAAAUAGACCCAUUAGGGACAAAUUACAUGCAAGACAAAUUACACACUGGACGAAUUAAUAUUUAAGAUGAAAUCAUGUGGUAUCUAGUAAAAAAAUUCCAGGAACUAAUAGAUGUAUUGUCUUUAAAGUGAUAUAGAUUCAUUGAACGUGAAUUACAGACAAGAAAAAAUUCUUUUGGAUGAAAAAAUUACAGGAGAAGUAGUGAAGUCAGCACUUUUUGGAUGAUCUCUGCUUGGGACUUAUUAUACAGUUUUGACUGGUCAUUUCAUCAACUUUGUGGUUAUGGUAUUCUAUUGAACUUUCCUAAUUUUAUUGGUUUACUGCAGAUGGAUAUUCUUUUUUCUCUUGGCGUUCUUGUUUUCUCAACAUAGGUUUGUGUCUAUGAAGUGCAAUUUCAUUAACUUGGAAAGUGCAAAAAUUAAUGAAGUGACUAUUACAACCGAACUUCUGUUAUUGUUAUUUGUCUUGUAGCGUCUGAAUUUUAUUAAUUCCUUUUUGAAUUUUGAUCUCUAGAAUUUCUGUCUAUCAAAUAGCUUCUUCUUUGUAUUAUAAACUUUGAACUGUGCCUGUUUCUUCUUGAACCAUUGGUGGUUAAUUGGCUCUUUUGAGAGACAUUCAUGUAUGCAUGGUUUUUUGAGACAUUUUUUAUGCAGUCCUUACAACAGCAGUUCCUUAGAAGACCUGAAGGGAAUGACCCCAUUUUAGCCUAUCAGGCUGGAAGUAUCCAUGGAGUGAUGGGAGGAGGCAACUUUGCUGUGCCUUCAGGCUCCAUGCAGUUGCCUCAACAGCCUAGGAAGUUUAUGGAUCUUGGCCAACAGCAAAUCCCUUCCAGUGGCCGAGAGGAGGGUCAAGGUAGGAGUCAGGCCUUUGAGCAACACUUACUGAACCCAGUGCAUCAUGCUUACUAUGCUUUCCAGGCAGCCCAGCAGAAAUCACCUCUAGGAAUGCAGCCUCAACAGCAAAUGAAAAUGGGGAUGUUCAGCCCUCCUAGCAAGGAUCAAGAAAUGCGGAUGGCAAAUAUGAAGAUGCAGGAGCUCAUUUCUGCACAGGCGGCUAAUCAGCCUUCGGCAUCAUCUUCAAAAAAAUCAGUCGAGCAUGUAACUCGUGGUGGUGAGACUCAAGGGGACCAUGCUAAACAGCAUCUACCAGAUCAAAGGGCUGAUUCAGAGUCUCCUAACCAGCCAAAAUUACUUGGCCAAGCAGUGCCGGUGAAGCCCAUGCCUGCACCACAAUCUCAACAAAAUUUUCAGAACAUGGCAAACAAUCCUAAUGUUAUGGCUGCACAAAUGCAGGCCUUGGCCCUUGAGCGUAAUAUUGACCUUUCAAAUCCUGCAAAUGCAAAUCUGAUUGCACAAUUUCUCAUGCAGUCUCGUAUGAUUUCACAGCAAAAAGCAAAUGAAAGCAAUGCUGUCGUACAGGCUUCAUCUCUUCAUGUGCAAAAACAGCCAGUUAAUUCACCAACGGUGGCCAAUGAAAGUUCUCCUCGUGGUAACACAUCAAGUGAUGCAUCUGCGCAGUCUGGCUCGGUCAAAGCUAGAUACCCUUCUUCAUCUGCUUCUCCCAGUUCAGCUCCCAGUGCAGCUGUGGUAGGUAACUCCAGUAAUGUCCCAUUGCAGCAGUUUUCCCUUCAUGGAAGAGACAGCCAGUUACCUCCAAGACAGCCAAAUACAAUUGCCAAUGGAAUGCCUCCGAUGCCUCCCUCAAACUCACCUUUGAACUUAAAGCAGGGAUUGGAUAAUGCAUUACUGGCCAAAGGUGCACAGAUCGGGCCAGAAACUUUGCAGAUGCAAUACGGAAGGCAGCCAAAUCGAUCUUCUUCACAAUCUAUGGCUUCAUCGAAUGAUGGGAUCCUGGGAAAUACCUCUACUUCUCAGGAUGGAACAGGAGCCAAGAUGCAGCAACAGAACCUAGGGUUUACAAAGCAGCAACUGCAUGUUCUCAAAGCACAAAUACUUGCUUUCAGGCGCCUUAAGGUUUGUGUAUUUUGUAAGCAUGCUAUGCAUUUUAUACUUUUCUUGUUAGGCUGCAUUAACAUGCUUUUGAGGUAUCUUUUUCCUGCUUACAGAAAGGAGAUGGAUCUCUGCCACGAGAAUUACUCCAAGCUAUUGCACCACCACCACUGGAGAUGCAGAUGCAGCAGAUGCUUCUUCCUGCUGGAGCUCUUAAUCCAGAAAGAUCUGCUGUUAAAAAUGUAGAAGAGCAUGAGAGGCAGUUUCAGUUGGGUGACAAGGCUACUCAGCAGGCAACCAAUGGUGAUGGACGACACAGAUUAAAGGAUGAAGCUGCAGGAGAUGAGAGUGCAACUGCACCUGCAGUUAAUGUGCAAAGUCUGGCAGUGCCAGUGAAGGAACCUACACCUAUGGUCUCUGUUCGGAAAGAGGAGCAGCAAACUACUGGAUCUUCUGGUAAAUCUGAGCCAGAAGUUGAACGUGCAAAUCAGAAAUUUCCUAUCAGAAAUGAAUUUGCAGCAGAGAGGGGCAAAGCAGUUACCUCACAGGCAGCUAUUCCUGAUACAGCACCCGCAAAAAAACCUGUACAAGGAAAUGUCACUCAACCUAAAGAUGUUGGUUCAACUAGAAAGUAUCAUGGACCACUGUUUGAUUUUCCUGUCUUUACUCGGAAACAUGAUUCUUUUGGGUCAUCGUUGAUGAUGAACAACAAUAAUAACCUUACUCUUGCUUAUGACAUCAAGGAUCUUCUUGCUGAGGAAGGCAUGGAAAUUUUCAGAAAGAAGAGGGAAGAAAAUAUUAGGAAGAUUGGUGAUAUACUGGCUGUAAAUUUGGAGAGGAAAAGAAUCAGGCCAGAUCUUGUUUUACGUUUGCAAAUAGAAGAGAAAAAACUUCAACUGGCGGAUGUUCAGGCUCGCUUGAGAGAUGAGAUUGAGCAACAGCAGCAAGAUAUAAUGGCAAUGCCUGAGAGGCCGUAUAGGAAGUUUGUUCGGCUUUGUGAGCGCCAACGACAGGAACUUGCUAGGCAAGUUCAGGCCUCACAGAAGGCCUUGAGAGAAAAGCAACUGAAGUCCAUUUUUCAGUGGCGUAAGAAACUCCUUGAGGCGCACUGGGCCAUUCGUGAUGCUCGAACUGCACGUAACAGGGGAGUUGCUAAAUAUCAUGAGAGGAUGUUGAGGGAGUUCUCGAAGAGAAAGGAUGAUGAUCGCAAUAAAAGGAUGGAGGCUUUGAAGAAUAACGAUGUUGAGAGAUACAGGGAGAUGUUGCUUGAGCAACAGACUAGUAUCCCUGGCGAUGCUGCAGAGAGAUAUGCGGUUCUCUCAUCGUUUUUAUCUCAGACAGAAGAGUAUCUUCACAGACUGGGAGGUAAAAUUACUGCUGCAAAAAAUCAACAGGAGGUGGAAGAGGCUGCUAAUGCUGCUGCAGUUGCUGCUCGAGCUCAGGUAAACCAUCUUCUGACUCUUGCAACUUUACCAUCCUCUCAUCCCCCCAAUCCCCCCCCCCCCCCCCCAAAAAAAAAGAAAAAGAAAAGAGAAACAAAGGAAGGAAAGAAAAAAGUAGAAAGGGAAGAAAGACUGAAGAAACAGGUUAAGGGUGAGUUGCUUGUCUUUGGCUUUGUAUCUCUAUGAGUCCUUUGAAGUGGUACAUCAUUGGCUUUCGACACUAUACUUAUUGGCAGAACAGAAGGAGAAGUCCACUUUUGAAUAUAAGGAAAGUUGUUUGUCAAUGUGACUGGAAGAAGGGAAAAAAAGGGAAGUCAUUCCUUUAAACGGAGAGAAUUAAAGUCAAAGUUGGUAGUCAUUUGGAUGAGUGAGCAAUCACCUUUUCAUGCUAAUUCCUGCAAAUUAGCUGGACAUAAAAAGGAGGAAAUAUUUUCCUCCAAGAAAGUCUUUUGCCAACUUUCUCAUGAACCAGAUGUUUAAGAAGAAAAAGCAACUGAUUUUCUUGACUUUAUACCAUGUUCCCUUCAUUGAAACUGUAUCAGAAAUAAACUGUUGGGAGUGGAGGGACCUAUUUGUACAUUAACUACCCCUUUUCUGUGAUUAUCGCUCUAUUCAUGUCAUGUGAUAUGCUAAUUUGGUUGAUUUUAGUAAUUUUGUCUACCCACUUUUUUCUCACAUUGUAUGUACUUGGAUUGGUUUCUUAGUCGUCACUGACAUGUGCUUCUGGAUGAAAAGGGUCUCUCUGAAGAAGAAGUAAGAUCUGCAGCAGCCUGUGCCAGGGAGGAAGUAAUGAUCAGGAAUCGGUUCUCUGAGAUGAAUGCCCCGAGGGAUAGCUCAUCUGUCAACAAGUGAGUUUGUUUUUUAUCUGAUUAGGUUGUGCAUUGGCAUUUAUGUUGUAUGGACAAUUGUAGCAGUUUUUGCAGUUUCUGGAUAUGAUUUCAGUGUCGUUACAAUUGAAGCCUCUUUUGUACUUCCUGGAUAUGAAUUUAGCAGUACUAAUUUGUGUUUGGGCUGCAUUGUACUGAAUGCAUCUGUCAUUUGAUUCUGAUUUCAACUGUAGUUUAUCUGCAGAUUCUUACUUGCAAAUGGCAAGAGAUUCUAGUGUUUUUACUUGUUCAAUGGUUUUGGAGGGUACUGUGAAAUUUUCUUGUACUUCCCAAUAUAGGUGCAUAGUGUGUCAUUUUUCGUUCUUUUGCACCAGGUACUAUAAUCUUGCACAUGCUGUGAAUGAAAGGGUUAUUAGGCAGCCUUCAAUGUUGCGAGCUGGAACUCUACGAGACUAUCAGCUUGUAAGUUGCAAUAUCUUCAAUAUUCAUACAGUGCUGACAUUCUUCUCAAAAACUGGAUGCUCAAGUUGAUUAUCGUGUUCAAUUCUUUAAAUAAUGCAGGUUGGCUUGCAGUGGAUGCUUUCUUUGUACAACAAUAAACUUAAUGGAAUUUUGGCAGAUGAGAUGGGUCUUGGAAAGACAGUGCAGGUGACUGGCUAUUGUAUAAAUAUGUUGGUGGUUCAGAAUUUUUUGGUUAUAAUUUUUUUUUUGGGAGCAAGGAAAAAGAAGAAUUUUGCUGAUCAUUACUUUGUGGCCUUCUGUCAUAUUUGGUUUAUGCUAUGGUUCCCUUUAUUGUUGAAUUUGUAUACCAGAUAAUUGGAGUACUCCUUUUAUCUUUUUCUCUUUCGAUUUUUCGCCUGUAGGUUAUGUCAUUAAUUGCCUAUCUCAUGGAGUUCAAAGGAAAUUAUGGCCCACACCUUAUUGUAGUUCCGAAUGCUGUUCUCGUUAACUGGAAGGUUGGCUUUCUUUUAAUUACCCUUACAUCCUUGUUUGGAGUUGUAAAGUUUUUUAUUUAUCUAAUGUAGCUUGUAUUUUAGAGUGAACUUCACAAUUGGCUUCCAAAUGUGAGCUGUAUUUAUUAUGUUGGUGGAAAGGACCAACGAUCAAAAUUGUUUUCUCAAGUAAGUCAGGCUGUUGAGUUUGCAUCUUUUAUAUUCUUGCUUCCAUCAUUCACAUUUAUCAGUUCCCUGAACUUCGUGAUAUUUCAUUCAGGAGGUUUCUGCAAUGAAAUUUAAUGUGCUUGUGACUACCUAUGAGUUUAUUAUGUAUGAUCGCUCAAAACUUUCUAAAGUGGAUUGGAAGUAUAUCAUAAUUGACGAAGCACAACGAAUGAAGGACAGGGAGUCAGUUCUAGCUCGUGAUCUUGAUAGGUAUCGCUGCCAAAGACGCUUGCUUCUGACAGGGACACCUUUGCAGGUUGGUUAAGGCUAUUAAUUGUUUAUAUUGUCAUUUUUGUGGAACAAGAAUCUCAUUGUAGUUGUUCUUCUUUAAUUCUUAAAGGAGUAAGAUUUUUAACUUAUAAAUGAUUGUUUUCAGCUGUCUUAUGGUCCUCAAUAUUAUUAGUUUUCUUCCAGCGGGGCUGGCAGGUGGAAGGCUAAGUAUGAAUCCAAAGGAAUAAAAAAGUACCUGUGAUGAACUCAUUCAUUCUUCAGUGUGCCUGUUGCUCAAAUGAUUUAAAUACCUUUUUGCUUUUGAUUUUAGAAAAAGCUACUUUAUGUUCUCAAGUACUUAAAAUAUGCUUUUAGCAUUUUUGGAGGCAAAAUAGCUGAAGAUCAAAAGCAACAGAACAGACGCUUCUGAUUUUCUGAUCUGCUUCUAAUAAUCAGAAACAAUUGAGAACUUGCCCAAUAUGUUUGCUUUUCAUUUUAUUUUUUCCUGGUAAAUUUGUGAUAUUACUCAAAAACCCGUUUUUUAAAGAUUUUAUGAGUAAAAGCUUAGUUGAAUGUUUGUGCAAUAGCAUGGUAUAUAACAUGUUUUAGAGAUUACUAGCCAUGUUAGUGGUUUUCUUAUUUAAUAUAAGGAUCAUUUCUACAAAAAGAAAGGUUAAGAAGCAGGUUGUUAUGAACUAUUUUUAGAGUUACCUAUUGACUAAACCAUGAUGCACUUUUAUUUGUUUCUUUGUCUUGGGGUCCUUAUAAUCUAAUCAGGCUCCAUGAAGACUAAUUAUUUCUGGAACAGUACUCUGUAUGGUGACUGUCCAAUUACAUAAAAUUGCAAUCUUAGGGUGAAAACACAAUGGUAAAUGUUUUCUAAUGCCACUUUUAAUUUAAGUCAUUAAUUGCUCAGGCUGGCAUGCAUAUCUGGUUAAUAUAUCAACUGAUUUUGCCAUAUGGAUGCAUAAAUAACGAAACAUGCAGAUUUGUAUACUUCGCACAUCCUUUGCACAUUUCAUGUGUGGGAUGUCACUAUUUAGUGCAACUUUGGCUUCUCCUCCUAUAUCUGUAAGAUGCUAAGAAAGAAUCUCAGAAGGAAAUGAGGAAGGCAAAGCCAAAGAAAAACAAUGAGACGUAGCAUAGAACAAAGAAAAAGUCAUAACAGAUUUGGAUGAUGCUUCUUACUUUAUUUUUUACUCUCCUUUUACUCUUUUAGAGUUACAUGAAAUAUAAUUGAUUUUUAUCUUCUUUCUUGCAGAAUGAUCUUAAAGAGCUAUGGUCGCUUUUGAAUCUGCUACUUCCAGAAGUGUUUGAUAAUCGUAAAGCAUUUCAUGAUUGGUUCUCUCAACCUUUCCAGAAAGAAGGUCCUGCACAUAAUGCGGACGAUGACUGGCUCGAGACCGAAAAGAAAGUCAUCAUCAUCCAUAGACUUCAUCAAAUUCUGGAGCCUUUCAUGCUUAGACGGCGUGUUGAAGAUGUAGAAGGCUCACUUCCUCCCAAGGUACAUUUCUAAAUUUUCAUAAUUUAAACUUUACUGUAUGGAUUAUUUGUCAUUUCAAUGCCAUUGCAGGUUUCCAUUAUUUUGAGAUGUAGAAUGUCAGCUAUUCAAAGUGCCAUAUAUGACUGGAUCAAAUCCACUGGUACUCUUCGAGUUGAUCCUGAAGAUGAGAAGCGCAGGGCUCAGAAAAAUCCAAUUUACCAGCCCAAAACAUACAAGACUUUAAACAACAGAUGUAUGGAACUCCGCAAAGCUUGCAAUCAUCCAUUGCUUAAUUACCCCUAUUUUAAUGAUUUCUCUAGAGAUUUUCUUGUAAGAUCAUGUGGGAAAUUAUGGAUUCUCGAUAGGAUUUUAAUAAAGCUUCAGAGGAGUGGGCAUCGGGUAUUGCUGUUUAGUACUAUGACGAAACUCUUAGAUAUACUUGAGGAGUAUCUUCAGUGGCGAAGACUUGUCUACAGACGCAUAGAUGGAACAACCAGCUUAGAAGACAGAGAAUCUGCUAUUGUGGACUUUAAUAGCCCCAAUACUGAUUGUUUUAUCUUUUUGCUUAGCAUACGUGCUGCUGGGCGCGGUCUGAACCUUCAGUCUGCUGACACAGUCAUCAUUUAUGAUCCUGAUCCAAACCCAAAGAAUGAGGAACAGGCAGUUGCUAGAGCCCAUCGCAUUGGGCAGACAAGAGAAGUAAAAGUUCUUUACAUGGAAGCAGUGGUUGAUAAGAUAUCAAGCCAUCAGAAAGAGGAUGAACUUCGGAGUGGUGGCACAGUGGAUUCUGAUGAUGAUCUGGUUGGCAAGGACCGGUAUAUGGGGUCAAUUGAAAGCCUCAUACGGAAUAACAUUCAGCAGUACAAGAUCGACAUGGCAGAUGAAGUUAUAAAUGCUGGCCGGUUCGAUCAAAGGACUACACAUGAAGAGAGACGUAUGACAUUGGAGACGUUGUUACAUGAUGAAGAACGAUAUCAGGAGACAGUCCAUGAUGUUCCAUCACUUCAGGAGGUGAACAGGAUGAUUGCUAGGAGUGAAGAGGAGGUGGAGCUUUUUGAUCAGAUGGAUGAAGAUCUGGAAUGGACAGAGGAGAUGACAAGGUACGAUCAGGUUCCAAAGUGGCUUCGUGCAAAUACUAAGGAAGUGAAUGCUACGAUUGCUAAUUUGUCCAAAAAACCAUCAAAAAGCACCUUAUUUGGUGGAAGUAUUGGCGGGGAAGCUAGUGGCAUGGCUUCUGAAGGUGAGAAAAAACGUGGGCGACCUAAGGCAAAGAAGCUUCCUAUAUACACAGAACUGGAUGAUGACAAUGGAGAUUUUUCUGAAGCUAGCUCCGAGGAGAGGAAUGAAGAUUCUGUACGUGAAGAGGAGGGAGAAAUUGGGGAAUUUGAAGAUGAUGAAUUUAGUGGUGCUGUUGGGGCACCUCCAAGUAAUAAAGACCAAUCAGAAGAAGAUAUUAUUCCUUCGACUGGUGGAUAUGCAUACCCUCGAGCUUCAAAUAGCAAUAAGGAUAUGCAGAUGCUCGAAGAAGCGGGCUCAUCAGGUUCAUCCAUGGAUGGUCAAAGAUUGACGCAACUCGUGUCACCUUCUGUGUCUUCUCAGAAGUUUGGUUCACUUUCAGCUUUAGAUGCCAGACCGGGUUCUCACUCAAAGAAGCUUGUAUGUUGCCUUUUAUUUUAUUUUAUUUUAUUUUGGUCAGGGCUAUAUUAGUCACAUUAUGGAAGCAUCUGAGAUGAUUUAUCUUUUGUUUUCCAGCCUGAUGAUCUAGAAGAAGGAGAAAUUGCUGUGUCUGGAGACUCUCAUAUGGAUGUCCAGCAAUCUGGUAGUUGGAACCAGGAUCGUGAUGAGGGUGAAGAGGAACAGGUAUUGCAACCUAAAAUAAAAAGGAAACGCAGUAUACGCCUUAGGCCGCGCCUUGUUGCAGACAGGGUCGAUGAGAAGCCAUCUCUUCGUCGUGGAGAUUCUAUUCAAAUACAAUAUCAGGUGGAUCAAAAACUUGAGUCUCAAUUCAAGAAUGACCGUGGACGCAAAUUGCUUGGAGACUCUGCCAUGUUGAAGCAGGAGCAAACUGAUUCAUCUAUGAAGAAUAGACGGAACAUGAACCCCCGGAAAUUACCUAAUACACCUAAGAUGCCUGGUCUGCUGAAAUCUGGAAGGUUUGCUCAUUCAGAUGACACUGUUCAUCACUUGAGGGAAAACUUGGAUGGUAAGGGCUUAAAUGCUAGUGGGACAUCAACUGGUGGUUCAAAGAUGACUGAGAUCAUUCAAAAAAAGGUCUGUAAAAGAUCUACUCUUUUACUUAGUACAUACACUUUUGACUUUGAGAUGCUAUAUUUGCCUGCUCUUGAUUUUCUUCUUGUUGUAUGUGUUUAGCUAACUAAUGGUUGGUAGAAUUCUAAUGAGGUUUAAGAUGCUACUUCUGUGAUAUUAGUUUUCACAUUGAAAUUUAAAGCGCCACCUUUUUAUUAUUAGUUUCGAUAUCCUCAAUAAUCACUUAGCAUUGUGCUAAUGAUAAGUUUUAGAUCAGUAAUUCCAAGUGCUGUAUGUCAUUAUUGGUAGAAUCCUCUCUAUGGUAAGUUGAAUGCGAGGACUGUAAAUUUGUAGCCUCGAUGAAUCAUAUUAAUGUACACAUUGGUGACUUGCACCUAUAAUAUCUGAGAACUUCACAAUAGAGUUUAUGGCAGACAAUAUUUGAGUUAUCUAAUGCAAUGAGAAGUUGUGUCCCUUCAGUUGAUAGCGAUUUUGUCUCUGUGAUUGAUUCAGACACAGAAUAUCUGUGAAGAGGUCUAGGUUGGGGCUCAAAAUACUGGUUUCAUUUUGCAUAUUUUAAUGCUUUUGAGGGUUAGAGAUGCUUUGAUAUGAUCUUAUCAUUCUUGCCUUUUUAAGUUUAGUUUUAACUGAUUAGGUACCAUGGGGUCUAUUUCAGAUUUAGCCAUCCUUCUUGUGUAUAUAUGUAAUUUUUAGGGUCCGUUUGUUUCGGGUGAAAAUGUUUUCUAGGAAAAUAUUUUCCUAAUUUCCCGUGUUUGGUUGCACAAAAGUUACUGAAAACAUUUUCCUAUGUAAAAUAUUUUCACUCAUCUUAUGGAAAACAACUUCCCUUCCAAACUUACUGAAGUUGUUUUCCGAAAUGCAUGCAUCUCGCCUGUAGUAUGUUCCAAACUUACUAAAAACAUCUUGUAGUAUGUUCUGUUUUUUUUUAGUGUAAACAGGAGGACUCGAACCCAAGACCUCUUCCUUACACUCCCUCCCCCGUACCACCCAACCCAACUCAACCCUUCCCCUAGUAUAUUCAAAAAAAAAAAAAAUCUCAUCCUGCUCAUCCUAUGCUAGUAAUUAAUUAUGUAUAAUAGGGACAUUCUUUUCUAGAGAAACUUUCAGCAGUGAGAGUGCAAGAUAUAUGUCACAAUAAGCAUUGCAUGUGAUUGAUAUUUGACACUAAAUGACCAGGAAUUUGUUUAUUGCUUAAGGAGAUAUUUUUUAUUCAUAUAUACAUUUCUCCAAGAUUUUUUAAAGUUAAACAAUGAGAUAAAAUUUCUUAUUUUGCAUGGGAAGAAGUAUGUAGUUAUAAUGUGUAGAAAGUAAAGAUAGAGAUAAAAGUGAAAAUAUUUCAAAAGUUAAACAAACACCAGAAAAAUGAAGUAAGAAAAUAUUUUCAAUAAGCUAACCAAACACCUGAAAAUGAUGAAAGGGAAAUGAUUUUCAUGGAAAAUUACUUCCAUGGAAAAUAUUUUCCCAAGGAAAAUAUUUUACUUCCAACCAAACAGACCCUUAGGGUUGCACUUAUUCUUGGAACAUAAGGUGUAGGUUUGGACACAUUAAAUUUGAGGUAUACCAGUGAUGAUGUUUAGUAGUAUGGUUUAUAAUUGCUGCUGAACUUUAUCCUUAGUUGCACUUUACCUCCCUCAACUCAAUAAGAGGCAUUUUGCCCCCCUUAUUUUAUAUUUUAGAACAAAAGUGCCCAUUCCAUAUUCAUUAUUAUUUUAUUUCUCUUUCUCCUCUUUUGACCUUUUUCUUUAUAUUUUUUUAUUUUUUUCCCUUUUCUCAUGUGAUGAACUAUUUCUUUAUCUUGCUAUUAUUAUACAUAUAUUAAUUUUAAUCUUCUUAAACUUAUUUUUAUUUAUUUCUAUCUUUUUUGUACUUUUUGUUAUUCGAAGUAAUAAUUAUUAUAAAGUCUAUACUAUAAUAAAGUAUAUAUUAUCUAUGCUCUUAAAUUAUUUCAUAUAUUACUUAAAGCAAUACGUCUAGAGUUUAGAAUAAAUUAAUUUUUAAUAACAACAGUAGCAAAUUCAAAUCUUAAUAACAUAGCGGUUAAUCAACUAUAAAUAAAAAAAGUAAACAAAAAUGUUAGUUACUUAAUUUUUUAGGAUAUACUUCUUAAACAUUAAGUAAUUUAAAAUUUUAAUUUGCUAAUAUCUUUUUAAAUUGUUAAAUUACUAGUAAUAUACACUUUUUCAUUUUGAUAGACAUAUAUUAAUUUUUAUGCUAUACACUUUGUCUUGAAUUUUCUGAUAGUGUAAAUAAAUGAAAAACAAUGAAAUUAUGAGUAAAAGAUAAUUACAAUAUUAUAAUAAAUGUACAAAUUAGUAAUACUAAUGGGAGAGUGAAACAAAAUAGUGACAUAAGAGAAGGUGAAAAAAAAAAGAAAAUAGUAAAAGAAGAAAAAAUGUGAAAACAAAACGAAGUAGUGGGAAAGGAAAAGUAAGGGAAUAAAUGAACAAAAAACAAACAAAAUAAAUAAGGGUACUUUUGUCUUGAAAUAUCAAAUAGAGGGGCAAAGUGCAACUAAGGGUAAAGUUCUGGGGGGUUUAGUGCAUUUAGCCCUUUCUUUAACUGGCAUUGUCUUUGGGUCUACAUGGAUUUUGAUCCUUGCUGUUUUACUUUUUAGCUUUGAUCCUGUACGUGUUAUGCUAUGUUCAAAUAGUAUUCCUAGUGGCAGUCCUAAGUAGUUUCACGAGGAAGAUAGAAUGUAUUAACCACUUUUCAUUUGAAAAUAACUUUCUGGAUUUUUAUUUCUAGUUUUUACCUCACCACAUUUUUAUUCUUUAUUUAUGUGUCUGGAGUUUUCCUUGUUUGCAGUGCAAGAAUGUGAUUAGCAGGCUCCGAAAGAGAAUAGACCGGGAAGGUGCACAGAUCAUUCCAUUGCUAACUGAUCUGUGGAAAAGAAUUGAAAGCUCUGGUUGCACGAGUGGAGCUGAGGAUAAUCUCUUUGAUUUACCGGAGAUUGAUAUGCGUCUUGACAACCAAGAGUACAGGGGAGUGAUGGAAUUUGUUUCAGACGUGCAGCUUAUGUUAAGAAGUGCCGUGCAAUAUUAUGGUUAUUCAUAUGAGGUAUGUCUACAUAUUUCUUCCUACAAUUUGUGGUUAUGGUAUGCGUGUUAGUAACUUCUUUCUUGCUAGGUUUUGCUUAUACUGCAUAAUCUUGAAAAUUAUUUUCAGUUUAUUGCCACCUGGUACAAUUUGAAGUCAUUCUCAAGAUAUUAUUUCUGAUGAUAUCAUGAUAUACUUUUUUUUUUCUGGAAGGAAAAACAGGAGGAUUAUAAACAAUUUGGUCUUUAAUUUGAUGCAUUCCUACAAUUUAGACACCUAGAUAUAUAAAGCAUUGUUUUUGUCCUCAGCCUCCCACACCCUACCCUUCCUUGCCUGGCCUUGCAUGUGUGUGCAUUUGUUCCAGCUACCUGUAUUGUAUGCUACUGUUAAUCACGUAACUAAGUGAUUGGUGAAAACAUCAUGGAACAGGUGAGAUCUGAAGCGAGGAAAGUCCAUGAUCUUUUCUUCGACAUCUUGAAGAUAGUGUUUCCAGAGAAUGAUUUCCGAGAAGCCAAAAACUCUCUCUCUUUCACGAGUGCAGCCUCAGGCUCUGCACAUGGUUCAUCUUCAAAACAAGUGCUUACUGGUCAAAACAGGCGGCAAAAAGCAACGAGUAGUGCAGAACCUGAGCCUAGUCGUCCUCAGAAGCCUCAGCCUCGUGGACCAAUACAUGAAGACACAAAAACGAGGGGCCAUGUGUCACAGAAGGAGGCAAGGCUUGGAAGUAGCAGCAGCCGGGAUCUUGGCCAACAAGAUGAUUCACGCCCAUUCGCUCAUCCAGGGGAGCUUGUUAUUUGCAAAAAGAAGAGAAAGGACAGGGAAAAGUUGGGAUUCAAGGCGGGAAACGGUUCAGCUGGUCCUGUGUCACCUACUGGCGUCAGUCGUGGCAUUAGAAGCCCUGCACAAGCUUCGAUAGCCAAAGAUGUGAAGCAGGUUACCCAACAGCAAGGGUGGAAUAGCCAGUCUCCUCAGCAGGUGCACAGCAGUGGUGGGAAUGUUGGCUGGGCCAAUCCUGUCAAAAGGAUGCGAACAGAUGCUGGAAAGAGACGCCCAAGCCUUAAUUGAGUGCGUGUAUAUUUUAACAAAAGAAUUUGUUUUGCUAAUUAGUCGAGGUGCUGGGUACAAUCCGGCCCUUGUGAGUUGUAAUACCUGUUAAUAUAGGAAUUCGUGGGGAUUUUCCCAGUGUAUGAUAUUUGCUCUUCCGCAAGUCUCCUGCGUCUCUGUGUAGUAGUGUAUUUUGAAAGGUAUAUUAACACUGCUUCAGCUGGGUAGGAGCUUUAAGGGGGAAAAUGAGAAGAUAUUCUAAGGUGUCUGGAAACCUUAACCAGUGUAGUGGAAGAAAAUGGUUUUUUUCGGAAAACUAUUUAUCAUUCCAACAUGGAAGCGUGAUCAAGAUGGCAAAAUCAAACCAGUAAGAUUCUACUUUCGAGAUAAUUCUUUUGGGAUGAGCAUGUAAAUUCUUAUUGACUCGACUUAAUCAAAAAAAGUAUUUUAAUUAGCCGAUUUCUAAGCAAGCAUACGUAAGGCAAGCCCAUAGUGUCAAAAAUGGCCCUUCUUGCUAUCCGUGAUCUGUAUUUUGUUUCCUCUUUUCUUAUGCCUGCCGAGUAUAAUCCCAGAACCAUCACAUUUUGAGUAUUCUUCUCAUUCAUCUGACUGGUUCAAGACUCAAAAAGUCAGAUCAGCCUCACUUUUUCCUCAAUGUUAGACUUUGAGAUUUUCUGAAAAAAUCUCCUCAACAGAAGAGAAUAAUCCUGUCUCAUGAAAUAUUUUGGCAAAAUAGCGUCUGCACUUUUUUCUUUUCUUCUGAUCCAUGAGCGCGCAAAUUGGUCAAAAAGAUUUUGGUCACUUCACCCUCCACUGUUUUAAGCCUUGAGAGUCCCCCGUCCGCUCUUCACCACGUGAAAACAGAGAGAGCAAGAGAAAAACCAAGUCUCAUGUCGUAAUUUCAGUUCCUUUUGCAGAGACAGACGGCUACAACAACUGAUUUUAAAAGAUGGUUGCUUUUAUGCAGCAAUACACAAUUCACAAGGCACUAUAUUUAGCUUCUUUGAAUCAAGUUUGAAGCAGCCAAACAGAUUCUCAGUCACUUUAGAUGCAGUUUAGCUCACACCCUAGAGUUAGUAGUUAUAAACAAUGUCUGGGCCAUGAAAUCAAUUUGGCAUUGAAAAUGUAGUAGUGUAGUGUGACGGGAAAAUUGGGGCAGGACUUACCUGCUUAGCCUAAAUGGGAUUUCACCGAAAAUGCAGAAAUUACUUGCUUAGCCUAAAUUUCAACCACAUUGCCAAAUUUAAUGCACCACCAAGAGUAAACAUAUAAACAGAAAUAGAAAAGCAAUGUAUUAGCACCGGAUAUAUUUACACGAGAGAAUUAAUGUUAAGGGCUGGGAUUUCUUCUUUUGCAUCCCUUCCCAAUGAAUAGGUUCAGGUUCAAUUAUGCAGGAACCAGAGAAUCAUGUAGAGGUACAAGUAACCACUAGGACUAGGAGGGGCUAAGGAUCCACUGGGCCUGCCACCGCGUCAUCACUAGAGUCGUAUUCAUCUUCGCUUAGCUCCUCAUCACUUGAUUUCUCCUCGGGAACUGCUCCCACAUCUUCUGGCUUGGCAUAUUUCUGACAAUAUUCUGCAUGAUCAAUGCAUGGGUGAAUCGAACUAUUUUUGCAUGACCAUGCAGGCAACAAGAGAGAAAGUAUGUUCAACUCAUAAAAAGAUAAACUGUUCAAUCGGGUAAAAAACUUUUUAAGUGCUGCCAGACUACUACAGAGUGGAACCAGUAAAGCUGGCAAAGGGGGUUGAGGCAAAUUAAUCAUCCGAACCUGUGAUAGCUAGACGAAACAGAUACAAAGUCUGAAAUUUUAAGAGCCCUUUGAAUCAAUAUCCCGUGUGAGCUUAAGGCCCAGUAUUGUCUUGCUCUAUUGGCUGACAAGGCUAAAGGUACUUCAUGGGAAAACAUAAAACAGCAGUAUAUCCAUGGAUUGUUAACAGACAAUUAACUGUUGGGUUAAAAUGUAGUCAUGACCGCCUUUUCAUUUGUUUCCUCUCUUUCUGACCUCAAGCCAGGAACUGGUCGACAGACUGAUUAACUCAAUUCUAACAGCUAUCAAAGAGAAAUGAAACAUAGCCGACAGUGGCAGAGAUUCCACGAUAGACAAAUCUGCAGCUGCGUGUUUUUAACCUACCAUUAAAGGUCACAGCAUAAUUAACAUACUAUACCUUUACUCGCAUUUAUCUUUUCCUUCUACCCACUCAGCCCUAAACCUACAUGUGUUUUCUAGUGAGCAUACUCAUGCCAGGUCAGAACAGAUAACAUCAUUCUUCAAUCUUGUAUGUUUUCCCGAGGACAGUGUGAAACAAUCCUGCCUGAACAGAAAAAGUUAAAGAUCUUUCAUAGGAUUCCCUUGCCAUACAAUGACUACAAAAGAGUCAGAACCAUCUUAGUGACUACAAGAAACUUCCAUAUGUAAUCAUGAGGACUGAAAGGUGAAGUAGACUGAAUUAGAAUCCACUUAGUAUCUCCAUAAAUCUGAAAUAUGAUAUUGUUGACAAGUUAUCCCCUUAAGCUAAAGGGGCUGCUAAUUGUAGCGCGCAGCAUACUAGUGAAUAGGAAAAGCACUCAAUUAGUCCAUGAAAAUGAGCAUAAUCAUGCAGCAGGAAAACUUAUAUCAAUUUAAUCAAUAGGAGUGCAUUUGCUUAUCUGCUCAGAUCAAAUAUUAAACAGCAUCUAAAAAAAAUCCAAAAUAAGGUUAUUGAUUUUUCUGAGAAACAUAAACCACAAUAAAAGAUUCCCAUUUUCAGGCAGGCUUAGGUGGCACAUGCUCAUGGUUCAUGUGGAAGUUUCAUGUAUUUUCUUUCAACUCUCAGAUUUUGGGUGUGUGCUGUCUCCUAGAUCCUUGAUGCUUCCUUCAAAAUAGUAUAACAGACUAAAGAUAAAGGCAAGCCCACUUUCAGAUUUCAAGAGAACUGAACCAACAUUGCAAAAGCAGAAUGUUACAUGGGAAUACUGUUGAAAGCCGAAUCCUACUUGGAUCUCAUUACCUAUCUGCACUGCUUGAAAACCUAGCACAAGCUAAUGCAAUGUAAUCAUGAUUCAAGCUUAGUAUGUGAAAUUGAACUGAUAAACAUCACGGAAACAAACUUUCACAUGAAUUCCCAUAGAUGUGUUGUAUCUAGCUAAUUCAAAGCAGGAGAAAUUCCUAACAAAAACGUUUAAAGAGCAUCGAAAUUUUCAUGGCCAAGAUCACAUCAACAAUCUAUUUUAAGUCUCAUGAUACUCAAAUAAUUUGAGAAAAUUACAAGAAUAAUGUAUAAGACCCGCAUCAAUUAUAUUUAAGGCUUGACUCAUCUUAUGUAUUUUGACAUAUUCAAGAACUAUGAGAAAAUAUCCUACUUGUAUAUAUGUCAAACACACAGAGUAACAAAUUAGGAAAGGAAAGCAUAUUCAGGAUUUCUUACAUUCCAAAUCAAAAGGUACCUUUAACUCUUUGUUCGUAAGCAGUUUGAUCACGCAUCAUCAAAGCAGCUGCCUCCCCAUUCAAAGGGUCUGAUGGGUUCGGAUAUAGAAGAAGCUGUGGGAGAAAUACUUCGAAUACAUUUACCAGAUCUACAAAGAACAUGUUUCCAACAUCAAAUAUACUACUUGGUCAUUCAAAAAACAAGAAAGGGAUAGAUUGAUUCAUAUGUUGAGAUCAGCAAACUGAGAGAGUACGUAGUCCAAAAGAAAUCUAAGAACUCAAUAUUAUUACCAAACAUCGGGCUCCAUGUCUGAUUAAUUACAUCUAAACAAACUGAGCCAGACCUGAAAGUAUAUAUUCAACAUCAUCAAAGACUUCAUUUUUUCAGAUGACAGUAACGCUGGGAUAUCAUCAAGCAGACAGUAAUAGAGUUUUGUAACUAAAUACAUACAUCUCAUCAACAUUUGGGUGGUAGAUCUUAUUAAUAAAUCCUAUGGAUGGAGAUUUGUAAGGGUAAGAAUCUGGAAGCUCCACUCUGAUUUUCCACGCCCCACCAUGAUAAGGACCUGGCACAUUUCAUUGAAUGGUCUUAAAAAAUGGUGAAAGCAAGAGAAAAAGGAAAAAAAAAGAAACUAAACAAAGUCUUGUUCAGAACAGAGAAUUAUGCUGGUUCCAGUAUCUUCAUCAGUAACUUUAAUCACAUGAACAAUUUUUUCAGGUCUAAUGCAAAUGUCCACUGGGUAGAAAAAGGAAGCUCUUUUGACAGUGUCUGUAACAGCUAAAAGAGUUUCCAUCCUUCUAGAAUUGCUAAAGAACGACACAUUUUAGUUAACAAACAAGACACAACCAACAAUUCUAGUAUGCACUUUCCCUAAAUCUCGAACCAGAAAUGGAGGGGUAAAUAACCACGAGACAGAAAAUAAAGGAAAUAAAUAAAAUUUCAGCAUGUGCUGCAACUGCAAGAAUAACCUUUUCACUAAUCAGAUAUCAACUAUUUGCAUCAAUUUUGCAUUGACUGAAGCAGAGCCAUAAAUUUUCUUUCUUUCGUUUUUACAGUAAAUAAUAUUAACAGAUGGUUCUCGUUGGCUGAACGAGAUUUAUUAGCAGAUACAUAAAAAUUUUGAACAAGAGCUCAAUCUAGAAAAGCACUAUCAGCCAAGACAAAGAAAGAAAAGAUCCAGAAAUUGAUAUAACUGUCAUUAUAGAAAAGGGAUGAAGUAUUAACUGUCAUUAGGUCCAUGGAAAUGGACAUAGAAUUCUUGCAUGCCAUCAUUGAUGAUAUCCACCUUGUAAUCACUCAUCAUCCUGUACAAAUGAACAUUCAACAAAAAAAAAAACCCAAAAAAUUCAAAAACAGAAAAAAGCCCAUAAAUCGAAAAGUCAAUCCAAUCUAAGAAAAAGAAAUCCAAAAAAUUUAAAAGGAUUGAUCAGGGAUUUAACAGUUUCAUCAAGUCCAUCUCCCUGCGUUUGCUUGGGGAAGACAUGAUUUUCGUCUUGAUUCUUGGCACGGCUUUUAAUCUCUUUUUGAUGAUUUUCUUCUGGUGGAGAGGAGGAGAAAAGGUGACGCAAAAAAGGGAAGAAAUAAGUUACUUCAAGUCUUCAACAACUCAGAUAAGCAAAAGAAGAGCCGACACAAGAAAGAAAGAAAAAGAGUAGGAUCAGAACUUAUCAGAGAGAGGGAAUAGUAGUAAUAGAAUAUUCAUGGAUUAUGAUACUAACCCCUGUGAUAUACUUUAAUUAGAAAGAUUAAAUUUUGGAAUAGAAAUUUUAAUUUUGAUCAAAGCAUAAUGAGCCUUCCAUUUUCAAGAUUCCUUUCCUCUUGUAUGCUGUAAUCCUUUGAGGUAGUGACACCUUUCUUCCUCUUCUUCUUGCCAUUAUUACGUUGCCACGCAAACCUUUAAAUAAUACUACUCAACAGUCGUAUUAGAUUUUAUUUCCCAAAAAAUAGAAUAAAUCCUUCCUACACCUGAUAAGAUCACUGUGUCGACAUGGUGUCUUGUUCCUUUCCAGAAUCACUAAUAAAUACUACUACUCUUUUCCUUUCUUCUCCUUCUUUUUUUUUUCAUUUUUGAAGAAAUUACUUGUAAAUGGUUUGUUUUCUUGAUAUGUUAUACUCCUCCGUCCCACUUUGAUAAUCCUGAUUUUUUUUCACCCAAUUUAAGAAAAAGUAAUUAAUUAUGUUGGAACAAUCAAUUUAAGUAGUUAUUUUCCUAAAAUACCCUCACAUUAAUUAGAGUACAACUUUAUGGGAACUUGAAUUGAUAGUAAAAAAAGAAUCAACUCUCAUUAAAUGGGGUAGGUUUAUAGUAACAACAACUUACAUUGAAUAAGGAUAUUUUAGGAAAAUUAAAAUAUAACUACAUUCUUCAAUUGGAAAGUGGACUACAAUUUGGGACAGACGAAAAAGAAAAACAGGACUAUCAAAGUGGGACGGAGGGAGUAUUAUCUGGUUAAGGUAUUUACGGAGCUGUCUGGAUCAAAUUCUAAAAUUACUAUCAUUAUAGAUAUGAUAAAUUGAAAAAUAAUAACUAACUUUAAUUUACAAAAUUAAAGACUAAUAACUAAUGUACCAGUACAUAAGUACCUAAUUUACUAGUACAAGAUUUUUUUUUUUUGUUGAACUACAAAAUUGAAACCAAGUUAAAAAGAUUCUAACACUAGAUUUUCGCAUAUAGCUUAACAAAAUUAAUUUUUUUUUAUUUUAUUGGUUAAUUAGUAACUCAGGUGGCAUGAGUCAGAUGUGAGUUAUUAUUAUUGUUUAAAGUGAACCAUUAUUUUGUUUCUUUUUUAGCAAAAUUUGUGUUUGGAUUGCAUUUUCUAGGAUUUUUUGUAGAAAAAAUACUGUAGCGAUCUGAUGUAUGUGAGGAAAAAAGGUAAUAGGGAAACGUGAACACGGAAAACGACGCAAUUUUCCGGCACAAAAAAUGGCUAUCAAAACAAUUACUAAUUUAAUAAACAAAUGACUGCUUGUGAUUAUAUUGGACAACUGAUUAUUUUCUCAAAUAUAUUUGUUUACAUCAUCAUUACAAUUUUCAAUACACCUUUUUAUCUUCUCAAUUACCUUUUUAUCUCACAUACAUCACAUCACAAAAAGUGCUACAGUAAAAUAUCUCAAAUAACUUACAAUCCAAACAAACUUUGCCUUGUUUGGAUUGCAUUUUUCUGGAUUAUUUGUAGAAAAAUUACUAUAACGAUUUGAUAUAUGUGAGGUAAAAAUAUGAUUGAAAAAUAUGUUAUUUGAAAAAUGGCAAGCAACCAAGAAAGUUGACAACAUGACUUGCCAACUCUUUUCUGUGCAUAUCCUCCAAUGGUCACAUUCCUCGUGCAUCAAGAAAGCUGUUCAGCAAUUACUCCAAUCCAGCCUAAUUCCAACCAACUUGUUAGAACAAUUCUUCUGGCUUCAAUGCAAGUAAAAAGCAAACUCAAUAAUGGGAUUCACUUCCAAGUACACUAACCAGGCAAGCAGUUGAUCUUAUAUGUACAAAUUUCAAGCCUGAUCUUACGGAAAUCAAACAGUAGUGUGGGAUGACUGAAUCAAUUGUGCAAAGCAUUUGCGGAUUCUGUUGUUUGAACAGCAAAUCUUUAGAUAUGCAUAUGAGCAUGAACUGACUUUUGUUUUGGCUGCUUGAUUCUAAGUACAGAUUUUUCCACUCUCAAAAUGAGCCCAAUAAGACAGAAUAUUUAUCCUGCCAGAUUUUUGGCACUACACUCAACAUAGACGUCAAUUCUUUCUUCCCACUGCUCCUGAACCUAAAUUUGAGGCUUGAUCAUGUGAUCAUUCAAGAUUCAUUUUUUUCUUUUGGGAUUCUACUUCACUUAAUAAGCUGCCAAAGUAGCUUAAACCGUCAUGGGGUCUUCUGAUGGAUAGUGGAAAAGCGCCAAAACAGAGGGUUGAAAAGGUUGUCUGCUGUACAAUUCUGUUUCCUGAAUCAGCGUGUGCCGUCCAAGGUGAAUCCAGCUAAUUAGACAACUUAUUAGGCGGAAAAAACAAAGGGAAAGGGAGAUAGAGGGGUGGAGAAAAGACCCAAGCGAAUUACUUGGCCACCACCUAUCUCAUCAAAAGUUGUUAUUUAAAGUGACUUCUCUUAAAUCUAUAUGAUUGACGGUAAUUUAGUUUUCAUCGAUUUCCGUGAUUCCGUUGCAUCAUUUUAGGACUGUUCACGAAUCGGCUCACAUGCAGCUCGAAUACGAGCUCGACUCGAGCUCGGUCAAUAUCGAGUUCGAGCUAAUCAAGUCGAGUUCGAAUUCGAGUUCGAGUUCAAAAACAUUAAGCUCGUUGGUUUACGAGCGGUUUGCAAGCACGAUUAUAUUUUUUUUUAUUUUUUAUUUUAAUAGUAAAAUUACAUAUAUAUUUCUAAUAUUUUAUUAUUUCUUAAAAAUUAUUAUUUUAUUCAUUUUUAAAAAUAAAAAAUUAUUUUUUAUUUUUUAAAAAUGAAAUAAUUAUUAUUUUUUUAUUUUUUAAACUCGAGGUCGAGCUUGACAUUUUGAGCUCGAGUUCGAACUUCAUAAAAUUAACUGGAGGCUCGGUUUAAUUAGAUCAAAAGUCGACUCAACUCGACUCGUUUGCACCCCUAGAUCACCCUCUUAAUAUAAGUUAAAGUAAGAGGAUCACCCCUUCGUAUGAGUUAAAAUAAAUCAUGUCGAAUUAUCCCUUUAAUAUAGAUUAAAGUAAGAGGAUCAUUCCUUUAAUAUAAGUUAAAGUAAAAGUAGAUAUAAAUAGUGACGAUAGGCGACAAAAAAAAAAAAAAAAAAAAAAAGAAGAAGUUCGAGAGUCAUUGCAUUAUUCCUGUCGACAUGACUCAAACUUCAAAUUUGGCAGCUGCCAUUCUAUUUAAGAAUGACAAAGUGAAUCGCAGUUAAUCUACCCAAUGGGGAGAGAAAGCCCUCUCAAUUCUACUGCGACGAGUUACUAAUUAAUUUUAAAAGAUUUGUAGAGUAUAUACUAUAUAGAAAUAUGAUGGUUUGGCUAGUUAAUAGCGAAUGGCACAAGUCAAGAGACUUUUUCAACCAUAAGAAACACACACACCCGGAUCUAAGGUGAAUCCACCGGUUUACCAAAAGGCAAUUGCUGACUUCUGGAUAAAGUCAAGAGACGCUUCAAGUAUUAAUUUUUUUAACACAAAAAAAAAAAAUUAGAGAAAGUGUUUAUAUGCAGAGUAUAAUAUAAAUAUAAGUGUGUGUUCACAUAAUAAGUUAGGCAUAAUGUCAGACUAAUCUUGAUCAUAUUAUAGGCAGAAUGGGCAGAAAGGAAUCAGAGUACUUUUAUUCUUACUUUUAAUCAUUUCAACCAUGCCCUUUUUUUUUCUUUUUUUCUUUUUUUGAGAUUUGAAGUAGUGAUCCAACAUCAUUGUCACCAGUUGCAUAUCUAGUCAUUAUUCAUUAAAUACUGUCAAAGAGACUGAGUAAGCAAUCGGACUUUUCUUGAACUUAAGCCAAAGUUACAUAUGUCACAAUUUUUUCACAAUUUUUUUGAAAAACAUGUGGCACAAUUAAGUGAACCGCACAAUUUGUUGAUUACACGGCACCCCAACAUCCAUUCUAUACGUUAAGCGUGAGAAAUGGAUUUGGUGUUAACAUUGGGAUUAACAUUUAUUAUCAUUUUAUUUAAUUAUUUAUCUAUUUUUAUUUUUAACUAUUUAAGUAUUUGCUUUGAACAUAAUUAACCCUAAAUAUUAUAAUUAUCAAUAUAAAAUUAUUUUAUGAAAAGUUUUUAAAAGAUUAAAGUUUGGUUCAGUAAAAAAAAAUUAUUUAAAAUAUCUGACCAUAAAUAUUAUGUAUUUUUUGAUUUCACACGCAUUGGAUGUGCAUUGAGCACUAGUAUAAUAAAAACCCACCAUGCUACAUUCCACUGUAUUGCACAAAAGGGGUAUUGUAGAUUCUUCUACAAAUGAAAUCGACCUUAGCUGAAUUUUUUGGCCAUUGUGGAACUCACGAAUGAAACGAUCAAAUGGAACCGGAAUGUACAAAAGAUAAAAUUUGUGAGCUCCAUUAUCUCAUUGAGAUCGGGAGACUGAAUUGUAUUUGUUAUUAUACCAAACCAUGAUGGGAUUUAAUGUUUUCCCUGAACAGUGUUGCUCAUAUACCUAUUUUUCUUAACUUGAAUUUUCUCAAAAAAAAAAAAACUGUUGUUGAUAUUCAAAGCUAAUUUAUAAUAUUUUUUAUGCGAUGAAAAAAAUAAUUAAUUUUGGGAAACUAGUACGACGCUCAAACCACUUUUAAACUCCAUGGCCCUCAGGAAAUUAAGGGUAUGGUUGGGGUUGUGGUAAUUUAUUGAAAAACAUUUCACCAAUAGAGUUUUUAAUAAAAACACUUAUUAAGUAUUUAAGGGCUUUUAAAUAUAUUGUUUGAAUAUAUAGUUUAAUAAACACUUAUUGUAUUGAAUAGUGUAAAAUUUAAAAUUUUGUAAAUAUAUUUAUCUUUUAUUUAGUUCAUAAUAUAAGAUGAAAUCAUUAAAUUUAAUGUUUUACUUUUUAAAACAUAAAAACUAUUUUGAUAGUACUAAAUUUGAACUUUUGCUAAAAGUACUUUUAAUACGAAAAGUUUCACUCCCAAUUUUAUGCGAUGAUAUUCACCAAACAUCUUUAAAAUAUUUUUAAUAUCCAAAAGUGCUUUUUUAUCAGAACCACCACAACCCAAACGGGCCUAAGACAAUGAUACUAGAAUUUUUACUCUCUUGACCUCACCAUGUCUUGUGUACCCCAUCCCUUCCUUCAUUUUUCACCUUCACUCUUGUUCCCAACACUACACAAUCUGAUACACAAAUUUAAGUAUAUCCAACGUAAAAAAAGAAAGAAACUCAAAUUCAGAUUUUCUCUAAGGUGCCUUUCAGUUUCUUAUUUUGUUUUCUUGUACAGCAUCUUUUUCAAAUCAAAUUGGAAAAUGUUCAACCCUAGAAAACACUUGAAAUGCAGUAUAUACUAUAGGGUACAUAGGUUUUCCCUGUUCAUCUGGAAAUAAACACAGAUAUAGGAUCUCAUCUUGCUAUAUAUAGAGUACAAGGGAUUUUUUUUCCCCCAUAGAUUUGUUAAAAACUAACCUGGCUAUAGGAUAUUAUUUUCUUUACAAUCAAAAGUAGAAUGACAAUUUCAAAUGGUACUGUUCUGAAUUAAGACCAAACCCACUGCUCUAUUUUAAAGCACACAGAUUGAGCAACUACAUGCUGCAUUUGUUGUUAUUUCUUGUUUGCAAUUUUUUUUUUAAAUUUUUUUCCUUUGAAGGCCUUUUUCCCCGUUUGAAGCCCAUAAUUUGGGUUUCUUUUCUUAAGAAGUUCAAGUGAUCCACUGGAAAGUCAAAUUUGGGCUGUCCAAAAGUUUGAUUAGAUCGCCCAAUUUCAGCCCAGUUCCAUCCUCGACAAGGCAAUUUGAUACGCGCCACAGUCGCAUUGGUUUAGGACCUUUUUAGGUUGGGCAGUUCAGUCAAAUUUUGGGUUCACAGAAAAUUUCUCCUCUCUCCCUCUCUUUUUCAUUUUUAUUUUUCCAAGAAACAAGAACUUGUGAGGACAAGAAAUCACUGCUCUCGUGAUCAGCAAUAAUUUAGGGAUUGCAAUCGGGGCGGGGGAAUUUUUUCUCCCGUUUACAAUGUUGUAAAAACCGGACCGUUAAUUGAACCGGUAAAGUGAAAGGGUCGAGGUUCAACCGGUCGGACCGGUUCAAUUCCGGUUCAAUGAAUUUUUUUAAAAAUAAUUUAUAUAAAUAUAUAUAUGCACAAAAUAAGACAUGGAAUGGACUAAUUUAAUACUUUAUAUGAUGAAAAGUUUACUAUUUUUUAAUAACUUGGAUUUUUAAAAAUAAAAAUUUUAAAUUAUAAGUUAAAACAAAUAAAUUUCAUCUCAAUUUCACUUAUAUCUAAAUCCAACCCAAAAAUAUCACAAUAUUUUGAAAUUAUACAAAAUUCACGUCUAUGAGAAUUUAGAUAUUGUGAACUUAAAUUUUAAUUUACGUUUUGGAAUUUAGAGAUUGCAUUUUAAAAAAGAAAGUUUGGAGUUCGAAGGAAGUCAAGAGAAUCGAAAAUAGAAAUGUAAACAUGAUAAGAAACUAAAAAUGAGAUAAAAGUGAGUGGUUGUGGCAUUAAAUAAUUUGGGUUAAAGAAAAAUAAUUCUUUUUUAACUUUUUCCAAUUUAAUGGACAAAAACAAAAUUAAAAGAUGGAAGAAAACAUCAAUAAAUUAAAAAUAAAGAGGUUUGAUUAAAAAGGGAGUGACAAAAGAAAAGAGGAUAGAGAGAGAGUUGAAGAUUAAAAAGAAAGAGCCAUGAGAGGAUGAGAUUUUGUAAGAAAAAUAGAAAAAAGAAAUAUGAGUGUUUGUUUUACAUAAAUAAGUUAUAAAAAAAAAACUAAUAAGAUGUGAUGGUGCAACGGUUAAUACAUUGGUCUUCUAUUACAAAGUUCUUGAGUUUGAAUCUUGAUAGCUGCAUUUUGCAAAACUUAAAUAAUGAAUCUUGAUAGCUGCAUUUUGCAAAAUUUAAAUAAAAAAAAAGGAAAGUUGAAAAUCAGAAACCACCGAUUCAAUCCGGUUCGGCGGUUUUCACGGUUCGAUCAAUUUUUGACCGAUUUUCUGACAAAGUCAACAAUGACAUAGAACCGAACUGGUGCCAUGGCCGGUUCGAAACAUUGCCCAUUUAGAAACGAGGCAGGGGCAGGGGAUUCCCCCAUCUUGUCAUCUGUCAAAAAAAUAAUAAAUAAAUGUAUGUAUAUAAUUAUAUAUAAUAUUUAAUUUAAUUAGUUACAAACUUAUAAUAAUGAUAUUAUUAGUUAUAUGUAUUACAUAAUAAAUUUUAGUGUAUGUAAUAUAAUUGAUAUUAUCAAUUAUACUAAUAAUUAUAUAUGUCUACUAAUAGAAAUUAUUAAUAGUUAUACUAAUUAGCUAAUACAUUUAUACUAAAUUUCUAAUUACACUUAAUACAAUAACACUUUUUUUCUCAAAAAAAAUACAAUAAUGAGUUAAUAAUUAUAUUUGUGUCAAAAGUAAAAACUUGACUACUUUACCUAUAUUUAUUUCAUGAUGUUAGAUUGUAUUAAAAUAACUCGUGUUUGACUAUUUUUAUGGAUCUCAAUUGUGAAAUUAUAAUGAACAAUAACUUGAUAAUAUGUUGAUAUUUUAGUACUUAAUUAUUUGUUAAAAUUUGACUAUAAAAAAAUUAAAUGAUAACUUUUUAUUAACUCCGCGAGAAAAACAGCAAAUAAAUCAACACUUAAAUCCUUGCUAUCACUACUAUUUUCAUCAAACGACACAACUACUGAGAGGUGGGAGAAGUGGGGGGCGGGGGGUCCAAGGGGAAUUAGUGGACAGCAGGCGGGAGAGGGGUUCUCGGCCUCAACCCUGCCCCGUUGCCAGCCCUACAAGAAUUAGAAGUAUAUCUUGAGAAAUCAUACAGCAGGUACAUUAGAGUAAAAUUUGCAUUAAAUUGAAGUAAACUUUUCACUGUGCUUUUCCACAGUCAUUAAAGGUAGUUCUAGCUAUGUUAUGUCUUGAGAAGUAAAAACGAAACUUUACCAGCAAAAUGCAAUCUGCACAACCAUCUAUGGUAUAUUCUAAAUUGCCGAACAAAAGCAACAAAAAAGUCUUCCGCAAUUUACACUUUGAACAGAACCGUUGACGCAGAUUUGCCAAUUUAUCCUUCCCCAUGCUAUCAUCCUAUAUUCAGAUGUGGCUUCUUCGGCGAACAAAAGAUUGAGCCAGGAGGUUUGGCACUACCGUAGCUGGACUCUGAUUCAUCAUCAUCACUGUUGAUGUCAGUUGGUGUUACUCUGUUCUGGUAACCUCUGCGAUGGAGAAGGCAGACAUUGAAGUAGUAGCUUACCAGUGAUUCCCUACUUCUGUUUGGAAAAGCUUUAACAAUUUCAUGCCAGAAACACUUGCCAAGAGACAAAGGGUUUGACUUCACUAUAUUAUGGAACUUCUUCUCUUCUUCCUUUGUCCAAGAAAGUGCAACAUCUUCACCCAUAUUGUCGAAUUUCCAUCGAUAAAAUGCAGGCCCCAACUCAAGUUUCACCCUCGUCCUCUUUUCAGAGACGUGGAACCUAACACAUUCCAAGGAACCAGGAAUUUGGCAACCACACGAAUCUAGUCUUCCCUUUCCAAUGCGUUCCCUUUCAAUUAAGUUUCUAUUUUGUUCUACUCUUACAAGUGGCCAAUAUUGGGUACCUAGCCACUUAGAAUCGCUUUCACAAGCCUUCCCAGUCCAUUCUGGAACAUCUGCUUGAAAUUGUGGCCCCAAAGGAAUACGCUUUUUCCGAUGACGACGACUCCCCACAAAAUCAGCUUCUGAAUCUGAAGAGGAAUCAGACUGUGUGUCAUUGAACUCCUCAUCACUUUGAGUACCAGAAGAACACGACUCUGAGAAAUUCCGGGCCCUUGACUUUUUUGAAGGAUCUUUUGCAGAAAGUAGCCUCUGGCUGAAUCUCUGUCUCUCAGAACCAACUUGAUCAUCAUACAAGACUGGAUGCAUCUUUUGUUUCUUCUGCAAACACAAAAAUCAUCAUCUGCUGCUCAACAAUUUUAAUCGCAUAUGCACAAAAGACGACAACAGGACAUGACUAUAAAAGGAAGAAUUCAAUUAAGUUGAAAAAUUCAUUUCAGCUAUAAAAUGUAACAGAGCUCGAUCAUAUUAGUGGCAAGAAAAGGACAAUUGGUCACAUCUUGAGAUCGUAAAAUGGAUGUAUAAAGAAAACCUUAGGCAAAAUUAAAAUGGUAUGUUUCUGCCAUUAUCCACAGCAGAUUAGUGUCCUUCCUUUUGUGAAGUCUAUAACAAUGCAAAUACAUAUUCCUUCAAACGAGUACAGAUUACUGAACACAGAAGAGUCAAAAAGAGUCCAACUGAACUCAAACUUUUCCUCGUAUAAGAAAACAAGGAGGUGAACUGAGUAAUCAUGAAUAAUGGUAUAAGGAAAACUGAAGGCUGAGGCAGGUGAUGUUUACUGCACUUCACUGUUGCUUUUCCCUAGUGUGAAUGCCAUUGUAAUCACUUAGCAAAACAGAAGGCACGAGAAAUGCCAAAAAUGUUUGAGGUGAAAAUAUAUAUGCUGAUUAAGAAGUAACUCAUUUGACAAUUUUGUCCUUCCAGUUCUAGAUGAGGAUAAAUAGUGGAAUUAAACUGCAAAUCCUCAAUUAGAUUUUUCACCUAAAACCCACAACACUCUCAAGUAAUAUCUGAUCGUCAUACCUGCCUGGCAGCAACCCAAUUCAUACACAAGUGCAGUAAACAUGAUUCAUGCUUGCUCAGUAGAAACCCACAUCAAAAUGCAGCAAUCUAUAUAUUAUGGUAAGAGAAAGAGAGAAAGAUAGAAGCUACUGCAAACAGCAUGUGAAAAGAUGUAACUCAAGAAAGGAAUUAGCCUAUAAGUCAAGCUAUAACAGAGAAAUAGGAAUUAGCCAUCACGAAAUAUUCAGGAGUGUACUUUGCUAAGUUAAGUUACACUGCUAGAUUCUUGUUGACCUACGUUGUUAAUAUGAUAUUUAUUUUGGGCGCAUGCGUGAUUGGAUUAGGUGGGCUGAGUUGCACCAGAAUUAGAAGUCUCAUGAUUCCCAGGACUCCUUCCAAAAACAGAUAUUACAUGUUUGGUAAGAUUCAGUAAUUGACAAGAAGCAUAUUUAUUUCACGAGACAAAUAAGUGAAUUCUGUAAUCUAAUACAACCUAAUUAUUAGUGAUGAGAAUGGCCAACAAACGUAGUGGGAGAGUUGUAUUAGGAAAAAAAUAACCUGAAACAAUUUAGUAUAUCCACAUUCCUAAGAACAGUUAGAUAAAAUUCUUUCCUAGUUAAGUGGAGUUUCAUGGAUCUUUUGGCAAUAACUUACUCCAACAAUUACUGUAUGGUCCAUGUAUAAAGCUCCAUAAUACGACAGAAGUUAGUGUUGCAGGGGAAUUACUCCAAAGCCAGUCUUGAUAUUUUUACGUUGAAGAUGUGUUAUAAGAUAGGCCAUUAAAGGCUGAUGCCUCUGAUUUUUGCUUUGAUCAAAGAAAAUACCUGCGGCCCUAUUUAAUGAACAGCUUAUUAAUCAUGUUAACCCCAGACUUACAUCAACAAAAAAGAGAGCCAAAAUGAAGAACCAUGUAUAAUAUCUAUGCAGCAUAAGCUGACUGACAAUGAAGAAAAAUUCAAAACAAAUUUCAUUCAGACUUUCACCUUUUAUGUUCAUCUUGAUACUUAUAUACACAAAGGAUACAAAACUGUCAGUGUAUACCUGCAAAAUUGAAUGUUGAUCACUUGACUCGGAGUUCCUUUUUGACAUCAUUGCCUCUCGAACCAACAGAGCCUGUUUCCAGACCAAGUCAUUUGCGUAAUACUUCCACUUGGACUUAUCUGGUAAGAACCCAAUUGCCGGAUCACAGGGAUCCCUCGCAACCCUGUUAAUCCAUUUCAGCAUGCUCAAGUAGCUCUCCCGCCUCCUCUUUCUCCUAACAAGAUCUUCCUUCCUACUACUCGAAUCCAAUUGUGUAUCACCAUCCUCCAUCCUUCUUUCUUCCCUAAUGCCAACCUCAAAAAGAUUAUCAACACCAUCAGGUUUUUCCUCUACAUCAAAACUCACAAAACCACACUCGCCUCCAUCAUCAGCAGCACUAGUUUUGUCUCCAUCCUCAGCAUCUCCAUUUAAUUUGACGAGGCCUCCAACUUCAUCAAGUCUAGCAAAUUUUCCACCACUUUCAAAAUCGAACUCCUUUUUCUUCAACUCCACACUCAUAACUUCUCCAUCUUUCUUCUUGUUAUCUACAAUCCCUGAUAAAAACCCCUUCAAAUCAGACUCCAAAUCCAUGAGCAACUCUUUUAAAAUAUCCAAACCACUCUCGUUCGCUCCUCUUUCUGAACUCUCACCUCUAACUACUCUCUGCAAAGAUUUAUCUAAUGUAUCCAAAUACUUCACAUAAACCAACUUCAAAGCCGAAGCUGAACUUGAAUCAACUCCACAUUCCAGAGCCACCGAACCCCAUUGCCCAGUUUUUGAAACCUUCUCAAGUCCACCUCUAUCUCUAACAUUUAAGUAAACUUUAAACAAAUCUACAGAUUGCCCAUUACCCAGCAUUGGAGGCAAUGGUCUAAAACACAGAAUCCCAAAAGAUUUUUUGAGAAAAACAGGCAAAAAUUCAUCGAAUGAAGACUUAAGAUUACCACUGGAACCUUUCUCUUCUUCUCGUUUUGCAGCAGUUGUACUAGCACUGACAGACCCUUUAGAAACAGGGCUGUUAUGAUCCAACCAGGAAGGCUGCUUCGCUUCUUCAACUUUCCGGUUAAAUUUGAAGCUUUCUAGACCUGACCCAUCAACUCUCUUCAACCACCCUGCCAUUAAUUUGUGAAUUCAAGCCCUAAAAACAACUCAUUACAUUCAUCCACAAAGCGAAGCCUAUGCCAAAACAAAACAAACAAACCAAAAAAAAAAAUGAUGACAAUAAUAGUACUUCACACGGUGUAUGAUUGUGCAGUGUGUGUGUGAAAUGAGUGUGCGCAAGUGUGUGAAGAAAUGGGCGGGACAAAUCCAAAGAAGGGUUUUGGAGCUUAAGCGAGGGAAUCAAUCAAGUGGGUUUGUAAGGAGAAAUGGGUUUCUUUGGCGGGAAGUUUUUGAUACAUCAGAUUAUCUGGGGGAAAAAUAAAUUUUUUUCGGACCCCAAGAAUUCGAGUGCCGCUCUCUCUCUCUCUAGAAAAUGCCCAAGAGAGAGAAAGAGGGAAGAGGGGGAGACGGGGUCGGGGGGUCAGGGAAAGGAAAUCAAAGCUUGGGUUUUUCUUUUUUUUUUUUUAAAUUUUCCUUCCUAAGGUUUGAACAGAACCAGGCCCUUCCGUAGAAAACCCAAAAAUAAUUGCAAAUAAAAAAAAGAAUACAGAUAAUUAUUCUGAGGGCUACUAGGGAAAGGGAAAAAAAAGAGGGGAAAAGAAGAGAAACGUACCAGUGUAAAUUUGAGAGGAUGGGAUUUGGGAUGUUGAUUUCGAUUUGUUUUUGUUUUGUUUUCCUGUGGAGAGGGUGUUAAGACCAAAUAUUUGGAGAAGGGGACCCUAAAGCCUAAAAGAACGACUUUUUUCCGCUCUCGAGACUUGAGAAAUAAGAAGAGAGAAUUGAGAGAGUUGUUAUUGUCGAUUUCUCUCGGACGGGUAAAGACUUGAAGAGUGACUCUAAAGAAUGGACUUUUGUUUUCUCUCUUUUGAUGCCUAAUAUUCUAGGAGAUUUGUAUCGGUAGUCCAAACCUAAUUUUAGGGUGUUUCAACCCCAAAAAAAAAAACCCUAAAAUUAAUUUUAGGGUUUUUGUGGGGGUUAAAAGAAAGAAGAGAAAAGCAAAAAGAAAAGGAUGGGGAUGUUAAAUUGAGAGUUGGGACUUUUGGGAGGUGGAAUUUGGGAUGGGAAGAGAUAGAUCUAGAUUUGUAAUGGAAGGGAGACAAAAUAUAAUAAGGGGUCUACGAUUUGUGUUUUCUAAGGAUUGUGAAAGAAGACUUCAAAAAAGGAUUGUCAAAAGAAUGGAGAAAACACUUAUUUAUAGGUGAAACUUUUGGAUUGGCUUACUAUGGUUUGUUAGACUAAGGUACUGAGUUGGUGAUGGGUUGAGUAGAAAGGAUUUUGGGCAAACAAAUUCUUAUGGCUGGUCAAUUGGCUUUGUCCUUGAUGGAUUAAUGGGUCUUUUUCCCGAGUUAGUGCAACUAUGACAAUUUUAUAAGUAGUACUAAAGACAAAAUUUUUUAAUGAAAGAAACAAGUUUUUUUUAAAAAAAUAAUUUUUUGGUAAGCAUAAGUUUUUUUGUUCUUUUUUUUUUUAAGAUCAAAAGAACAUAGUGAGGUAUUGGUAAAAGAUGAAAAAGAGAGUAAGGUCUUACGGUGAAUCUUUCAUUGUGAUUUCAUAUGAACAGCAAGAGAAAAAUGUUAAUGUCUUGAAUCCAAAUUAAUGGUGUAUAUAGAUUUUCACCAACAAGUACAUGCUCCACCUUUUCAAAAUGAGGUUAUAAGUUGAUUAAAUUGUCAAACUUUUCAACUGUGUGAAGUUGAAGCCCCUUCGUAUAUUUCAGUCAAUUGAUUUGAUUUGGACCUUUUUUUUUCUCCAGAAACGAUAAGUGAUUUUAUUAAUAGUGACUAUAUAAACUAUACAACUGAUUAAAUUAUCAAACUUUUCAAUAGUGUAAAGUUGAAGCCCCUUCGUAUAUUUCAGUGAAUUGCUUUGGUUUGGACCAUUUUUUCCUCCGGAAAAGAUAAGUGAUUUUAUUAAUAAUAAUGAGUAUAAACUAUACAAUUGGUGAGCAAAAGCUCAGAAAAUAUCUAUACAGGUGCACCUUGUCACUAAGGAUGAAGCCACUCAUUAUCAAAAGAUAUGCUUAAUGUAUGGUUACUAAUAUAAUCAGUUCUAUCUAACAAAUUUGAUUAGGAUGGACAGAAUAGAACAUCUCUUUAUGGAUGUGUGAUUGUGAAAGGAAGAGAUACCCAGGAUGAAGCUUUCAGUAGUUAUUCCUUAACCCUAAAACUAUAUCUUGUUUUCCUUUAGAUAGUUCAUUCCUAAUCAUUGAGUGUAUUUGAAUAGGAGAUUAUUUGAAAUAAUUUUUUGAAAAAAAUAUUCUAGUACUUUUUUAUAUAAUAUAUGUGAAAUAAAAAUGAUGAUUAAAAAAUAUGCUUAUAAUACAAGUAAAUAAAUUUGUGCAAAUAAUAAACUAUCUAAACAACUAUCAAAGUAGAAAUAUACACUAUCUAAACAAAAAUAUUGGUGCCUCCUUUUAGCAUCUUGUUCCAUCUUUCCCUGUCCUUUUUCUCCGUCAAUUCCCAACCAAAUACCAUGAGAGACCAUUAGCUACUUUUGGUUUAUGCUAGCAUCUUCAAAAUACAUUAGCAAUUUAGCACCACCACCAGUUCUGCUAACCCCGUUGGCCACUACUUUUACCUCUUUCUUUUUCGCUUCUUUUAUGUUGCCUAUAUUGAUAUUAGUUUUAUUUAAAAUACACAGACACAUUCAGCUAUAUAUAUAUAUAUGUGUGUGUGUGUGCGCGCGUGUGUAUUGUAUAUGUGCAUGUUGUGUGCGUACAUUUCUAGGUAUUUUGUAUGUAUACACCUUUAUGGAAGUGUGGUGUCUUUUUCUCAAAACAUGAAGGACACAUGCAAGCCCUAAACUUUUUUUUAUAUAUAUAAACAAAAUAAUUUCAUUAUAAAAAAUAAGCAUCCAACGAAAAAGAUUUAAAACAUGAAAUUUGAAAAAUCAUCAAAUUACCACUAUGAAGCUACAAAAUAAUUUUUUAGCAUCAGAUGAAUUUUUGCAACCUCAAAUUGUGUCUUCAACGGCCAGAUCAAAUGCAAACUUGUUUUAGACCUCCCCUCCCCAAAAUUAGAUCUAACAAUUUGGGAUUAAAAAUUUUCAACUAUGAGAAAGUAGAUCUAAAAAAAUCUUAGAUAUAACAUUAAAAAAAUUACUAAUAACUCUGAAAAAUAAAUUUAAGGAUAGGAGAAACUCUCAUUAGAUAAAAUUAGGAGAAAAGAAAUCCUAACUUAAAAAUUCAAGGACAAGGAAAAAAAUCUCAAGAGCCUAUAAGAGACUUCCAUACAAACAAAUAAGAAAAAAAGGACCAUAGAGACAGAUCUCCCGUAGAAAAACAAAAAGGAGUUAUGCAUAGAAGAAAUUAUGAAAGAAGGCAGAGAAUAAUUCUUAUAAAGGAAAUAUUUACUCACAUAGCUUUCUGAUAAUCUUUUACCUAUAGACCCACACAAGCUUCGAACUUAAUUAAUUAUUUUAAUAGCUGUAAAACUAAUUGUUAAUAAUCUUAUUGUCAACCAUAAGCUUCAAUCUUUUUUAAUUAAUCUCAUAAAUUAACUUCAUUUUUUCUUUGUCAUGAAACUAAAUAAAAUUUAUAUUCAAAAGAUUUUCUCAAAUUUGAAUUCAUAAUUCAGUUAUACCUAUGAUAAUUCCCUAUUCUAUGACUUAUAAAACAUCAUAAACCUUCUAUAAAUUGAUUAUUCCCUAAUGCAAAUUAAUUUUCUUAGUAUCACUUUUGCUUGUUCAAUAACUUUGUCUAUUUCUUCAGUUACUUUAAUGAAUUUAUAUAUUGUGGCAUGUCGUGCAAAUAAUGUGAUGUGAGAACAUACCCAUAAAAAAGAUGGAAAUAAUCAAGGGACAUGGAGAAUAUGGGAAUAAAAUUUCAAAUUAGAAAAGAGGGAGAAAUAACUUCAAGAAGAAAGAAAUAGAUGAAAAGAAUCCUUCAAUGAACAAGUAAUUGAUGAUUAUUGUCGGAUAAAUUAUAAAGAAAUAAUAUAACAAAUUUUGAUAAGAGUGGAUGAUGAGCAUAUACAUAGACACACACAUACACAUAUAUACAAACAUACAUACAUACAUGCACACAUAUAUAAGCAACAAUAUUGAGACUUUUGUAUUAAAAGAAUUUCCCUCAAACUAGACAACAUAGUAUAAAAAUUAGCCAGCUAAGUGAUAUAUAAAGGCAAGAAAAUAUUUAGAUAAAUUUGGUUUUUAUGUCUAUUGGUAAGCUAGUUGAAAUCGCACAAUUAGAGUGAGGUAAAAUAAAAUGCAUAGGGUUUUUCAGAGGCCUUAUUUGAUGCUAUUAGAAGGGCAAGUGCAGUUCAACUAGAGUGGCCUUUGUGAACAUGAGAAGCAAAGCAAGAUGUGCUUGGAUGCUUAGUUUUUUGGCUAGUUUUUAAUAGAUAAAGUUUUUCUCAAAUUUUAUGUACAGUAAUUCCAAAAAAUUAUAAAAUUUUUAAAAUACACACUUGUCUCUCUCUUCUAUCACCACCUUCCUACCUCAACUUAUCAUCGUCGCCACCAUUGUUGCCUCGCUAUCGUCAGCUACCUUUCUUUUCUUUUUUUCUAUCUCUAUCUACCUUUCCUCCUUCUUCCCUUUCUCCUCCCCCUCUCAUCCUUUCUUCUCCUCCCUCAUCCUUCUUCCCCCUUCUCUCAACACUCUCUCUCCUCAUCCUUCUCCUUCUCUUCCCCCCAUCCCCUAUGACCUCCGCCCUUUACUAUCCAAAUUUGGUCCAGAUCACAGAUUACAGAUCGAUAUAUGGACCAAAUCCACUCGAAUCUAGACCGAUCUAGACCAAUUCUGGAUCAAGCAAGGGAUGGCGCCGAGAAUCUGAGAAGAUGAGGAGAGAAAAAUGGAGAGGUCGAAGGGAAGAAAGAGAGGGGGUGGGCGGGAGAAAGGGAAAGAAAGAGGAGUAAGAGGGAAAGAGAAAGAAAGAGGUAAACGAAGAAAGGAAGAAAAAAAAUGGGAAGCAGCGGAAAGGGAAUGAAAGAGUUGAUAGAAAGAGUUUUUAGAAUGUUUCGUUUUUAGUAGAUUGAUAGAAAAGAAAAACCCGGUUCGAAUUCUUAAAAUGGAAGAAAAUAAAGUUGGAAUGAAUGAAUAAAUAAAUAAGGUCUCGUAGCUUCAAUUAAUUAUAGGAAAAGAUAAAGCAACGAGCUUCUAUUUUGAAUUUAAAUAUUAAAAAUAUAUUAGUACCCAGUAGGAGAGGUGUUGGCCAAUAGCGUUGACUAUGAUUGGAGUAGGGAUGAUAGAAAAGAGGAAGAAGAUAAGCGGAAAAAAAAAGGAAAAAAAAUUAAAACGAAAAAGAAAAGAAUUAAAAAGGUUUUUCAAUUUCUCCAAAAAAAAAAUUUAGAGUAAACUACACUACGCGAAUAAAGAGUUUUAUUACCAAUCUCUUAAGUAACCUUCAUUUGUUUUUCUUUCUUAUAAAACUAAAUAAUGUAUAUCUUCGGAAGAUUUUCUCAAUUUUGAAUUCAUAGUUCAGAUAUCCUUAUGAUGAUUCCCUUUUUAGUAACUUACAACUGAUCAUAAACUUUCAAUGAAUUGAUUAUCCCUUAAUGUAAAUUAAUUAUCUUAGUGUGGCUUUCUCUUCUUCGAUAACUUGUCCAUUUCUUCAUUUAUUUCAAUGAAUUUAUAUAUCGUGGGGGUAUUGUGCAAAUAACGUGAUAUGAAUACCGAAAAAGUUAUAGGAUAGGGUGGAAAUAUGAAGAAUAUGAGGAUAAAAUUUCAUAUUGGAGAAAGGAAGAAAAACAAUUGCAAGGAGAAAGAAAGAAAUGAUGAGAAUCCUUCCAUCAACAAGUAAUUCAAAAUUAUUGUUAGAUAAAUUAUAAAAAAGCAAUAAAACAAGUUCAUAAUAAGUGUGUAUAUACAUAUACAUACAUACAUAUAUAUAUAUAUGCGCGUGUAAAAAUAUUGAGAGCCUUGUAUUUAAAAAAUUUUCCUCAAACUAUACAACAUAGUAUAAAAUUAGCCAGCAACGCAAUACAUAAAAGGCAAGAAAAUAUUUGAAUAGAUCUGGUUUGUAGGUCUACUUAUAGACAAUAAAAUAACAGUUGAAACCAUGUACUAGAGUGAUGUAAGCUGGCGUUAAAGAAGGGAUGAUAGGCAAGGUUUAUAAGUCUAUUUGUUAUGGGUGUAAACAAAUCGAUUCGAUUCGAGUUUCAAUUUAUGAAACUGGAAUUCGAGCUUGAGCUUGACGAGUUUAAAUGUCGAGCUAAGUUCGAGCUUAAAAAAUAAAAAAUACUUAUUUUAUUUUUUUAAAAAAAAUAAUAAUAUUUUUUAAAAAAUAAAAUAAUAUUAGAAAUAUAUGUAAUUUUACUAUUAAAAUAAUAAAUAAAUAAAUAAAUAUGUAAUCGAUCUUGAGCCGACUCGCGAACUAACGAGUUUAAUAUUUUCGAGCUAUCAAAAGGAAAUUUGGAAUUAGGGAUGGCAAUGGGAGCGGGUGACCGCGCGGGAGGCUAAUGGGGCGGGGGGUGGGGCGGGGCCGGGGGGAAAAAUUCCCCCCGCUUAGAAACGGGGCCGGGGGCGGGGGGCGGGGAGUGUACCCCCGCCCCGCCACCCGCUUUAAAAAAAUAAAUAUAUAAAAUAAAUAUAUGUAUAUAAUUAUAUAUAUAAUAUAUAAUUUAAUUAGUUACAAACUUAUGAUAAUGAUAUUAUUAGUUAUAUGUAUUAUAUAAUGUCUAUUAGUAUAUAUAAUAUAAUUGAUAUUAUUAAUUAUACUAAUAAUUAUAUAUGUGUACUAAUACAAAUUAUUAAUUGGUUAUACUAAAUUUACUAAUACAUUUAUACUAAAUCUCUAAUUACACUUAAUACAAUAACAUUUUUUUCUUCAAAAAAAAAAACACAAGCACAAUAAUGAAUUAGUGAUUGUAUUUGUGCCAAAAGUGAAAACUUGACUACUUUAGUUUAUUUAUUUCAUCAUGUUGGAUUGUAUUCAAAUAAUCUUUGUUUGGUUGUUUUUAUAAGUUUCAAUUGUAAAAUUACAAUGAAUAAUAAUUUGAUGAUGUGUUGAUAUUUUAGUACUUGAUUAUUUGUUAAAAUUUAAUCACAAUAAAAUUAUAUAACAAAUUUUUAUUAGUCCCGCGGGAGAAGCGGGGCGGGGCGGCGACGGGGCGGGGGAAGCGGAGGACGGGGGAUGGGGCAGGAGCGGGGGGAGUUUGUAGGCAGCGGGGCGGGGGAUGGGGGAGGGGUCCCCCGCCCCGUUGCCAUCCCUAUUUGGAAUAGAUGCAAAAAGACCUUUAUACUGUUAUUCUGAUAAUGAUUCGGCAGAUAAUGGUGGAUUCUAGAGGCAACAGAGAUAGUGGAAACUUUUUCACUUUAGCUCAUCCAUUUCCUCGUCUGUUUUUCCUGCACUUUUUUCUAGUUUUUCUUUUCUUGGUUUUUUCUUGUGAAUUUGGAUGGAAUUUAAGAGGUUAAACUUGAGAUUUGGAGGACUUUUGGAGAUUGGUUUUAAGAGAAAUGUUGAAAAAUGAAGAUGUGGCCAUGGAUUUUUAUGACUGCAUUUUACGAGAAGAUGCAAAAUGGAAGUUGAGGUCUCUAGUUCAGAUGAUUAGGUGAUUAAGGCUUUGAUGAUGAAGUUGGUAAUGAUUCUAAAUGAUAAAGAAAAUAUAUAAGAACUAAAUUUGCAGAAAAAAAUCAGUAGACCAAAAGGCCCUUUGCUUAUUGUCCAGUGUGCAAGGUGUUGUUUGUGUUAAACAUAACGAUUCAAAUUGACGAAAAGACUCUAAUAUACAUUUUAAUUCGUUGGACAGGUAAAAUUGUUCAAUAAUAAUUGGGUUAACAACAUAAAAACCCCCUGUGGUAUAACUAUUAUCCAGAAAAGCCCCUUGUGGUUUCAUAUCAUACGCGUCGGUACCCUAUGGUUUGAAUUAUUCUGAAAAAUCGACGGAAAUCGUUAUAACAGACGGAGCUGAGUGAAAAGACAAAAAUACCCUAAUGAUAUAAGUGAAAAUUGCAGAAGUAAUUUUGGGCAAGGGCACGGGCCAGGCGGUCGGUAGUGUCUUGACCUGAGACUCCACCAUUGUGGACCUAACAAAGCAAGGUUAUCAAGAUUGAGCUCUUCGGUCCAAGAAGCGUGGCGAUGGGGGAGGAGGUGGUUUUUCGAAGGAACUUCUCGGCGAUGGCAGCAGCUGCUGCGGCGGUGACGGAGGAGGAUGAGGAUGAGGAAGAGUCUGAUACGUCGAGUGCUGCCGCGGUUGGACUGGGGUCGGGUGGGAUGAGGAGGAAAAAGAGGAGGAGGGCCGCGGUGAAGGUGGCAGUAAAAGGGUAUAGGAAGUUGGCGGAUACGACAGGGGGAUUUGCGGACAUAUAUGAGAGAGUAGAGGAGGCGAAACAGAGGCAAAUGGUUGAGUUGGAGAAGCAGAGAAUGCAGUUUGCCAAGGAUUUGGAGAUUCAAAGGAUGAAGCUUUUUAUGGAAUCCCAGGUCCAGCUCGAAAAGCUUAAGCGAUCUAAGCGCAAUUCACUAUCUGGUGGUAAGUUUAUCUGUGCAUUUGCAUAUUGUCUCGAGUAAUGCUGGCAAUGUUACAUGACUAGUUUCAGCCUAGAGUUUCUUGGGUUUCUUGACGAGCCUCUCCUCCACCUCUUCUCUCCAGUUGUAAGUGGGCUUGCUCUCUCUCCUCUCGUUCCUCAGUUGCCUUCUCUCCCUGGCCGUUAGUUGCUUUUCAUUCAUGAACUCUACAGUCGUCGAGAUCGUGAAAGAAAUAAUGGGACUUCGGAGCUUAUUGAAGGCUUUGGAGUAAUGGGUGGACGGGGAAAGAAAGAGAGGACAAGGACUCCAUGUAAGAAGCCUUCGCUGCAGCUCUAUCAUCCCUAUUAGUAUCUCGUUAUUCAAUCUGAUUUUGAUCUGGUUUUGUUUUCUUGGCACAAAUGGCUUGUGUUUCUGCUAUUUUGGUGUUUGUUUGGUUUUGGAUUAACUAGCAAUUUGGUAGAUGAAAGGUAAAAUAGACAUAUCAGGUGAAAGUUUGUAAUAAAAAUCAAUUUUCCCAAGAAACACGCGCCUUUCCAGUGCGUUUAAUACAAACGCCGUACAUUUGACGAUUUUCGUCGACUUUUCAGAAUAAUUCAAACCAUGGGAUACCGACAUAAAUGAUAUGAAACCACAGAGGACUUUUCUGUAUGAUGGCUAUACCACAGAGGGCUUUUAUUUUGUUAACUCAUAAUAAUUGGAAGGUCAAAAAUUAAAUUUUGUCAUAAUUUGAGAACCACUAGGCAUUUUGCCCUUAAUUUUUUUCAACCACUUGUGGCUUGCUUGGCAAAUGAAAAAUUUGUCACAUUUGAGAAAAACAAUUUCUUUUAAUUUUUUAAAAAAAUACCCAACAAAUAUACAUGUAAAAAAAAAACCCCCACUACCCUUCACCCCCAUUCUUCACCACAUUUAUCCCUCAGGACUGCUUACAAUCUCUUCUGUUAUUCUUCUCUUCUAGCCACUCUAUCAUGCAUCUCUCUUCCCAUUUUCUUUUCAUCCUUUCACCACUUUCUUCUGCAUUCCAAAUUGGGCGGUGACAAGUCUAGACUAGAUCAGCCACCACCUCUCCCUUCUUUCAUUUUUCCUUUCUCUUCUUCCUUUUUCACUAUCCCUUCUCCCCCACUCUCGAUAUGGACUAGAAAAGGGAUGAGCAGUAGCAGGGAAGAAGGGGAGGGAGGGAGGAGAAUGUAGUGAUAGGAUAGAAAUAAGAGUAAGAAAGGAGAUAAUAGGUGGCAGAUGGGGAGGUGGUGUGUGCUAACGUGGUGAUGAUCGAUGGCAAGGAUGGAUAGUGUAUGGAGGGUAAAGGAGUUUUAUAACCAUCUUCCAGACACUCUAAAAGAAAAAAAAUUAUUAAAAUUCUACGCUAAAUUACAGUAAAAUUUUAGACAAAUAUUCAAAAAAAAAUCCGUUUGUCAAGCAAAGCCUACAUUGCUAGGUGUCAAAAAGAAGAAAAGUAUGGGAUCAAUACAACUAAUUUACAACUCAACAAUUUCGCCUUUGGAGUAGGGUUACGUUCGAAAGGUCAUUUCCCCGUAUAGGUAAUUCAACCACUUGAAGAAUUUUGAUGUGCGGUGUUGAAGAAAUGAGGGGACCAAGAGUUAAAACUUAUGAAGAAUGAGGAAUGAAAUUGCAAUUUUUGCAGUUUGCAUUUUCCAUCUACACUUGAGAAUCGGAAUUGGGACGUAAACUUUACAUAUUGCAGUACAGGCUGUAUGUAUCAAGGAUCACGUAGCAAUACGUUCAAUCCCAGCUCUACUCAAGCAAAGACGAAAAGGAUUUGUCACCUGGAUUCACAUUCUUCAACUAUCCCGCCCCACUUUCGCAUCCGUUCUGAUGCAUGUGCUACCUGCGUUUCAAUUUUCAAGUAAAAAAAAAGUUAGAAAUGAGAAUAGUUAAUGUUAUGUUGAAUAUAUUUAUUCAGAUUAUAGUAUCAUUAGAAGGCUGGAAAAUCGUAAUUACCUCUUCAUUCCAAUCAGUUUUCCACACAACAAAGCAAAGGACUAAAGUUUGUAAAAAAGUUCCAAAAAUCAUUCCCAUCCAUAUUCCCUGAAACAAACAAUCUGUAAUUGAAUUUUGUGGAGUUUAAAUGAUGAAGAACAAGGAUAGCAAAAUUUCAUCAAACUAGUAAUACGUCACGUGAUUUGCACGUGGAUAUAUUUGUACAACAUAUAUUUUCUCAAGCUAUUUUAUUUGCAAAAUUUUAUUGAUGACAUGAUAUUAACUAAAAAUCUGUGACAUACGACAAUAAGCAAUUGCAAGUCAUACAUGAUAUUUGUUGCAUUAAAGAGAAAACUAAAUGUUUAUUAUGCAUUCCGUCAUUACAAAAGCUUUAAAGAUACAAGUUAUUAUAUCUAAGUUGAGUAUCUACAAUUUUCUUAAAUAGAAUGAGUUGGAAGUCAUGGCUUCUAAAAUUAAUGUAAGAAUUCAAGAAUCUCUCAAGUCUAAACUUAUACAUUUCUAUUAAAAAAAAACUUUGAUGAGGCUAAAAUAAUACCUUAAGAUUCUUCAAGACCACUCUCUAGUAAGUUGAAGUUUUGAACCCAAACCUCCAUUUGAUUCACCAGCAAAAUUAAUUUCCAAUUCCAAUCCAACAAUAUCUAACGUCUUCAUAAUUAAGCCUUCUUUUUCAUGCACCUUGGAAUAUAUAUAUAUAUUUAUAGCUUUAUUCUUCAAUAAAUCUUGAUUUAGGCCAUUUCAUAGGACAUGAGUGGUUCAAUCAGUUAUUAAUACCUACCUAUUUAUUGCUCUCUUUUCUCAUUACAGGAACGGUUGCUUAAGGAGUUUUAGAAUAUGAUGCAGUUAAAAAUAAAUAUAGAAUAUGAUGCAGUAUCGUAAACUUAAUCAUCAACUUAAUCUUCUGUCUUUUCAUCAGCCGUGGAUGACUUUUUCUCUUCUCAUUGUUCGCUAUUUUUUUCUAGACUAAUAUGUAUGACAUGAAGCAAAUAGAGAUAAAGAAAACUAAAACCAUAACAAUGCUUACACUGAAACAAACCUAGACACGUGGUAUUUCUACAAUGGUAAUAGAUGGAUAGAUAGAUAAGAAUUAUUCUUUAAUUGGAGGAUUUAUUUUCAUUCUUAGCAAUAAUAACAAUUCCACACAAAAAUGAAAUUUACAAUGCAUCUCCUUCAAUUUUUUGUUUUUUUUUUUUGUUUUGGGUUGCAUUUUCUUUCGACAACUGUCUUAUACAGUUAUGUUUUUGCAUCAUAGCUUUGAUAACUCCUAUAAACAUGGAAUGAUACUAAUGAGUAAAAGAGAGUACAAAAUCCUUAACCUGUUGAUGAAGUACUUCUUGCAUUUAAAGCAUAAUAUAUCCUUACCUGAACUCCUAAUUUUGCGUUGUAACCUAGAAGAUAUCCAAGAGGAAGACCAAUAACAUAAUAACAAGACAUAUUAAUAUAGGCCACCAGUCCUUGCCAUCCUCCACCAACAGCCACACCUGCAAACCAAUAACUCUUAUUUUCCUGUUUUGGGCUUUUUAACAUAUUAAAAAAAAGAUUAAUCUUUCAUAAACUGACAGUGUACUGUCAGCGUUGGAUGAAUAACAAAUGUGCAAAAUUUGAAUUUUUAAUUCAACUUUUGUGCAUAUGUCAUAGAUCCAACGGUGAUAGUGUACACACUGUCAGUGUAUAUAAAAUUUACUCUUAAAAAAAUAGUGGAAAGAUAAUACUAUUAGUGUCAUUUAUGCCAUUCUUGGCACCUGAUAUUACUGGCUGGACACUAUUAAGCACAAGGGUUACACUGAGAAGGUACGCCAAAUCUGCAACAGCUUUCUGCAUUUUCUCACUGCUGGUGAAUAGAAUAGCAAAAUGGUUCUUGGCUACCAUUAUAGCCACCAUGCAGAGGAUCCCAAUAAGUAGAGAUUGAGCUACAGUUACAUAGACUGAAUAUUUAGCUCCCCUUGGAUGUCCAGAUCCUAGCUCGUUCGAAACACGAACACUGCAAAUUUGUGAAGACAUAGAUGUGUUUUAUAUAUGAAUGCUAAAGUGUAAUGAUUCCUAAGACAACGCCAAGAACUUUUUACUGUGUUGGUAAUUAGUUGCAAUUGUACCAUUUAAGCCCAAAGCUUACCUUUUACCUGUUACAACUUUUUUUUAAUAGUAAUUACUAGCUUGACAAUCUCACAAGGCAAAAGAAUCAACCUAAAGUUGGUUAAGACGUAAGAGAGGAAAAAGAGAAUUGAGUUAUUAGCUGUUUUUUAAAAAAUAAUAAUAAAUUACCUAAUUGCUGCAUUAAUUCCAAUGAAUAGCAUUCCUUCCCAACCAUUCACGUUCAUGCUGAAUAAACACAUAAUGACUAGUCAGGAGAAUUCGUAUAAGAGUAAAAUUAUGAAUGUAGAGAAAAAGCUGCGGCAAUUUGAUCAAGUACCAAAUAGAUAGGGAGCCAACUGCUAGAAUAGGGUCUCCAAGGUGUCCCGUGAGAACAAUAAUGCUCAUAAAAUACCAAAUUUCUAGGCAAAGCAUCACUGCUGAGGCUACAGAAAGCUUUACGAAAGACCAAAUCUCCUUGAAAGCUAACCAAGAAAGUCCCUUCCAUGCAUCUUGGCACCAACCUACAAUAUAUACAACCUGAGCCAAAGAAAUUAUCCAGCCAGAAACGUCAUAAGCUGCAGCUGCACCAGCCGUGCCCCAUUUGAAUACGCUAAUGAAGAGAUAAAGAGCCCCAAUGUGUAUGAUGAGGGCGACACAGCCAACCCACGCUAGAAUCCCAACCUUACUCUGUGCUUGUAAGAACUUCUGGGUGGAAAAAUUGAUGGCUAGGGAAAACAUCUGAGGAAUAAUUUGCAUGGAAAAUGUUCCAGCCAUAUCUGCAAUAUCAUCUCUUUGGCCUAGGAGCUUUAAGAUAGGUGUUGAAUAAAUGUAAAGUGGCAUCAAGCUGAAACAGGCACCUAUUAGGAUUAUCCAAGACCUUUGCAUGUAUAUCCCAAGCAUUUCUACUUGGCCAGCCCCAAAUGCAUGCCCGCAUAGUGUUUCCAGUGCACUGCUCAUCCCAAACUGUAGAUUUAUUUAAAGAUGAAAACCUGAGUAACUUGGCUUUUGUCUACCAUAAAACGUCACUUUUCUCUCUCUCUCUCUUUCCGUUUUAUCUUGAGAAGGGGGGACUUUGGUCGACUUUCAUCAACAUCAGUUCCCACCACCCUACUUAAUGCAUACUAUAUGCAGGUUCAUACUGUGUUUUUACCUGUUGUAAAGACCAUUCUAUCUGAAAUAUAGAAUUAGUACAAUCUUCGAUAAAUCCUAUGGAGGUCUAAGUGGGAAGAAGAGAGGGAAUCCUCUAUAAUGCUGGGAUUUUUUUUCCCUUCCUAUUAUGGGCUUGAUCUUCUUUGCUUGAAAUAGCUAAUUCUAAAUUCUCGAAGCUGAAAGCUAUUAUUCGGGCGUUCUGUUUUUAGUUUAUCUCUACUUCUAACAUACUAAAGUUGAUCUGCAGAAAAAUCUGUCAAGGUGCACGUAUUAGGCUUUAAUUUUCAAAUCUUUUAAGAAAAAAUCUCCUUCCAUUUGUUGAAUGGCUUCUUCAAGAAUCAAUCAAGUAAUGGCAAAAAGAUUGAAGAAUACACAAAUUCCCCAUAUCCUCCAAAAUAUCGAUAAAAACUCUCUUUUAUCUUAGUAAAUACGUCAAAAAUAUAUCAAAAAAAGAAAAUUUACAUCGAGUGCUAAAAAUAUAUGUAAUUGAGAAGUCAAGGAUUCAGAGGAACCUAACCAAGAAACCGAAUGAGAGGUUGGCAAUAACUGACAAAGAGAUUGCGAUUGCAGAGAGCUCCACAUCCCCAAUAUGCCCAACAAAAAUAUUAGUGAAUGAAUUUAUUCCAUAGUUACAGAGAAUGUUGAAAACAAUUGGACCAGCUAUAGACCAAAGUUUCAAAGAUUCAACAUAACAUAUAUUCAUUGCAUCCUCAAAUCCACGAACUGGAGGAUAAUCUCCUUCUGCCUCACCAUUAACUAACACGGCGGAGGGGGCCUCAUGGAGAACAACCUCUUGGGAGGAGGGACCCUUAGGGAGUAUUGGUGACUCGAUAUCCAAUACAUGCAUGGACUUGGGUGAUGAUUCUUCAGAGGGUAAGCCAUUGCUGCCCUCUUCUUUAGCAUUCUGUUUAUGUUUCUCAAUCUUUGCACUUUCUAAAAGACCUACAGAUUUUCGUGGAAGAAUACGAAUAUAACGUUGAAAAUAUGAAGAAUUUUGUUGUUCUUUCCUGUUCUUUCACCGGACAAAGCUUUGUUAUGCAUUUCUUGGAAGUCUCUGUCAUACUCCCUAGCUAUUAAGUAGGCCAUUUUGACAAGUGGCAUUUUUGUUUACAAGAAUUUUGCAAAUUUCACGGUUCUAAAUCGAGCCUCACUUGCAUAAUUGGAUAAAAUAAAAAUAGGGGAUAAUUUCAGAAACCUCCCCUGAGGUUUUCGACAAUUUCACUCGACUCCCUUGAGGUUUACAUAAUUACAGAGAUCUUCCUUAUUGUGAUAAAAAGACAAUAAUGCCCUUUAUUAAUUGUCAACUCAAUGAAAAAUUCUAUCAAAUAUUAAAACUCUCUCAUCAAUUAUUAACCAAUAAUUCAAACCACAGUUCUAUUUAACUAUAUUUUCUUUUUCUCAUAUAUCUGUUUUUCUUUCAAACUCAUUUAUCUAUUAUUAUCAACCAAAUGUGUACUGUCGCUACUUAUAAAAUCACCAUACACUCUAAACCACAAAUACUUACAUAUCUUAGUAUCUAUUCCCAAUUCUCGAUUUUCCAUUAUUAGUAAAUGGUUUCCUUGCGCCCAUUUUUGUUUCCAAUUUUUGAUAGGUAUUAGCAAAUUGAAAUUAUCAAAUGGCAAAUUGAGUGCUAAUUUCACUAUCAAAUUAGAUGGAUAUGAAGAUAGUGACAGUGAUAAAAAAUAAAAAUUAAGGAUAAGAAGUGGAAUAGGAACUAAAUAUAAGUUAUACUAUUAUGGUUAUCAUGAAAAAAAGUGUUCUUGGUAUAUAUUUAUAACUACAUUGUGUUUCUAUUUUUGAUUUACAAUUAUUGAUAUUAUUUCUAUAGAGAGAAUUUGAUUGAUUUUGAACUCUGUGCCAAUGGAAUAUAUUGGAUAUUGAUAUUAGUAGUGAUGGUUUAGAUUAUUUUGUAUUAAAAAGGUGGCAGUCAUGGAAUUGAAAUUUAGGAAUAUUGAUGAAUAUUGUAGUAUAUUAAGUAAAAUCUAAUAUUGUUAUGAAAUUGUAGGUAAGUUUUUGGAUAUAUGAUGUAACAUUUAUAGCUGAUAAAAUGGUCUGCAUAAAAAAUUUUUAGGUAAAAGAGGAACAUUAAAACAAAGAUAAGUGUUUAUUUAAUGAUAAUUUAGAUGUUGAUAAGUAGGUAAUAAUGGUAGGAAAUAAAGAUAAAUGAAAUAGAGACUGUAAACCAUCUUUUCCUUUACAUUUUUGUUAUUAAUUAUAACUCAAGGGUAUUAUAGAAAUUUUGGGAAAAAGUAUAGCCUUUUGGGUCUAGAAUAUUACUUAAAUAGUGAAAAUAGGGGACGUAAGUAUAAUUUUUAGAACUUGAGAGGAGCUUUCUACAAUUGUUAAAAAUCUCAGGGGAGGUAUGUGAAAUUAACCCUAAAAAUAGAGCAGAAGUCCAAACGCCUCAGAUGUAUAGUGAUCAGUAUAAUGUGGCAUCCAGCCGAUCACGGUGAAAAGGGACAGUAGAGGACAGCCAUGCCCUAACCUCUGCACUGAUUAUAACUUCUCUUUUUUAUAAUGAUUAUUAGGAGGACGACUUGGUCCAUCAGUGGUAAGCAUCACUUAAUCUAUGGAAUAAAGACUACAAUGAUGAGUUUUGGGUAUGAAAUUUCCAACACCCUUUGUACCUUUUCAUUAUUGUUCUCCUCCUUUUCAUUUUUCAACUGUUUAAUUGUAUAUCCAUGCCAUUUGCAAGCAGCCCUGAAUGGCCGACCUUCAGAGGCAGAUUCUUUGAUUGACAUUUUUUCGGUUGAACAACAAAUGAGGAAGAAAAUGAUUAAAGAUAUCAAAGUUCAAGAGAAAACAGACUCACCAUUGAACUCAAAAAAAAUAAUUUGCAUUUCUUCUUUUCUCUUUGAAUUUAGCAAUAUUUCUCCCAUUGGUAAUUCGAGAGAAAGAACUUGACAAGAUCUACACUUUUAAGAGGCAAAAGAACGGAACUUCUAGUGAUAGUUUACCUCAUCAAAAUUUAAAGCUUUCUGAAGAGGCUAGGCCUCGUAGAACUCAUACGGAUGACCGCGAAUCCUUGGAAUUCAUGGAAAGCUGGCCAUUAUCAUCUGAAACCCCACCAUCAUCAUUAUAUACCUUGCUGCUGGAAUCAACACCUACACCGUGAAAUGACUCCCCAGAUACUAAUGCUUGAAGUAAUUUUGGUGGUGGUGGGACUGUUACUUCAACUACUCCUUCCAGCAUUUUUACCACCAUUCCCAUUGUUGGCCUAAUUGAUUCAUCAUCCUGGAUGCACCAGACUGCUACCAGAGCUGCACGCUGCGCCUCUGCUAUGUUGUAUAUGUUGCCAAGCCUCUCAUCAACCACGGCAGCCACAUUACCUUCUAUAAUUUCACGAGCUGCCCAAGGUGGAAAAAACCAUUUUUCUGUUCCAACCCCUCCACCGCCACCAGCUGAAGGUGGCCCCUCUACAUUGCGCCUGCCACCUAGCAAUUCCAGUAAAGUCAUGCCAUAGCUAUAUACAUCUGCUUUGGUGGUGAUCGCCACACCAGAGAUCCACUCAGGUGCAACAUAUCCCCACGUUCCUCUCAUGGUGGCUAACACUCUACUGAAGUCCCUACCAAUCAGCUUUGCCAACCCAAAAUCUGACACUUUUGCUGAGAAAUCUUCAUCUAACAAAAUGUUCUCAGGCUUAAUAUCACAAUGUAUUAUACAAUUUCGACAUUCCUCGUGUAAAUAAGCAAUGCCUCUUGCAGUACCAAUCGCUAUACGAAAUCUGGCAUCCCAACUCAAGUUCUUACCAUCCCGCCUCAGAUACACACUGAGAGGACCAUUUGGCAUGAAAUCAUAGACUAGCAGCCUAUGAGAAUUUUCAGAACAAAACCCCCUCAAUCUAACCAGAUUUACAUGCUGAAUAUUCCCAAUUGUGCAGACUUCUGCACGAAAUUCCUUCUCUCCACCGCCUGGUUUUUCAAGUCUCUUCACAGCCACUAGUGUAGAAUCUGACAGUUCCCCUUGGAACACUGCCCCAAAGCCACCAUGGCCAAGCUUAUCUGAGAAUCCCUUAGUAGCAGCAUGAAGCUCUUUAUAGGAAAAUACCUUCAAAUUUGUCACUGGAAAAACACCUUCCUCUUCCUCUUCCUGCUUCCUUUUCUUAAUCCUCCUCCUCCUCCGCAGAAACAACAAUACGAUUACUCCUAUUACUAGAAUCACUAAAAACCCGCAAAUUGCUUCAAGAAGUACAAGUUUCAUCUUGUUCUUCACCUCAGCGUUGUUUCCUGGCACCCUUAAGUAAAGUUUUUCCUCGAGUGUGCUAUCAGAAGUAAGAUUUCUAAGAUUCAGGAGUGAGCCAUACAAGUUCUUGCACAAAUUUGCUCUCUCAUUGUAAUGCAAACCAAUACAUGAACAAUUUCUUAUACACAUUUUCUCACACUCACUCCUGGUUCCAGUAAAUGACAACACCACUGCUCCCUCAUAGCUCACCACACCUGCAUCCUCAAAACCAUCAUUCUUACCACAAACAUCACCACUUUGGCGGCGACAACCAUUGGAAAAGUCCCCUGCAUCCCAUGAAACAUCAUCUACUGGCUUAAACCCCAUCAAGCAGCUACAUGGACUUAACAAUUUAGCAUUACAGAACCCAAAAUUCCCACACAAUGCAUAAACUCUACACAAAUUUUCAGGCUGUGACCAGAACAUGUUCCAAUACUCACUCUGAGGGGACCACGUGAAUUGCUUCAAUUGGCCAGUGUGGUCCACCUGGAACCUAGUAAGAGGUGGACUCAAACCAUUAUCCAAUGAUACCUCCGUAUAUCCAAAUGAUGCCAUAGGAGUAAAGGGGUUGCCAAAAUGAAACCUAUAAAUGUAAGGAACAGUCAUUUCCGGCACCCCGGAAAAUGCAUUUCCAGUCCAAUUCCCAGUUGACCAAUAAAUAUUAGUACUAUUGUUAUCAUUACUAGUAUAUACAAGAGCAAUCUCACCGUAAUCAAGUGGCAUCAAUCUCAGGGAAUACUUCCCAGGUGAUGGAUCAUUGGAACUCUUCCAACAAGUCAGCAACUGGUCUGCUGUCAAGUUCAUGCCAGGAAGCCACGUGUCAGUUGGAUAAUCAAAGCUUUGCCAAACUUUGUCACCAUUACUCGAGUAAAGCACUAAAUUUCCCUGCUCCAGAAGCCUUGCCUCGAUUGCUUUCUCAAGAUUGUCACUUUCCCAAAUAAUGGUUCUUGAAUCUUCUUCCUUCAGAGCUAACUUCCCAUCCUGAGUGAUUUCCACACUAGCUGAAGUUAAAUUCUUGAUGGGAUUUUCCCUGUUUGCAACCCAAACAUAAGUCGGGGUUGGAAUUGAAGCAUACCAUAUCCCCAAGUACCAUUUGGACUCAUCAUCAGUACGGAAAAAUCCCAACUCAAAUGUCCUGUUCUCACUGAAAAUUGUGGUAUUUCCAGCAAGUACAAGACGGGAUCUUUGCAAAGACUCUAACUUUAUGCUAUCUUUUAACCUUCCCCUAAAUUCUUGGCUGGUUUUAGAUAAAUGGGACGGCUUUACAUCCUGUUUUCUUGAUUUUAGUAGUUCUGCAGUGGUGCUGAGGGCAAAUGCUGUUGAAAUCAGAAGCAAAGGAAGUAUGAGAGAUAAAGUUGGCAUUUUUUUGGGAAUUUUAGUAUGGUUACGCGUUAAUUCAAGAAGCAUUCUUGGAGUUGAAAUGCAUUGAAUUAAUUGAUUGAGUGGGAAGCUUUGCUCAAUUACUCAAGCUGCAGCAGAUUACGAAGUGGGUAUGUGCAGAGUUGAAGAGGAGGAGGGAGCAUGGGGGAAAGUAAUAAGGAAGGGAAAGGGAAAGAGCAGAGAGUGUUUUGUCUCUGAUAUCUAUCUGAAAAAGCUACCACAUUUGGACAAAGAUUGGUGGUACCUAUACUAGUGGAGCUACAAAAAUGCUCUCUCAAAUCACGGGGCCUUGUACAUUAAUGCACUUUUUUUUUGGCCAUGCAAGAAGGGUGGAAAUUUUACCAGGAAAAUAAACGAAUUAUGGACGUGAUUAUAGCUCAUAAAAUUACGUGGUAUUAACAUUUACUCGUACCAAAUUAUACUUGAAAGCAUGGCUUGUAUGAUAAGACUAUAAGUUGAGGAAAAGAUGUUUUUGUUAUCUAAUUAAUUUACUCUGACUGAAAUUUGAAGAAUUACACAAAUAAUAAUAAUUAAGAUUCAUUAGGCAAGACUCACUCUUUAUGAAGCUCAGAUUUCAAAUCCUAUGCAUAAUAAUUAGGAAUAAGGAUUGAAAAAAAAGGAAAGGUCCAUUUAAUUUAAAACAUCCCUAUUCGAUUAGUAAGUCGAACAUGGGUAGUGGGGUCCUGUUAAGACUUUUGAGGGACGAGGGGGCCCCAUGGGCUAAGACCACGAGAGCACGAGUCCAUUUAAACAACGGAUUAGAUAGGAUGCUGUCCUUCUCUGGUUUCAACACUUUGACCUUUGUUCGGUUUUAGACCCGAGAAAAUGUGCCGAUUCUGGUACAUUGUUGACAAAUCCCACCAUUCUUCUAAUAAAACCAUUUUCAUAGCCAACUAAUCUUUGGAUUCUGGAAGUUGGUGAAAGUCGGGACGAUCCUUUUCAGGUGGACGAUUCUUCUUCGUAUGCUCAAAUUUUCUUCCAGAGGCAGGUGUAUACUGUAUAGCUGUACUGGUAAUCACUCUAAAUUUCUCGAGCACUGCUAUUAUUAUUAUUAUUAUUAUUGCUUCAACAUAUAAGCUUUCUUUACUUGAAGCUGCCCAAGAAAGGUGUUUAUACUAGGAGAGGUACUAUCAAUCGUCUAACACCAUGCCAGCCUGUGAAAAUAGUUGAAGGAAAUAACAAGAUGAAUCCUUAUACAAUAUAAAUAUAAGAACGGGUCGUGAUCAAAGCAAAUUUGAAUUUCAAUCGCAUAAAUAGAGAUUUUUUUGAAAAUGUGGAAUGUUACGUAGUUUUUUGAAAACUUUGGUACAAUUGAGAACAGCAUGUGUUUAUACCGAAUACCUUCAUUUUGAUACAUUUAAAGUUUUGAUUUAUGGAUACAUCUGGGGAAUAUGAAAUUAUUUUGCAACUAUUUUUGCAUUGAGUACAACUCAUAUAAGCUUAUGUGUUAUAAUUACUGAAAUGGUGUUAUAGACACAUUUAAUUGAAGUAUAGAUUUUGUUGUACAAUUAACACAAAGACAUAAUAACACGUUGUGCAAUUCACAUGUUACUAGAACUAGCCAUUGGAAGAUAUUCCUUUAUCUAAAUCAAUUUAUGUCUACUCUUGCACGAUUUUCAACUAACAUCUGUAAAAGGAUCUUUUGAGAAUAAUAAAAUUGUAAAAGCAUUGAUAAAACAAAAUAUACAAGUGUGUGCUGCAAUUAGAAUGUAUUAUUAUUAACUUUGUCAUUUUUUAUGACUAUUGUUUUCCAAAAUGUACUAUUACUUAUCUAAUAAAAAAAUCCUCUCGAAUUACAAGCACCAAACUCCCGCACAGGCGUUCCUCCGUGGUAUGAUAAAAGUAAACAGGUUCAUGAUAGCAUGAAGCCAAAUUGAAGGAGCAUUUUACAGAUUUCUGUCGAGCUUUUUUUUUUUCAGUUUUUUCUGUCACAAUAUAAGAAGUACUAAUCACAUCGACGCUAGCGCAUUUUUCGGUCGCCAUUAGGGUGAUCAGCUUUCUCGACUUUACACAGGUCAACGUGUACACGUUAUUGUAUGUUAUAUACAACUCAGUUGAUGCCCAAAUCCAAAGAAAUGUGUCAAUCAAAAUCUCAAAAUGUCAAUUCAAUUUUCAAUUUAGCCAUCUAAUAUUAUAUAGUUUUGCCUCUUAAACACCUUAAAUAACAAGAAUUCAACUUGGUCCGGGUAUGAAAUCUUGAAACCAGUCAAACGAAGCAACAUGGCUGAAUGCAUGUAUCAUCCUAACUGAUAUCAGAAGAUGAAAUUUGUACAGCAUUAUGUCAAUUGAUAAACGAUAAACAGUAGUAUCAGAAGGAUUAAUCCAUGAGAAAUCGAGUAAUGUCAGUGAUCUUCCAGACAUCAAAAGCAAAAGUGACUGUUUCUCUCGAGUCCACGACCAUGAGCCUGAGUUUGCACCCUUCAACAUCGCUCAUAGUUUUCUCUGUACAGGAUAAAAAGAUCAACCAGCUACGCUGUCCUUCAAUGCAUAAAAUGCCAAUCUGUUAAAGAUAUGGCAUCUGGUGUCCUAAAGUGAAAGGAGCUUCCUUCCUUCCACUAGUGCCCCUCUUCUUUCACGUUAAUAGCUCCCCAGAAUUGAGAUGCCUUCCGAAUUUGAUCAAAAUAUGAACUUACAUUGACAUUUCAAAAUAUGCACAUAAUGCACAGAAUUAUUAAGAAUUAUACGAAAAUGAAUCUCUUGGCCACCCCACCCCAUGGUGUGGACAAAUUAACUUCUUAGGCAACCCUUCAAAAUUCAAGUUGCCAUGCCUUGACAUCUCAAGGCCAAGACACUUCAAUCUGAUGGCAUCACAAAGCUUCAUAGAUCAUUUCCUGUCAGAAUUGACAAGAAACAUCAUCUUAUGUUGUUGCACAUUUUCAACGGUAAAAUAGAUCGGGCCAAUGUCGUCUGUUGUCAGCGACCACGACGACUAAGACUGGUAUCUAUACAGAAAGAUGCCCCCACCCCCUUAGCCAUUUAACUACUAAGCGCUAGUCCUAAACAGUUUAAAAUAAACCAUAAGCAGCAUAUUUGAUAUUAAAAAGAAUCAAUUUUAAAAGGAAGCCCUUGAGUUGCUUUUGAAUCAAACUGUGUAUUCAAAUUUUCAACAAUUUAGAAAACCAAAUUCUUUUCCAGUUUCAAUAAGCUGCACAUAACUUAUUUGAGCUGUUGAGAACAAUCCCAAAGACCCAAAAAUAUCACUUCCAGUUUUUGGAAACAUGUUUUUACAGAGAAAUGCUAUCAGAGUAAUUAAAUAGACUGUGAUGUAUAAGGAAAGGUAAUAAAAAGACCUGAUCACAUAUGGGACAAGUGUCACUUCUUUCCAUCCACUCCAGUAUGCAAGAGAGAUGAAAAUGAUGAUUACAUUUGGUGACGAUUCUAGGAUUCUCCGCAUCAUAAUCUGCAAGAGAAAAUGCAAAAAAAUUAACCUAGCAGUGGUGAGCUACUAAAAAUCCAUGAAAAAGAGUGAUGUUGUUACUGUUCCCCAAAAUUGCUGUUAGGCAAAUAAAGUGGUGCACCUUCAAGACAUGUAGGACAAACAUCAGCUUCUUCAUCUGGAGUCAAUGAAUUUAAGUGAGGGCUUGAUUUCAGAAGCUCAUUUCCAAUUUUUUUAGUAGUGGCAAGAAGGAAGCCAGGUUCAGCUUUCAAAUCAGAUUCUUUAUUCUCUACAGGUAUAUCUGUCUCAAAGCUGCUUGCAUUGCCUGGUUCUCCAGCAGAAUUAGAAUCAGUUGGUGGACGGCCCAAAACCACAUCAAAUGGAAUAGGUGUGGGUGGGGAUCGAAAAGUGUCAGGAAUUGAUGUAUCAAGAUUCAAAUCAACCAGGAAACCAGCAGUGAGUGCAGUUGCAACACUGUCAUUAGAAGUCAGGGACUCGUGUUCCUCCGACACGGAUGGGCACUGCACAAAGAAGUAGAUCUGAGACUCAAAAAACAGCUACCACAAAAACGAGGAUUUCAUACUGUGGAUUUGCUUUUAAAACAAAAAACACGAGAGCAGAGAGACUUGCAGCAUUUGGAAAUAAAAGACCUCAUGAACUCCCCAUAGACAAACAUAUAAUCGGAGUUCCAUGGAAGAACUGUUCACUAGAAAGUUAUAAAGACUGUUUAACAUUGCCACGUCCCUACAAGGAGUCAAGACUUGGGUAGCAAGGCACCCAACACUUUUACACCAUUUGCACAUUUUUGGUUGCCCCUUUUUCAUUUGGGGCAUGUGUUGGAGAAGGGGUAGGGGUGGCAUUCAUGUAUAAAAGGAACCGGGACUUCUAAACUGAUGAAUUCAUCCCACUCAUAAGCACUGGUAAGUGCUCAUCCAAGUUUCGUAUAAGCGGAUAACCAUGAGAACAUAUGGCCACGUACAGUAUAUUUAAGCAAACUAAAGUAUCCAACUAAAACGGAAAAAUACUAACAAAAGCAAUGGUGCUAUGGCCUAAGUAAUGAAGGAAUACGUAAACCAUGUGGUAUCAGUUCUUUCAAGACCAGUCAUGCAAACUAUUAGGUCCACCAAGCUAUAAAAACAAAUGCACUCAGUGUAGUGAUCCAAGUGCAAGAAGCAAAGUGAAUUAUUCAUAGGAAAUCUCUCCCAAUAACUCGGAGCCUAAGAAGAUGAUUCUGACAAGGUAAGAGAAAGUAAGCUGUUGUCUAGAUAAUGGAAGUAAUUACCCACAUAGUAAAAUACAGGAGUUCCAUGAAAUUGAGGCUUGCGGGAAGAACAACAGCAACCUCCCAUUUCCUGCCUAUUUGUUUAUAUCACUUAGUAAAAGGAACAUGAUUUUCUGGUCACCAUAAUGAAAAUGAGAGUAACUGCUACAAAGAAUAAGAACAUACCAUGUUAGGCCUGUGAAUCAAAUUAAACAAGAAUUAUAAAGUUGCACUCUUGCGGCAACAAUUCAAGAGGGUGGGGGACAAAGAAGUAAUGCACAGAGAUGAUCAGCAAGAGAAUCUCAAGAACCAAGUGCAUGGAUGAAAUUUUUGAAACUUAUAAUCUUGGAAUCAAGAUAACUGUAACCCUCUUUCAUCAAUACCUUGUGAAAACGUGACGCAGCCAGAUCCACCAGGAAAAACUGUUUUAAGUACAGAUUCAGUCCUAGAUGUUCUUACUUCUACAUCAAUGAUUGAACCACCAAGACUGCACCAGAUGAAGCACCUAACUACUAUUUUUCAGCUUGCAGGUAACAUGAGAAUGGUUAUUGAUGCAAAACUCAACGAUCUUCUAAAAAGUAACCAAAGCAAAGCUCUUACACUCAAAAGGAAAGGAAAGAAGUACGGAAGAAUCAUUUGUAUAUGAUCAACAUAUUUAUCAUGUCCACCUCGUAUGAUAAGUACCGAUUCAGGGAUGGUAGAAGCAUGAUUAAUUAUAACUAUUUAUGGUAAAGGAAGAAGUUAAGGGAGAUAAAUGCAACAAGAAAAUGUGGUAAUGAAAACACCAAGGCUAGAAAGUACAUUAUAGACCUUUGUUGGAUCGUACCCACAAGAACGUCAUAAUCCAAUUCAAGCAAAAUGUGAGACAAAACGUUCAAGUUCAAACAUUUAUAAGCAAUACAUUACGUCCGCAGAGGUGAGCAAAAUCCAAGAAGCAGGGAGCUAUGAAUACACAAGGCCUCAUCGUACAUGGUCAUGGACUUUAAAGCACCAUACUUAACGUAGUAAUGAUACCUAAUAGAUUAACGUAGUAAUAGAUUAGGUAGAUUGGCCUUUCUUUUACUUUCUUCAGUUUCACCAAAUUCUAAGCACUUGCAUUUCGAAUUCUCGAUACAACUACAAUUACUUGAAAAGUCAAUUGAUAAUGUUCUGGACCACAAGCAGGCACUCCAUGGUCCAAGAAUUCCCUGCUCCUUGGAGUCCUUUUCUUAACAGCUGAAUCAAUAGGGGAUACCACCCCACUUAAGUUGUUAUUUAUGAACAUUUACAUUUCCUAAUGAGCUAUAGCUUCCCAACCGCUUCCACCAAAAUAAAGAAAAAAAUAAGUUAUGCUACGAUGAUUGGUACAAACAAGAAUGACACUUUCUGUCGCUGUACAACUGUUGAAAGAAAAUUUUUUCCAGCUCAAUCAAGAAUAGCAAAAGAAAAAUAUCAGUCAAAAGCCAACAAAGAAGUGAGAAGAUACAAACUUUCUCCGCCAUAUAGCCACCCCUGUCCCUCCUCCUCCUCGCCCAAGUCCCAGGGGGAAAAGAUACAAAAAGAAAAAAAAUGGAAAACUAAAAAGGAUGAACAUCAAAAUUGCAUAAACAGAAGACAUUGAAAAAGGCAAUUUCUGGACUACAAAGUUCACUAACAGAAAAUGUUCAAACCAUCAAAGACUUGUAAAAAUAUGACCCCAAAAAAAAAAAAAACACAACCCAGGCCUGAACUCGACAUAAAGAAGUGCAUACUGUACAAGUCAACUUUACCUUCAACCAACAAACAGAGACUGGUGAUGGUGGGAUGCUGCUGAACGAGUGCUGCUGACUGAAAGGGUCAAAAGGGCUGCUACUGUUGACGCUUUUUUUUUUUUUUUUUUUGUAAGUUUUAUCUUUCAGGUCUGCAAAUGAGAAGAAGGGAUUAAUUUCAUGUCCGACUACUAUUAGUAUUUUCUGUAUUAGCUUCAGCAAACUUUUCUUCUGUUUUUGGUAACGUAUGGGUGGCGAAUCUUUAUCAAUUUUGAGAGAGAAAACAACUGGAGGGAAGACCUGAGAAGGGAAAGUUGAAGGUUGUUUUUUCAGAAAGUAAAGAAAUGGGAAAUUUGGGGAGCGAGCGUGGUGGCAUAUUUGAUGUUUGAUAGUCCCUGUAAUAAUGAGCAGUAAGCACGAUGACCACUUUCUGUGAAUAGGUAUUAGGUGGGGUUAGUGGCUGCGAAUUGUUUCAGUUUUCAACCCAAAAAAAGAAAAAAAAAAUUCAAAAGCAACUGAUGAUGCGAGCCACGGAUGAGAAAAAGAUGGUACAGUAGUUUUCAAAAGGGUGGCGUCGCCCGGACUCGAACCGGAGACCUUCAGUGUGUUAGACUGACGUGAUAACCAACUACACCACGACACCGUUUGAUUCGAACACGUCCGUAAUUCAUAAUAGGAAUAUAACGGGAUAAAUAGUAGGCUCGAUUUCAACUUUGAAGCAAUAUCUAAGUAAAAGUGUCUAUAUAUAUAUAUAUAUAUAUAUAUAUAUAUAUAUAUAUAUAUAUAUAUAUUCCAAGGAUGGUAUUUUAUUAGAAGCCACCACGCACCCUCACAAUCUCAAUCCCUUUUUUUUUUCUAGAACUUUAAAAUUAUUUUAAUUUAAAAAUAUUUAGCUCCGCAAUUUUGUUACAAUCAACUUGUUUGAAAUUGUUAGUUAACUUUUCAUGAUGUCCAAUUGCGGUGUGUAUUUAGGUAACCCUCAUCGACUCUUAUCCUUUUUCACCAUUUCAAAUUUACGCGUCACUUAUCCACUAACUCGGAGCACUGAAAACUCAAAUCACAUCUAUAAACUGAAGGCGCCAUGCCAAUUACAAUUCCUAUAACUCUAUAAUAAUUAACUGAUAACACAAAUCAUUCAUUCACACUCCAUUCUGAUUACAAUUCCUACAACUCUAUGCUAAUUAACUGAUAACACAAAUCAUUCACAACAACUAAUGAAUACUUACCACUAGCAUUCUGACCCGUACAAUGCACAAGUUUAUAUUUCAAUUCAAAACAAUAUUAACGUAUAUACUUAUAUAUUAUAGUAUAAGGGGUUUAUAUUUCAAUUCAAAACAAUAAAGUUGAAACCAAUUUUUGUUUACCUAUUGUCUGUCAAAAUAUAACAACACUUUGAAUAUAAUAAUUUACAUGAUAGAGCAAUUGUAAACUUAUUUAUCAAUAUAUCAUGUUAUACCCAUAUAUCAAAAUUUUUAACAUUAAAAAUACAAAGUAUAACUAGUUCAUUUCCUUCAUUUUUAUAAAAUUUUGCUCCCAUCUUGUAAUUCUAAAAUUGUUGAGUGCUUAUAGAAUAAGGUUCUUCAUAAAAUUUAAUAUAUGUUUAAAACAAUCUUUGUAAUAUGUGUUUUUAAAAUUUUCAAAAUUAUUAAAAAUUGCCACUCUUCCCAUCAUCUCUUACGUACUAACUGGCUAUUUACUACCUUCUAUUAUUUUCAGAUCUCUUACCACAAUACCAUCUUUCCUAUCAUAUCCCCACAAUCCCAUUCUUUCUUCUCCCCUCUCUUCGUCAAACUUUGUAGUAGUUUUCCUUCCUUUUUCAACCUUUUUCACCACUGAUUAACUCAUUGCUAUUCUCUUUCCCUCACCUAUAGCUAGCCUCUAACUUCCUAUCCUUGCCACCCAAUUUCCUAUUAUUUUCCUCUCACCAUUCUCCCAAACCCUUUAAAUUCAUAAUUUGUUUUUUUGCUAGUAGUACUUUGUUUUUUAUUUAGUGAUUUGAUAAUUAAUGAUUCACAAAUGGUACCAUUCUUGAUUUUUUUUUUUAAAAUCCAUGACCAAUGAAUAUUAUUUUCUUUUUGUUUUCUAUAUAAUUUACCAUUUUAGUUAGGAUUACUAAAUUGAAGGUAAAAUAUUGAUAUUUACUUUUUUACUUUUAGUAGGGUUGGUGAUGUUUCCUCUUUAUUUAUCUUUACAUUAAUAGAUUUCAAAUCAAAUUCAUAUAUAAGUGGGUCACUUCUUACUUUUUAAAUUCAAAAGACAAGAAAUGAUAUAUAACAAUUUAAAAAAUUCAAAAUUCUAUAAAAAAAAGAAUGAAGAGUUAUAAGCAUUCUGAUUUAACCAUUCUAAAAACCCUUCCUGCAAUACAUAUAUAUAUAUCUGUAUAUGUGGAUGUCUUCCCAUUUUGUUCCCUCACCAAAUUUAUUCUCAUUCGUCAUCCACCCAAACCAAAAGGAGGGAGAAAAAAUAAUAUUACGUGUCAUAGCCUAAUCAAGGAGAAAAUCCACCUAUAUGUCAAUCAAUUUACUAUUAUAAAAUUCCUAAUCACAUAUGCUAUAUAUAGAAAGCUCCCAGGUCUAGGUAAAUUACGCCAAAAAACCAGUUCAACUUCUCGAAGCUGUGGGCAAAAUGACUUGGUUUGGAAGCAAUUCAUUGUAUAGGUACCUAUUCUAUUUGUUAGUCAGGCAAUUUAAGAAUUUUUAGAAAUUUUAGGGCCACAAUAGGAAAUUUAAGAGAGCAUGUUAUGUAAAUUAUCCAAAAUGACAGGCUGCAAUCUAGUCGCAAACCAAAUUUGGUUGGAGAGUAAAGGGAACAGAUUGUAUGGAAAAAGGAGGGGGAAAGAGAGAGGGCCUGGUUAUAUGGCUAGGCCUGUCAACGGGUCGGGUCUAGACCCGGAUCCGGACCGGAUCCGUGAAAUUAUUGCGGGUAUGGGUAGGGAUUUAAUUCCGUUUUCCGGAUCCGGAUCCGGAUCCGUUUUGUCAAACAAAAAAACGGGUCGGAUACGGAAUAUAGUAUUCCGACCCGUAUUAGACCCGGAUCCGGAUAUAAAUGAAUUAAUAAUUUAAAAAAUAUAUAUUUAUCAAUAUAAUUUGAUUAGGGUGAUGUAUCUUAAUAAAAUUAAUUUGAUUUCUUUUCUUAUUUGGUUUUUUCUUUGCAUUAGUUAGAAAUUAAUUUACAAAUAUAUUUUUUUCUCAUUUUUAUUAGAAAUUAUAAAAUUUGGUAAAUUUGUUCGGGUAGACCCGGAUCCGGAUCCGGGACCCGCCGGAUCCGGAUCCGGAACAUAGAAUAAAAGACCCGUCGGGUAAACGGGUCGGAUCCGGAUCCGGUAUAGUAAUUCGGGUCCGGGUCCGGAAUAAUGAAUUCCGGCCCGGACCCGACCCGUUGACAGCCCUAUAUAUGGCUGAUGAAGAAAAAGGUGUUAAUGUGUAGGUAUUUUGGUGUGUCUGUUUUAUGGAUGGUGUUUGAUUUUUUUUUUCGUUUUAGUGUUUUAGAGAGGGUUACUAUAGAUAUAUUUUGGUUAUUCAAAGGCAAACCAAGUUAAUUAGCCAUCAUACUAAAUGCACAAAAUGCAAAUUAUCAUAAAGGAAUAGGAGCAGUACAAUUAUACAAAAUCAAUCACUAAUUGUUGUAAUUGAAUUAAAUUUAUUUUUAAUAUUUUAAAAUUAAUGGGUUUGACUUAAAUAUCUUUUACUGGUUAUUAAUACACAGGUCUAGGAUUGCUUUUUAUAUUUUCUAUGGAUCGAAUUAUUUUAUGCACAAUAUUAUGAGUAAAUCUUAUAUAUAUUGACAAUGCAUACACUAUCAUCGUUGGAUCUAUGACACAUGUGCACAAAUUGAAUUUCAAAUUCAAAUUUUAUAUAAUUGUCGUUCAUCCAACGCUGAUAGUGUAGAAAUUAUUAUAUUGACAUAUAAUAGAUAGAUCAAAUUUGACUUGAAAUUACCCAUAUAUGUAAAUGUACAUAAAUUUUUCUUAUGAUCUCAUAGUACCGUUUUUAUUUUGUGGAAUCAGAACAUACAACCUACAGUUAAAAAUUAACCCAAUGUUAGAAAAUAAUUAACACAUUCCACUAAAUUGUUUUUAUACCUUUUUAUAUAUAAUUUAUUUUCAUAAAUUUGGAAAUAAAAUAAUACCUCUUCAUAAUUGUAUAAACCAACUCAUACCCCAAGAAAUUUUUUUGUGUGAUUCCCCAAAGUCUAGGUUGUUUGUACGAAUGGCAAUUGGGGUAAAUACCCGCGGGAGGUUAAUGGGUGAGGCGGGAAAUAAAACUCAUCCCUCAUUAAAAAAAGAGUUGGGGGAUGAGAUACUAUACCCCCGCCCUGUCCCCUGCUUAUAUAAAGUUUAUAUAUAUAUAUAUAUAUAUAUAUAUAUAUAUAUAUAUAUUAUUAGUUAUACUAAAUUACUAAUUACACUUUUACUAAUAAUAUAUUUUGGCUAAUUAUAAACUUUUUCCGGGUGGGGGGAACGGGUGACGAGGGCCGGCGGGUGGGUCCUUUGCCAUUCCUAGUUGUUUGGAUUGUAUUUUGUAGAGAGCUUUUGGGGAAAAAAUUAUCGUAAUAUUUUGGGAUGUGAUAUGUGUGAAAUGAAGAGUUGAUUUGGAAAUAUGUAAAAAAGUUAUUUACUAAAAAUAGAAAAUUUUUCUCCAAAUAAAAUAGCAGUUCAAAACAACACCUGAUCGAAUCUCAUAUUGAAGUUUCUCUAAGUAGCUCCUCUAAUUUAUCAAUGUUUGAUUACUAAACUUUUUUCUUUGGGGGGUGUCAAUUGAAACUUGAAACUCGAGCAUUGUUUUCUUUUUAUAAGCACAAAUUAAAACACGAACGCAUCAAAAGCCAACGACUAUGGACAUGGGCUUAAUUGAAAGUUGAAACAAUCUUAAUGCUACUCUGGAAUUCCAAAGGGAAAAUUGCACUUUUGAGAAGGGCCAUACCUGUGUAUUGUGUCAGGCCAAAUUGAACUCAACCCUUCAAGCUUUCACAGUUUUCAAUUUUGUGAUUCAAACUUGAAGCGCAAAAUGUCUUUUUUGACUGAAACUUGAAUGAGACAUUUUAGUCGCAAUUUACCAUUUCUAUUUCGAUAUAAUCCUACGUUGUCUUGCAAGUUGCAAUGAACAUUUUGUACAUUCUCCCGCCAGUUUGCGAUGAUCAAAUGCCUUUCCCUUUCAAUCCAGGCCGUCCUUUUUAAAAGACGGUUAUCCUUUCUAACCACUCCCUCCAUAACUAGACCUCGCGGUUCACUUCCAACACGAGAAUCUGCAGCUCGUUCUGCCUGUUCACAAUUAACCCAUAAGUUUAUCUCCAGUGAACUGAAACACUCAGCAAAAUUCAAUCUUUUUCAUCAAGGGAAACAGCUGCAUGGCCAAAUUAUAAAACUGGGAUAUCAGAAUAUGCUGCCAUUACAAAAUCUGCUCUUAAAUUUUUAUCUCAAUUGCAAAUGUGUAUCCAAUGCUCAUCAGGUAUUCGGUGAAAUGAUUGUUAGAAACAUAAUCACCUGGAAUACAAUGAUAUGUGGCAUUGCAACCGAGUUUAGCUAUUUCAAAUCAAAUUUUGAUCUAGGUAUUUGUUACUUUGGCAGAAUGUUGACGGGAGAAGUCAGACCAGAUUGGAUUACGUUCAGGGGUCUAUUUCGUUUGUGUGUAGAUACUAAUAACGUUGAGAUGAGUCAAGUGUUGCAUUGCUUUGUAAUGAAGUUGGGCCUGUGUGAUGAUCUUUUUUUAAGAAGUGCUCUUGUAGAUAUGUAUGGAAAACUUAGGCUUGUUGAAGAGGCUAGGCAUGUUUUCAUUUUUAUUAAACAGAAAGACUUGGUGCUUUGGAAUACGUUAGUUUCCUGCUAUGUACUUAAUUCUUUUGAGGAUGAGGCACUGAGACUGUACAAAGUAAUGAGGUCUGAGGGGUUAACAGGUGACGAGUUUACAUUCACAAGUUUGCUUAAUUCUUGCGCUAGUUUUGGAAAUUGUCAAUUGGGCAGGGGCAUCCAUGGGACUCUAGUUAAACUUAGCUUUGAUUUGGAUGUUCUGGUGGCUAGUUCACUUGUUGAUAUGUAUGCAAAGAAUGAAAGUUUAGUUGAUGCUCGAAAGGUUUUUGAUAUGAUGAUCUCAAAAAAUGUGGUUUCUUGGAACACUAUGAUUGUUGGUUAUGGACAAUAUGGUGAUGGGGUUCAGGCUAUGAAACUUGUUAACAAAAUGUUUCAGGAAGAUUUCCAUCCGGAUGAGCUGACUUUGGCUAGCGUCUUCAUUUCAUGUGGUAUAUUAGCCAUGGUUGGUGAAAUCACACAACUUCAUGCAUAUACUGUAAAGAAUGGUUUGUCAUCUUUAACAUCAAUUGCUAAUGCAAUGAUUAGUGGAUACUCCAAGUGUGGUAGCAUUGUUUCUGCCUUGCAAGCUUUUAGGUCAAUUUUAGAGCCUGACCUUGUCUCAUGGACAUCUAUGAUUGGAGCCUAUGGAUUCCAUGGUUUUCCACAUGAAGCUACUGAACUUUUUAAGAGGAUGUUAUCUAAUGGUGUGAAGCCAGAUCGAAUUGCAUUUCUUGAGGUUCUGUCCUCCUGUGGCCAUGGUGGAUUGGUCAAUGAGGGGUUACGGUACUUUGCUCUGAUGACUGAUGUCUAUAAACUAGUUCCAGAUCCAGAGCAUUAUGCUUGUCUUGUUGAUCUUCUUGGAAGAGUUGGGCUUUUGAAGGAGGCUUUUGAUGUUUUGACCUCAAUACCAGUGGAACAUUGUUCGGAUGCUAUGGGGGCCUUCCUUGGUGCUUGUAAGGUACAUGGGAACCUAGGAUUAGCAGAAUGGGCAGCUGAAAAGCUGUUUACUUUGGAGCCAAAAAGGGCUGUAAAUUAUACUCUCCUGUCAAACAUGUAUGCUUCAAAUGGAGCCUGGUCUGAUGUAGCCACAAUUCGUAGAUUGAUGAGGGAGAUGUGUUAUCCUAAAGCUCCUGGUUGUAGCUGGAUGGAGAUUGCCGGGAAGGUAUAUUCAUUUGUCUCAGGUGACAAGUCCCACCCGCAUGCUAGAAUGGUUUAUUCCAUAUUGGGACAUCUUUAUGAGCUAAUGAAAGUAGAAGUGAAAGAAUCCACAGAGAUCUUCAAUUCGUUGUUCUUAAAUUGAAGCAUUCUGCUGAUUUUGUGCCAUUGUUGAGAAUAAGUAGUUGAAAAGUGACUGUCCAUUGGAGAUUGGUUUAUAUCUACCAGUACAAACAAAAGAAUUUGCAGGAUUUAUAAGGUAAAGAAAGCUCUAUCUUAGAACCGCUAACAGAGCCUGCAAGUCAGAAGCUUGAAACCAUUUCUGGUUAACUAAAUUCCAUCACCAUGUUAUAACGUGCAGUUUUCAUAGUGUUGGAUCACUUUUUAUGCUCGAGGGUGCAUGAACUAUCACUUUUUUCUUCCAUAUUCUUUACACAUUCGUCUUAUUUUGUCAUAUUGGAAUCAUUUAUUCUUCUGACUUUCUAUGCAACUUCCAGUUCAUCUUUUUUCAUUUUUUGUACCUUCCAUUAUGUCUGCUGACUUUCUUGUGCUUAACAAUUACUUCCUGUUUUGAUCAAAUAUCUACAAGCAUGACCUCAUAUGGAAGCGGAUUCCCUUAUAUUUUGUGAAGGAAAUACAAUAGUAAGUUAAAACUAAUACUGCUUUACUCACAAUCCCCUUUCUGUAUUAUGAUCUUGUAGGUGCCAUGUAUUUUGCAUUGGCCCACCAUUAAGAGCUGGAUAUCCUGGUCCUUACAUUCAUGUUAUUUGUGACAGACCCGAUACUUCCACCUUUUUCUUAAAUAUUCACUACUAGUUAAAAGCCAAGGAUUGGCUCAUGUGACUGAUGAUCUCUUUUACGUAGUCAUUUUCUUGGGCUGUAGAAUCACCUCUAGGUAUUAACUGUGUGCAAGAAGAUCCAUGGCAAUGGAUGUUCCUCAGGAUUUGAGGUUUACUUCUUCUGUUCCUCAUAGGUGGCAUUUCCUUGCGAGCUAUUACAGUUGCUCAUCAUAUAUUAUCUAUUACGGGAGAGGAGAUAUCCAUAUCAAUUGGGCUACCAUUGUUGUUUGUCUUUAACUUCUUCACGUCUUUUCGAGCCAACUGCCGGAGUUCCCUUUGAAUCUUGAUUAUAUUGCCAACUUGUAAUUUCUUGAAUUGGUUUGCAAGUAUUACUUUCAACUAACUGUGAUUUUGACAGAGCUAAUUGAGACCCUUGAUCUGACAAUUCCAUUGUUUGUUUUUAUUUUCCACACUAAUCAAGGAUGAACCAGCUAUUUUCAGAACCUCAUGUGUGUUUUGAAGCUUUUUUUUUUUUUUUUUUUUUAAGGUGUUGUGAAGCUUAAUUAUGUAAAAAACGAUGGCUCCAAUGUAAUUGGCCGACUCUCAUAGCGUGGACCUUUCUUUAAGGAAAUGCAUGCUAUUCCAGAAGCAUUUAUUAGUCUGUAUUAUGUCAAGGCCUGCUCCUUUUACUUGGGUCUCUGUCUUCCCCGACAGCAUAGUAAGUGGUUGACUUUGACAUUUUGCUAACCUUUGGGUGGGUUCCAAAUGUUUUUGCACUCAACCGUGUACGGAAGAAUAAAGAAUUGCAAAUACCAGACUUGCAAUAUAUAUAUAAAAAUAUAUAUAUAUAUAUAGUUAUAUAGAGAGAGAGAGAGAGAGAGAGUAAAGACAAAUUUAUUACUAUAUGCAUCAGAGAGAAAAUUUUUCAUUGAGAAGGCGGCAGUUUGAAAAGUAAGUCCAGAGAACAGCAGAGCAGUGCUCGUGGAAAAUGUUCUAAGAAAAAUAGAAGGCCCAGCACCAAUCAACGCCGGGCAGAAAGGGAGCAGAUGACUUGCCAAUGCAUUUGUUUACCAGAUCUCCUGUUUCUCAUGUAGCAACAAAAAAAAUUAUUAUUGGUUGGACUUUUAAGAUGGAACUUUUAGCAAGUGAUCUAGAUAAUCCAAACUCCCAAGUCAAGGUAUCAUUUGGCUCCUGUGCCUGAUGCUAGGUCUUGAAUGAUUUGUUUCCUGAAUUGGAAAAAAUCAUGCUAAUCCGAAAAGGGUUUUCGACCGGAUUGUUAUUUUUUAGAGUUUUUAUAUAAGAAAAAAAUUAUACCGUAAAGAUCAGAGAUAAAUGUGUUCAGAAGAAUACAUAUAAAUCUUUUAAGAAAAAAUAAUGAUCUAAACAAGAUAGCGGACUUCUAACCAAUAUGGAAAUUGCAUCAUAAAUUGAAUAAAGUUACAGAAAAAAAAUGCAUAUAUACAUCUUGCAAAUGCACAGAGUUCGACAUGAAAAAUCUGUAAGAAUCAUCAUCCUCUCGGGGGAUCGGUGGGGCCCGCUCUCCCCGGGCGAUGGGAAUAGUGGCACAGACGGUAUUACCAGUCCGGAGUAACCGAUACCCAGCGAUAAAAAAAAAAAAAAAAUCAUCAUGCUCUUGUGGAUGGUGGCCAUGUCAUUAUGCUGUAGCAGUAAGAUGUUGGCAUUCAAAUUGGGGAUUAAGCAACUGAGAAAUCAAGUUGGGUUCUCCAAUAAUUGCCUCGGGAACAUGGGUCCCCAGUUGAUACUUCUUGACCUUUUCUAAACUGAAGUCUAGAAAUUCGGCUUUUAUAAACCUAAUCCCAGAAGAAACCUCAAAAGCCGGCAACUCUUGAGGUCCUUCCAGGGACUUAUAAACCAAACCCAAACCCCCCCCCAAAACCGAUGUGGGAUGGCAAACCCCACAAGGGCAAGCCAGUAAGGCCGCUGCUGCUAAGAAGUAAAGACCCCUCACGACACUCAGUAAACUACCCUUGCAUGAAUUUGCCUCUUGACCUUUUCUGGUCCCCAGUUGAUACUUGAGAGAUGCAAAUCUAUACAAGUUUCAAAUACAAUCUGCACAUGAUUGGCCCGCGGCCUCGUCCGCCCACUAAACAGGAGAACAAGUGUUAUUAGGCGGGCACCGCUUUGAGUUUGAGUUAAUCAAGAAUAGCACAUCUUCAACACAAAACUUGGCAAAUUUGCAACUGACUACUGCUGGUUUUCUCAACUGCAGGUGACCGCCUAAUAAGUAGUGACAGCAAUCUUCUGAUUUGACAAAUCAAAGCUCUCAUUUAUUGAAGAUAAUUGUGUGGAUGGAGUGCAAGAUAUCUCCAAUCUAGCCACAAACAUCAAUAAUCCAAAAAAAAAAAAAAAGGUAUCUAUUCCUAAAUAAAUUUUUUCGUUUCUCACUUUAUAAUAAGAUUGAGAAUUCCAUAAGAUAUAUCUAUUUUAAUACUACUUAUAUUUUACAUAAAUAUAGAAACAGGUACGGGAUACAGAUUCUUUAAGUUAUAGAGCUAAAAUUUUGUUAAGGUUUUGCAUUCAAGGCAAUCAAAUUCAUAUCAUAUUUUGAUCCAUAUCAACUGAAAAAACUAUCUAAAAAUUCAAUCUGUAAGUUCACUUUGAUCAACUAAAUCUAUCUAUAUUCAUUUUUAAAAACAUUUUUUAAAGGAAGAACAUCAUCGAAGGGAGAUGUGCUUGGUGAGUUUGACCUUAGUUUAAUUUAGGAACUAAAAUAUGGUAAAAACAAAUAUAGGUGGUGUCAUUAUGAAUGCCCUUAAAAAGUGAAGGACUGCUAGAGAAAAACAAAAGUCAUAAUAGUGGUUCAAGCAAGACCAAUUAUAUCUUCUACUACGUAAUUUCUUGUACAAAGCUCUUACUACAACUGCCCGCCAUUUUCUAACGCGGACGAGAGACAGCCAUGAAAAGUCCCACCUCACACCACCCUCGCCGCCGGUGGGACCUCUCUAGCUCCGGCUCAGCUGGGUCCGGAACUCCCGACCGACCAAGUAUUUCCCCGACGUCUACCUACUCAUCAUCCUCUAAUUCCUCCAACACUAAGUCAAACUCCGACAAGAACCCCGUCAAGGUCGCCGCCAGGACGUUCGCCGGAGCCUUCAUCGCUUGCUUCACUCCUCCGGAGAAAGUCGAGACUAAUAAUAGUUUAGGCAGCUUUGGUAAGUCUGCUGCUGAUUUUACUACUAGUAUACUUCUCCUUGACAAAUUAAGCUUUUUUAUAUAAUGGUACUACUAUUUAAAUUACUCAUGUGUUGACCAUAGUUUAUUGGAGUUGACUCUGAGGUCUUCAAAUAUCGGAUAAUAUAUGGGUUUUAAGAGUGAUUAAGUGCUUGUGCUUUGUGAAGAGCUUUUUUUUUUCUUGGAUCUUGGGAGAUUUAAGAAAGUGUUUUGAGGAUUAUGGGUUGGAUUUCUCUUUUUUCAAAUUUGAUUACUGCCAUUCUAGAAAAAGAAGAACAUUUUGACAAAAUUAAUUAGUCUUGUUGGACCCUUCAAUGUCUGGACGAAGAAAAACCAACUGCUCGAGAGAUGUAGUAGUACUGCAUUUCACCUUGGUUGAAACUUAAAUAAGCUGAUUGCAGCUUGAUUUUUUUUUCAGGAAAAACAGAGGACGAAUUUUAAGGCAAUUUAAGUCUGCAUCUUUAUUUUUCAUAGUUGGUUAUAAAGGACGCAUCUUUGGAUGUAUGUUUUCAUAACUUGUUAGAGCAAUCCCUUUAUUGAGCAACAUUAUAAUGUCUGACAUUGUAUUUUUAAAUCUUUGAAAAGCCAAAGCAAUUCACCUGUAACUACAGGCAUUUAAGAGAAGCACUUUUGCUGAACUUUUCUGUUUGUUUUUUAGUUUAGUUGCUUUUUCUUCUUAUCUUUAUAUUCAGAGAACACUUGAAUUACCUGGUAGAUGAUCUUGUUUAAGGCCUUAUCUGCUCAUGUUAAAUCAAUGUUAAGAACUUGAGAAUUAAGAGCUCCCUUGCACAAUGUCGAAAUCAAAGCUUAGUCCUGUGGUCUUUUUUGUAUUCGGAUGCGUCAGAUGCUUCUUCCGGUUCUGGCAGUGAGACGAGACGUCGAGGCAUUUAUGCCACUUCAAACAAUUCGACGCACGCCAGAGGGUCCGGGAGAGUAAAAUUCACUGUGGAUGAAAUCUACAAGGCGACCAAGAAUUUCUCCCCCACCUUGAAAAUUGGACAGGGUGGCUUUGGGACAGUCUACAAGGGCCGACUUGAAGAUGGAAAUCUCGUCGCUAUCAAGCGUGCUAAAUCGGUGCAUUCCUCUGCAAUAUUCCUUCCUUUCUCUGUGUUGACCUAGUAAAAAUUGUCCUCAUUGUAUAUGAUUCCUACAUGUUUCUUGUAGGGUGUACAUGACAAGAAUUCUGGAGCUGAGUUUCGAAGUGAGGUACGAACCCUGGAGAAAGUGGAGCAUCUAAAUCUAGUCAAGUUUUAUGGAUAUUUGGAGCAUGAGGAGGAAAGGAUUAUUGUUGUUGAAUAUGUUCCCAAUGGAACCCUUAGAGAACAUUUAGAUUGUAAGUUGGUUCUCUCCUACUCUGUCUGCCCGUCUUUCGCUAUUUCUGGUUUUCCAUUUAUACGCUAGUAGAUUUAACUAGCGUCCAUAUCUUCUUUCCUCUUGCGCUGAUAUUUGUUAAAUCCUUAAUUGCUAAAAUCCCCUGCUAUUGACUGGUAAUAUAGGUAUGCAAGGGAAUGUACUUGAAUUCGCUGCCCGACUUGAUGUCGCAAUAGACGUGGCUCACGCUGUUACAUAUCUGCAUAUGUACACAGGUAAGCUUCGGAUUCUUGAUGAAUAUUUAAAUCUUUUCUCCAGGCCGUACAGAUUUUCAUUGAUUUUUGGCAGCAUUCUGAGCAUCUCACAUCUAUUGUAGCACAAUCAUGACUCUUUUGUAUGAAUGCAGAUCACCCCAUCAUCCACAGAGACAUCAAAUCCUCCAAUAUUCUCCUCACUGAAAAUCUUCGAGCUAAGGUAGCUGACUUUGGCUUUGCAAGGCUGGCAGCCGACAGUGAAGCCGGAGAAACACACGUUUCAACUCAAGUUAAAGGAACUGCUGGCUACUUGGAUCCUGAAUAUCUGAAAACCUUCCAACUUACUGAGAAAAGUGAUGUUUAUUCAUUUGGGGUGCUGCUGGUGGAGCUGGUCACAGGCAGGCGCCCCAUUGAGCCAAAACGCGAAUUAAAAGAGCGUAUAACAGCUAGAUGGGUAUGAUGUUUCCCCUACAUUAUUUCUGGCAUGGCUUGUUUUGCUUUUUAGCGUUCUUUAGAAUCAACACCAACUAAUUUUCAUUUCUUUGAGCAUAUCUGAUUGGAAUGAACUAAUUGCAGGCAUUGAAGAAGUUCACUGAAGGAGAUGCUAUAUUGACUUUGGAUCCGAGACUUGAAAGAUCUGCAGCAGCUAAUUUAGCCAUAGAAAAGAUUCUUGAAUUAGCCUUGCAAUGUCUGGCUCCUAAUCGACGCAGUCGUCCUUCAAUGAGGAAGUGUGCAGAGAUACUGUGGGGUAUCCGCAAGGAUUACAGAGAACUAUUAGACUCGGAUCGCUCUUCUGAUUCUCAGAGCAGCUAUACCAUCAGAGGAGAUUGAGCAGUAUAUGCAUAAAUAUGAUUCCUGGCCACAAUUUUCGUAUAGAUCUUCCACUUUUGAUCAGAUUAAGUUGCAAUCUGUAAAUGCCAAGAAAAUUCCUUUUCAUUUCUUUUGAAAAGCCGAUAAUCACCACAAAAUCUAGGUAGCGUGGCCAAUGAAGAAAUUUUCAUCAUCCGAAAUUUGGCCAUAUUACAUGAUUUUUAUAAUGUUUUCAAUUUUUCGCUUUGUGUAAAUUCAGCUUACGGAAAAAGAAUCAACAAGUGUGUAAUUGCCCUUUAAAUUCUAGUACAUAUUGUUUUUAUCGUUUUUGUUGUUGGUUUAAAAUUGCCUCCUCAGCAGUAUCUCUCUCUGUCUCUCCCUCUCCCUCUACUAUUAUUUGAAACAACAAAUGUUUAUUUUCUUCUCAUUUCACUACCAUAAUAUUCGAUUCAAUUCAAUUUCUUUUUGGUCCAAUUUUGGUUAAGCUCAAUCUUAACCUGCCUAUUACAUUAUAUAAAUUUAUAAAGAUUCCAUCAGAACAAAAUAGGAGGUGAAAAUCUGUAGGGGAUGUCUAUUCUAUCUGCUGCUCUGAUUGUAAACGUUGCUGUACUGUGUAUUCACUAUCUUUUGAUUUAUUGUACAGUUUCUCGUGUACAGUUUUUUCCUCUGCCACACCACACUGAUGCCUAAACCAGUCAGCCUCCAGUAUGCUGAACUAUGUACAAUUUGGAUGGUAGCUAAGGCAAUGCCUCCCUACAAACAGAUGCCUAGUUGAGUGGAAAAAAUCUUCAUCCUCUUGAUAAACUGCUAAGAUCCACAUGAAAACAAGAGUUAGCUGAUGCAGUAAAACUGCUUUGUAUAGACGGUAAGAGGGCUGUUGCUCUGUUUCUAGACUUCAAAUCAAAAGGUGCAGAAUGAAAAGUACCUAACUGCUGCUAUCUCCCCGUUCGCUCCAGUGAAUGAAUUUUGUCGAGUUAGCACAUAGCUCCUGUCUGAGGGAUCUUUUGCUUUUGAACAGAGGAAAAGGAAGGAAGAAGUAUAUAUGGAGACGUGCCAUAUGCUGCAGAGCAUUUUGCAUCAACAACCAGAGAGAAUUAAGGGGGAAAAGAGGGAGAAGCAGACAGACAUUGUAGAGAAUCCAUCAUACCUGUGCCAAAUCCAGUAGGUUUGGCUAUUUUCCAGUUUCCAGCUUAUUGCAGCCAUCGCUAAGGCAACGAACCCUGCUAUAACAAAGCCCCACCGAUAUCGUCUUAGAAGCGUGUCAACAAGAUUACGUAUCCAUUCCUUUAUGGCUGAUCUGCAAGUAACAAAAAUGUUGAUUACAUCAGCAAAAUUGAAGUGUUUUCUGUAUCUGUAAUUCACAAGCUGCCAGGAGGCAUUAAGCUUCACAAAAUGCAGUAUCAAUCAAAUAUCCCACUUCCUCCUAGGGGUAGGUGAAAGGGAUAACUUCUAGUCUUCUGAUACCAGCAGUAAGCAAAUUGCUUGACUCAAGAGCAAUAGCCGCUUAUUUUGCAUUUAUAUAUGAGUUCUAUACUCCCAAAUAAACCUAAAUGUGCCCAUAACUUCCUGUUUCAAUUGUGAAAUAGUUCAGCCAGGCCUGACACAGAACAAUAUAAAAGACCUCGAUAAAAAUGAUUUACCUAUCAACCAAAUUCAGAUGGAACUGAGCCGAACAGGCAAACGAUCUAUAGUGAGUACAAAGCUCAAUCAGCCACCCAGCAAUAAGACCCAAAGUCCCAAUGGCUAAAACAAGAACGAUGUUUGAGGAUCUACAAACAAUAAAAUGAAGGUUAGAAACCCAAUAGAAUCGUAAGAAUACAAGGAAAUAAAAGAAAUACACUACCGUGUUGGACCAGUUUCAGCCAUAAGGGCCGUUACUAUUGCAACAAUUGUGUGAAUCGUCCUCUUUGAAGUUUCAUUAAUAGCAGCUAGGUACACAAAAGUGCUGACAACCGCCAUGAAUGAAAGCCAGAAAUCCAUAAACUAUAAACACAAACACAAAUUUAUGACGACAAUAAUCAAAAUCACGUCUCAAGAGUCCACCAGUACACUCAAAUAAGAAGCCAGAAAAUACCUGCAAGACAUGAAAUGUUAAUGCACACCAGGUUCCUACAUCACAAGCAUGAUACAGCCCACUUGAGAUCCCACUAGAUGUGAAAAGAACCCAUUCAGCAAAUGCCUGCAGCAAAAUGCAGAAUUUUAACUUUUAAUACAGAAAUGAAGAGAAACAGAAUUUUUUUAGCUGUUCACAGUUGAUUAAACUGAAAAACAAAAAAUGAGCCCAUAUGCUGAUGAACUGGAAAAGGCUUGUUGUUUUUUCUCAUUAUUCAGGCUGAUAUACUUAGGUCAGUGGGGAAAAUUAAAGAGAAAAACUCUGUUAAUUUCCAGAUGAGCUAUCACUACCUUAUGGCGGAGGGCCCAGUAAGCGGGAAGCACAGCUGCAGCAUUGGAUGCAAUGAGGGAAAUUGAUUGCCAUAUGCGCCCUACAUGAUUUUUCAGCAAUUUUCCUUUAAAAGACCCAUUAUAUAGCAUUGUUAACUACUAGCUUUUAAAUUGAGAUGAAUAUCAAUCAUUAGCUAUAAGAUACAUGUCGCAUCCUAAUCUUACACACAACAAAUUGCAUGUAAAAAUUGCAAAGGCAAUCAAGAGAUUGAAGAUAUACAUAAGAUACAAUUUGAGACUUUGACAGAGCCAGAGCAUUAACAAGGAACAAGUACUGCAUAAACAUAUGCAUAUGGAUGAUACAUAUACAUAUUCUGACCAAAUGUAGGCCCACAAAAAGACAAUAAAAGAAAAACUUUUGAUGAUUUGAACAUAACACAAGUGACAAGGACAUUCGGGGCAACCACUUGUGCAGCCAAAGUGCAGCUCAAGUACAUUAUGCAAUCCUCUGUGCAAGGAAUCUAGUUAUAAGAUUGCAAACAGUGUGAAUCUCUGGAAGAUUUUUGUGCAUCCCAUUUUUUGGACCUGAUGUUUUGCUCCCACAUGUACAAGCACCGCUUACAAUUUAUUGGUAUACAUGAUGUACACUUAUAAAACAACUGAUGUAAAAAAGGACUAACAGAUGUAAAAUACAUCUGAUGUAAUAAUAAUAACGAAGAUGAUGAUAUAAAAUAAAUCAAUUAUAUUAUUAGGAAUAUACAAAAAACUUCCGCCUGCAUUUAGGCUCCCUUUGCAAGCAAAAUGAUUAAUCAAAAGCACUGACUCAAAAAUGAGCCAAAGGAUAGAGUAAAGUCAAAAUUUACCUGUGGGCAUCAUCAAAUAGUUCCUAAAUUUAUGCAUUAUAAGGAAUAUCUGUUCAUGUCUAGAAAACCUGUUGUGUGAGUAUGUAUCACUCAAUGAGGAACCUCAAUUGGAAUCUGCCCAAAUAAAUUGUCAUUUUUUUUCCCUCAGAAACUUCUGACUCAUUUCAAUGGCCUGAAACCAUCUACCAGUCUAAAUGAAACACGGAAUUUUUUUUUUUGAAACCAUCAACCAGUCUAAAUGAAACACAGAAUUUUUUUUUCUCAAACUCUAUGUCAUGUUCAACACAUAAAACUAGACUUCGAAAUAUGAAGCUUAAUGAUAACCAAUAAAAUGCCAGAAAGACUUCGGAACUGUCAUCUUUCAUCAAAGAGGAAAUCAAUUACCUUUAUGUGACACCAACUCCACGCUGCAGUCAAAGCCUCCAUGGUUACGAUCACAAGCACAGUAGCUGGCCAGAAAUCAUUUCAGAUGAGAAUUGAUCAAUAGUUUACUACUAAGCCAUUCAUUGAGAAGAUAUUAACCUGUAUAGUGACAGCCCACUGGUAUCUAAAAGAAAUUGACAGUUUCCAUGAGCAGAACAUUUUUGUGGACAUCUCUCUACUGAGAUAGACAUAGUUGUUUGAUAUGUGUAUCCACUACCAACGGGAUUUACUUGCCUCAGUCCAAAAUUCCAGAUUCCUUCUCUUGGAUAUAAUAUAUAAAAACCGAUUGAUUUCUCAGUAGAAUCAUACAGCUUAAAAAACAUGGAACCAUUGCUGCUGCUCGUGCUAUUUGUGCAGAAAUAGUCCCAGUUAUCCAGAGAAGGAAAUCCUCCAUAUCUGGCAUACAUUUCAUAACUUAUCUUAUCAUCUGAUGUAAGGCGGAUAUGGAUAUUUCCUCCAGCAGCACCAUAAGGGAUGUCUACGAGGAAAAAUGUCCAAGCAACAUCAUUAUUUCCUCCAUAAGAAGAAUUGCUCAAAAGCGGUUCUAAAGGAAAGUUAGCUGAAUCUGACAACACCUUCUCACUCAAUGGCAAGUAGUAGGAUUCAAAAGGGGCAGAAGGAUUUUUCCGAAGAACAGUCUGCAAGCAAUCAUUUUCAGCUUGUAAAGAAUAUAAUCCAGGUGACUUCUUUGAGUCUUCAUCAGAAGAAACAAAAUCCAGAUUAUAAGCAACCAGAAUAGCUCAAAAUCAGGUAACCGAGGGAAAAAACUUUGUAAACAAAAUUUCAACUUAUUUUUUGUUAAAAAACGUAACUAUACAAUGGAUCAAGGAAGUCAAGCAAGUGUUUUUGAGUAGUCGAGCAACCAUUUAUGCAGUCUUACCUGAAGCAUGUAUCUUUUCCAUGUACAGUUAGGUCCAGCUUUAUCCACAGGACACUGAAGAACUUGCCACUCCAAUGAAUAACAAACAGCUGUGCUCAGUUCUCGAAGUCCGCCACUGUUUGGAAGACUGACCGGUUGAACAGUAACAUACCAACGGCCAAGUUUUGGUGCUGGUAUAACUAGAGGGGCUUUGCUGAUAUUGCCAGAAUAAUCAUGCAACGUAUCUAGCGGCAUUGCACCAUGCCGAGCAUAAGACAUCAAGAUAAUCCCACUUGCAUUUUUUGUGCUAUUUGAAUUGAACCUAAUAUUUGAGGCAGUAAUUGUUAGCUCUUCAGAAAAUCCCAUUACAUUCAAAGAGAAGACUUUUGGUCCAUUAUCCACAUGACAAGUCCCAUCAUCAGCAUUUCUGCAAACAACCACAUUCUCUGCCACUAGAUCAGAAGUUUUGUUACCAGAACUGCUAUCGGUUACAACAUAUCCCUCAGCACACGUAAGCAGAUUAACCGUCUGGUUGCAGAAUUGGCCAGUCACCAUUGGGGCUGUACAUCCUUCCACACUCACAUUGCAACUAAAAGAGUAUGAUUGGCCACGAUUAAUCUGCAGUGAGAUUGUUAAAAACAACAAAAUUGAAUAAGUAGCUGGUGUGCAAUUGCAUAAGUCAUGAAAUUGGGACUAAAAAACAGAAGACAUGCGAGAGUCAUACAUGAGAAGAGAAAAUAAUGUUUUGGUAGACUAAGUGAAUAUCCAAUAUGCCAAUAUAAGAAUGUAUACCAAUAUCUGCUAUGCAAAUAUAUAGAUGUUACCAAGAAGAAAAAUCAUAGGAUUUCUAUGUCUAAUAUGCAGAUAUAUGGCUGUAUACCGAUAUCUAUUGUGAAUGUAAGUUUGGCGUAAGAAAAUUAAGUCAUAAUACUUCACCACACAUCAAAAAGAAUUAAAGGGGGAAAGGGUCAUAAAAGUUUGCAAGAAACAUGUCCUUUGGCUAGCAUUUGUUAAUAAUGUGAUAUGAGUCAUAUGACCCCAAGUCUUGGUUAAAGAGCACCUGCUUUUGAUCUUGUCCUAUGAUAGAGAAAAGCCACGUGUAAUAACUAAUUUUCACCAUAAACUAUUUGACAAAAUCUAGUAAACUAAUCACCAUUGUCCCAUAUGCAGUCUUUUGCCAAGAACAAAUAAAAGAAGGAAGAAUGAACAGAGAAUGGAUUUCAGUUAAAUUCAACGAUCAUUCCAAUUGAUUUUCCUUAGUGAAUGUAUAAAUCAUGAACUGUGUCAGAAUGUAAUCUUUAUAGUGCAGAGAUCAAUUAGAAUGAAGGCAAAUAUAAAAGGCUGAAUGGAAAUUUAAGUUAAAAAAUGUUAUGAAAACAUGGCUAGCAAAGAGAAAUGAACCUUAAGAAUUGAAGAAAAAAAGUACCAUUUUUGACUGUGUCCUUAUAGGUCCAAUGCCAUUGAAUAAACCAAAGUACCAUACACCAGGAGAAAUCUGUAGAAAAACUUUGCAAUUUAGACAAAUGGUAAUAGGGACUAUAACGUUAAAAAAUGAAAAGUACAUUAGACUAUUUACACAAUAGCCUGGAUAUUCAACAAACCCUGUCUAACUCUGUUACCUACAAGACACCUUCAUAUACCAAGACAUAAAAAACAUAUUUUCUGGGUAUGAGUACCAUAUUGAUACACAAUCAAAGAGAAAAAGGAAAGUAUAUACACAAUAUUGGAAUAGAAACGGGAGAGUGUCCAAAUAUUUAUCAAUGCGCUCUCUGAUUAUACGUAGCAAGUUUAUGCCUUGUAGAUUUAGAAGAACUAAGAUUAAACCUGCUCAUUUGUCAAUCUCAGAGAUAUUAUCUUCUGCAUAGGGUAGCACUGCUCAACAAUCUGAAGACCUUGUAUUCCUCCAAUAGAAUCAUUCGAGACAUAAUCGAACACUGUGGAAGAUAAUAUUAUAACCUUGAGGAGAAUUGACAAUAGUUGUGUCAAUCAGAAGACAAACUGCUAUAUUGCAGUUAUCAUAAGUAAUAUGAAUACAAAAAACACUGGACAUCAGGAAUAUAGCAUGUAGAAAGAAAUGAAACUUGAAGUCCAUCUGAAAAUUGAAAGGCGUCAAAUAACCUCAUAAAUGGAUGUUGUGAAAGGUCCAUGUGAAUGAUUUUACCAUCUUCAGAAUUUGCAAAGUAAUAAUGAUGCCAGGUGUACAAAAUUUAGUAAUCCAUUAGUAGGGUGUUGGGGAUGUAUGUAUUGGGUACCAAAACUGGAAAAAGAUGAUACUCCAAUACCAGGAGACAAUAAAAUCUUUCACCAGGGGCAUCAUUUUAAGAAAGAUACAAAGCAAGCAUGCAGCUGGCUUCUAGUUUAUGCAAGGUAUUCACCAAGCUACAGCAAAGUAAAUCAAAUAAGAACAAAGGAGGCAAUCUAGUUUAUUGUGCAAAAAGUGUAACUGACGAACACUGACCAAAGCAUGUACAUGAAUGUGCCCUUUGAAGAAAAGUAUUGCUUAAAAGCUAGUCCUCACAUACAAAAUAAUAGUAAAAUAGUUGCUCUCUGUUAGAAUAUGCUUGUAAAUCAAAACUUUACCUAGACCAGUUAGAGAAGUAUUAUAGAAUAUGCUUGUAAAAUCAAAACUUUACCUAGACCAGUUAGAGAAGUAUUAUAAACAUCAGGCAGGGGGGGGCUCCCUUCACGGAAGCAAAUCAUUGGAAGAUUGCUUGUUGAGGCUUCUCUAAUGUUCCUCAGAUCCUGCGAAUACUUAGAUUCACAUAUUUGGACAUGCCACAAGAUUCAAGACACCAGAAGAAAAAGCAUUUGAAGGAAAAGCCUGUCGUAUUUAAGUAGAAAAUACAAAACGCAAGACAUAAUAAAACUUGGAUUCAAGCACAACAGAAAUAUUAACACGCUUACACUACUAAAAAGCCUUAAAUAGCACACUUACAAGGUCUACAUCUGAUUCUAAAUUUAUUGACAUCGAAGAGAACCAUGGCGGCAAAUUCACUGCAAGAAAUCCCAGAAAUUAAAACUGACCAGAGGUAACAUGAACAAGUAAACACAUUCUUUCAAGUACAAUAUAUUAUUCCUUUCUGACUUCUCAAAAUGCAAGUAUUCAUGCUGCAUUUUAGAGAGUGCAAGCAAAUAAGAAUGGAGCAAAAUGAUUCACAAAAAGUUAAUUCCACACACUCUAAUUGAAAUAAGUAGACAAUUAGGAAUCCUAAGUUUAAUGCUAAUCUGCAAGUAAGGGUAUUAGUUUGGAGGACUAAAACGCUACAAAUCCCGUCUUGGAGAAAAUCAAAAGAAUAAGCACGAAUUGUUCUGAUGUCACCGAUAAUCCAAUAUUCAUACCUAACAUGGCAUAAAACAACUGACAACUCUUCUUACAUCAGUGUUCUGACUCCUAAUCAUUUAGACAAUCAAACUGGGCUUAUCAAUAUGAAACUUAUAAGUUAGCCUUUUAAGUUUCAGACAAAAUGUAACUCCUAGUAAAAUAUCAAUCAUAAAGAGAAUUUUGGCAGCCAAAACGGAUGAGUCAUCAUCCAAAACUACCUCUUUUAAUCAGGCGCAUUCUAGUAGAGAAAGCAACCAGCUAACUUAACCCGAGUGACCAAUCUAAAGACACCCUAUACAAAAACAUGAAGCCUUGGUAUUGAAAAUCGCUACUUUAUACAAUUUCCAACCUCUGCUGUCAUAAAAUUAAGUGGAGAAGCGAGAUUUAAAAGUCAAAAAACAGAGGCAGCAGAAUGUUUAAACAGCAAUUGGUAUAAAACCCAAAACCACGCCUACGCAGUCCAGUCAAAAAAAAAUUAUUAAUCAGCAAACAACAUCAGAAAAAUGAUUGAAACUUCGAAGACAAUCCUCCAAGCCUAAUAAUCAGUGAUGCUCAAAACUAAUAAACCAAAGCAAAAAGAUCAAAACUUUUACCUCAGCCCACCAAGCCUGACAAUUGAUAAUUCUAAAACAACAGGAUAAAACAGAAAACAAUCUAAGUUCAGCGAAAAUAAUGAUCAAAUUGUUACCUUUAAUAUACCGCCAAUCGUAAGGUUUAAGUCUAGUUUGAGCAUAAGUAAAGCUGGAAAUAGUGAAAGUAGAAUUAAAACCAUCAUCACGUCCUCCUCCACCAUCAUCACCAGCUGGUAUUUGUCCAAACUGAAAACAGUGAACUCCAGUACAAAUAAGAGCGUAUCCUAUAAAGAAGGGACACAACAGAUUCCGACAAGAAGAACCCAGAAUCCAAAUUUUGCCCAUGUUGUAUUUCUCUUUCUUUUUUGAUGAUUCUCGGUACAGAAUCAGAGUGUAAUGUGACUACCGAAUGUUAAGCAAAUUGGGUUUUUUAUUACAUUAUCUUAUGUCUGUGCCUAUUGAAAAACAAAAGAAAAAAAAAGUUUCCUCUCAAGGUAUGAUGGGGGUGAUAGGUUAUAUAAGCAUGUUUAUAAUUCUAAUUAAUAAGAAAUUCUAUAGUUUGGUGGGAUGUUUGCAUGUAUGUGGAUCUGUGGGUUGACUGAUGCUUUUUGCUUUGGCCAGGUCUUCUUUGUAAACUAAAAUAAAAUAACAAGGGGUGCACUCACGCGCUUGGGAUGGUAUAGUACGAGGAGCUUGUCCUGAGGUUUGGGAUACUUGCGAAUACAGUAGUGUGAUAUUGCGUUUCAAUAAUGACAUUGAACUGUGUUGGUGGAUCAACGUAAUUCUGAAUUUAAAAUGAUGCUCUAAGUUGUGUAAAUUGUGUUCUGUAUUAACAGGUGAUUUGUAAAAACGUAAUUCUAAUCUUAAAGGUAUGCUCUAAAUCGAUUUAGAAGAUGAUAGGAGUCGAAUUCAUCUAAAUUUUUAUUUUAUAAAAAAAAUGUAAUUGAGUGUGAUUAAUGACCAAUUAAUUAUUUUGAUUAGUAAAGGGCACAAAAAAAAAAAAGCAUUUAUUCUAGAAUGUACUGACUGGUGUAAAAGAGCGUGUCAUAUUUGGUCAAGAAUUCAAUGCAGAGGAAUAUGUACAUCAGUAUCCCAAUGUGAUAAAAUCCACUAAGUCUUGUUCACAUUAUUCGGUCUAUAAUUCAAUACUAGUUACUAUGUAUAUUAACAGAGUAGUGUAUUGCAUGUAUCUACUUAUGUCAUGAUGAGUCAAUGUACUUGAAUUGUUGAAAAUGUGGGUUAAAUGCAUCUAUACCAUGCAAAUUCCAAAAAUUAACAACUUUUCCCUGGGUGGUUUAUUACUAUAAUCCAAACCUCAAUUGCAAUAUCUUGCUCAUUAAUCCUAUGUUGGAAUUGGAUGUGUUUCUUCUUAAUUUUAACAAUAUAGGUUAAAUUAUAUUUGGCGGGUGCAACUUUUUUUUUUUUUUAGUAGGGAAACUCAUUCUCCUCAAUAUGGCUGUGAGAACCCGUUUUGCCCUAAUAUUUUCCUAGGGUUUAUUUUCCCCUUAAUUGCAUGUUUUCUGCAUUUUCUGGCUUAGAAAUAUUUUCUUAGUGGAUUUUAUGAGUAAUUAUAGUUUUUAGAUGAUUUUUCUAGCAUUGGUGAAUGUUUAGAAAAGUAAGAAUCUAUAUUGGACGUGGGACCCACUAGUGCGAAAAAUUCGGAAAAAUUCGGCCAAUAAGGUUAAGUUUCGGAUACUGUGAAAAAUUUAUCGGGUGUUAAGAGAUAAGUAGUGUGUGUGAAGUGAUUGAUGUGAGAGAGAAAAGAAUGAUAAGAAUGCAUUUAAUGAGGUGACAAGUGUCACAUAAGUAUUGGUUUGACCUUAAGAAAUACUAUUCACCUUUUGACAAAUUUUUGACUUUUGACCCAACUAGUAAAUAUCUUCAAAAAAAUUCACUAAAAUUCCCUCAUUUUUCUCUCCACCAUAGCCGGCUCUCUCAAGCUCCAAGGAAGACACAACUCUUCAACAUUCAAGCUUCUAACAAGUCCAAAUCCACCAAAUCAAGUGCUUAAGUUAGUUCUACUCCAUAAAAACUUUCCUUCUAGUGCUAGUUAGUUGUUUGGUGAACUUUGUUUGAAGGACUAAGGUGUUCAACAUCCCUCUCUCUCUUGGUCCUUGGUAAGUGAAGCUUGAAACACCCCUACACCUAAUGAUGCUUAUGUUGUGCUUACUAGUGAUAAGAGUGUUGAAAUUUCUGGUUUUAUCUUGGUUGGAAUUGAUUUGGUGAAGUUUUCCAUUUUAUGAUGAUUUUUCUGGUUUAAUUGGAUUAUGAUGGUGUGGUUGUUUGUGAUGAUUGGCAAUGGACUAUAAUGGCUCUAGUGGAUGUGAAAUGUGGUUAAAUGCAAUCAAUUUUGGAUUUGGUGUGAAAUUGAAAAGUUAGGGUUCUUAAUUUCCCAAUUCUGUCCGGUUUUAGAUCACUAGGUUAGAGGCCGAAUUUGACUUUGCUUAAAACAUGAAAGUUGUAGGUAUUGAUGUGAUGGAGAUACCUGUAAAAUUUCAGGGCAUUUGGAUUAGUGUGGAGUGAGUUAUGACGAAAUUACUGUAGCUGUUCUGCUUUGGACAGAAUGCGAAAACUGCGAUAGUAAUUGGCUAUUUUGACUGGAAUUGGUUUGGAUUUUGGAGUUGGUGUCUUCUGAUGAAAUGUAGCUGGAUGACUUAGCUAACAUAUGCCUUUGGAAUUUCGGCAAUUGGACUUGUAUGGACUGAGAUAUACUGAUUACAGUUUUUGGUGAUUUGCAAACCUGUUUUGGUAAUUCUGGUAUAGUAUUUGGCACUUUCGACCUAGUUAAGCUAGGAACUGGAUUGAGUGACCUUCUACAUUGUUGUAGCCCUGUUUCAUAGCUUCGAAAUGGUGGGUCUUACACCCCCAACCGAUAAUUGUAGUGAGAGUUGCGCCAUUACCGCAUUAUACGCUCAAACACGGUUUUUCUAUCAAGGCUUAAGUUAAGGCCAUAUUUUAAUUUCUGGUUUGCUAUCAUGCCUACUUAUGCAUAUGAAACCCUAUUGGGGUUGUGUUUAGCAUUGUUUGGUGACUCGUUCUCGAGUCUCAUUGUAUGUGUUACAUGUUCUAGGGCUUGAAGGUAGUGCUCGACGGCUUGGUGAUCGUGGUACAUGAAAAAACCACUUACUUGCGUGGUGAGUAUACUACUCACUUAAUUGUUACUAUGUGGCUUUGCUAAAUGUAUAUGUGAUGCCUUGAAGGCUUACUUGGAUAUUGGAAUUGAUUAAGGUGAGGGUGUACUUGACCGCCCUCACCCCUUUUGAUAGUAUCACUGAUUGGCUACCGUUUUACUGCAUUACUGAACUUGAUAUACUGGAUACUGAAUUCCAUUCUUGGAAACUGAUUUGGUGUCAUUUGGGCGAAUGUCCAAUGGCUUCACUGUAUUACUGAGCUCAACCCCGUUUGGUAGUCAAUUGGAUCGAGCCGGCGAGGGCUUGGUCGUGAAAAUUGUCAUGCCACGGGGACUGUACUGAGGAACCUUGUGGUAAUGAGACCUUUGGUUCCGGUAUACUCGAGUAUUACCAAAAUGACUGAAUGGAGUGCGGGCCCGGUUGGGGUAUGUUGGGUGGAAGGAAUGGAAGUGAAGUGAGGUCUACGGUUUGGUACUUUUAACAUUGACGGAGGGUCAAUGAGUGUGGAUCAAGAAUGUAAGCGUGGAAAUGGGCUCUUGAGAGCCGACCGUAUCCUUUCACUGAAUUGCUUACUUCGAAAUUGCAUACUUGAAUUGAAUGGUUAUGCUUAUGUGAUCUUAACUGCUAUUGUGAUAGUUGCUCACUGAGCUUUAGCUCACUCUGUUCCAUUUGUUUUCCUUACAGGAAAAUGAAUACUUUUGGAAAAGGUUGUAAUAGUUGAAUGACAAGUUGAGCUCAUGUACAUGUAUUUUGAAUAGCUCCUUGAGGGUGAAACCCUAUGUGUUUUGUUUCACCAAUGUUUGGUGUGUAAAUGGCUAUUGUAUGUGAAUGAACUAAAUGGAUCUCUUGGUAUGCCAUUUUGGCUUGACAAAUGUUGGAUUUCCAUGUAUAUAUGUUAAGUUGAUGUUUGGAUGAACUUUUGAACGUUUCGGCUUUCAAACGGCAAAAGAAAAAUUUUUGACGGAAAGGCACUGGACUGAAUCCGGCCAGGAAUCCGGCCAGAAACUGGCCGGAUUGUCGGCCGGAUUGCUUGGAAAAUUUUGAAUCCGUGAAGUUGCUCACUGGACAGUAUCCGGCCAAGAAUCCGGCCGCUAAUCCGGCCAGAUUCCGGCCGGAUUUUGCUGUCCAGGUUACUAUUCAGUUUUUUCGUUUUUUUUUAUUUUGUUAUUUUGAUACUUGUGACCUGUCCGAGCGCACUUUUGCAUUCCCGAAACGUAUUAGAACGCGUGUAACUGCUCCGUAGUCCUGGCGAGAGCUGGGCAGACAGUCCGCUAACCCCUUUGGUUCGCCUUAGGGGAAAGUGGGGCUGUUACAAUGGCCCCGUUUGACAAAUAAGUUUUUUGGGUGUUUGUCUAAAAUUUUACUGUAACUCACUGUAGAAAUUUUUAAAAAAUUGUUUGAAGUGUGUAAAUUUUUGAAUAUUUUGAAGUGUAUAGUUUAAAAAUUUUGAGAAGUUUUUUGAGAUUACUAUAGCUAAAGUUUUUAAAAAACUUGUAACAGAUAAACUUGGCAAAAAACUCAAGUGCCAAACAGAGGUAUGGUUUUAGAAAGGGAAAACGACCAAAAUGGUCCUUUAUAUUAAAAAAAAAUUUUGGUCCCCCACAUUUAAAAUAAUGUAAAAUAAUCUAUCAUAUAUAGCAAAUCGUAUCAAUUUGGACCCCGAUUCUAACUAUCACCAAAUUUUCAAUAAAAAGAAAAAGUGCACACUCAAGUCGCAUGCUCAUGUUUUCAAUGACAAAAAAGGAAUAAAAGUAACGUUCUCUUGUAAAAAAAGCCUCCCCACCCUCGCUUCUAUGAGGGAAAGAGGUUUUUUUUCAAGGAAAAUAUUGUUAUUCUUAUUCAUUUUAUUCCUAAAAGUACAAACGUGUGAUUUGGACAUACAAUUUCUAGCCAAAAUUUUGGUCGAGAAUAGAUUGUGGAACCAAAUUAAUACAUUUGUGAUUUGUUAUAUGUGAAGGACAAUUUGUGCACCAUUUAAAAUGUGAUAGACCGGAAUAGUUUUUUUUUUUUUUUUGCUUCCAAGCACCAAACUAGUUAUAAGCUUUUUUUGAAACGGAUUGUUGUUCAGCAUAGAAUAAUAAGAGUACACAAUCAAAUUGUUUGUAAAUAUGAGGACUUAAUCAAAAUUUAUUAAGUUCUGAACAGUGACAUGGAAGAUAAAAUCUAUCAAAGAAAGUGAGUAGACUUGUUUCGAUAAAACCUUAGAACUAUUUGUUUGCAAAGAGUUUUAUCUUAAUAUAUAUAUUGUCCUUGGCAUCAUUCACCUCUUUGUUUUCCCAUUUUUUUUUCCUUCUCUUGUUUAGUUUGUAGCAUAUCGGGCUGCUUUUCAGAACUCUGCAAACUUGCAAAAUACAAUUCAAAAUUUUUUGCCCCGUACGUUCAAUAUAUUCUACUAAAGUAGGAUUCAUUAUUAUUUAACUUUUUUUUUUAUCAAUUGUCAUCCCUACUUCUACUCCUACUCCUACUAGGAAGAGGCUCAACUGAACUUACGGGAGACCGAUAGGGACAGAAUCUGAAUUUGAAGAAGAACCACAAGAGUGGCAUUUUGGUGGGAGGUUUAAACCCUUGCCUCCCACCCCACCAAAGCUCUACUCCUACUCCUACUAGGAAGAGGCUCAACUGAACUUACGGGAGACCGAUAGGGACAGAAUCUGAAUUUGAAGAAGAACCACAAGAGUGGCAUUUUGGUGGGAGGUUUAAACCCUUGCCUCCCACCCCACCAAAGCCUUAAGGGCUCGGUGGUGGCCACCAGCCCAAGAGCUGGUGGUUAACAGCAACGUUGUCUUUUAUCAGUUUUGUCAAUUGACUUUUGCUGAUUAAAUAAACCUAAUCCCAGAACUAACCUCAAAAGCCGGCAACUCUUGAGGCAGUCCCAGGGACUUAUCUACCCAACUAACCCAACCCCCAACCCCGAUGUGGGACUAGAAUACCCUGAGAAACUCUGCUACUAGAAGUGUACUAACCCCCAAGUUAUCUACCCAACAGCAACGUUGUCUUUUAGCCCGAAAUUGCUUGCUUUAUGGUGUCUGGUUGUCAACUCAUAAGUUUCUCUGGAGUACGUGUGUCUACCUAAGUCACAAGAUCACAAUUCAACAUGCCUAACUUCAAUAAAGCAACAAAAAAACACGCAAGAAAACGUAGCUAAGUUCAAAAAAGCAACAAAAUUAUGCAAGAAAACGUGUAAACAAAUUGAUCAUCACAAUCGGCCAAGUUUGAACAGCCUACUUUUAUAUUCCAUAACUUUUAAAAUCGAUCAAAAUCUAGUUCAAAUUCGAUUUAACAAAUGAACCAGUUUAAGUUUGAAUAAAAUUUUAAACUAAUUAAAAUAAUCAAAUAAGUUUGAGAACAUAUGUUAUGGUGUUCGUUUUGAUUAGAUUCAUUUACGCCCUGUAUAGGUAAUAUUUUGAGCUGCCUAUUAAGCAAUUUUGCUAGGUUCCCUCGUCUUCUCCGUCACCGUUUAGACGAUAAAUUACAAUGACAAGAGCAAUGGGGAAAGCCUCGAACUGGUGAAACGGUAUGCUGAGGGGGGCUAGUUUCAUACACAGAAAUAGCAUCUGGUUCAAACUGCUCCACCAGAUAAUUUACCGAUAAACUGCAACCGGAAAAUGGAAAACCAUAUACUCCCGCUCAUGAGGAUUGGAGAGAUGAUCAUUACAAGUGUGAAUGUAAUACUAAGAUUCAAAGAGACAAUGAGUACGAGAAGUACGAUGUUGAGAAGCAGAGGGAUGCAUGUGGACAUCAACCUUGUGUCUGCCCAUGACGACGCUGCUUUUGCCCGUAUACAUAUACGGUGUCGUACGUGGUCGUGGAGGCCGACCUCCAUCAAGCCCUCCAAGUACGAUGCCUACUUUUCUUCAUUACAGUAAUAUGUACUGUCUAUUUUUAAGUACAUUGCAUGCGUAUAUAUAUAUAUAUAUUGGAACGGUGAGUUGGUAGAAACUAGAAAGCAGACGAGGCAGUGGCCACGGAGAGAAAGAAACAGAUCGCUAGAGCUGUAGCCGUAAAUGCCGCAAUAAUUAAGAAGAUCAAAGGCUCGUUUGGUUCGUUCAGCAAUUUCUUUCUCAGGUUACAGACGCUUGCUUUCAAGAAGGUUUGAUCUUCUCCCCUUCUUUGUUCUUUCCUUUUCCUCAGAAAAACGGAAAACAAAAGAAAAAGACUUUUGGUCGUUGACCAUGGUCUUGAAAUCUUACAUGCCUCUUAGAAGACUUUUGGGAGAUGGUAUCGAAGGGUUGUAUCCCCUAGAUUUAUACAUAGUCCUUAGAAUUGGGUCACAAUGGCCCUCCAUUAUGUCAAAAGAAAGUAGUACAAAAAAGAAAAAUAUAUAAAAGGGCACUGCCAAAUUCUUAAAAGCGUGAAAUAUAUUCAUCUAAUCAAAACUGGAUUUAGCACGCCUUCUUUUGCCCCAUGAAGGCGUGCAGCGGUGUCUCGCUACGUCAUGAGUUAAGACUCGCGCCUUCACUACUCAUCGGGUCAGGCGAUGUGAAAGGAUUGAAGCAAAUCCCAGAUGGGUCAACAGCUGCAGUUAAACAACAAACAGUAAUGACAAGGAAACUUCAACAUUCCCAUCAAGAAUUAAAACCAACUCCCCUUCAGGUAAGUACUACUAACUUAAUUACUAUCUGAACUUGGUGGAUAUACAAUACAAUUAAUCAGCACCAAGAGGAAGUGAUGAACUUAAUUUAUUUUCUCAUGCCAACUACAUGCAAUGGACAAUGAUGGAUGUGGACUUAUUCAUUUACCUGAACAUCAAGGAACAUUCAACAAUGAAUACUUUCAAGAGACAGAGGAAGCCAACAAGUUUAGGCAGGACUGCGAAAUGCGGAGAAUGAGACGGGCAUGCAUGUUUGCCCUGUCCAUCGGUGUCUUGUUUUAAUUAAGUACGCUGCAUUCUGGUUUUUUCUGUCAAAUGCAAAAAUUUGCUGUUUUCGAUUUGCAAAAUUUAUGUCAUCUUAAGAAGGAUAGUUUGGAUUCUAGAUUGGUUGGGUUCUGAAAUUUUGACCGCAUGCAUUCGGGAUCAAGGUUUGGAUGUUAUAGCGGAAGGAUUGGAUAGAGUAAAGAACAUGGCCCCUGAUAUGAAUGAGGUUCAGUUCCUUUUCUUUCUCUUAUUUCUUCAGAAAGUCUAGUUCUCUGUAGCAAGUGCCGUUUUGUUCCUAUACUGCGUCAUCUUGCUGCUUCUUCACCCUAAAUUAUCUGCAGGAGUUGGAUAGACAAACAAUAUUGUUGGAUGAGAUAGGUGACAAGGUAACCUGCCAUAUAGUAAAAUUUUAGCCUGCCAUUCUCAGAAAAUCUAGAUAUACAGUUUCUCCUAUAUAUGGCCGUUGCAUUUUAUCCUAUGGUUAGCGAAAUCGAACUCAUACAUGCUUGGAGGCACUUGCAUUGCCCGGUAUUGAAGUCGUAAGUUGAACUGCUAUUAAUUAAUCAAAAACUUCAAAGUUACCUAUUAGCAGUGCUUCUCAUGAGGCACUGCUUUAUUAAACCUUCACUAAAACUUACCAAAUGAUAAAUUCCAGGUUGGCAGGGCAACCUCAGACCUUAGAAACACUAACUAAUGUCAAGCUCAAGGAUACGGUGACACGGGUAUAUUGAUUACCGUUUGAGGCCAAAAUAGAACUAUUAGCUACUUUUUGUGUUUCACUGCAAUUGUUCAUAUUGUCGAAAGCGCUUUUAUGUCUCAGCUAAGAUCGAGUCGCAAGUGCUGCAUCGACAUCAUCCUCGUGUGCAUAGUUUUGGGCAUAUCUUUGCAAGUACCCUUUUAGUCCCCCAUUCUUUUCCAUGUUCUAUUAACACGAGUAAUUAGAGCAUUACUUCCAUUAGAUGAUGCAGUUUUUGUCUGAAACUAUCUUUCUUGCGGGCUUAUCUUUGGGCAAUAUGGGCAUUUACGCGCCUUUGCAGUUUGCUCUCCAGCCCUCCCCUAAAAAUCCUUCCCCUUUGGAAAGCAAAAAUUUUCCCUAAAGGAUUCAUGCAUGCAUAUUACUAGCAUCAGAUAUGCAUCAGAAUACUAAGAAAUGUAUUAUCCUUUCUCUUUCUUUUUUCUCCCCUUAAAUAUGCCUUGUUUGGUUGCUUUAGGGUCCCUUCUCUUUUUUUGCAGUGUGCUCAAGUGAGAUUCUGAUUCUCUUGGCUGUUUGUGGCUUCUGUGAAGCUCAGCUCCUGGCUUCCUGUUUCUCAAAAGUCCUCCAAGAUUCAAUUCAGUUCCUAUUAUUGUAUUAACAAAGCAUGGGAAUUAGUAUCUGCACAUAAAAUAGGGAUAAUUUCAGAAACCUCCCUGAGGUUUCAAACAAUUUCAGUACAUACCCCUAAGAUUUGAAUAAUUACACUUACCUCCGCUAGAGUUAUGAAAAGACAUUCUUGCCCUUAUCCAAUACUAUUUAUUUUUAAACCUAAAACUUAAAAUACCAAAAAAAAAAAAAAGGAAAUUUGAAGCAAUCAACACAAAACGAUUCAUAGUUUUGCCCUCUUGCACUAACCUCACAUUACAUUCCUCUUCGACAACACCCCUUGGGAAACUCUAUUCCACAGCUCAUAACCCUCCUAAAUUAGUUUCAUCCUUUAAAUUAGUUGAUGAAAUCUAUCUCUUUUGCAAAUUAUUUAUUGGCUAUGACUGAUUUCAGUAAAGAAGAGAAGUAAAUUAAUUUGCAAGAUGUUGCAGUUCCGAAGGUUACCUUUUGUCAUUGAUGCUAGACAAAAGUUCUUGGAUUGGGCCUUAAAAUUGAGAUUGUCAAGCUCCUGUAGGACAUUACUUGAGAUCAUAUUUGGAAGCUUUAUUUCUGUGCAUUGAUUUUGAAAUUGGAAGCAACCGUUGUUUAGAGGCAAAAGGGAAUGUAGAUUGUUCUUUGCUAGUAAAAAAGGGGCGGUGGGAUCAGUGAAAAUUAUACCCAAAAAAGAAGAAAAAAGCAAGCAAGCAAGCAGAAGUGAUGUUGGGAAACAAUGGUUGUUAGUAUUGAAAGAGUAGUUUAGGGUAAUCAAUGAACUAUUUUGGGCAAAUGAUGAGUUUUGUUAGCAUUAGAUUUGUCAUCCAUCAACUGCCUCAGUACUCUUCCAGUACUUAGUCUUUUGCGAAUUCAUAAACAGUGACAAACUGCUCCCUUGGAUAAUAUUCUUCAUAAUUUCUUGAACGUUUUAGACUCCAAAGGCAUUUUUCGCUGCUCAUUCAUUUAUUUAGAAUCAUAAUUUGCGUAUAUAAAAUUUUCGGGGAUUUUACCUACCGCUAGAUAUAAAUUGUUAAGUAAAUAGACACGCACUAAACCAAUUGUAUGUUUACAUUACACUAACAAAAUAGUACCUUUAAUGAUAUGAGUAAAUAUUAUAUAUACUGACGAUAUAUACACUUUCAAAAUAUUGAGAGUAACUAUUAAGAUUAUUCAACUAUACAUUAUCGAUUCUCACAAAUUCCGGCGGACACGAUUUUGAUUUGAUUCUUCAACUGGUAACUCAAUUUUAGUAUUGUAAUUGUAGUUUCUAAAAAUAGCCUGAAUCUAAGACAAAAGUAGUAAUUUUUUUUUCCCAAAAAAAAAAAAAAAAGUACGAGUAACGUUGUGGGAGGAGCAUAGAUGUAUGUCAUAACAAAACGAGGUGAUGAGCUUUGUACUCUUUGCCAUGCAUCAGCAGGUGACUGAGUUAACUUUCCGCUGAGCUGAACGAAGUGUUGAGGUUUGACCACGUAGCUAGUCAGAUUCAUUUAUUAACGACAUUGACUUUUUUCCUCAAUUCUAAGAGCAAAAUCCCUUUUGAAUCUUAUACUAAUUGAUUCCCAGUUGUAAUUAAUGAGGUAACCUUCUGAUUGUGCGUAUUAACUAUUCUCAGUGGUACAGAAUGUAGCAGGGCCAAAAAAAAAACAAUUGGAAUAAUUAAUGUAUCACUUUUUAUGAUGUGAUGUAUGUGAGAUAAAAAAAUGAUUGAGAAUAAUAAAAGGUGGAUUGAAAAAUGUGUUUAUAAUGCAAGUGAAAUAUUAUUUGAAAAAAUGAAAUAUCCAAAUAAAAAAGCUUAUUUCUGUGUACUUACGUCAUUUCCCAAUGCAUAUCAAAAUUUUAUUAGUUUAUCUCACAUGCCAAAAUAUAUAAUCUAAUUUAGUGUAGAUAUAAAUAAUACAACUCAGGAAUUAUUAAUACAUUCUUAGCAUGGUAGAACAUAUCAAUAUCUAAUAGUAAACCCAAAUAACAGUAAAAAGUGAAAUUUUCAAAAUUGAAUAUAGCAGUAAAAAGAAUUACAGUACCGCACGAGAGCGGCGUCAGUGAAAAAGGCAACUGCUGCAAUAGAUUAAGUUGGAACUGCAAGCAGGGUUCACCCACAGCACAGACAAGAAAAUCCCAAGUCACGAAGGACGCUAUUCUCACCCACGUUGCACACCCUACUCUACCCCCAUCCAACAACAACACGUCACUACCCAUAACUCUUUUUUUUUUUAAUAUAUAAUUAAUUAAAAAAAAGUUCAUCAAAACACAACAACAAUAAUUAGUAAAACCAUCAAUACCCAAAGUCUAAAAUCUUCCCAUGAGUUUUAAAAAAAAAAAAAAUUAAAAGCAUUAAAAGAAAAGAGAGAGAGAGAAAAAAAAAAGAGAGAACGAUAAUCCAUAAGUAAGUUACAUAUAACACACAACACAAAGACCUAACACACAAACUUGCUAUGCUAUUUUUCUGCUGCUGGGUAUGUAGCAGCAUAUUAUUCCUCUCACUCACAUUAGAGACUUCAAAGACCUAGCCUUAAUCGGCUUCCGGGCUCUCUUCCUUCCCAUUUCUCCAUUUUCGUCAUCAUCAAGUUUGCUGUAGUUAUCGUAAUCGUCUUCAUCAUCAUCCUCAACAUAGUCGAGUACUUGCUUAUGAAAUUGAGAGGUAAAAGGGGAGGAUUUAACGCUAGGCUCAGGAGUAUUAGGCCCCUCAGCUGCAUCAACCUCGAUAAUGCUGCUGUUGUUGUUUCUACUUGAUGUAUUCUCACUGCUACUAUCGUGACUCGUAUAGGGUUCUUCUUUCAUAGCAGCAACAGUAGCAGCAGCAGCAGCAGCACCUCUUUUCUUCCCCCACCGAGGUCCGAACCCCGAAUAGUAGUAAAACUCGUAAGGAUUCGACGAUGAUGCUGGUUUCUUGGGUCGAGCCCGGCGGCCACUCUCGGAUUUUUUCACCGAAGCCGAAGGUUGAGGAGCUAAGUGUCUCUGGCAAAAGGGUUGCUCGUUUUUCACCUUUUUCCUGCGUUGCCAGCCCUUUCCGUCGAUCUUGCAGUCGAAAACCUCAUCCUCUUCUUCUUUCUUCGACCUUAAUGAUUCCUUUUGCUCAAACUUGCCCCCGGCCGCGAUAUCGUCCAGUUUCACCUUGGGCCCAGGUCUGAGAAUAUAAUUCACGAAAACCCCACCGAUGAAAACGCGACCAAAACGCUCGAGUUGAGUUUGAAAUUUUCAAUCAUCAAAGCUAAAAUUUACGCUAUUUGGAAAUAUUGCAGAUUUGGCAUCGGACAACGGAAACCCUAAUUAUUCCUUCCUUAGCAAAACGAAAAAUGCUAAAACAAUCUCCAAAAUUAAUUCGAAUUCGUAAAAGGGCAUAAAACUAACCUCUGGUCAGCUGCAAUGUGAUCCGAGAAGAACCCAUUUGGAAAAUAGCUGUGAUCUUUAUCGACCUGCCAAGGCAUUAAAAAGAAAAUGCGAAAGCAUGUAUCAGCUCGGAAUAAAAAGCAACAAGCAGAAGAUCCGCAAGACAAAUUUACUAUCUAAACCUUAAGAAACGAGAGAAAUGGUGGGAUUUACUGUUUCAAAAACAACCCUAACGGAAGUUUUGGAGAAAACCCUAGACCCAGAAGGCAAGGCAAGGAGAAAAAAAAAAAAAAGUAAAAAUGUAGAAAAGAAUAGAGAGGGCUGCUGUUUUGGAUCUGCGGCGUGUGAUUAUUGGAGUGGAAUAUGGUAAGAAGGAGAGAUUCAGAAACUAACCAGAAAGGCGGGAGGUGGAGGAAGCGUAGAUGGGUCUGGUGGAGGGAAGGUCAUGACAUCCCAUGGCGACUGGUUGAGCUGGCAGACGUGGGUUUGGAUAACUGUGCCGGGUUUUAGAGACGAAGCAGCGUAUAAAAGAGGGGAAAUUUUUGCAUGUUUUCUGAUUCGCAUGGUCGAAGAUGUAGAGGAGGAAAUGAAAUGAGAAGGCUAAGGCUGAGGCUGGGGCUGGGGCUGGGAGGAGGGCAGUUUUAUUUCGUUUUGUUGUACUUUCUUUUUGGGGGAGAGAAAGAGAAGGGCGAGGGGAUAGAAACUAGAAAGAAAGAAAGAGGGCAACAAUAGUUAGCACACGACUAUUGUUUGGUUCUUUGUUUUUUGCAGGCCUUCUCUCCCUCUGCUCCACUCCAUCGAAGUAGAUCCAAAAAUCUAGUAUACAUUAAUGUAAUUAAUGUGUUUCUAUAAUUAUUAUUAUUAAUAGAUAAUUUUUUUAAAAAAUAUUUUUUGGGGGGUUUUCUUUUUAAAUACUAUGAAUGAUGAGACUUGCUUGGCCCUUGGCUCUGUGUGCGUGCUUGGUGUGGAGCGCAGAUGUUACAGAUGUGGGAGGAGAGAUUAAUUUGGAAUUGAUUUUUGGGUCCUUUAUCUGUUUGAUAUUUUCUCUUACUUUAGAGUUACAUCCCUGCAUUUUUUAGUAUUUGCAGAGGCUUCGUGGGAAGCUGAGAUGGAAGACAGAAGACAGGUCAAAGUUAGUUCCAACGGAAGUAUCUUUGCGGUACAUGUUACGUGGACUGGAUUGUGGGCUUUGGAAAUAUUUCUUUUUUUUUCAAUUAUGCCGUAUCCCUGAUUUUUUUUUAAUCAUUAAAAUUGAAAUUCGAUUUAGAAAACUUAAUCUUGAUUUCAAAUCCUUUAAGAGGUAAACCUUAACAAACAAAAAAAAAAAAAAAUUGGGCUGUUCUGUAAAUAAUAUCACUAGGUUGUGGAAAUAUUUAUGUUUGAUCUGUUGAGUGUAUGAUGAAAUCUUGCCAAUAUAUUGUCCAAUGACAAUAAUGUGAUUUUUGGAAAAUAAAUUUGUCAGGUAUGUUAUGUCCUGGCAUAUGACUUUUUACCUUACUCUAUCCUUCUAUCAUCAAAUUUAAGUACGCAUUAAGAACCACUUAGGUUCUAUUCGAAUUUGUAGCUAAAGAUAAUUUCUUUAAACUAAUUACAAUUGAAAAUUGAAAAGCUACCCUCUUUUUCUUAAAAGUUUUAGCACCAGAAUUUUGUAUCCUUUUCUCUUACAAAAAAAAAAAGAAGAAGAAAAGUGCACGCUUCUCUCCCUUCAAAAUAAUUAAAACGUACUUUCAAUGCUUGCUCUUAUUAAGCAUAUAGCACGUUAAAACAUCAUAUCCCGCUCUUAAAACACAGAAAAACCUACAAAUUAAGGAUGUAUAAGAUAACUUUUGCCUUUAUAUACAUCCGAAUUGACUCGCUUGCUAAUUUUGUACUUUUCUCGACUUUUAAUUUCAAUACUUUUUUUUUUCUGAAUCAUUUCAUACUUCUCUUUUACAAAGUGACCCUCCACUUUUGAGUUAUCUUUUAAUGUAGUGAAUGGCCAAUCUGGAACAACAUAUGCAACCAUACAUAUUUAUAUUUCACAAGAAUGUACGACAUAAAUGCAAGAAAAAUGGUUAUUCUACUUCCUUACAUUUUCUUACGAAAGUAAGAAUUUCGGUAAAUAAACCUAGAUCUCCAAGCAACCUUCAAAAGCCGACAACUUUUGAAGACGUCCAGGGACUUAUCUACCCAAACCCACACCCCCCAGUACCAAUGUGGGAUUGAAACCCCGACAAGGGCCAAAGCCUCCGACAAGGGUUAUUCUACUUGAAAGCCAUCUUUUUUGGGCACUUCAUAUCAAUGUACCUUAGGUUGCAUAAUCUAUAUAGCUACUCUAAAUUGACAAACUAAAGACACGUGGCAGUCAUAGAUUAUCAAAUCGAGGCAAUUUAUUACACUUUCUAUAUUUUAAAUUUGGAAGAUUAUAAUGUAAAGAAGCACCUAAAAAAGGGAAAAGGGAAAAAUUCAUGUCAUACAACCAAUCUAUUGAAUUAAAAGGAAAUAGUAAAAGUUUAUGUUUAAAAAUCGUUAGGAACACUUCAUAGAGAAACGGGAUUUGGAAGAUCAAGAAAGGCAGCACCCAAAUUAACACAGUAAACCUAAAACAACAUGGCUUAAAUAGGCAAAACAACUUUUUGAUUGUGCGAGAAAUCAUGUCCAGGAGAAGAACAAGACUUUCACAAGAUGGAGUCCUUGAAGCUUUAUACGAGGACAAUACUUUCCAUUAAUUAAUGUAGGGCAAAAAACUUGUGCGGCCCUUAAACUUUUUAUGUUUAUGUACUUUUGGCCCUUUAAUAAUUAUAUAUAUAUAUAUAUAUUUGCUCCCUAAUGUUACAUAUAUAACGUAAACAAAUAAUGUGACAUAUAUAAGAUGCAUAUAGAUAGGUCUCGAUAAGAAUUAUUAAAGGGAUUAAGCAUUUUAGUUCCAUAUCAAUUUGAUGUAGGCCAAUUCGAUCGCUCAAGUUUUAGAAAAAACUAAUAUAGUCCUUACAGUUUCAAUUUUGAUAUUUGUAGUCCCUCGAGUUUGCAAAAUAACAAUUUAGCGCCAUAUGUUUUGGAUUUCACUAAUUAAGUAUAAGACAUUUGACAGAUUUUCAAUCACUUUAUUAGGCUUUUGUCCAUUUAUAUCAAUUAUCAGAACUUAACACAUCGAGUACGUAGCAAAGGUUUUAAGUUCAGAUAUGAGGUACCAAAAGAUGGGAGAUUAACAUAGCAACCAUUUUACUAAUAAUACAACUUGAUUUCAAAGUAGAAUCGAUACCCCAUAUAUAUAAGUAUACAGGACUUUCGUUCUAGUUAUUAUUUUUCAUUAGAGGGGGACUCCAAAAUAUGACAGUACUAGUUUGCUAUCAUAACACAUAAUAUCACAUUGCACAUUUUCUUGUCAUCAAUUUGCAUCCAUGGUAUUUACUUUGAAUAGUUGGCCGCUUAAAGUUAUGAAAAAUAUUCAAAUAAUCUUUUACAGUAACUUUCAGAGUAUGAAGUAUCAACGAUAAAUCUCGCGUGCAAAAUCCAAAUAGACACUAAAGUUGGGGCAAAAUAUACAUAAUGGUUUUUCAAUUUCCAAAAUUGUAAAAGAAAGUCAAGUUAGUAGUACUUACUCGUCGGUUAAUCCCAUGUACAUAUCUUCUUUGUAGUACUUAUUAGUUACCCAAUGAAAAAGUUGGCGAACGUUCAAGAUGGUUAUUCCAAACAAUUUUACAGCAGCGCAGCUGUGGUAGUAGUAGUACUAAUUUAUUUGACGUCACAUAUUUCCGAAGCCGGUCACGUGACAAAAUGCGGAAUGUGGCGGCUUAACGCUGUAGCACCUUCUGGGCAAUCCGAGUAAAAAAUUUUUUUAAAAAAAAAGGAAAAAGAAAAAGAAAAUGCCUUUGAAUUCGCGCUUGUCUCCUCAUCCAUCGGUGGGGGCCAUAAACAUAAUCAAUUGGUCCCACCACCAGUUCCCCGUCUAAACCGUGCUGCCCCGCUUGCUUGCCAUAAACCAUUAAACUUAACACCAAAAGUCGUUAAGAUUUUUUAAACUAUUACUAGUAAAUACUAAAUACAGCUUCUUAAUUUCGCCGGUUUUAUUUGACCACUGGGACCCACACUAGAACCUAUACAUAUAUAUACCCCUCCUCAAGUCCUCUUACCCAAUGAAGUUGUCCUUGUUCGUCGUUUUCCUUCUAUGAUGUACAGUAUCUAGCCAGAACUAGAAGGAAGAGGAAGCCAAUUCGCUAGACGUGCCUAAAUCUUCGAGGACGAGGACGAGGACGAGGACAAGGAGGGAGAAGAAGAAGAAAAUGGCGAUGCAGGCGAAGAUGGAGAAAAUGGAGAUGCGUCAGCAGUAUCGGAACCAUUGGCACACCGAUCUCUUGAACGCCACUGCGGCAGAUCCUGUUUGUACGUUCGAAUUUUCUCUCUGUAUUUUCAUCGCAUUCUUAUGGUGUUUAAUUUCUCUUCCGGACUUGCAUUGUUUCGUUCUCGACGUAAAACCUCGUCGUUUUGGUUUAUCUCCGAACGGCUGACUUUCUGAUACAUGUGUUAAUCUUUUGCAGUUUGCUGUUUCGCGUUCUUCUGGUGAGUUCCAAAAUUCUCUAGUUCUUCGAUCCAUGCUUACUGGAGUGUUAUAAAUUUUUUUUUUUUUGGUUAUUGUUAUUUGUUUAUUAUCGCUGGUCAAUGUGAUGAAUGUUUUGGUUAGAAAUGUCUUGAAAAAUAGAAAACUUUUACGUCUUGCAUUUUCGUUUUCAUUUGUUGUUCUGCGAGGUAGUAAAGGAUGGAAAAGUAAAGGAAAUGUGGAUUGAAUCUUGAAUUCUUGCCUUUUAACAAGGAAAUAAAUGUAGGCGGAAAAUCUCAAAUUUUUUUUCUCAUGACAUUUGACACUGAAUAUUGGAUUGCACAGAAGACUUCACGAAUUUAAGAUUUAGCAAUAGUGACAGCUUGAAUUAGAAUUUAAACGAGAAGGUGAUUUUCUAGUAUGAAGCUAUAGAUCGGACGAUCAUUAUCUCAUUCCUUAGGUCUUCAGUAACCAUGAGAGUUUUCCGUUCUCGGUUUCUCAUUUCUUGUCUGUGCCGAUAUUGGGUGCAGUGAUAUGAUUCUGUAAGAUGUAAAUGGCUGUGAUAACAGUGUAUUGACUGGAACAACUUAGCGCCUAGCUUGUGAAGCUGGCUUAGCUUUUCAAGAUACUCGGGCACUGAGUGUGAUAAUUCAAUCACUCUAAAUUUCAGACUUUAGUUCUAAAAAACAAUAUUCUUAUUUUUUAGUUUUUUCUUUCAUACACAAAUUGGAAUUUCAAGUUCAGAACUUCGCUGCAAGUGGAUCUAACUGCUUCAUGUGUCGUUGAAAGGAGAUAACAUGCAUUCUUAUGUAUCUGCUGUACUUUGUCUAGACCAAAAUACAGAAGUGGAACAGUGAUUGGUGGAAAGACAUUUUAACAAAAGGGAAGUAUGUAACUGGAUGAGCAUUUAUUGGAAUCAAAUGAAAAUGAUUGUGUAAAUACUGUGUCAUGUGUAAUAGAAAUAAUAGCAAAGACUUGGGAUAAGAGUAUGGAGGCUUUUAUAAGUUAAGGGCGCAAAAAUAAAAUUUUCAAUGCUUCUGGUGCCUAUCCCUCCCCCUGAUACAUUCAUCCUCGAGGAUUUAUACAUGUUGUUAAGACGGCUACAUCUGUCUUCAGCAUCUGGUAGUAGUAUAAAUAAGCCAUGCCAAACUGAAUAUUUCAAGCACAUAGAAUACAAUCUUUUCAUAGGUUGGUAAAUUUUGUCUGCUGUAGGAUAAGCUGUUUUUCCUCAUAAUUUAUCAUUAAUUGUAGUUUGAAAAUGUAAAUACUCUCAUAGUUUCUAAGAUGGAGGUUAGAAUAGCAAUUAAGAACUAUUACCAACUCCCAUGAAGUUCUCAAGCUAUACAAAUAGUACUUUAUCCAUCCAAGGCAUGCCAUAAACUUCUAGAUGUGUAAGGUAUAUCAUGUCAAACAUAGAAGUGGAUUCUUGAAAUCUGUCUUUUGUUUUACCAUUUUCUAGAUAUUGGUUAAGUCUGUUAAUGCCUUAGCAUUUAGACCUGGCAGAUGUCUAAGCUGCUAGACUUGAGAAAGUGAAUGCAUUGUUGGAAAGUGGCAUACAAAAUCAUUAACUUUGUCCUGAUAGAUGAUGUCCUCAUUGUCACUUAAAGAAUUUAAGAACUAGAAUCUGUGGCCUCAGGGACACGGAUGCAUGGUUUCAAGAGAGUCUUGUAAACAGAAGUGAUUUUAUAAUUGACACAUAACUUUGGUCAGGUUCAGUUGAGCUUGAUGACAACUGAGCUGGAUUUGAAGAUUGAGGGUUGUUAAACUUCCUGAGCUAGAACAAGAGCUAUAAUAGCUAACUCAAAAUUUCUCAAACUUGAUGUUCAGAUAAUCUUUCAGUGCAUGAACUCGGCUAUGUAUAUUAUGCAUCUAAUUGAUCUGUAUGCAACAUGACAAAAAUAUCAUCAACAUGCACUGUGGGUUAUAUUAUACUUUCUCCAGUUAAGUGUUAAUGGGGCAGAUAAUAUGAAAUUUUAAAAAAAAAAGAAAAAAGGGAGAUAGGGAUGUGAAGGUCAAAGCAUAUAAACUAAGCUCAAGCUUGUUAAAUAAAACUUCAAGACGAGAUUGAGCUUGAGAAUGAAAUUGUAAUUGAGCUUAUGCCAAAUUUGUUCAGCCAAGGAUAACAAUGUGAGGGCUCAACUCCUAUGAGGUCAAUUACAAAUCAAUUCAAAAGCUGAACAUUGUAGCAGUGAUUAAUCUGUUGCAUACACGAUUUUAACAUUGUACUUACAUACAGAAAUUCUCUCCUUUUUAUAAUUUAAGGGGGAAAGAUAAGCUCUGUGGUACACUACAUUGAGCAAUUGUGUUUCUGAGUAAGAGUUUGUGGCAGCUGCUAAUCCAAUAAUGUCAAUAUGGUGAUUUCCUUCUCUUUUUUUUGGCUUUGGAUGAGGAUGACUGCCCUAUGUGCUGAUUUAUGUGAUAAGUAAAAGCAAUUAAUCUUACUCACGCACCUGAAGUGAAAGGCUUUGCCGCUGGAAUGAGUUCAAAUAACAUUUUGUCCUUUUUAGGCCUUGUUCCUAUUUUCUUUGAGUUUUAGCCUCCCUUAAGCUUAAGUAAUGGUUUUUCUGCUUCUGUUUCUCUUCCAUUUUGACCAGAUCUUAUCACAAAAAAUGGCUUCCGGCGUUAAUUAACUUGUUAUGAAUGUCAAUUGCUCAUCGCCCAUCCAGUGAAGGAUUAUAUUCCCUCAGUCAAGAUCCUCUGGGAUUUGAAUUGCUGAAUAAACUACUAGGAGAAUUGGAAUACUAAAAUGAGAACUGCAUCAUAAUAGGAUAAUCAAAACAAAACUGUUACUGGUCAAGUGUCUGAAAUUCUGGGCCUCCGAUGCACUUAUUUGGCAGGCAGGCUUCAUGAUACAUGAUAAUUUCCAUAAUAUACCUCGUGUUACUCUCUUAGUAUCUAUUUAAUUUGAUGGCCAGGAUACAGGAUUCUCUGCAAUCCAAUUUAAUGGUCAGUCUGAUGUUUAAGCUGUGUUUGAUGUGGAACACUUGACAAUAAAGAUUUUGCAUUGACUGGUUGGGGCCUGAAUUACUGCUACGCUUUUAAGAUAAUUUAUUAUUUUUUUCAAUGCUUUGUUCCCAUGUGCAAUUCUUUGUAUCUAGUUUCCACUAAUAACUUUUCUUUGUUACAUUCUAGUGGUCCAUGUGCAUCAUACAUGCUGCGCAAGCGAGCUCUUUACAAUGAUAUGUCGAGGUUUGUUAUGUUCCAUAAAAUUUGUUUCUUACAAUCUAGAGAAAGGAAGUGAAGGAUGAUAUUGUGAUGGCUUUUGUGAUAUCCUUUCUUACAGGUAUACAUGCUGUGGAGGCUAUAUGCCUUGCAGUGGUCAUUGCGGAGAAAGUACAUGCCCGGAAUUUUGUCUAUGCACUGAGGUGACUCUGAUAUGAUUUAUUAUUAAGAUUGUUCCUUGAUACAUUAUUUUGUCAGUUAAACAUCUAGUAUCCAUUCAAUAUCUCCAUCUUCUCCUAUCUAGACAUAGUUAUUUCUAAAUGUGAUUUCUUUCCUUUUUCCAGGUUUCUCUUUGCUUUGCGAAUUCAGUUGCCUCAACACGCUUCAUGCUACAAGAUGAAUUCGAUAUACAGACAACCAAAUGUGAUAAUUGCAUCAUUGUACACUUGCUUACUCUUUUUUUAGUGGUUCCCUGUGUCUCUGCUAGUACUCACUUCUUUUUCCCUGGAAUAAUUACACUAAAUUUCAUUUUCAAUUCUAGGGAUUCAUGUUCUGCUUACAGCAGCUAGCCUGCAUAUGUUCCCUCAUCGCUUGCAUUGUCGGAAGUGAGGAAAUUGAAGAUGCUGCUCAGAUGUUGAACUGUCUGGCUGACAUGGUUUAUUGCUCGUAUGAUACUGGUGUAUUUUUUUUCUCAUUAUCCAUUGCUGCGUACUUCAGCUAAUCUUUAAAUCAUUUGCUAAUUCUCUCUGUCUUUUCAUGUCAGGGUUUGCCCCUGUAUGCAGGUAUACAUGAGAUGCUCUAGUCUUUGAAAUUGGCAUUGUGGUACAGCAUAAAGUGCUUGUUUCACAAUUGUUGUCUUUUGAUACUUGCCUCAUUUUAACUUUUCACAUGUUCUUUCUUUCGAAAGGAUAUCACUUUGCAUUUGUUAUAAAAUUAAUCUAAGUUUGUCGUGCAGACUCAGCACAAAACUGAGAUGGAUAAAAGAGAUGGCAAGUUUGGAUCGGCAGCAGCAGCAACAAUGGCAGUGCCUCCUGUUCAACAAAUGUCCCGUAUAGAUCAUUCUUUACCCCCUUCAGUUGGAUAUCUGCCUCCACCAGCCUACAGCUACCCACCACAUCAGCAACCUCAGGGCGCUUACCCACCUCCACAUUAUAAUUACUACCCACCGCCUCCACAUUUCCAUGGAUAUCCUCCACCUACCCAAGGCUAUUACCCACCGCCACAGCCCUAUGGGUAUUUCCCACCUCAGCCUUAUGGAUAUUCCCCCCCACCUCAACAAGCCCCAGGCUCCCCCCCUGAUUUACAAUCCCAUGUAUACCCUCCACCACCUCCACAAAACCAAGGCUCUUCCCCUGUUUCGCACACCGAGGGAUACACUCAGCCCCCUCAACAAGCCCAAGCCACGACCCCUUCUUCAGAAAUCUCACCUUCACAGGCUCAAGGCCCUUCUCCUCCAGUACAAUCUCAUGAACAUCCCCAAGCUCCACCAGAACAGAGCCAUUCCCCUGCUGGUGCUGCUCAUCCGCCUCCAAGUCAUCGUGUGUAAACGGUAAAUCGAAAACUUGAGACGGUAAUAUGGGUAGUAAGAUCCAGGAAAACUGGCUCUUAAAGCCUUACUGGAUGACCAAGUAUAUCAACAAUCAAUUUAUACCAUAUCUUUCCUUCUGUCUAUACUUCAUGAGCUGUGUUUUCUAUACCGUGCCUAUGGUUAUUUGAUCCUGUCAGCUAAUUUUGCAGCCGUUGACAGUUGAUUCUUUGUAGUUUGCAUCCUCAGACUUUGUCUAUUAACCAACUUUGCUCCAGCGCCGUAUCUGUUUCCUCCUCCUUUCCAGGCGAAUAAUAGAAUCCUGCUGCUUUUUAAACUUCGCCACUAAAUAGGCAUUCGACUAGCAAGUUGGUGCCUUUUCACAUUCUUAGAUUAGUGGUUUGCUUGACAUGAUGUUUUACGGGUCAAGGUCUACCACUAGCCAUUUUCCUUUUUGGUUGUUUUCUGCAGGUGCUCUAGAGAAUAUUGCUUGCAAUUGUGAAUGUUUAAUUUGGUUCGUUAACUUUCAUGUAGCUCUCCCAGCCAAAAAAAGUACCGAAUGGUGGUAUAAUUACAAUACUCUAUUAUUUAGUGCUUGCUUGCAUCUGACUAUCAUUGAGAAAAUUUGAUCUUCUGCCGACAGAACAGAUCUCUAGCGAACACAAGAAAGAUGGUAAAAACCACAAUGCUUAAAAAUAAAUUCUUAUACUAUUAUACAGUGGUAACAAUCGGUGGGACCAAUCUGUGGGCAGAUCUGAUUCUUAGACAGGGGUGGUGGAACCUCUUGGAAUCUUUCUACUGUGACCUUGACGUUUGGUAGGAAGAAAGCUGACGAUAUUUCCGAUUAAGCUCCUCGACAUACCCCAAAUUCACGCACCCAAAUAAAAGAAGGCAGAGAAAGUACUCAGUUGCAGUUCCUGAGAUAGAGAUUGAUCAAGCACAGACCCCAAUUUAAUAUUGAUCAAGAAACAUGCAUUUCCCCACAUUUGCAUUAAUGUAUCUUUGUCUCCCCCAAAAAAAAACCAAAGCUUCAGCUCUAUAAACUGAAGAUCCCCAAAAAAAAAAAAAAAAAGAACGAAAAGAAGAAAUUAUUAGAAACAUGACAGUUACUGCACUAUUGCAGUCCUAUCGAUUGCUGCCCUUUUUAUUUCAUUGGAGUUCUAGUAAACUUUGGAGUUAUUGUCACCUGAAUUUGUGGUGUUUGGACGUACAUAGACGCAGGGUUCCGCUUAAGCAUCUCACUGUUUGGUUGACACAAGAUGACGAAUUGAUUGAUAUAUAUUGUCUUUGGAAGUGAAAAAUAAUUGAUUGCCUACCAAUGGUAACAAUACAUGUAGGGCAACGGUUGUUUGAAGCACAGCCGCUGAUACACAAAUAGAGGCAGAAAAUAGGGAAAAGAACAAUAGAAAGAUUUAGUCCUACUCUUACCACUGCAAUGCGUUAGGACAGGAUCUAGUUCAUAUGUUCAAUCAAUGGGGCGGCAAACCAGGUUCAGUGAAUUUGGUGGCGGCAUAUUGUUUUUCAUAUGUUCGAUAAUAACAUCCAACACAACAAAAAGUUAGCCAAUACAAACAGUCAAUGGUUGGUCUUACUUCAAAUCUCCAUCUUCCCUCGUGGGUAAAUUAAUAGGAACUCGGCUCAGAUUGGCAUGUCGUGGAUCAGUACUUUUUAUUAUUAUUAUUAUUAUUAUUAUCCUCCCCCACAUUUCAAUUAUUGGCCAGUUAAAUCUUCAACUACCUACAACCCCCAAACUGAAAAGAAGAUAAAGAUCUCAACCACCGCAGAAACACCAACAUCAUAAUUUCCUGAAUAUUUAUUAAUGCGCUUUUCAAGCAAAGUUGAAUCUUUUUUUUUUUUUUUUUAUCUUCUCGGAGGGUGUAAUAGUUCAUGAAUUGGAUACUUUACUCAAUCUUUCCAAGCAUACUGCAGGACUCCGUCCUCAUUUAAUCAUUUGCCAAAUGACACUUACGUACCCACAGUCUUGAAUCCAUUUGAAUUGCUAUUUUUGAAAGUUUCAUAGAUAAUGUACCGAAUAAAUCUUAUAUAUACUAACAACGCAUACAUUAUCACCGUUAAAUGAAUGAUAACUAUACAAAUUUUGAAUAAUUAUCAUUCAUCAAACGCUACACUGUAGUGUAAGUAAUAUUAAUCCCCGUGUAGCAUACCGAUGCAAGGUAAAAAAUUGAUUAAAAAAAAUAUGAUCAAAAAAAACGUUAUAAUUUUUUUUGAAUGAAAAAAUGCAAAUUGUUAGAGCCAAACACCCCAGUGAAAUAUUCCUUUCCUUUGAGAAGUAGUGGCCUAGUGGGGGGUAUAUGAAUAUGAUAUGUGUCUAAUAGUCGUCAGCAGAAAUGAUUUCGCUGAAGGCUAGUAUUAGCACUACUGUUAUAAAAGGAGAACAAAAAAGCGUAUACUAACUUGUAAGUACAUAUAAGUAUUUUAAAAAAAAAAAGAAAUUGGAAAAGCUUUUCCUUCAUAUAUACAAAAAUGUAUUUGUCUCGAAAGGGAAAACAACACAGAGAGACAGCAGCAGCAGCCGCCUCAAAUUACAAGGCAGGAAUAGUAGUAGGAUUGUCAUCGUAAUCAUCAUCGUAAAAAUCAUGAGUACUAGUACUACCGAAGGCGGAGGCGGCCCAGAGCCGUUGAUUGAAUUCGUCUUCCAAAUCACGUGGCACAAAAGGAGUCCUACAAAGUGGACAGGUCUUCUGAUCGUGGUCCAUCCAACGGUCCAGGCAGCUCCGAUGGAAAAUGUGCUUACAGUUCUUCAACCACCUGAUUUCUUCUCCACCUUUGAACUCAUACAAGCACACCGCACAACUCUCCUCCGGCGGCUCGCCUCCGGCACCGGCCACCAAAUCCGAGAACUUUACCACGGGCAGGAGUUCCCGGAUCAGGAUAGCGGAUAUGGGCGGGGUAAGGGGCAUCUGGGCCGGGUUUUCUUGAAAAUAAUACCCCUCAGCUGGUUCAAGAAAAUCUGAGAGACCCAGAAACCUAAAAAUAGAGAAAAGGACACUCCGGAUAAAACCCAGAAUGGAAAGUGCCUGUAUGAAGAUUUUUGGCAAGAAAACUUCUGUAUAACCCACCGGAAAACCCAUUAAGAAAACUCAGAGCAAGAAAGCAAGAAGCCGGACCAGAUUAGUCUAGUAUUUAUACUAUACACUUCUCUAACGCACGUAAUAUAUAUGAUCUGUGCCAAAGAGACAGAGAUGAAGAAGCUUCUUCGGGCUCGGGGGGUUGAGUGUGAAACUGUAAAAUGUAGGGAUGGAUAUAUAAAGCUAAAUUGGAGUACGAGCUAAGUUGUAUGGUGGAAGGGAUGGUAAUCUGACAGGUGGUGACUGAUGUGUCCUUGUACAUUGAGGGAAGACGAUGGCAUGACGUGGAACGUAAGGUGCGUCUUUGACCGUUAGACUAGCAGGGGAAGGAGGCUGCUGCAUUUUUUUUUAAUUAUUAUUAUAAAGAGGGGCUGCAUAUGAUUGCACUAGGGACAGGCAAGUUGCAUUAAUGCAUGCGUCUCACGUCCUAUAAUUGGUUUUUAGUGCAUUUUUACUUCUUUUUUUUUUUUUGAAAUUCCAAGAAGCUUCUUUUCUUUUCCUUUUUCCUUUUAAUUUUUUUUUUGUGAGGAUCAUCCGAUCGAUGGUGUUCAUGAUAAAUAUUUUUUUUAAUAAAAAUAUCAUAAUAAUUUCAUUAAAUCUAUACUGUUAACGCUAUGGACUAAGUUAGAGAAGUAGUAAAAUAACGAGGGUAAAUAAAUGCUAGUGUAUGUAUGUAUAUGGGUAGAAAUCAGACACACUAACGAGCGUUCGUUAUAUACCAUUUAAAAAUUUAUUGUUGUUUUUUUUUUUUUUUUUUUUACAAGUAAUUGGAAUUCAUAAUGGACCCAUCCCAUCUAUUUUUUGGAUCAAGGGGCUCGUGGUUCAUUUUAAAACUAUUUUUAGAUAAAAAUAGUUAUUUUAAAUUUGUUUGCAUCCUAUAUAUCUAAACUUAUUUACACUCUGCUCCAAUUUGUUUACACCCUCGACCUAGGAGCAAACUGCACUUUGUGUGCCUAAUUGUAAGAUCAAACAUCUAAACUACUACUAAUUAUGUGCAAAAAUUUUUAUAUGCACAUAAAAAAACUCCGACCCUAAAAUUACACAAACAUAGGGAUUCAGAAAAGCUCGAGAGAGUUUUUUUUUUUUUUUUUUUUUUGGGUUUGGGGGUGUACUCUUAUAAUAUUCUAUUGAAAAAUCAUGUGUAUGUUCGUUUGCUCUUGGUUAAUUUUUAAAACUAUAGGUAUUCUCAAAUUAUUCUAAUCUUAUACUAGCAUCAUUUAUACUAGCGAAAUUAAGAAAGCAGCGUGAUAGAAUCCGUUGCGUCCAUAUAUAUAAUUGACAAUCAUAUAGUGCCAAAUUCUUGUAUAUAUAUAUAUAUGAAAGGCGAUAAUAGGGUGCUGGGAUUGAAACCAGGAGCACCACCAGCCACGGCCAUGGGAGCCCAGGAGCUAAACUGCUAAGCACAGCAGACCAAAAGAUUGAAGAUUGCAAAAAGAAAGGACAGAUGGCGUCGGUGAUGAGAACCCUGGCCAACCAACAAAUCACCCUCUCAUGCCGAGAAAUGGGGCCGGCCAAUAUUGACGUGAAGCUGUGGAGACUGGAAAGUCGCCAUCUUUUGAACGCCAAAGCCCUGGGCCUCACCCCAUCAUCCCUGUCCAUGGUUGCCUGGCCAUGCCAAGACACCUCCGGUCCGGUUUGCUUCCUCAUCCCAUUCAUACACUAUUAUCUUCACUCCCCACUCACCAAAUUAAGAUGUUAACCAUUCAAUCCUUCCGGCCAUCCUCUUCUGCUUUUCUCUCAUGCAUUGUCGUCCUGUCAGUCAUCAUGUAUCUAACAAAAUCCAUUGUUGUUGUGGGUCGAAAUUCAAAACAAAAAAACAAAUUUUGCAACCCUUUCAUCAUCCAUUAUUUAUUUAUUAAACGAUUACAGGAUGAGAAAUGGCAUUUGCUAGUUACUAUAUAUGUCCAUUGCAUGAGAUAAAAUAUUAGUUAGGAAAACAAUAUAUAUAUAUAUGAGUAAAUCUUAUAUAUACACUGUCACCGUUAGAUCUAUAAUAUAUAUGCAAAAGUUGAAUUUUAAAUUCAAAUUAUUCAUAUUUGCCAUUCAUUCAACGCUGACAUUGUAUACAUUAUCAGUGUAGGAAAGAUGAAUCAUAUAUAUAUAUAUAUAUAUAUAUAUAUAUAUAUAUCUUGUAUGGGCAGUUAAUGUUACACACAAGUGUGGUGUGGACCUAUAUAUGGGAAAAGUAAACAGGUCAGUCUCCAUGAUUUUAAAAUCGACCUAGCUAGUUCCUACGUACUAAUUAAGAGAAUAUCUUCUAUACACUUGUAAUUAUAGAAGCAUUACUCCAAAUACUACACGUACGUGAUCCCUCAAGUACUCCUGUGCAUGCACAUACUUCUUAGUUUGUGGACAACAGGGUAGCUAUUUUGGUUUUGGUAUCAUCACCUGGUAAUUGGUAUAUAUUGUAGCCAUUCCUUUUUCAGCACUUGUAGUUGUAGGGACCGGUAUCUACAAAGUUAAAUGCAAGUGCAAGGAAGAAGGAAGAACUUAUUCAUGGAUGACCCUCAGAUUCAUUCAAGAGCCAAUCCCUUUGUCGCCUCUGCAAAAUCAAAGAGCAACAUGAUGGCUAGUACUGGAGCAAUAUGGGCCGGGGAAUUAUCACAAUUCAAACAUGUUCGUUAAAACCUACAAAAUCAAAGAGCAGCAUGAUGGCUACUAUCCAUCCGGAGCAAGAUGGGGAAUUAUCACAAUUCAAACAUGUUCGUUGAAACCUACCUUGCAAGAGCGGUCCUCACCCGUAAUCCUUCACAAAAAUUGUUUUAUCUGUCACUUCUCUUUCUCUCGCCCGGACCUGCCCUCACAGCCCUCGUGCAUGCAUUAUCUUAUCUCCAAUGUUCCUUCUAUUUAAGUGGGCUUCCACUUCAUUGACUCCUCAUUUGUAUUUUCCACUUUGCUGGUUUUGCUUUGCUUUCCCUUGUCUUAAUCAGCUCCCCCAUACGCAUGCAGCAGUUUCCCUUCUAUGGAGUUUUGAUGUAACAUGUUCCUACUUUCUAUCCAUAAACAAAAGGCUUCUCCAUAUGGUUUCCUUACUUUUGCCCGUCUUUCUCAUCUUUUUUUUUUUUUUUUUUUUUUUUGUUAACUAGGAAAAUAAUGGGAUUUAAGAAGCAAUGAGCUAGGGAAAAAGAAAAUAUGAUCCUAAAAUCUCUGAUUAUAUAUUGAGAUCUCAACCUUAACCAUAAGAGCAAGAUCUCAUCGGUCUUACUCAUCUUGAAGUUCGAAUUAAUUCUGAAAUCUAGGAAUGGAGUAUUUAAAAGUGUAAAAUCGAUACUUGAUAAGGGGGGUUUUUUUUUUUUUUUUUUUUUUUGAAGAAUUGGUAAGGGUAAAUUCGAUACUACAUAAUGAUAAAUGCUUACAUGGCUAGUGGCGAGUGAUUUAAGUAAAUACUUAGGUGAUGAGUGGUGAUUGAUUUUUUCGUUAAUUUCAGCACUAUGAUAAUUAAGGUUGCGAUUCUGUGUUAUUCUAUGGAAUGGUUGCAUAGCAAGUGAGUAUAAAGGGAGAGGAGUGGGAUUUUUGCUUAAACAUUAUUUAAUCACUUUCUGAACUUUCAAUUUUACCCUUAUAGAAACAAACGCAUGUUUAUAGUUAUUUAUCUUGAAAACAUGUUUUGCUUUAACUAUUUACUUUCAAUAACUAAUACUAAGCAUUACAAUGAUUACCAUGGGAAAGAAAUUUAAGAGAUCAAAAUUUGAUUUAGCAAUAAAAAUUCAUAGAAAAUGUAUUUACCAUAAAUAUUAUGCAUCUCUUUAUUGCACACGGAUGGAGAAGAGUGGAUUUGAGAGCCAAAUAAAAAACCUCAUAAUCACUUGAUUAAUGUUCCUAUCAAUUAGUAUAAGUUGGGUUUUGAGGAUUUCAAUGUUAAUUACAAUGCCCUGGACCACGUGGGAUUAGGCCCGUCUUAAGGUCCGGCCCAUAAAUAUUGGUCCAAUAAACUUACGGAAUAGUUUUUGUUCUGCUGUGGAACCCAACAAAAAAAAAAAAAAAGAAAACAAAGAUUCCAACGCCGAAGAAUCCAGGCCAUGAGCGACUUUGGAUCUUUUGUUGUGGUCCUCUAAACAGGGUCGAGACUCCUGAAAAUAGCAUCUACGGAUGUCCCAAAGAAGAUUGACCCGCAACGGUUAUAAGACAUUUAACCCCAACUUCUUGGUUAAUCCGUCUUUUUUUUUUCUCCAAGUAUUUGCCGAUUGAUACUUUCAUAGUUUGAUGCAUUUGAUUAGGGAUGUAAAUAAGUCUAAUCAAAUCAAGCAGUCUAGUGUUUAAACUUGUUUGAUUCUUUUAUCGAAUUUCAAAUUUUAUUCAAUCUUGGCUUAUUUUGUUGUUCAAUCAAAUUUGAACGAGAUUUUUUUUUCAUUGUAUUUGAAAGUCAUUGAGAACAAAAAACUGUGCAAAUUAGUUAGUGAACCAAAUUCAAACGAACUUUUAUUAAACAAAACUUGAUUCGAGUGUCGAGUAGUUUAAUUCAUUUUUUAAACAUACAAUUGAUCCCCGUAUUAUUUAACAACUUUGUAGGAAUAAUUCCUAUUGAUCGUGACCUUAUUCUACGAUAUUUAUGUGUCUUCCCAAAAUUGAGGAUAAGAAUUGCCAAGGCGCCCUCUCUCUCUCUCUCUCUCUCUCUCUCUAUUUGUUUUUGUACAUAUGUUAUGCUUAUCGAUGUUUAGUCCCUAAUACUCUAGAUAAUGAUCAUUUAAAAUAGAAGUUGAUGCUCCACUAAAUUGCCCCGAGCGACCGAAGACGAGAGUUAAAACAUAAAAAAAAAAAAAGCUUUCUCCAUAUUUGACUCAAGCAUGAUUUAAUUUGUACCUCCAAUUAAAGGUAAAUAAACUUCCAUCAUGUGCAUAAAAUAAGUUUUGUUGGAUAUUUGUAAAACAAAUCUAAAUAUAAUUUCAAAAUUUCAAUGCCAGUUUUGAACUCUAAAUUAUAACAUUCUUCCAAUAGAAAUAUGCUAAGAAGUGGAAUUUCCCUUUGCCAAAAAAAAAAAAUCUUUUAACCACAAACUAAUUUAAGGGAAGGAAAAAAAGAGGGGGAAAAAGAAAAACAAAACAAAAGAGUUCACCUCUACCUCUACAUAGACAGUUGGCAUUUGGCGGUAACGUAAUACUAACAAAAGAUCUAUGACGGGAAAAUAAAGGGAAAAUCGCCAAUUUAGUCCCUAAACUUUUUUUUUCCGUCAAUUUAGUCCCUAUAUAUUAUUUCUAGCCAAUUGGAUCCCUAAACCUAUAUAUCGGUUCCAAUCAAGGAUCUUUGCAGCGGCGCCACCGUAUAAUUUCCAUUAGGUUCAUAAUCGUGCAAUACAAAAGGGGCAUUUUAGGGAAUUCCAUUCUGGCGCCUUUUCCAAUUAAAAAGUAAACGAAACAAGUCUGCGAUAAAUACACACCCAAAAAUCCAAAAUGAAAACAAAAAAUGUCUUGGACAAAAUCCAGGGCUUGAGUCGAUGAUCUGCUAAAUAAAAUCAAAGCAAAUCGUGUUAAAUAAGGAAUCGGAGGGCAUAAGAAAGCAAAUGAUGGAGGCAGUGGGGGACAAUAUGCAGGAAAGGAGCAAUGUUGAGGAGAGGAAGUCAAGAAAAGCAAGUAAGUUUAAAUAGCCUGCCUGCCUGAAACCCGCUUGCGGGUUUCCCCCUUAUGUAAAAUGACUAAAAGCUGCGUUUCUGUUCUAUUUAUAUCAAACACAUACUCUCAAACCCUCACCUGAAGGGUGAGGAUGAGAGGGGAGGUUUGCUGGGCAUCCUAGGGCCCUCCGAUGGGCAUGUGCAACUCAACGCAGCUUGCAUGUAAAAAAAAAUUUUUUUUUUUAAGUAAUUUGUUAAAUAGCCUGAAACCCGCUUGCGGGUUUCCCUCUUUUUUUUAAAAAAAAAAAAUAAAUUCUAUGCUAAAAUGACUUAAAACAAAAAUAAAAGACUAAAAGUAAAUAAAAACUAGCAUGAAAAAUAAAAAUAACAGUAAAUAAAAAUACACUAAAAAUUUGGUGUCUACAGUAGUUAAUGAAUAAUCUGGAAACAGAUUGAAUGAAGACUCAGAAGAAACGGAAGCUGGUCUCUUAUUAUUAAAGAGUGAAGGCUAAAAUAGGCAUAUCAGGUGAAAGUUUGUGUGUGGAAAUCUGUUUUUCGCAUAUGCACGCGCCUUUGGAGGCGUGUGUCUUAAACGAACUGCAAAGGCGCGUGCAUAUGCGAAAAACAGAUUUCACCACAAACUUUCACCUGAUAUGCCUAUUUUAGCCUUCACUCUUUAAUAAUAAGAGACCAGCUUCCGUUUCUUCUGAGUCUUCAUUCAAUCUGUUUCCAGAUUAUUCAUUAACUACUGUAGACACCAAAUUUUUAGUGUAUUUUUAUUUACUGUUAUUUUUAUUUUUCAUGCUAGUUUUUAUUUACUUUUAGUCUUUUAUUUUUGUUUUAAGUCAUUUUAGCAUAGAAUUUAUUUUUUUUUUUUAAAAAAAAGAGGGAAACCCGCAAGCGGGUUUCAGGCUAUUUAACAAAUUACUUAAAAAAAAAAAUUUUUUUUUACAUGCAAGCUGCGUUGAGUUGCACAUGCCCAUCGGAGGGCCCUAGGAUGCCCAGCAAACCUCCCCUCUCAUCCUCACCCUUCAGGUGAGGGUUUGAGAGUAUGUGUUUGAUAUAAAUAGAACAGAAACGCAGCUUUUAGUCAUUUUACAUAAGGGGGAAACCCGCAAGCGGGUUUCAGGCGGGCAGGCUAUUUAAACUUACUUGCUUUUCUUGACUUCCUCUCCUCAACAUUGCUCCUUUCCUGCAUAUUGUCCCCCACUGCCUCCAUCAUUUGCUUUCUUAUGCCCUCCGAUUCCUUAUUUAACACGAUUUGCUUUGAUUUUAUUUAGCAGAUCAUCGACUCAAGCCCUGGAUUUUGUCCAAGACAUUUUUUGUUUUCAUUUUGGAUUUUUGGGUGUGUAUUUAUCGCAGACUUGUUUCGUUUACUUUUUAAUUGGAAAAGGCGCCAGAAUGGAAUUCCCUAAAAUGCCCCUUUUGUAUUGCACGAUUAUGAACCUAAUGGAAAUUAUACGGUGGCGCCGCUGCAAAGAUCCUUGAUUGGAACCGAUAUAUAGGUUUAGGGAUCCAAUUGGCUAGAAAUAAUAUAUAGGGACUAAAUUGACGGAAAAAAAAAGUUUAGGGACUAAAUUGGCGAUUUUCCCGAAAAUAAAAGGGAGGUCCAAUUGGAAUAGAAAAAGUAGAUUAAUUAAAUAAAAAAGAAAAAGAAAGAUGGGCAGUUAAAAAUCGAAAAUCUCAGAUCCACUUUCUCCACCUGAGAAAAUAGUGGCGGUAGUAGUCUUCCUCCUCCAUCAGCGCCACCGCCGCAACAAAGCUAUGUGAUUCGGAUCUCCUCGCCCUCUCUCCCUCUUAAACCCUAAUUCCUCUUCUCCUACUCUCAUCUUCUUUCCGCCAAUUUUGAGUCCCUACAUUCCACUCUAUCCACCCGCCUAUUUGGGGCAAAGAUGUAUAUGGCAUACGGAUGGCCGCAGGUGAUUCCAUUGGAACCAGGAUCAUGCCCUACUUCUUUCUCCGACCACAUUGUCUACUUCAAAGUCCUCAAUCGCUUAUUGCUCGUCGUCGCUCCUUCUCAUAUCGAACUCUGGUCUUCUUCUCAGGUCUCACAUUUCUCUCCUUUUUCUUUUGUAUGAUUUAAUGCUAUGCACUCUCACUUUCUGGAAAUUGAUGACUUUUCAUUUCGAUUUUUUUAUUUGAAUUUUGCGCCGGCGUUUGUACAGCAUAGGGUGAGACUGGGAAAGUCCAAGAGAGGCGUGGAUUCGAUUCAGAAAGAAGGCGAGAAUUUGCGGGCAGUUUGGAGUCCGGAUGCCAAAUUGAUUGGCGUAAUUGUAAGAAUUUGGAAGGCCUUUUAUUAAUCAGCCAGCAUUGGGCUUAUCACUUUUUUGAAUGGCAGCAUUGAAAAUAUUACUUGGUUUUGCUGUUUGGAGCAUUCAUUUGUUCAGUAAAAUUUAAGAAAUUGGGUCAUCAAAUAAUACAGUGAAACUGAACAUCCACACUUUCAGGAAUUCAGAUAUUAAGUUGGUUUGCAGGAGUUAGCAUUGUACUUAUGAUAAUAUAAGUAAAAAUAAUAUAUUUAUACUGGGUUUGGUCAUAUUGGCUAAAAUUUGAAGGAUUUUGUGGAAAAGUUUCUUAUCGUUAGGUUGCUCUGGAGUGAAUACUGGAAAUUGAUCUUCUGAAGUGCACUGUGGAAUUUUCUUCAUCUGUUUUAUGUAUAAUGAGUAUAUAUCGUUACACUGCAUUUCAUUUAGUAACCUAAAUUCAGGAAAACAACCACCAAAUAGAAAAAAAAAACAAAGCAGCAAACUCUUGGAAGAAGAUAAAGGAGGAAAGAAAAGGGGGAAAGGAAGAUAUUUCUAGGAGGAAUAUUCAGGAAACAAUAAAAUCUUCACAUAUUUAUUCAUAUGUCAAUAGCAAGAGGAGAAGUUUUCGAAGCCAACAAAUCUUCAAUACUUUCUUCAUACGGCACUUUAUGCACUGUGAAUGGUGGUGCAAGGCUGGUUGAUUGCUGUUAUUGGAAUGGGAUUAAAAUGUAAAUAGCUGUGAUCUUUCAUUUAGCUUUCAAAAAGGGUUGGCUAAAAAGUCUCACUUUAAAUUCAUGUCACUAUUGUGUACUUUGGUUCCUUCUUCAUAAUGUAAUGCUUCAUUUGUUUCUGGCGAUUUUUCCCGCCUUCUUUGCAGACAUCUUCUUUUUAUCUUCAUAUUUAUAAGAUCCAUUUCACGGACAAGAAAAUACAAAUUGGAGGAAAGCAGCCAUCUGGUUUAUUUCUUGCUACCAUUUCUUUACUUCUAAGUGAGCAGAUCCCUUUUGCAGACAAGAGUAUGACAUUGUAAGUGUGUGUACACAGCUCCCUUGGAAAUUGUAAUUGAACUUCAAGCUUCAAAGUUUUCAUUUCCUUCUUUGAUGGCAGAAUAUUGUUUUGAAUAUGCAUUAAAUUUGAAAUGUUUUGCUGUAUAAGCUUCUGACAACCAAAGCAGUAAAAUAAUAUGGUCUAGCAAUUUGUUUGGAUCAUAACAUUCAAGGGCUUAGAUAUGCUAAUGGCUUAUUUUCUAAUAUCAAAGUUCUUUGGGAAGCUGCACUAAGGGUUGCAGGCUAUAUAAAAUGUUACUUGGAAGGUCAAAUGCAUGCAUUCUGCUUUCUGGUACAAUUUGAUGGAAAGAUGUUGCAUAUGCAAGGUGAAUGCUGCUCUAAGUGUAUGCAUAACCAAUUGGACACCUUGCAUCCCUCUGGUCUUCUUGAAUGUUUGGCUGUGAUCAUACUGCUUCUCAAAAGCAGUCAGACAGUUGGAUAUGGUGUGUUACCAGGGAUUCUUAAAUCAUUUUCCAGGUGUUUGAAACUCAACCUUGUAGGCUCUAAGGGUACAUGUCCUAGCUCCUAAAAUUUCUUGUGUCUAUUCUAGAUACUAAACCUUUUUGCCAGGUAAAACUCGUAAUUUAAAGUUAGGCUUGUUGAAAGUUGUAUGAGCCUCCAAAAUUUGUACAUAUCUGAAUAUGCUGAAGUGUGCGGUGCUAUUUUGUUUCAACAACACUCUAAUCCAAAAAUGAUUUUAUUUAGUAUAAGAAGUUUGGAUGCGGAGUGAUGGAUGAUUAGACAUUGUUUGAAACUUUUGAGUUUUCUUAAAAAUUAGUGUCUGCUUUAAUGUCAUUGUUAAAGCUAUUUAUAAGAAAGAAACUGCACUUUCUGCUGUGAUUUGUUUUUGUUGUUCUUUUUAAUAGCUUGAUGUUUUCUUGGGGUUUGGGUCACUGCUGGUUUUGAGGGCUGAUAUACAGAUACGAAAAGUGUGUAUUUGAGACUUCAGGGCCGAAAGUCAUUUUCUGUAUGUCAUUGGUCCUGAAAUUUGGACCUUGGAGAAGAAGGAUUUCAUUUGUAUAUUUGUCAGCAUGCUAUAGUUUUUAAUGCCAAUAAGUCAAAGAGUUACUUGAGAUAGGGAACAAGAUCUCAUAAGAUCUUGCAUGUUAAUGAAUGUCUAGGCUUGCAGAAUUGUUUACACAAGCCACUAAUGUUUUUACAGUAUACCUUAGAAGAAAGAUCUGCUAAGUUGCCAGUUAUAGUAUAAGAUCUUGUCAUGAUAUAUAUAUAUAUUGGUGUAGAUAAGCUUUCAGCUUUCAGACAUCACUGCAACUGAUGUUAUGAAGUACUUUUCAGUUGCAUAUUUUAAGCUUUAAGCUUUUGGACUUCUGUGCACCUGAUAUUACUAAUAAAGUCCUUUCCUGCUAUAGAUUGAUGGUUGUGUUGCACCAAAUACAACUUAUCAUUGAGUCGAGUAAAUCUGAUAAAAGGAAUCGUGGUUACAUGUUUACAUGCGCAAGAAUCUACUCAAUUCAAAGGAUCAAGAUAUAAUCGAAAUGUUGAUACUCCAAAAUUUUGGUUUUUGGUUAUGUUUCACAUACCUUAGAGGCAAAUCACCAGAGAAAUUCACAAGUUCAUAUCAGUGCUUCUUGUAAGAAACGGGGUCCAGAAGUGGACAUAUGAUGUUUGACAAUCUGAUAUAUUUGUGUAUUUCAUUCCAGAUGAAUUUCUGAUGUUAUAUUAUUUUUGCCGUUGUCAGGAGCAACAUUAUCUGUGAUAACAAACAUAUGCUUGUUGGACUUUCUGAUGGAUCAUUUUAUAAUAUAUCAUGGAAGGGAGAGGUAAUGUGAAUGUAGCAGUUCCUCCAAGUCUUUCAAAUGCACAUUGAAGAAGCAUCUUUGUAGCUUAGGUGCUGAAUUCAUUUUUUAGCACCAUUAUAAAAUGCUGUGUCUAUUCCCUUUCUACUUGCUUAACAUGAUUUUAAUGGAGAUUGGAAAGCAUCCAGAAACCCGCAUCUCCCUCUCAAAAAGGUUCAACCAGGUUAUCAUUUAACUUAUUCUGUGAUGCAGUUCUGUGGGGUUGUUGAUCUUGACAUUCCAUUCUCUGAUGGAAGUGGAGCUGAUAAAUUGUCUCAUUCUUUGGACAAUGGUCUUCCUUCUAAUGGAGCACGAGGUGUUUCUCUGCCCAGGAAUUAUAUGAGGAAGAAGUCUGCUAUUGUGCACAUGGAGUUUUCCUUCUCACUGAGGUUACUGUUUUUGCUCUUUUGUGAUGGACAACUUGUGUCAUGUUCUGUAAGUAAGAAAGGAUUAAAGCAAGCUGAUUUAAUUAAAGUCGAAAAGAAGCUGGCAUCUGGUGAUGCUGUAUGUGCCUCAGUUGCUUCAGAGCAACAAAUUCUUGCUGUGGGUACAAAAAGGGGAGUUGUUGAGUUGUAUGACCUCACAGAUUCUGCUUCCCUUAUUCGUGCUGUUUCUUUAUAUGACUGGGGGUAAGUGGCUUUACAUUUCCAUGGAUAUUUGGGCAUAUGACCUAGUUGUUUGAUGAUACUUCCUUGUUAUUAGGCCAGUGCUUCUUUACUAAAUGUCUCUGAAAGUGGCAUUAAUCUCUAGCCAGUCUGUACAGCUUCCUGCUUUAUUCAACUUUGUUUUCUAUCACUAAGGAAAUUAUCACUUUUGACCUCUAUGUCAAAAAAUCAUUAGUAGCUUCUAGCCUGCUACUAUUUUACUGCAUUAUUUUUAUGGGUAACUUUGCUGCUCUUCACUUGCAAAUUGUUGGAUCUACAAAGUUUUCAUUAAGACAGUGGUACAAAUAGCUGACUGGAGAUUCAGAUAAUUUAUUUCCAUAUUCCAAGUGCAAUCUUUGAGAAGCAAAAUGAGAUACACUGUUAUAUGAUCCAGUGAGAUAAACUAGUUACUAUGAUUCUAAAGCUGCAGAUGUAUGUUAAGACUCAAAGUAGGCUCUCUGUGCUUUUGCAAUCUGUUUAUCAACCACUUGCAAGGAAAAAGAUAUUUCUACAGAUAACCACAAGGUUUAACAACUGAAGUCUCACCAUGUUUUUUGAAACUCUGAAAAAUAUUUGCCCAUAUAGUUGUUGAAUGAGAAAAGUUUGGGGGGUUCUUGUAUCGUUUCAAAAUCUGAAUACAGAACUAUAGUUUCUUAUAUUUUCUUAAACUGUGCUUGUCCCUGGUGUGGGAAUUAGGGAAAUUUACCAUUAGUUCGUCAUUCGAAGUGCUCCAAUGAAAUAAAUUUUCCUGAUCGUGUGAUUAGCAACACUAGGUUCAUGUUUCCUUCUUUCUAUUUUUACCUUUUUUUUCCUUUGGGCAGAUAUUGCGCAGAUGAUACUGGACCUGUCAGCUGUAUUGCCUGGACUCCUGAUAAUUCUGCUUUUGCAGUUGGGUGGAAAUUAAGAGGGCUUACAGUUUGGUCUGUUUCUGGAUGUCGGUUGAUGUCAACAAUUCGUCAAAUUGGUUUGAUCUCAGUGUCUUCUCCAGUUAUUAAGCCAAACCAGGAUUGUAAAUAUGAGCCUAUGAUUGGUGGCACCUCACAAAUGCACUGGGAUGAGUAUGGAUAUCGGCUUUAUGCUAUUGAGGAAAGAUCUUCAGAAAGAAUUAUUGCUUUUCCUUUUGGCAAAUGUUGUCUUAACAGAGGAGUAUCUGGAACAACUUAUGUUCGUCAAGUUAUUUAUGGGGAAGAUCGGCUGCUUAUUGUCCAGUCUGAAGAUACUGACGAACUUAAAAUCCUUCAUCUUAAACUUCCAGUUAUGUGCUAAACUAGGUCAUGAAUAAGAAUUUAUUUUUAUGCUUAUUAAAGAAGGUUAUUACUGAUAUAUCUUUGUCCAUGUCAGGUUUCUUAUAUGGCGCAAAAUUGGCCUGUUUUACAUGUGGCUGCUAGCAAGGAUGGGAUGUACUUAGCAGUUGCUGGACUUCAUGGGUUAAUUUUAUAUGACAUACGACUAAAGCGGUGGCGAGUGUUUGGAGAUAUUACUCAGGAACAGAAGAUCCAGUGCAGAGGCUUGUUAUGGCUAGGGAAAAUUGUUGUGGUCUGCAACUACACAGAUUCCUCCAACAUGUAAGUGAACAAUGCACAUAUUGCUGUGAUUUGAAACUAUGGGCAUGCCUCAGAUAUUUCUGAAGAAGCAGUGUAUGAUAAUAGAAGUUGAUUGGAGUGGAGAGAAAAUAAGAUGUGCACAUGAUUUUUAUCAACUGGAUAAAGCAAAUGAAAGAGUUCUUAGGAACUUAAUUUUGUGGAUCUUAAAAUGGCUGAGCAAAGCCAAAAUGAUUACACUAGGAACCAAUGAUAUUUGUCAUAUUGUAAAGGUCUAACAAAACCCAGUUUUUUACAUUCAGGUUAUAGUAUUUCCAUAUUUUAUGGUCUCAUGUUGGGUAAAAAAAUCAUUGCUCGUAGAACCCCAACUUCAAAAUUUUUCUAUCUUCAAUGUUUUCUGGUUUCUUGCUUAUGCAUUCUCACUGCUGAAUGGCAGAUAUGAAUUGCUUUUCUACCCAAGAUAUCACCUUGAUCAAAGUUCGUUACUUUGUCGGAAGCCAUUGCUUGCAAAGCCAAUGGUCAUGGAUGUCUACCAAGAUUAUCUACUUGUUACCUAUCGCCCCUUUGAUGUCCAUAUAUACCAUGUUAACCUGUCUGGAGAGUUGACACAUUCUAGUACCCCAGAUUUACAGGUAAUACUUGUUUCAAGAUAAAUUCUGUAGAUAAUCUUGCUUCUAAGUUGAUAUGAAACAUUUAAAAUUUUAAUGCAUGUGAGUCAAUUACAAAUUGCUUGUUAAGUGAAGGUAUCACUGUAAACAAUUAUUCUUCUUGCGUUUUUAAGUGAUAAAAUGACAAACAGCUUUCUACAGUACGUGAACUCUCAAUUAUGACUGCAAAGAGCCAUCCUGCUGCAAUGCAUUUUAUCCCAGAUCAACAUCCUAUAGAUUAUGUUUUGAGGAAGGAUUCCUCUUCAUCAGACCACUUGGCCAGAGAACCUGCUAGGUAUGUGCAUAGAUUUGAAGUUACUUGCUGGAUUUGCAAGUUUUCAAGUGAUGGUGAUUUUAAUCUGUACAUUUAGAUGCUUGAUAUUGAGAACAAAUGGGGAGCUUUCCUUGCUCGAUUUGGAUGAAGGGCGGGAAAGAGAACUCACUGACUCUGUGGAGUUGUUUUGGGUUACCUGUGGUCAGUCAGAGGAGAAAACAAAUUUAAUUGAAGAAGUUUCAUGGUUAGAUUAUGGCCACCGUGGAAUGCAGGUAAAAACUUUUUGUCGCACUUGAGUAUUUACUGUACUUGUGUUUUUUCAGUUUACAUGUCUCAUGGGUGCUAAAUGCUGCAGGUUUGGUAUCCUUCUCCUGGUGUGGACCCUUUUAAGCAGGAGGAUUUUUUGCAGGUAGUAUGACCCAUUUGAUUACUGUUGCCUAUGAGGCAUAUGUUUUAUUCUGUGUCAUUUUUUCCUGUGAAGGGCCUGUAUUUUGAUUGUCUAUAUAGUUGAAUAGCUUUUCAUUUGAUUUAAAGGCAACUGAUUGGGCUCCACACCACAUAAGUCCAAAGAUUAGGUGUUCAACAAUAUAUGAUCUAGCAGUCCGUGAUGUUAGAUUUUCUAUAUUGAUAACUUGUAGAAACUUGUAACCAUGCAGCUAUUGAUGAUUUUAUCGUUUUUGGCUAAGGUGUCUAUCUUAAUAAUAUUGAGGUUGCUGGGUUUAUAGAAGCUGGAGGCAGGCAAAGAAUGCUGGAACUUGGAUACUUUCCUCAUAGAACUUAAGUGUUAAGAGAGGCGGUUUGGAAGGAGUCUUUGGCCAUAUCUUUUAAGAUUAAAGGCAGCAUAAUAUUGAGGAACGCCAAAGACUAUUGAACUUGUACAUUAUUGCACACCAAAACCUUGCAAUUGGCACUUUAAUUUUUUUUAUUAUGUAGGAAUUUUAAGAAACCACAUCAUUCAAGAGGUUCCAUCUAAAAAAGUUUUGAUCAAUCUGAAUGAGAUCUGUAUAUCUUUAGUAUUUUCCAUCUACUAUCAUCUGGAACUUCCCCCAAGUAUCUAAAAUUUCUUGGUCAAGUGUCAUAUAUGCUGCAGUUUUCUAUUAGUUGACUUAUUUUAGCCUUAUGCUAUCCUCUGGCUCUGAUCUUUUUUCGUAUUAAGAUAAUGAUCCUAUGACUGUCCACAUGGCAUGGUUCUGGUUCAUGUGAAUCUUGUGUUACUGUUUCUUCAAUGAUAUUGGGAACUUUGGUUAUGGUCUAUUUGGUUUGCAGGUCAGCUAUAUUAAGCAUUCAAAACAUACUAGUAUUCAUACAUGAAUUGUUUCUAGACAUGUAGACCUACUACUAAAAGAUUUGUUUGUCAUGCCUCAGGGUUGGAGUGUCUUGUAUCUUUGCUCUUAUUGAUGUUAUUUAUCUGAAUAAUGUUUUGUGGAAUCCUCAGUUGGACCCAGAGUUGGAAUUUGACCGUGAGGUAUAUCCUCUUGGUCUACUUCCCAAUGCUGGAGUUGUAGUUGGUGUAUCCCAGAGAAUGUCUUUUUCAGCAUGCACAGAGUUCCCAUGUUUUGAACCAUCUCCUCAAGCUCAAACCAUUUUGCAUUGCCUACUUCGGCAUCUUCUUCAGGUACAACUUGUAUUUUCUUACAUAUGACAUUCUGCAUUUCCACUGACAGCUGGUUCCAAUAUGGGAUAGAGGAAGAGGAUUGUGUGUGGUAGCUAGGAUGAUAAUCACAAAACUCUUGUUUUACACAAAUCUCUCUAGAGCAGGAUAUGUGAAGAGGAUUGGUGGAAUGUUAAAAUUGAAGUCAAUUUGCAGUAAUUAUGAAAUUGGUCUUGCAAUAAGUAUGUCACUCAUGAUUAUAUAGAAUAGAAAAAAAUAAAUGUCAUGUAUGGGUGACAAAUAACAGCUGGAGCUGGUUAAAUUGCUAUAGUCUUAGUCAGCAGAAUGUCUUUUGGAAUGCUGGCCAUUUUUGGAAUCUUAAACAAGGACAAAGAAACUCUAGAAUUUUAUCUUAGUCUGCACAGAUUGCUGUACUUAUGAAUUGUUUUUUUGAAUUUAGAGAUCCAGACUGUAGCUGGAUGCAUAUAAUUGCAUUCCUUGAGGUUUUCGUGGUGUAUAUAUUUCUUUAUUGAGUUGUGCUUGUAAUAUGUUUGAUUUCUUCCUUUUCAUCAGAGGAACAAGAGCGAAGAAGCUUUACGUUUGGCGCAAUUGUCAGCAGAGAAGCCACAUUUUUCUCAUUGCCUUGAAUGGCUUCUUUUUACAGUAUUUGAUGCGGAAAUAUCCAGGUAAAUUGAGUAGAAACCUCAGUGGUUCAGUCUUUUUCAGUUCUCAAAAUUUUGACUGAGAUAAACUUGCCUUUUUGUUCCUUCUAUUCUGUGCCUAUCCCGAAAUGGUCUGUUUACCUUUGUGUUUAACUGGUCUUCUUUUGGUAAGGCUACCUUAUGGUUAAUUAAAAAGUUUGAUGGUCUUCCUUUGGUAAGGCAAGCUGAUAGUUUUUUAACUUCGGUAUCUCAAUCUUAGAUAUAAUUCCAAUUGGUCAGACAGCUUCAUGAGAUUAAGUUAGGCAUCUUUUUUAAUGAGGAGCAAGUGAAAAAUUUGAUAUCGAGUCAAUAAUUUCACUUUUUGUAUUUUAAUCAGUUUGGAUUAUUCAGUCUAAAUGAGAAGAGAAUAUUCUUCUCUCUGCCCUUGGAUGUCGUAUAUAACUUGGCUGUAUUAUUUCUGGCUAGUGUCUCAAAACUUCUUGUUUUAAUGUUCUGUAGGCAAGCCAGCAAAAACCACGCACCUGUUCCUAAUCAUGCUUCUACCUCCUCUCUUUUGGAGAAGACCUGCGAUCUCAUAAAGAACUUUCCAGAAUAUUUUGAUGUGGUUGUUAGUGUUGCUAGAAAAACUGAUGGCCGACAUUGGGCAGAUUUAUUCUCAGCUGCUGGGAGAUCGACAGAGUAUGUAUCUGGCUUUGUCUUUAUAACAUGCACUUUACAGCAAAGACUGCGUAAAAGGAUGGAGAAAAGAAAUUUUUUUUUCACUUUAAAUCAAAACUGGCCAAAUUACAAGGCUCCUGGUUAAUGACAAAGUGGCUUUUUAUCUGUUAGGUUAUUUGAGGAAUGCUUUCAGCGCAGAUGGUAUCGUACUGCAGCUUGCUAUAUUCUUGUGAGUGCCACUUGCAAUUACCCUGAAAAUUCCUGAAAUCCUCUCUGUAACAGUUUUCAGAUAUUAGCAAAUCCAAAGUUUCGGCUUCUGCUUCAUGUGUGCAAACAUUAUGCAAUGAAGAUUUUUUUUUUUUUAAAUUUGGUGAACCCAACAUCAAAUAAUAUCGAUAGAUGUCUUAUCUAGUAAGUCAGCGACUAUCUAUGAUUGGUAAAAAGGUUCAUCUUCUGCUUGAAUAGAGCCAAUAAAUAGAUUUGACCUUCAUGGGUUUUGAAAAGACUUUCUUAUCUGGUGUUGACCGUGUGAUUGCUUGCACUUAUUCUGUAAAUCAACUAGACACACUGAGUUUUUCCUUAGGAAAUUAACUGUAUAUGCUGCAUGGAAAUGGUAACAAUGUCUAAUUUUAUUGCUGCCUAUUCUAUCAGGUUAUCGCUAAACUUGAAGGUCCUGCUGUCAGCCAGUACUGUGCAUUGCGUCUAUUGCAGGUUACCUUCUGAUGCUUUCAGUUUUGUUUCCCAUGAAGUAAAGGCUCACAUGGGCUAACUCUAUAUGUUCAUAUCUUGUCAAAUAUCAUAUGAAGAAAUUAUUCAAGAAACUACGAAACAUCUGCACUCAUUAGACUCCUCCCUGGUCAUCCAAAAGCAAAUAUGACUUAUACUUGUCAGACAGAUUCUUUGUUGUGUCCUUCUAACCCAAAGGUUUCUUUGGUAUCUUGGUUAUGUUAGUUUUCUUUCAAGUUUUGCGAGUUUUAAUUACUAUAUAAAAUUCAUCUGAUUUUCUGCAGGCAACGCUCGAUGAAUCUUUGUACGAACUUGCUGGGGAGCUGGUAAGAGUUUUAUCGAAUAGACAUCUCUUUGUAUGAACUUGAUGAAUCUUUUAUAUACAUUUUGCGACUAGCUUAACAGACAACUUUUUUUCUUAUCAGGUUAGGUUUCUCCUUAGAUCAGGGAGGGAAUAUGAACCUGCUAGCCCGGGUACAGAGAAACUCUCGCCUAGAUUCUUGGGUUACUUCCUUUUCCCAUCUAGUCAACGGCGGCAGCAUUUGGAGUCAAAGAGGUAAAAGGCAGCCUUUAGUAUUUUGUUUAACAGCAAUUGUAUCUGUUUAUGUUUUCCCUGCAUUAACUAACUAUUCUAUUACUUCGUCCUCUCUAAACAUGAUGGAGCAGCUCAUUUAAAGAGCAGAGUGCUCAUGUUGCUUCUGUUAAGAACAUUUUAGAAAGCCAUGCUAGCUACCUAAUGUCUGGGAAAGAGCUUUCAAAGCUUGUUGCAUUCAUCAAAGGCACACAGUUUGACCUAGUGGUGAGAGGAUAUUAAUAUUUCAUUCACAAUGCAACAUGUGCCACUGUUGGUUGUAUUACAAUUCAUGUAACAAAAAAAUAUAUUUCAGGAAUUUCUUCAACGAGAAAGAUACGGGUGUGCUCGCUUAGAAAAUUUUGCUUCAGGGCUUGAAUUAAUUGGGCAGAAGGUACAAAUAUCCAUGCAUAUUCUUGUGCUUUAUUUAAUUUUUUUUUUUGUAUUUUGACUCCUUGUGGCGUAUUUGGUGGUCUAUUCAUCUUUUCUUCAUUACAUAAUUAAGAUAAUCAUAUAGCUCAUUGCCUUGUUCUACUUAAAUCCUCCAAUUUCGUUUGCACACACUUCCAGCUCUGAUAGUGAAAAACCUCCAGCUGGAAAAAAGAUUCUUAUUUUAUUGGUGUGGUCUUCUUCUGUUUGUGUAAGUUUCAUACUAAUUGCUGCUUCACUUUAGUGGCAUUUCAGUAGUGCCCUUUUUUCUGGUGUUCUUUCCCCUGAAAGUGUCGUGCUUAUGUUGCAAAAUUUUAUAUGCCUUGCUGUCUUAAGUAGUGCAUUGAAAGAAAAAGAUUAAAAUUUGGCAAUAUUUUGUUCCUUUCGUAAGAACAUAUUGGCAUCCGUUUUUCUGCUUUUGCUUGAACCAUAUUACUGCUCGGCAUAUUGCAUUUUGACAUCUAUUUGUAAGUUUUGUCAAUUAGUCCUAAUUGAAUGUCUCAUUUGAAGUCUUGUUACACAUCAAUAAUUUUUAAGAAUUCUUUGAAGCAAAGAGCAAUAGUUCCUUUACUGCUGCCAUGGGAAGAAAAGUUCGUUUUUUAUUUGCUUCAGGUUCGUUUUUUCUUUUUUCCUUUUUGCUUCUUCUGAUUCAGUCGUCAUUUUUGCCAGCUUCAAAUGGGAACAUUACAGAGCCGGUUGGAUGCAGAAUUCCUUUUGGCACAUAUGUGCUCCGUAAAGUUCAAAGAGUGGAUUGUAGUCUUGGCUACACUUUUGAGGCGAUCCGAGGUUUACUAAACAUAAUCAAUGCAUGUGUUUGAGAAUUUAUCCUGUUCUGCGUGUCUGCUAAUGUGACAAUUAAUUGGUUGCUUUAGUCAGUGCAUUUUCAGUUAACAAGUACGAGACAGUUCAAGAUGUUAAUUUUCUUUAGAUUUAAUUUUCCUUAUUAAAUUUCACAAAGAUUGUAUCAUGCAGUACCAUUUCUAACAGUUAUUUUCUGUAAUUUCUCUCUAAUUCAAACAAAACAAUCACUUUUAGAGUGUGAAUAAUUGUUUAUAGAUACUCCAGUGCAAUAGUUGGGUCAAUUGUUGCUGUUUUUUUUUGGUGAUUCACGUUUGACACUUAGAAGAUCACUUCAAGUUCUCUUAAAUAGGGAUAAUCUAGUGAUUUUAAUCACUUGAGGAAGAUAAGAAAAGAAAUUAUGUAGUUAGUAUCAAAGGCUGCAGCAGCCAGAUUGUUAAUUGUUUUGAAUUAAUUACCUUUUGACAUUUACUCAGGUUCUCUUUGAUUUGUUCCGCCAUGAUCUGCGGUUGUGGAAAGCUUAUAGCAUAACCCUACAGGUAUCUGAGUCAUUCCUUUACGGAUGUAAACGUUUGUUACACUCUUAGUUUCUUUUGGCUAUAUCUCACGUGCCUCACCAUCGGUUUUUCAUUUUCAUUUCAGUCGCAUCCUGUAUUUUCUGAAUACCAUGAUUUGGUUGAAGCCUUGGAAGAAAGGCUUUCAUCUGGUUCAUAUUCUUCUAGUACAACUUCAGAUGAGAAAUGAGCUCUUUGGAUGCUUCGAAACCUUUUGCAACUGGUCAACCAUGUUGCUUCAAAUGAUGCAAAUGCAUGUGGCACUGCCUUCGAGUAAAACCUUGUUGGCCAAGAAAGUGACUGCCACCACCUACAAAUGAAAUGCCUUGUAUCGUGCUAUUGAGCUGUGUAAUGAGCAUCGUCAUGGAGUGAUGGAAUGAGACUGCGUCUCUCGAAAGUCAUUGUAAGUUUUACUUGUAAAUAAGCGAUACCAGGGUAGUAAAUUACCUCUUAGCAUUUUCCUUUCUUCAGAGCUUGUAUCAUUCUUCCCUGUGCUGGCUUUUGGGGUUUUCUAUUUUUUUAGGUUUUGAAGGGGGGUGGGGGGGGGGUGGUGCGGGGGUUCUGCGGCAACCAUUUUGGGUAAAGAGAGACAGAGAGUGGUUGUUUUGUAGGGGGAAACUGAUUGCUGAAUAAUUAUGAUAUGAUGAUUUUUCAAUACAUUUUGAUUUCGUGUCAUCACCACGCUUUAUGAACUUGUUUAUCACAUGAAAGAAGUUCAUGACUUUCUUUCCGGCAGCCUAUGUUACCCAACCUAAAUGAAUUCUAUGUUUCAAUCUGGAAGUCAAAGAGUACAAGUAGUAUCAGGAGUUUCUGGUAGUUAAACGAUUGUCCCUGAAUCCUAACCCAAUCUUAUGGUUCUGUGGCACAUUUUUUGUUGAUUUCUGAACCUAUGUUAACGAGUGAACGAUCUACUCAAAACUGUGGUACUCGCACAAUUGAUGCUUUAUCGUGUAUUGUCGCGCUUAUCAUUUGGUCUUCGCAAUUUUUGUUUCCCUUUCGAAAGACACAAGGCUUUUUGCAUAAUUUCCUUCUCUUUUGUAGGAAGAAUGUAUGACCUUUUAAUUCAUACGGUUCUGGGUUUUAUCUAUAAAUUUUGCUUAGCCAGCUUCUGAAGACGAACUUUGAAUGCCAGUUAUGAAUUCUCCAUUAGAUAUUGCUCGACGGUGGAAGAAUUAAACCUAGAGUAAAAUAUUUGAUCUUUUUAUAAGAUGAUAAACAAGGAGACUGCAUCUCUGAAAUCUAGGCCGCUCGGCGGGCAUCCAAACUUCUUCAACAUCGAACUUAGUAACGUCCGUAUGGUACUUAGCUUUCGACCAGAAAAUUGGGGGCGGGGAGCGGGGAAUACAACAAUCAACACUAAUAACGAUGACAUAGAAUUACUAGCUAUACACACACAAACACGUAUUUGAUGGGUCCCUGGUUCAGCUUAGAUUACUAUUCAGCUUUUACAUACAUGCAUCUGGUAUCCAAUCCGAGGAUCAGGUAAUCACCAACUGAAGCUGAUUGAUUCAAAGUGAAGGUUUUCUGCUAAACCGGAUGAGCAAAUGGCGGCUACAUCAUGCCUCAUCUGCUUAGGGCCGCACACGAGAGCUCCAAUGCUUGAUCCCUUACUCUGCAGCAAAAUUCCUGCAAGAACACUUCCGUCAUACAAUGAUAAAUCAAAACCCAAAACGAGUGUUCGCCAAUCAUGGGAGUUAAAAGAUUUGCUUACGCUUGAGGUCGGGUCUUGCUCCAUAGUGCACCUUCAUAGAUUUGACGAGAGAUUGAUGGGGAAGACUCUCUAAUUCUCUAUCAGCAGCAUCAUGCAUGGAGCCGGAUGAUCCUCCUGUUGUUGAAUCUUCCAAAUCCUGGAUCUGUUUGGUUUCCUUGACAUUUUGGUUCUUGUUCCACAGAAAAGCAGCGGUGGCCGUGAUCGCGAUUGAGAAGCAUAUGAUGAGUGUAGUUAGCACGGUCCUUUGAGUCAUCAGGUUGACCUUGUUGGUGUUGUGAUCAAUGGGGUAAAUGUAGUAGCGAGUAAUGAUACCCAAAAUGAAAAGGAAAAUGACGAAAGAGGAUGAGAUGAUUGCGGCGAGCCAAAGCCAACUAUUUUUGCCCAAGUUGGGAGAUAUGGGAGAAUCUGAUGGCAGUGGCCUGAAGCGAAUGAUCCGGGCAGGUUCCGCUUUCUCCAGCGGUUGCACCUUUUCUCUGGUUACAUAAGCCUCUAUUUGUAGGUCCAAAUUGCAAGAUCCUGCAGAAGCACCAGAAACUGGAAGGAGAAGGUCUAGCAUGGAGAGAUGCGAGGAGUUCCUGAAUGUGCUGAUCAGCAGUAGCUUGGGAGUCUUGCAUUUUCGUGCUGAGCUCAUAAACAUCAAAUCUCUGAUGAUAGAGAUGAAAGGCGUGAUUCCACUUCCUCCGCUGACCAUCACAAGCAUGUCAUGCCUGCAUUUAAAGGGUUUUACCAGUUCACAAAAAACGCUCACGGUGCAACUAUAGUUAUUCUGAUUACUGCUAAAAUACUGAUUGGACUGGACAGAAAAACCUGAGAAAGUGAGUUGUUGGAGGUCCAUAGGGUCCUUCAAUAGAAGCUUGAAGACGAUCAACAGAAGAAGGCGAUGAAAUCAGGUCGUAAAGCUUCUUAGUCCAACUCCCUUCGCAUUUAAUCACCACACUGAGCGUGUCUGGUUCCAAAUGACUGUUGGAAGUAACGGUGAACGGAUGCCACUGCAGCUUAGAAAUGAUGGGGAUACUCACGAACAUAGUGCUUGUUGGAGUGUAGUUCAAAGCUGUAUCGACAUUUUGAUGACAUUAUUGGGUGUACACAUUUAAUCAGAGUAUUUGACAAACAUAACGGUAAGAGAAUGGUGAAAAACUUCAUUUACCUCGGCUUUUGGAGAAGUUGAGCUCGACAGUUUCACAGGGUAGAACACGAGCAGAAACUAGACGGACCUUUUGUCUUGAUUGUAAGAACCUCAGGAAUCGAUCGAUCACGAAGAGGUACAUCCCAGGAAGCAUAAUGCAGAUGAAAAAAAGGCCCUUGUGAAGAAUGUAGAAAAUGAUGAAGAGGAUGUAGAGGUUGUGAGUGUAGUAGAAGACUUCAAACAUGCGUCGUCUGAUGCUUGGGAAAGUUGUGCUCCACAUCACUAAUCCAGACAGCAAGCAUAGCUCUCCUGCUAUGUUGUUUACAUAGGUUUGAUCCCACAUCUCAUCCCAUUUUAGCGCCUGCAAAUUAAGAACAACAAUGUUGCAAAAUAAAUGCCUUGUCAAAACAAAUGGUAAUAAUGUAAUCACCUAUCUACUUCUUCUUCUUCUUUUUUCCUCAAAAAAAUUUUGACAAUAUCAUUGGCUUCCAUAUAUAGCAUGUGAAUUUAGGCUAGCUAUUGGAAUUCGAUUAUGGUUCAUAAUGAUUCCAGAGAUUUUACUUCAAGUGGAUGUGGGUAAUAUCCGGUUACUAAAAUAAAUAAUAUUUAAAAACUAUGUCUAUGAAAUUAGUACGUUAAUGAUGCAAGUAAAUAAAUUGUGACAAAUGAUCUUGAAUUUAAAACAGUACUCUUAACUAUGCAACUGGGAAAGGAUGACGGUGGCAUGACAUGUUUCUCACGUAAAAAAAAAAAAAUGACGUUCAAUUGGUCUUUGUUUUCAAUAUGAGGAUGAUAUUGCUGAAUGCUGCCUAUCGCUGUCCAUGGAGCAAUUGUCAAUGACGGCAGGAAUUUCUGUCUCUAAAAACAAAAUGGCUUUAUUAAAUUUGAUUUGAUUUAGGCAUAUGUAGCUAGAUUGAUUGACUUAUGAUCACUACUUCAGUAUUAAAAAUGGUCCCAGGUUCCAGAAGCCAAUGAUCGAUCAACAAGAACAUGACCUCGCACUUCUUCAAAGUUCAAAGCACCUCUGUCCUUUUGUGAUGGUGCCAACCACCAAGAAAGUGGAAAAAGCCUCUUCUUUUUUUAUUUUUUCUGUUUUUCUUGAGGCCAAUAUGCACCCUUUUCUAUUGCACAAUAACCACUCAGCGGACUAAGCAAGAUUAUGAUCCUGCAGGUGACGAGUAGAAAUUUUGCAUGCACUGCAGGUGGGUAGCUAGGCUUCCCAUGAAAAACCAUAUGGAUACUGCUCUCUGAAUGUUGUUGGAAAUCGAAAGAGAAAGACAACUGAAACACUGUUUCAUUUCUUUUCUUCACAAAUUAAUUGACACUCCGUGGGCAGCGUACUCUUGUAAUUAGGUUUCCAUAGAAAUCAAUCUUAAUCGUAACGUGUUUGAAUUGCUAUUUUUAGGAGUUUUUGUAGAAAAAUAUAUUGUAGGAAUUUGAUGUACGUGAGAUAAAAAAGAUAAUUGUAGCAUAUAUUCACAGAGGAAAAAUAACGUGAAAAAAAACUUUUUUUACAAGAAAUCAAUCCCAAUCCUACGUGCCAGCUUCAAGGGUUAAUGAAACUUCACAGAAUCGUCACAAUCCAAAGUUAGUAUUAGUAAAGAUAUAGCCAACACGACACGUCUUAUUCCAAUUUCGUUAUUUUUCAUUGCAAAAUCCAAAAGAGCAUCAUGAUGUACUGCUUUGCUUUUGGGAGUGACCCCAACAGGAAUCGCAUUCUUGAUCUUGACACAAAGUGUAAAAAUCACCUAACCUUUUGCUUUGAUUCACAUUUGUGCUAACAUAUUUCUUAAUCUUUUCAAUUAAGUGACGUUAGGUGCCACCAAAAGUUGAAUAUGAGAUCCAAGGAACAAUGAUCACUAGGGUCUGCACUCACUGUUGAUCCAAUAAUUGCUGACAAAGUUUAAGGUCUUAAGGGUAGGUAGUAGCUAGGAGUCUUCUGGUCACCUUAUUUUGAUUUAGUCCAAUCUCAGUUUCCACCUUCCGAAUAUUGAGAUCAUACAUUUCAAUGUCAUUUCUUUUGCAUUUAUUUCCACCAAACGUUGCCCCUAUGGUUUUUUUUUUUUUUUUUUUUAAUCCCAACUAAGAGCAAUCAAUUAUCAUAUGCUUAUUUGUGAAGUGAAAACCAAUUUUAUCAACCUAAUAAGUGGUCCAAAACGUAAUGUUUAUUCUUCACAACCAAAAUUCAUCAUCUGCAAUGUUAUUAUUCACCCUAUGCUGACUGACUACAAGGAGUUAUCUCCUUCUUGAAGUUGAUCUGAAUCAAAUCUUCAAUCUCUAUCGCUUAUUUGCCAAAGGGAAAAACAAAUUUAGAAACUCAAUGCCAUGAGGGAAACGAACAACAGUUAGGAUCUCAGUUAUGCUUAUUUCCCUUCGUUGUGUUUACAUGGAAAUUCUACGAUCUCUUCUGGGUAUGAUUCAAUAAACUCUUACCAUAUUAUUCGAUAAUUUAAAUUUUUAAAAUUAUAUUGGGUUGACAUCUGUUUUUCCACAUCUAAUGAUGAAUUGAUUCUUAUCGGUAUAAUAUUCAAAAGGUACCAUAGAACCCCCGUAUUUUCGUUUCUUUCUAUAAGUAAAACUAGAACUUUGCCCCUAUAUUGAUUUCAUUCUUCACAUAAAAACAAUUUUCUAAAAUAAGUAAGUUAAAAGAACGGGUGGGGAAAUUACGUUGGGAAGACAAAAUUUUUUGACUCUGAACACACCCCCCCCCCCCCCCAAAAAAAAAGGAACAAAGAAGUUUCAUUUCCCUUUCACAAUGCAAGGAAAUGGAUAUUUUAUGCAUUAGAGUCGAAUAUUCUCCGGUUAAAAUAUCUCAUUUAUUCUUUGUCAUAUAAAUCUUUAGUCAAUGGACUGGACUUUAAAAAUAUAUAUAUAUUUCAAUUAUUCUAAAUUUAGAAAAAAAAAAAAAAAAAAAGAUGAUGGAAAGAGGGGAAAAUAUUACCUCUGAUAACCGAUGAGUGAGAGCCCAAUAAAUGAGAUAAGAAAAGCCAUGAGCGGUAAACAUGGUCAUGGAAAGGUGUCCAAGCCAAAUGUGGUACUUGAUGCUGGCCUCUGAAGUUAAACCCAAGAAAGCCAAUAUUGAUGAUCCUCUUGUCACCGGAAAGAAGAGAAAUGUCAAGCAUACAUUCCCCGCCAGACCAAUCACCAAAGCAAAUCUUUCCAACUUCGCUUGCCACCUGAAAAUUUAAUUUAGAGGCCACCAAUUAAUCACAUCACUCUAUAAUUAUAUUCUAGCGACGCGGAUCAUUAAAUACAGUAGAUUUUUCUUACAGCUUAUCUCCUCGAGACAUGGCUUCCAUGUUGAUCUUCUCGUACCAGAAAUGCAUGAAAGAAGAGAAGUACCACAGGCAGAGGAGGAUGAACAUGGCAAAAAAGAAAAGCUCUAUCCAGUUAACAAUUCCGAGGCCUUUGAUGAUCAUGGGCCGCCUCAACUUCUUGAACGGAUCCUUUUUCCUGUCACUGCUCUCCAUUCCCUUUCCCAAAUGAGUAUAUAUGCAUCCCAUAACAGCAAUGAACAAGAUAGGAAAUGUAAAAUCCAGCAGUAUUGGACCUGCAGCAGAAACAAAAAAAAAAAAACUUUAAUUUUUGAAUAUAUAUAUAUAUGUAUGAACAAUGAUGAAUCUGCAUUUAACCUUGUAAUCCGAAGUAAGUUGAAUUGGUGCUGGCCAUGAUGUGAGGAACCCAUUUGUUGUAAUACGUAUCAGUUGGCAUGAUGCACCACAUCAUGAUAUAACCAAGAAAUACAAUUAUACAUAGUCCCACUAUUGCACCGCGGAUGAUGUUGGUUGCUUUUGCUUUUGCUCCUCCUCCAUGAGGAGCUGAUAACAUCUUAUCCUCUUCCAUUGCUUCCCUCAGGGAGUGUGUGAAAUCUGGGGUUUUUGGUGGUGGAAUGGUGUGUGUGUGAGUAUCUGCUCUAUAGGAGAAGAGAAGUCCUUGUGGUGUGGGGUUCGCGUCACAAUGAUAUGUAUAUAUAUACGCUGAAUUGUAGUAUGUGUAUAUGUGACCUGCUUAAAUCAGAAGUAGUGUGUGAGUGUGGGUGUGAGUGUGUGUGUGGGGGGUUGGUGGGGGUUCCGGGGGGGUAAUUGGUGAAUGGUGACUUGAUGAUAUGGUCAUAACAACGGUCACCAAUAGACAUACAACCAGAUUUGUUUUACCACAUUUCAAAGGUAAAAGUAAAGAAGUAAGUAACAUAAAAACUUUUUGUUGUUUCUAGACUACUACUUGAAAGAGAUAUUUUACUGUACCUAGAUUUCAUAGCACGUAAUCGAUUUUUUUUUUUUUUCCAAAACAAUGUGUAUUAGAGGAAAUACUUACAUGGUUAAUUUCUUAAAAUAAAAAAAAAAAGAAGAAGAAGAAGAAGAAGAAGAAUUUGUUAACAUGGUAUGGUAAGAAGUUUGAUGAGGGAAAAUGUCAUUGAUUCCAUUUCAAUGGAAUGAAAUACUUAAAUUUCGAUAGAAUUAGAAGUGGCUGCAUCCAUCGUUAAUUAGUUUUGACGCUUGGUGUAACAUAAUAUUGUGCUUUUCAGAGUUUAGUACAAUUGGAUUAAAGCUCAAGCCAUUUUCCCUGAUCGAAUUACUUUUACCUUUCCACUUUUUUUUUUUUUUUUUUUGUGUUUGGGGGGGGGGGGGGGAGAGAGAGGGGGUAAUACAAUGAAUGGUUAGAUGGUGAUGCAUGGCUAGGGACAGAAAUAGAACUUCAUUUUUUCGAUUUUAAGUUGAAUCGAGCUGCGUUUAGCAUUGGAUAAUUCUGUGUUUUUUACUGUAGAUUGAGACCAAUUCUUGACCAUUUAAUUGACAAGCUGUUUGCAGUUGAAUGAAAUGAAAACCUAGAAAUCAACUGUAGCUGUCAAACUAGUUCAAACUCUAGAAAAUUUUGCUUCGAUUAAGGAUAAAUUACAAGUGAAGCUUUUAUUUAUUAUGAUCUGCAGAAUAUGCAAUUAGGUGAUGACAUUGACGACUUUGUCUCUCUUUCCAUUUUGCAGCCAUCAGCCAAUGCCAUGUGUGACACUUAAGUUCCUAAACUUAUAAAUACCUCCAAAUUAAGGAAAAUUGUUGAUAAAAUCCUGAAUGCCUUGGUGGUCAAAGUGUUCCAUUUUAUAAGUUUAGGGACUUAAGUGUCCCAUUUUGAAGUUUAGGGAUUGAAGUGGGUAAUCGUCCAAAGUUUGGGGGGACAAAGUGGAAUUAACCCUUAUUAUUAUGUGAAGUUGCUGCCAUUUCCCGUUUUGUUGCUUAAAUUUUUCCUAUUCAAAUCAGUCAAAUAUAACGAUUUCCUACUUAAAUCUUGAUUACGACUAAUCUGAACAACAAUUCUCCAGUAAUAAUCAUUACCUAUUACAGCAUGCGUUUGUCCGAAAAAAGAAACAGAAAAACUUUUGUUAAGAUGGUUUUUUGCCUAUCAACCUGGUAGCUUCUUAAUUUUUUUUUAAUUUAAUGAAAGCCCUGGUCCUUAUAAGGAGAAUAUAUAAGCAACAGAAGAAAAAUUUGAGGAUCAAAGAAUAGAACUACGGGUGUAAAUUAAUCAAGUUAUUUGCCUCGGGCUCGCAAGUAGUUCGAUCAAGUCCAAUUGAGUUCGAACUACUUGAUAACAUAAUCGAGUCGAGUUCGAAUAGAAAAAAUCAAAACUCGAAGACUCGUAGGGUCUUAUCCAAUAGUAUAUUUAUAAUACAAUUUUUAAUUAUUUAUUAUAAAAUCAUGAAAUUUACUAUAAAAAAUAAAAAUCAAGUUUGAACUAGGGCUCUGCAAACAAUUUUUAACAAUAUUCAUGAUUGACCCUCGCAUCUUUUCGUUCAAGAUUCCCAACCACCCACAUUUACGUUCUGAAGGCCUCAGGGGAAGCCAGGAAGAAUGAAAAAAAGCCCAUUAUGACCCAAUCCAGAAGGCAAAAGGCCCAAAAAGGUUUCCAACCACGCAAUCAUCUUACGAACGGGUCCAAUUGAAAUCCAACUAGCAACCCAACCCAUCUUGAUCGACGCUAUUUUGUUUUCUUUUAACUGUGGAAAGAAACACAAGCGUAAUAUGAAGGAAAAAAACGAAAAAAAAAAUAAAAACACAGUGAUCCACUCAUCUUCUUGGGUGGUCAUCUAAAUAAUCCUUUCUAUCAUUUAUUCUUUUACUCAUUGGGUGGUUACCUAUCCUCCAUCGUAUCUAUUUACUUUUUAUUGAUUAAUCCUACAUUUUAAAAAAUACGAUACCUAAAAUAUAUCUUAUAUCUUAACAAGUGACCAAUGGCACCCGUUAAACAAACACUUGUUAAAAUUAUAAAUCUCGAAAGUAAUAUUUAGAUAAAGAUAUUUUACAAAUAGAGCAAUUGCCAUAUCCAUUAGAGGGGGUUGCCUUUUGGGAGCAAUGCUGAUUUCUUUUUUCCUUGAUUAAUAUUAUGGCCAUCAUGUUACAAUUUGCAGGCAGUUCACCUCAUUUCAAAUAAAAUAUAAACUUUCAAGUGAUUGAUCUAAAAUUUGGAAGCCUCUCAUGAAACAUGAGGAGGAGUUCUAUUUAUUUUUCAAACAAGCAAGCAAUUUUUUCACAUUCAACAUUCGCAUUUACAUUUUGAAGCACUCAACUCUGCCCAAGUGCUAACAAAAGGAAACAAGAAAAAAAGGCAGAAGAUUGUCAUAUGAUCGAUCACCAGCUGAAACUGAUGGACUCGAAAUGCAAAUUAGCUCCCAAACCAGAAGAGCAUAUGUUUGCAACCUCAUGUCUCAUCUUCUUCGGUCCACAAACUAGAACUCCAACGCUGGAUUCUUUGCGCUCAAAAAGAAUUUCUGCGUCAGAACCAACCUUAAGAUAUCAAAACAUGCACGUAGAUUAUGUUGACCAAAAUCAAUGGGAACCUACAGUAAAUUUUGCUGAACGAUAAAUGGGCAGAAUAAUUAUUAACCUGCACUCAUCUAAUCACAUUUAUACUUAAAAAAAAAAAAUACAUGUAACACAAGAGUAGUGAGAUUUAAGAAGCGAAAAAAGAGGAAAGGAGCGAUUUGAAUUUAUGGCCUCUAAUUCCUACGGUUUCAGGCCAUGCGAUUUUUGUUCGCCAUAUAUAAGCUGUUAAUCAAACCCAUGUGUCAUGCUUUAGGAAUUUACCUGCACUAGUAUAAUAUAGUUAGUCAUAUUGCAAUUAGUUGACUUACUCUUUAGGUCUGGCCUUUCACCAUAGUGCAGAUUGGUAGAGAGGACCAGUGACUGCUGGGGUAAGCUUUCUAAUUCUCUGUCUGCAUUAUAGAACCAUGAGUUGGGUGACGCUACGGGAGUUGCCCCUUCCAGGUUCUGAAUCUGUUUGUUCUCCAUGGCAUUUUGUUUCUUGUUCCAGAGAAAAGCCGCGGUAGCUGCGAUGAUUAUAGAAAUGCACAUGAAAAGGAUAUUCAGCACAGCUCUAGAAGACCAUGAAUAGACAUCGUUGGUGUUGUGAUCAAUGGGAUAAAUGUAGAAUCUCGUAAGAAUCCCCAUGAAGAUAAGAUAGAUGAUAAAAGAUGCUGAUAUUAUUGCACCAAGCCAGAGCCAGCUGUUUUUGCCCAAGAUUGGAGCAACUGGUGAAUCUGAUGGCUUUGGUUUGAACCAGACGGUCCUGAGACUCUUCUUGCCUUCUGGUGCUGGUUGUUUUUCUCUCGUUACGUAAGCCUCAAUUUGUAAAGCGAAGUUGGAAAAUUCUGCCGGGGAACCAACAAUAGGGAGGAGCAGAUCUAGCAUGGUCAAGUCUGAAGAAUUCUUGAAUGAGGGGAUGAGGAGAAUUGAAGGAGUCUUGCAUUUCAGCGUCUCGCUUGCGUACAUAAGCUCACGAAUGAUGGAGAUGAAAGGAGUGAUUCCGCUGCCUCCACUCACCAUCACCAGCAAUUCAUGCCUGCAACCAACGGAAUAAGAAAUUAUAGGUAAAAAAAUCAAGUAGCGACAAGUGUCUUCAUUGGUCCGGAUGUACUUACAUUUUUCUUAGACACGGAACAGGAGUAAAGGACACUGUUUGUACCUUAGGAAAUCAGUUGAAGUUGGUCCAUAAGGUCCUUCAAUGGACACAUCAAGAUGAUCCACAGAAGAAGGGGAAGAAAGCAUCUCAUGGAGCUUCUUUGUCCAGCUCCCGUCACCUUUAAUGAUGACACUCAGCUUUUCAGGCUCCAAAUUACUGCUUGAAGUAAUUGUAAAAGGGUGCCACUGUAACUUCGAGAUGCUCGGUACAUUCAAGAACAAUAUGCUUGUUGGAGCAUAGCUAAGACCUGAUAAUAAGGGGGGAAAAAGUUAAAAAUCAUACUAAUUUCGCUUUCAUCAAUUUUAGAGGAUGCAAAGAAUCAAAAGAAAAAGGAAGAACGCGUAAUUACGAAUGGUUGCUCAUAAUGUCACGGCACCAAUUUUAGUUCCAUAACAUAUUUUCUAUGAAUGAACAAAUUCCUCUUAAAAAUAAACACAUCAUUUGGACAGUGAAGGCCAUCGUUGUCAUUCAGAAGAAACCUGAUGUAGAGCUGAAGUUCGUGAUCAUUUGCUAUCACCUAUCAUUUGGUUUUUUUCGUUUUUUUUUUUUUGUAAUUAAAAGUUUGGACAGAUUCAACUCUAUUCACCAUCAUGGAUCAGGGCAUACCCUUAAAACCAUACAUCGCUUAGAACAAUUCUUAUAGAUAGUCCACUAACAUAGUUCUCGCAUUCGCAGCAAAAUUCAAAUAUACAACCUUUUUGUGAGAAGGUUAUCCGCGCUUGUCAAUUAAGCCAACUUGUGUUGGCAUAUUAUUUGGUAGAUUAAUUUUAUUUUUCUUUUCCCCCCUGUACAAUUGGAACAUGCACUUAUGUACCUUUGGUCUUGGAGAAGCUGAGCUCCACGGUUUCACAGGGUAGAAUUCGAGCGGAGACUGAACGAACGUUUUGGCGAGAUUGCAAGAACCUCAAGUAACGAUCAAUCAUGAAGAGAUAGAAGCCAGGAAGCAUGAGGCAGGCAAAAGCGAUGCCAACAUGGAGGACGAAGAAGAGCACGAAGAUGAUGUACAAGUGAUGAGUAUAGAAGAAGAGCUCAAACAUCUUUCUCCUUAUGCGGGGAAAUGUCGUUGCCCACAUGGCUAGUCCCGCUACCAAAGCUAUUUCUCCGGCCACAUUGGAAAUGUCUGCUUUAGCCCAUUUUGUCAUCUGAAUUAUUUGAGCAAAAAUAACAAAACAAAGAAGAAAGAAAAAUAAGAUAUUAGUUAUACUAAUUAUAAGCAAAAGAAAAGCAUACGUGAAGAAGGUAACCUUUGACAUAUCUCACAGACGAAUACAAAAAUUGGCAAUUUUAACUUUUUGAUCUCAUAAGAUUGACGAACCCCACGAUAACACCCUAUAAGCUAGCAGCCCACCACCCUUGAAUAUGAUACAUCAAAGUCGAUUUGUCAAGCAACUCCCAGAUGGGACCUUACUUAUCUUUUUGCUUUUUCCAGCAAACAACAAUAUAUGCCCAUACGUAAUGCGAAACUGCAAUUUGCAUGGAAAACGCACCAAGCCUAAAAGAUAUGUAAAGAAAAGCAACCAAGAGCCCAAACAAGAAACAAGAACAAAUUUAGAGCACAGACCAGUUUCUUCUGGUUUGGUCAGUGGGGUGAUGCAUGCUAGCUAGCUAUUAGUCUCCCCAGGUCCAGGGCAACCCAUCCCUGCAACUUGUUUCUUGUGGGCACAAUCACCCAAGUUGCUCCUUCACUCAUAGUGUCAGUGCUCAGUACAUCGACUGUUGCACUAUUUUCGUUUAGUUAUUGAUUUAAACAAUUGGAAACUUCUAUUCUAUUCAAUUAUAUAACUUGUUCAAUCGCCUGUGUUUCCGGAAAAGAUAUAUAAGAGUAAUCAUUUAUUUUAUUCAUUGAAGAUAGAGUAACCGUUCAAUUAACUUUCAAAUUAACCAAAAAAAAAAUCGCAAAUAAAAAGAGGACUCCAUGUACAUCUGCAUAUCAAUUCUUACGAAAGAAACUAAUUAAAUUGGACGAGAUAGUCAAACAAUUUUUUCGAAUAUAAACCAUUGCAUCACUUGUUUAAGGCUGUCACCACCUCAAAUUGUUGGCACUGGCAGUGAAGCGAGUUUGUUAAGGGUGUUUUAAGGUUGGAUGCAAAGGGCACAUUGAACAGGACUAGUAGAAUGCUUCAGUCAUUAGAUAUGACUUUGUUCAUUAAUUCAGUUGUCUUAAUUGUAUUUAACGUUUGUAUCAAGUACAAAUAACCGGUGGAGUACUACUACUUAAUAAUUACCUCGGAUAUUUGAUGUGUGGCAGCCCAGAAGAUGAUGUAGCAAACGCCAUGAGCGGUGAAAAGGGUCAUUACAAUGUGGCCAAGCCAUAUAUGAUACUUGAUGCUUGCUUCGGAUGUCAGGCCAAAAAGUUGCAGCACCGAUGAGCCGCGGGUCACCGGAAAGAAGAGAAAUGUUAGACAUAGAUUCCCUAGCAGGCCUAGCCUUAGAGAUGCACUGCCCAGCUUAGCUUGCCACCUGCCACAUAUAUAUAUCACAUAUGAAUACGAUUAGUGUAUGGAUUUAUAUGAUCCGCCACCUUUGUCCGAACAAUCUCAGCUUUUAUUUCUGCAACUCUAUGCUUUCUGGAAAGAAUAAUAAUAAUAAUAAAGAAACUGAGAUGGAUGGAUUUCUUAGUUUCUAAUUAAGUUAAAGGCAUCUUACAAUUUCAUCCCACUCUUUGCAGCUGACUUCGGAGUGAUGCUAGCGAAGCCAUUGCGCACGUAAACUGUGUAGAACCAAACGAGAAGGGCAAUGAACAUCACAAGAAAAGCCAACUCAAUUCGAGAAACAAUUCCUAGUCCUUUGAUGAUAACUGGCCUCUUCCAUGCCACUAUACGAUUUUUACCAUCACGUCUGUCGAUCAGAAAACACGAAGAAGAGUUGCAAGUCAAGCUUCUUCUUCUUCUUUUGUUUUUUUUCCCCCCACGAAGCCAAAAAAAAAAAAAAAAAAAAAUCUGCUGCAAAAAUUACUUAAAUCCUUCUUGAUGUAUCUAGAGUUACCUCUUUGAAUCAUGCUCAUUGCUUCGUUUCUUUCCUAAAUGGAGAAAGACACAGCCCAAGGCAGCAACGAAAAGAACAGGAAAUGUGAAGACCAAGAAAUUUGCACCUGUAAAAGGUGGUUAUGAAGAAGAUGAAACUGCUUAUAUAAAAUUGAGAAAGAACAUCGAGGAGUAGAGAGGAUCGGAGAUCAAUAAAUCAUCAAUAAAUAAACCUUGUGAUCCAAAGUAAGUUGUAUUAGACUCAGCUCGAAUCUUUAGAAGCCAGUUCUGUUUGAAAGUAUUGGUUGGCACCAUGAUCCAGAUGAAAAUAUAUCCAGCCGAGACCACAACAAGCAGUGCCAUUAUCAUUCCUUGGACGACACUGUUUCCUCCAGCCUGAGGAGAUCUUGUUGCCACCCUUGUGUCCAUGGCUUCGUUGAUGACUAUCACUACGGGCCAAUAUUCGUAGCGGGGGGAAUAUCUAUGGAAUUGCAAAUCGAUAGAAAUAGCCUUGUAUAAUGGAUACAAGAAGUUAAUGGCCUUAUAUAAUGGAUAGACGUCGUGUAGAAUAUUAUUUCCUAGUGUGUGAACCUACAAGAGAAACAGUAGCAUACCACUAAUAUUCCUAAACCAUGAAAAGCAUGAUUCACGCCCCUGCAAGGGUGAUGGAAUGUAUACACGUAAUCUUCAUUCUUCCCCUAAAAACAAAACCUGCGAGAGACAGAGAGUGUGUAAAAUAAUUAAUUAAUUUUGGACACAAAUUUUUUUUGGCAAUAGUUGUGUAUAAGCACGGCAAACAAGCAAGCAUAGGCUUUUACCAUAUGCUAAGUAGAUACCAAAGAAAAUCAUUCAACUGUAGUAAAAAUUUGACAAUAUAUAUUGUAACAUCAAGGUUAGGCAUUUAACUAUAAUACUAUACAACAAUGGCCCGUUUAGAUUGCAUUUUUCAUGAUUUUUUCAUGAAAAAUUUACUGUAGCGAUUUGAUGUAUGUGAGGAAAAAAGAUUAUAGGAAAAUAUGAUCACGAAAAAUAACGCAAUUUUUUGACAGAAAAUGAUAAUCCAAACAGGGCCUAAUUUCACUUAUACGUUUAUUUUUCAACUGAUUACAUGUUUUUUUGACAUUAUUCGGGGGUCAACGAAAGGGCAAAGAAAGGCACGUGGUUUGCUUUAUUACGCUUCAUUGCAUGCUUCAUGCAUUAUUUUCGCGUCAGGGGAGGGGAUAGCUUAAGAGUAGCAGCACACUUGUAUCUAAAUCAAACAGUUUAAAAAAUGGAUACGUACGUAUGCACCUAAUGCAAAAGAGAAUAACUUGAUUGUGUGGUUGACGCCAUAAGUAGACUAGUAUGGUACUUGUAUAAUUGGCAUAUACAUAGAGGUCUGAAAAUGCCAAUGCCAUCUAUAUAUAUAUAUAUAUAUAUAUAUAUAUAUAUAUAUAUAUAUAUAUAUAUAUAUAUAUAUCGUAAAACCUACUCUAUGGGAAUCUGACUCUAAGGAGUGCCUAAUUGAGUCGAAGAAACCUGACGGAGAUUGAACCACCAUCAGAUCAGAUGGGUGCACCACUCACCCGUAUGGAUUUAGAACAAUUCUCAUAUAAAAACAUAUUGAUGGGAGGCAAGAUUUAUAUAUAUAUAUUUUUUCGUAAAACCUACUCUAUGGGAAUCGACUCUAAGGAGUGGCCUAAUUGAGUCGAAGAAACUUGACGGAGACUGAACCACUCACCCAUAUCAAUUUAGAAUAAUCCUCGUAUAAAAACAUAUUGAUGGGAGGCAAGAUUUGAACCCCUGAUCUCUCAUCCCACUAUUAAUGUGGUCGCCGUCUCUAUAUUCACUAAUCAAGAUCUUUACUACCAUUGAAAUGCAUCAAUAUAUAUAUAUAUAUAUAUACUCAAAUCAAAUACGUCCAUGUGUUUACACUCGAAAAGAGGAAGAUAAGGUGCGAAGUCCUGUCCGUCAAAACUUGCCAAAAAAUCAAGAAAAGCUAAUAUGUAACGAUCCAUUCAGUCAAUUAGAACCAUUAAUUCACUGCUUUUCUUCCAAGUUUCACAAACGAAGGGCUUUAUCCAGCUUUUCUUCUGACAAAAACACCAUAGAUUUCUGACAUUGUUUAACAGGCAUAUAUGUAAUGCUGACGCAAAAAAAGAAACAUACCACUAAAUGGAAGCUAGUGAUCGUUAGGCAAUGAAAGAUCUAAUCCUGGUGAAAUAAAAUUAGGACCAUCAAAGUGGAGGCACCGCCCCAAACCUGAAUUUCACGGCCCAUGUCUAGCUACAUUCCUCUCUGUUUCCACAGAUUGGGCGGAAGGAUAAAGAUUUGGCUUUUUUAGGGGAAACAACACUUAGCAAAUUGGAGGGCAAUCGCCUAUUUGACCAAUAUAGUGGGAUGGCUAAUGUGGGAUGUGCGUGUUGCAUUGUGUUCGUCCAGGAGUAAAUACGGCAGUCCUCGUGUUGGAUGUGCGCCUGCGCGUGCCCAAAAGCUGAUGUGUGGAGCAGAUGUUGGGUUGACACAAUUAGACAUGCAAUUUUUCUGUAGCUUAAUCUUUUUAUCUCUUAAUUGUUUGCCUACAGUUUCUUGAUGAUUAAUUAAAUGGCCUGAAAUAAUUGCUACAUCUGCCUAUGCAAGCAUUGCAUGAGGACACUGUGAUGAUUAUAUGUUGUCAGUCGUCACCUUGAAAGUGGAAGUGAUGCUUCAGGACACUUUCCACAGCAAAAAGGCAUCUACGCUCCAUCCUCUGGGAAUUCAGUGACGUUUCUAAUCAUAGUUGCUAAAUCUUGGGAACCUAGCCAGGUUUCGUGCGGAAAUCAACGGACCCAUGUGGCAGCACCACCCGCCAACGAUCAACAUGGUCGCACUAGGAUUGCAAACGAGUUUAGCCUCCUCGCGAAUCAACUGGAUGGAAACUAGAUGCAGGUUCGUCCAAAAUUAUUGAGUUCUAAUCGAAUUCGAGCUAGUUUGACAAGUUAGUCGAAUCAAAUCAAAUACAUUAGUACUCGGUUCGUUAGCUUGUCAAGUCAGUUCGAAUAUAUACAUUUUUAAUAGUAAAAUUAUAUAUAUGUCUUCUGAAUUUUUGUUAUUUAUUAAGGUGAAAUGUCAAUUUUAUAUAUUUGCUUUUCUAAUUAGAAAAAGAAAAGAAUGAUAUUGGUGGUUUUUGAAUGAUUAGUAGGUUAUUGCCCCCGCGUGAAUGGUCCAGCGGCAGCGCCUCUCACCAGUGACCCUUGAAGUCACAAGUUCGAGUCUCAGCUACGCUGGAUUCCUCCGCGCACUUAAUGUGUUCGCGCCGGGUUGGGGCGCCGGACCCGGGCCGCAGGGGAUUAAUCGGGCCCCGUAAGAAUUGAUCCGGAUACCCCUGUGUCGAAAAAAAAAAAAAAGAAUGAUUAGUAGGUUAUUGAGUAGUAUAGGCUUAGACUUGGGAAGAAUAUAGUGGUACAAUUAUAGGAAGAGUACAGUGGCAGCGGUGAAUUAGCAGUGUGAAAUUUGACAGAUGAGGUAUGGAUGUAUCAUGCUAAAUCUUGGAAUGGUACAUUUGGAAAUUGGAAUAACAAAUAAUAUGACACUCUAUUUUUUGACACUGACUCAUGCAUUAUAUGUAGAGAGAUAUGCAUUCACUUUUUUUAGGGGCGGCAAUUGGGUCAGAAGUGAAUUGGCGGAUUGGAUUGAGAUCUGAAUAUAACAGAUAACCUGCUGACCCGAAUACGACUUACCAAUUCAAAACGGGUCAGGAUACCUAAUUCGAACCCGAAAUUUUGGGUUAGCGGGUCAACCCGAAUGACCUGAAAUAUAAUUUCAAUUUAUUAAUUUACCAGUGUAAUUUCUAACAUAACCAAUUUCGCACAAGACUAAUUACAUUAUCAAAUAAUAAAAAUCUCGAUAAAACAAUUCCAAACCAGAUCUGAAAUAAAUUAAAACACUGUAAAAGUAUUUUAUCCCAAACCAGAUCUAAAAUAAAUUAAGAUACUAUAAAAAUAGAAAAUAAUGUUAUAUAUCAUUUGUCCAAACAUAAUAAUUCCAACUUCACACAAGUUAAACAAAUUCAUUUAGAAUUAAGUGGUUAAUACCUUUGGGGAAAAAAGAAUAACUCAGUUUAGUUAGAUAAAAUAUUUUUAUAUUUAUUAAAUUAUUUUUAAUUUAUAAACGGGUUAUCGGAUCAACCCGUGGAUGACCUAAAUUCGACCUUUUUUCGGAUUCAUUAAGUUCGACUCAAUUCUGACCCGAACCCAUAAAAUCUCAACCCAAACCCAUUAAUUUCGUAUUAAAUUCAUGUCAUAUAUUCAAAUCGUGUCGAAAAUUGCCACCUCUAACUUUUUUGAUUCGUUGUAGUAGUUUUGAAAUAAGCGUAUCUUGCAAGCACGAUCGAGGGAGAAAGAAAUCAAUGGCUCAUGAUCAAUGGUUUGGCAUCGCGCUCACUAAUGUUCUUAAUUAAGAAUUCAACAAAUUAAGUGGAGUACUAAACUUUUAAGUUCAUUUCUUUGAAAAUAGAGUAUUACUCUUUGAUUAUUCUUUAUUGCUAAAAUUUCAUCCCUAAAAUCAUAGUCCAAAAUAUGAUCUAAUAUUCUAAUGUGUUCCCGCAUCUAAAAGGCCGCGAGCCCAAUAAUUGUUCAGCCAGCCUUCCAUAGCCAGGUGAUUAUAUAUCAUUUUCCCCACAGUUACACUUUUUUAGUCCCCAUCCGCAUUUAAAUUUGAAGGCUGGGCCUGGGUCUAACCAUAGAGGCAAACAAGAAGGAAAAUGAAGGACCCACUCCAGGGGCCUCCAGGAGGCCAGAAAGUUUCAAUUUUGCCAGCCACAUUCUACAAGAUUGUCGAUUCACCCGCUGAAACUGAUGGACUCGAAAAUGCAGACCGGCUCUUAAACCUGAAACAACGUCUGUUUACAACCUCAUAUCUGAUUCUUUGUGCUGAAAAUGAGCUUCUGAAUCAGCAUCAACGUUGUUAGGAGUUGGGGAAAUUAGGACAAUCUAUUCAAUUAUCCUCGAAGUAAGAUGAAGACUACAAUGAAUGAAAAGAGUUCAACAAAGAUUUUUUUGAAAAAGAUAUCCAAAACUAACACAAGAAGGAAAGAAAAUUUGUGCAGACUACCCUGUCUGGUGGAUCUUGAAACACGGGGAGAACUUGAAAACGACAAAACAUGUGCUAGUUUAGUAUAUCAGAUGGCAAAUUGGCGCAAUCCCACCAUGCAAGCUGAAUAUUUUUACAUGGCAAAGUAAGAAUAACUAGAACCAUGUGUCGAGGGAUUGAUUACAUGGCAAAGUAGUCAAUAACUAGAAGCAAAUGACUGGAGCAGAGCUACAUAAAGAUGAAAAAGAACCUUCUGCCAUCUGUCACUCAACUAAACAAACAAAAACACUGAGGAGAUCUUGCAGUUCCAAUUCCAGAACAGGAUAUGCUGUGGUGUAGGUAUAACUUGCAAGCAUGGCUCUGUCUAUAGUCUUUAGUUACUUCAAAGUAUAUCUAGCAUUGAACUAGUCUGUAGCAAGUCAGCAGCAGCAGCUCUUCUUCUUCCAGAACCACAACAUAUGACGCAAAUAAUACAUGCUACCAAUGUUUAUCUUUGCGUCUAAAAUGUUCCAUUAUAGUAAGGUGUGAUCCUCUUUCAUAAAUCAUGAUGACAUAGAUCUAAAACUUUGCAACUACUACUGGUGAUGCUGACGUAAAGACGGAGAAGGAGCUCUACUGUAGUCUAUAUACCAUGCCAAAUGCUUCGACCAUAUUCGAAGCAAUUGAACCAUAAGAUUAUCAAACCAUCAGCAGCCAAGGUAGAGAAUACCAUCUGGCAACACAAAGCCAAAAGCCUAUCGGACCCAAGAUCAAUAAGGAACCAUAAUUCACAUCACACUUCAUUAAGGUCCUACACAGCAAUUAGUGCAAACUGAUUUCCGCUAGAAAACCAAACAUAAAGAAAACACAGCAACCACUCCAAAAGAAGAGGCAUCAAAAAAUGCAUGAUCGAUUGCACCCACACUAGAAAAAAAUAUACUGAUUCACAGGAUUAAUAAAAGCAAUGAAGUUUCCUUUUCCAAACUGCUUGAACAUUCAUAGGUAAAGGUAAUUUCCAACAAAUAAGCUAUUGAGUACAAAGCAUAGACAUCAUUCCCCGGAAAGUAUACAAAUAUGUUAAAUAUCUCAACACUGAGUGGAGUACAGUUUGAAUUUUAGACAAAUCUACAGCUACUCUGUAUAAAUAAAAGUUCUCACAAGAACAAGAGAAACAAAAAGCCAUGAAGACGUUUCAUAUACUAGUCCUUAAGAUCUUCAGGGAUAUAUAAGGUACUUGAUUUAGGACUCACUAGGCCCACAAGGGCAUCAGAGUUUACCAGAUGACUGUUGGCUGCCAUACUUCAGAUUAAUUUCAGAGACAUCCACAGGUAACCUUAACCAUCCCACUGUGUCCCUGCCUCCAGACCUCCUCCUUUGCACUACCACGGAUGCAGUUAGCAACAAAAACACUGCCGCUAGUAAAGGCACUAUGACACCGGCAUUUCCUCUUCUCCAGCUCUUCAUAACUGACUCAACAC